AACUGACUCCUCCCACAAUAUUAUGAUGUUCCCCAAGUUUUGGACUCAAUCCGAUAUCGAUUGGUCCUUGAAAUCGGACAAUUCAGGUUCGUACGAAGUUCGUUCUGAAAUGGGGUGGUUGGUGUAUUGUAUAGUUCUAGAGAUUGGAUUUCACUCAAAACCCACCAAAUGACUCCUCCCACAAUAUUAUGAUGUUCCCCAAGUUUUGGACUCAAUCCGAUAUCUAUUGGGGCUUGAAAUCGGACAAUUCAGGUUCGUACGAAGUUCGUUCUGAAAUGGAGUGGUUGGUGUAUUGUAUAGUUGUAGGGAUUAUAUUUCACUCAAAACCCACCAAAUGACUCCUCCCACAAUAUUAUGAUGUUCCCAAGUUUUGGACUCAAUCCGAUAUCGAUUGGGACUUGAAAUCGGACAAUUCAGGUUCGUACCAAGUUCGUUCUGAAAUGGAGUGGUUGGUGUAUAGUGUAGUUCUAGGGAUUGUAUUUCACUCAAAACCCACCAAAUGCCUCCUCCCACAAUAUUAUGUCGUUCCCCAAGUUUUGGACUCAAUCCGAUAUCGAUCAGUCUACGAAAUAUAACAAUUUAGGUUCGUACGAAGUUCGUUCUGAAAUGGAGUGGUUGGUGUAUUGUAUAGUUCUAAAGAUUGGAUUUCACUCAAAACCCACCAAAUGACUCCUCCCACAAUAUUAUGAUGUUCCCCAAGUUUUGAACUCAAUCCGAUAUCGAUUGGUCCUUGAAAUCGGACAAUUCAGGUUCGUACGAAGUUCGUUCGGAAAUGGGGUGGUUGGUGUAUUGUAUUGUACCCACCAAAUGACUCCCCCAAUAUUAUGAUGUUCCCGAAGUUUUGGACUCAAUCCGAUGUCGAUUGGUCCUUGAAAUCGGACAAUUAGGGUUUGUACGAAGUUCGUUCUGAAAUGGAGUGGUUGGUGUAUUGUAUUGUACCCACCAAAUAACUCCUCCCACAAUAUUAUGAUGUUCCCCAAGUUUUGGACUCAAUCCGAUAUCGAUUGGUCCUUGAAAUCGGACAAUUCAGGUUCGUACGAAGUUCGUUCCGAAAUGGGGUGGUUGGUGUAUUGUAUAGUUCUAGAGAUUGGAUUUCAUUCAAAACCCACCAAAUGACUCCUCCCACAAUAUUAUGAUGUUCCCCAAGUUUUGGACUCAAUCCGAUAUCGAUUAGUCCUUGAAAUUGGGCAAUUCAAGUUCGUACGAAGUUCGUUCUGAAAUGGAGUGCUUGGUGUAUUGUAUAGUUCUAGGGAUUGAAUUUCGAUCAAAACCCACCAAAUGACUCCUCCCACAAUAUUAUGAUGUUCCCCAAGUUUUGGACUCAAUCCGAUUUCGAUUGGUCCUUCAAAUCGGACAAUGCAGGUUCGUACGAAGUUCGUUCAUAAAUGGGGUGGUUGGUGUUGUGUAUACUUCUAGAGAUUGGAUUUCUCUCAAAACACACCAAAUGACUCCUCCCACAAUAUUAUGAUGUUCCCCAAGUUUUGGACUCAAUCCGAUAUCGAUUGGUCCUUGAAAUCGGACAAUUGAGGUUCGUACAAAGUUCGUUCUGAAAUCUGGUGGUUCGUGUAUUCUAUUCAUCUGGCUGUCUCUGUUUUUCCACGACCCCGUGACGCAGCGUGGCAAUCGGGGGUAAAGUACCCUUAAACACUCGUCGAAAGCCCGCAAAGGAAUCAAAAUACGAAAAUAACAAAGUUUCCCAAAACUGAAUUUCGCCCUAGCAAACGGCGUCGGAUGCCCGAGGCAACGCAAUGAGUUUUACUCGUGACGCCGUUCUCUUCAAAUCGACUGGUCGUGGGCCUAAUUCUGAGGUCGGAGCCCAGAUAUGCGGUUUACCCGAUACGCGCGUCGCUCCAGCUCCUCUUCAACUGCUUCCGACGUCACCCCGAGGAGCCCGUCUCCAAUUAACUAGGUGCCGGAAAAGAGCGGGACCGACGCACUGCCGGAAUUAUCGGGGGGUUUUUUCGCGCUCAAUUGUCGUUAGGUAGGCCAUAUGGCAUGGCUCAAACGUGGCUUAUAUGCCUUUAGGCGUUGUAAGCUAACGGAUGCGAUCAUACCAACUCACAUGCACCGGAUCCCAUCAGAACUCCGAAGUUAAGCGAGUUUGGGCGAGAGUAGUACUAGGAUGGGUGACCUCCUGGGAAGUCCUCGUGUUGCAUCCCCUCUUUUUGUCUUUGUCACGUUUCAAUUGUCGUGGGCGUUUGCUUUCCGUCGUCUUAUUCAUCUGAGGGCUGCUUACAGGUGUUUUGUGCUUGCUUUCAGAUAAGAUUUUGGCUUAACAUGAAGAGCUUGUGGCAUGGGAGCAGGGUCAGCAUGAGUUGAGCACCAAAAGGGAAAAUAAGGCUUCUUAAGGAGAAGUGUGAGUGUUUAAACUGAGGGAAACCAGAUUUGCAUGGUGAUCUUGGCUGGAAGGAGGUAAAAGAUGAACAUCGCUUCUUCCGGCAGCUUGACAGAUUCUGAAAAUAAUCUAUCAAGCAGAGCAGAAUGAAGAAGAAGAGGUGAACAAGGUUACUGGAUUUUGCUAGUAAGAGAGGAAGCUUGCUCUCUCAGCCUGGGUUGGUUUUUGCUGGGUGGAGGGGACCUCCUUUUAUAGCUGCGGGAAACUAUCCUUUCCCAAGAAACCCUAAUGGUUUCUUCCCAAUCUUGGCAAGUCUUUCCAUCCUUUUUCCUUCUAUUCUCUUGACUUUCCUAUCUGGGUGAGAUUUCCCCUUAUCUAUUUGCACAAAAUCAGGAGUUUUGGAGCUCAAGACCCCUUUUCCCGCGGCUGCUUCAGUAGGAAGCUCCACUCUUGGCUACUUUUCUUCUUCUUUCCCUUCUCCUUCCUGGGCCAGCACAGAUAAGGGAAAACAACUGGGUGUAUAUGCUGGUUUGAAAGGGUACUCCUCUUCCUGACAACUUACAUGCUAAUAUCCCUUGGUCUCUCUAGUGUUUUGUUUUGGGACUUGAUCCAUUCCCAUGUGCUGGCACUUUCCACCAGCUCUGUUCAGUGAACCUGCAGACCUCCUCUACGUGGCUUCUACUUUUCUAAAGGGCUGAGGCUUUUGUGGCUUGUUGUGGAAUUUUGUAUGGGCUAAGAUACUUCAUUAAAUAAGUGGGCUAUUUAAACAUUGGGCUUUUGGUUGGGCUAUCCUUUGACUGGGCUAAUUUUGGUUGGGUUAUUUUGAUUGAGUUAUUUUCCCCUCUUUGCUCACCCAUAUAUUUGGGCCUAAGAAAUGGGCUUGGGUCCCGAGGCUCCCAAGCAACCCGGAACCUCCAUUUCUCGUCCCAUCAAUGGGCCUCAUGACGACUUAUUACCAUCCAUACCACAACCCACUCAAGCAAGCCCCGGGCAUUUUGAGUGGCUUGGGCCCACUUAGGCUUGUAGUGUGUUUGGGUGUGAAACAACGAUUUCAUGCUUGGCAUGGCAUGUCGCUUGGCGUGCUUUAAUUUUUUAUUAUCCUUGACGUUUAAUUUUGGCAUGGGCUCGUAGAGCUAGCAUGGUGAAUUAGCAUGGCGCAUGAAUUUCAAUUCGCAUGUGGCAAGUUUUCGAGUACCUCCUUUUUAUGCCUUUUCUUAAUAAAAUGGCGUUUCGGGCUGGUAAUUUAUUUGGGCCCAAUCAUGAAUUUUUUGGGUCUCAACAUUAGCCCCCUUAAUUAUAAGGGCCAUGGGCAGGUGCGGUAAUGGGCCGAAUAAUUAAAACCCAACCCAAAAAAUCAGAUUUGUAUUUUGGAGAACUUCUCUUCUUCCCGCGUGCAAAAUGACGGCGCGUCAUGAUUGGUCCCAUCAGUUACUUGCGGUUUUCCAAUGCCAACCGCCUUCUGCUCUCUCCUUUAUAUUUUUUUCUUUUUUUCUUUUCUUUUCUUUGCCCUUUCUUUCUCUUUUCUCGUACCAGACCCAAAACUCCUCUCCAACUCUUCUCUCUUCAUUCCCUUUCAUCCUCCCACAAACUCAGACCAAGUGAGAGAGUGAAAUCGGGCAAAAAUCACCUGCUUCCAGCCGCUGGGAAAGAGACCCAAGCGAGCCUCAGCCCCAUCGUUCCGCCUCCGUUCAAAGGGAGGUCGUUUGCUGCCGCUGGAAGGGUUCUUCUUCGUGUGGGUUUCUCUUCCAAAACCCCGAUCCUUCUUCUCUCCUUGAUACGUUCAAGAUCAUCGCUUGGAAAAUCCCACGGGGUACACUUCUCUCUUGUUUUCUCUUAAAUUCGUUGGAGAAUUUGUUGGGUCCCUUAUACCCAUGGGUGUUGCUUUCUGUUCUGGCAGCCAAGGACCAAACCCUCUUUCACCCAUUUCGUUACUAUUGCAACGGGAGUGCUUACGGAGUGGGUAUUUGCAAAAAGGGGCUUGUGCUAUUCUCUGAGUUCCUUCUUUCCUCGUUUUGUCUCCUUUUUCGACUGCUGGAAAAAGGGUAUCGACUGGUGGUACGAGUUUCCCCUUCUUCCUCUUUUUCUUGCCCCUAUUUUGUCUUGACUUCUUCUGUGUUUCAUAAAAAAGACUGCUCUUUACAUAAUGUGCCCCUGUUUUCCAUUCUUUAUUCUGUGCAGGUAUUGACUUAUCUGGCAUAACCGAAGAUAGGUGCUGGAAAUUCUGACCUUUCUGCUACCGGAACCUCGAGUGCCUCAACUCUUUAUUCGGGACUCUAAUAUAUCCCUUUGGUAAACAAAUCUGUCAACUUGGGCAUUUUAGGAUAGAUGUAGACUGAUGCUUGGCCUAGGUUUACUCUUGCUUGCAAAGAGAAAUGAUGACAGAACGCAUGCUUUUACAUUGCCUGCGGAUUUCAUACUUCGAGAGGAGACUUGCUUGAAACUUUUGCUUUUGAACUUUUAAAUUGCAUGUUUGCUUGGAUGAGUUCAACUAAACGGGCUUGAUAUAUAUCUUGCAUAUGCUAAUUUUAUCCCGCGUUCUUUCCACCUUCUCGUGUGCAGGUAUUUACCGUCUUCCCAACGGUUGCCAUGUCAUCCGUUGAUCCGUCACCCAUUAUUAGGGAUCACCUUUAUUCCGUGGAGGACAGAUUACAGAGAGGGAGGCCUCCUCCUUUGCUUAAAGGUGCAGAUGAUGACAUAAUUAUUGACGGAGAGCUAGCGCCAGAAGCGACUCCCGUAAUUGAUCCCGCAUCCAUAUCCAGGUGCUGCAUAGAAAAAGGUCUGUUCCCGGCAGUCCCCUUGUUCUUUCAGUAUCCAUGCAGCAUCAGCAAGGGUUGGUCAGAAUGGGUUGACCAUGAGUUGAGAAAUCCGUCCACUUGUGACGUUCUACGUCGGGCAGGGGUGCUGGAUGCCAUCUUCAUUUCUAAAGCUUGCGACAUCCAUAUUGAAGCCAAGAUGCUCCGGCAUGUGGUCAGGUGAUGGAGCGUUGAGACACACACCUUUAUUUGUUCAUGGGGAGAGUUCACUCCCACACUUGAGGAUGUAGCCAAUAUAUUUCAUCUCCCCCUUUGCGGCAGCGUCGAUCCUUUUCAUAUUGCGCUAACUCCUGAAGAAGAACUAAAGCUUGCGGUCUUACGGAAAGGUGCACCGACUUCUCCCAGCACUUCUCUGAGAUUCAGCAACUGGAUUCAGUUUUUUGGGGAUGGGAACCGAAACAAGCCAUGUCAUCUUGCUGCCUUCAUAUCAUUAUGGCUCGGGAGAUUCCUCUUUUGUGAUUUCUCCCAAGACUGCUUACAUGAGAGGGUGUUUCCAUUGGCCUUGGCGAUAGCACGGGGCAGCAUGCUCCCCCUAGCCCCCAUGUUUUUAGGGCAUGUAUACCGCUUGCUGGACCAGAUCCAAUUUCUUGAGAAAGGGGCGGCAGGAACUAUGGCUGUGGAGACCUUUGUGAAUUCCAGCUUUCUGCAGAUCAUCUUGUGGGAGCGCUUCAAAGGGAUAGAGGUAUCCCCACUUCCUUACCCGAAGGCUAAGUCGCUUGUUGGUUCCAGCGAAGGUUCCUAUGUGCCAGAUAGUCUUCCGUUGGUCUGCAGAUGGUCCCGUCGAAUGCAAAGGAAGGGCCAAAAUUUUCUAGAGUUGCUGGAUGACGUUGAGAAAUUCAACUUUCGCCCUUUCUGUGCCUUAUCAGAGGGAUUUAGCAAUGUACCUCUCUACGCCGAUUCUGAUGCUUUGGUAGAGGCCCUGGCAGUACCGGUGCAAGGUUGUCGACUACGCAGAGAGGCGCUGUUAAGUGCUGCAUGCCUCCCUUUGCCCACACUUGGUGACGACCACUUGGAGAUUUCUGUACAUUAUUCCCCUUAUCGGGUCAGACGGCAGCUUGGAUUUGACCAGGGCGCACCUUCCAGCCCCAGCCAUGGAGAUCCUUCGCUACUACAUAGAGUUUUUUGGACCGAGGACAGGGUGCCGGGAGAUGGCAGACCUCUUGCCCUUGCUUUGGCUAACCGGCAGCGUGUCGGUGGUCUCUCAAAGGCCUACCAAAGUUAUUGGAAUCGCUGCUUUGCCUCGUUUAGCCGAUUUCAUGCUGCUCAUUGUGACAGGUUGAUUCCUACCGUCAUUUACCAUGCUCGCCUGGUGUCGGAAGAGAAGGCCAUCUCCCUAAGUGAGAAGCGAAAUCUGCCCUUCAUUUCAAAAAGCGGAGCAAUUGUUGGUGACUUUUCUAGGCUGAGGCAGAAAUUGGAGAGGCUGGUCUCUCAUAGUGCCGGAAGAAGUACCACUCGCGUGAAGCAAAAACGAGAGGAAAGCAGCAGUGUUGAAAGGAAGAAGCGAGCUGUUAGUGAACCUAAAAAGUUCAUUCCCAAAGUAGCAGCAAGUGGCCCCCCUAGCUCAAAAAAGGGUGCCCUCCCGAAGUCUUCACCACGGCAGCAACUUGCAGCUUCUGGCAGCAGCCAACACACAGUGCCAGAAACUGCCUCUCCCAGCCGUAAGUCCUGCUAUUCCUUUGUUCCUUCUUGCUGUAUGUAUUUUAUCAUCAUUCGUUUUUUUUUUUUUUUUUUUUACUUACUUACAGAGACUUCCCAAAACAAAGGCAAAGGUAGAGAAGCUCCCACAAUCUCGAAGCGCCGAAGUAUGCGUAUUCUCCAAUCGAGAUUCGCCAAUACCCACAAGAACAAGGGUGAAGACUCGGGACCCAAGGUAGUGGUAACAGUUGAUGAUAACGAAAGUGAUAUUGUGGAGCUCGAAACUGCCACCUGCGAGCGAAAGAGCGGCAGCUGCGAGCAAGAGAGCAGCAGCCAAGACGAGGACCUUGGUGAAAAUCAGCACCACAACCGUGGCGAAGGUACAUACACAGGCCCCGCCACCUGUUCAGAAGAGUCAGCUGAUCCAGAUAUUCCUACAGGAUUUGCUAACGAUUAUGCGCAGCGUGUUGAUGUUGAAUUAGUACUGAAUCAUUACUUUGCUUGUUUUAUUUGGUGUAGAUAUGUUGUAUGCUUGCCACUGCAUCUCACAAUUCUUGCCUUGCUACGUUCGUGCAGGUUGUGCCCAUUAUUGAAAAUACUGCAGAUCGUCCACCAGAGGCUAUCCUUGAUUUUCCUGCUGCUCCUAUCGACACCACGCAAGCUACCGACGAGGUAUUUGUCGUCGGUUCAUUCUCCUCCAUGUUCUAGUUUUGCUCUUCCUUUCUUGUGCCUUUAAUUAUUCUGUUUAUUUCCCUUCACGCAUAUUUUUUUUUUUUAGAUUGAGAGUGUCCCACCAGGCGCAGGGGCUACACUUCCUACCCACUCCCUUGGGACACCUAGCACUGCUGCCAUCACCACUCUACACCUUCCAGCAGCGCAGCCGUCUGCUCAUUCUUCCUUAAGAACACCCGACACAGCUACCGACACCUCUUCAUGGCUUCCAGCGGCAUUGCCUCUCACUCCUUCUCGCUUGGGCAUACCUGAUGCGGCUGCUGGCACCUCUUCUCAGCUUCCAGCAGCGUUGCCUCUUGGGAAGACCAUUGAUGACAGCCAUAGAGGUGGCAAUGCUUCCAUCAAUGUGGGACAUUUAUCUGAAAAGGACAUGUCUUGGCAAGACUGGGAAAAUUCGUUUAUGGCCUUCAAAGCUUUCUUCGAUGGCGGGGUCACCAUUCUUAGGUCCAUUGACGAGCUCUUUCCGCUCUGCCACAGAUUCAACGGUUAUGCGACAUUCCAAGGUGCCCUUGUGUAUCCAGAGACGGUUGAGGCCUUGAAGAAGUUCAUGGAUAAAUAUGGGAAUUUGAUGGAAGUUACUGGUGUCACCUCCUCCUUCUCAAGGUGUACUGCCUUCCGAGCGCUCGGCUUAGUGCUUCACGGGAUGGACACCAUGCAGCUACUUGAUAUCACUGAUCACAAACUGCUUUGUUGGCGGGACGCGAUAUGCGAGGCCAUAGUUCUAGGCUUUCAUGUGGAUUUCCUUCUUGACCUUGUGAAGAGCUUAGCACGUGCCGUCUUUGGAGCGCGGGCCAUUCAUAGCAUGAAAUCAUCGCGUGGUUCUGAUGAGGUAACAGCUGCUGCCAUUGCCUUGAAUAUUAAACAGCAGGAACUGGAGGACCAGCGUCGGGAAAUGCACGCCCUUCUUCUCGCCAAGGGUAUUUCUGCUGACAACGCUGAGUGCGUGACAGAGGCAGCAGCUAGAUCGUCUUCUAGAGCCUCUUCUGUUCUUUUCAGGCAUUCUCCAUAGCUUUUAAGGUAAAUAUAUAUAUAAAUUUUUUUUUCAAUUUGUUUAUUCAUCGAUCUUCUCCUUCCAGCAUCACUCGGUCUUGACAUGUUCUCUUCCUUUUUGCAGGUUGUCCUUUCUUGGCUUGGUGCUCCAUCAUCUCAGCGCACACUUUCUCGAGACCAUGGGACAUACCCCUUUCCAGCACGUGCAGUUUUAUUUCAUUUUGCCAUAAUUGUGUAUUUUCCUUCGAUUGUUCCAGCAACCAUGACCUUGUGAUGUAAUAUUGAACCGCUAAAGCUUGUAUUAUUUUCUGGAUGCUUUGAGACACAUUGUAACCCGCAUGCUUUAUAUAUAUUGCUUGAUUAGACGUAAAUUGCCUCUGCGAGUUUGCUUGAGAUUUUCUGACAGGUUGGGUAUCUUUUGAAAACAAGGUAUAUGCUGCCAAAAUUUUGACAGGAGCCGACUUUCUAAAGUUUCCUCUGCAUGGUUUAUCUAGCCUCUAAGCUUGAAUAGCAACUUCUUGCCUUUCACGAAAAGAGUCGGGCUAGCAUGUGCAUGAUUUUAUAAAACUCCCAAAUGUUAUGCGUAUCACGUUGUUCCAGCACCUCAAGAUUGCAUGUGUUUUUUUUUUUUGUAAUAGCUUGACUUCGUCUUCCUUGUAUUAUUCUUUUCUGUUUAGGCAUGGUAAUUGUUGACAAUUUAGGACCCCAUUCAAGUGGCUUUGUUUGGCAUGUUCUACUGCUAAGUGCAUGCCCCUCCUUUUUUUCAAAAUAUUCCUUCAUUCUCAUUGCAAAGCCCCUGCUACCAUGAUGGUGCAUCAUACAAAAGCGUCUUUUCAAAAAAUGAAAGUAAGACAGAAGGAAUUCAUCUUUUUUUUAAAAAAUACGAUAGUAAAAGGUGCUGGGAAUGAAGUUAACUUAGCAGUAGUAAAGCUUGAGCCACUUUCCAUUAAUGAGAUCCGUUAGCGUGCCUUCCUUGACAGAGACCAAGCGAUAAUAGCCGCUGCUGUAAACUUCCUUGACUGCAAACGGGCCUUCCCAUUGUGGGGCAAACUUGGAAGGCCCCGAUAUCUGUCUUCUUACAUGCUCCAUAACUUUUAGCACGAGGUCUCCCUCUUUGAAGGCACGAGGCUUGACUGUCCUGUUAUAGGCUCGAGUUACAGUUUCGUGGUAGAGUGAUGUCCUCCUUUCUGCUUCAGCUCUUUUUUCAUCCAAGGCUUCAAGGUCCAGCAGGCGCCAAUCUGAGCAUGCCACUGCAUUCCACUCGAGAUCAUUAACGGCUGAUACUCUAGCGGUGGGAAUGGUAAUUUCGACAGGCGAUAUAGCGUCGGACCCAUAGACAAGUGAAUAGGGUGAAAAGCCUGUGGCGCUUCUUGGAAAGGUGCGGUAAGCCCAUAAGGCAUCCGGCAGGUGAACACUCCAACCUCCUUCGUACUCAUGCACCAUUUUGCUUAGGAUUCUCAACAAAGUUUUAUUCGUGGCUUCCGCUUAACCAUUUCCUUGUGGGUAAUAGGGCGUGGAGCGUCGAUGCUUGACACCAUAUCCACUAAGCGUAGAACUUACUUGCUUAUUGACAAACGGAGUGCCAUUGUCGGUGACAAUUUUAUACGGGAUCCCAAAUCUGCAUACAAUAUAUUCACGGAUAAAAUUUGCAAUGGCAGCUCCCGUGGCCUUUCGAAGAGGGACUGCCUCAACCCACUUUGUGAAAUACUCAGUGGCUAUGAGGAUCCAUAUGUAGCCGUCGGACGGUGGGUGAAUAGUGCCGAUCAAGUCAAGCCCCCAAGUGUGAAAGGGCCAAGGAGUACGCAUGUCCUGCAGCAGCGUGGGAGGCUUGUGACUCAAAUUGGCAUGAACUUGGCAUGUGUGGCAUUUCUUCACAAAAUUGUAUGCGUCGUUCUUCAUUGUAGGCCAAUAAUACCCAAUACUCAACAGCUGCCGGUAAAGCUACUUCAUUCCUUGAUGCUCACCACAUUCUCCAGCAUGAAUUUCUUGCAUAACUUGCUGUGCCUCUGAUUCUCCUAAGCAUUUUAAUGGCUCACCAUUGAAUCCUUUACGGUAGAGGGUCGACCCAUCUAUGAAAUAUCUUCUCAUUGUCUUUUUGAGCUUGCGAGCAUGCUUAGGAUUGGUUGGGAGGGCUCCAUUGAUGAAGGAUGCCAAGUAUGGAGCCCUCCAAUCCUCUGUAAACGAGAUGGUGAAUGAUUCUUCGGUGGAGGGCAUCGUUGCACACUUGGGACAAUUAGCUUGUGUUUCAGCUGCUUGUUUUCUCAUCUCUGGCCAGUAAUAACCCUUGCGUUGCAAACGUCGAUACAAGCUGAUUAUUGGUUCCAAAUUGCAAGUGGCCUCAUGUACUUCUUGGAGCUUCACUCGUGCCUCUGUUGUCCCUAUGCAGCGGGUCAAAAUACCUCCUGGAAGGCGCCUGUACAGCUCCUCAAAGAUGAUCACAUAAUCUUUUAACUCCUUGAUAUCACUUCCCUUACCUAUUUUUUCUUUUACAGACCUUCUCCAGUCAUUCUCCUCUAGCUGCUCCACUUCAACCAUUACUUCUAUCACUGGCAUAUCCUUCUUGAUCACAGUAAUGCUGGGUUGUCCCUCAACAAAUGAGAGCUUUGACCCCAAAGUAGCCAAUGCGUCAGCGUACCUAUUGGUAACCCCCGGAAUAUGUUCCAACACUACUUGUUUGAAAGACUGAACAAGCCUCUCAGCAACUGUACGAUAUGGCGCCAAUGUUGAUUCCUUCACGGCAAAAUUCCCUUGCAAUUGACUCAGCACCAGAUUCGAGUCUCCGAUAACUUUAAUUUUCUCUACACCCAUUUCCCUUGCUGUGGACAUUCCCAUGAUAAAAGCUUCAUACUCCGCCAUAUUAUUUGUGCAGGGAAAAUUCAGCUUGAAUGAGAGGGCUGUAGCUUGCCCUUCAGGAUUAAUGAGCACUACACCUGCUCCUCCACCCUUCAUUGUGGAGGACCCAUCGAAAUAAAGAGUCCAUGGUUCUGCUUUCGUGACGAUAGCAAUCAUUUCCGGCAGUUCCCCCGGAACUUCCUGAGAGAUAGUUGAUCCUUCGACUUCAGGAAAUAAAGCCAGCAUGUCAAUCACGGCUUGUCCUUUGAUUGCCUUAGGAGUGGUGCAUGUGAUAUCGAAUUCGGACAACUGUAACAACCAACGCGCAAGACGUCCCGAUAAUACCGGCCUCGUGAGCAAAUAUCUUACGGGGUCAGGUUUCACUAUGAGCUGUAACUUGUGAGCAAGGAAGUAAUGUCGCAAGCGCUGUACAGCAUAGACAAGAGCGAGGCACAAGAGUUCCGUCUUCGGGUAUCUUGCUUUAGCUCCUCUUAGUUGCCUGCUCACAUAAUAAAUAGGACUUUCCUCUCCACUGUGAUCAUCUUGAGCAAGCAAGGCCCCUACUGCUGUGUUUGUUGCGGCCAAGUAAAGUUUGAGUGCGAGUCCCGGAAUAGGAGCUCUCAUGGUGGGCAGCUUAGUGAUUAUUUGCUGCACUUGCUCAUAGGCCUCUUGACACUUCCUGCUCCAUUCGUAUGGCUUACCCUUUUUGAGCAAGGGAGUAAAAACACUCAUAGUGGCGGCAAGGCCCGGAAUGAAGCGUCGAAUAUACGAUAAUCUUCCCAUGAAGCUUUUUAAUUCUUUUGAAUUUCUAGGUGGCACAAGAGAAUUUAUGGCUCUAGUUUUCUCGGGAUCCACAUCUAUGCCACGCUGGUGUACUUGGAAUCCCAAGAAUUUACCGGAUGACACUCCGAAUGCGCAUUUCUUUGGAUUCACCUUCAAUCCGUACAGCCGGCAUCUUUCCAGCACCCUCCUCAAAACUUCUUGAUGGCCUUCUCUGGUUUUGGACUUCACCACAAGAUCAUCCACAUAAUCUUCGACUUCUUUCCCCAUCAUAUCGUGAAACACUGCUGUCAUGGCUCUUUGAUAGGUAGCGCCAGCAUUUUUUAGACCAAACGGCAUGACGGUGUAAUAAAAAUUCCCAUAUGGCGUUCGAAAGGCUGUUUUCUCCGCAUCUUUGGGUGACAUUUUGAUCUGAUUGUAGCCACUAAACCCAUCCAUGAAUGACAGCAUGCCUUGACCCGAGGUCGAAUCGAUCAAGAUAUCCAUGUUGGGAAGCGGAAAUUCAUCCUUUGGACAAGCUCGGUUGAGAUCUCGGUAGUCCGUGCAUAUUCUAAUUACUCCGGUCUUCUUUUUCACAGGAACAAUAUUUGCUAUCCACGUUGGAUGCUUGAUUGGCUUGAUGAAUCCAGCAGCUAACAGCUUCUCAAUUUCCACCUUAAUUUGCUUUUCAAUCUCAGGAUGAAAGUUUCUCCUCAGCUGCACAACAGGUUUUGUACCAAGCUCAAUAUUCAAAGUAUGACUUACCAAGCUUGGAUUUAAGCCAGGCAUUUCCUCGUAGCUCCAAGCAAACACAUCCCGAAAUUCCUUCAACAAAGAUACCAAAGCCUCCUUCUCUUCGUUUGUCAAAUGGAUGCUGAUGGAGAUGGGCCUCGGGGCAAAGGAAUCAUCACUUAAAUCAAUUGUCUCCAGCUGCUCAGCUACCGCUGUUGAUCCAUCCUAUAUGUUCUUAGGUGCUGUCAUUGGUUCCUGGAAAGUACAAGGCUGGGGCGCCUGGUCUUCUCGAUUUUCCUGGCUGUUUGCUUGCAUUGCUUCUCCUCCGUACUCGGGGCUUUCCCGUAGAAUACGGUUAAGCCCCCAAUCCCGUCAUAAGCGAUACACGGUGCGCCCAUCUGGCAGCGUCACUUUUGUGCAUUGGGGAUGAUGGUGGACAUGAUUAUUAGUUUCCGGAUGCUUCUUUUUUUCUCGGUCAAUGAUAGCGAUAAGCUCUUCAUUGCUUAAAUCACGAAUCUCAGUCCACGAAGGAAGGUAGAUCCCGAAAUUUUUUGAUCGGUUGCUUCCAGUACCUGUGCACUCAGUAUAAAACUCUGCCUCGGAGUAGUGAGCUUCAUCUUUAUUGAAUGGUGCUUGAUUUCCGGGUAUGCGUACUGGUCUCAGCCCAAUUCUCCCCUUCACACAUUGGUGAUAAGUAGAGACUACAAGCUUAUGCUUGUUGAGCCAAGGCCUUCCAAGCAAAGCAUGGUAAGCCACAUCCACGUCCACAACAUAAAAUUUAGUAAGUGCUCGAAUCGGUCCCACCUUCAGAUUUACUUGCAUAUACCCGACUGUGACUUCACUUUUAUUCCCGAAACCGCUGAUGCUUGUUUGAGAUUGCACGAUCUUAGAUAGCGGAAUGCCAGCUGCUGUAAGCACAGAUAGGGGUAAAAUAUUGACAGAGGAACCUGUGUCUACCAAGGCUCUCCUUAUAAACACAUCGUUGAUCUGCCCCUCCAAAUAAAGCGGCCUCCUGUGGUCCGGGUAAGGAACUUCCAUAUCCUCGUCUGUGAAGAUGAUAGCAUUGUCAUUUCCCAAAAAUGAACUUUGUGGUUGAACAGUGAAGCAAUGAGGGUCAGAUGCCGCAGAGAUGCUCAUGAGAGCUACAACAGCUGCUUCUCUUGCUUGAGGCCCAAAGCCAAGUUGGUCAAAGAGUGACUUGAACUUUGGGUUCCUUUGGAGGGCCUGUGAAGCUGUGGGCCCCUGUUUCAGACUUAGGUAACGUCCCAACAUGCUUGCUUCAGCCUCCGUAACAUUGUGAAAUGUUACGGCAGCUACUUCCUGCUGUCCCAAUGAAGCCCCCGAGUAGCAAUCUUCCGGCAUGUCUUGAACAAACAUCUGAUUACUUGAGUCGUCAUCCCAUCCAUCAGCGAGCGGCCAUGGCGUGUUAUAACUUGAAGGCUUCGAAUAUUUGCACCAGUACGCCUUCUCCAUGUUCCCGCAAGGUUCCCACAUAGCUUCCGGCGGCUUCGGGUCAUUCCUCCAUGGGUGGCACAAUUCAUCAUCAUCGAGUAAAUCCUCGGAAUAUGUAAUGACAGCAGCUACCUCUUUGCCCCUUCGUUUCGGCAAGGGGUCCUCAUCAAUUGUUUGCUUCCUAGAAGGGAGCUCAAGAACUCCUUCAUUUAUUUUAGCAUGUAAAAUCCUUCUUAGACUCUGACAGGCAGUAGUUGGAUGCCCCACAAAUUGAUGAUAACGGCAGUACCUAGGAUCAUUCUUCUCCUCCAUAGUAGGAAUUUUGUAGGGUUUAAGAGGUUUGAUCGCGCCGUCAGCAAUCAUUGUAUCAAGGAUGGCAUGAAACUCUUCAUCCUUACAUGGUAGCGGCGGAUAUGUCUCCCUAUCCUUCCGUUUGCGUGAGUUGUAGUCGUUGGAUGGUUUAUCAUCUAUGGCUAAUGUUUGGUGUGCCUCUUUCCUAUCGCUCCUCCAAGUCUUCGCUGGCUUGACAGACAUGCUCGUCCUUCUUACUGCUUCCAGCAGCCGAGAAAAUUGACUAAUGCCAAUAUUCUCCAAAUAGACUCUGUAAUCUGCCACAAUAUUGCUGAUGCAAAUUUCGACAAGUGCCUCCUCAUCCUUUUCAUCAUAGCAAUCCAACGCCAGGUCCCGGAACCUACGCACAAAGUCCACGGGAUCCUCACCAUGUUUUUGGCGAGUGUUAUUGAGUUGAGUGGUGGUAACCCUUUCUUCAUUCUGAGAAUACUUCUUGCAGAACUUGCUUGCCAAAUCCUCCCAAGAGCGAAUGGAGCCUGGUGCCAACGUCGUAUACCAUGUGUAAGCACGAUCGGUAAGACUCUUCGAAAAUUCUCUAAGUCGGAGAUUAUAAUCUCCAGCAUGUGGCCCUAAAGCAUCGAUGAAGCGGCUGACAUGCUCCUUCGGGCUCCCCUUCCUUCCAUCGAAGAGAACAAAGUUCGGUGCCUCAUAGCCCUUAGGAUAGGGCUGCUGGAGUAAGCUUGAUGGGUAUGGUGGCUGAGGAAGAUACUUCCAAUCCUCCUGACUCCGACUCAGCUCCUUUUCCAGCAUGGCAACGACAUCUUCUUGGGUGACAAAGGAUGGUCCCUUUUGUUCAGACCCCUUUCCGGCAGCAGCAGCAGAUUCCUCUUGCGGGUGUCUCUCAUUUUCUUCGCUUGGCUUAGCAGCACUUUUCAGCCCCUUAAUAGUUUCCGCCAUUUCUCUCUGAGUCUCUCCCAAAGCAUGGAUGGCUGUAACAAGGUCUGCGAGAGUGAAAGCUCCCUCACUUGCACGUUCCUCUCCUCUGGAUGAGGCAUCGUCCCUUGAUUCUGAAUCACCAUGGCUAGGCCCAUCUUGGGAAGUCAUGUUGUUGCUUCUGGUCCUCCUCUUUGGAGGCAUUGGUGAAGAUAGUGGCUUAAUCCCCAGCAGAGUCGCCAAUUUAUGUGGGGGUCUUUUUCUUCCAGCAGCUGUAAAUGGGCUGGGCUGCCAGAAAAGGGAAAUUACUGAAAUUGCCCCCUGUGCUUGAGUUCGAAGAUCAAGCCCCAAAAGCACUUCGAAAGGGCAGCAAAACCUUAGGAAGUGUUCUGGUUACCUUCACCAAUGAAAAUGAGGGCUGCUUACAGGUGUUUUGUGCUUGCUUUCAGAUAAGAUUUUGGCUUAACAUGAAGAGCUUGUGGCAUGGGAGCAGGGUCAGCAUGAGUUGAGCACCAAAGGGGAAAAUAAGGCUUCUUAAGGAGAAGUGUGAGUGUUUAAACUGAGGGAAACCAGAUUUGCAUGGUGAUCUUGGCUGGAAGGAGGUAAAAGAUGAACAUCGCUUCUUCCGGCAGCUUGACAGAUUCUGAAAAUAAUCUAUCAAGCAGAGCAGAAUGAAGAAGAAGAGGUGAACAAGGUUACUGGAUUUUGCUAGUAAGAGAGGAAGCUUGCUCUCUCAGCCUGGGUUGGUUUUUGCUGGGUGGAGGGGACCUCCUUUUAUAGCUGCGGGAAACUAUCCUUUCCCAAGAAACCCUAAUGGUUUCUUCCCAAUCUUGGCAAGUCUUUCCAUCCUUUUUCCUUCUCUUCUCUUGACUUUCCUAUCUGGGUGAGAUUUCCCCUUAUCUAUUUGCACAAAAUCAGGAGUUUUGGAGCUCAAGACCCCUUUUCCCGCGGCUGCUUCAGUAGGAAGCUCCACUCUUGGCUACUUUUCUUCUUCUUUCCCUUCUCCUUCCUGGGCCAGCACAGAUAAGGGAAAACAACUGGGUGUAUAUGCUGGUUUGAAAGGGUACUCCUCUUCCUGACAACUUACAUGCUAAUAUCCCUUGGUCUCUCUAGUGUUUUGUUUUGGGACUUGAUCCAUUCCCAUGUGCUGGCACUUUCCACCAGCUCUGUUCAGUGAACCUGUAGACCUCCUCGACGUGGCUUCUACUUUUCUAAAGGGCUGAGGCUUUUGUGGCUUGUUGUGGAAUUUUGUAUGGGCUAAGGUAUUUCAUUAAAUAAGUGGGCUAUUUAAACAUUGGGCUUUUGGUUGGGCUAUCCUUUGACUGGGCUAAUUUUGGUUGGGUUAUUUUGAUUGAGUUAUUUUCCCCUCUUUGCUCACCCAUAUAUUUGGGCCUAAGAAAUGGGCUUGGGUCCCGAGGCUCCCAAGCAACCCGGAACCUCCAUUUCUCGUCCCAUCAAUGGGCCUCAUGACGACUUAUUACCAUCCAUACCACAACCCACUCAAGCAAGCCCCGGGCAUUUUGAGUGGCUUGGGCCCACUUAGGCUUGUAGUGUGUUUGGGUGUGAAACAACGAUUUCAUGCUUGGCAUGGCAUGUCGCUUGGCGUGCUUUAAUUUUUUAUUAUCCUUGACGUUUAAUUUUGGCAUGGGCUCGUAGAGCUAGCAUGGUGAAUUAGCAUGGCGCAUGAAUUUCAAUUCGCAUGUGGCAAGUUUUCGAGUACCUCCUUUUUAUGCCUUUUCUUAAUAAAAUGGCGUUUCGGGCUGGUAAUUUAUUUGGGCCCAAUCAUGAAUUUUUUGGGUCUCAACACUGAGUGACCGAAAUUGGCGAGUCCAUGAUACACCAAUCAAUGGCCGAUUUCUGAAGAAAUAUUACCCUACGGCUUGGGAGAUAAUGGAGAAGUAAUCUACCAGAACAUUUGGGUUUGGUAAGGUUAGGUUUUUACAUGAAUAAGAUAUUUGAAGUAAAGUAAAAAAGAAUAACCAGAGCAACAUCGUAUAUAUAGAUAUGUCAAAUAAGUUCUCUACAAAAUAGGCCAAGUAAUGGCCAAAACAUUCAUCAAAAUAGACAAAAGCUAGCUCCAUCAUAUAUGAUGACAACAAAAGGUAAGUCUAGCUGGAUAUAAAAAAGGCCAACUAAUGGCCUAAUACAUAUCUAAACAUCAGGAAACAGGCUACGAAGAGUAGUCUUGAAGCUCUCACAUGCGCUCUCUCCAGCAGAUAAGGCAGAUAUGAUGGGUAGCUUCCUCGCCUCAAAUGACUUCACUACAACUGAGUCCUGGAGAAGCUGAGCCUCAAGAGGCCCAUAACUCCGAAUAUCCUUGGAGACCUCGAUGAGAAUGGCAGCCUUCCUUUCCUGAAGUUGCCUGAUCUGCUCAUCAAUACUCUAAACCUCGUGCCUCUUCUUACGGUCAAGCUCGACCUUUUGCCUAAUAAUGACACUUGUCGAAGCAAUCUGCUGCUUUAAGGCCUCACCUACCCUUAGCUCCUCUCGAAGGGAAGGAUGGCAGGGAAUCAAUCUCGCCACCUCUCCAAAGAGAUGCAUGAUCAUACGUAUCGUAGUCUGGUCAGGAAAGAAGCUGGAGUUCACCAAUGACUCAAUAGCAGCUUUGACCUUGUCUCUCUCAUCCUGGUCGGCCAAGGAUAUGCAAUCUCGAUCUCUGUAGGACCGAAGCAGGGCCUCAGCUGCAGGAUCUGGAAGUACCACAGCCACAGUUAAAGAAGUGGCAUGACGAGUGGAAGCCUCCGCAGUAGUGGCAGAAGCAUCCCACUGAUCGAGAUAAGCAAAGAUGUCGCCAGGGGCCUGCCAAUUAGAUUAUAUGAAUAUCAGAAUUUCCAAAUUAUGGAAAAAUGAAUCAAAUGGAUUGGCAAGUGUGCUUACAUGGUCCAGAAGCGACUGAAUAAGGUCAUCUUGGUUUGUCGAUGAUGGUUGCUCGCUGCCACUCUCAACCAAAGCUCUAGCUGUAAAUGCCCGAACGGAAGAAAGAUCGGGCAUAAUAGGUUCUCCAACCUAGCAUGGGAUCAGAUGGGUUAGGAUAAUAUUUAAACAUUGAAAAGAAAGAUGUCAAGACAUCCCUCAUGUUGCUGAUCUGUCAGAAUAGGUGUGGACACAUCCGAUGACGGUUGAGGGAUCCGUGAUACAGGCUCAUCGCUCAAUGUGACUGGGAUGGCCGGAAGUACACCAUUGACAUUGGCCGUCUGAUUGGCCGAAGUGGUCUGAUGAUCCACAACAUUCACCAAAGUGAGAAAAUAUAAAUUUUUGAAAAACUUUGAAAAAUGUAAAAAUAAUGAAGUAUGUGAGAUUACCUGAAGAAUUUGAACAUCUGUGGAAUGGUCGGUCGGGUCUGGGGAUCUGAGGACUGAUCUGGUAAAAUUUGAACUUCCUCUCUAACUGUCGUAGGGUUAACCGGGGUGGUCUCGAGACUAAGAGAAACCACCCAAAAUGGUCAAAGUUUUAAUAAUAGGACUGGGGGCAGGUUAUCGUAUAUAAAAAUUGGAUGUAAUUGAGAUUCCAAGAUUACCUGAUGAUCUGGAAUGUGAGACGGGUCAUCAAUGACUCCGCGAUCAACCUCGCGACUUCCUGAUGGCUGGGUGACUUGUUGAGGCUCGGCCAUGACGACGUCUGGGUUGGUGGAAGGGUUGACACCGAUAACCUCCGUCUGAAGUUGCCAAACAAAAUUUAAAUAAAUAUAAAUAUAAAAAAUCUAAGUAUGGAAAUUAGACCGAGAUGGGCCAAAGAAGCUUACCUCAACUUCAGCCUCAGAAGUAGCGGUCUGUCCACCAACUUCAGUCUCAAAUAUGGGAUUUCGAAAUUCCUACAUUUAAACCACAAGUUAUAAAUAAAUAAAUAAAUAAUAAAUAAUAAUAAAUAAAACUAGGAAUAAAGUUGGAAAUGUAAUGAAAAUGAAACUUACCGAAAUGGUCGAAGAAGAAACGGCUGAGUGAGUGGGAUUGGGUUGCUCUACUAUCCUACUCGAGCCUAUAAGGCCAAAGUCUUAUUAUUAUUCCAAAAAAAAAAAUACGAUCAUACCUGGGGACAUUGGGUUCCUAGAGAUCUUUCUCGGUCGAGCAAGGAUGAUGUCAUCGGCUGGUGGAAUCUCAACAACGUAGCCGGAGGAGUUCUAAUCCUCCCCAAAAUCUGGAAGAAAGCAUCAGAAAUGUUAGCUUCUAAAAAAUCCAAGAUUAAAUAGGAAAUGGCCAAAAGUCCAACAAAAGUUGGCUUACCUUGGGUGGAAGGAAGUGGCCUCUCCUCACCUUGACUAUGACUAGAGUCGGCACUCGCCUCUUUUGUGGCUGCAAGAGGUGAAGAUAUUGGUAGACUAAUAAGACUAGCAUAUAAAAUAUAAAGUGAUGACUAAAAGUUUACCUUGCUUAAAAUUGUAAUAAGUAGAAGAGCAAGCGCAACCCCAGAAGAUCCUCUUCAUAUAGACCUCAGAAGGUUGGGAAAACCAAGUGGCUGAUAUUUCCCCCCACCAAGCCUUGAAGGAUUUGGUGAAGCCAAAUUCAGGGUCGCUGGUCUGGAAGUUAAAGCUCAUGAUUAAAGUUCACCACGGAAUUCACCUCGCUUGCUUUAUUAAAAGAUACUCUCUAUGAGGAAAAAUAAUUGUGGGAGUCAACCAUGAGAGAUGGAAUACCCUGAAUAAAACCCGUCUGACGACCAACGGCAACAAGAUAGUAAACCUCACAACCGCAAGGAUAAUGGUUCGCUUUGUUCAAUGCAAGGCCAUAAGGAAGAUCUUGACUGAUUAAGAUACUUGCCCAAAGUUCUCACCGUUCUUCCUUGGUCUCCAGUGUGGGGAUGCUGGCAAGGUCCAAAGCCAAAUAACCUGGGUAACGAUGAUCUAAGCACAUGGAUAAGUCACUAGGUGACCUCUGUGAACAUCCAUAGAAAAAUCUGAAGCAGUCCUCAACAUGGUGUUUAGGCAACGGGAGGCUAGCAAUCGAUUUUCCUAGAAGUGAGUCACCCCGAAAUGUGACGUUGGCUAGACCCAACUCCGGGAAGUAAACUUGGGGCCACAGUUGAAAAAGCCAAAUCGGGCCUAAAGGGUUGCAUGACAUGGGUUUGGGCAAAACAACCAAGGCCACUGCUUGGCCAUCUGCAAGAGCCUCAGCCAAAGGUUGGACUUCUUUGGUGACUUGGCUAGAUUUUGAGCAAGUCAAGAAUUUGCAUAGUCACAUCUGAAGAAAGGCUAUGUGCUUCAUGUAAGACACACCAUUUGUGGAACCUAUCGGAGCCCCAAAAGAUGACCCGAUGUAGCCAAAGUGGGUUUUGAUCCAGUUGGUGAAAUUCUUGUUGGGCUUGUCGUAGUCCGGCUUCAAAAGGGGUUCUGGAAGGUCGGCCGCUGAAUAAACCACACCAUGUGGACGGAGGCCAACAAUAGCAGCCAGAUCAAGUAGAGCAGGGGUCAUCAUCCCACAAUGUAACCUCAUGCAGUUAACGGAGGAUGACCAAAAACAUAGGCCUGCGAUGAUGAGUGAACAAUCACAAGGAAAGUCCCCGGAGGUGCAAAGAGCCAAGACAUCAUAGAUCACACUUUUUUGCCAAGAAGUCUUUAGUCUUGGUUCCAAAGCUUUGUACCAAUCAUACCAAUUUUUCUUAGGAUCAACAUCGGCCACUGGGUUGGGUUUCUUGGCUUUGGACUUCUUCUUAGCCACACAAUCAACCUCAGAAGUUUUGCAUGGCCAACCUUUAAAAGGUCGAAGAGCUUCCCAUGUUGAUUUCCAAUCAAACUCCAUGGUGAAAGGCGGAGGAUCAUCACUUUGCUUGGCCCAAAUCUUCACCACUUCAUCUGGAGGUUGAAGUGGGUACAAAGGGCAAAGGACGUAUCUUGGGACAUCACCUUGUAAUUUGAUGGCGUAGCUUCCUCGGGUUGUUGUUCACUUUCAGCCAUGGCCUUUUUCAACUUGGCCAAGUGAGAGAUGAUGGACUUCAACUCUGGAUCCAUCCUACAAAACAAAUAUUAUUUGAAUCAAGAAAACUAUAGUGGCAAAAAGCGGAAAUUUGCCAAGAACAUGAAGAACAUUCAAACUUUCAAAAGUUUAAAAAAUGAGCUUCCAAUGGCCACCAUUCAUCAAAAUCACAAUAAUAUCAACCGGAAAAGAGUUCAACAUACUUGAAAACUCACAAAAUAAUGGACUUUGUGGUGAUUUGAAUGGCUCUUUGGCCUAUCAAAUGGCGAAUCUUGGAAGCAAAGUUUAGGUUUGGUGGGAGAAAGUUUUCUAAGAACAAUGGCAAUGGAGUUUUGAGUAUGGAGAAAUGUUUGGUGCCAAAUUGGUAUUUAUAAUGCCUAGGUUUUCUAACGGAUAUGAAGUUCAAAGUCUCUCAAGAGUUGAUUAGAGUAUCUUCUUAAACAUCAAUUUAACUCAAGAGUUGCUAUAAUGAAGCAUGAAGUUGAAACAUUUGGAGAAAACUAAAAGUCGUGAGAAUUUUGAUUCACUUAUCCUUUCACCAAUUGAAGGCCAAGGAAUCAAGGGGGCAAUGUUUGGAUGUGGUCACCAAAUUCAAACUAAGUCAAGUGGAAACCUAAAGGCCUAGCCAAAACAAAGAUAUUGUUAUUUAUAAUAGCAAUAGUCAAAUAAUGAAUAAAUUGAAUGGCAAGAUCUACAAUAGCAGCUAGAAUGGUGAAGGAAAAAUUGAUUACCUGAGUUGAGCUUUUAGCAAGAUGAUUUCUGAGUUUCCAGAAAUAAACAGUUGGCUGGAAGGUUGUUGAGUUUCCAGAAAUGAACAGUUAGCUGGAAUUUUAGAAUUAUGGGCGUAGGAAUAGACCAUAAAGAUCUUUUGAAAUGCAAGGCCAAGGUUGGCCCACGUCCUUUGGUUGAAAAGUUGGCUACUGAAUGCCAACUUUAUGCAGAUCAUUGUUGGUCUAUAGCUAUUGUACAAUUCAUAUAUAUAUAUAUAUAUAUAUAUAUUAUAUUGUAUUAUAAACAGUAUAUGGUUUUGAUCCCACACGAUGGCAUGAUAUGGUUUAUGUAUACUGCUGACCCGAAAAGUUAUAUAUAUUAUAUUAUAUAUAUAUAAUAUUAGUAUAAACCAAAAAGAAGGUUUUGAACCCAUCUGAAGGAUUGGUUUUGUUUUAAUGAUGAUUGUGAAGAUGGCCAAGUAGUUCGCUGGCUGGAUCGAAGUCAAGGCCGUGGCUUUUCAUGUCAGUGAGUUGGCUGGAGAAUGGAAGUCUUGGCUGACGAGAUGGUUUGGACAUGAGAGAACCCAUGUGGGUUUACCUUGGUAUUCUCAAACUUGGUUCAAAUUGGCAUGGGUAUUAAAAAGCUGUGAGCAAUAUAUAUGUUGCAUAUCAUACUUUGUAUAUGUAUGUGAUAAUAUAGUAAAUUGAAGGCCUAUGGCUCGAGAGGUUGGGGACAAAAAUGGAAGGCCAACUAAGUGGCCUACAAACUCCCUUUCUCUACCUAAAUAUAUUUAUAUAUGACAAUAUUGGCAUCUUAACAUAUAAUUAUUUUUUCAUAUAUAUAUAUAUAUUAAAAAUUAAGAAGUCAUGUAGACCUUAGCCAAGUUUCUUUGAUGGACUUAUUGGAAUUUCAAGUCAUCCAACAUCAGUGGAUUGUUUCCAACCAAGAUUAAAACUCUGGAACUUGCAACAUCUCAUCAGAGGUCAAGCCCAAGUCCUCGGAAGUCCAAGCCCAACUCACAGAAGCAGAUCCAACACUUUUAAAUGUUUUCAUUCACGUGAUGAGACCCAUCCAAGGAAAGCAAUCAAAGAGAAUAAUGUAAAUCCGGAACAUUCCCAAGAAGGAGAGAAUCAAGUGAUCAGAUUUGCAAUAUAAUGAUCUCAUUCAAAUCAAUUCCGCGAAUUUAGGAAGCCACACAAGGAAAGAUUUUGAACCAAGUUGACCUUCGGCCAUUUAAUGGCCAGCCCGUGGGCUGACGAAUGCCCCUAUAUAAACUACAUCAGACAAAGAGCAAAGGACCCCCGACAUUAGACACAAAAACUACUUUUUGUCUUUCAAUUUUCUAUCCCUAGACUAGGUUUUUGUUUUCCAAGCAAGUAGACUAGAUCAGUUCUUCACUUUCGUUAGUGUAAGUUUAAUUUCUUGUAUUUUCCAUUACGUUGUUUUAAGAUUCAAUUUUAUCGCUUUAUUGUUAAUUGUUAUCGAAUUUGCUUUAAGCUUAAUUUAAUUUCAAAUUGCUUUAUUUUAUUGCCUUUAUCAUUUAUAUCCUUUUUUUUUCUUCGCUUAAUUUAUCUAUCGCUUUGAUUUACUUUGUCGCACUUCAAUUCUCGUCUUUAAGUUUGAUCGCAUAUUUUAAUUUAAUUUGCAUCGUUAUCAUUAAAAGUCUCAAAAAUACUAAAAUAUCUAUACGAAACCUAACCAUCCUUGACCCCGAGGAAGUGAAAGAACCUAGGCCAAGAGGAGGUUCCUUGCUUGGUUGAUCAAUCCUCUAGUUAGAAGUCAGAAGUGCAAACACAACAAUCCAACCUUUUCCAUUCAAGCUAGUCAGUGGCUUGGUGGUGGCACGCCUACGCAAUCUAAAAGAAGAAGGACCAAAAACUUCUUCAAUCGACCUACCCGGCCGAAAAGAGAGAAACACCAUGUCAAUUGCUUUAGUAUAAGAUUAGUGGUUGGUUCUAAAGAAUCUUACAAAGUCUUCUCUUUCACUGUGGAAUUAACCAAGUCAAGUCCUUCAAAGUUGCAUAAAUUCAGCUCCCAAGGUCAUCACCAAUGCGUGUGCUUUGCAAGUUGUAUAUAUGAUUAUACUGCAAUUCCAUUCAUUGUAAAGACAAGUAUUCAUAAAUACAUUAUUAAAUUUCCACCUAAGCUCUUACCAAAUUAUUAGAUUUCCAUCUAAGAGGGGUGGCUGCAAGAGAGCAAAAACUAAGUAUCGAAGGCACCGAUACGGUAUCAACAGAAGACCCUCCAACACUUAAAAGAGUUGUUUUGUAGGUCUCAGCCUCAAUAUUAAUAAAUGUUGUAGCAUGGUAGAUGGACCUGAUAAACGGGUCAUGCUAACAGGUUUCGGGUCAUGUUUGUGUCAACCCGUUAACUUGAAGUGUUAACACGACACGACUCGUUAAGUUAACGGGUGACAAAUACUAGACCCAAAUACGAACCGUUACAAUUCGCGAAUAUCCGACACGACCCGUUAAGAAUAAACCCGGAAAAUAAAAACCAACAACUAUCACCGAGCUUAGCCAUCAACCCCUUCUCUCUGCCGUCUCCCCCAAAUAUUCAUCUCAUAAACACCAUAAACACUCCUCAAAACCCCAACCCACAUUGAUAGACAGUGAAGACUUCUUCACUGGUUCUCAACUUUUACAUUUAAAGAAAAGAAAUUUGGAUUCUAAAAAGACAUAGCGAGAAGAGAGAAUGAAAUAAAUAUAAAUAAAGAAGAUGAAAACUUGGGAAAUAGCAAGAAAAAGAAAACCGUGCCAUGAAAGAAGAAGAAAAGAAGAAGAGGAAAAAGAGAGAGAGAGAGAGAGAGAAUAAUAAAAAAAUAAAGUGAAGACAAGAGAGAUUAGGUGAGAGAAAGAAGAAUAAUAAAAAACAGAGUGAGUUAGGUGGGUGUUUUGUUUUUUUAAUAUGAAUUGUGAUACAAAAUUACAAAACUACCUUUCUUAACGGGUGGAUCCGACACGAUCCGUUAACUUAACGGAUGGUUGAUGGGUUCACUCGUUUUCAACCCAACCCAGUAAGCUCAACCCAAAUGUUGAUAAUUUCGUACAAAUUCGUGUCGUGUUAAUAGAUCAUGUGCAAUAUUAUCAGGUUUAAUGGUAGAGGUGUCAUGUCCCUUUGCACAUGAUACUCACAUGGUUUCAUGUAGGAUUUUCAUUCGUUUUAUUAAUUAUGGAAGUAAGAAUGGGUCCUCGAAUUGCAACCAAUUAGCACACACGCAUAUUUUGACAUUAUGAAGAUGCAAGUGAAACGAUAAUUGCAUCAUCUUAGGUUUUUUUAUUUAUUUUUUAAAUCUUUUUUUUUUUUUUUUAAGGAAAAGAACACAACCAUCGUUUGAAAUCUUGUCGGUAAAGACAAAUAAACAAUGCAAGAAGGUUUGAAGAUGUCAAAAGAUUCUCGAAUAUCACCAAGAAAAGAACAAGAAAAACGGACAGUCGCACUUGCAUGGAUUAAACUUGACUAAUUAUUAAUUAAAUUAAACACAAGCAACACUCAUUUUCAUAGAAGCUGAAACGGAAAGUUGCACUUGCAUGGUUAAAAUAGGACACUAAAUAUUGUCUGAAUUGACGGGACUAAAAUUUUCCGAUUUAAGAUCUAUAUACGAUUAUCAUGUAUUUAAUAAGUGAGAUUUUACUUCAUCAAAAGAAAAAAUAGUGAGAUUUUAAUUAGUGCCAUAAAACAUUAGUUUUCUUCUGGAUCAUGCAUAUUUUGGAUCUGUGAGAUAACAGCCUUCACAAACAAAACAUCGGUAUCGCAUUAAGACAACUAAAUAUUAACAAUACAGAAUUUUAGAGACAUUAUCUUCCCUAGUCCAUGCAACAAACUGUGCAGUACUUGUGUUUCUGUCCACAAAUCACCUAUAAAAGUUCAAUGUAACUCCAUCCCAACUAGAAGGUUUUGUCCGAAAUGAAUUACAUUGUCAGCAGGGCUUAGUAACGGUACUUGGUGGAGUAAUCCUUGGGAGCAAUGACGAGACCGCGUCCCUUCCUUGCCCCACGGUACACUGUCUCAACAAUGUCAAUGAACUCUUGCUUGUCCUUGAGAGCCCAGUUGAUCUUGUUGUUGUUCCCAGUACCAAGGUCAAUCAUAAUAUGUUUGUUUCUGAAAAAGAACAUGACAGUCGAUGGGUCAUAGAGCUCAUACAUUGUGUUGAAAUCAGGAACCUCCGUGAUAUCAACAAGGUAAAUCACAGCAAAGUUUUUGAGUGUCUCAGCAACUGCAGCUAGCACUUCAUCCAUCUAUAUAAACAGGACAAGAUAACAAACCAGAAAUUAACCAGUAGCAUUCAAAAUCAGGGUUAACAAACAAAGUCAAUUUAUAUGGAAACAGUUCCUAAAUGAAAAAUGAAAUAAGGAUAAGAGGCAUAUACAUUAUCAAAAUUUAAGGUGAUUAUAAAUCGUACUAUUCUGCAUGGCCAUGAUGGCCCAUCAAACUUCUAAGCACCACAAUGAACAGGGAUAAAAGAACAGCGCUUCUCUCUCCCUCCAGAGUCUAGGCUUUGCUUCAAACGAAGAAUGUAUUGUUGUGCUCAGAAAUCAGCAUAUAUUAUAUAUUAAAAAUAAACGUUAUUCCCCAUCCAACAGGCCCUAAAAAUAGAGAGAAACGAAAGCAAACAAGUUCAUGCUUGAGUCAGUAUAAUGAUCAAUUUUGAGUUCUACCUCCAAACCUUUCCAAGAUAUAAGAUUUAUGAAAUAACUUAAUACUUAAGCUUGCUUGGGAGUCAGUUUGGAGACUUUCAAAAUUUGAUGUUAGAGUGGAAGUUAAAGACUGCUUCUUGCUUAAUAAAAUUAACCCAAAUUAGUCUAUGCAACUUUUUUCUUUCUUUUAACUAAUCUCCCUUAAAUAAGUUCCAACUUCGAACUUCCUGGUAAAUUAAAAGGUGCAAAACUUCACAUGAACUACCUCAAUUUGCAAGCAUAGAGCAAAGGAAGAUUUAUACAAAGUCUUCAAGUCAUACAAUAUGCAUAUAUGUAUAAAUGAAUGGAAUAAACAAAGUGAGCGACAUAUUUGCUAAAGAAUAAUAACUCGUUUGUUGUAUGUCUCUGUUCAAAGUUAGGACUCUUCUAAAUAAGUCAAUGAAUUAAUCAUAAAAAAGACAAAUGAGCAAUUGGGGGUUUAGGGGGUUAAUGAAAGUUGCAAGGGGGAGUUGGAACCUACCUGCAUACAGGUCUCAUCCCAGUCGUGGCCGAAACGAAUGAUGACAAGACGCUCCUCCUCAGCGAGGAUGGCCUGAUCCACGGCCCAUCCAGAGUGGAGGUGAGGCAGUAGAUACGACAUUGGUUUUUGUUAACCCUCUCUUCUCUCCCAACAGUCCACGAGUCCCAACCUCUCUAGCGUUUAAACUCUAGCACAACGAUCUGCAAUGCAAUUUGAAAAAGUUAAAAUGAUGACAGCCACUCAAAAAUGUUCAAAAUAUGUUCCAUCAAUUUGACGAAAUUAAAGAUGUACGCUUGACUUGGGACAAAUUAUGUAUCCUUAAAUUGUAAAAAAUGUAACUAUAUGGGAAUAUAGAACUUGGCUCAAACUGCAUAGACCCAAACUCGAACUGAGAACUGGCUAUCUUAGCAAAUAGAAACUUUUGCCUUCAUAAAUCCCUACAUGAAGAUUCUUGCCUAAUCUUUUGUUUAAUUAUAUUUGUAGCUGGAAUUCGAAAGCUUACCCACUGGAGGGAGGCUGGAGCUAAACAACACCAGGGUAAUUCAAAAUGCAAAAAGAAUAAUUUCAAUCAAUCAUCAUCAGGCAAUCUUUGUUCAAUGAUUUUUUUUUCCCUUCUUUUUAAUUUUUGUGGUAAUUUAACCGGGAAUAAUCCUCUGUUUGGUUGCUGAGAAACGUGUAUCGAUUGCACAGCUUUAGAGGAAAUUUCCAAUAAUAUUUGCAGGAAUCGGGAAAAUUCAACAUAAAUCAAACAGCAGAUCCAGAAAGAUUGAGAGGAGAAAAAUCGCAUGAUAUGCAAAUUAAAGCAAAAAGAAAAAGAAAAUAGAAGACAAAAUAAAGAAUAAGGGUGUUGAUGCUCAAAACCUGAUGGAUAACGCGUAGGGGAGGAGCUCCUAGAGAAUAGAGUGUGGAGAGAAGACACCUUGAAGAACUUGGCUUAUGGGUUUGCCAAGCCAAUCUUGAUCCCCUUUUGCCUACUUGGUGGAUUGCAACAGGCUAGAGGACGGGGCGGUUUUUUUAUAUUUAGUUUUGGGGCAUUUUCGAUUGAAUUCGAGUAAUUCUGUGGUGUCACGGCUGUACCGGUAUAGCCGAUCACAUGUGUGGCACGUGCGUUUUUUUAAAAACAUGUGAAAUCUUAGCAGCAGAUCAACAGGUUAAACGAUUUCACGUGCGCAUUACUGUCGAUGUCAUCUUCUUCCCUAAACUCUGGUUGAAGUUCAAACUGAUUUCUUCAUGGUCUUCAAAGUCAUCUUCUUCAACUCCUUUUCGUGGUCUUCAAAGUCAUCCUCUUCGUGGUCUUCCUCCUCUUUGCAACAUCUGGUUGAAGUUCAAACUGAUUUCUUCGUGGUCUUCAAAGUCAUCUUCUUCAACUCCUCUUCGUGGUCUUCAGAGUCAUCCUCUUCGUGGUCGUCCUCAUGUCUGCAACAUCUCUAUCUUCUUUGUCAUCAUUGUCAAAAACCUCAUAUUUUAGAGUUUGAAUUUUGAUGAUAAUUUUAGGGUUUAGCAUUUUGGGUUGAUCAUAGGAAUUGGAAUUGAGUUUUUCCAGUCAGUGGUGGGUUGUUGGCGCUCCUCUCAUCUGCAAUCGAGCCCUUGUGAAAGUAUUUGGUAUUUGCUCCUUGUGAAAGUAAGUUAACACUAUAUUUUAUGUUAUUGUUAAUUGAAAUUCUGUGGUGAUAAUUUGGGGCAAGAGGGGAAGUAGGUUUCUAACAUUCAUGCGAUGAAGUGGGUUUCUCAUUCUCAAAGUGUGGUGAGGUGAUUUGGGUAUGUCACAUUCAUGGUUGUAAUGUUGCAAUUGCAUAUGUCUAGAUGCAAUUAUAAUCGCUUGUAUGCAAACCCAAGUCACUGAAUGCAAUUACAUUAUAUAGUUUUGUUUUCAAAAUAUGCAAGUGAGGUGAUUUCGUGGUAGGUAGGUAGGUUUGACUGUGUUUUUGAAUAUUUUGUUAUGGAGAGUAAAGUGUUCCGAAAGUGUAAUGUUAGGAUUGGUUAAGAUUUGUUUUGGGAUUUGAAAUGAUUGAGAACCGACCCAAUAGAGAAAUGCAUGGGUAGGUUGUGUGCAUUAUCUGUGCAAUGUUAUAAUCGAGGGCUGAUGCACUUACAAGUAGUGUCGUGCAAUUGCAUAUCAGUAUAUGCAAUUACUAAGCGACUGUGUGUAAAUCCAGGUGCCUGUAUUUUUUUAAUUAAGCAAUGUGAUAUUGUGGUGUUUACGGGGUUUCGGGGGUUUAGGGUGUAUUAGGCUUUGGAUUAGUAUUCAAAUUCUCGACACAAGAGACAAUUGCAUAUAGUGUUGUGUACUUGGUUUGUGCAGGUUAUGGAAGCUCAAAAAAGGGGAUCAGUAAAAGGAAAGCGCAAGGCCGAGAGUAAUGUGCAACAAUCAAGAGUUGGCCGAGAUGCAUUGUUUAAUUUCAUGUAAGUUACACGUACAUCUAAAAAUUGGAAAUGUGGUUGCUUAAUAUUAUGAUGGUUUUUUGAUUAAAAAUAAAUGAUUUACAGGAAAAAAGAAUGACAUGAAAUGGGAAAAGUGGCCAAUGCAAAGUUGGACAGUAAGGUGAGAGAUGACAAUGGAUUGGGUCAGUUUAUUAAUUAUUUUAUUAAAAAUGCUCUUUUAAUGAGAAUUUAUUUUUUCAGGUACAAGAAGAGAUUGUUAAUAAGUGGAGGAAAUUGAAACCUAAAGAGAAGACAACAUAUGGUUCUGCCUUGGAAGGCUCGAGUGGGCAAGUAAACGACUUAGUGAAUGAGAUGGGUUUUAUCACUAGAUGCAGCCCGGACCGAUUCCAUUGUACGGUGGAAAAUUGUGGAAUGAGAAGCGGUUAGCAAUUAAUGCUAUUGGGUUCAGUAACGUGUCAUCUUUGUCCUGCACUCAUUUACACCGCCAAUUAUGCCAAUUUUUGAUUUAAAGUUGUAACGAAGAAGUUGCGAUCAAAAGAAGUUCAGUGGCAAAAUCGUAAAUUUUUCAAAGUUCAGAAUUUUUAAACCCAGAUUUCUUCUCUCUCUCACUAAUUUGACGAGCAACAGUUUUCAAACUCUGAUUUCUCCUUCAUCUAGCCACCAAUUUCCAAUGCCACAACUUGCAAACUCUUCGUAUCUCUCUCCUCUUUCCAUAUAUAUCCAUAUCCAGCCUUGAUUCCAAGCGAAUCAACCAGAAAAUCGAGCCAAAGUUGAGCCCAAAAAGAGGCAGUUUCGAAACUAGAAUUUUUAGUGUACACCGACGCCAUAUCCGGCCAAUUCCGGCAGCCACAACUCAGGUAAUUACACCCAAACUACUCUCCUACCUUCCCUUUGUGUUAUCCCUUGAAAACCUGAGGUGAAUCCAUACCAAUUUCUUUGAUUUCGAAACUAAAAUUUUCUAGGUUUUUAUGAGACAGGAAGCUUCAUUCGAGGGCUUUAAAGGUAGAAUUGAUCGUCGAGCCAAGGUAUAAAGUUACUCCCCCUUAUGUGCUUAAUCCGUAGGUAUGAUUAUUGGCCGGCAGUUUGGAGUUUUCCAACGCCGAAAAAUUGCUCUAUACACCCGCCGGCGGUGGGGCGCGUCGGCGGGGUUGCAAGGUUGGGUUUUUCUCGUAGAAUGUUCCCCACGUCGUCCCGAGUACGACGGUAUGCUCGGAUUCCAAUUUGGUUACCGUUUGAUCGUCGAUCGGAUAUCGCAUAAUAGGUGGUUUUCGAGUUCGAUGCGUUUGAAACGUUGGAUCGUAAUCAAUUUAAUAUAUGUUGAUCUAGGUAAUUCCAGGAUCGUAUAGGAUUCGACGGAUCGUGAAUCAGAGUCCCAGAUACUCGGAAAUCGCGAACCCUAGAGUUAAAUAACCGUAACCGUCCGAUCGCGUGAUCGUGAUCAAUUCGGCCGUUCGAUUUGGACCAAACUUGCAAGACAUCAUUAAUAAAAUAUGUAGAACCUAUAGAAACUCUUGGAUUGUCAAUUGGAGGUCGUGGACCCCACCGGGUCCCUGGUUGACGAAUAUGGAAGUUUAUCGCUUAGCAAGUCUCGGGUCUUUUCAGACCCUUCUAACCAUCCAAAAUGCUUAAGUAGGCAUAGGAAUGAUCUUAAAUUGGUGCACGCACUUUUAGGAGAUGGGGGUUAGGGUUUUGGGAUUAAAUAUUUAUGUUGAGUAUUUUCAUUGAUUAAAUAUUUAUGAUGACUUAAAUAGGUACUCGGGCACCAGCUGACCCGCAGGAGGGACCUUCAAAAGGUCCAACUAGCUCAGACACUAAGUGAGUUGACUUUUGUUUUCUAAAUGAUUUUAUGUAAAUGAAUUUCAUUAUUUGAUGUUGAAUAAGUUAUUAUAUGUUUAUGGCUUUCCAAGCAUGAUUGGUUGAUUUUGAAUAUUUUUAUUAUAUUCUGCUUAUAUGUAAGUUGAGCAUGGCUUGGAAAGUAGGGAAUGAGGUGAUUACCGGAUUGACUGAUUUGAUGGGAAGUAAACAGGAUUUAAUAAUAGAAUGAGGAAUAGUUUUAUGAUUAUUUUUAUAAUCUUUAAUCUUUUUCGAGAAUAUAUUUAUUUUAAAAACCACCUUAUGUACCCAAGGUUUCCUCGGAAUAAUUGUUGCCUUCAUUAUAGUCAGCAUGCUUUCAAGGAAUUAAUGUUUGGCUAAGAAUAUGAUUGAAUUAUAGAUAUAGAUAUGAAUGCAUUGAUUUCAGUACGAGUAUAAACGAAGAGAAUGAUUUAGUUUUUCAUAACUGUUUUUACAGUGGGGCUAGUAUGUUCAUAUACUAUUUUCUAAACUUUGUUUUUGGUCCACUCACAUUUUAAAUGUUUUGGGCCCCCAGGCAGUAAUCGUGCACAGUGAGCCACCACCAGGCAGAGUCCGCCUUCAGCCACAUCUUUUGCUGAUGUAGGGUCGUGUAUGGUUAAAUUACAGUUGUAACUUAUUCAGUAUAGUUGCUCUGAUAUUGCCUUGAGAUGUAUUUAACUGUUGAAACGUAUUUAUAUGCAUACUGGCAGUUGAUGUAUAUAUUUACAUGCUUUUUGACAGGUGUAAAAUUUGGGAAAUGAACAAAUUACAGGGGAGACUUUGUCAAAUUUUCGGCAAAAGUCAAACUUUCGUUAGAAAGGCAAUUAGGUCAUUUGUGCUUGGCACCCGCCAGGUAUCCGUCACGCACAGGGUUUAGCUCGGAUUCCAAAGCGGAAUUUAGUUCGGGUCUUGUCAUUAUGGGUCUUAAGAACACCGGUGAGGAUGUUGAACUUGACUGUCUGGUAGAAGAUGAAAAGGUGAAACAGAUAGUGAAGAGUUUCGGUGGAAAUGGCAAGAGAGUAUUAGUAAGGGGUUUAGCUAAGCAAUUGGAAAAGUAUGAAAAUGAGGAUGAAGACUUUAAAGUUCGAUUUGUGAUGUUUGCACUUGGCACUGUACUUUGCCCCACAUCUUCACCAUCAGUGACCGGGAACUAUUUAACUUUCUUGACCAUCCCAAGGAAGAUAGAGACCAAGAACUGGGCUGACUAUGAAUUCAACUUCUUACGUGAAGGUGUUAGGUUGUUCAAAGCGAAGAAAGUUGCAUAUGUAAAUGGGUCACUGCUUUUUCUCCAACUAUUCUAUUUCGAUUCAAUUAUCCAUGGUGGAGUAUAUGUUGAUAAAUCUUUGGAUCCCAUUAUGUCUUGGGACAAUAGCUCGGUGUGGAAAUUGAUUAAAUGGGUUAGAAAGCAAGGUGGGUUUGAUAGUCCUACCAUUCGGGUUAUUUCAAAGCACCGUCCAACGAAUGAAGUGUCCGGAGUAAACCUUGAAAGAAUUGUUCAAGAAGUUGCUAUCAGUUUGGCGCCAGUAAUACAGGCCGAGGUAAAGCGCUCAGUUGAAGGACUUGCUAUCACUUUGGGGCCGAUAAUACAGGCCGAGGUCUAGCCCUCAGUGUUGGAACUCACUCACAAGGUAAUGAGUCAAGUGAACUCCUUCAUGAAAGACGCAAGGCAACAUCUUCAUCUGGGACAUGAAGAUGUAAAUCAAACUAAGGAGGACAGGACACUGAAAAUACGAGAUCAAGGUGUUGAGAAUGUUGUGAAGAAGAAGGGUGAAGAAUGUAGCAAAUUAAAGGAGAAAUGUGCAGUUGAUGUAAACAAUCCUUGGACGCCAUUACCAGAUGGACAGAGUUUCAUUGAACUCGAGGUAUGAUGAGCGAUUAGGAGUUUCAAGAUUGAGUUUCUUGUUAUCUUUUACAUUAAUUAAGUAUGCAUUUAUUUACAUAGUUGUAAAAUACUUAAUUUUUUUUUCCUGCAUGUAAUAUUUGAAUUCCCUUUUCCACAGUUGAAAAUUGGCGUGGAAAAGAGGAAGUUCGCAAAAUCGGCUGGUGGUGAUCAAAGUGGAAUUAAAACACGUCGAACGGCCAAAAGACAUCCAGGGCUUCAUUGUAGAGAGCCAUAGGUUGACUCGUCAAAUGCAAAAGAAAAGGCUAUGCAGAAGACGGCGUCUAAGAUUAAAAUUCGGCCUUUCAAAUUAAAACCCAGGGACUUAGAAGACUCCGAUUUUGAGUUAUUUAGUUAUAUUUUUAGGUCUAACAACCUUUCAAGGUAACUACUUACAAAUGUUGAAUUAUGAAAUCAACCAAAUUCCUUAUAUGUUGUCGCAUACGUGAAUUUAAUUAGAACAAUUGAUUUCUUCUUCCAUUGUAGUGAGGAAGUUAUAAUUCAAAUUGAAAACGAACAUCAUGUCACCAGAGGUGAGUUCAUGUGCUUGAGGCCCGAAAUAUGGAUUAAUGAUGCAGUACUGAAAGCACAAGUGUAUUAUCUACAAGAAAAGGGAUUAAGGAAUUGGUACUUCCCCACAUAUAUAUCGGUGCGCAUUCAUAUUUUUCAAAGUAUUAUAGUUUGUGAUUUAGUAAAUGAAUUUACGCUUACACUAUAUGUGAAUGUAGGAUCAAGUUCUUAAUACAAGUGAUGGUAAACUUUUUGAAUUGGGUAUCAAACUUAGAAGGGAAAACUCAAACUGGUUCACCGUAGGCCUUAAGAAGUGUGAUAAGGUAUUAAUUUAAGUUCUUUUUUACAAUCUUUAGCUCGCUUUUGUAUACGCAUGUUUUUCUAAGCAAGUCAUUGUGCUCCUAGAUUUUCAUUCCCGUUUUGGAUCGAAUCGGGAGUCGUUGGUAUUUGCUAGUGGUGCUUAUUGGUGAUAAAAAGGUUGAAAUAUGGGAUAGCCUUCCCGGUCCUAAAUACAAUGCAGCUCGUUAUCGACUAGCGGAAUGAAUUGUGAGCGGGUUUGCGUUGCACUAUCGUUGGUAAAGAACCCAAAAAAAAAAAAACAUUCUUCUAAAGGAAGUCACCGAGUCCGCUCGAAGAGUAGUCGACGAAGAACUUGACAAGUUGGCCGAACAUGGUCCCUUCAUCCCUCAUCAUCCCAUCUCAAGGAAGCCAAUGACAUGCUCCCAGGCAAAGUAGAGAGUUUGACAGUAGGUCAUAAGGGAUUACAGUUUAGAAAUUAUGUGUAAUUACAUGUACAUAUCCCUAUUUGCACACAGUCGGGGUUCUUUUGUAAUAUAGCAAGUGCAACUGCAUGACACGACUGUUGCACGUCAUGUAAUUGAAUUCCAUUCUUUGCUUACAAAUGCUUUUUUGGUUUUCUUCAUGACAUUGAAACAUUUCACCCCCAGAAAGGCCCAAACACUGAAAUGUAAUUACAUUUAGUGUAACUGCAUACACAUAGGGUUGAUGGUUAAGGUAGUCCAAUUGCAUGUACUUAUCCUUUUUUGCGUACAGGGACGUUGUUUUUGCAAGAUGUCAUGUACAAUUGCAUUACAUGACGGCCAAUUGUACGUUAUAUACUUCGUAUAAUACAUUGCGCAUAUGAGUUUUUUUGUUGCCGCAUUGGGAACAUUAUAGCAUAUAUGGGGUCCAGACAUCAUUUACGAAACAGGAGUUCCUAGUUCAUUGAUAAUAAAGGUCUCUUGACCAUAUUUAGGGGUUUUUUUUUAUUACAAAACUAAACCCUCAAACUAUUCUACCAUACCGAUUAUAACAUUUAACAUCCGAUAUUACGUCUGAAAUUAUAACAUCUGAAAUUACAUUCGAAAUUAUGACAAACAAUACAAUGCAAAUCAUAAAAUACUGGUGCUUCACGAAGCUCGCUUCUCCAAAAUAUCAAUUGCUUCGCUCGAUUUUGUCCCACUUAGUUGAACCAGCAUCAACAAGCUGAGCGUAUUUCCUAAACAUCUUAAAGCCGAUCUCAAUCCCUCCAUUGUAAAUGUGGUACCUGGUCAUUGAAUCUCCUUCACGAAAGAUGUUGUUACUAGCCUCGGUGGGAGGCUUCAUGACAUCAUGGGCUUGUUUCACUUGCUGGUGGACAUAUUUGAAGAAUCAAUACCAUCAUCAUCACCCACCCUCUUGUUCUUAGGCAUGGAGGAGCCUCUUGAGCUACCAACCAUUGAAUGUGACAUUGUUUGGGUUUUCUUUUUUCUCUCUUAGAUUGUGUAUGAGUAAUGUUACUAGUAAAAGAGGUGGAAUUCUUUGCGUUGAAAUGUAUUGUCUAUUAUAGGAAGUAACUCCUUAAAUAAUCCUUCGUGUGUAGUUGGUAUCUGGUACUUGUGUAAGAUCCCAUAUCAAACAACGGCAGAGUGGCUCCCAGAAACAAAACCGUGAGGGCCAGAGAGGAGGGCGCACCACACGGCAGAGUGGCUCUGAUACCAAAUUGUCACAUCCCGGGAUCGGCUCCGCCGUAGCACGAUAUUGUCCGCUUUGGGCCCCCCUCUCUGGCCCUCACGGUUUUUGGGUCCACUCACCCUUUUUGUUGUUUUGCGCCCCCAGGCAGUAGACGUGCACAGGAAUCCACCACCGGGCCACUUUCCAUCUUCCACGCCUUUCUUCUGAUGUAGGAUUUUUGUUUGUAAAAGGAUUCACUCCUUUGUAAAUUCUUAGUAGUCGCUCUGAUAUUUUGCCCUAGACUAAGAAUUGAACUGUUGGAAUGUAUAUAUACGUAUGUUGGCAGUUGGUAGUAUAUAUAUACUUGUUUUGACAGGUGUAAAUGUUUUGGUAUUGAGCCAAUUACAAGGGAAACUCUGCCGAUUUUUUGGUAGAAGUCAACCUUGUUAUUUUAUCGUGUUUUGUAUAAAAGGGCAAAUAGGUCAUUUGUGCCCGACAUUUGCCAGGUGUCGGACACGCACAGAGUCUGGCUCGGAUUCCAAAGCGGAAUUUGGAUCGGGUCCUGUCAACUUGGUAUCAGAGCCACUCUGCCGUGUGGUGCGAGUGUGCCGACGAGGACGUCGGGCCCUUAAGGGGGGUGGAUUAUAAGAUCCCACAUCAAACAACGGAGAGGGGGUGAUGUGCCUUAUAUGUGCACACCCGCAUCCAUCUAGCACGAUGCCUUUUGGGAGUUCACUAGCUUCAGAGUCGUAGGAACUCCGAAGUUAAGCGAGUUGGGGGCCAGAGCAAUCCCAGGAUGGGUGACCCACUGAGAAGUUGCUCGUGAGCUCCUAGAAACUAAACCGUGCGGGCAGAGAGGGGGGCCCAAAGUGGACAAUAUCGUGCUACGGUGGAGCCGAUCCAAGGAUGUGACAACUUGGUACUUGGUACUUGGUAGUUCGUACUGGGUUCCUUUUUCGGGGGAAAGUCAAAUUUUUCCAAACGAACGCACCCCAUUGCGUUCGGUUGCACACACCUCGUUUGUUUGAAAAAGUAAGUUGGUUGGGCCUAUCUUUUUGGGGAACAGUCAACUUUGCUGAACAAACGCAACUCUUGCUUUCACUGGAACAAACACCAGGUUUAUUAGAAAAAGUAAGUUGGUUGGAGCUAUUUUUCCGACGAACUGGCAACUUUCCUCAAUGAACGAACCCCUUGCGUUCAUCUGAACAAAACCACGUUUGUUUGAAAAAGUGAGUUUGUUGGGCUUCUUUUUCGGGGGAACGUCGAAUUUUUCUGAACUAAAGCGAAACCCUGCGUUCAGUUGAACAAACACCCUGUUUGUUUGAAAAAGUAAGUUGGUUGGGCCCAUUUUUUCGGGGAACGAGUAAUUUUACUAAAUGAACGCAACCCUUGCGUUCGCUAGAACAAACACCCAAUUUGUUUGAAAAAGUAAGUUGGUUGGGUAUAUUUUUUCGGGGAACAAGAAACUUUCCUCAACAAACGCAUCCGUUGCGUUCGUUAGAACAAGUACCCCGUUUGUUUGAAAAAGUAAGGGGGUUGGUGACAUUUUUUCGCUGAAAAGGUAACUUUUCUCAACGAAAGCACCCCCUGUGUGUGUGAACAAAGAACCCAUUGGUUUGAAAAAGGCAGUUGGUUGGGGCCAUUUUUCAAGGAAAUGGUCAACUUUAUAGAACAAACGCAACCCUUUCGUUUGCUAGAACAAACACCCCGUUUGUUUCAAAAAGUUAGUUAGUUCGGGAAUUUUUUCGGCGAAUGGGCAACUUUCCUCAACCAACGCACCCUUGUGUUCGUUUGAACAAACACACUGUUUGUUUCAAAAAGUAAAGGGGUUGGGGAAUUUUCACCAUGCUUGGAGAGCCUGUUGAUAAUUUAGGUCUUGUAGAUACUCGCACAACAUCUCCUAUUCAUAGAUCUGCGCUUGCCUUUAUACAGUUAGAUAAAAAAUUAUCUUAUUUUAAAACAAGAAUUAAAGUAGUAGCCGUGGAGGAAAAAUAGGACUAUUCAGGGGGGGCUGGAGUGGGUAAAACAGUACUCAUUAUGGAAUUGAUCAACAACAUUGCCAAAGCUUUAUGGGGGUGUAUCCGUAUUUGGCGGAGUAGAUGAGCGUACUCGCGAAGGAAAUGAUCUUUACAGGGAAAUGAAAGAAUCUGGAGUAAUUAAUGAACAAAAUAUUGCAGAAUCAAAAGUGGCUCUAGUCUACGGUCAGAUGAAUGAACCGCCAAGAGCUCGUAUAUGAGUUGGUUUAACUGCCCUAACAAUGGCAGAAUAUUUCUGAGAUGUUAAUGAACAAGACGAACUUCUAUUUAUCGACAAUAUCUUCCGUUUUGUCCAAGCAGGAUCCGAAGUAUCCACUUUAUUGGGUAGAAUGCCCUCUGUUGUGGUUAUCAACCCACCCUUAGUACCAAAAUGGGUACUUUAUAAGAAAGAAUUACUUCUACCAAAGAGGGGUCCAUAACUUCUAUUCAAUUAGUUUAUGUACCUGCAGACGAUUUGACCGAUUCUGCUAUGGUCAGGACAUUUUCACAUUUAGAUGCUACUACCAUACUAUCAAGGGGAUUAGCUGCCAAAGGUAUCUAUCCAGCAGUAGAUCCUUUAGAUUCAACAUCAACUAUGCUCCAACCUCGGAUCUUCGGUGAAGAACACUAUGAAACUGAGCAAAGAGUUAAAGAAACUUUACAAUUUUACAAAGAACUUCAAGACAUUAUAGCUAUUCUUGGGUUGGACGAAUUAUCCGAAGACGAUUGCUUAGCCGUAGCAAGAGCACAAAAAAUUGAGCAUUUCUUAUCACAACUCUUUUUCGUAUCAUAAGUAUUUACCGGUUCCCUAGGAAAAUAUGUUGGUCCAGUAGAAACGAUUAGAGGGUUUAAAUUGAUCUUUUCUAGAGAAUUAGACGGCUUUCCUGAAGAGGCCUUUUAUUCGGUAGGUAACAUCAAUGAAGCUAUUGCGAAAGUUACGACCUUAGGAACUUAGAAAUGGAGAGCAAAUUGAAAAAAUGACCUUAAAUCUUUGUGUACUGACCCCGAAUCGAAUUGUUUGGGAUUCUGAAGUGAAAGAAAUUAUUUUAUCUACUAAUAGUGGACAAAUUGGCGUAUUACCAAAUCACGCACCUGUUGCCACAACUGUAGAUAUCGGUAUUUUGAGAAUACGCCUUAGCGACCAAUGGUUAACUGACAGGACCCGACCCAAAUUACACUUUGGAAUCUGAGCUAGACCCUAUGCGUGUCCGACACCUGGCUGGUGUCGGGCACAAAUGACCUAAUUGCCCUUCUUUUUAAAACUUAACUUCAUUUUAGGUUUGACUCAUACUGAAAAUUUGGCAGAGUCUCCCCUGUAAUUUGUUCUUUCCCGAAAAUUUACACCUGUCAACAAGCACUUAAAUAUAUACACCAACUGCCAGUAAACAUAUAAAUACGUUCCAACAGUUAAAUACGUCCUAGGGCAAUAUCAGAGCAACUAUACAGAUCAAUUUACAAGGAAGGAAACAACUUGUAAAUCAAGAACCCUACAUCAAACUGAGGUAGUGCGGGAAGCGAAAACUGCCCUGUGGUGGCUCACAGACGCACGUCUACUGCCUGGGGGAGCAAAACAUUGAAAAUGUGAGUGGACCAAAAAUAAAGUUUAGAAAAUACAUAAGAGCAUACUAACCCCACGGUAAAAACAGUUAUGCAAAACUAAAUUAUCCUCUUCAUUAUAUUCGUACUGAAAUCAAUGCAUUCAUAUAUUUAUAUACGUAUACGCCAAUCAUACUCAUGGUCAAUAAAACUCUCUUAAAAGCAUUGAAAUCAAUUUAAAACUACCACCUAGGUGUACCCCUUUAUUUCCAUCAAUUCCUUAUAUCCGUCAAUUCCUUAUAUGCCGUCAAUUUCUGAUAUUCGUCAAUUCCUCGUGUCACAAUUUGUGACACGUCCUCGCAGGUCUUGGUAAUACAAGGUCGACCCGAGCCGCAAUCUCGCAGGAUUCAGGAGACUUUUAGUCAACCUGAUCUGCAAUCCUCGCUCCCACGGUUCAAGCGUCCUCGAAACUUGUGAAGGCAGCAAUUUUAUUCCGAAGGCAACAUUUAUUCUGAGGCAACUUUUAUCCUGAAGGCAACAUCUUUAUAUCUGGGUACCUAAGAUGGCUUAAGAAAAUAUAAAAUUUCUAAAAGAUCUGAUGAAUAACUGAAUUUCUAUUAAAUCUAGAACUCUGCUUCCAUUUAUCUGAUAUUUAGCUAGAAUUUCCUUUUCCUAUAUCCUUAAAGGAUAUCCCACUCGGCAGCAUAUAAAUUAAAAUAUUUAAAAGCACAUAUCAAAUUAUGAAAGCACUAAUCUUUGAAUAAAACUUGUCCAAGAUCAAAUAAUGGAAUUGAUUUGCAUAACCAUUUAUAAAACAAAAAGUCAACUCACUCCUGGUCCGAGCGAGAUGGACCUCUUGAAGGUCCCUCCUGAGGGUUUGCCUGGCCCCAGGUGCCUGAUUAAACCAUCAUGAAUAUUUAAUUAAUAAAACUGCUCGGUAUAAGUAUUUAAUUAAAACCCUGAUCCCCGGCUCCUAGAAGUGCAUGCACUAACUUUAAAGUCAUUCAUAUGCUCACAGAAACUUUCCUUAUGGUUAGAACGGUCUAAAAAGACCCGAGACUCGUUAAGCGACAAAUUUUCAUAUUGGUCAAUCCGGGACCUCGUGGGGUCCACGACCUCCAAUUACCAAUUUGAGAGUUCCUAUAAGUUCCUCACAUUUUAAUAACCAUGUCUUGCAAGUCUGGUCCAAAUCGGAUUGUCAGAUUGCUCAUGAUCGUACGAUCGGACGGUUAUUGUUUAACUUAAUCUUUGAAAUAAUUAAAUCGGAGCAUCCGGGACUCCUAUUCUCGAUCUGCAAAUUUCUACACAAUCCUAGUGGUGUCUAGAUUAACAUAUUUAAAAAUGAAGUUGAUCCAAUGAUCCGAACAUAUCAAACCCGGAUAAUGCCUAAUAUGCGAUGUCUGAUCGACGACCAAACGAUAACCAAAUUGAAAUCCGAGCAUACUGUCAUGCUUGGGACGACGUGGAGAACAUUCUAGGAAAAAACCCAACGUUGACACCUCGGUGAUGCACCACCGGCGGUGGCGGUUGUAUUGAGUAAUUUUUCAGCGAUCGAAAAACUCUAAACCGCCGGCCAAUAAUCAUACCUACGGAUUAAGCACAUCAAGGGGACUAACUUCAAUAAAAUUGCCAAUUAAAUGGCAAUUCAUCACCAAAGCAGAUCAACAAAUCUCUAAAGAAGAAUUGGAUUGGGCUCAGCUUCUAAAUCCCUUUUUAUAUAUAUAAAGGAACUCUGCACCAAAGUAGGUGGCCUUUCCAACAGACAAGCAGACUACAAUUUCAAGAGAUAAGUAGGGAGCAAGGGAGCGUUCAAAACAGGAAAAGCAAACUGACCAUCAUGGCAGAUUGAGUGUUUCUCUUUACAAGGAACAACCAGAGAACAAAGAGAGUUGGUUUUCUUUCAAAAAAGCAAGGAAAAGACCUCUAUGAAAGCUGAUUGUUGAUGGUUCUUAUCUGCCAAAACAAUAACUUCCUUCUUUUAUAGCUUUGAAAAGAGAGAAGAUUUUUUGAAAAGAUCUACCACCCAUUAUUCAAAGAUUAAACCCCACUCUAGCAUUUCCUAUAAAAUAAGAAGAGAGGGUGAAAAGAUGAGGACAAUCAAAAAAUCAAUCAAAGACAGAAAGUCAAAAUGAUCACUUGAUCUUAAAACCCCUUCAAAACACUGAAGCAACCAAAAGCUCAUUGAGCCACAGAAAAACAAGUUAGCUAUAAUCCAGAAUCUCUAACUUCAGUUUAGUUUCAGAGAAAUAGUAAUUCAAAGCGAGAUUUCUUUCGUUACAAAAUUGGUUCAACAUAAGCCAAAUCAAGCAAAGUUCGGGUUUUACAAAUAUGAAAACCUCAACAAAUUUAUGGAGAGCCCAGAUCAAGCAAAACAUGUACUACAGUGCAGCCGAGCUCAGUAAAUCAGCAAAUCCAGCCACUUCUGCCCCUUUCAGAUUGAGGAGGCUCCAAUUCUGCCCGUGCCAAAAGCCUUCCAAGGCUUGAAAUAAAUUCAAGCUCUGCCACACUCGAAUAUUGGUAUCGAUUUACAGCUGAGAUUUGACAGUUGAAGAUGUUGAUGGUCCAAUCCAGAACAUACAUACCAAGUCCAGCCCGGAUCAGAAGCAUUCAUCCAAGCAAAAAUUGAAGUCCAAAAGCUCUUUUUGUCUUUCUAGAGUUGGUCUUCCCUGUUUUGAGCUUUGUAAAAGGUAGUUCUGCCUAAAACAGUUAACUUUCUUAUCAUUUAUUCUGGCCAGAACUACCAGUUUUGUACUGUGAAAAAUUGUGAAGUCUUUACUAGUCUAAGGCAAGAAAAGAACUUACUUAGGAGAUAUUCCUCACCCAAAUUCACAAUCGCUAGUUUAGAAAAUAGUAACUUGGUGUGCAAGUUAUUUAUUUUUAAGAAGUCUGCUACGAUUUUCAUUGCUAGCAGUGGCACGCUCGCACACUAAAGAAAGUUGACUUGUUGACCAGUCAAUGUUUUUCAAGACAAUGGGGAACUUUACCCUACCAUCACAGGAACAAAUAUAAAACGAGUGAACAAUAACUAAUAAUAAAUAUUUCAAGACAUUACAAGAAGUCAGUAUAUUAGACAACGGACUAGUAGGAUUUCUAGAUUGCACAACAAUUGUCCUUAGCAAUACUAUUCCUAUAAGAUAAAAUAAUAUCCUUAUUCAACUAGUUAUAAAUUUAGCAGAAAAAUUAGACCAAAUACAAUUAAAAAAAGGUAUAAAUUAUAAUAGUAAAUGGAACUCUUCUAGAGCAAAGGAAAAGAAAUAAUAAGAAUAUAAGCUAUAUACUCUAAUGAUCAAGAAACACUAGAAUAUCUUAGAAAACGAUUUGAAAAAUUCCAACAAAAAAAAAAUACAAAUUAUAUCAAUUAGGAAGAUUUGGAAAUAAAAACUUAAAAAUUGUGAGAGUAAAAAAAAAAAUAUAUGCAUAUCGUCAUAGUAGUAAAGUGAGAUGAGCAUACAAAAAGAGGAGACAGAAAUAACCACAUAGUAUUAAAGAAAAGAGAUUGUCAUACUGAUAACAUGUUAUAAAAUAAACAAAAUAUGAGAGUACCACUAAAUAUUGGAGUGAAAUUGAAUUUACUUUGUGACUCUAUGUCGCUAUUCCCAGAUCUAAAUGUUGGCUAGGUAAGCGUCCUAUAGUAAGAGGAGUAGUUAUGAACCUUGUAGACCAUGGGGGUGAUAAAGGGAGGGCCCCAAUUGGUAGAAAAAAAAAACUGCAACCCCUUGGGGUUAUGUUGCACUUGGAAGAAGAAGUAGAAAUAGGAAUAAAUAUAGUGAUAAUUUGAUUAUUCGUCGCUAUAGUAAAUAGGUGAGAAAAUAUAAUUUUUUUCGUCGUCUUUACAAAAAAUAGGAGUUAUUAAUUGUGACACGUUCACUGAAAAAAAAAAUUUCCUUUUGUAGUGAAUCAUUUAUUAAGAAAAAUAAAUAUACUUAACACAAAAGCAGAAAAAGAAAUAAUAGUAACCUGGUCCCGAGCGUCUACCAUUAUACCUACAAUGAUCGGGCUAUUGCUAUCUAUAAUGGAAAGGAGCAUUUUCCUUUUAUUAGUAUUUAUAUUUAAAAGUAUUUAUAUUUAAAUUACAUAUUUUGUUAAAUUUAUGGGCGAACGACAGGAAUUGAACCCACGCAUGGUGGAUUCACAAUCCACUGCCUUGAUCUACUUGGCUACAUCUGCCCUUUGUACUAUUACAAAUAUUUACACCAUUUAUCAUUACUUGUAAGAUAAAAUAUAGCAUAAAAUAAACUGAAACUUUUAAUAUUUUAAUUAAAUUUUGUUGUAAAUUAACUAAGAAAAAUAUAGAAAAAUAUAGUAAAGUUAAGUAGUAAAUAAAUAAAAAACUAAAUAGUAAAGGAGCAAUACCAAACCUCUUGAUAUAACAAGAAAUUUAUUAUUGCUCCGUUACUUUCAAGAACUCGUAUAUACUAAGACCAAAGUCUUAUCCAUUUUUAUAUGGAACUUCAACAGAAGCUACAUCUAGAUGGAAAUUAUGAGCAUUACGUUCAUGCAUAACGUCCAUACCAAGGUUAGCGUGGUUAAUAAUAUCAGCCCAAGUAUUAAUUACACGACCCUGACUAUCAACUACAGAUUGAUUGAAAUUAAAACCAUUGAGUUUGUUGCGCUUCUUGUGGAUCAAUGUCACUACCCAUCUCUGCAUCAUUUACUAAAACCGUGAUCUCAUUAUUGCCUAUUCUAGCAAAACCACCCAUUAGAGCCAUCGUUAAUGUAAUAACCCGAUCUUUAAUUAAUUUUUAACUAUUAAUUUAUUUUGAGAAAAGACUAUUUUGCCCCUAGAAUAUUUUAUUGGGUCAAAAGUUGACUUUUCGCUCGGGAAGGAAUUAGGGUAUUUUAGUUAUACUGUUGCAUAGAGCACAUAGAGAUGAGUCCAUAGACACAUAGUGGACUCAAAUCGGAGUUGUAACGAAGAAGUUACGAUCAAAAGAAGUUUAGUGGCAAAAUCGUAAAUAUUUCAAAGUUCAGAUUUCUUAAACCCAGAUUUUUCUUCUCCUUCACGAAUAUUACGAACAGCCAUUUUCAAACUCAGUUUUCUCCUCCGUCCAGCCACCAAAUCGAGUGCCACAACUUGCAAACUCUUCAUCUCUCUCUCCUCUAAUCUAGCCAUGAUUCUAAGCGAUUAAACCAGGAAAUCGAUCGAAAACAGAACCAAAACUGAGCCAUUUAGGGCUAUUUCAAAACAGCAACUCCCGAAGCCAAUUCCGGCCAUCUCUGGCCGCCACAACUCACGUAAUUGCACCCAAACUACUCUUCGACCUUCUCUUUGUGUUAUCCCUUGAAAACCUGAGGUGAAUCCAUUACAAUUUCUUUGAUUUCGAAACUUAUUUUGCGUUUUUUUACACCUCUGCCACUUUGUAGAAGAUAUGGGCCUCUUUGGUUUGGGCUACUUUUCUGGAGUCAGGGCUCAUUCUUUUUUGUUUUGUGGGCUUUUUGAUUUUGGACUGGGCGUGCCAAUUUAGGCCCAAAUAGUUAUAGAAUCUGACAUUAAACUACAAGUCUAUCUAUUUUAAUAUGUAAUUUUUCUAUCUACUCAAUUAAGGAUUUUUGAAAGGACUUGCCCCGAAUUACCCCUUAGAAUCCGUGAUGAACCCUUUCCUAAUCCGACACCGGGCAUGUGUCGGCCCAAAUUAUUAAAAUACCCUUCUUGCCCUAAUUCCAAAAUAACCUCAGGGCUUGACUGCUAUUGGAAAAAUUGACAGAGCCUUCCUUGAAACUGGCUCAAAACCCAAAAAUUUACUUGCACAGCAAACACAAUUAUUUCCCAAGCGUUCAGCAACCACAAGGUAUAAAUCACACACCAAUUAGCAAAAUCUUCUUGACAUAACUAAACAUAACAACAAAUCAUAAACUUGCGGCUGCACCUAGGUUAGCCUAGGUUGCCUACAUACCCUUACUGAGGGAUCAAGCCACACAUAGUUCUUUCUACCAUAAAUCACAAUUAAGAUAAUACAUAAAUGUUCAAAGUAAAACCAACAAUAGAAUUCUAGAAUCAUUCUUCACUUAAUUUCAACAAUCUAUAUAAGUGAAUGACAUGCCCUGUAGUUAUGUACCUAACUAUUCAAUUAGUUUCUUAUUGUACAUCCAAACACAUAUGUAACCAACCUUUUUACCUAAAAGCCAUACCUACAACCGUCUGCAUAGUGCAUAUGUCCUGCAAUCAUCCACCAAGGAUACAUGGGAAAUAUCAGUAAAUCCGAAGGCAAUAGAGGAAAUAGAAACUAGCUAACCACCUGUGUAGACAAGUCGGGCAAGUGACUAGGGAUCCUGGUUAACCUUGUGCAGAUAAUAUGAGCAGGGUGACAAAGAAUAUCCUGUUAACUGUACCACACGUUGGUACAACACUAUUCUCCACAUAACUAAACAUAACAACAAACCAUAAACUUGCGGCUGCACCUAGGUUAGCCUAGGUUGCCUACAUACCCUUACUGAGGGAUCAAGCCACACAUAGUUCUUUCUACCAUAAAUCACAAUUAAGAUAAUACAUAAAUGUUCAAAGUAAAACCAACAAUAGAAUUCUAGAAUCAUUCUUCACUUAAUUUCAACAAUCUAUAUAAGUGAAUGACAUGCCCUGUAGUUAUGUACCUAACUAUUCAAUUAGUUUCUUAUUGUACAUCCAAACACAUAUGUAACCAACCUUUUUACCUAAAAGCCAUACCUACAACCGUCUGCAUAGUGCAUAUGUCUUGCAAUCAUCCACCAAGGAUACAUGGGAAAUAUCAGUAAAUCCGAAGGCAAUAUAGGAAAUGGAAACUAGCUAACCACCUGUGUAGACAAGUCGGGCAGGUGACUAGGGAUCCUGGUUAACCUUGUGCAGAUAAUAUGAGCAGGGUGGCAAAGAAUAUCCUGUUAACUGUACCACACGUUGGUACAACACUAUUCUCCACAUAGAUGUACCUCAAACAUAAUCCAUCAAUUCUAAGUGCCACACAUGUGGAACGGCCAACUCCACAUGCGUGUCACAUCCUAGCAGAACUCAAGGACACGUGAUCAACCUGAGAAUGCAAAUAAUCCAUCAAUUCCCCUAGCAGGACUCAAGAAGAUAUACUCAACCUGAGAACGCAAAUAAUCCGUCAAUUCCCUUAGCAGGCCUCAGGGACAAAUGGUCAGCCUGACAACGUAAUCAUCGCAGAACUCAAGGAGAUAUAUCAACCUGAGAAUGCAAAUCCUAGCAGAACUCAAGGAGAUAUACUCAACUUGAGAAAGCAAAUAGUCCGUCAAUUAUCUUAGCAAGACUUGGGAAGAUAUACUCAACCUGCGAAUAUAAAUCCGAGCACUACAAAGUUCAGGGUUCCCCGAUACUCGUGGGGCAAUAUCAUAUAGGCAUAGAAUAAUUCGAAGGCAACUGAGGUGUCCAAAGACAAUCCGAAGGCAAGAUAUUUCGAAGGCAACCAUAUGUCCGAAGACAUUCCCAAGGCAACUAUAUGUCCGAAGACAUUAAUAUUUCCGAAGGCAACAAUAUUUGUGAAGACAACAGGAUGUCCGAAGACAUCAAUAUUUUCAAUUUCAAAGGAUUUAACACAUAUAUAAAAAUAAACAUUUAUCACCAAAUAUUUAAAAUCAACUCAACCCAAAGCCGCACAACAAAACAUAAAUAUAUCAUAUAGAAUAAUAGUUCCAUAAACAACUAAUAAGAUGCCAUUAUAUAAUCAAACAACCAAACCACAAACACCUCCCAACCAAUUGGUCCCGAUCGGGUCAGCGAGGUCCACCAUCUAGGUCAAUUAGGCCGUGGGGCCUAUGGCCUCGGAUUUCUGAUCUAAAAGUUCCUAUAAGAGCAACAAAGUCUACUAAAUAAAUUCCAAAGUUUGGUCUCGAUCGAGUGUUCGAAUUUAAGCCAAUCGCACGAUCGGACGAUGAUUGGUUUGCUUAACCUUAGAAUCAUUGACUUGGAGAAUCCAGGACUCCGAGUUUCAAUCCAUAAGUUCCUACACGAUCCUAGAGGUACAGAGAACAACAUAAUUAAAAUGAGAACUGAUCGAACAGUCCGAACCUAUUAAACCUGGAUAUCACAUAAUAGGUGCAAUAUCCAUUUGAUAGUCAAAUGGUAAGCAACUUCAAAUUUGAGCAUAUAGUCGUGCUUAGGAUGAAGUGGGUAACAUUUAAUAACACAAUGGGCUGCCACAAGGUGACCUAAGCAUGCCACUCACUGCCUGCAGUAAUGGGUGGAUUGAGAGAUUUUUCAAUGACAAAAUCUCCAAACCACCGGCCAAUACCUUACCAAUGCAUUCAGACUAACAAGGGGAGCAACUUUUGGUCUCGGACCCCGGCCAAAAGUGGCUGGAGAUGGGUGAAAAAAGGCCAAAACCGUCAGCCCUAUACUAUUGUUUUCAAUAAUUUCCAAAACUCCAAAAUUGAUCCUAACCACAUAUAUAAAUAAAUAAAGCACGAAGAGUAGAUGAAGUUUCAUACCUCGAUCAACAGAAAUGGUGGAUGGUGUUGCCAAAAAAAACUCCGAAGCCACCGUCACUUCCCAUCAUUCCAGUCGCCAAUCCUUGGGUUUUCAAGCAGGAAAAUGGCAAAGGUUAGGUAGUGGAUGAAGAGACGAUUCAACUCCGAUAUGACCCACCAUGUGUCUACGAACUCGUGAGUUGAAGCACUACACAAAGGAACCAAGAAAAUUUCCAAAAAGAGCCCUGAGCAAAAAGUCAACUCUAAACCACCAAGGAACCCUAAGGUUAAGGUCGUCCUUUCACUUUAGAAUUUUGAAAAUUAAUUUAAAUUUUAGGACGGAAUGUUACAGUUUUUGUCCUAACUAUAUUUUUUGCACUUCUAUUUUUAACUCUUCACCUUGUUAGUGCAACAUGUGGCAUGUUCCUAGCCCAAAACCAUGUUAUGUAAUUUUUAGAAUAGGUCGAGUAAGGUUCAAUUUAUGAUGAUUUGAUUGGAAGUGAUGAAGAAGAACAAAAAUUUUGAAGCACUAAAGAACAAGGUUGUCUCAACUCAUAAUUAGGAAAGGUAAGUUUGACUUAGAGAGCAUACAUGCAUUCAUAGGUGGUUAGAUGUUUUAUUUCUACAUCAGUCAACCUGACGUAAUGAGCAGAGUGCCUCAAAGUGCUUAGAAUUGUAUGAUAUUUUAACGGCAUGUUCAUCAAGAUGUUAGGUUUCUUGUAUUAAUGUUUCACGGUGAAAUUCGCAUUUUUGGAAAAGGCGCGCUCGAGCGAACUUCAACUACCGCUCGAGCGGCAGACACAGAAUUUCAAUUUCCUUUUUCUAUUUGGAGAGUUUUAAAUUAUAUUUUCUUCCUAAUCUUUUUGGGACUCCUUUUCCUAUGGUUAGUAUGAGUUCCCUAGAAGCUCUAAGCAUGUUUUGUUUUAGGAAAUUUGUUCCUAAUCCUAUUGUAUCUUUUUAUGUCUUCCUAAUUUGAUUCUAAAACAAGUUUGAGUCUAUAAAUACUUGAUUUUUCAAAAGUCGUUUCUUGAGUGAGUUGAUUUUUCGUAUGGGGUCAUUUAGUAUGGCGGACUACCACGGACUAGAUUAAAUACUAGGAUUGUCUUGGAUUAGCUCAGAUUGGUCUAAACUGGAUUAAGCAUUGACCUAUGAUUGGUGCUGUGUCGAACUACAAAGCUGGAUUGUAAAAAUAGUGAAGACCUAUGUUUGGUACUGUGUCGGACUAAAAAAUAAUUAUUUUAAUAUUUAAUAAUUAUUUUUAAAUAAUUAAAUGUAAGUUUUUGUGUGUGGUUAUUAUAAGUACCAAAUUGACAUGUACAUUUCCUUUCCUCCAAACCAAAGGCUUUUUGUUUGUUAUUAAGGAUAUAAAUUUCAUUGAGUUUAUGUAUAAUUGAGUCUUUAUUUGAGCGCAAACACAAAGAAUUUGAUUAAUAUAUCAAUAACAACCACCGACCAUCACUCAGUUGUCUUAUGAGUAUUGUUGUUAUUUAAAAUUUUUAACUUUAGUUGUUUGUGCAAAAUUGAGGUUGUUAUGAACAAUAUCAUGUAGUGUCGCCCAUUGCACAUUAAAAACCAUGUAUAAAUUUAAAUAUAUCCAUACAUCAAAUAUAUAUCCAACAUUUCCAUAAAUCACAAAUUUUCCAACCCCACAUAUGAUCCAUACUUGUCUUUAAGCAACAUACUAGCAACAAAAAUACAUUUAAAAUGAAGGGAGAAUGCUUAUUUCAAACAAAAAGCCACUCUAACAUAUGAGUUGCUCAUUCAUCUCGAACUUUGUCCAAUUGCAUUUUGUUGUAGGUGUCCUUCCAUUUCAUAAGUCUCACGUACUGAAAUAAACAUGAAAAUAGCAUAUAAAAUGGAAACAUAAACAAUAGGUUAUGAACAUAAAAUGAAAAAGUGUAAGGUACUAAAUUUGCAUAAGAUAUGACUUCAAAUUGCCCAAUAUACAGAUUUGCAAAAUCAUAUAGGUGAGUAGUUCAUAUUCAAGAUAAAAUUGAGAUUUCAUUGUAUAACUCAACCAACACAAGAAUUUUUUAAAGUCCAUAUAUGAAAAAUCAUAUUCUUGAGCAGUUCAUUAACAAAAAUCAGAUUUCAUAUUAUAACACAACCAUCCAGACACUAAUUGCCCAAUAAUAUUUUCAGUCAUACUCAAAAUCAAUUGUAGAUUAGAGACCAAUAAUUUCGUUUAAUAUUAUAACACAAUUGUUCGCUCUUUGACCUUCUUUCUCUCUCUUUCUCGAUUCCUGUAAAAAAGACUGGAGUAAAUAGACUACACCCGGGGGGGUGUUGGCCAAAUGCCCUCCGAUGCGUAAGUUAGUUCUAUUGAAUCUAGGUGAAACAAUAGCUAAAAAAGGGUGGACAUUUCUCUAGGGUGAGAACCAGGUGGCCGAAGCCGUGUGUGGUGGCUGAAGUCAUGUGGAGAAAAUAUGGAGAUAGGCUUGCCGCUGGCAAGGAGAAAGAGGGGAGAGAGAUCUAGGGCAUUUUUGCAGGGUUUUGGAGCUGGGUUUUGAAAUACCUUGAAGGAUGAAUGAAGCCAUCUAUUUAUAGGAGCCCUGGAGGCUAGGGUUUCGUAGGGAAUAAAACUCUUAUUAGAAAGGAGUUUAUUCUUUCUCCAAAUUGUAGAGAUUGAGUCCAUUAGGGAUUUGAUUGGGAACCAAAUCCCCUAAUUUGAUGAUGAUUAUAUUUCCUUAUUAGGAUAAUAUCUAAAUUAUUAGUAUUAUUUUAUUAAAUAAAGAUAAUAUCCCAUAAUAAAGAUAUUAUCCAUAUUAAUUAAUUGGCCACAUAAAUUGGUUCAAUUAAUUAAUUUAAGGGAUAUUCUUAUUUUCGACGUGGCGUGCUGUGAUUGGAGACGAAAAUAUUUGCUCCCACAAAUGCCCAAGCUUCUGCAUGAUGUUUGUGUGGCAUUAGGAGGUGAACUUAUUUUUGGGGCUCUUUAACUGUGUCUAGGCUUUCUUUUGUGAGUUAGACUCCUUUUGCAGAUUGGAUUCCCAAUUGGAGUGGGCUUCUGACUGUUCUUGGACUUUUGAUUCAUUCUUGACUCGGGUUGUCCAACUUGUAUAAAUACAUGGCUUCUCUUCACUCUUUUUCACAUCGCAAAUUGAACCCAGGUUGAGAGAGAUAACGGAGAAUUUGUACUGCUUGUUGAAGAGAGGAGUGGCCGUGUAACCACCCGGUCCUAAAUUAAUAGUUAAACAAUAAAUUAUUAAAAUAAGAGAAAAUAAAUUGAAAUAAACAAUAAAAUAAAAUGAUUUCAAUUAAUUAAGGUUUUUGAAAAUUAAAGAUAUUAUUUAAUAUAAAAAGGGGCAAACAUGUCAUUUUAAGUUCGGAAAGGAAUUUUAGAGCAUGUCAAGACGAGUCCAUAGACACGUAUUGGGCUCGAAUCGGAAUUGUAACAAAUAAAUGGCAAUCAAGAAUAGGCCAGUGGUAUAACCGUAAAUAUUCCGAAGUUCAUUUUUUUAAAACCCUGAAUUUCUUCACUUGGGCAGCUCAACCAGCCAACUUCAGAUCGUGAUUUCUCCCAACUCCGGCCACCGUUUCAAGGAAGACCAGUCCUAGAAGAACCACCACACUUCCCUCUUCCAGCCCCAGCCCUUCGCCGUGUCGAUCCGCUUUCGAAGUCGUCGGAAUCAGCCACGAAACAGAUGGUUUUGGACAGAUUUUUCUUAAACCUUUGCCGGCCGUUUCUCCCUCCUCCGUCCACCAAACCGGUCCAGUAAGGUAUGCUUUUCCACCCAUUUUUCUAGUCCUAGCUGAUGGUUGGGUAGGAUUUGAUUGAUUUGUAGCUUAGAUAACCCGAAAUACGAAUAGAAAUUUGGCCGAUUUUCAAAUUGAAAUUCCGGCCACUUCCGGCCAUUUUUCGGGCUAGGUCUAAGAACAAAAGUGGUUUCAAAUGGGGUUUUACACCUAGGGUAGGAAUUUGGGCCAGCAAUUUGGCGUUUGUCCGGCAGUCGAAAUUUACUCACGACACCCACGCACUGCCAGCGCGUGUGGCUGCCCAUGGGCCAGGCUUUGGAAUGGCUUGGGUUUUAGAAUGAUCUCCUAGCCCUCAAGAGCAUGUAGGUAUUUUCGGAUUUCAAUUCGGACAACGUUUGAACCCCAAACGGAUCUCGCCUAUUGUGCGAUUUCUGGGUUCGAUACAUUUGAACCGUUGGAUGAAAGUCAAUUUCAUAUAUGUUAAUCCAGAUAAUUUCAGGAUCAUAUAGGACUCGAUAGAUCGUAAAACAGAGUCCGGAUACUCCGAAAAUUUUAACCCUAGGGCUAGGUUUAUAGUAAUUGUCUAAUCAUGCAAUCGUGGGUAAUCCAACUGUUCAAUCGAGACCAAACUAUCGGGACAUGUGUCCUAGGAAUAUUGGCACCUUUAGGGACUCCAAGAUUUGUGAUAGGAGGUCGUGGGCCCUAUGGGGCGCGGUUGAUUAAGUUUAGGCGUUUGACCCCUCAGUUGAUCAUGAGUCUUUCGAGGUAGUUUUAUCAUUCUAGAAAUGUUAGAACGACCGUGUAAACGGGUCCUGAUCGAAGAUUGAGUUAUUAGCAUCAUAUCAUGAUUUUUCAAACCCACCAUAAGGGUACCCCCUAGUUGCUUUGAAACAGUGUCAUUUAUAAAUAAUGCCCCACGUGUUUCAGGGACUCCUGAACUGUGUGGUGCGAGGAAUGCGGCUCAGACUGAUCAAUGGUCCUCUGAGGCCAGCAAGGAUUGCGACUCGAAUAGAAGUGGUAUCUCCGAAGCCUGUAAGGAUUGCGGUUCGGAUAGAAGUGGUACCUCCAAGGCCUGCGAGGAUUGUGGCUUGAGUAGACUUGGUGUCUCCGAGGCCUGCGAGGAUGGAAUUGACGGUAAUAAUGGAAUUGAUGGAUCAGGAAUAGGGGUACGCCUUGGUGGAGAGAAUUUCAGUUUUGAGAUGUUCUUAAACUAAAAUAGAGGGAGUUCAGUGUAUGGCAUAUUGAUAUUCAGUAUAUGAUUGAUACGAGUAUUGGGAAGUUACGAAGUAUUGCUUUGGAGUUGUGAAUACGAUUUGGUAUAACCCACACAUGAGAAUUCAGUUUGAUUUGCAAAACACAUGGCAAUAUGAUGAAUGAAUAAGAUAUUCAAUUACAUUAUUAAAGGGCAACUGUGUGGCACGAUCCCUCAGUAAGGGUACAUAGGCAGCCUAAUGUUACAAGGUGCAGCCACGAGUUGGAGUCUUUCAGAUUGCUAAUGUACUAUUGAUAUUCUAAAAGUUGAGAUGAACUUUAUUGGCAGAAUGAUUUAGUUGAUUGGUUGAGGCUUGAAGCCAUAAUGAUAUGAUGUUUGAUUUCUUGGCUAUAAUUUAAUGCCUGCUAAAUAGUUGGGUUAUAUAUGUAUAUGCUUAUAUCACAAGUGGAAGUUUUGGGUAACUGAUCAAUUUAUAGAGGAGACUCUGCCGAAUUUUUAGCAGAAGUCAAACUUAAGGAAAUUUGGUUUCUAGUUAGAAGGGCAACUUGGUAAUUUAGCCCGGCAUUUGCCAGGUGUUGGACACGCACAGGGUUCGACUCGAUUCCAAAGUAGAAUUUAGGUUUGGUCCUGUUAGGCCUUGCAUCCCAAGGUAAGUCAAGCACGUAUAUAUAUAUAUUAAAAUUUACAGAGAGGCCGUGCAUCCCAAGGUAGGUCUGGUCCUGGUUGUCUUCAUGACUGUCGGAAGAGGUGGUUCGUGGCUGCCAGAAAGGACUAGCCAAUUGCGUUGCAACUUGGCUGGUUGUGGCGGUGUGGAUUCGGGCUGGUCUUUGAGGGCCUAUGUGCUGGAGCAAGUGGUGCAACGCGGGCCUGGGCUGAAGCACUCAAGUUAGGCCAAAAUGCAGCAUGCUGCGCAUGCUAGAGCUUGGAGAGACUUAGGCCUGGUGUGUAGGUGCACCACAUGGACCAGUUGGGACACUUGGUGUGAAGCAGGCCAGGGUGUGCUUGAGUAGAGCUGGGCCCGACGCGCUGGCGAAGUGGGCCACGUGCAUUGCGUAAGCCAAAUCUGGCAUCUGCUGUUUUUUGCGGCUUGGGCCGCUUCUACAUUGGCUAUGGGCUUGGGGCUUGGGCAGCGAGCUCAUGGCUUGGGCCAUUGUUUGUUUGUUUGUCUGUUAUUUAAAAAAAUUUUGCUGCCAGCCUUUUGUUUUGUUUUUUUUGUUUUUGUUUUGUUUUUUUUUGGUAUUCUAACUUGUAGAAUUUUCUUCUCUUCUUGCAGUUGUUUGUUUUCUCAUGUCUUAUAAAGAUGGUAGAAACUCACCAAGCUCUCAAGUGCCUUUGUAUAUGUGGGGAGGCUCUCAAGUGUACAAGAAGAGGUUCGUUGCUAAUCUGCACCACAGUACGACUGAAGCUCAGUUCCAGAAGUGCCCGGUCGCUUAUGCUUCUGCCAUUCCUGGCGAACCGUUUGACUGACGAUGUGCCUUGUGUGGAUGCGAAUGAUCCAGAUGAAGGAGACAUGCAUCCAAUGCUUAGGAAAUGAACUUUAGCCACAACCUAUACAACAAAAACAUUCUAAAUGGUGGAUUCAUUUUGUUUAUACUAGUUGAGCUAAACCUUUUUCAUUUUAAACAAGUAUCUUAGCCUAGUCUCUUGGAACACAAAUAGAAAAAGGAAAAAGGGAAUAGAUCUUUCACCUUAAGGCUCCAAGAUUAGAGUCCUCUACCUCACCAAACCAAAUGCUUCUAGAGAUGAAGAGAAGGCAAUCAAGAAGUAUAGUGCUAGUCUACUUAUUGAUUGGACCAAUUUUUGGUUUAUGGAAGAUGAGAUACAAAGAUGAUCAUGCAUCAACCAAAGUAGGAAUCCAAAACCCCUAGCUUGGUUUUACCAUAACACUUAGCUUAUAUAGGACACACAAAAGGAAAUUGGGUGGGUUUUUAGUGCUCCAUUUGGUUCAUGGGUCAUGUCAUCUUAUACCACUUAUCCCUUGGGCCCAAUAGCCUUUUAGGCUAUUUUGUCCGUUUCCUUUUAACUCAUAUUUAAAAGCCUAAUCCAAUAAAUAUGUCAAUAUUAAUUCCAUAAUUAAUCUUUUAAUUAUAAUUUAACUAUUAAAUUAUAAUUAUAGUCUUACUUAAUUGAUCCAGUCAAAUUAUUUGACUUUGGUCAAUUGCUGCAGUCAACAUGUUGACUUUUGACCAUUGACUUUGACAUUUGAUUAUCAACCAUUGACUUGUAUCUCUUUAUUUCAUUUCUCCUCAUUUGUACCUCUAAUCCCAUUCUUUGGGUGUGCAGAUCCAUAGGUUUCCUUUAACAAGGUAGUGGGUUGACUCAACUCCUCAGAGAUGAUAUAUGAAUUAAAUUCCACAAUUAAAUUCUUCCCAUUAAUAAAGGUUAAUUGAAACCUUUUAGGACAUCCACAAAUCAUGGUUGACAGCAAGUCACUGUUAUCCGAGCUAAAUGAGACGUUGUGGAAGAACCUUUUCAAAUUGGAAUGACCAGGCAAUUGAAUCAUUCUCUUAUGUCAACACUCCUUAUUCACAUUAUUAGAUCAUGGAAUCCGAUUGUCAAUAUCCUAAUGUGAAUCAUUCCUUUUAUAUGAUUAUCCUGAUAAGAUUUGAAGACUUCUUCUUUCAAGUCUUAUCCACUACUCUGUGCAGAGAUUUGACAAUCAUAUAUUGGAGUAUUCUCUCUCCUUUACUGAGAGUACAGAUUCCUUGUUGUACAUUCAUUUGCUUCCAUGACUCUAUUGAAAAUCCUGAUGAGCACCUUUAAGCUAUGCCUAAUUCAGCAUGACCGUAUAAUGCCCUCAAAGAUUAACAACAUCGCCACAAAACAUCUAUGAUGCCUUAGGUCUAAGGAUUAGUGCAUUGCAAUUUAUGAUUUCCAGCUUGACAUGUGAGUAAAGACUUCCAUGUUGUAACUUAUGAGUUGGAUCGCAUUCAGUGUACUUAUUCUUCUACAAGCACCUACACACAUAUCGAUGUGUCUCUACACUUAAUGACUUGAGACCUUGCCAUUCCUUACAUAUAGAGACGAUACUGUGUGUAUUGGUAUUUGCGGAAUAUCAAUAUUCCGAUGACCAGGAACAUAUUCAGGAUUUAGGGAUGAUGAGAAGUCUCCAUGUAUGCAAUCUCAUUACAUAGCUCUCAUAUCCACUUGUGCAUUCCUUGGACUAUGGUUGUUCUACAUAUUGAAAAAUAAUAUAGGAUGAUUUAAUGUAUAAAACAACCUUUUUUGCCCAUUGAUAACAUAAUGUCUCUUUUAUCAAAGAUGUGAUUAACUCUAACUAUUACAUAAUUAGUUGGCUUUAAGGGCAUAUUUCUAACACAAGAUGCUAGGAUCAUCACCUUCCGUCCCUUUUAUUUUUCCUUGGGCUUCACCUUCCCUUUGUCAAAACUUUUUAAGGAGGUGUUAUGCGUCAUGGGGUCUGCUUCAAGUCAGUGCACUCCGAACGUCGAUCAUGUGUUUUAAAAAUCUAAGUCGUUUCUUUAAGGUAGAGCUGACAGUGCAAGAGUUCCUCUAUUUCUUUGAAGUGAGGCACUAUAAAAAGUAUGCUCAAAUUUGCAUCUCCAAUCCCAAGCUGUUUGACACUUUCAAUCAAGAAGAUCACAUAUGGCACGAUGAGGUGUUGGAAGUCAGCGGACAGUAGGAAGGCGAUGCUGGUGAUGGUCCACUUGUUCUUAUUACCUAUUGCAACAAUACGUCAUUUUGUUGUUUUGAUAUGCUCUCCUUUUAUUUGAGUUUCUUGAAGUAUGGCUGAUUAACUUCUGUCUUUUGCUUGUAGUGAGCAUCAUCUACAAGAAAUUGGAACUUGGACUGGACAUGGCUAAGGUCGGCCGUGCUUUGAACAUCCCCCCGAAGUUUCGCAACUAGCGCUAGCUGUUGAGUGAGUAUCGGGAGGAAGUCAGUGGACUGCCACUACAUAGGAUGUUGAGAGAUGGAACCAGUCUAGACUCUAAUGAUCUGCUGGCUGGGCAGAAGGAGUGUUCUGCUGAACCCCCCUUAAAAAAGGAAGGUUGAUGUCAAGUCUUCAAGAAAUGGAGCUACGACUUCACGGGUGAAGGAUGUGCCUCUGUUAUGGAAGAAACCAAGGCUCCUUUCUACUGAGAAGACACAAGUAGGAGCUGCUCCCCUUUCAUCCGCUAGGGUUAAGCACCUCAAUAGCGCAAACAGUAUGAAGGUUGACACUCGAGACGUUCCAUUCAAGCCUCCUAUAGACAAGCUUGGAAAUCGUGAUCUGCUUUGUGAAGUAGUUCGCUCGCGAACUAGUUCACCUGCUGAGAGGCAAGGAGAUGCUGGUAUUCCUCUUCGAAGUUCGAGUCGUCUACACUAGUCAAAGGAAUGAGGUCGAACUGGGAGGUUUGCUCAUCCACCCAACUAUCAUGAUCCAGCUGUUGAGUCACGAGUAGUAAGCAUGGAGUUGAUUCAGCAUCGUUGACUUCUUUGGAGGUGAGGAUGGCGGUAGACAGGAAGACGAAAGAGUCAUCUACCUGGGUGAAAGGCUCUUCUACAACAUCAUCGGCUGAUCCUAAGGUAGACAAAUCCAGCCCUAUAGGGGAUGCACGAGUGUCUGAUUUGCUCAAGACGAACUUUUUGUCAAGUUCAGCCACUUGUGCUAAACUGGUUGAUCAAUUCCGUCAAGCUGGCGAUCUUGGUACUUUCUCAAGUAUUUCCUUGGAAAAACAAAUGGAAGCAACAUUUCAUCUGCUUCAAAAGGAGUAGUUUUUGCUGUUGAAACUAUUUAGAACUCGUCUAUUGUUUCCUUUUCUUCUGCUCAGCUCAACGAGUUGGGGAAGAAGAAUGCUGAACUAACUAGCAAGCUUUCUGCCAAGUAGACCCAUUGACAGGACCCGACCCAAAUUUCACUUUGGGAUCUGAGCCGAACCUUGUGAGUGUCUGACACUUGGCUAAUACCGGGCACAAAGACCAAACUGCCCUUCUAACUAAAAAUCCACUUUUAAACUUCUGCCGAAAAUUCGGUAGAGUUUCCCUUGUAAUUUACUCAUUUCACAAAAUUUUCACCCGUCAUCAAACAUUUAUAUAACUCAAUUGUUCAACAUGCAUUCAAUUAUAUCCAAACAAAUUAAGCAUCAUAAUAUUUUGGUCUCAGGUCGCAAUAAAUCAAAUAAAUCAAUCUGCUAAUAAAAUUCAUCUCAACUUUUAAAACAACAAUAAUGCAUUGGUAAACUCAAACAUUCUAACUCGUGGCUGCACCUUGUAACUAUAGGCUGCCUACGCACCCUUACUAAGGGAUCAAGCCACAUGUAGUUCUUUAAUUGCAAAACCACUCUAGUUCUCAAAUUUCAUCUCAGCUUUCUGUUUCAAGCUUCCUGGCAUUUUUCACAUGGCAAUAUAUAAUCAAACAGGAAAUAAAGCAUUUAUAUCAAGUAACCAUGCUUGGAAAGCCAUAACCAUCAAUUCCUCGCGACACUAAUGAUGACACGUCCAACCCCGUAAUCCUCGCUGGACUCAAGAGACAUCUGGUCAACCUGAUCCGCAAUCCUCACUCCUACGGUCUGGAUUACUCUAAGACUCGUGGGGCAAAAUAUGCUAUAAAAACUUGAGAUAUUUAAUACUAUAUAAAAUAAUGCAAAAUAAAGAUAAAUGAACGUAAUAAAAUAAAAUAAAAUAGAUUAAGAUUUAUAAGCUCCGAACACCCUUGUAUCAAACUCACGUAAAGUUCAUAAAUAAAUAUAUAUUUAUAUAUAUAUAUCAAUAACUCAAUUAGAAUUUAUAUAUAUUUCCAUCUAUCGCUUGUAAAACAAUUGUAAUGCUUAAGAAAAUAAUGGUAACUGUAUAAAAUCCUCAAUUUAAUUUAAAAGUAUCUCAGAACUUAAAUUCUCUCCACCUAGGUGUACCCCCAUUUAUGAUCUGUCAAUUCCUUUAAUACCGUCAAUUCCAUAUAUCCGUCAAUUCCAAUAAUAAUCCGUCAUUUCCAAUGUUAGUCCAUCAAUUCCAUCCUCGCAGGCCUCAGAAACACAAAGUUAAUCGAGCCGCAUUCCUCGUAGGUCUCAGAGAUAACACUUCAAUUUGAGUCGCAAUCCUCGCAGGUCCCGGAGACACCAAGUCCAUCUGAGCCGCAUUCCUCGCAGGUCUCAGAGAUAACACUUCAAUAUGAGCCGCAAUCCUCACACCACACAAUUCAGGCGUCCCCGAAAUUCGUGGGGCAUUAUCAUAAAUGACAAAUUGUUUAAAGGCAACCAGGGGGUACCCUCGCGGUGGGUUUGAAAAUCAUAACCCGUCAUGUAUAUAAACUUUCAAUAAAUUGGUACUCAACUAAACUUAAAAUAUAUACAUAUAUAUACAUAUAUAUAUAUAUAUACUUGAACAUUUACUUAAUUUCUUAUUUCUUUCGAAAUCUGAUUUACAAAUCAUUCCCAACUCUUCACAUCUGAACACAAUAUAAUAUCUUUAAAAGUAAUUUCGAUUACAUAGCAACUCAAGAACAAUAAAUCAUCCGAUAAUACUCAGCCAAAUACAAUGAUUAUAAUCAACACGAUAAAUAAAUAACUUCCAAUAUUUCAUAACCUUCCAAUACCAAAAUAAUAUCCAAUAUCAACACAAAACACUAUAACGUAUAAACCAAACAUAAACAAAACACUUAACAUAACAGUCAAUCCUCAAGUAUAAGAUCGUUCUAAUACUUCUCGAAGGAUAAACUACCUCGGAAGACUCUCAGCCCACAAAAUGGUCAGACUUCCCAAAUUGGGUCAACGGGGCCCACGGGGGUCCACUAACACCUAUCUCAAAACCAGGAGUCCCUAGAGGUCCCAAAAGGUCCCAAUAGGUCUAGGAUACAUGUCCCGAAAGUUUGGUCUCGAUCGGACGGUCGGAAUGAUCACGAUCGGACAAUUGGACGAUUUUCAUUGGGCUGGCCUUUUCGGAGUAUCUGGGACUCCGAUUCAUGAUCCGUUAAAUCCUACACUAUCCGGGAAUUGUCUAGGUCAACACAUAAUAGAAUAACUACUGUCCAACGAUUCAAACGCAUCGAACCCGAAAAUCGCAUAAUAUGCGAGAUCCGAUCGAGGCUCAAACGUUGUCUAAAUGGAGAUCCGCGAAUUCCUGCGUGCUCGUGAGGACCAAGAGAUUAUUUUAGGACUGAAUGUAACUUCACUACGAUACCCACGCGCCGCCACACUCGCUGGCAGCAUGUGGGUGUCUAGAGUAAACUCCGACGGCUCGAAAAACUCCAAACCGCUGGCCAAAAUUCCUACCCUAGGUCCAGGACAUCAAUUAGAGUCACUUUUGUUCACGGACCAGGGCCAAAAACUAACUGGAACUAGCUGGAACGAAGCCAAAACCGUCGGCAUAAUUUGGGUAUAUGAAACAAUCUGUAAAACUUCAAAAUCGAUCUAUAAUACCUACUUAAAUGGAUAGAGCACAAAUAGUAGAUGAAGUUUUGUACCUAGCUCGACGGAUUUCGUGACCAGGGUCGCCGGAAAAUGCAAAAAUACCGUCGAAAAAGCCUAACCAUUCCUUAGCUUCAAUUCGAGUUCAUCAUUAGCCAAUCAGAUCGGGUCUUACGUGGGUUUUAUAGAGGAGGACGAGAUGAACACUUUUCGUGAAGGUGGCGUGGCCAUCCCAUGAAUGACGAUGUCGAUUUUGUGGCUUGGAAGUUGAACCGUCACUGUUGCUACAGUGACUGUCGAAAAACAAAGAAGAAGAAAAAAAAAUGGCUGAAGCUGCUGGGGGAGGAAGGAGAGAAAAAUAAAAAGAGUUCGGGUACAGUAGCAAUAAGAAAUUUCAAAAUUCUCUUUACGUCCUUUUUGUUUCUAGACCUUUUCUUCUUCGUUCGGAAUUGGGCAUGCUGCAUGUCUACGAACUCGUAUCGUCGAGCUCUACGCAAUGAUACCACCCAAAUCCCCAAAUUCCUUCCCAAUUAAAAAAUCAAAUUUAAACCUAAUAAAAUAUUCUAGGGGUAUAAUUGUCUUUUUUCAGAAUAAAUUAAUAAUUAAAAAUAAAUUAAGGAUCGGGUUGUUACACCUGUUAUGAGAAUAAGACGUCUGAUUUGAGGACGAUGAUAUCUGAGCUGAAGAUUUCCCUUGCUGAGAAGGAUUCUAAGAUUAGCUCUUCUACUGCUGACUUGGCUAGUCGAAAAGAUGCGUACUUCCGUCUUAGCUAUGACAAGCUCUUAGCUAGAUUUUGUGCCUAUCACAAGUCUGCUGAAAAAUUCAAGUUCGAAGCUACCGUGGAUGCAUACAAGCUGUGAUACUUGGACUGCACAAAUGAAAAUGAUCCUUUUCAUUUUAGUGGAGAUGGAGACAUCGAGAUGCUAUGUUCUGACUUGCUCCCUAUGCAAAUUGAGCAGGUUAAUGUUGUGAACCUAGAAGGAGCUGAAGAGCAGGCGGCCGAAGAGGCUGAGCUGAAGAGGAUGGAGCAGAGGAAGAUGCAGCUGAUUUGGUGGUGGUAGACAUAGCGGAUUAGGCAAGUGGAGCUGCUGAGAGCGUACCUGAUCAAGCGAACGCCGAAGAGGCUGUAGAUCAGGAUCUUUUGCUGGCGUCUCGGAGUAGAUGAAUACUCCUUUAUUUCUUUUUCAGGUUUUGUAGUCUUCUUUCUUGUUUAGAAUAAUUGGUCUUUUUUGACCAUCUUCUUUUUGUUGAACUCAGCUGGUUGGUCACUUUGCUAUGGAAAUUUUAGUUAUUUUUUCAACUUCAAUUUGCAUAUUGUCAUGUGAACUGCAUGAGUAAUCGGCUAAUGUCUUGGCUGUGCCUUUCUCUUAGGAUGUUGACAAAAGCAAGGGUGGGUCCCCCUUGAGAGACUCCGAGCGUCUUUUGCGUCUCUCGAAAGACAUUUCUGGUCGUCGUGUCACGCCCCGGACCCAGGGUCCCCUGUGCCUGGUGCGUGAGAAAAUAAAAAGUAAUAUAAAAUAAAAAGAAAGCCGAAACAUAAAAUAAACGUUUCUUAUAAAAAUAGCUCCCAAAAUCUUACAACUUUAGAAUGAAAAAAUAAAGUUCGAUCACUCUCAUAUAAUUCAGCCUCAAGUGGUUUAGUCCUUGUCUUGCCCACUAAUGCAUCUGAAAAAUUAAACAGGGUGAGGGGUGAGCAACCACCACUAAGUAGGGACAUGAGACCUUACCACAAUAGAUUGAUAUAACUAAAUUAAAUGACAUGCAAUCACACACCCAAAUAUCACAUUAAUAAUAUUAAUGCAUGAAUGCACUUCAUCUAAUCCCGUAAAUUCAUAUAACUGGACAAGUAGACCUGCGCGUCUGAUACCAUGCUUAUACCACUUGGUCCCAAAUGCCCAUUUAUAUGAACUAACACCCAUUUCAAUCAUCUCAUAAUUCCUCUUUUGUUAGUCAUCUUGUCUAACUCUUUAUCACUAGUCCCAAGUCACCCAAUAAAAACCAUGUGCACUGUGGGAUCCCUGAGACCUAGUACCUGCCAAGAGUUAGACUCAACAGCACAACACACUAUUUCCAUUACCCUCUUUUCCAUCAUUAUUUUCUCAAUCCAACAACUCCAACCAAUUUUCAUGACAUGAUAUAAUUAUGCCUUUCACAUUUCCCAUGUAUCUAACAACAAUGUAACCAUUAAAACAUCACCAUUAUAUAUACAAUUAUGCCAACAUUAUUCAAAUAGUUAAGAAUACGUAAACACCCAAUACAAGGAACGUCACCCAAACUGUAAUAUCAAGAACAUCCAUUAUAAUAUCACACAUAAUAUAGAGCUCACGAAAUUUAAUUAGAUCAAUCCUUGUAGAGGCCCCCAAGAAACCCUUGCCUCGAUUCCAAAGCAUUGCUCCAAGUUAAGAAAAUACAAGCUAAACCCUAUAUCUCUUCCAAGAAUUUCAUCAUCAUCAUCUCUCUCUCUCUCCCUCUCUCUUUGCAUGAUAUCUCUUCCUUUCAUUAACAUUCCUAUUUAUAGGUGGUUAGAUGGCGGUAACAAUGGAGAGGAUAAUAACAAAGGCCAUUAUCUUAUCUAUACAAAAAGAUAACUUGGUUGCCACUCUUUUGUAUAAGCUGCUAUGUGUCAAUGUGUCAAUGCCAGGAUAUUUAUUUCCAAAGGCUGUGACACCUAUUGAACUUAUAAACUCCUCCUCAAGCUAAGAUAAAGCCUAGUAACCAAAUUGUAAGCAUGAGCUGUCCAAAUGCAUGGUAAUGCAUCAACUAAUUUAAUGGAAAAAGCUACCUCCAGCAUCCAAAUUAAGAUAAGAGAGAACAUUCUUUUUCUCCAAGAAAACAAUGUAAGGAUGCCACGUCUAAACUCUUAAUCCAUGUUAUAUAUUAAUAUAUAUGUAUAUAAAGCACCCAAUAACCAUCUAAUGGCAUCCCAAGAAAUACUGAACAAAUAUAUAAUUUAACCCUUUUUAUUCAAAAGAACAUAUGUAUAUAUAAAUAUUUAAUGAAAUAAUAUAUAUAUAUAUAUAUAUAACUAUUGAAAUGGUAUUAUAAGCGUAAAACAAUUAUAAAUAUACAUUUUCUUCUUAACAAGAUAAGAAUAUAUAAUAACAUUUAUUUUGAUCAAGUUUGGUCAGUUUGACCCUUUGGUUGAUUGUGAGUCUUCCGAGGUAGUUCCACCUAUCGAGAAGUACUAGAACGACCUUAUUAACGAGGCUUGACUGUUAUUUGAGUUAUGUUGAUUAUAUUGGGAUUAUGAGAUUGUUUUAUAGUAUCUUAUGGAAUUCUUGGAUAUUAUUUUGAUAAUUGAAGUUAUGGAAUGGAUAAGCUUGUGAUACGUGAUUGAUGAGUUGUGAAAUUGAGUCUUGGGUCUUGGCUAUGAUUUUGAGGAAAUGAGUGGACGUUUGUUUUUAAGUGUAUUUCGUUCUUCUAAUAUGGAAUUUCUUGCAUAAUGAGUUUUGAUUGAAAAUUGAUUUAAUUUGGCUUAGUGAGGUUAUGAGAUCUCUAAGGGUUAAUAUUUAUCAUUAUUUAAUAUUAUUAUGAUUAUUAUUAAAGUAUAUGGAUUGGGUGAUAUCGGGUUAUGUACAAAAUUCUAUUAUUUUAAUUAUGGAAUAUAGUAUUUUAUAGAAAUUAUGUGUAAACAAGUUUUGCUUAUUAUUUGAAUUAUUUUUGGAUCUUUAUGGAAUAUAUGCUUGAGAGUUUAUUUUCUAUACUAUGAACAAAUGUUUGGGACAAUUGAAUUAAGGAACGGAAUAUUAUUUUUAUAAUAUUUAUAUAAGGGUUAUGAACCUCACCCUCAUAUGUACUUUCCUGGCCCCUAUACCACACGUGACAUUGGAUUUUUCAUUGUUUGGGCUUCCUUGGUUACUGAUUUCUGGUCACUUUACCACAUGUGGCAUUAGAUUUUCCGGUAUGUGGUAAAGAACCCGGGCACAUUUGAUAUUCGUUGCUUUACCCACACGUGACUUUGGAUUUUCUGGCGUGUGGGCUCACUUGGUUUGUUUGGGCCACACAUGGAGUUGGAUUUUUCGGAGUGUGUGCUCACUUGGAAACUAGUUACUUUACCACAUGUGGCGUUGGAUUAUUCCGGCAUGUGGUAAAGGAUCUGAACAUAUUGAUUACGAUUACUUUACUACACGUGGCGUUGGACUCUCCGGCAUGUAGAAAAGUAACGGGGAGAGGAAAAUGGAUUAUUAUACUAGAUCAAGAAAAAUGAGUAAUGUUUAAAGAAUUAGGCUUAGCAUAUUGUGAUUUUAUUUAAGAUUGGAAAGAUCAUCCUAAAAUUAACUUAUUGAUAUUACUAAAAAUAAUUGUAUGUUAUCUGAUUCGUGACUAUUGAUCGAACAACUACGUGUUGCUUGAUGUUGAGAAAUUAUUGCAAGUGCACAAUCCACACCAGUAAUAUAGAAAUAAGUAAAGUGUCGUUCCCAUGAAGACUGUAAUUUCCUAUUAACUACCAAUUAUGAUUAAUUCAAAAUUUUAUUUGAACAGUUGAUUAAGAAGAUUGAUUCACUUAAGUAAACUAAAACAAUUAUGAAAAAUAGCAACUUAAUUAAUGAUGGAAAAUCAAGUUGAUGAGACAUUAGAGCAUCUGAUUUCACCAAAACCAAUUCCACUUAAUUCUUAUAGCCAAUUAACCCUAAUUACUACCCAUGUUGACAUUGAUUUCUCCUAAUUCAUUCGAUAUCCCCUCUUAAGCACGACCAAAAGUAUUCUUAAUUAACAACCCAUUCUCUCUCGAACAACGGAUUUAGAAAAUCAAGAACCCAUUAAGUUCUACGAGAACCUGCAAGAAAACUGCAUGAGUCAUGUUAGUCCCUCUCGGGCACUCAUUCAAGACAUUGUAUUUGUUACGAGAAACAAACACCAAAUAUCUCCUAUCGAUCUCUGCUUGGAUCAUCAAAUCAAUUAAAUAUUGGCCAGAUAUUCAAAGAAUUAAGAACAGUAACAAAUACUCAAUAUGGAAUAGUAAUCAGAAAUUAAUAUAACUAUAAAAAUUAAGUUUUCAUGUUUCGGAUACAUCAUAGCCCUAGCAAGGAAAAUUAGUUCAUGACAAAAGAAAAGUUAAACAAGAGAAUUGUUGUCAUAAAACUGAUUUGGCCGAUGGAUUUGAUCUCUGGAUUCUCCACAGGAACACCUUCGAAAGCUCCUCAAGUAGUGCAUCAGCAAAUUCUUGGCUCUAUAUUUCUCUGGGUGUAUGAAUGUUGGUGGAAAAAUAUGGUGGAAAAAGAGAUCGUCCCUAGAGAGAGCUUAGGGUGACCUUUAUAGUGUAAAACAACUAACCCUGCUCUAAAACGGUCUGGAAAAACUCUCCUAAAUCAAAACAAAAUCCCAAACAAUUAAGGAAACAAAGUAGGAAAGAAUCCUUCUUUGACUUGGAAACACGUCAACCAACUUGCACCCAUGUUUUGGGGUCGUUCCACUUCCUAGAAAAUUAUGAAAAAAUAUGAAAAACGUAGCUUUAUCUCUAAGCUAGGCAUAUAUUACACGCCACUAGAAAAAAUUGGAAAGGUCUUCAAAUCUUCAAUUUUCCACAACAGUGCAAUUCUGACGGGAUUUCAACUUAGGCUGUCUUGACUUGCAAGUCUAGAGCAUUUGGUUUAGUAGAAAAUUAUGAAACUUUGAUCUUCAAUGUCUUAACUUUAUUCUCCAAUUGGCCUUGCUCUAAAAUUCAUUAGAAAAGUUGAUUUUCAGUUGAAAUCCUUCCAAGAGCGCAGAAUAGCUAAAAAUAAGGAAAGUAAGGUAAUAAUGCUCUUUUUGAUGAACUUUCCCUACAUAAAACAAAUAUAUGAGGUAUUAAAAUAUAGGAAUAAUGCAGACGCAAGAUAAACCAUAUUUUUGGACUUUAAUUUGGUUUGUGGUUCUAACGGGGCGGAAACUUGUUUUAGAUUGAUGAAUGAUUAUUGAUUGAGUCUUUACAACUACUUAUGACUGUGCAUACUGAGGUUUGGAAAUUUUAAACUGCGUUUUAACAAAUUGAAAAUUUUGGUUAAGUCCGUUUUUCAAGGGAGACUCUGCCAAAAUUUAUGUAGAAAGUCUCGGCCCUCUCCUCCUUUGAUUGGAAGAAAGGGUAGGAUGUUAGCAAGUGGGCCCGGCAACAGUUGGAUGUUGGAAAAACCACAGGAUCCGUCAUGAAUUUCAAGAGAUUCGGGGCGGGUCCAGUCAUCUCCCCCUAAAGAGAAUGGGUCGUUGGAGCCAAGAAAUAGGCAAUAUUUUCAUACUUCAAGGUAAUGGGAAUACAUCAAUAAACAUAUCCUUUGCAAAGAGAACUCAAACACAAGUCAUAAGAGAACCUGGCUCUGAUACUAAGUCAAACAAAGUAGGGCAAAUAUUCAGUUAUGCCCAUAUGUGUAUUCUUCUCUAAUGUAGAGGUAUUUAUAAAGAAGUACAAAGAUGUGUUAACCCUAAAUAACAUAGAAAAUAGAACUAAAUUACAAUAGGUUUGAUUAUUCAAGAACAGAAUAAUGGAAGGAAAGAGGGAGAAAACAGAGAGAGUAGAAGGAAAAAGAGAAAUAACAGCUGACGUCAAGUUUUGCAAAGCUGAGAACGGUGGUUUCCGGCCAACACCUGGGUAUGAAAUUGUUCACCUGCUCUUCCUCUUCUCUCUUGGCGGCUGGCUCUUUCUCUCAAUACCUCGCUCUAUCUCUUUGAUGGCUAGCUUGGUCUCGUGCUCUCUCUCCAUCCUCUCCUUCAUCUUCUCUUCCACCAUUCUAUAGGUUAAGAUUUCCAACAAAAACUACCUUCAAGUGGAGCGGUUGAAUAAUGAACCUAAGUUCUUUCCAAGAGACCUUGUUUUGGAUGAGGAUGAUCAAAAGAACUUGCAGGAUGAUGUGAUUCUUGUGUCCCCUCAACCCAUUACUGUUGAGGAUGUUCAUAAGAAUGAUAUUGGUGAAGAAGCAGAGGAUGCUAAUAUGCAGGAUAAUGUAGAGAAAGAUGUGGGCUGGACAGUGGUGUCUAGUCGUAAAGGGAAAACCAAAGGAGCCAUGAGAGAUGGCAGAACCUUUACUGAAGUGGCUAGGGGCGUUAACUGAAGGGAACUCGGGUCCGAACCCUAAAGUUUUCUUUAAGGAUGCUAGGCCGAGUGGAGUGGACAAAGGGAAGAAAUUGGUUGAGGAACCGAGCCUAUCUCAGGAAGCUUAUAGCUCUUCUGAUGCUUUGGCCUUUAAGAGCCUUAAGAAAAGAACCAGAGAACUCUUUGAAGAAGUCCAGGAGGAGUCAGAACCAAGUGUUGAAAUGCUGGGGUUUUUCACCCCUCUGUCCAUGAUAAUAACACAACCAUCCCAUGAAGAUCUUAGUAUGGAAUAGCCAAGGCAGUGCCUAGCAUGGCUUUGUUAUCCACUCAGUCUUUUAUAUUAGUACUCUAUGUUUAGAUGUUUUUUGUAUUCUGGUUCUAGGGUCGCUCGGGAUCAAGCUGAUCGUUUGGUCCAAGGAUUAGGUUUUACUAGCAGCUUUUGUAUCCCCUCUGUAGGACAAUGUGGGGGAAUUAUCUUGAUGUGGAAUUCUUCUGUCUUAAAUAUUAGUAUUUUGAAUUAUCAUAAGCGUUAUAUUAACUGUGAGAUUCAAGAUCUUUCUACUAAGAAGGUGUGGAUAAACACCUUCAUCUAUGCCUACCUCCAAAAAGCCAAACAGGCGGCUUUGUGGAACGAUCUCAGGUCGCUUAAACCCAUGCCUAAAAUCGCUUGGAUUCUGAUUGGUGACUUUAACAAUUUUUGCUCUUUAGAUGAAAAGAUGGGUGGAUCUCAUGUGAUUACCCAGGCUGUUGAUGCUCAAAAUGGCUCGGCCAAUAUUGAGUCCAACUUAGUGAUUAGAUGUGCUGGGUCUUCAGUAGGGAAGAGGGCUGAGGCCCUUGGCGAAAUAUAGGUUGAUGGGAAACCUGCAGAAGACAAAGUGGGAGAAGCAAUCGUUAAGCUUCGGACACCGGUGUGGUGCCGGCCGAAGGCUCUCCGAUGCCUAAGUCAGUUACAAGUAGUAAUUCUGGCAGAGUAACAGUAAAAGUGGGAGAAUAGUUCUUGCUUUUACCUGGGUACUGUUCCCUAUUUAUAGGGAGGUGAAAGUAGGAGGUUUGCACAAAGUUCCGAUGUGGGACUUUGUGCAAGUCGUCGUGGUGGCGACACGUGUCCUGGAGAUUAGGUUUGGCAGCUGGGGGCUUCGGUAGGUGUCUGGCACCUCGGAAGUGUGUCUUCCUUCGGCACAGGAGAAGGCGUGGCUGCCUUGGUGCUAGUCACUUUGGUGCUGGGUAUGCUCGGUUCAUUAUGGUGUAAACAGUAGUCCCCCAAGUUCGCGGUCGAGAAGUAACUUCUAGGUUGGGAACUUGUGAGUUUUUGUAAUUGUAACCGAGCAUUCCAGCUUCGUUGGGAGUCGUAGGGCACUCCCUAGUCCCCCAAGUUGGCAAGCUAGGAGUUGCGUGAACAUAUGGUAGCUGGGUACCUGGGUACUUGGGCAUGUUGCAGAUAAGAUGUGAGCUGGGUCCGUAGGGGAGCCAGGCCUUCAAAGGAGCCGGGUUGAGUGAAAUUUUUGGACUCCCCACAAUUUGUCCAUGGCCCUUGCCGUUCGGCAAGGGUCUAGCCAAAUAUUUCCCUCAUUUUUUUUUUGGUGUGCUCGGGAGCUAGGCCAUCGAGGGAGCCGGGCCAUUUGAAAAUUUUCGACUCUCCAAAAUGUCUCCAUGGCCCUUGCCGUUCGGCAAGGGUCUAGCUUUUUUUUUUUUUUUUUUUUUGAAUGGCCGGGAGCUAGGCCUUUUUGGGAGCCGGGUCGUUUUUGAAAAUUUUGCUCUCCAAAAUUUCGACAUGGCCCUUGCCGUUCGGCAAGGGUCUAGCUAUUUUUUGGUUGCUCGGGAGCUAGGCCUUUUUGGAUUGGGUCUUCGGCAAGGGGCUGGGGUUGGGUUCAAAGUGGGCUUCGGCAUGUGAGAAAGGCUAGGGUUUUGAGAAGGUUGGACCCGAGAUGGGCCUUGGCCAAAAGAUAAAAGGAUAGGAGCUAGGGUUUAGUAUUGGGAGAAGGGUCUCUAGAGACCUUGAUAUAGCCUGCCGUUCGGCAGGGUGGAUAGAGAUUUUUUUUUUGUUUUUUGGGGCUGUUCACAUAAAUUCGGUAGGCAAGGAGAUUGUGACCGGAGAAGAGAGCCUGCGCCGUCGUCCGUAGCCGAGCAUAUUGCGGGCCAUUCGGGAAGCAAAUUUGUGGACUCAGGUCUGCACUGGCCUCGGCCAAGUCUGGUUCCGGAGGAGAUCGAGGGUAAGAGAAGAUCGAAGUGUGGGCUGGUCCUUCGGCAGGGCGGCGCAGCAACUGGUUCGGUGAGCCUUCGGUGUAGCAGUUGCUGUCGGAGUGGUGCUUCGGCAAGGCGACACAGCUGGAGUAGCUUGGUUGUGCUUGCCGAUCGGCAGGUCUUGGCCACGGCUGGCCUUGUUGUUGAUCGAAGCUUCGUCAAAGCAUCGGGGUUGUCCUUCGGCAGGUUCUGUCCGAGGAGGUGCUGGCUGCGCGGCAGCUGGGUUGUCGUGGUGUCUAGCAGAGGGAGAGCUGCCCAACGUUCUUGCCGUUCGGCAAGAGACGUGGCGACGGCUGGGGUGUCCUGCGGCAGGCGGUGUUGCUGGGCAGAUUCUGCAGGCCGUGGCUGGGGUUGUUUCGGCAGGCGCCGUAGCUGGAGCACGGGGCUAGGGCCUUCGGCAGGUGCUGCGCAGGGUCGUUGAGGUAUUUGUUGAAUCCUUCCGAUCGGCAAGGGUGGUGUGGAGAGUAUUUUGACCGAAAAGGUGAGUCCCCCAUUUGUUGUUUCCCGGGCCUUGCCGUUCGGCAAGCCCAUUUAUAUUAUGUGGUGGAAUUGGCUUGGGUGUCUUGAUCAAAUUUGGGCCGAGCCUUGUAGUAGGUUUGGGCUUAUGGAGUAGGCUAGCAAACUUGAAAUUUUGGGACUCCAUUUUGUGUUUGCACGGGCCUUGCCGUUCGGCAAGGCCCCUAUGUUUCCCUCAAUUUUUUUGUUUUUGGUUGUUUGUGUAUUUUGGAAAUUGAAUUUCAAAUUGUGUGUAGGUACAAGGGAUUUAGGAGGGAAUAUGAAAGGAUGCUAGGGUUUGCUCGUGAAUCGAGGCGUGGUACCCUUAGUUGGCUAUAAAAAGGAACUUGGGGUGGGGAAGGCACCACACUUGAGUUGAGUUGAGAAAAUUUGUGAGAAAUUGAAGAAGAGGAGAGGCGAUUUCCGGCGAUUAGUUUGUGGUGGUGCUUGUGGCUGAGGUGAUUUUCGGUGAACCAUUCGUGGUGCUACGAACAAGGUUAGACCUUAUUUCGCUAGAACCUUUGAAUUGAAAUGUCUUGUUUUGCAUGAACAUGUUGAAGGUUAGGAAGAACACAUUGAACAUGAGCAUGAAUAUGAUGAACAUGUUGAACAUAUGUAUGAACAUGUAGAAUUCUUGCCUGGCAUGAAGAUUUGGCAAAUUUUUGUUGUUGUGGUUCGAUCCUCUCUGCAUGUGCAUUUAGUUCCUUUUUCUUGUUUUUCCAUAUUUGUAGAUGUCUGAAAGUUCUGAUAGGGAAGUUUGCACAAAGUUCCGAUGUGGGACUUUGUGCAAGUCGUCGUGGUGGCGACACGUGUCCUGGAGAUUAGGUUUGGCAGCUGGGGGAUUCGGUAGGUGUCUGGCACCUCGGAAGUGUGUCUUCCUUCGGCACAGGAGAAGGCGUGGCUGCCUUGGUGCUAGUCACUUUGGUGCUGGGUAUGCUCGGUUCAUUAUGGUGUAAACACAGGCCAUGAUGAACUUUAAUAAACUUCUAAGUGACUGUGAAGUUGUUUCUACGAAUGCUUCUAGGGCUCCUAUGAUAACUCUGUUAUCUUUGAAAGACUUGACCGGGCUGUUGCAAACCCGGAUUGGUUGAGACUUUUUCCCAACUGUGAGUUCCAAAAUCUGCCUAUCUUAAGAUCAGACCAUGGUCCCAUUCUCCUCAAUUGUAACGAUACCCCUAGAAGAGUCCCCAAAGCCUUCAGGUUUGAGGCCAUGUGGUUAGCCCAUAGAGAUUUUGACAAAGUGGUUAACCAAAUUUGGAAUGCUUCCUAUAGUGGGAAUGCUGCCCAGAAAAUUCAAUCAUGUUGGAAGUUUGAAAGCAAAUGUCCCACAUUGGAGAAAACAAAAGGUUCCAUAUGCUUUAUAAGCAUGAAACCUUAAUAUUAAUUAAAUAAAGAUUGGUGGGCUGAUGGGCUUGGUAGUGAAGACUAUCAUGGUUGGCUUGCUUGAUUAAUAUUAAUAUUUAAAUAAUCAAGACUUGGGCCUUGGGCCUUGGGGGUCUCUGGAAAAUAAAAGAAAUAUACCUAGCCCGAAAAUAAAAUAAUUAUUUUUUAUUUUCGGAUUUCUUUGGCAGAAGUUAAAUUCAAACCAAAAAGACUUAUCUUUUUGUUUGAAUUUGAACAGGUAUAACUGAUACUAACUGCUAUUUUGAAGGGGUGUAAUUCUAUUAUAAAACCACAAGUCCUAGGCCAUAAGACAAAUCUCUUUUCCUUAAAACUAUCUCAUAUUAUUUUAAAGUUACCAACUGUAUUGGAGAGAAGCACACCAACGUUCGCCAGAAUUCAAGGAUCCGGUACUGGACCCUUGAAUUAUAGAUAGUUGAAUCCUGGGAGAUAGACGCCUGUUGAACUUCAAGCACUGAGAAGAGGCGAAAUUCGGUCUUUAGGACAUUGCAAAUACGCAAGCCUCUAUCUUCAAUAAAAGUCAGUAUUCUGUACUUAAUUUAAAUAUUUGCACAUUUAUACAGAUUUCGUAAUUUUGCUACUGUUUAUAUUUUCAAAAUUGUGCACUAAUAUAGUGAUCCUAUAGUUUAAAACAUUUACUGAUUAUCUUCGUAACAAAUCCUGCUGUAACACUUUUAAGCACAAACUAAAAUCCUGAAACAGAAAUGUCUUUGGGGACUUGUUCCAAAAGAUUAGAUUCAUCCAAGAGGAUUUACUUUUAACCCAGAAACAAUUAGCCCAAAACCCCUACAAUUCUUAUCUAUUUGAUAAAGAACUCAAGUUAAACACUGAUCUAAGGACUAUGCUUGAUCAAGAAGAAGUUUUUUAUGCCCAAAAAGCAAGAGCUAACUGGCUUCAACUUGGGGAUAAGAACACUAAAUACUUUCACACUCAAGCUUUAAUUAGAAGGAAACGUAAUCAGAUCACUAGAAUUAGGGAUCCUAAUGGGUUGUGGGUUGAGGGUGAUGUUCUCCAUCAUACCUUUAUUCAAGCUUUCAAGCUUAUAUUCACUGCUGAUCAGACUCCAAAUCCUCUUCUAAUGAGUAAUUUUCUUCAACUUGUUGAGCCUUGCAUCACUAGCCAAGAUAAUGUAAAUCUGUUGGCUCCUGUUUCAUAUUUUGAGCUAGAGUAUGUUGUGUGGAGUAUAGGGCCUCUUAAAGCCCCUGGCCCUGACGGCUUGCAAGCAGUGUCCUACCAAAAAUGUUGGAAGAAUACUAAGAAUAAGAUUAAGGACCUAGUUAAUGAUUUCCUUAUCAAUAAUGUUCCUCUACAGGAUGUCAAUCAUACCAAUAUCGCCCUUAUUCCUAAAGUUAAUUCCCCGAAGACUGUUAACCAGUAUAGGCCCAUUAGUUUAUGCAAUGUCUCGUACAAAAUUUUGAUAAAUCGUCUUAGACCUCUGCUUUCAAAAUGCAUAUCCAGAAACCAAGGAGCUUUUGCUCCAGGUAGAUCUAUUUUUGAUAAUAUUCUUGUUGCUCAUGAAUUAUUCCAUGACUUUAAAAGAAAGAAAGUUAACAGAGGAGCUAUGGCCAUUUAAGCUUGACCUUGAAAAAGCCUAUGACCUCCUUGACUGGAGUUUCAUUAGAGGCUGCUUGGCUCAAUUUGGUUUUAGUAAUGACUGGUGUGAUCGAAUCAUGAACUGUGUUUCUAGCACUUCCUUUUCCCUUCUUAUUAAUGGUUCUCCCUAUUGUCACUUUAGGGCUUCCAGGGGAAUUAGGCAGGGAGAUUCUUUGUCGCCUUAUAUUUUUAUCCUUUGCAUGGAGCCUUUUAUUAGGCAUUUAAAUUGUAUUGCAAGGAAUCCUAAAUCUAAUAUGGGUUUGCUCUCUUCCCCAGGAGGUGAUCGUAUCUCUAACAUGGUCUUUGCUGACGAUUGCCUUAUUUUUGCUAGGGCAACUACCAUGGCUGCCAAAAAUAUCAAUACAGUGUUAGGUAAUUUCUCUAAAGUUUCUGGUCAGAAAAUUAACUUGCAUAAGUCCACCAUUUAUUUUUCUGGAAAUGUUCAUUCAAAAGUCAGAGCCGUGCUAAGUAAUCUUUUGCAGAUUCAACAUAAGACCACCUUAGGUCGUUACCUUGGCAUCAACAACAUUAUCUUUUGGAAAGAUCCUGCUAAUGCCAAUCUUUUGAUCGAAAGAAUUUGGUCUAAGUUUGUCGGUUGGAAGGCCAACACUUUAUCUAAAGCUAGCCAUCUCACUCUAAUUAAGGCUAGUGUCUCUGGAAUUCCUAACCAUACUCUUUCCUGUUUUAAAUGUCCCAAAGAAGUUUGUAAGGAAAUGAAUGCUUGUUGUAGACCUUUUUUCUGGGCCAGUGACAAGAAGGUCCCCCCAAUUUCUUGGAAAGAUAUUUGUUUGCCAAAAUAUCUAGGAGGUCUAGGGGUUAGAUCUGCUACUCUUUUUAAUAAGGCGGGUUUAGCCAAAUUAGGUUGGAUCUGCUUGACUGAUACUACCAAUUGGUGGGCUCAAAUCGUGACGAAAAAAUUACUUAAAAAGAGAUUGCUUUCUUUUUGUCAGAAAAAGGACUUCUCAGUCGCUUUCCUGGAAGGCUAUCCUUGAUGUUCGGUCAGUUUUGCUUAAAGGUUGUAGAUGGAUUGUUGGUAAUGGUCAAUCCAUUCCCUUCUGGACUGCUAAUUGGGUAUUCCCUUUCCCUUUGCUUGAUUUAAUUCCUGAGUUUUUGAGAAAUAACUUGAAUUUGAAUCCUUCAAGUAAUUGAUGAAGAUGUUAUGGAUCAAAUCCUUUCUAUCCCUCUCCCUUUGUCUCCUCUGCAUGAUAAAUUAGUCUGGGGGUCUGACCCCAAUGGGAAGUUUUCUAUUAAAUCUGCUUAUAAUUUACAAUUGUAGGAUAAGCCCUCACACCCGAGAACUCCUUUGCUGAAGAAAAUGUGGAGCUUGACUUUGCCCCCUAAAGUCAAGCUACGCUUGGUUACUCAUACGAAAAAGACUGCAAGUUCGAAGUCAUUUACAAAUACAUACCUAAUAUUAAUCCUGAAUGCCCCUGUUGUAAGAAUCACUUGGAGACUAUUAACCAUUUAUUUUUUGAAUGUCAAUUUGCAGUUAAUAUUUGGAGGUGUACCUCUAUCAAUCCUACAACCUCAAAUCAGAAUUUUGAUGGUAUCAAGUGGCUAGAUUUGCUCCCUUACAUGAAGGAUAAAAAUGGCCUGAAUAUCCUCUCAAAAGCUCUCCUCCUCUGCUGGCAAAUUUGGGAGGCUCGGAACAACUGUGUCUUUAAGAACAUGGCCCCCCAUCUGGCUAGUGCUCUUACUGUUGCUGGUCAAGUUGGUCUAGACUUUUUUAAAAACAACUCCACUCCUCCCCUGAGGCCUAAAGGUGAUCUGUCUAUCAAGUGGAAGCCGCCUCCCCCCGAUUGGAUGAAAUUAAAUUUUGAUGGUUCGGUGCGUGAACAUAUGGCUGCCAGUGGUUUUGUUAUCCGAGAUUGGAAUGGCAAUGUUAGACUUGCGGGAGCUAAGAAGUUAGGACAGGUUUUGAUCAAUGUGGCGGAAUGUUUAGCCCUUCGUGAUGGCCUAGCCCAUGCUAUCAAUAAUGGUUGGAGUAAAAUUGUAACGACCCGGUCCUAAACUAAUAAUUAAAUAUGAAAUUAUUAAAGAAAAAGACAAUAUUACCCCAGAAUAUUUUAAUAGGUUUACAUGUUGACUUGUUGACCGGGGAGACUUUGGUGAAAUUGUUACAUCCUGGUCCGAAAAAGUGUUAAAACAAUUAAAAAGAGAAUAAAUUUAAAUGUGGAAAUAAAUUGAAGUAAACAUUAAAAUAAAAUGAUUUGAAUUAAUUAAGGUUUUUGAGAAAUUAAAACAUUAUUUAAUAUUAAAAGGGGCACAAAGGUCAUUUUAAGUUUGGGAAAGAAUUUAGAAAUUCUGAUUAUAUCAUUUUGUAGAGCACGUCGAAACGAGUCCGUAAACACGUAGUGGUCUCAAAUCGGAGUUGUAACGAAGAAAUGGCGAUCCAAAGAAGUUCAGUGGCAUAAUCGUAAAUAGUUCGAAGUUCAGUUUUUUUAAAAACCCAGAUUUCUUCUCUCUGGGCAGUUCGACCAGCUGACUUCCAAAGGUGAUAUCUCUCAACUCCGACCACCAAUUGAAGCAAGACCAGUCCCAUUAGAACCAUCACACUUACCUCUUCCAGACCCAACCUCUCGCUACCCCGAUCCGCCGCUGUAUUCGCCGGAAACAGCCAAUAAAAGGGCGGUGUUGAACAGUUUUUUGGUAAACUUUCACCGGCUCGUUCUCCCUCCUCCGGCCACCGUUUCAUGCGAGUGAGGUAUGCUUUCUCACCUAUUUUUCAUGAUCUAGCUGAUGGUUGAGUAGGAAUUUAUCAACUUUGAGCCUAGUUAGUUCGAUUUUCGAACCUCGAUUCCGGCCACUUCGGGUCACUUUUUGGGGUAGAUUUAAGAACUAAAGUGGUUCCAAAUAGGGUGUUUUACCUAGGAUAGGAAGCUGGGUUUCCAGCUUUGAAGAUUUCCGGUUGCCGGAAUUUGAUCAAGCUACCCACUAGCUGCCAGCGCUUGUGGCGGCGCGUGGGCAGCAUAGUGAAGUCAUUUUCAGAACCUAAAAUGAUUCUUGGUCCUCAUGAGCGCGUAGAAAUUCGCGGAUAUUAAUUUGGACAACGUUUGAAUCCCGAACGGAUCUCUCAUAUUGUGCGAUUUCCGGGUUCAAUGCAUUUGAACCGUUGGAUUGUAGUCAAUUUUAUAUAUGUUGAUCUAGACAAUCCCAGGAUUGGGUAGGAUUUGACUGAUCAUAAAUCGGAGCCCCGGAUACUCCGAAAAUGCCAAACCUAGGGCUAGGUUUAUAGUAACCAUACGAUUGUGCAAUUGUGAGUAAUCCGACCGUCCGAUCGAGGUCAAACUCUCCGGACAUAUGUCCUAGGCAGGUUAGAACCUCUAGGAACUCUCAAAUUGGAAUUUUGAGGUCGUGGACCCCACAAGGUCCCAGGUUGACUUUUUGGGACUUUAUCGCUUUUAAAUGCCGAGAUACUUUUAGACCGCUCUAAACCCUGGGAAGAGCUACUUUGAGGAUAGAAAUGACUUUAAAGUUGGUGCAUGUACUUCUAGAAACCCAGGGCUAGGGUUUCGGAUAAAAUAACGUGGAUGAGCUUUAUUGUUUGUGUGUUUUAGGAAGUUCAUGUACGUACGAGUGUUCAUUGGUUUAAUUAUGACAAUAAUUUCAUGGAUUAGAUUACCAUAUCACUUAUUAUGAAAUUAUAUGACUAUGGAAUAAGUAGAUAUGAUUGUAUACAUGUGGAUUACUAAAUUAUAUAAAAGUAUUUGAAGAUGUGAUAUAGUAUGUGAUGGUAAACCUAAAGGGUAUUUACGAUAAUUGGAGAUUAUGUAAUUUUGAGAAUUGAUUUCUGGAAAAUUGAGAAGAGAAUAUAAGCAGGGUUUGUGAAACAAGAGGACCUUUGAGAUAAGUUUCAGAAUAUGUUUUUUAAACCCACCUCAGGAGUACCCCCAGUUGCCUUGAGACAGUUUGUUAUUUAUGAUAAUGCCCCAUGAGUUUCGGGGACGCCUGAAUCAUGUGGUGCGAGGAUUGCCGCUCAGAUUGAAGUAUUAUCUCUGAGACCUGCGAGGAAUGCGGCUCGAAUGGACUUGGUGUCUCCGGGACUUGCGAGGAUUGCGGCUCAGAUUGAAGUGUUAUCUUUGAGACCUUCGAGGAAUGCGGCUCGGUUAACUUUAUGGUUCCGAGACCUGCGAGGAUGGAAUUGACUGACUAACAUUGGAAUUGACGGAUUAUUAAAGGAAUUGACGGAUCGGAAAUGGGGGUACUCCUAGGUAGAGAGAAUUGAAGUCCUGAGAUGUUUUUAAACUAAAUUGAGGAUUUUAUAUAGUUACCAUUAUUUUCUUAAGCGUCACAUUUGUUUUACAAGCGAUAGAUGGAAAUAUAUAUAUAUAUAGAUUCUAAGCAAGUUAUUGAUGUAUAAAAAUAUAUUUAUUUAUUUAUGAACGUGAGUUUGAUACAAGGGUGUUCGGAGCUUAUAAAUCUUUAACUUAUUUAAUUUUAUUUAAUUUUAUUAAGUUUAUUUAUCUUUAUCUUGCAUUAUUUUAUAUAGUAUUAAAUAGCUUAAGUUUUUCUAGCAUAUUUUACCCUACGAGUCCUAGAUAUAUUCGGACCGUGGGAGUGAGGAUUGCGAACUAGGUUGACCAGAUGUCUCCUAAGUUCAGCGAGAAUUACAGGUCGGGACGUGUCACCAAUGGUGUCAUGAGGAAUUGAUGGUUAUGGCUUUCCAAGCAUGGUUACUUGAUAUAAAUGCUUUUAUUUCUUCGUUUGAUUGUAUAUUGCCAUGUGAGAAAUGCCAGAAAGCUUGAAACAGAAAGCUGAGAUGAAAUUUGAGAACUAGAGUGGUUUUGCAAUGAAAGAACUACGUGUGGCUUGAUCCCUCAGUAAGGGUACAUAGGCAGCCUAUAGGUACAAGGUGCAGCGACGAGUUAGAAUGUUUGAAAUUACCAAUGCAUUAUUGUUGUUCUGAAAGUUGAGAUAAAUUUUAUUAGCAGAUUGAUUUAUUUGAUUUAUUGCAACCUCAUACUAGAAUAUUAUGAUGCUUAAUUUGUUUGGAUAUAAUUGAAUGCAUGCUGAACGAUUGAGUUAUAUAAAUGUUUGAUGAUAGGUGAAAAUUUUGGGGAAUGAGUAAAUUGCCGGGGAAACUUUGUCGAAUUUUUAGCAGAAGAUAAUCUUAUUUUUUUAAAAUGGAUUUUUAGUUAGAAGGGCAUUUUGGUCUUUGUGCCUGGCAUUAGCCAAGUGUUGGACACUCACAGGGUUCUGCUCAGAUUCCAAAGUGGAAUUUGGGUCGGGUCCUGUCAAAAAUUCUAAUUGAAGGUGACUCCAAGCUUAUCAUCGACUGCAUAAACGAAAAAACUUUGGUUCCAUGGAGUAUCCAUCUCUUGGUGCAAGAUAUCAGACUGCUUAGUUCCUUUUGUUAUGAGUUUUCCUUCCAGCACGUCUUUUGCGGAGCAAACUUCACUGAUGAUGCUUUAGCUAGUUUAGGCCAUAGCUUGAGCCCCUCCCACCUCUAGGAUCGGGGGCUCCCUUUAAGUUGCUCUAUUCCUUUUUAUUUUGAUUUAUUGGGGCAUGCGUGCCCUAGUGGGUUCCGGUUGUAAGGUUCCUUAUUUUCCUAUAAAAUUUAAAAAAUAAAAUAAUAAAUAAAAAAAAGAGAAGACCAAAGUUAUCUUUUUUCCCCCCAGAAUAUAUAUGGCCUUGUGGCCCUAGUUCUAAGUUUUAAAAUACAAAUGGCUUCAAUAUGCUUAUCAGUUACUGUUAUAGUUGAACAUGAAAACUCCAUUUGCCAAUAUAGGAUUCAAGAGAGAGACAAUUAUGGAUAAAUAAUACUCAUUCAUAUAUUGGUCGAAAAAUUAUAGAUUUCUUUCAAUCUCGGUCAUUGGUUGCAUUCUCUGUUAUGUCAAAGAUCUUAUAUUAUAUAUAAAAAAGGAUUUUGCAACUAUGACGUAUAAGAUUUUGCAUUCUCUGUCAUGUCAAAUUUGAUUUAUAUUGGGUUCUAUUUCUAUAGUUUUUAGUAUGAUUCUUAUUAUUUUUUCUUUAUCGGUUUUGUAUUUUUCUCAGGCCUUUCACUUGUGAAGUAUGGGGAAGAAGCCCUCGAUCAAAAAGUCAACUUUCCAGAAACGCUGGGAAGGCAAAGUUGUAACUACUUAGGUAAUGCCAAACAAGAUGGCAAAGGGAGAAGAACAACCGAUCUAUUGUAACCACUGAGCGGGAAGAAAGUUCUGCACCAUACCACAAAACCCUUGCAGAUCACCCUUUGUUUGGCGUGAAGCGAUAUAUACACAAGAACCACAACUCAUAUGAUCCCGUGCUACAUGUUAAUGUCGCUGGCCAUUUAUCUCACAAGGUACAUAUCCAAUUGCAUUUCAAAUUUGCACAAUUGCAUUUCACAUAUGCAAUUACCUGUAUAUUGUCUGGAAAUUGUUAAUUCAAUUGCAUUUAAAAUUUGCGCAAUUGGAUUUCAUAUAUGCAAUUACCUGGCUGUUGUAUGGCAAUUGGAUGAAAUAAAAAAUAUGCAACUUGCCACAAAGUUUGCCCUGCUCUAGAUAGAUGUAGUCUUAUGCUAUAUUAAUUUUUUCGAUGGCAAUGCAAUGUUCACCGUAGAAUUUUGUGUAUGCUGCUUUUCGAUAAAGAAUAUCAGAUCUGGAAGUAGUAUAACACUCGCCUUUUCUUUUCUUUUCUUUUUUAUUUAUUUAGUUUUUUUCUUUUAGGCUACUUGCUUAAGCAAACUCUGUGUAAAUUGUGUGUCUGAAAAUCGGAUACAACAUUGCUUCAAAAAAAUCUGAUAGAGCAGUACUUCAAGACACUUAUUUUAUGUCUUUACUAUCUUCUCAGCUCUUCUUCUUUUAAAUAAAUAUUUUAAAAAACAAAAUCUCAGCCCUUCUUCAUUACUCCUCUAGUUAGUUACUAACAUCCUCUCUUAGAUCAUAUGGCUGGUCACAUCCUUUCCUAAAACAAAUAGAAGCUGCUAAACAGUUUUUUAAUUUAGUGUCAGUUUUAAUCUUAUAUGCAUAUGUUACUUAAGUAUUUCUUACUUUCUUUUGGUUGGAAAUAUGUAGGAGACUUAAAAUCUUCUCAAAGUUUGCAAUUCAUUGAUCAAUGUACCAAAAGAUAGUGAUGGAUAUUUGACAAAUAUGAGAUGCAAGUCAAUUGAGCACAUUAAGGGAUGCAGCGGAAACUACAAACAUGUUCUUCUUUGUGUCGGUUGUGACACUUGGAGUACUAGUAUACUCCCAUUUUUAUUGUUAACAAAAAAAUAUAAUAUAAUAUAAAUCGAGAUAAGCACGUAAAUUGCAUUUACAGUUUGCAAUUGUACUAUAGAGUUGUAUUUUGAGAUUAGUGUAUACUUAUUGUCAUGUUACUGACACCCUUUUCAAUUUUGAGAAUGUAAAUAAAAUAUGUGAUUUGUCAAUGCAAUUGACAAACAGGUAGUAUCGUUUGCAUUCUAGUCGUACAAUUGACAAACAAAGCUGUUCCAUUUACAUUCCAGUUGCGCAAUUGCCAUUAUUUAUGUACCCACUAAAUUAAUGCUCCAACUAUUUAUAUAAAUUUUGUUAUGUACUCAUGAUUAAACAUGGAUGCAAUUAUAUUUUCCUCGCUUUUUUGGUUGAAAUUAUAUUUUCCUUGUGAAUGUUGUCAUAUCAUACUACUUUUUUGAACAGCGAGGCAACGUUUGGAAUCCCAAUAUGCAAUUGCCAAUUUGCGGAACAACUUUUGCACUUUUGCAUUGUUAGUAUACGAAUACCAAAAUUCAUAAUCAAUAAAUAAUAUCAAAUCAUUCAAACUUAAUUGUAUUUUAGACAUGUUGUGCAAUUAAUGUGUUAAUCAAUAACAUACACACAUUGACAUAAAUAAAGUUACGAAGCAUUAUAUUUUCACAUUUUAAGUAUUAUGCCACUGUGAAUUCAUAAGUAUGCCAUUGUGAGUCACAUCAAAUUACAUAUUUUGCUUUCACUUAGCCACAUCAAGUUUGUAAUCGACGAACACGAACAGGCACCACAUAAUUGUCAUUCCAACUUGUGAAAACUGACUACUUGAUUAGAAAUUGCCAAAUGACCUAUGUCAAAGGUAAAUUAGGCUAUUGAAACAUUAUGUAUUAGGAUAAAUCUCAACGUUGUAAAUUGUAAUGAAGAUGUGAAAUCUCGUAAAUGAGAAUCAAAAUCUUGUAAUCUACAAGAUUAUGGAUACAAUUUACAAGUUUAUGGAAUCUUCAUUUCCAAAAUAGUGUAACAUAAGUCCUUAAUGUUGUAAACCCUUGUAAAUUAGGCCAUUACAAUAUUAUGGAUUAAAGUGAACCUUAAUGUUGUAAUCACCAUGCGAGAUCUCAUAACUGGAACCCAAAUCUAGUAACGUACAAGAUUAGGGAUAUACUUUACAUAUUAUGGAACUCUCAAGUCCCAACUAUUAUAAAAUGAGUCUUUAAUGUUGUAAAUUAUUGUUUUUACAACAAUAAGGAACACUCUUUUAUGACAUUAUGGUACCCUCGGUCCUUAAACUUUUAACAAAAUUAUUUACUAGAAUAAUGACCCAUUUUACGACGUUAAGGUACCCUCGGUCCUUAAUCUUGUAAAUCAUUGUUUACUAGAAUAAAGACCCAUUUUAUAUCCCAAAGGUCCACCAUUACCAAUUCUUUAUAAUGUGGAUCCAUAUUCUUGUAAAAGACUUAUUUACAACAUUAUGGAUUUGGUGAACCCUAACAUUGUAAUCUAUGAGCAAAACCUGGUAAAUUGUUACCAAAAACUUGUAAGUUACGAGUUUAGGGAUUCUCUUUACGAUGUUAUGGUACUCUCGGUCCUUAAACUUUUAACAAAAUUAUUUACUAGAAUAAAGACCCAUUUUACAUCGCUAAGGUCCACCAUUACCAAUUCCUUAUAAUGUAGAUCCAUAUCCUUGUAAAAUGGUGAUUUACAACAUUGUGGAUUUGGUAAAUCCUAACAUUGUAAUCUAGGAGCAAAACCUUGCAAAUUGUUACCAAAAACUUGUAAGUUAUGAGUUCAGGGAUUCUCUUUACGAUGUUAUGGUACCCUCAGUCCUUAAUCUUGUAAAACAUUUUUUACCAGAAUAAUGACCCAUUUUACAUCGCUAAGGUCCAUCAUUACCAAUUCCUUGUAAUGUGGAUCCAUAUCCUUGUAAAAGGCUGAUUUACAACAUUAUGAAUUUGGUGAACCCUAACGUUGUAAUCCAGGAGCAAAACUGACAGGACUUGACCCAAAUUCCCCUUUUAAAUCCAAGCCGAACCCUGUUCGUGAUCGACACCUGGCAGGUGCCGAGCACAAAUGACCUGGUUGCCCUUCUGGUUACAAACUUACUUUCAUUUUUACCUUGACUUCUACUGAAAAUUCGGCAGAGUCUCCCCUGUAAUUUGUUCAAUCCCAAAAUUACACCUGUCAAAACAAGCAUAUAUACAUAACCCAACUUCUAGCAUGCGUAUAUAUAUACAAUCAACAGUAAAGUUCGAGCCCAGGGGCAAUAUCAGAGCAUCUAUACAGAUUAAUUUACAAGAAGAACAUUUGGAGGGUCAAGGGCCCUACACUAAGCUGAAGAGAUGCAGGAAGCGGAAACUGCCCUGUGGUGGCUUUCAAAUGCACGUCUACGGCCUGGGGGCUCAAAACAUUUAAAAGGUGAGUGGACCCAAAAACAAAGUUUUAAGAAAAAUAGCAUAAGAACAUACUAACCCCACCGUGAAAACAAUUAUACAAAACUAAUUCAUUCUUUUAAUCAUAUACAUACUGAAAUCAAUGCACUCAUAUAUAUAUAAAUAUAUGUCAAGCAAACUCAUAUCAUCUUUAAACUCUUAAAAGCACUGAAAUCAGUUUAAAACUACCACCUAGGUGUACCCCUUAAAUUCUGUCAAUUCCUGAUAAGGUCAAUUCCUGAUAAUCCGUCAAUUCCCCUGGUAGGUCUCGGUGACACAAAAUCAACCUGAGCCGCAAACUGGCAGGAUUCAGGGGACCGUAGUCAGCCUGAUCCUCAUUCCUGGACCUCACGGUCCGGGCGUCCCCGAAACUCGUGAAGCAAAUGUCAAGCGCGCUGACAAAACUGAAGGCAACUUGGAUGUCCGUGGACAUCGUCAUAUCCGAAGGCAACAUAUACCGAAGGCAACCUGUUUCUAUAACUGGGUACCUAAGGUGGCUUAAGAAAAUCUAAAAAUCUUUGAAAAAUAUGAUAAAUAACUGAAUUUUUGUUAAAUCUAGAACUUUGCUGCCAUUUAUCUGUUAUUUAGCUAAAAUUUCCUUUUCCUAUAUCCAUAACGGAUAUCUCACUCGGUAGCAUGUGAAUUCAAAACAUUUAAAAGCAUAUAUCAACUAAUAAAACACUAAUCUUUGAAUAAAACGUAUUCAAGAUCAAAUAUUGUAACUAAAUAGCAUAAAUUCAUUUAUGAAAACAAAGAGUCCACUCACAGCUGGUCCGAGCUCGCUGGACCUUUUGGAGGUCCCUCCUGCUGGUCAACUGGUGCCCGGGUGCCUCACUCGUCCAAUUUGGUGGCUGGAUGAAGGAGAACGAAAGCUUGGAAGUUAUGUCAACUCCGGCGUGAUCUCGAGCAUUUUCCGGCAAAAAACAGCGGUUCCAAGGGCAGGGACCGGUUGGGAAAGGAAGAGGAAGCAGUGGUGGUUCGAUUGGGUUCGGUCCCGUCGGUCGGAGUGGAGUGUGGCGAUGGUUAUGGAGGUUUGAAGGUAACGGUUUAAAAUAGGGGGGGCCUGCUGGUCGAGAGAGAAGAGUGAGGGAGGAGAGAGAGACAGUCAGUUUUUAAAAAAAAUCCUGAUUUCAAAAUUACCAUUUUCUCCUUCUACGUAUUUUGACCGUAUUUUCUUCGUUACAACUCCGAUUCGAGUCCACUCCGUGUCUACGGACUCAUUUCAUUGUACUCUACGCAACGAUGCAAGUGAAAUAGUCAAAUUCUUUCUCGGUCAAAAAGUCAAGUUUUCCUUUACUAGAAUAUUCUAAGGGCAAAAGUGUCCUUUCUUCUUAAUAGUUUAAUAGUUAACUAUUAAUUAAGGUUUGGGUCAUUACAAUCUACCCCCUUAUAAAACAUUUCGUCCUCGAAAUUUACGUACCUGUCACUCGAAGAGGUAAGGGUACUGUUCCCGCAUUUGGUCCUCGGGUUCCCAUGUAGCCUCUUUCACAUUAUGACUUCUCCACAAGACCUUCACGAGUGGGAUCUCCCUCGAACGCAAUACUUGCAUCUUCCAAUCCAAAAUAUGGACUGGUUGCUCUAUAUAAGUCAAAUCUUCUUGUAAUUCUAUUGGUUGUUCUUCCAAAACAUGAGAAGGAUCAGAAAUGUACUUCCGAAGCAUCGAGACAUGGAAUACAUCGUGCAACAGGGAAAGAUCUGAAGGUAAAGCAAGCCUGUAAGCUACUGGGCCCAUACGCCCCACGAUCUCAUAUGGCCCAAUAUAGUGAGGACUUAGUUUUCAUCGCCUCCCAAAUCUCAUUACGCCCUUCCAAGGCGAUAACUUCAGAAAUGCCCAAUCACCAACCUCAAACUGGAGGUCUUUCCUUCUAUUGUCUGCAUAGCUCUUUUGUCGGUCCUGGGCUACCUUGAGUCGUUCUCUAAUUAUUUUCACAUGUUCCUUCAUCCGUUCAACAUCAUCUGACACUUCCAAUCUGUGCUCACCUACUUCAUCCCAAUAAAAUGGAGUUCUACACUGUUUCCCAUAUAAGGCAUCAAAUGGAGACAUCUUGAUACUCACCUGGUAGCUGUUAUUAUAGGCAAACUGCAUAAGUGGCAACUUCUCAUCCUAGUCACCUCGAAACUGCAGUGCACAAGGUCUCAGCAUAUCUUAUAAAGUCUGAAUUGUCCUUUCAGACUGACCAUCUGUUUGGGGGUAAAAUGCAGUACUAAACCGCAACUGGGUUCCGAAAGCUUCAUUUAACUUCACCCAAAAACGGGAGGUAAACCGUGGAUCUCUAUUUGAAAUAAUAGAUACUGGCACCCCAUGAAGUCUAAGUAUCUCAUCUAUGAAGAUCUUGGCCAACUUAUUUAGCAUGUAGUUUGCUCUCACCGGUAAGAAGUGGGCAGAUUUGGUGAGUCGAUCCACGAUUACCCAAACUCCAUCAUGCUUAUUCUGUGUUCGGGGAAGCUUAAAUAUGAAAUCCAUAGUAAGAUGUUCCCACGUCCAUUCGAGAAUCGGAAGUGGUUGUAACAACCCUAAUGGUUUCUGCCGUUUAGCUUUCACUUGCUGAUAAAUUAAGCACAUCCUGACAUAUUCUGCUAUUUCUUUCUUCAUAAAAGGCCACCAGUAGUGCUCUCUCAAAGUAUGGUACAUUUUUGUACUUCCAGGGUGCAUUGCAAAAGCUGAACCAUGGGCCUCCUCAAGAAUUUCCCUCUUUAAAGCUUCAUCAUUAGGGACAUAUAACCUGGUACCCACCAUUAAAGCUCCAUCAUUUCUUACUGAACAGUCAGUUCUGUCACCAUUCUCCACCUCUGCUUGUAGUGUGCAAAUCAAAGGAUCCUGUGAUUGAGCGACGAGUAUUCGUUCCACUAGCACUGGUCUCACAUGGAGAGUAGCUAAUAGUGCUCCCUGAUUAUCCACACCUAGCUCAACUCUGAGCUUCCUCAUUUCUACCAUCAAUGGCACGUACCUCUCUCGGAGAUAAGCUACAGAUCCCGAGGAUUUCCUGCUGAGUGCAUCAGGUACAACAUUAGCUCUUCCUGGGUGAUGCUCAAUGGUACAAUCGUAGUCCUUAAUCAACUCUAGCCAUCUUCUUUGCCUCAAAUUCAAUUCCUUAUGGGUGAAUAAAUACUUUAAACUCUUGUGAUCCGUAAAAAUCUGACAUGUUUCCCCAUAGAGAUAGUGCCGCCAAAUCUUUAAGGCAAAAACCACUGCAGCUAAUUCCAAAUCAUGAACAUGAUAAUUCUACUCAUGCUUCUUUAGUUGUCUAGAAGCAUAAGCAAUUACCCGACCAUGCUGCAUUAGCACACAACCAAGUCCCUGUUGGGAUGCAUCACUGUAGAUCACGAAAUUUUCACUAUCAUCUGGAAGUGCUAAAACCAGAGCGGUGGUUAACAUGGUCUUGAGUUCAUUAAAGCUUUUCUCAUGCUCAUCUGACCAUUCAAACUUAACUCCUUUUCUUGACAAACUAGUGAGAGGCGCCGCUAUAGCAGAAAAACCUUCCACAAAGCGACGGUAAUACCCGGCUAACCCAAGGAAACUCCGUACCUCAGUAAGACUGGUUGGUCGUGGCCAGUUCACUACUACCUCAAUCUUCUGGGGAUCAACAUAAAUAUCCUCUGCAGAGAUCACAUGCCCCAAGAAACUAACUUUGUCCAACCAGAACUGACACUUGCUGAAUUUGGCAUACAAUUGCCUCCUCCUCAGAGUCUUCAGCACAAUUUCCAAAUGCUUCAUGUGUUCCUUCUGACUCUUAGAAUGCACCAGAAUGUUGUCUAUGAAUACAAUCACAAAGCGAUCCAAGUAACGUCGGAACACCCUGUUCAUGAGAUCCAUAAACGCAGCUGACGCAUUGGUCAACCCAAAUGGCAUCACCAGGAACUCAUAGUGCCCAUACCUCGUUCAGAAAGCUGUCUUAGGCACAUCCUCUUCUUUAAUCCGUAAUUGAUUAUACCCAGAUCUCAAAUCAAUCUUGGAAAAUACCUUGGCACCCUUCAGCUGGUCAAAUAAAUCAUCAAUGCGAGGCAAAGGAUACUUGUUCCGCACCGUGACUUUGUUCAGUUGCCUGUAGUCAAUGCAUAACCUCAUGGUGCCAUUCUUCUUCUUAACAAACAGCACUGGAGCACCCUAAGGGGAAAAACUAGGUCGGAUGAAGCCCUUAUCUACUAGCUCCUGCAACUGAAUCUUUAAUUCCUUCAACUCUGCUGGUGCCAUUCUGUAUGGUGCUUGAGAUAUAGGAUUCGUUCCUGGAACGAGCUCAAUGGUGAACUCGAUCUCCCGGUGAGGAGGUAACCCAGGAAUAUCCUCGGGGAAUACAUCCGGAAAUCCCUGUACCACUGGAAUAUGUUCCAAUCUCUGCCCAUGAUCUCUGGUAUUGAUCACAUGUGCUAAAUAUCCUGAGCACCAUUUUCUGAGUAACCGUUUUGCUGUCAUAGCUGAAAUGAGGCAAGAUGGAAGCACUCUGCGCUCGCCAAAAAAUGUCAUUUCAGGUCGUCCGGGACUACGGAAUACAACCUCUUUCCUAAAACAAUCCAUUGAGGCAUGAUGCUUGGCCAACCAAUCCAUGCCUAAAAUGACAUCCAAGUCAACCAGUCCCAAAGGGACCAAAUCUGCUUCCAAAAAUACAUCUCCCACUAGCACUGUACUAUCUCGAUACACCGUACCUACUUGAAAAAUCUCUCCUGUAGGUACAGAGAUCUCUAGUUGGUUCUGUAGGGCUGAAAGUCUUACAUUAGCAUUGUGGGCAAAACUAGGUGUGACAAAUGAGUGCGUAGCCCCAGGGUCAAUCAAAACUCUAGCAAGGAUUCCAAAAACUGGUAAAAUACAUGUGAUCACGUCAGGUGACGCCUGUGCUUCUUGCUGGGACAUAUUGUACACUCUGCCUGUGGCUCUGGAACGUCCACCCUGUCCCUUAUGCUGACUACCACCUCGGUUGGCAAUACUGGUCUGGGCUCCACCACUGGACGAGGCCCCUACAAACUGUGAUGUCCCCUGUGAUCUGCCCUGAGUGCCUAUCCCCUGAGGCAAUGUGACUGUAGCCUCUCCACCCUGAAGCAAUAUCGGGCACUCCCUUAGAAAAUGUCCAGAUUGACCACAAUGGAAACAUCCAGUAGUGCCCUGUCAGCAAGUCCCAGUAUGAUACCUACCACACUCAGCACACUGAGGAUUCCUCCUCCUACCAGAUGCUGACUGUAGCUGUCUCCCAGAACCUCUAGCUGUACUACCCCUGGAGUGGUUCCCAGAACUGCCACUCUGGUUGGAACCUCCACUAGAACUGACUCUAGGUCAAAAACCUCCAUAACUGCGGCCACUAGGUGACCCAGAGCUGUAACUGCGUCUCUUGGAUGACCCCUGACUGGGACCACCCAUAUCAAACUACCUCCUUCGAGGUUCACCCCGUGCUCUGACCAUCAUCUGGCUGCUCUCAAUCAAUGAAGCAGACAUCACCAAAUCCCCAAAAUUAGUCAACCGCUAGCUAAUCACAAUAUCUCUAAUGGAGGCCUUCAACCCUCUAGUAAACAACUGACAUUUCUUAUUCUCAUCCUCGACUAGUGGAACACAGUACUUAGACAGUUCAUUGAACUUUUUCUCAUACUCAAGUACGGUCAUUGUACCUUGUUCCAACUGCAAAAAUUCCUCCAUUUUCAUAUUCUGGUAGGCCUAUGGGUAGUACUGACUGUCAAAUGCAGCUCGAAAUAAUUGCCAAGUGAUGGCUGACGGAUCUCAAUAUCUCCUUUUAACAGACUCCCACCAAUGUCUAGCAUUCCUGAUCAAAAAGAAAGUGGCCAGAGUUACCCUACGGUUCUGUGCAACGGCCAUCACCUUCAUGAUCAGCUCCAUCCUCUCUAUCCACUCUUCAGCCACUGCUGGGUCGCCAUCACCAUCAAAAUCUAUGGCCCCAAUCCUCUUAGCUUGGUCAGCAUAUCCUAGGGAGGGAUCUCUGGACUGCCCAGUCCUGGAUAGAGCCUGGGUCAACAACUCCAAAGUCUGCUAGAAAAUAGGACCUCCCGGCAUAGUGGGCAUGGGAGGUGCGGCCCCUGAUGGGCCUCCAACAAAAGACUGCUCUACCGAUUCUGGUACCGGUGCAGAAAUGGGAAAUUCCUCUUGCUCGAGAGGGGGAUUAUGUCCCCUGACUCGGGACGACUGUCUGGUCCCUCUACGGAAGCCACCACGUUUCGGGCCCAUGCUUACUGUCAUAAGAAAUAAUUGUUCAGUAAAACUGGAAAGCACAAAGUGCGGAGUCUACAGGAAGUUAAACCUAAUGCUCUGAUACCAAGUUGACAGGACCCAACCCAAAUUCCCCUUUGGAAUCCGAGCCGAACCUUGUUCGUGAUCGACACCUGCGGGUGCAAGCACAAAUGACCUGGUUGCCCUUCUGGUUACAAACUUACUUUCAUUUUUGCCUUGACUUCUACCAAAAAUUCGGCAGAGUCUCCCCUAUAAUUUGUUCAAUCCAAAAAUUACACCUGUCAAAACAAGCAUAUAUACACAACCCAACUUCCAGCAUGCAUAUAUAUCUACAAUCAACAAUAAAGUUCGAGCCCAGGGGCAAUAUCAGAGCAUCUAUACAGAUUAAUUUACAAGAAGAAUAUUUGGAGGGUCAAGGACCCUACACUAAGCUGAAGAGAUGCAAGAAGCGGAAACUACCCUGUGGUGGCUUUCAAAUACAUGUCUACGGCCUGGGGGCUCAAAACAUUUAAAAGGUGAGUGGACCCAAAAACAAAGUUUUAAGAAAAAUAGCAUAAGAACAUACUAACCCCACUGUAAAAACAGUUAUACAAAACUAAUUCAUUCUUUUAAUCAUAUACAUACUGAAAUCAAUGCACUCAUAUAUAUACAAAUAUAUGCCAAGCAAACUCAUAUCAUCUUUAAACUCUUAAAAGCACUGAAAUCAGUUUAAAACUACCACCUAGGUGUACCCCUUAAAUUCUAUCAAUUCCUGAUAACCCGUCAAUUCCUGAUAAUCUGUCAAUUCCCCUGGCAGGUCUCGGUGACACAAAGUCAACCCAAGCUGCAAACUGGCAUGAUUCAGGGGACCGUAGUCAGCCUGAUCCUCAUUCCUGGCUCUCACGGUCCCGGCGUCCCCUAAACUCGUGAGGAAAAUGUCAAGCACGUUGACAAAACUGAAGGCAACUUGGAUGUCCGUGGACAUCGUCAUAUCCGAAGGCAACAUAUACGGAAGGCAACCUGUUUCUAUAACUGGGUACCUAAGGUGGCUUAAGAAAAUCUAAAAAUCUUUGAAAAAUUUGAUAAAUAACUGAAUUUCUGUUAAAUCUAGAACUUGCUGCCAUUUAUAUGUUAUUUAGCUAAAAUUUCCUUUUCCUAUAUCCAUAACGGAUAUCUCACUCGGUAGCAUGUGAAUUCAAAACAUUUAAAAGCAUAUAUCAACUAAUAAAACACUAAUCUUUAAAUAAAACUUAUUCAAGAUCAAAUAUUAUAACUGAAUAGCAUAAAUUCAUUUAUGAAAACAAAGGGUCCACUGACAGCUGGUCCGAGCUUGCUGGACCUUUUGGAGGUCCCUCCUGCGGGUCAACUGGUGCCCGGGUGCCUCACUUGUCCGAUUUGGUAGCCGGAUGAAGGAGAACGAAAGCUUGGAAGUUCUGUCAACUCCGGCGUGAUCUCGAGCAUUUUCCGACGAAAAACAGGUGUUCCAAGGGCAGGGACCGGUCGGGAAAGGAAGAGGAAGCAGCGGUGGUUUGAUUGGGUCUGGUCCCGUCAAUUGGAGUGGAGUGUGGCGGUGGUUAUGGAGGUUUGAAGGUAACGAUUUAAAACAAGGGGGGCGGCUGGUCGAGAGACAAGAGUGAGGGAGGAGAGAGAGAGUCAGUUUUUAAAAAAAAAUCUUGAUUUCAAAAUUACCAUUUUGCCCUUCUACGUAUUUUGACCGUAUUUUCUUCGUUACAACUCCGAUUCGAGUCCACUCCGUGUCUACGAACUCGUUUCGUCGCGCUCUAUGCAACGAUGCAAGUGGAAUAGUCAAAUUCUUUCUCGGUCAAAAAGUCAACUUUUCCUUUACUAGAAUUUUCUAAGGGCAAAAGUGUCCUUUCCUCUUAAUAGUUUAAUAGUUAACUAUUAAUUAAGGUUUGGGUUAUUACAAAAAUCUUGUAAAUUGUUACCAAAAAAUUGUAAGUUACGAGUUGAGGGAUUCUUUUUACAACGUUAUGCUACCCUCAUAUCCCAAAAUUGUAAAAUCGGCCCUUAAUCUUGUAAACCCUCAUUUUACUAGAAUAAGGACCCCAAUUUACAUCCUCAUGGUCCGCACUUACCAAUUCCUUGUGAUGUCGAUCUAUAUCCUUAUGAAAUAAGAAUUUACAACGUUAAGGAUUAUUAUGAGAACCCUAACGUUGUAAUCGUGGUGCAAAAAUCUGUAAAUCACUACCUAGUCGUGUAACUUAUAUGUUUUUAGAUCUUCCUUACAAGGUUAUGGUACCCUCGUAUCCCAAAAUUGUAAAAUUGCUCCUUAAUCUUGUAAACCCUCAUUUUACUAGAAUAAAGACCCAAUUUAUAUCUUCAUGGUCUGGAGUUACCAAUUCCUUGUAAUGUGGAUCCAUAUCCUUGUGAAUGGGGAUUUACAACAUUAUGGAUUAGGUGAACCCUAAUGUUGUAAUUAUGGUUCAAAAACUUGUAAAUCACUACCCAAAUCUUGUAAAUUUUGGGAUCCUCUUACAAUGUUAUGGUACUCUCGUAUCCAAACUAUUGUAAUACCAGUCCUUAGUCUUGUAAACCAUCGUAUUCCUUGUAAUGUUGAUUUUUGUCCUUAUAAAAUGGGGAUUUACAUGGGAAGCUAGGAGAUUGGUAACUUUCUUCUACUUCAUUACCCCAUUUAGUAUUUUAUUAUAUUACAAUACAUAUAUAAAAAAAUUAGUAUUUUAGUUGAAAUUAUACAUAUUAUAUGUAAAUACUAUAUAUAUAUUUAUGAGUGGAUAUUCUUAUUAAACAAUUUUGUUAUGGAUGGGAAAGGGGAAACCCAUAUAACAAGGAUAUGAACCAAAAAUCAGAGGAGGAUCAUAAGAGAGAGUUUUGUGGGAACAUGAAUAUGAGGAUGACAAUGUAUUAAAUUAUUUGUUUAGGCAUAGAAAUAAGUUUGUAAAAGCAUAUUUUGAAUAUGCUAUGAGUCAUAUUCAAGAAAUAAUAUAUAGUGUUAGUUUUAAGACAUUUCUCUCAAAUUAUUUUAGAAUAGCUUGAAUUCUAAAAUUUCGUACAUGAGAAGCGAAUGAGAUGGUAAUUCAAUUACUUUCUCCCCCUUCAUUACCUCAUUUAGUAUUUGUUUAUGUUACAUACUUAUAUAAAAUUUUGAGUAUUUUAGUUGAAAUUGUAUAUAUUAUAUGUAAAUAUCAUAUUUAUGUAUUAUAUAUUGAUUAUAAAGUUUAUUUAAGUAUUAUAUUAUUAUAUAUUCUUAUUUAACAUUUUUUUUUACUAAUCGGAACAUGAACCAAUUAUAUUACGAAGAUAUGAACCAAAAACAUAGAAGGAUCAUAAGGGAAAUUUUUAUUGGAAGAUGCUAUGAUUCAUCUUCUGUUAUAAGAUAUUUGUUUAAAGUUAUUUUUAGAAUAAGCACUAAUACAUAUAUAUUUUUGUAUAAUAAUAUAUCAUCUUCAGAAGUAAUUAUAGUGUGGCUUCAGAGUAUGGUCAUAUAAUAUUUAUUAUAAUAUAAGUGGAUAUUUAUUGAUGUUAUGCCUUAAAAGUUGAAUAUCUUAUCAUUGAUUGAUAUUAAACUCGUAAACGAGUUAUACUAUGUAGUCGUAUUUUAGUUCCUUAUAGUAAUUUAUUCACAUCUAAAAAAUGACAAAAAAAUUAAAAAAUUUUAAAAAAAAUGAAAAGAAUAGUUUAGAUGUUUAAAAAUUAUUUCAGUUUGGCCAAUUGGAUUUAUAUAAAGUUACCCAAGUUGUAUUGAUUUUGGUUACAAGUUAUAUAAAGCAACCCCUAACUCAUGACAAAAAUCUGCAAAUGUUGUGAAAUAAUUGAAAUAAUUAUAACAACAUUAUGGUCCACCCUAAUCCAUAACACUGUAAUACCCUAAUUUACGAAGAAAAUGACACAUAGUACCAAAGUAGGAAUGGCCUUUGGAGGAGUAAAAUUAGGUCAUUAUCCUUGUAAACACAGCUAAAAAUUUUGUAAUCAACGAGAAAACUUGUAAACUUUCUACUUUUAUACUUGUUUUUCUUGAAUUUUAAUCUUAACAAUGUAGUAUAAAAUCCAUGGCCAUGUUAGGAAAAAAAUAUAAAUGUAUAAUACGUCGUGGAUGUCUACAAAAGUACAACUAUUGUAACAUAGAGUUCAACAAUUAAUAUAGUUCUUAUUUUAGAAAUUGAUUUCAACCAAUUACAUAGACAAAACUCGAGGUGAAAAAAUUUGAUGGAUAAAGACUUUCAAGCUUUUCACCAAUUUUAUGAAACAAAAGAAACAAAAAAAUUAGAACUAUCAACCUCAAUUGAUUUUUAAAAACUAGGCAUAAAAUACAGAGGAAUUAACCACAACUAGCUAUCAUAAUUCAUAUAAAUAAAACCAGCAACUCAUAAUGAACUUGAGUAGAGCUUUGAUGAGGUGACAUAUUGAAAUAAGAAAAAAAAAAGUCUAAAACGGUUCUCAUAAAAAAGAGUCUAAAAUGGUAACAACUCAAUUGAAAAAUAACAUGUCAAAUCAUAUGCCAAUUGCCAAACAGAAAGGGAAUAAUUGCAUGACCCUUAUGCAAUUGCAUUUGUGUUAAAUAUUAACAAAAAAUGGAAACUUGAUGUUUGGGGGUGGUCAAAAUUCACUCAAUCUGCCAAUGAGGAAUUCUUAGUGGCCGAGAAUUCUUAGCUGCCGAGAAUUCCUAGUUGUCAAAGAAUUCCUAGCAGCCGAAAACUCCUAGAGGUUGAAGAAUUCCUAGCGUCCGACAAUUCCUAGCGGUCGAAGAAUUCCUAGCGGCCGAGAUGCCUUCUCAAAAAGGUGGCCGAUGUGUUUUCUUUAAAGUUCAUGGUGCCUUCUCAAAAAUGCGGCCGAGAUGUUUUCUUUAAAGGCCAUGGCACUUCUCAAAAAGGUGGGCCGGGCACUCCUUAAAUACCUUGGUCGGCCACUCCUCUUGCAAAAAGCUAGCCGGUCUGCAUUUGUAGUGGAGACUCAAAAAUGGCUAGGCGAAUCUGCUAGAGUUUCUCGACCAGGUGAAAUCCAAGGUGUGGCCAGUUGGGCCUUGAGGUUUUUAGCAGGCCAGAGCUCGGGAUUCUUGUGGCCGGACCUUGGGGGUUUCGUGGAAGCUGAAGGGCAAGGCCGGCCUGGAGCGAGAUGCGGCUGGGAGUCGUUCGAGAUAAGGCUGGGCAUAGUUCAAAGUGCGGCUAGCUGGGCUGUGCUCGAAAGUGGCUAGGGCUGCAACAUGCAGCUGGGCACGCCCAGAACUACUAGGAUAUCUCACGGCUAGGGUAUGUUGGAAGGUGCGAGUGGAAUGUUGAAGCUGAUGCCCAGUUUUUUCGUGACCAGAGGCGUCAGGGGCUACAAGGAUCUCUGCAGCUGGUGCCUUGGGCUUUUGGCAAUUAGAGAUUGAGGCCGGCCGGGUUUGGAGGCUCGAAGGGAAGAUUGGCAUCCUGGAUUUGGUCUUUUUGCAGCUAGGAUUUCUUCAGGCUGAAGUCUUUAAUAUAUAUAUAUAUACUAACUCUUCAACAGUCUGAGCCUCUAUUUAUACUACAUCACUUCUCUGAGUCAGAGUCAAUUGCUAGCAUAGAUACUGAAUCUAGUAAUAUUUCUAAAAUAGAAAAUGCGUUUAGAAAUAUUGAUUGAAAUUAAUCCACAAGUACAGAGAUUAACAAACAGAGUCAGCCCUACUAGCUUCACAAAAAAUUGGUAUCCUAAGCCUACGCCACCUGAUAUCCAGUUCGAAGAACGAAAUACUCAAAACCAGUUUUCUGUUUCUUAUGAUAAAUUAUACGAAUGGAAUAUUGAUGGUUUUUCUGAACAAGAAAUCCUUAAUAAACUUCAACAUAUGUCUAUGGUCGCCAAUAGUUACAUCACCAAUCACAGUUCAGACAAUCUGAAAUUGUCCCCCUAUUAGAAACAGGUUUCACAGGAACUCUUCGUUCUUGGUGGGACAAUAAUUUAACACACGAAUCUAAGCAACGAAUAAUUCAUUCGCUAAAACUUAAUGAAGAUGGUCUUCCUAUUUUUGAUGAACAAAUAGGUCAAGGCAUCGAAGAUGGAGUCAAUACCCUGCUUUACACAAUAGUCAAUCAUUUUAUUGGAACGCCUAGUAAUACUACUGCUAGAAUACAUGAUCAAUUGAGUAAUUUGAGAUGCCCCAAAUUAUCUGAUUUUAGAUGGUAUAAAGACAUAUUUAUUUCCAGAGUCAUGAUUAGAGACAACAGUAAUCAGCCUUUUUGGAAAGAAAAAUUUGUUAAUGGAUUGCCGAAUUUAUUUGCUCAUAAAAUGCGAUCAACCCUUAGUAAUGAACAAGGUCAUAUUGAUUGGGAUAGCUUAACUUAUGGAAACAUAAUCAGUACUAUCAAUCAAGUCGGAAUGCGGAUGUGUGUCGAUAUGAAAAUUGGUAAACAAAUCCAAUCUGAAAGAAAUUAUGCCAAAUAUGAGUUAGGUAAUUUCUGCGAACAGUAUGGUUUAAUGUCUAUCCCCCCGUCUCGAAAAAAUAAGCUUAGUUAUCAUAACCGACAGUUUAGCAAAAAGCGCCAUCAUUCACGUAGAAAACAGUCAUUCCAACACAAUAAUGAAGAUAAAGAAUUUUAUAGUAAAAGGAGAUUCUCCCCUAAGAAAAAUUGGAAAAAGAGUCAUAAUAAAGAUAAGAAUAGCAGCUUUAAGAAAAGAACCGACAAAAGAAAAGUGAAAUGUUAUAAAUGUCAAAAGUAUGGUCACUAUGCCAAUAUUGUAAAGUUAAAAACACAAUCAAACAAUUAUAAGUCACGGAUGAAGAAAAAGACAAAUUAAUUAAAGUCCUUGAGUUAGAAAAUACUGAGUCAAGUGAAAACGAAACCAUGGUUAGCCACACUGAGUUGUCUGAAAUAUAUUCUUCUGAGUCACAAUCCAGUUCACCCAGAAUCCAAUUUGGUUGUCAAGAUAAUUGCUGCAAAUCUAAGUCAAUCAAUGUCCUUACCAAACAGGAAGAACAAGAAGAAUUGUUAAUCGAUUUAAUAAGUAGAGUUGAAAAUCCCGAAUUAAAAUCUGAAUAUUUAAAGAAAUUAAGAAAAGUCAUUAAUCGCGAGGAACAAAAACAGUCCACCCAAAAGAUAAGUCUGAACACAACCUUAGAAAAAUUUAACAAAAAGAAAGAAGUCACCUUACAGGAUUUACAAUGAGAAGUAAAGACAAUUAAAAAAGAAAUCAUUGAGUUAAGACAAAUAAGCCAAAAAUUACAAAGUGAAAAUUAUGAAAUAAAACAAGAUCUCAUUAAUCUAUUAGAAAAGAAAAUCUCUGAGUCUAAAGCAGAGAGUCCCAUUAAUUCAGAUGAAGAAAACUCUAUCCAAGAUCAAGCUGUUAAUUUAAUUAAACAUCUAAAUUUUAGGAAAUGGUAUGCCAGAGUCACUAUAUUUGUCAAAAGCUUUAAGUUAAACAUAGUCGCCCUUUUUGAUUCAGGGGCUGACCUUAAUUGCAUCCAAGAAGGACUAAUCCCAACUAAGUAUUAUAAAAAGUCAAGAGAAUCUUUAAGUACUGCCUCGGGAAAAUCACUCCAAUUGAAUUAUGAAAUCCCUAAAGCCUAUGUCUGUCAAAACAAAAUCUGCUUUAAAACUUCUUUUGUCUUAAUUAAAAUAUCACUGAUGAAGUUAUAUUAGGUCUUCCAUUUAUCGCCCUUUUGUACCCUUUCCAGGUUGAACAUGAUGGUGUCAUUUCCACCUGUCUAGGAAAAAAAUAAAAUUUGAAUUUUUUAGUAAACCUGAGUUACAUAAUUUAAAAGAAUUCCAAAAAAAUGCGGUCACUAAAACAGUCAAGAUAAUUCAAAAUAAAGAUAAACAACUAAGAUUUCUUCAAGAAGAAGUUAAAGCUAAGAGGAUUGAGCAACAAUUAGGUCAUAAGCCUUUACAAUCGCAAAUUCAACAGUUUGAAGAAAAACUAAAACAAGAAGUCUGUUCUGAAUUGCCCAACGCGUUCUGGCAUAGGAAACAACAUGUUGUCAGCCUUCCCUGUGUCAAAUCCUUUAGUGAGAAAAAUAUUCCUACUAAAGCAAGACCUAUUCAAAUGAGCCAAGAACUAAUGGAAUUUUGUAAAAUUGAGAUUACCGAUUUGCUCAAAAAGGGAAUAAUUCGUAAGAGUAAGUCACCCUGGUCUUGUCCUGAUUUUUAUGUACAGAAAAAUGCUGAGUUAGAAUGCGGAGUCCCCAGACUAGUCAUUAAUUACAAGCCACUUAAUACUGUCUUAGAAUGGAUUAGAUACCCAAUUCCUAACAAAAGAGAUUUAAUUAAUCGAUUGGAAAAUUCAGUUAUCUUUUCUAAGUUUGAUAUGAAGAGUGGAUUUUGGCAAAUUCAAAUUUCUGAGUCUGAUAGAUAUAAAACUGCUUUUGUUACCCCAUUUGGUCAUUAUGAGUGGAAUGUUAUGCCAUUUGGUCUUAAGAAUGCUCCUAGUGAAUUCCAGAAUAUAAUGAAUGAGAUCUUUAAUCCUUUCAGUCAUUUUUCCAUAGUUUAUAUUGAUGAUGUGCUUAUAUUCUCUGAAUCCAUAGAACAACACUAGAAACAUCUGCAUAAGUUUUUACAAAUAGUUAAACAAAAUGGCUUAGUUGUCUCUGCUAAGAAAAUUAAGUUAUUCCAAACUAAUGUGAGAUUUCUUAGGUUUAACAUCUACCAGUCACAGAUUAGUCCCAUAGAUCGAGUUAUCUAGAUUGCUGAUAAGUUUCCUGACCAAAUCCUAGACAAGAGUCAACUCCAGAGAUUUCUAGGAUCUCUAAAUUCUGUUUCUAACUUUUAUCAAAAUCUGAGAAAACAAUGUAAGCCUUUAUUUGAUCGUCUCCAAAAUAAUCCUCCCCCAUGGUCGUCUGCUCAUACUAAAUAUUGUUGUAUGUAAUCUAAAUCGUUUAAACUACGCUGGAUAGGAACUGGAGGGAUCUCAGUGUUUAAGGUCCAACCGGAUGGGAGCGUAACUUCUGACCAUUUGAUAGAGUGAGGAACUCUAAGAGUAGCAUCAGGUGUAUGACUCUGGAUUAACAGUGUUUGACUCUUCAGGCUCUUGUUUAAGGCUUGGAAAUUCAUAUUUGUACCGGUGACUUUGUAAUAAAUUCUAUAGACUAAAGCUAGGAGUUGGCUUCCUGGCAAAACAUCACACAUACUCAAAAUAGCUUGCCAACGUGCAAAUAUUUGUUUGGAUGCAAUAUUUUGAACAUCUUUUUCUAAUACAUGCUUAGCAGACUUACAAUCAACUCUGACUAAAAAAAUUUGAUUUAAUAAAUUAGAUUGAAAUUUAUUAAUGCAUAGUACGAUAGAUAAUAUUUCUUCCUUAAUAGUACUAUAAUUAUUUUGAGAUUGGGACCAAGUGCCAGAAUGGAAUAGAAUGAUUUGCUCGGAUUGACUAGAAGUGACUCUUUGUUUGAGGAUACCUCCAUAACCUACAUUAGAAGCAUCAGUUUCAACAAUCUUAAAUGAAUUAGCAGAAGGAAUACCAAGACAGGGAAGAGUCUUAAUAUGAGCUUUGAUCUGUUUGAAAAUUUCAGUAUGAGCAGACGACCAUGGGGGAGGAUUAUUUUGGAGACGAUCAAAUAAAAGCUUACAUUGUUUUCUCAGAUUUUGAUAAAAGUCAGAAACAUAAUUUAGAGAUCCUAGAAAUCUCUAGAGUUGACUCUUGUCUAGGAUUUGGUCAGGAAACUUAUCAGCAAACUGGAUAACUCGAUCUAUGGGACUAAUCUGUGACUGGCAGAUGUUAAACCCAAGAAAUCUCACAUUAGUUUGGAAUAAUUUAAUUUUCUUAGCGGAGACAACUAAAUUUCGACAGCAAAUUCAAGAGUCCUUUUCCUUUCUGGUUCAAUCACUGGUGGGAAAAACAUGAUCCAAUUAUUGAUUUGUUUCCUCCUCCUAUGCAAGAUUUAGUCAAUUAUUUUACUAAUAAAAAUAAGUUCAAAAAAUCUGAGUUGUUUUUCCUCAAUCUUCUCCAUUUUGUUGCCAAGUAUAAAGUCCCUUGGAUCCUCAAAUGGUCUUAUCAGGUUAAUUGGGAAACCAGAGUCCUAUCUCACCAAUUUUCAAUCAAAUGGUGGGAUAAAUUUAAACUUGAGCGUAUUGCAGAUAUGUUUAUGCUGAUUUUCUUACGAAUUAUUCCCUUUUUGAGCAAAUCGGUAAUCUCAAUUUUACAAAAUUCCAUUAGUUCUUGGCUCAUUUGAAUAGGUCUUGCUUUAGUAGGAAUAUUUCUCACUAAAGGAUUUGACAUAGGGAAGGCUGACAACAUGUUGUUUCCUAUGCCAGAACGCGUUGGGAAAUUCAGAACAGACUUCUUGUUUUAGUUUUUCUUCAAACUGUUGAAUUUGCGAUUGUAAAGGCUUAUGACUUAAUUGUUCCUCAAUCCUCUUAGCUUUAACUUCUUCUUGAAGAAAUCUUAGUUGUUUAUCUUUAUUUCGAAUUAUCUUGACUGGUUUAGUGACCGCAUUUUUUUGGAAUUUUUUUAAAUUAUGUAACUUAGGUUUACUCAAAAAUUCAAAUUUUAUUUUUUCUCCUAGGCAAGUGGAAAUGACACUAUCAUGUUCAACCUGGAAAGGGUACAAAAGGGCGAUAAAUGGAAGACCUAAUAUAACUUCAUCAGUGAUAUUUUUAAUUAAGACAAAAGAAGUUUUAAAGCAGAUUUUGUUUUGACAGACAUGGGCUUUAGGGAUUUCAUAAUUCAAUUGGAGUGAUUUUCCCGAGGCAGUACUUAAAGAUUCUCUUGACUUUUUAUAAUACUUAAAUGUGACCAGGGCGACUUACUCUUACAAAUUAUUCCCUUUUUGAGCAAAUCGGUAAUCUUGAGAAAUGAACGCACAAACCGGCCAGUCAUCCGCUUUCAACAAUUCACAGUACUCAGGAACCUGAGGAUCAGUGGCUGCAAAGAGAGCACUCCUGGAACCUUCUUGAGCACUAAAGAUAAAAUUGGGUAUUAGAUGAUAAGCAGCUUGAACAAUUUUGGGAAGAUCCCUUGCAACAUUAGUCUGCACAAUUCCAGGUGAAACACAUGCUACAGUAAUGCCAGAUUCGGCAGGGAGCUGCUAAUGUAGAACACUACUAAACAUAAUCUGUGCCAGCUUGCUGCUUGAGUAACCCACUAAGCUUGUAUAUUUUCUUUUCCCAGAAACGACGUUCAUGUCUUCUGUGUCAACAAAGCCAACAUAAUGCAUAAACUGGAGGGAUCUCAGUGUUUAAGGUCCAUCGGAUGUAAUUUGGUUGAAGACCAACAAUUGCAAUGAUCUAUCUCCAUCACGAUGAAAUUUUAAAGAUUACCCGAGUAUCAAAAUAUAUAUAUAUAUAUAUUAAAUAAAUGUUGAUGCUCAAAAUGGUCCGGCCAAUAUUGAGUCCAACUUAGUGAUUAGGUAUGCGGGCUCUUCAGCAGGGAAGAGAGCUGAGGCCCUUGGCGAAAUAUAGGUUGAUGGGAAACCUGCAGAAGACAAAGUGGGAGAAGCAAUCGUUAAGCUUCGGACACCGGUGUGGUGCCGGCCGAAGGCUCUCCGAUGCCUAAGUCAGUUACAAGUAGUAAUUCUGGCAGAGUAACAGUAAAAGUGGGAGAAUAGUUACCCUUUUUACCUGGGUAAUGUUCCCUAUUUAUAGGGAAGUGAAAGUAGGAGCUUUGCACAAAGUUCCAAUGUGGGACUUUGUGCAAGCCGUUGUGGUGGCGACACGUGUCCUGGAGAUUAGGUUUGGCAUCUGGGAGCUUCGGUAGGUGUCUGGCACCUCGGAAGUGUGUCUUCCUUCGGCACAGGAGAAGGCGUGGCUGCCUUGGUGCUAGUCACUUUGGUGCUGGGUCUGCUCGGUUCAUUAUGGUGUAAACAGUAGUCCCCCAAGUUCGCGGUCGAGAAGUAACUUCUGGGUUGGGAACUUGUGAGUUUUGUAAUUGUAACCGAGCAUUCCAGCUUCGUUGGGAGUCGUAGGGCACUCCCUAGUCCCCCAAGUUGGCAAGCUAGGAGUUGCGUCAACACAUGGUAGCUGGGUACCUGGGUACUUGGGCAUGUUGCAGAUAAGAUGGGAGCUGGGUCAGUAGGGGAGCCAGACCUUCGAAGGAGCCAGGUCUUGUGGAAAAUUUCGGAGACUCCAAUUCUUCCAUGGCCGGGCCAUUUGAAAAUUUUGGACUCUCCAUAGUUCCUCCAUGGCCCUUGCCGUUCGGCAAGGGUCUAGCUCCCUUUUUUUUUUUUUUUUUUUUUGGUUGUUGAAAGGUCGGGCCAUGUGGAGAGAGCUUGAAGGCUUUCUUGGGUUGGGCCUUCGGCAAGUAAGAAGGGCUUGUGGUGGGCUUCGGCAGGUAGGGGGGCUAGGGUUUGGCAUUGAGAGGAGAAAAAACCUCAUAGGAGUUGCUAAAAGGUGCCGUUCGGCAGGUUGGAGAUUAUUAAAGUUUUGGGUGGAUUGUUGCCGUUCGGCAAUUUGGAGGUGGUUGAAAUUUUGAGCAAGGGUGAGGUCAAGCCUUGGAGUAGAAAGAUCUUGGAGGUUGCUAGGCACACGGGUGUGGCAAAUCUUGGAGGUUGCUAGGCACACGGGUGUGGCUAGACGUUUCGGCAGGUCCUGGUUUCGGCAAGGCACGAGGUUAGAGCCGUCUGCAAGGCAGCAGCACCGAUUUGAUUUUGAAGACCCUUGCCGUUCGGCAGCCCUUUGUCCAUUGCUAGCGUUGUUGGUCAAAGCUUCGGCAAAGCAUCGGGGUUGUCCUUCGGCAGGUUCUGUCCGAGGAGGUGCUGGCUGCGCGGCAGCUGGGUUGUCGUGGUGUCCAGCAAAGGAAGAGCUGCCCACCGUUCUUGCCGUUCGGCAAGAGACUUGGCGACGGCUGGGGUGUCCUGCGGCAGGCGGCUUUAGCAAGAAGAGCUGGGCGAUGCAGCUGUCUCGGCAAGACAGGAGCUGUGCUUCGGCAGGUCCUGGUGCUGUUCGAGGGGGCUGUCGAGGGGCGGUGUUGCUGGGCAGAUUCAGCAGGCCGUGGCUGGGGUUAUUUCGGCAGGCGCCGUAGCUGGAGCACGGGAUUAGGGCCUUCGGCAGGCGCUGCGCAGGUUCGUUGAGCUACUUGCUGAAACCUUCCGAUCGGCAAGGGUGGUGUUGGCUGUUUUGUGAGCACUACUUCGGGCAAGGAGCUUGGCGACGUCGGGCAUUUGUGAGCACGGCUUCGGGCGAAAGGGCUUGGCAGUUUUUGGAGCUGGACGAGUGGGCUUCACGGGCUGGGUGCUGAGAGUGGUUUGGGCCGAAUAUAGCUGGGGUUUUGCGCUGUCACAUAGCCUCUCGAGCUAGACCGUCCACGCGGCAGGUGAGUCCCAUUUUUGUUGCGUCCCGGGCUUUGCCGUUCGGCAAGCCACCCAUGAUAUGUGUUGUGAAAUGGAUUUGGGUGCCUUGAUCAAAUUUGGGCUUAGCCUUGUAAUAGGAUUGGGCUUGUGAAGUAGGCUAGCACACUUGAAAUUUUGGGGACUCCAUUUUGUUUUUGCACGGGCCUUGCCGUUCGGCAAGACCCCUAAAAUUUCCCAUAUUUUUUGUUUUUUUUUUGUUGUUUUUGUAUGAAAAUUGAAUUUCAAAUUGUGUGUAGGUACAAGGGAUUUAUGAGGGAAUAUGAAAGGGUGCUAGGGUUUGCUCGUGAAACGAGGCGUGGGUACCCUUAGUUGGCUACAAAUAGGAACUUGGAGUGGUGAAGGCACCACACUUGAGUUGAGUUGAGAAAAAUUGUGAGAAUUUGAAGGAGAGGAGAGGCGAUUUUCGGCGAUUAGUUUGUGGUGGUGCUUGUGGCUGAGGUGAUUUCCGGCGAUCCAUUCGUGGUGCUACGAAUAAGGUUAGACCUUAUUUCGCUAGAACCUUUGAAUUGAAAUGUAUUGUUUUGCAUGAACAUGUUGAAGGCUAGGAAGAACACAGUGAACAUGAGCAUGAAUAUGAUGAACAUGUUGAACAUUUGUAUGAACAUGUUGAAUUCUUGCCUGGAUACCAAAGAACAUGUAGAUUUGCCAAAUUUUUGUUGUUGUGCUUCGAUCAUCUCUGCAUGUGCAUUAGUUCCUUUUUCUUGUUUGUGCAUAUUGUAGAUGUCUGAAAGUUCUAAUAGAGAAAGUCCUGACCCUUCUGCCUUUGGUGGGGAUAACACUGAGAGUGAAGAGCCCAGCCAAUAUAUUUGUCCUGAAGAGGAGAGUUCAGGGACAGAGGGUAUGGUAGAAGGCAUUAUAGAAAGUAGGAUGAUAGGGCAUGGGGGUGAGGGGGGUGAGCCAGCGGUAGACUCUGGGUCGGCUGCAUAUAGGGAGAUGCAGAGGAAUUAUAUAGAGUUAGAGGCUAUAGCGAACCGGGUUCUAGCCUUGCCUCAUACGCAAGAGGUGGGUUCGAGUAACCAGGCAUCACCAUCAGGGUCCGUGGGUAUAGCCGGGCCUUCAAUGUCAGAGGGAGUAGACAUUCGGGUUGGUGUCCCAUUGCCGAGGCGGAAUACGCUUACAGAAGCGAAGUUGGCCCAGCUGCGGAAAGAUUUUUGUGUGCCAGCCUAUGUGGGCUUGAGGUUACCCACGGAGGCCGAUGUAGUCAGAUAUCCUUCGGAUGGCUCCGUGAUGAUUUUUACAGAUAUGUAUCGGCACGGCUUCAGACUACCGUUUCAUCCGUGGGUUCAGAUGAUGUUGGCCAAGUUGGGGUAUGCACCGGGGCAGUAUAAUCCCAACUUUUGGAUUCUUCUUCAUGGGGUGUAUAUUGCUUGGUGGUUGGCUGGGUUAAGGGAGCCAACGUUUGAGCAAUUCAUGUACCUGUACCCCAUUUCGAAGCAGCAGGGGACUUUUGGCUGGGUACAGGCCAAUUGCCGAAAGGCGAAGGAGAGGGGCUAUUUUAUUGGACACAAGCCCACAACGCAAAAGUCCUGGAGGAACAGGUGGCGCAUGGCCUACGGGGACUGGGAGAGUCCUCCAGGGAAGAGCGUUGUCCAGCACAUUCCUACCCACUUCCAGUCUAUAGGUCCUUGGCCCCAUCCCUUAAGAUUGUCUAAUGCUUGAUUGUGUUGUCUUGGCUCCUAUUUUUGGUUCUGUAUUUUGUUUGUGCCAGUGUAAAUGGCUAAGUAGUUUCUAACUCUCGGUGCAGGUUCGGUGAAGUGGGGCCCUAUCUCCAAGGAGCAAGAAGACGAGGUUGAGUGGGUGAGGGCGCAGCUAUCAGAGACUGAGCGUGAGUGCGGGAACCUAAUCACGCAGAAGAAUUUGUUUGAGUCCGGACUGCUGCAAGGAAGUAAGUACCUGGGUUAUCUUUUUGUUGUGUGCUGAGCCUUUGUGAGUUUGAGUAAUAGAAUUGCUUUGUUUGUUUUGACAGUGGCUGGCAUCAUAAGGGGGAGUACGAAGGUGGCCGUAGACAUUGAUGAGGUCGAGAUGCAGAAGCGGCUGAGGGAGUCUCGGGCCAAGAAAGCUGAGAAGAGUGCUGGAAAACGACCCAAGGAUGAUGAUGAGGGUCGGGUCGCGGACGUGCUGGGGAAAAGGAAAGCCUUGGAGGAGGCUCAUCAACAUGUGAUGGGGUCAGGGCCGAGACUUCCGCCCUUUGAUCUGCAGGCACCGCCGAAGCUACCCUUCGGCAUGGAGGACGUGUUCGCUGAAGGGGUAGAGAAGGUAGACUUCGGCAGGCUACGCCAGCAGAAGAAGGAGGUCAACCUGGCUAUGCACCGGCAGGAGGUGCCUUUAGUGAACGUCUUCCUGGAAGGCGUGAAGAGCGACCCUGAGGCUCUGGCGAGGACUCCAGCUUCUUCCUUCAUUGACCGGGCCCAAAAGACGAUCCUCACCUCUGCCUAUGUAAGUGUUUAGGCCCUUUUUGAAUGUAUUUGUGUUGGUUUAUUUUUGUGUGGAUUGACUAACAUGGUUUUUGUUUUGCAGGCCUUUGGCGAGAUGUACGUCAGCAUGGCCAAGGCUGACAAGGAGAUCCAGAGGCUGAAGAGGCGGGAUGAGCUAGCCAAGAGCAAAAUGGCGGAGGCGCAGGAGGCCAUCCGAGAGAAGAACGCCUUGCUGGUUCAAAAGGCGGCCCUGGCCAAGGAGGUGGAGGAGCUGAAGAGAUCGAAGGCCGAGGAGGUGGCCGCUGCCCGAGUCGAGGCGAUUGAGUCCUUCCGAUCCUCAGAGGAGCUGAAGAGCUAUAUCAUGGACCGACUGGUUGAUGAGCAGCUUCGCUGGGAAGAUAGGUUGGUUAGGUUCAACCCCUCGGUGGAGAUUAACUUUGACACCAGUGGCGAGCCUCCUGCACAGACCCCUCCUGCUGAUGCUAGCGCCCCGACACCAGAGGCUGAGCCGGCCACUGAGGAUACCCCGUCGACCGAGUCUUGAAGGCGUUGCCUUCGUUGUGUUAUAGUGAUUUUGUACUUUAGUGAUUGUGUUGGAACACUGUUUAUUUUAUUUAUGUAUGAACACUUGUCCUUGCCUGGAGCAAGGGUGUUUUUAUUUAUGAUAUGAGACUUGGUUUGAUAUCAAUUGUGUUAGUAAAAAUGAUAACAAUGUGAGUGCAUGAGAAUGAGCCGGAGUCAGGCAUUUCAUUGAAAUAGAUGCCGAAAGGCAGAAGGUACAAGUGGUCUAGGGUCUAGAUACCUUACUUCUACCUUACAGUAAAUAAUCAAGACCAAAGUAUUGUCCUAGGGUCCAGAUAUGUUUACUUGUAAUAGUACUUGAGGUGGUCAGCAUUCCACGGGUGAGGCAGCGUCUUGCCUGUGGAAUCACGAAGCUGAUAAGUGCCGGGGCGGCAGAUUUUGAUAAUCUCAUAAGGACCUUCCCAUGUAGGGCCGAGGGUACCUUCGUUGGGAUUUUUGGUAGCCAAGGAAACUUUGCGCAUGACUCAGUCCCCCAUUUUGAAAGCACGGGGCUUGACUCGGGAUUCGUAAUAUUUGGCGAUCCGUUGUUUGUACGCGACAUUUCGCAUGCUCGAUUGGUCCUGGAGCUCGUCAAUGAAGUCGAGGUUGAGGGCCAACUGCUCGUCAUUGGCCGUGGCAUCGUAAGUGGAGGUUCGGUAUGUGGGCUGGCCAAUCUCUACCGGAGCCACGGCCUCGGUUCCAAAUGAUAGGGAGAACGGCGUUUCACCCGUGGAUGUGCGGAAGGUGGUGCGGUGGGACCAGAGUACUUCUGGGAGUAGAUCUGGCCAGCAGCCCUUGGCUUUGUCAAGUUUUGUUUUGAGGGUCUUCUUGAUAAUUUUGUUCACGGCUUCGACCUGGCCAUUGGACUGAGGAUGGGCUGGGGAGGCGAAACACAGACGAAUCUUGAGGUUGGAACAAAAUUGUUUGAAUUUGGCGUUGUCACAUUGCCGGCCAUUGUCGGUGACGAUGGAGUUGGGGAUGCCGAAGCGACAUACAAUGUUUUGCCACACAAAGGAUUCGAUGCGAGCCGCAGUGAUGGUGGCCAAGGCCUCGGCCUCAGCCCACUUGGUGAAGUAGUCUACGGCCACAACUGCAUACUUGACUUGGCCCUUGCCCUCUGGCAUAGGUCCAAUGAGAUCCAGUCCCCAUUGGGCAAAUGGCCAAGGGCUGACGAUGGCAGUCAACGGUUCAGCCGGGAGUUGUGGAAUGUUGGCAAAUCGCUGACACUUGUCGCAUUUCUGGGUGAAUUCCUGGGCGUCAGUGUGGAGCGAUGGCCAGAAGUAUCCUUGGCGGAUUGCCUUAUGGGCCAGCGAGCGUGCGCCCGAGUGGUUACCGCAUAUGCCUUCAUGGAUUUCUCGGAGGACAUAGUGACCCUCCUCUGGAGUCAGGCAUCGGAGGUAAGGAUGGCUGAAACCCCGCUUGUAUAAGGAGCCGUUAAUGAUCAGGUAACGGGCAGAGCGAUGGCGAACGCGUCGUGCUUCUGCCGGAUUAGCCGGUAGUGUUUGGUUCUGUAAGAACUGGAGGAUGGGGUCCAUCCAUGUAGGGCUGUGAUCAAUAGUGCAGAUGAGUGGGGCUUGUGUGCUGGGCUGGGCCAAAAACUCGAUGUGGAUGUGGCGACCCAUUCCUUGCUCCAAGGCUGAUGCCAACCUGGCUAGUGCAUUGGCAUGGCUAUUCUCGGAGCGCAGCACUUGCUUGAUAGAGUGGGCGUGGAAGGUCGCCAGCAAGUGCCGAGCGUGCUGGAGGUAGGCCGUCAUAGAGGCAUCCUUAGCCGUGAAGUCCUGGUUGACCUAGUGGACCACGAGUUGUGAAUCGCUGAAUAUCUGAAUUUGCCUGGCGUCCAUCUCUUUGGCGAAUCGAAGACCAGCUAAGAGUGCUUCAUAUUCGGCCUCAUUGUUGGAGGCUUGGAAUUUGAAGCGAAGGGCGUACUCGAGGGCAACCUUGUCUGGGGAGAUGAGAACAAGGCCGGCCCCACAGCCCUGGGCAUUAGAAGAGCCGUCUACGAAUAAGGUCCACAGGGGCUGGGUUAGGUCGAGAUUGCCUUCGGUGGGGGUUUGGUCCUGGCUGGGAGGGGGAUUGGGUUCGGUUAUGGGCUGGGUAGCUGCCGAAGCUUGAGGCUCCGUGAAUUCGGAUAAGAAGUCAGCAACGGCCUGUCCCCUUAGAGCCGGGCGGGGGUUUGUAAUGGAUAUCAAACUCGCCAAGUUCAAUGGCCCACUUAACCAGCCUCCCAGAAGUUUCUGGCUUCUGCAACACCUGUCGGAGCGGUUGGUUGGUUAAGACAUGGAUGGUGUGAGCUUGGAAAUAUGGUCGGAGGCGUCUUGCCGAGACGACCAGGGCGAACGCCAAUUUUUCGAUGUCCGGGUACCGAACUUCGGCAUCUUGCAAUGCUUUACUAACAUAAUGCACUGGGUGUUCCGCGUUAUCUUUUGAUCGGAUGAGAACAGAGCUAACAGCCGAAGCUGAGAUGGAGAGAUAUAUCACGAGGAUGUCUUCGUGCUCAGGGGUUGACAAUAAAGGGGCUCGGCCCAUAUAUUCCUUGAGCUCGCUGAAAGCCGUGUCGCAUUCAGCGGUCCAGGUGAUGUUUCUUUUGGUGCCUUUAAGGGCCUUGAAGAAUGGGGCGCAGCGGUCAGUGGCUUUGGAGAUAAAUCUGGUCAGGGCGGCGACACGCCCUGUAAGGCUUUGGAUAUCUUUGACCGUCUUAGGUACCGUCAUGUCUAAGAUGGCCUGGAUCUUUUCUGGAUUGGCCUCAAUACCCCUCUGGCUGAUCAUGAAGCCCAGGAAUUUGCCGGAAGCCACCCCGAAUGCACAUUUGGUGGGGUUAAGCCUCAUUUUGUAUUGCUUCAGGAUGGUGAACAUGGCAGAGAGGUUGGGGAUGUGUUGGUCAGCUGUGCGACUCUUGACUAGCAUGUCAUCGACAUAGACCUCCAUGGUAUUGCCAAUCAGGGGGGCAAAGAGCUGAUUCACCAGACGUUGAUAAGUAGCCCCGGCAUUUUUGAGGCCAAAGGGCAUCACCUUAUAGCAGUAGAGGCCGCGGUCCGUAAGGAAAGAGGUGUGGGCCUGGUCUUCGGGGUGCAUGAAGAUCUGGUUGUAACCUGAAUAAGCAUCCAUGAAGCUAAGGAGGGCUUGGCCGGCUGUGGCAUCGACUAGCUGGUCAAUGCGGGGUAGCGGGAAGCUGUCCUUUGGGCAAGCCCGAUUAAGGUUGGUGUAGUCGAUACACAUGCACCAGCCCUUUCUUGGCUUGCGGACCAUCACGACAUUAGCCAGCCAUGUAGGAUAGUCAACCUCCCUGAUGAAUCCGAUGCUACUCAAUCGAUCCACCUCCGCCCUCAUGGCCUCAUAGCGCCCGGGAUCAUAAGUGCGACGCUUCUGUCGGACUGGUCUGACGGCAGGAUUGACGCUAAGCCUAUGGGAUAUGAUGUCUGGUGAUAUGCCAGGCAUGUCAUUGUAGGACCAUGCGAAGACUUCGGAGUUGAGGCAGAGGAAGGCGACCAGGUCAGAGCGAAGCUCUGGCGAGAUGGAGGUGCCGAUCCGGACUUGUCGAUCCGGGAUAUCGUCGUGGAGGGUAACCAGCUCCAGGUCCUCCAUGGGUUCGGCCUAUGGUGCGAUGGACUCCUUCCUUAGGUCCUCAGGUGGUUCUGUGCUAGCUUGAGAAGGGGCGGGAGCCGUGGUUACUGCUAGGGCUUCACUCCUAUGUUGGCGAUUGGUGGAUUUGACGGCUGAAGCAUAGCAGCUUCGGGCACCGAGUUGGUCGCCGCGCACCGUGCCUGGGCCAUUAGGAGUGGGAAACUUCAACAGCAGCAUAUGCGUGGAAAUAAAAGCCCUUAUUUGGGCCAAGGCUGGGCGGCCGAGGAUGACGUUGUAGGCUGUGGGGCAAUCGACGAUAAGGAAGGGGGUAGUGAUCGUCGUCCGCUGGGGUGCGGCCCCAAUUGAGAUAGGGCGAUGAAUGCUGCCAAUAGGCUGGACCACAUCACCCGAGAAGCUCACAAGGGGUGUGAUGCUUCGGUCGAGUAGGUGAGGCGGGACCUGGAGUUCAUUGAAGGCCUCAGCAAAUAUCACACUGACCGAGCUGCUAGUGUCCACUAGGAUACGCCCAACGUCGAAGUUAGAAAUGUCAGCCCGGAUAAUGAGUGGAUCGUCAUGGGGGAGGAUAACACCACGCUCCUCCUCCUCGCAGAAGGUAAUGGGGGCCCAGCCAGUCCUGUGGGUCUUUGGCAAGCGUCCCUGCUCAGUGCUGAAGACCUGGUGCGCAUAGGUGGAGCGGACAUAAUGUUUGAUGGAGUUGUUGGAGGUGCCAGCCAGGGUAGGACCUCCGCUGAUGGUGGAGAUCAUGUUGAUUUGUCGUUGGUGAGGGUUAGGCGGGGCUGGUAUGUUGCGCACAUAGUUGUCCGGCUUACCCUCCCGGAUGAGCCCUUCAAUUAUGUUGCGCAACGCAACGCAACACAAGACUCGGUGUCAUGGCCGCUGAAUUGAUGAAAGCGGCAGAAGACCCCCGUGUUUGGCAUAGGCUUGUUGGAUGGUCUCCGGGGGGGUGGCUUGGGGAUGAUGGGGGCUUCACGCACCAGGACGUUCUCAUAGGUGGUGUUGAGGGUCGUAAAAACCUCAAACCUGGGCCUGGGUGUGAAGGGAAGAGGGGCCCGAUCACCAGGCCUAGGAGGGUUGCCUCCGCUAGAGUGGUGGUGGUUGCCAUGUCUGCCACGUUUGUUAUUCCCGAAGGGAUGCUGGUAGCUAUCCUUCCGCUUAUGUUGUUGGUUGUCCUGGGCACUCGGGGUAGGGGUAGAAUGCUGAGGUGGGGCUGGGGCGGGUGCUGAAGCAGGUGGAGGGUCGGCGAAAGUGUUGCGCGCCAGGUUGGCUGGGCCACGCUUGGAAUUGAAGUAUUCAGCCUUAGCAUGGAUCGCCGCCUGCUUCAUCAGCUCUGCAUAUGUGUUCCAACUGUUGCUAUGAACCAGGUAGCGGAAGUUGGACUCGCGGAGGCCGCUCUUAAAAGCGCCGAAGGCAGCGCGAUCGUCAGUGUCUGGGCAGCGGGAGUACUCAUGACUGAACCGAGCUGCAUAUUCCCGAAGGGGUUCGUCCUCAGCCUGCCUAAGCAUAUACAAGUCGUCGGCAGAGUAUAGGCGAUCAGUCUGGAUCAUAAAAUGGUCCAGGAACGUCUGCUUGAGACUAUCGAAGGAGUUGAUGGUGCGGGGGUGGAGCCUGUAGAACCAAUUCAGGGCCGCGCCGCUGAGGGUGGAAGGGAAAAUAAGGCACAUGCCUUCAUCAGUGAGGCCUUUGCACCCAAGGGCAGACUGGAAGGAGUGGAUGUGGGUGAGAGGGUCCUCCGUGCCAGUGUAGAAAGCGAUGCAGAGUGGCUGGAUAUCUUUCUCCUGGUGGUAGUGGAGGAUGCGUUCGGUAAAGGGCCCGGGUCGUGGUUUUGCCCAGAGGGGUUGAUGGCUGCGAUGUUGUUCGCUUUCCAGGCGCCAGACCUUUUCGAAGAGAAGCCUCAUGGCCGGGUCGGCAUGAGGAAGAGUUUCAGGUGCCAAAGGCCUGGGGGCGGGGCAGACAGGGACUGGGGAUUGUUCCCAAUUUUCCAGCGCCCCGGUGUGGUAAUUUGGCCAGGUCUCUGAAUUAUAAAAUUCCCAAGUAUCCGAGUCCCCGACACCUUCCUCGUCGGGUAUGCGGACGGGGGCUAGCGAGGGGCCCAGGUGUGUCACCCGUGGGUCUUCGAGGUUGACAGGGAUAGGGAUCGGCCUUGGCUGACGGUCCGAGAGGCGAUCCCUGCAAUCUUGGUAGAUCCUGACUGGUUCAUGGGGCCGGUCCCUCGGUGGGGGAACGCAAAGGGGUCGUGACUGGGUUAUCUCCGGAUGAAGGUGGUCUUUACCCUUGCGGAGCCUAGCUUGGGCCGAGGCACUGUGGCUGGAAUAUACUGGCUGGUUCGGCUGAGUAAGCCCAACGUUCUGGGUGAGGUCUUGCUGGGCAUCCUGGGUGUGAGUCCUUUCCCAGUUCCGCUUUAAAACACGGUAGUCAUGUUCUAGCUCAACGUUCCUGCAUUGAAGGUGCUCGUAUUUUUCUGACAUUUUAGUGACACUGUCGCGGAGGCGCUCCACUUCUGCCUGGAGAGUGGCAUCUUCCGAAGAUUUCCUUCUAGAAGUACCAUCGCGGGGGGUAUGAUGCUGGGUAUCGUUGCUAUCCUCGGUCGGCAUAGCAGAAUGUGGGGUGAAGAAGAGGCGACGGGGCCUGAGGGGUGAAGGAGCCAGCUGGGCUGAUAGAGAAUGCGGGGAUUCAAGUGUCGAAUUCCCACAGACGGCGCCAAACUGUUGAUGCUCAAAAUGGUCCGGCCAAUAUUGAGUCCAACUUAGUGAUUAGGUAUGCGGGGUCUUCAGCAGGGAAGAGAGCUGAGGCCCUUGGCGAAAUAUAGGUUGAUGGGAAACCUGCAGAAGACAAAGUGGGAGAAGCAAUCGUUAAGCUUCGGACACCGGUGUGGUGCCGGCCGAAGGCUCUCCGAUGCCUAAGUCAGUUACAAGUAGUAAUUCUGGCAGAGUAAUAGUAAAAGUGGGAGAAUAGUUACCCUUUUUACCUGGGUAAUGUUCCCUAUUUAUAGGGAAGUGAAAGUAGGAGCUUUGCACAAAGUUCCAAUGUGGGACUUUGUGCAAGCCGUUGUGGUGGCGACACGUGUCCUGGAGAUUAGGUUUGGCAGCUGGGAGCUUCGGUAGGUGUCUGGCACCUCGGAAGUGUGUCUUCCUUCGGCACAGGAGAAGGCGUGGUUGCCUUGGUGCUAGUUACUUUGGUGCUGGGUCUGCUCGGUUCAUUAUGGUGUAAACAAUAAAUACAAAUAUACGGUUAGGACGUUGGUCUUUGUGGCCGAACUGGAGGACUUUAAAUUGAGCCCUCUUUUAUCUAAUUUUGUGUUUAUAUAAUAUACAUAAGUGAACAAAUAUGAAUAUGGACUGGGUCUUUUUGAUGGGCCAAAUUGAGAGAUUUUGGGCAAUCAUAAUGUGAUUAUUUUAUAUAGUUGGCCAUCUAAGAGAGCUCGGAGGAUCAAGCCUAAGACACCUAUUCGAGCCCAGGAUUUUCAAAGGGUUAUAUGCAGGUGACGGAGGCUUCACAAGGAAACAAAUCGAGGAGAUUGAUGAUAGUUCAGCAUAUUCCAAAACAUGAGAGAAUCAAGCAAUCAGAAUAUUUCCACCAAUGUGAUCCCACGAAUUCAAGGGGCUUCAAAAGGAAAGAGUUUUAAAAGAGUUGACAUUUGGCCAUUCAAUGGCCAGCCCAUGGGCUGACGGAAGCCUUAUAUAAACCUCACUAAAAGAAGGCAGAAGAUACACAUCAUCAAACAGACAAACGUAUUUUUCGUCUCGCACUUUUCUUUUUCUAGACUUAGGAUUUUACUUUUCAAGCACUUAGUGUAGCGAGUUCUUCUUUUUCCUAGUGUAAGUUUAAAUUCUUGUUCAAUUUAUAUUUCUUGCCAUUUAAAUUCAAGUUUAUUUAAAUUGCUUUACUUUUUAUUGUUAUCGUAUUUUCAUUAAGUUUAAAUUCAAGUUUAACUUAGUUUACCGUUCUUAUCGUUCUUAUUUCGUUCUUGUUUAUUUAUUGCUUUGAUUUAUUUUAUCGCACUUUAAUUCUUAUCUUUACGUUAUUUAUCUUACGCACUUUACUUGAAGUUAUUUAUUUUACGCACUUUACUUUAUGUAUUUAUCUUUAAAUUAUAUUUAAUUUUAAGCACAUUUACUUUACGCACUUGUUCUUAGUUUCAUUACAUUUCACCUUCAAUCCUCAUCUCCACCCAUUCCACAUCAUUUGGUUGCUAACAUAAAGCCUUGACCCCAAGGUAGUGAAAGAACCUAGGCCGUGAGGAGGUUCCUUGCUCGGCCAAACAAUCGUUUGAUUAAAGUCAGAUCUUGGACGCAACAUACAGUCACAUUGCAUUCAAGCCAAAUUCGUGACUUGGUGGUGGCACGCCCCGCACUCAAAAAAAGAAGAAGGACCAAAAGUUCCUUUCUUCGACCGCCUCGGCCGAAAAAAGAGAAACACAUGACAACUUGUAUAACCGGUAACUAAUUUUUAAAAAAUAUCUGGGCGUAUCAGUGCGCCUGGUCCACUAUAGAAGGUGCCAACAACCAACCAACCUAUGCUCCUGACAAACUGAACAAAAAACGCCAAAUAAUUCAUAUGUGUUGUAAAAGUGGAGUCCCCAAAAUGCCCCCAAAUGCCUAUAAAAGGCUUCCCCCUUCCCUAUCUCAAUACACAUAGAAAUCAGAAUGAAAAUUCAGUUUCUCUAUUUUCUCUCCAUCUCAAUUUCCUCUCCAAUUCCUCUAGUUUUAUAACACGUUAUCAGCACGAGUCUUUAACCGGCUGAGUUUCUCUGAUGAAACCCAUUUAGAUAAGCCAACACCAGACAACAAAACCACAGCCACUGGAGCUCAAAAUUGAGCAGUCCAUGGACCACUGGCAGUUCCUGAUCAACAACAGUUUCUUCAGCAACUUUAAACACCAUUCUCCAAAUUCACACCUAAAAUCAACACCAACAGCAGCAAGCAACAAGCAUCAAUUUCAUCCCUACCCAAAUCAUCAAAAUGGAAAACUCCCAGCAGGACCACCAUAGACAGUCGAUGCAAAAGAACAAUCUGGUUUGAUAUCUGAAUCUGUAGAUGGGUUAGAUGACACAAAUUUCCUCAGAGCUAACUUAGUAUCCUCAAUGCUAAAGUUUAGAACACACUUCUUAUCAGGCUUCCAAAAAUCCAGUUUCUUUGUUUCCAUAAACCCGAAGCCCAUAAUUUGCUCAAAACCCAUCACCCUUCCAACCCCAGAGUCAGAGCCUCAAAUCAAGAAGAAAAUCCCAAUUUUUUGUUUCUGGGUUUUGGUGGAAAUUGAUAAUCCAAGGAGUUUCAUCAAUGGCAGAGGUUUUGAGCAAAACCAGUCUCUUCUCGUCUUGGCAUCAUCACAAUCGUCAGAAUCAAAGCAUCUCUGUUUUCCCGAAGAGUUGUAAUUACAAUAAAUCUGGGUCGUUUUGUUGCUCUCUGAAACUGAACCCAGAGAUUUCAUCACUUUCAUUAUCGACAAAGAGUGAUUUUCAUGGCAAAGGGUUUGCUCUUCAAGAGCAUAGAGCCAUGCCCAGCAGAGGGAAUCUCCAAUCCCAGAGCCAUUACCGAAGAUCCAAACCCACCCUGAGGCCACGUCUGAGGUUUGCCACGACGACAGCGGGACGCCGGUGAAGGCGAAGACCAUCGACGAGCUUCAUUCGCUUCAGAAGAAGAAAUCAUCGCAACCCACCACUCUCAUCACCAGAAACAGCAGCUGCAGUCGAUCAGUGCGUCUUUGGCGUCGCUGACGAGGGAGAUGGGGCCCAAGGUGGUGAAGGGGGACCAAGGAAAUCGGAGGGCCAGAAGGUGACGCAUGUAGAGCAUCAGCUGCGGCUCCCAUGGAACUGGAGCUUCUCUUUUUACUGCCCAUCUGAACCAAACUCAAAUAGAGCAUCAUCUGUACGACAUCUGGCGUUAGUACUCUGGCUCUAAGCUGAUUUUCAACAACAUCUCAGACCCAUUUGGGUUUGCAGUGAAGAGAAAGUCAGAUGGCUAAAGUUCUUUUCAACUCGAGCUCUGAUCCUAAAGACCCAUAUGAUGAAUUGGUGUUUAAGGACCAGUACCUGGAGAUUUCAACGGUGUUUAAGGACCCGACCUUAGCUCAGUUGGUAGAGCAGCAGGAGUGAAGAAGGAGGGAGGGACUUGGUGGUUGCUUUUCGGGCCACGACCGAAAUGAUGUGCAGCACCCACUGAUAAAGAAAAGCACCCACCGAAAUGAUGAGAUUCCCACCAUCUUUUCAAUUAUUAUUAUUCCAUAUUAUUUAAUAUUAAUAUUAAUGCAUGUGCUAAUGGCAGGUCAAAUGAAAACACAGUGACAAGUAUGAUACCUUACAGCAAAUUAGCACGAAGGUGGCCAUGCUUCUAUAAUAUAUAUAUAUAUAUAUAUGAAAAGCUGAUGGUAAUAUAAUAUACCAUAUUUUUCUGCCAUUCUAUUACUAACCAUUAACAAAAAUGGACCCUUGGUAAUACUAAACAUAUUAUCAGUGGGAGACCGUUACUAAUAUUAACAUUUUUCUUAUUUUAUUUGGUGGUGGUUUUUAACCCCAUAUUUAUUUUAUUUACUGUAUGGUGUAGGUUUAUCACCCAUACAACCAGUAUUUAUUUCAAAGGGUGGUGCGGGUUUAUCGUCCACGCCUUUACUUUUAUUUAAAUGUAUGGAGCAGAAUUAGUGCCCGUACAAGCACAAUUUACUUUACCGCACAUUUAAUUUUAUUUAAAGUAUGGUGUGGGAUUAACGUCCAUACAGCAAGCAAUUUAAUUUAUGAAUUUAAUUUACCGCACAUUUAUAUUUAUUUAAAAGGGUGGUGCGGGUUUAUCGUCCACGCCUUUACUUUUAUUUAAAUGUAUGGAGCAGAAUUAGUGCCCAUACAAGCGCAUUUAAUUUACCGCACAUUUACAUUUAUUUAAAAGGGUGGUGCGGGUUUAUCGUCCACGCCUUUACUUUUAUCUAAAUGUAUGGAGCAGAAUUAAUGCCCACACAAGCACCUUAACUUUAUGAAUUUAAUUUACCGCACAUUUACAUUUAUUUAAAGUGUGGUGCGGGUUUAUCGUCCAUACCGGUAAUUUAUUUACCAGCAAUUUAUUAUAUGGAUUAAAUGUGCUGUAUGAUGAGUUUUUACAGUAUACAGAUCAGGACCAGAAGUUCCUUGAUCCUCAUCAUACAAUUACAUCAGGACUUGAAGAUCCUUGAUGAUAAUGUUAAUAUGAGAGCUGGCAGUCUCUCCGGUACUAUAUUUGUAAACAUGUGAUCGGACUUGAGGGUCCUUGAUCCCUGACAUGUAAAUAAGGACCUGGGGUUCCUUAAUGAUGUAACAGUACCGUAUUGGUUCAUAAUGCCGUACACAUGGAUGAUAACUGUACUGGCAAAUGUACUAGAACCUGCAGUUCCUUAAACUCAUGGAUGAGCAAUUAAAUGAGAUGCCAGAAGUUCCUCAAAAUAUGGACAAUUAUGUAAGGGCUUGAAGUCCAGAAAUAUGUACAGAAAAUUGUAAAAAUGUCCAUACCAUGAGAAUAUGUGAUUUUGGCCCGAAGUUCAAAAUCUAAGGGGAUUGAAUGUCCAUACCAUGAGAAUAUGUGAUUUUGGCCUGAAGUUCAAAAUCUAACAGUGUUGAGAACCUGAAGUUCCAACAAUUAAAUGGACAACCCUUAAGGUAUUAUUGCAAAUUGUGGUACGCCACAUAUCUCUUUGGCAUAAGAGAAUGAUGAAUUGAGGCUCCCCACAUAUUUUGUUAUAUCUGGGCCGGAAGCUCAUGAACCCAAAUAUAUGAGAUAUUAGCGUGGCUUUUACUCAAUUCAUAUUUCAUGUCCAUUUUGAAAAGGGCAAAUAAAUUCUGCGUUUGUGUUUAGCCCAGGCCAAAAGUUCCGGGCUCCCAUACGUUGAAAUAUGAAAUUUGGGAGAGUCGAUGUGGUUAUUUGAACCUAUAAGGCACAAGGUUCAAAACCGUCAUUUUGAAAAGACGUAAAAAUCACAGGUGCAAAUUUUAAGAAUAUGCGCAAUUAUUAUAACAGGAAAGGAGCAAGUUGAAACGCAAUUGCUCCAAUCAAGUUUUGCAAAGGCCAUAUCUAUAGGAGGAAAUAUGACUACUUUUUCAAAAGUACCCCGAGAAUCUCGCAAUUUUCCUAUGGUUAAUUUGAAAUUCACCGGUUCUACAUAUUCCUCUUAUUUGUGUAUAAAUGUGUUACUAACAAAAUUUUCUUUGCAGAAGACACCCAGUUUUCUCCAUACCUAGUGAUGCGAUAUCUACUUGUUUUUCUUAUCAGUGAGCAUUUAAUAUGCCCGAGAAGCAAGACUAUCUCUGAUCAUCCAUUCAGGAAGCGAGACUAUCCCUGAUCACGUUUCCGCUACAUCAGGAAACUGUAAAGGCGAUCUUAUGCUCUAAUCUCCGGAAGUCCUUCUAGACUAUGAGAUAUGAGAGCUUAUUGUCUGCUCCCACCAGCUUCCUUCCCUGAUUGCUUACCUUCUCUUUUUUGCAUUUUUUCUCUUUCUGUAACUCUCUGAGGAUUAUUUGUUUUUGACAGAGAAAAGAGUUGUGAUUUUACUAUUGCAGGAUAUAACUAGAUCAUCAAGCGCUACAUUUACUGGGCCGAUACAAGCUUGAAUGAUACUUGAGAAAAGUUUCUCCCACCUAAGGAUGUAAGCAAUACUUGUGUUAUUUUUUGCUUAUAUACUUAUUUGAUAUUUUAUCUUGAAAGGUAACCAAAUGGGAAGAUAAGUCCGUUCCAAAAGAAUGGCUUGUAUGUAUCCAUGAAUUAUUAAUGCAAAUUUUACAGAUUGCAAGUUGGAUACAUUGAUAAUACACUGCACAGAUUAAUGUACCAUAAGAACAGAAUAUGGGUAUAGCAGUGAUCAAUAUGAUGCACGCCUGUUGCAUAGCAAAUGAUAUGGAUUGAAGUCCCGAAAGGACAAUCCUUUGACAUGUCAAUAUUGAUAUUAUGCACGCCUAAUGCGUAGCAAAUUAUAUGGGUUAAAGUCCCAGAAAUUAAUUGACAUGUAUGUAUUAAUCUAUGGCAUGCCUGCAGCAUGACAGAUAUAUGGGUGCACGCCUGUUCCGUAGCAAAUGAUAUGGAUUGAAGUCCCGAAAGGACAAUCCUUUGACAUGUCAAUAUUGAUAUUAUGCACGCCUAAUGCGUAGCAAAUUAUAUGGGUUAAAGUCCCAGAAAUUAAUUGACAUGUAUGUAUUAAUCUAUGGCAUGCCUGCAGCAUGACAGAUAUAUGGGUGCACGCCUGUUGCGUAGCAAAUGAUAUGGAUUGAAGUCCCGAAAGGACAAUCCUUUGACAUGCCAAUAUUGAUAUUAUGCACGCCUCAUGCGUAGCAAAUUAUAUGGGUUAAAGUCCCAUAAUAUGGGUUAAAGUCCCAGAAAUUAAUUGACAUGUAUGUAUUAAUCUGUGGCAUGCCUGCAGCAUGACAGAUAUAUGGGUUCUAAAUGUUCCAACUCUCUAAAUAGAGAUUAUCCACGCCCUACUGUAAAAUAACGCUCCAUUGGAGGUUAUAAUCCACAUUCUCACAUAAUAAAAGCCCCAUGAAGUGGCUUGGGUACCCAAAAGCAAAGAAAUGCUUAUAAUUGAUGCAUGCGCAUGCACAUGAGAAUUGUGAGAUUAUGAAUUAAUGAAUGACAAUUUUUGGUUUUGGAGUAGCUACUCAAAAUCAUCAAUGGGCUGUGUUGAUUGGAACCACGUUCAAUUAUUAAAUGUCGACAAUAUCAUUGGCCAAAAUGGAACGAGGUAAUUCCAUUAUAGAUGAGAAUGAAUGUGAAAGAACAAACCCACAGUACGAACCCCAAAAUUUGUUAAUACUGAAUUUAUACUUGGGUGUUCGGAAUAAAAGGGAAUAUACCUACUUUGUAUGACACACUGUUUCUGGCAGAAACAAGGAAUGUUGGGUUUUCUCCAUAUUUACAGAUUCAAUUGUGCCCCCCCUCCUUAUUACACAAUUACGGAGACCAACAUAUUAUCUUUAAGGGUUAUUAAAUGCACGGAGCAUAUUGCCAGAAGCGAUUCCCUAAAGAUGUAUAAAUAGCUGGGUUAAAGCUAUAUAAUGUGUCAUAAAGCUUAAUCCCUUUUAGACAAAAUCCGUUGAGAGGAUUGACAUUGCAUAAAGCAAGUCCCUAAAGGACAUGUGCUUGAAGCACAAAAUUUGUACUCAAUAUUAAUAUGCAUAAAUUACCUCAGUGAGUACAUUGAUUAUAAUGUGAUUGCAACACAUUAAAGCUUCUGCAGAAUUCAUGAAAUAUUUGUCUCGAUCGAGCAUUAUACCAACGAGAUUCUUGCUUAUACUAAGAGAGUCUUAUCCGUUGGUCCUUAAAUAUUUUUCCGGAAGUAUACUAGACCAGAUAGAGCUCAGCUCCACACUGUACUCUUUUUCCUUUAUCCAGGUUUUUAUCCCAUUGGAUUUUUUCUGGUAAGGUUUUAACGAGGCAGUGUAGCUCAAGGGUUUAGGGUAUACUAUGAAAAUUUUUAUGGUCGCUUACUGGACAAAAGCUAGUCCUAAAUUUUUCAGGGGGGGAUAUUCAUCAGGGGGAGCAUGGUUUUCAUCAAGACCUCCAUACACUGUACUCUUUUUCCUUCAUCCAGGUUUUUAUCCCACUGGAUUUUUCCUGGUAAGGUUUUAAUGAGGCAGUGUCGCUCAAGAUUGACUCACAGAAGCAGUGUCAACUACGAUAUUCAGAAAGCUGAUCAACAGUAUGACUUAAAGAUAUUUUGCCAAGCAUCAGGGGGGAGCGCACCAUCAAUAAAGAUCUUCAAACACCGUACUCUUUUUCCUUCGUCCGGGUUUUUAUCCCACUGGGUUUUUCCUGGCAAGGUUUUAACGAGGCAGUGUCGCAAGCGCAUCAAUAUACAUAGAAUUUUAUGUUACACAUGAUUAUGUACUCUUUUUUCCUUUGACCAGUUUUUGUCCCACUGGGUUUUUACUGGCAAGGUUUUUAACGAGACAUAUUCUGUAUCAUUUGUGGUCUCCAAGGGGGAGUGUUGUAAAAGUGGAGUCCCCAAAAUGCCCCCAAAUGCCUAUAAAAGGCUUCCCCCUUCCCUAUCUCAAUACACAUAGAAAUCAGAAUGAAAAUUCAGUUUCUCUAUUUUCUCUCCAUCUCAAUUUCCUCUCCAAUUCCUCUAGUUUUAUAACAAUAUGCACAUCAAGACAAAAGCACUCAACAACAGAAAGCUUAAAAUAAAGCCAGAAGGUGCACUCGUCAGGGGAAUCACAGAAAAUUUAAAAUAAAGCCAAAUUCCCUCAUAUCCAAAACAAUCAACCUCUCUUCAAAGUAAAACGGAUGAAAGAAAUAUAGAUUAUAAGAGGAAGCCAAACUAUAAUAAUAUCAUACAUGAUAGAGUUGCGGUACAUAGAAAAGGAAAACAACAAGCAUAUCAGCAUCAGAUAGGAAUUUGGAACCAGAGCCACUUCACUCUUGAGACACAGGCAUUCAUUUAAAUGGCACUGAAAAAAGAACUUGGACUGGGAGGGGUUGGGAUGUCCACGGUCCCUUCCAGCAUCAGCAGAACUUUCUUCAUAGAGGGACGGAGCGAUGGCUCAUCCUGGAUGCACCAAAGUCCCACUUUAAUCAUCCUUUCAAAUUGCCUUCUCUCUAUCUCUUCAUCACCUGCUAAUUUGCCAAGUUCACCCUUCUCAAAACAGUUGCAGGCCAAUUCAUCCAAAAUAGCCUCCUCCUCAGGAAGACUCCAAUCCACGUUCCUUCGACAACAUAUGAUCUCCAACAGCACAAUUCCGAAGCUGUAAACAUCUGCUUUAACCGUUAUUGGCAUUUUCCUAUGCCACUCCGGUGCAACAUACCCCUUGGUUCCUCUGAUUCCAGUAGUUGUUCUAGUUUGGUCUGCCUUAAGCAGCUUUGCCAAUCCAAAGUCGGAGAUUUUCGGGCACAUGAACUCAUCUAGUAGUAUAUUUUGAGGCUUUAUGUCACAAUGGAUGAUCUGUGUAUCACACUCUUCAUGGAGAUAAAGAAACCCCCGCGCUAUGUUACGAGCAAUGCCCAUUCUUUCUUCCCAAAAUGGUUGCCUUUCACUGGUGAAGAGCACAUCUGAAAGUGAGCCGUUGCUCAUGUACUCAUACACCAAAAGCUUUUUAGCUCCGUCAAGGCAAUACCCAAGUAAACGGACUAGAUUCUUGUGAUGGGUUCUCCCAAUAACUCUGAUCUCAGUCUGAAAUUCUGUUUCCCCUUCGGCUGCAACUUUCUCUAGUCUUUUGACAGCAACUGGCUUUUGGGUACCCAAAAUCAGCCCUUUAUAUACUGUUGACGAGGCUCCUCUACCAAGCUCUUCCUUGAAAUUAUUAGUCAUCUCUUCUAGCUCUUCAUAAGCAUAUCGUCGCGGAGCCACACUCUCAUUCAAUUCAAGGUCACCAUUCACAGCACUCAUUCUUUUAUAUGCCCAGACAUUGUGUUUCCACAACACAAUCACGGAAAUCAACAACAAAAUGGAUCCAAAAGCAGUAAAUGAAAGACCAAUAAUCAGGAUGUCAGUUCUACCUUUUUUCUUGCUUCCUGGUUGAACGAUUCUAGGAUCUGUAUGUGGUUUUGUAGGUACACCUACCUUGAUGAGAGCUCUGUCUGAAGUUCCAGUGUUUCUUCUACCAUAUCUCAAAGGAAGCCUCUGCUUUCUGCAGUUUGUACCGUCAAAAAGCGCAGCUUCACAGUUACAAUCCUCCAGACAGACUUGUAUGCAAUCGUCUUUGUCGGAUAAUCUCAAACUCAUAUACGAAACAUCUUCCCAUGUUGUGCUUUCCAGCUCUUCCAUGGUGUAAGUGAAAUUCUCAUUCCUGUUUUUGCAUGCAUCCGCAACAAAAUUUCUCUGGCACCCGGAUGUCUGAUUUCCCUGGUUGACAGAUUCGAAUCUCGGAAGACAUCUACAGUCCGGCUCUAGAUCAAUUAAGACACAAUAGCUAUUCAAUCCGCACAGGCCUUUAGGAACACACUUAUCCUUGGAAGACUCCCACUCAACUGACCAAAUUGCAUUCUUUGUCAAAUCAUGUGAAUACAAACGAAAUAUCCCAUUUGCAUCAAUUCUCAUAAGAUAAAGUUUUCCUUCAUCAGUAGGAAGACCUCCAUCUGUUAUAUUCAAAAUAUUCGAACCAGUCCCGUUGAGCAAGUAGAGACGGCCAUCAGCACCCAAAUUAAGUGUCAAGUUCUCUCCCGCUCCAUAAGUUGAAGAUGCAUAAAAAGCGUAAGGACUGGUGUCUGGAGUAUCUACAGGGUACUGAACAAGGUUUCCAUCCUUUUGCAUUUUGAGACGGAAAAUCCCCGUUGAGUGAUCAGCUUCUGAUUUCGCCGAGAAAAGUUCGUUUCCUGAUAAAAGGCGUUGACCGGGCAAAAGGGUGUCGGUUGGAUGAUCAAAGCUCUGCCAUACUAUUUUCCGACCAGAGUUGUACAGCACGAAAUUACCCGAAUUGAGCAUGGAAGCAUAAGAAGCAGAGCCAGAAGAUUUUACCAAGUAAUUUUGGCCUUCUGCUGUUGUCAAGGCAAGGCCGUCACCUGUGAAGAGCAAGGUGGCAUUGUUGGAGACUGGUGGAUCAUCUCGAUUUGCUGUCCACACGACUGUCUUUUCGGGAAUUCCAGCAAGAAAUAUCCCAACAGCAUAGCCAUUGCCUUGCCUGUAAAAUCCAAAGGCAUAUAGACCAGAACGUGACAGCCAUGUGGAGUUGGUGGUUGGUUUUAAAGAAGAGCCUUGGCUUAUAUUCGACUGCAUCUGUUGUGCUUCAGCAGCAACAAAUGCCAAGGCAAGAAGAAGGCAUGCCAUGAAAGCCAUCGAAAAAUGAUCUCAGUGUAAUUAUUUGUCUUCCUUUUCCUCUGUUUUUUAUUUUCCCUUCUGCAGCACUCCAGAAAAUUGGUUCCAAUGCAGUAUGAAGUUCUAAUUCUGAAUUUCUAUUUAAUUUAAGGUGGAUGGUGUAAAUUGGUUCCAAAAGAUGCACCAAAUUUUCCAUUAAAUUUUUUGUUCAAAUUGUUAAAAUGUAAACUGCCUAGCUAAUUUCUGAUUAGUUAGUAAUCACUUAGUCAGUUUAUAUUCAGUCCAUUUAAGUCAUCUGUUAGCUGAGCACCUUCAGCUCAUAUGCCAAGUGUAAGGCUUAGGAUUGUCUCUCUUAUUUCAGCGGUUCUAAAGCCUUGUAAUGCCAUGUGUCAUAUUCACAUUGGCUUACCCUUCACAACGGUUAGAUUGUAAUUGCUGAUGUAAGAACACAUUUUGGGUAUGAAUAGAGCUUUCUCUGCUGCAACGGUUAAGCAGAGGAGUAGUGGUCAUAACCAUUUUGAUUCCUUCUUGCUCAAGCUCUCUCUCAGUCUUUUGCUCUUUAGCUCCCUUGACAAUCCAAAUCUCAACACAAAUUGUUUAUUAACUUUAUCGUCAUAUUGUUUACUAUCUCCUAAAUUUGUCCCUAAUAGUACGUCCCAGAAUUUGUGAACUUGACUUUGUAGACUUUUCUAAUCACAUGUAAGGAAAACUAGUUAAGUCGCUUUCUUCUCUGUAGGCAAUGAGUCGGUCCAAAUCAAACCCUUCAUAUGCAUUUUUCUUCUUUGAUUUUAUGAAGAGGAUGCAGACGGACGAGGCACUUUGGACUUGUUCUCCAAUACCAUUAACCCCGUAAUUUUCUUGGAAGAAGGUCACACUACAACAUAAAAACCCUUCUAUGACGUCUGAUUUGCGUCAUGGAAGGCAUUUAAUGAUGCGGAUCAGGCGUCGUAACCCAUGUCGUCAAAAGGAGGGGAUCAUGGAAACUUUUUCCAAGCACGAUGUCUGUUCCGCGUCAAAGAAUGGGGUUUCAAUGACGCGGAUAGCGUGUCGUGGAAACCUUUUCAGAGCACGACAUCUAUUCAACGUCAUGGAAUGGGGUUUCAAUGAAGCGUGUAGCGUGUCAUGGAAACUUUUUCAAAGCACGACGUCUAUGCUGAGACGUCAUUGAAAUAUUUUUCAUGACACGGUUUAGACGUUGUUGAAAUUCUUUAAUUUUUUUUUUAAUAAAAAUUCUUAAUCUAUAUAUAUAUAUCCCAUCAUUUUAAUUAUGCGAAAAAAAAAUUAAUAUAUAAAAGCAAAAAUAUAAACACAAAGACAAAGACUCUGAAUUAUAUUUCUAUUAUUCAAAAUGAUCUAGUACAUUAAAAUUGUCUUUAACGAAUCCCACUAAACCAUUUCCCUUUCAAGAAGUUAAAAAUAUGAAGAAUGAAGCUUACAGGACCUUGAUUAAAAAAAUAAAAAAAAUUAAUUUAAAAAAAAUAAAAAAAAGCUUACAGGACAAAACAAAAACCACAAGGCGUUUUGGUAUUUUUAUCCAAGCCCAUAAUUAUCUUCUUAAUCUCUCCAGCAUGAGAAAAAAGCUCAUAAACUUGCUGUUCUGUUGUGUAGAAUGACAUAUUCCCAAUAUAAACAGUCAUUGAUGCCAGGAUUGCUUGUUCAAAUUCCUCAUGUGAUCUAGUAAAUCUUCUACCCUGAUAUUGUGAAAGCUUCCAUUGAUCCUAAUGAAAAAAGAAAAUGAUGAAAGAUAGGGUAAUUGCAGAGAGGAAUAACACAGUUAUAAAAUGCGUGCUGGAUCACAGAGGAUAAGCUGUAUUUUCAUCUGUAUUUCAAAGUGAGACUUGAAGAAGCAUACAAUAAUUUGGAAAUGCACAAAUGUACAAUCUGGCCCCUGGAGUUCCCUUUUCUUUCUAUAACAGAAACGGUUAUGAAAAUAGAGUAAAAUGAAUCUAAGAAAUCGUAAUGAAUAAAUCCCACUCAGUUCUAAAAAAAAUUCACAGCACGUGAAUAGCACAGGGUUCUUGAACAAGAAAUCUGGUUAAGUAAUUACUAUGAACAAAUCUUUUUAAACAUUUUUCAGAACUUCUCUAGCAUCCACACAUUUGAUUGAUUUGAACCAAAUCGAAAACCACAUCUUUUAUAUGACAACAUCGAAAAGAAAAAGCCUGUUGAAUGACCGUUUAUACAAUAAUUGUUCAGAUUCACAAUAUACGUCCUGGCAGUGUGCCCCUACUCUACACAGCUUCUCCAGAAACUCCAAAACAAUUGUACUUAAAGUAUUUAUAAAAAUAAAUAAAUAAAAUGGAAACUACGACAUAUUUGACUCGACAACAACGAAAGAGAAGAUAGAACUUAAACAUUCCCUUUUGCACAUUGCAUUGUCUAGUUCUCAAACAGAAGAAAAUAAAAGGGGUGGGGGCUUAACUUCUAAUUUCCAUCUCUCACCCACCAUGAGUUUCUUUCAUUUUCUUCUCUUCUCUUCUUGUAAUAUUAUCUCAUGCCCUCAUAUUACCAAAAUGGAAUAUUAUACACCUCUGAGGCCUGUGAGGAUUGUGGCUCGAGUUGACUUGGUGUCUCCGAGGCCUGCGAGGAAUGCAGCUCGGUUAAUUUUGUGUUUCUGAGGCCUGCGAGGAUGGAAUUGACAGAUUGCUACUAGAAUUGACGGAAAAAUGUUGGAAUUGACGGAUCAGGAAUGGGGGUACGCCUAGGUGAAGAAUAUUUGGGUUUUUAAGAGGUUUAAACAAAAAUUGAGGAUUUUAUGUUGGUAUUUAUGAGCAAAGGUUUUAAGUAAAAGAGGAAAAUAUAUGUUUCAGUUAAGCUAUUGUUAUUGACAUUAAGAUUUCACAUGAUCAAUGUUAUUGUUAAUAAUUUUCUCGUUUUCCUACUUAUCUGUAACAAGUUAAUUAUAAAUCUUUAUAUAUAGAUAUAUGUGUAUAUAUAAUAAUAAUAAUCUAAGCCAGUAAUACAUAAAUUGAUUUAGGAAUUAGAGGAAGUCCAGUGAGUGGACUUUUGUUUUAUAAAUGAAUUUUAUAGUUUUAUUGAUUGAGUUUGAAUGAUUUAUUUAUGGUUAUUACUUUCCAAACAUGAUUAUUUGAUUUUGAAUACUUGUAUUAUAUUCUGGUUAUAUUUAAAUUGAGAAUGGCUUGGAAAGUAGGAAGGAUAAUGGCAACAUGAUUUAAGGAUGGAUGAUAAAUAGUUUUAUAAUUUUCCAGGAAAUGUUUUAAACCACCAUAGGUGCCCUGUGUUGCCUUCGGAUUAUUGUUUCCUUCGGUUAUGUCAGCGCGUUUGACAGUUGCAUCACGAGUCUUAGGGAUAUCCGGACCGUGCAGAGCGAGGAAAUGCAGAUCAGGUUGACUAAAUGUCCCCUGAGUCUUGCGAGGAUUGCGGGUCGGGUCGACUUUGUGUUACAGAGACCUGCGAGGACGUGUCACAAAUUGUGACACGAGGAAUUGAUGGAAAUUAAGGAAUUCACGAUUAUAUAAUGGGUACACCUAGGUGGAAGUGAAAUAUUGAUUUUUCAAUGCUUUAACUGAUUUAAUGAUUUAUGUAAACGUGUGAAAUAUUAUAUAAAUAUAAAUAUGCCUGUUCGAUUUCUGUAUGAGUAUAGCAUGUGAAUGUUAUUUAGCAUGUCGCUAACAUGAGAACUUGGAUUGAUUUGCAAUCACAAUGGACAAUAACAAUUGACAAGAUACAUAAGUGCAGUAUAAAAAUGGAAGGAACUACGUAUGGCUUGAUCCCUUGUUAAGGGUACGUAAGCAACCUAGAGUUACUAGAUGCAGCCAUGAGACCAAGUGAUUAUUGUAAAGCUAUUCAGUCAAGUUAAUUUGAAAUCUAUUAGCGUACUUGUGUGUUUUAAAGGUUGGGAUCAAUUUCAAUUGGCAGAACGAUUUAUCUGAUUUAAGAGGCCUGAUGUCAUGAUAGGAUUGCAAAGUUCAUUUCAUGCCAUUGAGAUUCUGAAGUUUAUAUGUUUAUUAUUUCAAGAUUUAUAUUAGAAGCUGAGGUCUUUCCUUUAUGCUCGAAAUCUUGUUGAGGUUGUUAGUAAUUGAGAAGUUUCAAUAUUUGAGGAAAGUUUAUAAAUUCUUUAUUAUCAUUCUCACUUGUGAGCCUAAUCUGAUAUUAUUUGCAUUAAGUGGCAGUUAUGGUGUAUAACUCAACUAGCUUAUUUGUACAUAUUCUUUUCUGCUUAGCCUGUCAUGAAUAUAUCAUGUCAGUAUCUUUGGACUUUGAUGUGUGACGUAUGUUUGGUUGUAUGAAUUCCAUUUUUGGUACAUGCUGAACGAAUGGAGAUAUUUAGAUUGUUUGUUACAGGUGAAAAUUUUGGGAAACGAGUAUUUAUAGGGGAGACACUGUUAAAUUUUCGACAUAAGUCAAACUUGAGGUUAAUUUUGGUUUCUGCUAGAAGGGCAAUUUGGUCAAUUGUGCCCGGCACCUGCCAGGUGUCGAACACGCACAGGGUUCGGCUCAGAUUCCAAAGUGAAAUUUGGGUUGGGUCUUGUCAUCAUGUCCUACCCAUUGUGUAUGCCAUAAAUCCUUUGAAGCCAAACACUUAACCUUUUCUUUCAUCACCCACAAUAUUCCCUUACCCUUUUCACCCUAUUUUUAGCCAUACCCUAUAACUUGGGAUAUGCCAUGGCACAUGAAGACAAGGAUGAAGGUUAAGCUCUACAUCAACAAAAGAGGUAGCGUGUACUGAGGAAAUAUGUGCUCAUAGUUCAAGAAAAAGAAAAUAGAAGGGGGAAAAAAGAGAGAAAUAUAUUCCCAAAAAAAUAAAUAAAUAAACAAUAAAGCAUAUCAAAAAUCCUGGAUGCCUUGGUGAAGUAAAUUUGAAGAGCCAAACCAUAUAACACGAAAAAUGCAUUGUUAUGUCUCAAGUUCUAAUAUUCCAUAUCCUUUCUUUCAUAACCCAUAACCUAGCCCUACAUUACAACCAUAGUAAAAGACCUAAUGGAUCUGUGGGGACUUCUUACUCGGAAGUGGAGGUAUGUACUUCAUCUAUGGUUCUUAGUAUUUGAUUUCCUUUCCAUGAGAUCUAUUCCUAGAAAUUGCCUUUUAUUCAUUUUGGAUGCAUGUGUCUUAUAUUUUGAUUUCUUCACCUAACUCCAUUCAUAUAUGCGGGGUAAGAGUGCAACCCUAGGUUUUGUGAGAAAAUUGAGAGUUAUCCAAUGAGGCAUAGAGUCAAGGCGAAUUUGUACACACGCUGAGUGUGAUUAUCUUUAAGUUCGAGUGCUUGGAGUAUUGGUUUCACACUUUAUGACAGGACCCGAUCCAAAUUCCGCUUUGAAAUUCGAACCAGACCCUGUGCGUGUCCGACACCUGGUGAAUGUCGGGCACAAAUGACCUAUUUGCCUCUCAACACAAAACAUGAUAAAAUAACAAGGUUGACUUCUACCGAAAAUUCGGCAGAGUUUCCCUUGUAACUGGCUCAAUACCAAAAUAUUUUCACCUGCCAAACAAGUAUACAUAUAUACAACCAACUGCCAGCAUACGUAUAUAUACAUUCCAACAGUUCAAUUCAAAGUCUAGGGCAAAAUAUCAGAGCGACUACUAAGAAUUUACAAAGGAGUGAAUCCUUUUACAAAACAAAAAUCCUACAUCAAAGAAAGGCGCGGAAAAUGGGAAGUGGCCCGGUGGUGAAUUUCUGUGCACAUCUACUGCCUGGGGGCGCAAAACAAUAAUAAAGGUGAGUGGACCCAAAAACAAAGUUUAGAAAAUAGUAUAUGAACAUACUAACCCCACUGUAAAAACAGUUAUACAAACUCACUUAUUUUCUUUAUUUCUGAAAUCAAUGCAUGUAGAUAAUUAUAUACAUUUGAAAACAGUUUAAAACUAUCACCUAGGUGUACCCUUAUUUCCGUCAAUUCCUUAUAUCCGUCAAUUCCUUGCAUCACCAUGGGUGACACAUACUCGCAAGUCUCAGUGACACGAAGUCAGUCCGAGCCGCAACUCGCAGGAUGCAGGGGACCGUAGUUCACCUGAUCCGCAUUACUCGCUCCACACGAGUUCGAGUACCAAGGAACUCGUGGGGAAACUGUCAAGCAUGCUGACUAAACCGAAGGCAACAAAUAUAGUCCGAAGGCAACAGUUAAUAUCUGGGUACAAGGUGGUUUAAGAAAAUAUAAAGUUUCUGAAGCAAAACUGUUGAAUAAUUAACUUUCUGUAACCUUUAAAAUUCUGCUGCCAUUUAUCUGAUAAUUAACGAGAAUAUCUUUUUCUAUAUUCUUUAAAGGAGAUUUCACUCGGCAGCAUGCAACAUAAAAUAUGUAACAGAAUAAAACAGCUGAUAACUGAAACUGAACUGCUUAAAUUCAUUUAUUAAAACAAAGAGUCCACUCACUGAUAGUCCGAGUUCGCUGGACCUCUUGAAGGUCCUUCCUGCGGGUCAACUGGUACCCGGGUGCCUGAUUCAAUGACCAUAUUAUUCUAUUAAUACAAUAUAGUAUUAAAGUAAAAACCCUACCCCCGGCUCCUAAAAGUACGUGCAGCAAUUUAAAGUGAUCCCUAUGCCCAUAACAGCUUUCCUUCCACAUGGGAUAGUUUAGCGGUAUCUUGGGACUCAAAAAGUGCUAAAAUCCAAAAAGUCAAUCUGGAACCCCACGGGUCCAUAACCUCACAAUAUGAUCCAGAUGCCGCUAGAAGGUCCAAUAUAUUUAGGACAUAUGUCCCGAGAGUAUUGGUGUCAAUCGGACGGUCGGAUUAAUCACGAUCGUGUAAUCGCAUAAUUUUUAAACCCUAGCCAUAGGGUUGGCGAUUUCAGAGUAUCCGGGACUCCGAUUCACGAUCCGUCGAAUCCUACACGUUUCUGAAAUUAUCUAGAGUAACAUAUCUAAAAUUUAUUACGAUCCAACGGCUUAACAAUAUUGAACCCGGUAAUCGCACAAUAUGGAAAAUCCGUUCGAGGCUCAAACGGUAUCCAAAUUGAGAUCCGCGAAUUCCUAUGCGCUCGUGACAACCUAAGGAUCGCAUCAAGACACAGUGCCACUGCACUACACUCGCCCACUCGCCGCCGCACGCGCCGGCAGCGAUGGGUGUCCAAAGCGAUUACGCAUCGCCAGAAAAUCUCAAAACAAAGGCUCCAAACUCCUACUCUAGGUAUAACACCAUAUUUGGAACCACUUUUGUUCUUGGACCUACCCCAAAAACAGACCGGAAUUGGCCGAACACGGAGGCCAAAAAUUGGCCGAAUUCCAAUUUGAAAACUGAGCUAGCUACGGUGAAAAUCAAUGCAAACCUACCCAACCAUCAGCUAGAGCACGGAAAAUAGGUAGAAAUCCAUACCUAACUCGACAAAUUUGGAGGAGAAUUGAAGGAGAACGAGCGGUUGCAAAACUGUGCAAAACAGGCUCGAUUUUCACAGUUUCCGGCGGCUGACUGCAGUGGCUGGCAGCGGGGCUGGGUCGGGUGUGGUGGCGGCGUGACGCCGGUCAUUUUGGCUCCGGUCUUGCGGCUUGGGGUGGCCGGUGGCGUGAGAUAUAGAAGUGUGGAGGGUGACAGACGGGAGAGAAAGAAAAACAGAGAGGGAGGAGGGCGCGGGGAGAGAGAAAGAGAGAGAGAGAGAGAGAGAGAGAGAGAGAGAGAGAGAGAGAGAGAAAUGAGGUUUUGUAAUAAAAAUCUGAUUUUUUUUCUAAUUUACCGUUUUGUCCUUCGUGAUAUUUUAAUCGUAUUUUCUUCGUUAAAACUCCGAUUCGAGCUCACUUCAUGUCUAUGAAUUCGUGUCGUCGUGCUCUACGCAACGGUAUAUGUGGAAUUGUCAAAUUCCUUUUUGGUCAAAAAGUCAACUUUUUGUUCAUAAUUUAGUCCAAGGGCAAAAUUGUCUUUCCUCAUAAUAAAUUACUAAUUAAAUAUGAAUUUUAGGUUUGGGUCAUUACACUUUACACUAUGGUGCAUUUUAUUUGUAUUGGCAUAACUUUAGUUUUUGAAUUGUGAUUGGCAUUCCUUGGUUAUUAUUAGUUUGUUAGAAGUAUUGCUUUAACAAAUUUGGUUUGCAAGGAGCGUUUAUGGGUGUCGUGACUAGUAAACCCUCAGGAGUCACAAUUCCUCUUACGAGGGACACCUAAAGGUUUAAAGGCUUGUGGCAUAUGCUAAGUGCCAUCGAGAUUACCUACGAAAGUGGUUAGUUUAGUUUGUUUGUUUUAAAUUAUUUUUUUAUUUUCAGUUUUGCUCGAGGACUAGCAAAAGAUAGGUUUGAGGGUAUUUGAUAAGCCUAUAUUAUAUAUAAAUAUAUAUAUUAUGACUCCUUUGCUUAUUUAUUUGUUAAUUUACUUGGAUUAAAUUGGUUGUUUUAAUUGGUUUUGUGAGAUAUGUGAAGGAAUUGUGAAAUUGGAGAAAGUGUGCUAAAAAUGGCAAGAAGAUGAAGAUUGGAGUUUAAUUAAAAAGAAGCUAAGUCAUUCCUUUUGUCGCAAGGAAUAUUGUCAAAUUUCCUAAUUCAAGAUGGUUCAAGUCUUACCAAGUCAAUCAAGGAGAAAUAAAGAAGACCCAAUAUGAGAAGGAAUCCUAUUUUUAUAACAAUUGUAAUUAUACUUUAGAUAGGUAGGAUUUCUAGGAGUAUUAUAAGCCUAAAUUUACUUAUUAUAAAUAGGGAGUUUCAGUCAUUGAUCCUGAAUCGAUCAUCCUCCAUCAUCUACCAUCAAAUUCCUAUAUAUUCAUACUCAUAGCCGAAACACCCAAAGGAGAAUACGAAGAGAGCUUGCGCAACCUAGGCGUUUUACUUGGAGAAUUCGGUGCCUUCCAUGUCUUCACCAACCAGCAUGAUUCUCAAUAAGUCCAUCAUGAACUAAUUUCUUUUACUAGGGCUUCGAUGUAGCCUAGCUAUGAAUACUCAAAUUCUUUGAUAUUGUUGAUUUUAUUUAUCUAUACAUGUUGAGUGCUUGUUACCAUUCUUAAUGCUUUCAAUUAAUUGGCCACUAAUUGCAUGAUUGGAAGAAUUAGGUUGAGACCGGAAGGAGAUUCCUAGUAAAUAGCUUCUUGUAACAAGUACCAUAAAUUACAUUGCCGACUCGGAAGAUUAGGUUAUGGUUUGUGUAAUCUUCAAUGUUUUUCACAAAUUUUAAUGGGUUUUUAGCUAUCUAAAUCAAUAACUAGGAAUAGAGUGGGUCGAUGAUAAGGAAUACAACUAAUAUAACUCGGAACAGAGUUUUGGGUAGGUAAGGGAAAAUGAUUAUCAACAUGUUAGGUAAUUAGGAUAACAAGCUAGAAGGAUUUGGGUGGGAUUAGCUAAGUGAAAUUGGUGCCUUAGUGCUUUAUCAUCUUUAUUUUCAUCUUUUAUAUUAUUUACUUGAUCUCAAUUUAUUUUACUUGCUUAAUUAGAUUUUAAUCGUCAUAAUUCUCUUAUCGUUUAAUUCAAAUAUAAUUAGAAAUAAAUCAUUCUAGUAUUUAAUAGAUUAACUUGAUUCCUGUUGGAACAAUACUCCAUUUAGUAUUAUACUAGUCUGAGCGAUAUUGUCCACUUGUAAUUAAUCAGAUCAAUGGUGUAAAUGAAUUCGUACGUGUUUCUUCUCUCUGUGGAGCAGUUCACCACCCAUAUAUAAUUUACUCUACCAUAAGAAGAUUCAAAGGAGAGAUACAAUAAGUGCCAGUCCGGUCAAAAGUGAUGGAAUACUUGUCAUGCGUUGACGUUGACGGAGACUUUUGAGUCCAUGUAAUUAACUAGACACAGACUGAGAUUUCGUUGUCAACAUGAAUUUUCAGAACUGACAUUAUAAUCUGAAGAAUUAGUUUUAUAAUUAAGUGAGCAAAUUGACCUCACUUACAUGUCCAAAAGAUGCACCAAAUUUUCCAUUAAUUUUUUUGUUCAAAUUGUUUAUUAACUUUAUCGUCAGAUUGUUUACUAUCUCCUAAAUUUGUCCCUAAUAGUACGUCCCAGAAUUUGUGAACUUGACUUUGUAGACUUUUCUAAUCACAUGUAAGGAAAACUAGUUAAGUCGCUUUCUUCUCUGUAGGCAAUGAGUCCGUCCAAAUCAAACCCUUCAUGUGCAUUUUUCUUCUUUGAUUUUAUGAAGAGGAUGCAGACGGACGAGGGACUUUGGACUUGUUCUCCAAUACCCUUAACUCCGUAAUUUCAUGGAAGAAGAUCAGCAAAGGCAUCAUCCCAAAAGAAACUUUACAAUCUCAUUCAAACAUCCAGUUAUUGACCAGUAUAGCCUUUAGAAGUCCUUGCUUCGUACCGAUGGCUUCUAGUUCCAAAACCGUCGCAUACGUUACGCUAAUGGAACCUGCUACUCAAUCAUUCCUCGAGUUGUUACAAAUAACAAAUCAGUACCAGCCUGACCGGAUUACAGACAUACCUCAACAUUUAGUUUAAAGCAAUCUAGACUAGGUGGUUUCCGUACACUUCUCGGACAAGAAGGAUGUUAUCUUUUUAAGCACCAGUUCAACUAUUUUUCCAAAAAUCACAUAAAAGUUAAUGAUUUAUAAUCAUAACUUCAACUGCAUCAGGUAGUAUUCCGAAAAAUAGAACAAUUACGUGUCACCAAAUUUUCCAUCAGACACUAAAAUAUUUUUACAAAUGAAAGGGAGCUAAAGAGGACCAACAAGAACCAAUCCCAUGUACUUAUUUAUAUUAACUAAGGUGGGGGACGUAAUUAGGUACAAUCACGAAAAGUUAGGAGAGACUUUAUGGAUCUGUAAUACCGAGGGAAGACCCGGAAUAGAAUAAUGACGCGCAAAUGUGCCCGAUUGUUAACUUUGUUUGGAAGGAAUGACGAUGCAAAAUCUAGAUUUUAUCAUUUCAGGAGGAAACUGCAUUCACGCUUGUUUAAGAGAUGAAGGAAAAUAUAGAACAUCCGUUACAAGGGCAAGAAAUAUAUUAUGAACACAACUCAUUAUUGUGGUAUAAGUGUAUCAAAAGAUGCAUUUAUAAACAAGUAGUCAUUCGUGUGUAGACAGGGCAAACUGCCAGUUUUGAAGUACUAGAAACGUGAACAAGACAAUUUCCAAAAACACAAGCGACUCGGUUAGCUGCUACAGUACAAUCAAGCCUCACGUCUCAUUCAAGGAUCAAACUCAUCUCUCUCUAUUAGGUGGACUUCGAAGCUUUGUGUAGGAUGUCAAAAACACUUCGUAGAGUCAUCUCCUCCACAAUAACAACCUUGUCUCUUGAUUUAGAGCCAGAACCAAUAGAAACCUGCCUUCUUUUUACCCCUAAAACCUGUAAUUUGGAAAGAAUAAAAAUUUGAAGUUUCCAAGCAUAAACAUUAAUGGUUGAGCAGACCAAAUAAACUGAGCGGUUAAAACGUCAAAAGAAAAUUGACAAAUUUGGUGCAUGCAACUCAAAACCAUUUGGCAAUGGGUGUAGACAGAGGCUUUAGGAUUUCUAUGGUAAGAUGCACGGCUUAGAAUGCCCAAUAUGAAACUUUAUAUUCUUGCUAAAAAAUUAUUAGAAAACUAUGCUACAUUUCACUCAUAAUAAUACAAAUUAGACCCUCAAAAGUAUAGGCCUCAUUCUGUACCCAUCAUUUAAAGUGAAAUUAAUCUUCCCUUCGAACUUUCUCGAGAAUCUGUUCUGUCACAAAUCCCUUGCCAACCCUGCCACAAAGCUACCGAGCCACCUUAUCUUGCCAACUUAUAAACAAAUGAUGGGUAGAGAAGUAUAUUUUCAUGUAUAUGUGUGUGCACGACUUUAGAAUGUAUUUGAAUGUAGAAGUUCAACAUACUUGUAGUCAUAGACGAAUAACUGAAAAAUGAUAACAAAAAUAUAUCUCUAGAAACAACACCAGCUGAAGCAUAUAAUCUACCCAAAAUGCAAAUCAGUGUUUGACCAAAUAAUCUAUAAAAGCUAUUCUUUCUUACUAGCUAACUGCGGUGUAGAUAGGAUGGACAGGUGGUAUGAAGUGGUCCAGGAAUAGACAUUUUAUGCUUGGGGGAGAAAGAAGAAAUCCACCCUUCACACUCUGCACUGUGGCUAUUCUUGGCCACACCACACAUCAUCUUGAAAAGAAUAAAUUAGACUUGAGGAAACCUUAGAAGAGCUCACAUCCAACCCUUGUGCCUUUCCACAAGCUUAUCCCAUGAGUAAGUUUGUUUCACCAUUUCAGAUCACCACUUCACCUCACUUUUCUCUAGUUUAGCUCAAUAUUUCUCUCCUUUGCAAGACCAAAUCACUUCACAAUCAAAGGUCCGUUAAAAGCACGACAAUCUCAACCAAAAAGAUACAAACAAAACAUCACUUCCCCAACAAAGCUCGGUUAGAGCAACAGCACUAGACCAACAAAUUACAAAUUAAAGCAUCACUUCCCCAAUUGAAGUUAACGUAAGCAAUCACAAUGAAUGUUAGGAUCUUUCAAGAACCACACAAUCUUCUUAAGACACAGCACACUAAUCACAAAAACCCGAAACAAGUAAAUGCAACUCCAAGUCUCCAACCCACUAAUAAUAAUAGGAUGAUGCACCAAUGAACCUAAGAAUUCUCAAAUCAAACUUUAAUUUGGCAUUCCAUAUAAAAAAGCUCAAAAAACCAUUAAAAAAAGACAAAAAAGGUUGAAAAGGGAUAACCCAAUAAGAAACAAGACCAACCGAGCUGAUGUAGUCAAGUAGCGCUGCAUUAGCUUCCCCGUCCUUUGCAGACGCGUUUAUUUGUACCCCCAACGCCUCAUCACUGAAAUCUUCAUUUCAAAAAAUAGAAAAUUAUAUUCUAUAAAUACACAGACCUAUACAUAUAAAAAUAGAGAGAGAAAGAGAAGGACCAGUGAUGGAGGCGAUUUUGGAACCAGGCUUUGCGUGGAUGGUGAUGGCGACUGAGGACGGAGGUAUGUACCGAAUAGAGGUUGGGAAAUUGUUGUUGGGGUUUACGGGCUGAGUUGACUCGGCCGGGUUGGCCUUAGUCUUGGCCUUGGCCUUCUUGGCUGGUGCCAUUUGUUUGUUUUUUGGUUUUGUUUUUGUUUUUCUUCUCUCUCUUCCCGCUUCAGAAGAAAGACUUCAUCGGCAGGGUUGGCCUCGGCGGCCUUAGUCUCAGGGUUCUUGGUUGGAGAGUUAAAGGCCCACUAAUAACUUUGGAUAUUUAAGGCCCAUUAAUAACUUUGGAGACAUAUGAGGAAAUUUUUUGGUGUUGAUUUAUGAACAAAUGGAGUAUUUUUAGAAUUUGUGAUGAUUUUUAGGUAGCAUUUGAUCUCGAUUGAUUAAUAUUACAAAUUUGACCUUCGGACAUAACUAUGGGGAAAUUAUCAAAAUGUCCUUAAAAUACAAGAUGCUUCUAAACCCAUCCUGCAUGCUUCCAAAUAAACAGACUUGCAAGUUGUGCUCCUUUCACUCCACCGAAGAUAAUGCAUUUUUAUAGUGUGUAUAUGAAUUUGCUUGGUUGUUUGUGUGUAUAUGAAUUUGCUUGAUUGUUUGUGUGCAUGUGAUGUGUAAGUGGUGUGCAUGUGAUGUGAUGUGCAUAUAAUGUGUAAGUAGAAGUGUCGAAAGGGAAACAUUUGGGUGAGGGUCUACUCCCUGCCUAGGGUUAGAAUUUUUCUCCUAAUUUUCUUUUAGGUUUUCUUGGUGGCUACUUGUUUGCUGUUUGGGCGGAUUUUGAAACUGGUUAUCUAUGAUGGAAAACAUGGAUUUUAUGGCUGAGAAGGAAGAUGUGGAGGAAGUGGUAUGUUCUUUUGAUAAGGUAUUGUCGUUAACUAAUGAAGAACAAGAUUGCCUUCAAAUCGAACCAGAUAAUAUGACAACGAUGAACGAGUGACUCCAUCUCUCUUUGGUAGGGACGGUAUUUACUGAUCAAGGUUUCAACCGUGAGGCUUUCAAACAAACCAUGUUGAGGGCCUAGGAUAAGAUGCGAGAGGUGGGUGUGAAGGACCUACAAGACAAUCUUUUCUUAUUCACGUUCACAACUAUGCGUGAUAAGGAGAUGGUGAUACGAGGGGGACCUUGGAAUUUUGAUAAAAACCUAGUCUUACUAGAAACACCAGAUAGUAAUAGAGCACCGAACAUAAUGGUUCUUCAGAAUGCUGAUUUUUGGGUUCAAGCGCAGCAUCUGCUGUUAAAUAAAAUGAUUGUUGUGAAUUUUAGACAACCUGAAAAAUGGAUAUUAUAAAGACUAAUCUAAACACAAAUUAUACUUGAAAGUGUACAAGGUCAAUCGUAAUAUAGUAUGGCAAAUACGAGGUCAUUCCCACGAGGAUUGAGCUCAACUUCCAAUUAGUCUAACCUAAUUUACUUCACAAAAUACAUUAACUACUCUAAUUAUAUAAACAAGAAAUUAACACAUAGCAUUCUCACGUAAACACAAAAGGGGUUUUUGAAAAAAUGAUUUAAUUAACAGCGAAAUUAAAGACAAAACAAGUAGAAAGUCACGAAACACAAGGAUGAGAAAUUCAAAUUGAUAAAAGCACUAGGACAAUGAAUUCACCACUAGCAAUCUGAUCCAGCCUCUUAUUCAACUACCUAUUAACUAACCAUUUGAUGUCACCGCUUAGUUUUCCUUUUUUAUGAAUUACCUAUGGUAUUCAGGCUAACUCGUAUAUUCCUACAUGUAAUCCGCCUAUGGUAUUUAGGUCAAAUAUCAACGCAUAGAAACUCAUUAAGAUCAAUGAAAACCUCUAACAAGCAUGUAAACCCUAGGAACCCUAGACGAAUUACAAAUCCUAAUCACAAGAAGCAAGCCUCAAAUUAAGUAUGGUAUUUACUCUAAUUUGCAUCCAAUUAACUCAAUUAAAAGUCUAGAUAGUGAUCAAGCAUCAAGAUUAUCAACCAAAUUAUUAAGCACAAUGAUUAAGAAUCUGACAGGACCCACCCCGGAAUUUUCUUGAAAUCGGAGCGGACCCCGUCUUUUUACUGACAUCACCCCAAAGCCGGGCCCACUUACUAAAGACCUCGAGACUCUCUACCAAAAUUUUGGCAGAAUCUCCCCUAUAAAUUGAACAACCCAACAAAAUUCAACCUGCAUAAAACACAUAACAAGAUCCCAACCAGCAACAUGCUUUAAAGCGAAUAAACAGUUUACAACAAAGGCCUCUGGCCUCAUAAAUCAAACCCUAACAAGGGCGAUAACAGAGCAUGUCUAAGGAAUUUCAGUUACAACAAAAACAAAGUUCAACUGGAAUAGAAAGAUGAAAGAGUUCCUACGAAGGCUCAAGGCUCGGAAGCACAUGAUCUGGCUCGGUUGAGGAGCUCAGUCAACUAGUGGCUGGGGGGCGCAAAACAGAAAAAUGUGAGUGGACAAAAAUAAAAUUCAGUUCAGUGUAAACCAACGUAAUAUAAACCCAACGUUUAGAAAACCAUGCAAGAAAUCCAAAUGCAUCCCAAAACCAGCAUAAUCAAGUAUAUAUAUAUAUCAAAACCAAACCAAUAUCGGAUGCCAAGUCCGAAAUCCAAAAGAACACUUUACAAACCCACCAAUCAAAUAUUAUAAGUCCCAAACUAAACUCUUGAAAGCGUACCCAUUGGCACGACCGGCAAGGAAGUAUCCUCACCGAAAAACAAGAAUGAAUGAAUAGUUAUAUAUAUGUAAAUAUAUAAUAUAAGAGAUAUAUAUAUAUAAUAUAUAUAUAUAUGACCAUCACCUAGUUGCACCGGAAAAACAAUCCAACUAGGGGAUUAUUUGACUAGUCACCAUGGCAGAGUCCCAAUAAAUAAAUUCCUUAAUACACCAUGUGACUAGGGAACGAGCCGUCCAACUAGGGGACCAACUCUCAGCCAGCACAUACCAUUGAUAGCCUCAAAAUCCGUACGUCUGUACCAGUCCUACGCGCGCAAACUACCCAAUCAAGGGUCCACAGCAACAUCCUGUCAAGGAUGCCUUGGGUUCCGACAAGUCCAAGUAUCUCAAGUUUUCGUAUCUAAGUUCCAAAUCCGGGAAGGUACAUAGGGUAGUGCUUAUAGCACUCCAAACUGACAUUCUAUACUCAUCACUUCCCACAAUCUCAUCUCAACAACCCAAGUACCCCAUACAUAGCCAAACAUAUAUAGAAAUUCUCAAAAUCCAUAUAUUCAUACUCAAGAUACUCAAAUAUGUCAAAACCCAAAAUAUAUUUCCAAUGCAUCAUAAAAAUAUCACUUUCAACACUUGAAUAAAUAAUAUAUCCAAAAUACCAUUUAAAAUAUCAUGCAUAAUAUUUCCCAUCAUAAAAGCAUGCAUAAGAUUUGAAAACAAAUGUCCACUCACAAGUAGUCCCACGCUGCUUGACCCUGAGAGGGUCCUGCCUGCGGCAUACGCGUGGUCGGAGUACCUAUUUCUGAAUACGAAUACGAGAUUAAUACAAGCGUUUCGAACGAGAACUUUGAAUUAAAAUCCUAGUUUCCUGGGUGUCUAGUGAGUGUAUGAGGAACGAGACGUUCUAAGGUCCAACUACCCAAUUCAGACGUUGGAACAUUUUCGGGAGACAUUCGGUCAACUGGCAGUCAAACUUCCCAAUUCAGGUCAAUCGGGCCCAUGAGACCCACGACCUCCGUUUUACUAUCCGAGAGUGCCUAUAGGUUCUACAAGGUCUAGGAUACCCGUCUCGCAAGUUUGGUCCGAAACGGACGGUUAGAUCGCUUACGAUCGCACGAUCGGACAGUUAUCGUAAAACGUAAACUUUAAGUUAUUGAAUUGGAACAUCCAGGACUCCGAUUAACGAUCCGUGAAUUCCUACACGAUCCUAGGAAGGUCUAGAGUAACAUAUAUUGGAAUGGAGUCGAUCCAACGGUCUGAACAUAUUGAACCCAGAUAACUCCUAAUAUGUGAGAUUCGUUCGGGGUUCAAACGUCAACCAAGUUGGAAUCAGAGCAUACCUAUGCGCUCGUGACAUCAAGGGGAUCGCAUUGGGAUAAAAAUGCCCCUAUGCUACAGUGCCCAAGAGCCGCCACACCUCCCGGCAGCGCGUGGGUGUCCAAAGCGAUUACUUUUCGCAGAAAAAUCUCCAAAUUACAAGACAUUCUCCCGGCUACAGGUUCUACUCGACAAGUGGAACACUUUAUUCAACUACAGCCAAGUCCAAUUCGGACGGCAAGUGGCCGGAAUCGGCGCCGGACACUCACGGUUUAACCCGAAACUUCACGGCUUCGAUCCGACGACCAUCGUCACCAUUGUUGUCACACAAUCUAGGAAAUAGCUAAAAGGAGAGGAGGGCUACCUGUUCCAAGAGACGGCGCAGCUCGCGGUGGCCGGAAACGUCGCCGGUGACGUUGGUAGUGUUGGCCGAUUUUUCACGUCGUUGCCACCUCCGUUUGUCGGGUUUUCAAUCGGAGAAAAGGGGUGGGCUGGGUAGAGGAGGAAGAGGGGAAGCUUUUGCAAGAAACGCCACUUGAAAUGGAGGUCUGACGGCGAAGUUCUUGCCGUCUGAAAUUCCGGCGAAAAAAUGUGUCUGGGAUGGGGGAUUUCAGCCACGGGGAGAGAGAGAGAGCGAGAGAGAGAGAGAGAGAGAGAGAGAGAGAGAGAGAGAUUUAAAAAAUCAUAUUUUUAUCCAAACUCUUUUCGAAAUAUUUACAAGUUUGCCACUGAACUACUUUUGGUCGCCAAACCUUCGUUACAACUCCGAUUCAAGCCUACCACGUGUCUACGGAUUCGUCUCAGUAGAACCUACCCAAAAAUACUAGUCACUACCCCAAACUCUUUCCGAGUAAGAAAAUGACCAAAAUACCCCUACCCCCAAGGGUAAAUUCAAAAUUUCACUUAAAUAAUUUAAAUAAGGGAUUAAAUUUUGAGUCGGGGUGUUACAGAAUCCAACAUCAAACGGCAAUCAAUAGAUAGGUAAAAUAAGAAAACUAGAUUAUCAUUCUAGAGCUACAUCAUUCCCUAGCAAAAGAAAAUUAGUUGCACAUAAUCAUAGAAUUCGACAUAAGCAAAAACAUAAGGAAGAAACAAUAAAACUUAGCCAAUUGCAAUACUCUUUUGGCGUCUCCAAUUUCUCCUAGUCUUUACAUGUGUAACCCCCAAAGGAGUUGUAUCUCAUGCUUAAAUAAAACACCACACACUACUACAAAAAUCAAAAUAGAUGACGGGAAACCACCGUCGUCUAGAAGGUUUUCAAACCAUCGUGAAAUUGACCGCCAUCUUUUGUACAUAAAACAACGACGGUUAUUAACCGACGUCGUUAACACAUUCAACGUCCAAAACUAUUACGAACCAACGUAUAAUUACUAUAUAUUUAGCCUAAAAUGAAAUCUUUGACAACAUUAGACGAUGAUUUUAUGAAAACUGAGACGUCUAAAGACUGUUACAUGUCAAGAUCAAAAGAAGAACCAACGUAAAGAUAAUUAUCCAUGUCCCUAAUUGAAGGAAAAAAGACAUGGAUAACCUAGAAACCGUUGUGGUUAAUUUAUACUACGUUAAACAAAUAAAGACACCGACGUCUAAAAUAUAAAAGACGACGCGCACACAAACCAAUAGACGUUUAAAGAGUAUUACAUGUCAGUUGUCUCUCAGUAAUCGCCGUAAAAUGCCUUAACCAAGUCUCGUACCUAGCAGAACCAUCUCUUAUGUGAUUAUCCACGUCGCAGAGUAGGAGAACAACGACAUUUUAACAUUAUUCCAUGUCUGUUUCUUGCGAGAAUCGUAGUUUAAAUUAUACAAAGAAGCCCCUUUGACAAAGUUAGAAGUCACUUUUUCUGAAUAACUGACGUCUAAAAGAUUUAAAAUGACACAAUAUUACUUAAUACCGACGUAACAAAUCAUACCCACGACGACUGUUGUCAAAGGCGGACGUUAUAAAUAAUAUUGAAGGCGUGGAUAGGAAAAAAAUCAACGUGGAUUAUAUAUUCAAUGUCGGUGGCGUUAAAAUAAAGGACGUGGUUAAUUUUUUCACUACGUCAUGAGAUCCAACUGCUUGACAUUGUAAUUGCUUACCACGUUGAUUUUAAAUACAUGAUGACGUGGUUGUCCUUUUAAAAGUUGAUUGUUUAACCUUCCUUCACGUGUGUAUUCUCUGAGACGUCAGUUAUUUUAGACUAGCCGACAUGCAGAACAUCUAUCACGACAGUUAAUGAAAAUGAACGGCCUUUAUUUCUGACUUUAGACGACGGUUUCUUUUAAGCUGUGUUUAACAAACCGACGUGAUUUCAGUUUCAUAUGGCGGUUUUUUUGGUUUACGGUCUUUUGCAUUUUUAAAACCCGACGUUGGUUUUAUUUUAGACGUCUGUUUUUCCAAUUUUUUUUACUGGACCGUCAUAUUUUACACCUUUAACCCAGUUUUUAUAAUUUUUGAUUUGUUGUGCCCAAAGCCUGCAUAAUGAAAAUGUGAUCAGAAUUAAAAUGAUGUACAUAGUUAUUAAUUAAUGUCAUAUAAUUAAUUGAAUAACUAAUGUCAUACAUUACAACAAUCAAUCAAUCCAUAUAUCUUCACAUCUUUCAUUCCCAAACUCACCCACUAGGUCAUCAAAUGUGUCAACAUUUGGUAUCCCUCUAGUAAAUGGCUCACACUCAAUUCUAAUAUCACCUAGCACAUCAUCACCAAUAACAUCAUUAUAUUCUCUAUUAGGCAUUGAUAACACUACUGACCAACCAUGAUGCAUUGGGUCGUCAACAUAAAAUACUUGUUUGACUUGAGAAGACAUAACAAAUUGGUCAUUCCUAUGUCUAAUUUUACUCAGAUCUACAAGGGUAAAUCCAAGUUCGUCGACUACAAGACCCGAAGUGUUAUUUAUCUAAUCACACCUCAAGACUGGGAUUUUAAACUUUUGGUAGUCAAGGUCUCAAAUUUCUUGAAUAACACCAUAAAAACCCAUAUUGGAGACAAUAGAGUUUUUAUCAUUGGCACUAGCAACUUGCAUAGUAUGUGCAAGUAAAUAAACUCCACUAUUUUGGACAGUUCACACAUCAUCUUGUGCCUUGGUGUUACAUUUAACACCAUUAGUAAGAUAGCACCUAUAUGAUGGCACUGCCAUGCUUGGACCAGCUGCUAGCCACCUCAAAUUUUCUGAUACGCCAUUAUGCUCUUCCCCAUUAAGUUCACUUUGAACCUGCAAAUUAAUCAUGUAUAUCUUAAUUCAAUCUAACAUAUAGAAAGGAAGAAAAUUAAAAGUUGAAUAUAUCAUUCAAUAACAUAUAUAUAUAUAUAUAUAUAUACGUUAAAGUGGAGCCAUUGAAUGAAAGUGUGAUUGUACUUAUCUUGCAGCCGCUUUGUUCUCUUUCUAAAUUUUGGAUAAGUGGUUUUGAUGUGGAUCAUAUGUUCCCUACAUUGACAUGAAAAAAUCAAGCAUUACGGUCCCUUGUAUAUAAGAUAAACAUAAGGAAUAAUAAUAUUUAAAAUGGCUUCAUUUGAAAAAUAAAACUCAUACAUACUCGAUAUAAGGUAGGACUUCCUCCAUAUUCUCCAAGACAUAUAGAUGUACCUGGUUCAACAAGUCUUGAUCAACUAAGCUUACUGUGCAACCUGAUAAUGGUUUCGAAACUCCCAUCUUCUGGCUUGAAGGCACUCUAACUGUACUAACAUCAGAUAAAUGCUCGAUGCAAAACUCUACAGCUUCUUCAGCUAUAUACCGCUCAGCAAUGCAACCUUCCGGACGAGUACGGUUCUGAACAUACCCCUUUAGCACUUUCAUAUAUCUUUCAAACGGAUACAUCCAUCUAAAAUAUACUGGGUCACAUAGACGAACUUCUCUGACAAGAUGUACUACUAGAUGAACCAUGAUAUCAAAGAAUGAAGGGGGAAAGUACUUCUCAAGCAAACACAAAGUAACUACUACAUCUUCUUCCAACUUAUCUAGCUUGGAAACAUCUACCGUCUUUGCACAUAUAGCAUUGAAGAAGAAGCACAAUCGAGUUAUUGCAUACCUUGCAGGCUUCUCCAAAACAGAACGAAUUGCCACAGGGAGCAAUUGUUGCAUCAAGGUAUGACAAUCAUGAGAUUUAAGUCCAAGAAGUCUUUAAUCUUUUAAAGAUACAAGAUUUUUUAUAUUUGAAGAAUAACCUUCAUACCAUAGAAAGAAUUGCAAACCGCUCUCUUCUCUACUCUUGACAAAUUCCAAGGCCCUGGAGGCAAGCGAGUAUGCCUUUUUUCAUACUCGGGUUGCAAAUCAGUUUUGACCCCCAUGUUGAAUAAAUCUAAUCGAGCAGCAAUCCCAUCUUUAUUUUUUCCAGGGAUCUCCAGCAAUGUACCAAUGAUACUAUCGCAAACAUUCUUCUCAAUAUGCAUAACAUCUAGGUGCCUCACAAGAAGGUAUUUCCAAUACUCGAGAUCAAAGAAUUUUUAUUUCUUCCAACAAACUCUGUCACCAUCAUUCUCACCAACACUUCCCCCAUUUUUCGAGCCCCAUAUGUAAUUAAUAUCUUCAACCAUGUACAACACUUCUUCUCCAUUUAAUGGCUCGAGAGGCGUGCUAUAUUCAGAUUUCCCAUUAAAAGCUGCACACUGCCUCCGAUAUGGAUGAUUGAGUGGUAACCAUUUUCUAUGCUCAAUGUAACAAAUUUUGUGGCCAUUUUUCAACCUGUGACUAGGUGUAUCAUCGCGUCAUAUUGGACAAGCUUUAUAUCCUUUAACGACACAACCAGAUAAGUUCCCAUAGGUAGGAAAAUCAUUAAUUGUCCAUAGUAAUACACCUCUGAGUGUAAAGUAUUCUCCUAUAUGUGCAUCAUACACUCCUCUAAUCUCAUCCCACAUAUAUUUUAAAUCAUCAAUCAAAGGCUCUAAGUAGACAUCUAUAUCAUUUCCGGGCUGUUUAGGACCGAAAAUCAAUAAGGUCAACAUCAUGAACUUCUGUUUCAUGCACAGCCAUGGUGGGAGAUUAUAUGUAACUAAGAUAACUGACCAACAACUGUAUAUGCUACUUAAAGAACUGUGGGGAUUGAAUCCAUCAGAUGAGAGAGCCAAUCUCAAGUUUCUCGCUCUUUACCAAACUCAGGCCAUUUAUCAUCAACAAGUUUCCUAGACGGGGAAUCCGCUAGAUGAGACAUAUGACCGUCAACUGAUUUUCUAGCAGCAUGCCAAGUCAAACUCUAAGUUGUCUUAUGUGAUUGAAAUAUCCUUUUAAACCUUGGACUUGGAGGAAAAUACCACACAAACCUUCGUUGGCACAUGCCUUCCUUCCACCUUGAGAUACCAUAAGUAGGACAAUUAGUUGAAUCUUCAUAAUCCUUCCUAUACAAGAUGCAGUCAUUGGAACAUGCGUAGAUUUUCUCAUAACUCUUCCCUAAAGCAGACAAUAUCUUUUUUGCCUCGUACAUAGAGGAAGAUAGUGUAUUUCCUUCUGGAAGCAAAUCUCCUUGAAGUAUCAAUAAUUCUAUAAAACAAACAUCACUCAUCCCAUGUUUUGCUUUCAAAUUAUAUAACUUCACCAAAGUCGACAACUUCGUGUACUUACCGCAACCAGGGUACAAGGGUUGAUCUCCAUCCUCAAUCACAUUGGCAAACUCAAAAGGGUCAAAUCCAAUAUUGCCUAAAUCAUUAUCAUCCAUCCCUAAUUCUUCAGAAACAAAACUAAACCUACUUUGCUCAUCUUCUUCCACAUUUCUACUAGCAUUAGUAGUCCAUUCCCAAGAUUCUCCGUGCCAUGUCCAAAUCUUAUAGCUUUGGUCAAUGCCAUUAAAGUAUAAGUGGUCCCUUAUAAUUCCAACCCCAAACAAUCGAAUAUUCUCACAUUUAACACAUGGACAACGAAUAUCAGUUGUAUUUCCAAGAUUUUCUAUAGCAAAAUUCAAAAAUUCUUCCACCCCUAACUCAUAUGCCUUCAAUCUUCUGUCCGCAUGCAUCCAUGACUUAUCCAUCUCACACACUAUAAAAUCAUAUAUAUAAUAAAGUAAAAAGACCAGCAAUGAAACAAUACUAUAUUCACAAAGCAGAGAACAAAUUGGAAAAAAAAAAAAACAAGAAUCAGAUGACGGUUUUUUCAAAAUAAUCAUAGUGUAACAUAAAGUCAGACGACGGCAUAUCUAUUUACUGUCGUCUUUAAGCUACCCAAAACCAGAUAUUUGUAUUCUUUUUGAAGAACCAGGUUUGGGUUCUGGUAGCCUAAUGACGACGACGGUAGUAAAUAAAAAACCGACGUAUAAUAAAAAUUUAGAUGACGGUUUGUUCCACCAACCGUCAUCAUGGUUUACAAAAAACUGAAGCCUAAAUCUUCCAUCCCCAUUCCUUUUCAAAGAACCCUUAACAGAAUGCGAACACCAAAACAUAAAAGAACCCAUAGCUCCCAAAACAUAUAUUAAGAAACCAAAGCUAAGAGAAUAUACAAACUAAGAGAAUUUGAGAGAGAGCUGAGAGAAAAUAACAAGUGCUUGAGAGAAAGCUCAGAGAAUAUACCCAAUGCUUUGAGAGAGAGCGAAAACUUUAAGACAAAUUUACGUUGAAGAGAGAGAAGGAAAUAUUUUAGAGUUAAAGGGAAAUUCUGAAAAUUUUAGAUCUCGGUCAAAAAUUUUAAAGGACUGUGUUUAUCAAAGACGACAGUAAAUACAACCCAGUCGUCGUUUAAUUUCACAUUUAUGACGAGGGUUAUGGUAAAUUGCCGCCGUUGUAAAGCAUUGUUACGUCGCCUCUAUAAAAAUUGAUGUCUAAAAUAUUAAACAAUUAGAUUUGGUUUGCGUUUCCUGGGAUUCGAACGUGCGUAAUUGACCAAAAAGAGUGAGAGAAAACCAGCGUCAUUUCAAUAAAACCUAAACCCUAAAUUUUACAAUAAUUAUAAAAAAAAAUACACAAGUAUGAGAAAAAUGAACCAAAAAUUGCUACGGACUCCUUACAACAAUGCCUUCUAUAUUAGUAGGCUAAAAUCCAUAUUAAAUAAUUUUGAAUUUUUUGACCACCAAUGGAUCACAUAAACCUUAAGGUUAUGUUAUGGAAAGUAUAAUGACUAUUGUGCUUUGUCUCUAAAUCUUUUUGACUUUUGUUAUCACUUGUAAUUUUGAAAUCUAAAAUUAAAAUUUUCAGGCAUUGAGGGGGGAGAUAUUGUCUCAAUGAGUGCAUAGAAUUUAUCAUUUUAUUUUUUGAAUUUUUUAAAAAUAUAUUAUGAAUAUUAGUAAUUAAAUACAAAUUAAUUUUUUUUUAAAGAUUUAGGGGAGAGACAAUCUUUCAAUGGGGGUGCAUGGUAGUUGUCAGUUUAUUUUUUGAAAUUUAUUUUGAAUAUUAGGAAUUAAAUCAAAUAUAAAAGUCAUAUAAAAAUUAAAUGACAAAUGUACAUAACUGACGUUGCAUCCAUUUACAACGAUGUUAAAUAACACAUGACGUCGUCCUAGAAUACAUUAGACGUCGCAAUGUACCCACUGAUGUGGUUAGUGGGUUACAACGUCCUCUGGUUCUUAAUAACCGACGUGGGUAGCAUUUACAAUGUCGAUUAUUAUGUUAAUGCCGUCGUUGUUUAGAUAUACAACGUCACAUUUGGUCAGGUAACCGACGUUGUGUGUCUUUAACACGUCUUGCUUGUUGUACUAACGGACGUAGUAUAUCUAUACAAAUUUUUUUCGUAGAUUUCAGUUUUAUAUAUAAACUGUCGUGUUUAGCCUCCUUACAUGUCGUUUUUAAGAAAUGUCGUCGAUGUUUUAUUUCCUACUAUAAUAAGAUGACGAUUGUUUAUAGAUAUGAGACGUGUAAACUAGAAUGAGACGUCGGUUUUUGGGAAUGAAUUUAAGUUUUUAUGAUUUAUUGUCAUUUUAUUUCAUUUAAUGACAUAAAUAUCCUAUACAAAAAAAAAUAUUUAAAAAUUUGAUUUUUUGAUGAUUGUUCAAUUAAUUACCAAAAAUAUAUUUAUGUACAUUGUCAAUAAAUUAAAAUAAACCUAAACAUUGUUAAAAUAAAUUAUAUCACUUAUAAUUCUGUAAUUGCUUGUUCACGAAUUCUUCCCAUUCCAGCCUGACUUCGUCAAUAUGUUCUUGUACAUACUGAACUGGUUCCUUUUUCUUGUCAAAUUGCAAAUAAAGAACAAAAACUAACGUGUUAUAAUUAUUAAAACGACGGUUUUUAAAGAAAAAGUCGUGGUAUUAAAAUAAAGAAAUUAUAUCUUAAAUUUUACCUUCUCAAUGCUAGGGUUGGAUCAUGAAUUAUAGCUCUCAUGAAACGCAUCACGUAAUAGCCACACUCUACAUUUGUUGGUUGUUGAGGAGUGCCAUGUAGAUUUUUCCAUAUGGCUGAUUUACAUGAUGAUUGUUUGCCUGUGUGAGAGUUAUACAUUUUGAUUGAACUGUUUCAAGAAAACAAAAAGUGUUAAUGACAAAACUAAAAAUCAGCAUAAAAAAAUAUUAACCGUCGUGGUAAAUAAGUGAAGAUGAAGGUUUUGUAAAACAAGUGACGUCAUAUUUAAUUCCAAACGUCGGUAAAUAAAAACCGUUGUUGUGUAGCAUUCUAAAGUCGGCGACGAUGAAAAAUGACGUAUAAACAAAAGUUGUUUGUAAAUGAAAGUUGAACAAAAAAAAAUUAAAACGUCCUAAAAUAAAAAACUCAAACAACGUGGUAUUUCAAUUAAGACGACGGUUUACAGAAAAUACUGACGUUGUAAAUGAUUUCAAACGUCGGUUAUAAUUUACCGUCGUUGUGUUUUGAUUACAACGUCGGUAUUAAAAAAAGUCAUCGUAUCAUUCAAAUGCAGAAAUAAAAAAUCUUAGAUUUUUAUAAAUAAACUUACGUAUUCACUAUAUUUCUCAUGUCCUGGUCAUCAGAGCGGUUUGGCAAUGAAUCCAUGUCAUAAACAGUCUCCUUAGCUGGUCUCAUAAUUAUUAACACCCAAUGACCCCUACACAUAAUGAUCCAUAUAGAUUAAAUAUACUACAAAAACAAAAUAUAUUACAAGGCACCAAGUAUAGUUAAGGGACUAACCCUGGAUUAUAAGGCACCAAGUAAAAUUGAUCCCCAUCUGCGUUUUUUAGGCUCCCUGAAGCUUGAAGAAGUAAUUCAAGCUCUUCAAUCAUAUGCUAAACUAGAUGAUAUAACUGAAAGCUCUCAAGGCCUUUAUGCCGAAGGCAAGGAGAGGGGCCGGGAAAAGACAAAGGAAGAGAAAAUAGACAACAGAGGUAGGUCAAAAUCCAAGAAGAAAAAGGAAAAGAAGGAAGGCUGUUUCGAAUGUGGUUCAGCCUGUCAUUGGAAGAGGAACUGCAAGAUUUGGAAAGAGAAGAAAGCCAAGAAGGAAGGAAGCUCAGGUUUAGCUAGUGCAGUCACCGAGCAUGAGAGUGACGGGGAGCUUCUUUCAGUAACAUCAGGCUCCAAGGCUUUCACAAAUUGGAUUUUGGAUACCAGAUUCACUUUUCAUAUGUGUGCAGUAAGAGAAUGGUUCGAUACUUACAAAGAAGUCAGCAGCGGGGAAGUUUUAAUGGGGGACGAUUCUUCAUGUCCUGUAAAAGGAAUCGGCACUGUUCGAAUCAUAAUGUUUGAUGGAAUGAUACGAGUUUUGGGGAACGAUAGAUAUGUCCCUAGACUAAGAAAGAAUUUGAUUUCCUUGGGUACUUUAGAUGAGGCAGGCUAUGGAUAUGAGUCUAAAAAGGGAAGACUCAGGGUAACAAAAGGAUCACUGGUGGCAAUGCAGGAUGACCUACAACCCAAUAAGCUGUAUAAGUUAAUUGGGACCACUACAGUCAAGGGAGCAGCUGUUUUUGUAAAUCAAGGUAUAGAAGACAAGACUGAACUUUGGCAUCAUAGGCUCAGGCACAUAAGCCAGAAAGGGUUGCAAGAAUUACACAAGCAAAGCCUGUUGGAAGGCGUGUCAUCUUGCAAAUUGGACUUUUGUGAAUAUUGUGUUAUUAGAAAGCAAAGGAAGGUAUCAUUCACGAGUAGCAGUGCAGAUAACCGAAGCAAGGAGCAACUCAGCUAUAUUCACUCAGAUGUUUGGGGCCCUGCACCAACCAAAUCAAAUGGUGAAGCCAAGUAUUUUGUUACUUUCAUGGAUAUUUUUUCUAGGAAGGUUUGGAUUUAUUACAUGAAGUAGAAAUCCGAGGUUUUUGCAAAGUUCAAGGAAUGGAAAACAGAAACUGAGAAUCAAAUUGGAAGAAAGAUCAAGUACAUGAGAAGUGACAAUGGAGUGAAUAUACAAGUAAUGAGUUUACCGAUUACUACAAGCAAGAAGGCAUCAUAAGGCACUUCACAAUUAAGAAGAAUCCCCAACAAAAUGGAGCUGCUGAGAGGAUGAACCGAAUUCUCAUGGAGAGACAGAGAGAGAGAGAGAGAGAGAGAGAGAGAGAAAGAGAGGAGCAUGCCAUUUUAUGCAGGAUUGCCUGAUAGUUUUUGGGUAGAAGCUGUUAAUCAUGCAAGUUAUUUGAUUAAUAGAUCACCAUUUACAAUUCUCGUUUUAAGAGUGCAGAAGAGGUAUGGUCUGAGAAGCCGGUGGACUAUUCCAAGCUCAGGGUAUUCGACUGUAGUGCUUACGCACAUAUUCCAAGUGAUGAAAGGUCAAAGCUCAAACCAAAGUCUACGCAUUGCAUAUUCUUUGGUUUCGAGAAAAGAGUGAAGGGUUUCAAGCUGUGGGAUAUCAACAACAGGAAAAAGGUUGUUAGCCGAGAUGUUGUCUUUGAUGAGACAACCAUGCCUCUGAAUAAAGUCGAGAGCAAUAGGGAGAAGAGAGACGAUGCUGAAAUUGAAGCAACAAAGAUUCCGUUAAUUAGUUCAUACGAAGAAGAAGCUCAAGUGGAGCAAAUGGAGCAAGAUGCUGAAUCUGAUGGUUUUGAGGAAGAAGAAGAGCAUCAGCAUCGUUCACCAGUUACGAAUCAGGUGGAACAAGAAAUAAGGCAUAUUGAAGGCACUCUAAUUCGCCAGACAUCCCAAAGGGUUUGAACUCCAACCAACAAUCCACCUGCAUUCCAGAGAUGCAUAGCACUGGACAAACCUAAUCGGAAUAAGAAGAAACCUGACAGGUUUGGGUUUAACCAAGACGAAGUUAAUUAUGCUCUCAACAUUAGUCAAGGAGAUCCAACUACUUAUCAAGAAGCUAUAGCAAGUGAUGAGCGAGAUAGUUGGAUAAGUUCUAUGACAGAAGAAAUGGAGUCUCUUUACAAGAACUCUGUUUGGGAGUUGAUUCCUAAACCCAAAGACAGAAAGCUAGUUGGAUGCAAGUGGUUAUUUAGGAAAAAGGAAGGACUACAUGAACAAGAUGUCGUGAGAUUCAAAGCAAGGCUCGUGGCUAAAGGGUACUCACAAAAGGAAGGGGUGGAUUAUGAUGAGAUCUUUUCACCUGUAGUCAAGCAUACUUCUAUCAGAUUGUUUUUAGCAAUGGCAACUCAGAGAGAUAGGACCGCUGGAAGGAUCUGGAUAUCACAAGCCAAGUAUAUUUAGAAGGUUCUUGAGAAGUUCAACAUGCAAGAAGCGAAGGUACUUUCAACUCCUUUGGCAUCUCACUUCAAGUUAAAUGGGCACCAGUGUCCUAAGUCUGAGGAAGAGUAGCAAGUAAUGGAGAAGGUGCCUUAUGCUAAUGUCUUGGGCUGCCUUAUGUAUGCAAUGGUAUGCACACGUCCCGACAUAGCUCAAGCAAUUAGUGUCGUUUCCAGAUACAUGGCAAAUCCAAGAAAGCAACAUUGGGAUGCAGUCAAGUGGAUUUUACGUUAUUUGAAGACUUCUUGGCGACAAAGGAUUAUGUUUGAGAAGCAAAAAGAAAAUGCAGGGGUGUUGGGAUAUGUGGAUGCCAAUUAUACAGGGGACUUGGACAAGAAAAGGUCAACUUUUGGUUAUGUAAACAUGCACAGGGGGACCGAUCAGUUGGAGGGCACUACUGCAACCAAUUACAGCUUUGUCGACCACAAAGGCAGAGUAUAUUGCAUUGGCCGAAGCUGGAAAGGAAGCAAUUUGGCUUAGUAGCUUGGUAAGUCAAAUGGGAAUCACUCAAGAUUGUGUGAAGCUGAAAUGUGAUAGUCAAAGUGCCAUUCACUUGGCAAAAAAUCAAGUUUUUUUCUGGAAGAUCAAAGCACAGUGAAGUAAGAUAUCACAGAAUCAGAAAUUGGGUAGAGUCUAAGGAGAUUUGGAUUGAAAAGAUUCAUACGGAUGACAAUGCCGCAGAUUUCCUUACAAAGAUAGUGUCGACCAAGAAGUUCAAGCAUUGCUUGAACUUGAUCAAUCUCGUUGAUUGAUUAAAGUGGAGCACCUCUUCACUUGAGGUGCAAUGAGGCAAGAAGAAGAUUGCCAAGGUAAAGACUCUUGAAGAUUUCCAGAGCUGCUUCAAGGAGGUUCAAAGAUACUCUGGAGUGCAACGAUCAAGACUUGGUUUGACUCACCAAGGUGGAGAUUGUUAGGAUUUUGGCUCGUCAAAUAUGUCCUAGUUGGUUUAGGAUUGUUUUAGGAAAAUUAGAGGUAUACCAAUUCUUGUCCUAGAGGGAUUAGGAAAGAAUUUCAGUUUUCCUUAUUCAAUUUAGAUUUGGAUUUCUAGAAGUCUAUUAGGAUUUGGAUAAGUGUAAUUUCCUAAUCUACAUAGAAAUAGGAAUUCAAUCAGCCUUAGGACAUGUAAGCCAACUCUAUAUCUAUAAAUAAGGUGCGGCAAGGCUUAUUUUAAGGGGAAAAAACAGCCAGAGACAGCCGAGAGUUUUGAAAUUAGUUCUAGGGUUGCAAAAGUUCUGUAAUCUCUAUUAUUAAUCAAAGGAGCGGUGAUUUCUCUACCUAGAGAAAUCACAACUGGACAUAGGCAAAAGUUCUGCCGAACCAGUAUAAUUCUUGUGUGUUUCUAAGUUUUCUAAUAUUUGCUAGUUUAGUCUAUUGCCGUUGGUUACAUUAAAGAACAAGAUCUAGUGUGCGGGUUAUUUAACAACUAUACGGAAACGAACGAAGUUGGCAUGACGAAUCACAGUUAUAGGAGGCUCUUUUGCGGAUUUGUUUGCUUUGGCGGCUGAGAAGUUGACGCUAGUUGAGUUAGAGACGUUUGCCUGUGGAGCUUGGCAUUUCGGAAGCUUCGCAAUGAUCUAUUGCAUGGGAAGAGUGAACAACAUAUGAAUGUGAUCGUGGAAAGCACUCUGGAGAUGCAUGCUCUGUUCAAAGCCAAUGUUGAGAGGCCGCAAAAAUCGGCUGCUUCUUUAGCUGUGCAAUGGAUUAAGCCACCGCUCCAAACUCUCAUUCUCAACUAUGAUGGUGCUAUUAGCAGGGAUGGAAGUGGUCGGGGAGGGGGUUGUUGCUGUGAUUACACUGUAAAUUUUCUAUGUGGGUUCACGGCUAGUGGGCCUCCGGGGUUGGAUGUGCUAGGUACGAAGCUGGAGGUGUUACGUGAAGGCCUUCUGAUGAUGGGAUUUAAAAGUUUAACCUGUUUUGUUGUGGCUUCAGACUCAAAAGAAGCAAUGUCUAGGCUCAAAGGUUAGUUGGAUUGGUGGGGUAACAUUGGUAGAGUGGUGGAGGAUAUUUGACGUUUGCUUGUUGACAAGGAAGUAAUAGAUGUGGUGCAUCAACCUAAAUUGGGCAAUAGAAUGGCCCAUGCACUUGCUCAGUUUGGGUUAAAGGAAAGCACAAGGUUCUUUUGGGAAGACGUUGCUCCACCUUGACUGGUGGCAAGAUUGCGACAUGAUUUAGAAUUGGCUUAGUCUGUUAUUUGUUUAUUAUGGAAGGCCGUUGUACUCUUUUUUCUUGACCGCAUUUUCCCUUUGGGGUUUUGAUGACAAGGUUUUAACGAGACCACAUUUUUGCCCUUCGGUCUUUCAAAGUUUGGUGCAUUGUAAGUUUUUCCCCAAUUGAAUGAAGUUACUUGUUUUGAUCCCAAAAAAAAAAAAAAAGUCUUCCUCUAGCCUACCUUGAUUGAUUGGUAAAAGUCUUCCUCAAGUCUUAUAAACACCCACCUUUGUCCCACUCCUCAUAACAAAGGAAGAGGACAUGUAUUUUCCUUUUUAAUUUAUGAGCACAUGUAUCUCCUUUUCUGAUAAGUCUUCCUCUAGAAUUUUCUUCGUCAUUUAAUGUGAAAAUUACAUAAAGAAAGAACGGAAAUUCCAUACAUUAUUUCAUUGACUGAUUUGUCUUCCUUUUUGUUUGUUCCCCAAUACACGAUAUGAACUCAUACACAUCAAUAACUUCAGACAUAAUAGAAAAUUGACAGACUAAGGAAAGGCAAUGCGCAUAUGAAGUGAGAAAUGUAAAAAUUUCCACAUGAAAAAGAACUAACUGUUAGCGUUUGUUUCAUUGAAUGAAAUAGGAUCCUUAAAUAAAAUAAACACCUAAGAAGAACUAAGCUUGCAAAAUCAAUAUUACGUAUUAAUACCUCUUUUAACUAAUGCUUUUGGUCUUGAGCAUCCAAGAAGAGGAGCAACAAAAGUAGAACUCGAGCAAUCUCACUUUCAUAGGAGGAUUUCUAUAAUAUCAUGAACAUGCCCUUUAUGGAACCAAAUGACUCAAGAUAUUACAAUCAAGGCAGACUUUCUGAAAUUCAAUUCUAACUUCUAAGCUCAGAGUUACUACGAAAACAGUUCUCUAAAAUGCAAAAAUGCACCUUUCAAGGCCAAACAAAAGGAAUGAGCCUAAAGACAUCACGAUCCAUGGAAAAGUGAUGGAGCUUGAAGAUCUUGACGUUCCCAGUCAGUAAACCUCUUCUAACACAAUUUUUCUUUUUGGAACUUGAUCUCAACUGGUGCCUUGUCGCCUUUUGGGAAUCAAACUCAUCAGUAAAAGCACUUUCUAUAUAGAUUCCAAACUGCAUCUGAGUUCCGAUAAUUGUUUUUACAUCUCAACUCUUCUCAAAAACCUUGAAAAACCUAUGCGAAUAAAAUUCAUGGAAAGACAGGCGGUGAACUGCAAUAAUGCAUCAAUCAGUCAGGGGCUUCCUCAUAAAGACAGAGGACCAAGAGCCUCGACCAGAUUGGGAUCCUACAUGGUUAUACCAUGCUUUUAACCCAUGUACCAGAAUCUUCUACGGUUUGGAUUGUGCCAUAUCUGCAAUGUUUAAGUUUAUUUUCGGUUAAGACUACAAUGACAUUUGCACUGUCUCACAGCCCUUAUCCUCUUCUUUCAUGCUCCUCCUUGACCUUGAAGAGAACACUCAGCCUCCCAUAUUGUUUCCCUACAACUAUAACAGAGAAAAAUCACCUAAAUUCAUGGUCCCUAUGGCUAGAACCAUCAAACCAAUGUCUCACCAACAUUUUUAGGUUACAUUACAUCUCCAUGAAAACCACAAUACCGAAUGAAUAAAACUUCAACUUUAUGCUCACAUAGACAAUAAACUGAAAUUGGGAAGCGCAGAUACAAAAAUCUCAUCUAUAUUGAUUUUCUUUAAUCAAAAUUCAAAUCACUCAAUUAUCCUCAACAUGCAAGAGCAAGGUAUUGAACCUGAUAUGUAAGACUCAAUAAAAUUUUACUAAUGAAACUUCAAACAAUGAAAACCUUUUACGAAUUCUACUUGUAUACCCUAAAAUUUCACUCAUCUUCAACGUGCAACUGUUCUUCUAGAUGGCUAAUGAGGAAAGCUUUAGUUUGAAUCUAAAUGCAGUGAAUUCCAUGACAGUUUUUCGUUAUGUAGUUAUUUAGGCACAUCAGGUAUCUUCUGUUUUCAAUCUAUCGGCUCUUCUUAACAUUAACAGUUUAGAGUCAAACAAAAAAAAAAAUUUGAAUGGCUCAACAAUUGAAAUAGGGUUUCGAUGUGGGAAAUUUGGGUGUCGGACAGAUUGAGUUUUUUUAUUUAUAAUAAUUUUGUUUUCCUUGUACGAAGUCAAAAUUAGAGGUUAUUCACCCUUACAUGCAUUCAGAGAAUUGAUUUGUAGAGGUAAUGGGAUUUGAUCUUAGCUCUAGGUAUCAGCAGGGUUGAAAGACUGAGCGCUUGGAGAAGAUGCAUAAACUCCUUAAAGAAUAGAACAAUUAAUACCCUGGUAUAACCAGAUAAAAUCCCAACCUGGUAGAGAAUCCUGGUCCUAACAGAUAAGCAAUAUAUAGCUAGUUUUGGUGAAGGGUACAAUAAGAAUAUAAGAAAUUGAGGAAGGUAUAAUGCUAGACCUGGAUUUCGAGACAACAGUUUUGAACAUAUAUCAACAGAGUCUGGAUGCAACCGAGAAAGGAUGAGUUGGUCAAAAGGGAGACAUGUAGAUGACUUGAUGUUCUUAAGCACCUGGAAAGUAAAAAAUCUAUCACUAUUUGAGCGAGCAUGUUUAAAGGAGUUUGUAUGGCAAAAAGUAGUACGUUGAUACCUGAACAUUAGUCCUACCAGGAAAAGGAGGGCAACCAUUAAGAAGCUCAAAAAGAAUUACACCAACACUCCACAUGUCCACCUAUGAAAAUCAAAACCUUUAUUUCUGUUCAUCCUGAUUGAAAAGGGAAAAUGGCAUGAGCUCUGGACAAGAUCAUACCUUUCCAUCAUAUCUUUCAAACUGAAGAACUUCAGGUGCCAUGUAUAAUGGGGAUCCACAAACUGUCUCCGCAUAAUCACCUGGAUGUAAACUUCUGUCCAUAGUAGAAAAGAAAAGGCAAAAAAUGAAACUUCCAAAUUUAAUUGCUUUAAAUCAUAGUAAAUAAUAUAUAAUAAAAAGGGUUACAGGAUGAAUUUCCACAUAUGUCCCUCUAUGAUAGAGGUUACCUUGAGAGACCGAAAUCAGCUACCUUUAGCACUGCAUCAUCGUCACUGCGAGAGAGUAGAAUGUUCUAGUCCAACAAAACAAAAGAAUUCAGGAAAUUUUAGAAUUAUGAUGUUGCGCAAACCAUAGGAAAAACACUGCAUUUGCAGGUACUAUGUAGAAAACCAGAAAACAAAUUGCAACUUUUUUACUCUACUUUAGAAAAUUACAGCAUUGUCAGAACAACAAUUAGUUGUCAUGUAAAAUUCUGAAGUAGCAUUUUAUGCGACAAGACAUCACUAAGACUAGAAAUUUCAAAAAGCUUCAAGAAAAAAAGACAUGGAAGUUUCCAAUUUGAAGACUCCAAACCCAAAAGAAUCUGUUAAUAUUUAGAAGUAAUUUUUGGUAAUUUUUUUUUUUCAAAUCCUAGUUGUUGAGUGGAAACCAUUGGUGAAGUUUAAAAACAGGGUCACUCCAAUCUACUAAUGCAAUUUACACGUAAGGGGGCAAUGAAUUAGGUAAGGAUCAAAGUUCAACCAAUAUAGAUUCAAUUCAUAAAAUCCGAUCCUAUAAUGUAGAUUUAUAUAUGAGUUUAAAAUUCAAUAAAAUCAUGUUCAAAUAAGAUUCAUAAUCGUGAAUAUCAAAAUCAGAUUAAGAAUGUCCUCUUGGGUUCUUGCUUCUCCAGCAUUGUGAGACAAACACCCGGGUGCGAACUGAAAGUUGAUCUUCUGUGGAUAUUCAACCAUAGGGCCCAUAUAACCCAUAACUUCCCCGGCAAAAGAAAAUAAUGGCUACAAAUAGGAAAAUUUACUUUUGUUGCCAUUGUCCUAUAAAAUCCUGUUUUUACCUCUGGUUUUAAGUCUCUAUGCAUGAUGUGGUGAGAAUGUAGUAUUUCCAAACCAGCCCCUGUACAACAAGAAUUUGAUUAGAUGCAGACUGUAGAAGCAGUGUAAAGCCUUAUUACAAAUUAAAAUGAAAAUAAGAAGCUACCAAGCUGCUGCAUAAAUUUCCUAGCGAUCUGUUCAUGAACUCUCCCAUGUUGCCGAAUAUAGGCUGCCAAAUUUCCCCCAUUGCAGAAUUCCAGGACCAGGAAUAUGCAACCUUCAUUCUGGGUUGAAGACAUGAAUAACUCACUAAAUAAUAGCCAAAUAACACGCUGGUUUCCAACAGUUAAAAGGUUUGGUGCCUGGAUAUCUUCAUUUAUAUAAUCUCACUCUCUUCUGCUUCCUUUUCCCUAUCUACAGAAUUCCGUUAUGGCAUGUUUACUUAUCAGGAAUGGGUAUUGGAACAAUUCCAAUUCAUGACUUACCCGGCGUUUACUAACACAUAAGGAAUAAAAAAAUUUGCGUUCCUUGUUAAAAUCUGUAAUCAAAUACCCUCAAAACUAGGAAUUGGAUCAACUACAGUCCUUACACAUAAAAUAUAUUGUGAAACUAGUUUGAUGUUUAGAGAACAAUCCCAUGUUCACUUCCAAACUUCUAUGAAAAUUCAAAAAGAUAGAGAUUGAGAAUUUGGGGUUCUAAAUGGUUGAGUUGUGAUUAUGGAAUUCCUCAAGAACAACCCCUGCAUUCAAAAUCUGCUGUGAAAGUAGUUUAGUGUUUAGAGGAUGAUCUCAUGCCUACUUUUACGUUUGUAUGAAACAUGCUUAGUGAUAGAACUUGAGAGGUUUGGGCCAGUUACCGGUACAAUAUUCUUAAAUAAAUUACUCAUGCCUGGACAUGUUUAAAAGAUAAGUAAGUGAUUCAUGACAGUGAAGGCUGGAAAGAGUGUAUUGAGGAUCACUCAAAUCUACGUGAGGCAUUAUACUACUCAUGUAGACAACGACAAUAAUGGUGCAUAACAGUCCUAGAAUCAAGUAGGUUAGUAAGUCUAAGUCUAAUCAGUUGAAUCCUGACUCGACCCAUGUUUCUUGCUUAGGUCUUCUGCAUUAAAAGUUUGACUAAAAAAUUGAAUCAAAGAUCAAGAUGUCCUUGUAUGCAUCCAAACACGUGUAUAUCAGAAAGUACUCAUGUGAGAUGAGAAUUUUUGUUGUAUUUGUAAAAAACAAAUUAGUGUGCCAGUAUUUAGGAAUGUCAACAGAAACCUAUCCACCCCUCUAGGUUUCUUAUCCAUUAUAUUUGGAUCUUAAAUAGUGGUUUAGUGACAUGCCAAUGCUGUAUAUCUUUUAGAAGGUUCUGUAGAUAGACUGAAGAUUGCUGGGAUAAUAACCAAUUUCCAAGGAUUUCUUAGGAUAAUUCUAGCAAAGGUCCUUUGGGCUGUAAAGGAUAAUUUAACUAAAUAGAAUGAAGAGGUAUCUAACAAGAUGAAGAUCAAGAAACAGAAUGGUGGAAGGAGAUUAAGGGCCGGAGAGCCAGCAUAGAUGUGAAACUGGUGGAGUGGGGCAGGCAGCACUUAGGUUUGAGACUUCAAUCAUCCAUAGGCGAGAGAAAAAUAAAACCUACUUGGAGGGGGUAAAAUUCAAUCCAACAACCAACCAAAAAUUAAAAAAAACCUUAAUAUAUGGCAAAGGCUUCUCUGCAUUCACAAUGCAAGCGUAAUAAAUCCUUCAUACUCAAAAAUCACCACGGCUACUACCGGGUGGAUGGAGGAACCAAUUACUAAUAUUAUCCCUCAAUAUUUUAGGUAAAAACCUAUAAAUAACAUUGACCACUAAACCAAUCACCAGUCACAUAAAAAUCAAUCAAUCACCAAGAGAAAAAUCAAAAGACAGACGGCACAAGUUGAAGCGUGAUUAGCCAUUAAAAACUAGUUUCACUAAAAUAUGGAAAUUUAGAAACUCCAAAUUUCCUACAAUAUUGCUCUGAUUCAACCAAACUAAUGAAAUGGGUAUAUGGAAAAAAAAUUAAAAAUUAAAAAUAAUCGAAGAAAUUGAAAGAAAGGAGAUGAUCAAGUACCUGGAAAGCUUUGAGGAGACGAACGACGUUGGGGUGGCAAAUAGAGGACAAGAAUUUGAUCUCGCAAUCCAAGCAAUUCUUGAGGCGCCUGUUGAGCCGCGAGAGGAAGACCUUCUUCAGAGCCACCACCUCCCCACUUUCUCUGUGCACGGCUUUCCACACUCUGGAGAAAGAGCCUUCCCCAACCUCUGAUAUCAGAACGUAAUCUCCUAAUGCUGCUGUGCUGCUGAGUUCAGAGAGACUUGGCUUGCUUUCAGGUUCCAUAUUGAUGUUUUUGAGCUCUCAAGACUUUGCUUUGCUUGCCCUGUAAUGAAAGCGUUAUGGGUUUCCUUCAUAGCUAACUCUCUAUCAUAGCUAACUCACCGUCCCCUCAAAAAUUUGACACAUGUCUUUAACUAUAUCCAUGUUGUAAACUAAAGAGAUUAUGGAGAGAAUUAAGAUGGAGAGAGGGCAUAGAAGCCUGAUCUUUUCAUUGAAUGUUUUCUCUAUAUCUUUGCAGGCAAGAGGGUUGCCUAUUUAUAGGCAUGUUAAAUGGCACCCGUGAAUAAAAGAGAAGACAUAAUGAUGUUUCUACCCAAUUAUCACUGUUCACCUUUUGACUAUGUGGGCUUCACCCAUUCUACUUUACAACACUCCCUCUUGGAGACCACAUGUCCCUAGAUUGGUUGCCUCAUUAAAACCUUGCUUGUAAAAACCCAGUGGGAAAAAACCUAAGCGAAGGAAAAAGAGUACAACUUUAUUUGGGACAUAAAGGUAAUACGCUCAUGUUGCCUCGUUAAAACCUUGCUUGGAAAAAUUCGGUGGGGAAAAACCCUAGUCGAAGGAAAAAGAGUACAAUGCGCAUAUGUCCUGUGUUAGAGGACUCUUGAAUGCUCCCCCUGAUUUUGCAUGCUCCAACUUGAUUUCUUGCAGAGUUGUCGUAAGCCGAUGCCAUGCACUAACUUUUGGAAUGUACAUUUCGGCAAUGAUUUAGUGAAGAGAUCUGCCAGGUUAUCGCUUGAGCGGAUUUGUCUGACUUUGAUUUCUUGACUCUUCUGGAGCUCGUGUGUAUAGAAAAACUUUGGUGAUAUGUGCUUAGUCCUGUCACCCUUGAUAUGUGUAUAGAAAAACCUUGCCAGUAAAAACCCAGUGGGACAAAAAACUGGUCGAAGGAAAAAAGAGUACAUAACCAUGUGUAACAUAAAAUUCUGUGUAUAUUGACAUGCGUACGACACUGCCUCGUUAAAACAUUGCCAGGAAAAACCCAGUGGGAUAAAAACCUGGACGAAGGAAAAAGAGUACAGUGUGAAAAGGUCUUUAUUGACAGCACGCUCCCCCCCCCCGAUGAAUAUCUCCUCCUGAAAACUUCAUGACUAGCUUUUUCCAGUAAGCGACCAUAGAGAUUUUCAGAGUCCGCAUAUCUAAUAACACUUGGGCUAUUUAUAAGUUCACUCAAAAAUAUGCCCGUAUAUGGUGUUGUGCUUAGAUAGCAUCAAAUAUGCCUCACAUCAUCCCAAAAUGAUGGUGAUGGAGUUGAGCUCUAUCUGGAAAAUACGAUGUACAGUCCAAUAUACUUCCCUGAAAAUCCUGAAAGUGUCCAACGGAUAAUCCUCAUAAAAAUGCUUCAAUACUUUCUUAGUAUAAGCGAGAAUCUCGUUGGCAUAAUGCUCGAUCUUUAAGUCGAGACAAAUAUUUCUUGAACUCUUCAGAAGCUUUAAUGUGUUGCAAACACAUUAUAGUCCAUGUACUCACUGAGGCAAUUUAUGCAUAUUAGUAUUGAGUACUGAUUUUGUGCUUUAGGCAUAUGUCCUUUACAGACUUGCUUCAUGCAAUUUCAAUCCUUUCAAGGAUUUUGUUUAAAGGGAUUAAACUUUAUGACACAUUAUAUAGCUUUUACCCAGCUAUUUAUACAUCUUUAGGGAAUCGCUUCUGGCGAUAUGCUUCGUGCAUUUAAUAACCCUUAAAGAUAACAUGUUGGUCUCCGUAAAUGUGCAAUAAGGAGGCACAAUUGAAUCUGUAAAUAUGGAGAAGACCCAACAUUCCUUGUCUCUGCCAGAAACAUUGUGUCAUACAAAGUAGGUAUAUUCCCUUUUAUUCCGAACACCCAAGUAUAACUUUCAGUAUUAACAUCUUUUGGGGUUCGUACUGUGGGUUUGUUCUUUCACGUUCAUUCUCAUCUAUAAUGGAAUUACCUCAUUCCAUUUUGGCCAAUGAUAUUGUCGACAUUUAAUAAUUGAACGUGGUUCCAAUCAACACAGCCCAUUGAUGAUUUGAGUAGCUACUCCAAAACCAAAAAUUGUCAUUCAUCAAUUCAUGAUCCCACCAUUCUCAUUUGCAUGUGCAUGCAUCAAUUAUAAGCAUUUCUUUGCUUUUGGGUACCCAAGCCACUUCAGGGGGUUUUUAUUAUGUGAGAAUGUGGAUUAUAACCUUCAAUGGAGCGUUAUUUUACAUAGGGCGUGGAAAAUCUCCAUUUUGGGAGUUGGAACAUUCAGAACUCAUACAUCUGUCAUGCUGCAGGCAUGCCACAGAUUAAUACAUACAUGUCAAUUAAUUUAUGGGACUUUAACCCAUAUAAUUUGCUACGCAUUAGGCGUGCACAAUAUCAAUAUUGACAUGUUAAAGGAUUUUCCUUUCGGGACUUCAAUCCACAUCAUUUGCUACGCAACAAGCGUGUAUCAUAUUGAUCACUGCUAUACCCAUAUUCUGUUCUUAUGGGAUUUUAAUAUGUGCAGUGUAUUAUCAAUGUAUCCAACUUGCAAUCUGUAAAAUUUGUGUUAAUAAUUCAUGGAUACAUACAAGCCAUUCUUUUGGAACGGACUUAUCUCCCCAUUUGCUUACCUUUCAAGAUAAAAUAUCAAAUAAGUAUAUAAGUAUAAAAUAACACAAAUAUUGCUUACAUCCUUAGGUGGGAGAAACUUUUCUCAAGUAUCAUUCAAGCUCGUAUCGGCCCAGUAAAUAUAAUGUAGCGCUUGAUGAUCUAGUUAUAUCCUGCAAGAGCAAAAUCACAACUCUUUUCUCUGUCAAAAACAAAUAACCCUCAGAGUUAUGAUCACUUCAUGGAUUCUUUCUUCAGAUGUUCAUUCUAAAGAAAUAAAAUCUCUUAUGAACAGAGAGUUACAAAAAGAGAAAAAAUGCAAAAAAAUUGUGAUAUUGAUUGCAAGAUAAGGUAAGCAAUCAGGGAAGGAAGCUGGUGGGAGCAGACAAUAAGCUCUCAUUUCUCCUAGUCUAAAAGGACUUCCGGAGAUUAGAGCAUAAGAUCGCCUUCACAGUUUCCUGAUGUAGCGGAAACGUGAUCAGGGAUAGUCUCGCUUCCUGAAUGGAUGAUCAGAGAUAGUCUUGCUUCUCGGGCAUAUUGAGUGCUCACUGAUAAGAAAAAUAAGUAGAUAUCGCAUCACUAGGUAUGGAGAAAACUGGAUGUCUUCUGCAAAGAAAAUUUUGUUAGUAACACAUUUAUACACAAAUAAGAGGAAUAGAUAGAACCGGUGAAUUUCAAAUUAACCAUAGGAAAAUUGCGAGAUUCUUGGGGCACUUUUGAAAAAGUAGCUCCGUGAAAUCCGCAAAGCAAGAUCGGCUUUGACGAAAAUAAUACUUGGAAACGCCGAAAGUGCCAACAAAUAUUAAUGGAGGCCGCGUGAAGUUUUGGAAUCUGGAAAAGAAAAGGAGAAUAUGGGGAUCUGAGAUAAUAUUGGGAUCCUGAAAACUGUAGCCAUAUUUCCUCCUAUAGAUAUUGCCUUUGCAAGACUUGAUUGGAGCAACUGCGUUUCAACUCAACUUCCUUCAUUUUCUGAAACUUUAGUUUUUCUAAGACUUUCUUCGAAACCUUCUUAAAAUGGCUUCCUCUUCUUCCAGCCCAAAUUAUUUCAAUUUAAAUGAUGCUCCCACAACAACCAGUGACGCCAAAGUUUGGCGUCCCUCCUUUGUAUCCCAAAAUCGUCAUCUCAUAGUUAAUGAUUCUGUGAUGAUGAAUGAUGCUACUGCUGUCAUAGUAGCUAGGAAUUUCAUUACUCCAAUGGAUGAAAUACUGUUAACAGGGAGGUUUGAGGAAGAGGCUAUUGAUGACUCAAUGGCUUCUAGCAUUCAGAGUGCUGCUUCUGUUUCUAACAUGGCUGAUCGUUUGCGUGCUAGAGCAAACGAGGUUCAGAAGCUAACAACUGAAAAUUCGUCUCUUCAAAGGAUGCUUCAUGAGUCUCAACAGGAGGUUGAGAAACUUAAAGGAGAGAAUAAUUCCUUGUUGAAACUGGUGAGUUCGUACUCCGUUGAUACACUGAGAAGGCUAGACAUGCUGCAGGUCUCCAAUGAAAGAAUUUUGGAAGACCACGAGAGGCUUAUGGCUAAGCUUAAGAGGCGUCGUCCUCUUCCGUCAGAGGCUUCCAGAACAUGAUGUAAUUUUAUAGAUUUUACAGGGCCUGCACCUUCAUUGCAGGUGGAAAAAUCUAUCUGUUGUAUGCUCCUUUCCUGUUAUAAUAAUUGCACACAUUCUUAAAUUUGCACCUGUGGUUUUUAUGUCUUUUCAAAAUGACGGUUUGGAACCUUGUGCCUUAUAUGUUCAAAUAACCACAUCGACUCUCCCAAAUUUCCUAUUUCAACGUAUGGGAGCCCGAAACUUUUGCCCUGGGCUAAACACAAACUCAGAAUUUAUUCGCCCUUUUCAAAUGGACAUGAAAUAUGAAUUGAGUAAAAGCCACGAUAAUUUCGCAAUAUAGUAGUGAAGAGCAUUAACUACUAUAUACCCACAACCUCAAGUUCGGGAUUUCUCAUAUAUUUGAAUCCAUGUGCUUCCGGCCCAGAUAUAACAAAAUAUGUGGGGAGCCUCAAUUCAUCAUUUGAGGUUUAUAUUGAUAUUAUCCAUUUCACGGUGUAUUCUUAACAACCAGAAUUCACAAAAUAUAUUUCUUCCUUGAGGUGUCGAUUAUAACAUAAUCGAACUUUAUUAAAUUCAUCAUUUUCUUAUGCCAAAGAAAUAUGUGGUGUACCACAAUUUGUAAUAAUACCUCAAGGGUUGUCCAUUUAACUGUUGGAACUUUAGGUUCUCAACACUGUUAGAUUUUGAACUUCAUGCCAAAAUCACAUAUUCUCAUGGUAUGGACUUUCAAUCCCCUUAGAUUUUGAAUUUCGGGCUAAAAUCACAUAUUCUCAUGGUAUGGACAUUUUUACAAUUUUCUGUACAUAUUUCUGGACUUCAAGCCCUUACAUAAUUGUCCAUAUUUUGAGGAACUUCUGGCAUCUCAUUUAAUUGCUUAUCCAUGAGUUUAAGGAACUGCAGGUUCCCUUUUGUAUAGUGACGGUUUACCCAAAAUGGUUAAUAUUUAUGUAUACGUCACUAUUCAUGUAUCCGGUACUAUUCAUCAAGUCAUGAAUACGUAUCUAUUCAUGUGUACAGUACAUUUGCCAAUACAGUUAUUAUCCAUGUGUACGGCACUAUGAACCAAUACGGUACUGUUACAUCAUUAAGGAACCCCAGGUCCUUAUUUACAUGUCAGGGAUCAAGGACCGUCAAGUCCAAUCACAUGUUUACAAAUAUCAUCAUCAAGGAUCUUCAAGUCCUGAUGUAAUUGUAUGAUGAGGAUCAAGGAACUUCUGGUCCUGAUCUGCAUACUAUAAGAAAACUCAUCAUACAACACAAUUAAUCCAUAAAAUAAAUUGCUGGUAAAUAAAUUACUGGUAUGGACGAUAAACCCGCACCAUACUUUAAAUAAAUGUAAAUGUGCGGUAAAAUAAAUUCAUAAAUUAAAUUGCUUGUUGUAUGGACAUUAAUCCCGCACCAUACCUUAAAUAAAAUUAAAUGUGCAGUCAAGUAAAUUCAUAAAGUAUGAGGGUUAAUUCCACAUCAUACUUUAAGUAAAAAUAAAUUUACGAUAAAGUAAACGUGCUUGUAUGGGCACUAAUUCUGCUCCAUACAUUUAAAUAAAAGUAAAGGUGUGGACGAUAAACCCGCGCCACCCUUUUAAAUAGAUACUGUUGUAUGGGUAAUAAACCUACACCAUACAGUAAAUAAAAUAAAUGUAGAAAUAAAACCACCACUAAAAAUAUAAAAGAGUGAAACCGACAAUUAUUUGUGGGUUCUUAGCAACACCACGAUCAAAUAAUAUAUAUGCUGUCAACUUGAAUUGCCUCCCUUUUUUUUCGGUGGAAUUCCUCUCAAAACUAGAGGAAAUAGGAAACAAUAUAAUAUGAUUACAUUAAUAUAUGUAACUAGAAAAGUUGAGACAAACCAUAGUGCUAGUCUGCCUUCAUGUUUGUCUGCUCCAUAAUUUCGUAAAUAAAAUGGAUGAACAUGAACCUGCACAAGUUCCUCUUGUACACCUUUACUUGCUUUUUAUGAUCAAUAUAAUUAUAUAAUAUUAAAGAUAAAAUAGGAUAAAGAAAAACAGAGGACUUAUCUCUUUUCCUCAGACCCACUGGUUCCACUUGCCUGAUCUGACUUACAGAUCUUUGACAAAAACUAUGUUCCAGAAACUUGCUUGAAUACGGCAAUCUAGUAGCCUAGGUAACACCCACUGAGCUGGACUCUAGCUAUUAUGACUUCUCCAUAGACUCAGCUUCAAACCGGUUUUUCAUCCAAUUCCUCCAUGUCUGAGUGCUGCGCAGAAUGCCUUUGCUUGAUCGGUUUGUGGCCUUUUCUUCUUCCUCUAUGUUUGUAGACAUGUUUUAGAGAGGGCUAUACUCUCUGCUACAGUUGAUAGGUUGAUAGCUGGAAAUUUGAGAAAGAAAGGUAUUGAAGCAGAUGGAAUUCAUCCGAGAAUUCAACUGGUAUUUUUGAAAGCGAAUUCGUGCUGAUAACGUGUUGUAAACUAAAGAGAUUAUGGAGAGAAUUGAGAUGGAGAGAGGGCAUAGAAGCCUGAUCUUUUCAUUGAAUGUUUUCUCUAUAUCUUUGCAGGCAAGAGGGUUGCCUAUUUAUAGGCAUGUUAAAUGGCACCCGUGAAUAAAAGAGAAGACAUAAUGAUGUUUCUACCCAAUUAUCACUGUUCACCUUUUGACUAUGUGGGCUUUACCCAUUCUACUUUACAACAAUCCAUAACUAUUUUCAAUUUUUCAAAGCAUUUGAAAACAAAAAAUUAAGUCUAAUAAUAAUUUAUUUUUAUUUUUAUUUUUCAAAAAAUUGUCUCUUUCUCUUUCCUCCUUGCCGACCCAUCCUACCAUUGGGGAUCUAUUCUCCACAACCAUCCCAGCCACCGUUCACUCGUCCACCUUAUUCACCCUUCACCACGCUCCCCACCACAACAACCACCCACACCGAAACCCCAAAACCCUAGCCACCUCACCACGACAACACAAAAAAAUAUACAAAUAGAGAGAAAACAAGCUAUUUUAUUGGAUUCCUCUAUUUUUAGAGAAAGAGAUGGGAGAUGGGUUUGGAAUUUGGGGUUUGUUUAUUGAGAAGCUGCUGCUUCUUUUUUAUAGAGAGAGAGAGGAGUCCAGAGAGAGAGGGAGGGAAAUGAGUGGAAAGAGGGGAUGUGACGAGUUAAUAAGAAAUCGAAAUUGAUUCGGUCUCUCUGUUGAAGUUGGGUAUAUUUAAUUUAAUUUAUGCAUGUAAAGACGNNNNNNNNNNNNNNNNNNNNNNNNNNNNNNNNNNNNNNNNNNNNNNNNNNNNNNNNNNNNNNNNNNNNNNNNNNNNNNNNNNNNNNNNNNNNNNNNNNNNCUAAAUGACUUCGACCCACAAACAUUAUAGAUGUUCCACAAUCUUGGACUGCGUUUUUGGGGGGGGGGGGGGGUCUGGACUCUGGAGUUGCUACAGAGGAAUGGUGGCUAGGGUUUUUAAGGGCAGUGGCUAUAGAGAAUAAAGAGAGUUUUUUUACAAAUUUAUUUUAUUAUUAUUUGACUUUAUUUUUCUGUUUUCAAAUCCUUCAAAAAAUUGAAAAUAGAGAGUUAAUUAUAGUUAUAGUCAAGGAGUUUUAGUUUUAAAACACAAUAUAGUUUACUAAUUUGAGAUAUAGGAAUACAAUUUCAUCUAAUUAGCAUAAAGCCAAAACCAAAAUUUAGUAUCUAAUUUUACAAAAAUAUUAUUAAAAAAUAUCAAAAUUACACACAAUGCCACUCCUUCUAAAGUAAGCAUACUAUGCCACAUGUCAAUAUCAAGCCAACCACCAUCGCCGACCACCUGCCGCCGGUCCUUGCCGGCCUGCCAUCGUCUGUAGGGAACCAACUCCGUUGUCCUUUAUUCACCUUUAAAAAAAAAAAGAUUUUGUGUCCUUGAAUGGACUUGAACCUUGAUCUUCAAAGGAGGAAAGCUCAUUCACAAACCACUACACCAAACUUGAUUUUGUAAUAUUUAUUCAGUUAUACAAUAUAUAUAUAAAACAAUCAACAGUUUUUAAAACAAAAAACAAAAAAAUCAUUUCAACACUUAUUCACACAAAAACUACAAAUAAAAAUAGAAACUGCAAUAAAAAUACAAUGUAGAUAUCAAUUAUGUUUAAAAAAAAUGAAAACAGCUACAAAAACAAUUGUAAUUAAAUGAAAACUGAAAUGCAGUUUCCAAUUUCCAAAAGUCUGAUUUUGAGUUCCCUUACUCUUGGGUAGUUUUCUCUUCUCUUGCCUACCCAAUUCCUCAUCUGGGUAGCCUCUACUCUCCAAAUUGGUGAGGUUGACGGCCAAGGAAAGAACAAAAAUCAAAUUGUAAUCAAAUGAAAACUACAAUGCAGUUUCCAAAAGUCCAAUUUUGAGUUCCCUUUCUCUUAGGUAGUUUCACUCUUCUCUUGCCCACCCAAUUCCUCAUCUGGGUAGCCUCAACUCUUCAAAUUGGAGAGGUUGAAGGCCAAGGAAAGAGCCAAGAUCCAAUUGUAAUUACCAAAAUUGCAAUGCAGAACCUGUAUAAAAUUUUACCUACUGAAAAAUAAAGAAAUAUAAUGCUGCAAGCAUAAACGAAAGACAAAGACAUGGAGAAAAAUAAAUAAAUUUAACCCACAAGAUCAUACCCCAUACCAAAUAUUACGGACAAAUACAAUCAAUCAUACCCAAAUCAAAUAUAAAUCCAAAUAUUAUGUACAAAAAUCAUGUAGGAUCAUCUUCCACCAAAUUUUUUUGUUCUUAUUGUCAAGCAUCGUUCUUUUAAUCAAUAUCAAUGCAUAGUUGAUGGACCUGUCUUUCUCAACAUGCAAAUUGACAAAUAAUGACAAAUUUCAAAAUAUUGGAUUAUGAUAGUGAAGAUUGAUGAAGACAAGAUGAGAAACAGAGAAAUGGGUUAUUCAUCUUACAAAUUGGUAAAUUCUUUCCAAGAACGAAACCAAGAGUUAAGAAUCUCAAACUUUUCCAGUAAAUUCUGAUAUAUAUUCUAUAAUUUCAACGAAGAUAAAAGCUAUUUUUUGUAUAAUUACAUCCUGUCAAAUAACCAAAAUAAUGUGUGUAUAAGUACUAUCAACUUCGACCACUUUCCACCAACUCUCCAAAUUUUGUCAAGAUCCAAGGUUGACAGUUAUAACCUUCCAAAAAAAUUUAACGGAGAAUUCUGACCGAAGAAAGCUCAUGCCCAGACAAAAAAAAAGUGUUACACACUGAAAUUUCUGUUUAACUUGACUUUGGAAUUAUAUGACAGGGAAGACUGGAAUUAAUUGAACUUUGGUGGUUGUAAGUUAUAACCAAACCAAAGAAGCUAACGCAAGCAAUUUAUUGUAUGUAACAGAUGGCCCAAAAUUACAAAUGCCAGCCUAUAUGCAAUCUGACUGUAAUGGAGCAUAUCAAAUUAAAAUGUUGAAGAAACACGCAGGUCACCAAAUUUAAGGACAAACUAUAUCAAUUAACACAUAUAAUAACAGCAUAGGGGAGCUAAGCAAUCAUACUAGUAUAGGCUGUUUGACCCGAUCUUCAUGCUGAUUAUGGUGAACGACUAACAAAAUCAGGACUGCAAUCGAGAAGAGUCCAAAAGGAGCCCAGAUUCAAUACGAAAACCUCCUUUGAACCAGGCGCCGAUACUCGGCUCGCAACGAUGAUGAUCUCAUGUACGUGCUUCUCGCUCGCUGUGCGACAUCGCUUUGAAGAUCACCACCUAAAGGUCUGGCACUAGGUUGAUCGCUAUGGUUGCGAUGCCGAUGCUCGUCUAGUCCUUGCCGAUCGCUAAUUUUAAUAUCACGGUGGAAAAAAAAAAUCAAAAAAUUGCAAAAAUGUAAAUGUAACUCUUAUAUUAAUCAUGCUUUUAGCACGUGGGCUUACUAAUUGGUCUUUAACAGAAGGGUUAACUGCCGAAAACCUCCAUGAACUAUAUCGACUAUCGGAAUUUCCCUCAUGGAUUAUUAUUUUUUGCCAAUUUAGCCUUCAAAUUAAAAGAAAUAGCCAAUUUCACCCCUGCCGUUAGUUUUUCCCCAAUUCCAUCCAAAUGCCCGUUAAAAACACCACGUGAAAGGCACGUAAGCCGUCUGAUAAGGGUAAUAUCGUCAUUCUAUACCCUCAACCCUCAGCCCCCUUUAACUGAAUCGUUCGUAAGGGUCAAUUCCCAAAUCAGAGUUAGGGUUUUUGAAAAAGGGUGAGAGUGAAAGAGAGAAAGCGACUGAAAGAUUCGAAAAAGGGUGAGAAAGACAAACUACGACUGAGAGAUUCGAUUUUGAGAGAUAUUUUGUGACUUGAAGAUUCCAAACGAAGGUGCGACGGUAAAGGCAAAAUGAAAAUAAGAGAUGGUGGGGAAGCUCCCAUAUACAGUAAGUACGCUUAGUUUAUUUGUUUGAUUCAAUUGUUUGAGUUUUAAUGUCGAAUUUCAUUGCUGGACUUGAUGAAAAAGCAUAAUAAAAGGAAGAAAGUGGUCCCUAUGGUUGUUGUUUGUUGACUGAGACUUAGGUUGGGUUGUGAAUGUGGUCCCUAUGCAUGUUGUUUGUUUAUUGUUUGUCGGGUUCUUUGUCUGGGUUUGUAUUGUAAUGUAUUGUAUAGGAGAAUUAGUAAUGUACUGUAUAGGGUAGAUAGUAAAUGUAUAUUGUACUAUAUAGGGUAGAUAGUAAAUUAAUGAGAAAAUUUAUUGUUGUGCAGCUAAUCCUGACAUGUUCACACUUGAAGUACACCAUGGGGGCUAUUGUUUUGGCCUAAAUUUGGCACAUCCAGUCCAAAUAUCAAAAGCCCAUGUCAGCAAUCCCUAAAUAAAGGGCCAAAAUUACACACUCAGCCCAACACUGGAAACCCAGAAUAACGAAGCAAUCUCAGGACCCAAGCAGAUUAGGCUUUGCAUUGAAGUUGAAUUGAAAAGCCCAAAUCCAAGAAGGCCCAGCCCAGAAUCUGUCAUUUGGGCUUCAAAAAAAAAAAGGAAAAUCAGCCCACAGUUUCAAAAACUCAACCUGGGCUUAGCAUGAUUAAAAAGAGAAGAAAGGCCCAAAAUUGAAGGCAAACCCACGUGACUGCUUGAACUUUGAAAAGUCAGCAAUUUCAACUGGGAUUGAUAAGGAAUUAAUAAGGGCGGGUUUGAAAAAGACAUCUCUAAAAAUCUAUGCUACCAGAAGAUCAAAAUCCCUUUUUAUAUACUCAGAGAAAAAUCUGCUCCAAAGAAAGGCACCAUUUUUUAAGAGAUAAGAAAACUACGUUUGGGAGAUAAACAGAAAGCAGGAAGCAGGGAGUUGUUCAAAAUGGAAGAUCAAACUAACCAUCACAGUUUGAACUCUUAUAAGGGCAGUUGGAAUUAAAGAAGGGGUAGGUUUUCUUUCAAGAAAAACAGGGAAGUGAUUGCCUUAGGAACUGACUAUUGAGGGCUUAUCUGCCAGAAUUGAUAGAACCCCUUUUUCUUUACAUUUUAAAACGACAGAUCUUUUGAGAAUUUUUGCCGCCCAUUAUUAAAAAGUUAGAAACCAUACUUCAAAACAUUUCUUAUAAAUAUAAGAGAGGGUGAACAUAGCAGAGGAAAAUCAAUCAAACAACCAAAAAAUCAGUCGAAAGACAAAAACUCAAAAUGAUCACUUGAUUUCAAAGAAUCUCCAAACAAACUGAAGCAACCAAAAGCUCAUUGAGCCACAAGAAUGAAGCCAGCUACAAAUCAGUUUCAGAUUUAGAGAAAAGUCAUUUAAAACAAGAUUUCUCUCGUUGCAAAUUUGGUUCAGCAAAAGCCAAAACAAGCAGAGCCUGGGUUUUUACAAAUAUGAAAACCUCAACAAAUUUAUGGAGAGCCCUGAUCAAGCAGAACAGGCAUCACAGUGCAAUUCCAGCUCAAUAAUCCUUGAAUCUAGCCACUUCUGCCCCCUUCAGACUGAAGAGGCCGCAAUUCUGUCUUGUUCAAAAAGUCUUCUAAGGCUUGAAAUAGAUUAAAGCUAUGCCAAACUCGAACGUUGGUACGAUUUACAGCUGAAACUUGACAGUUGAAGUUGCUGACAGUCCAGUCCUGCAUAGGCAUACCCAGUCCAGUCCUGAUCAGAAGCAUCUAUCCAGGUAGAAAUGGAAGUCCAACCUUCUCUUUGUCUUUCUAGAGUUGGCUUUUCCCUUUUGAGUUUUGUAAAAGGGAGUUCUGCCUAAAAACAGUUCAUUUUCUCAUCAUUUAUUCUGGCAAGAACUACCAAUAUUGUACUGUGAAAAAUUGUGAAGUUCUCACCUGUCUGAGGCAAGAAAAGAACUUACUUAUGAGGUAUUCCUCACCCAAAUUCACAUUUGCUUGUUUAGAAAUCAGUAACUUGAGGCGCAAAUUAUCUAUUUUCGAAGUCUGCUAGGCUUUUUCAUUACUAGCAGUGGCAUGCUCGCACAAUAAAGAAAGUUGACUUGUUAACCAGACAAUGGUUUUCAAGGCAAUGGGGAACUUUACCUUACCAUCACAGGAACAAACACGAAACGGGUGAACAGCUACUUUGUUGAUGGUUUAUAUAUGGGAGGUAUUGUACAAUGGGUUGAUGGGCAAGAUAUAGAUGAGGUUUCAAUGCUUGAGUUCUUGAACUGGUUAAACACCAUGGUUAUGAUGAGCAGAACAUUCAAUACUAUUACAAGCAGAGGACAAAUGGCUGGGUUGAAAUUAUGACAGAUAAGGAUUAUUUUGGAGCAUUAAAGUUGGUGAAACCGAGCCAGCUGUUUGUGUUAUACAUAACUAACAAUCCAGCACCUAGGCCUCUAAAUAUUCAAUCCCCAGUAUUCUCUUCACAAGGUGAAAAUGCUGAACAUUAUGAAGACGAAGACACUGCUCAUGGAUAUGAUGGUGAUGAAGAAAAUGGGCAAUAUGAUUUCGUGGAUGUUGAGAUACAUGAAGAAUUUGGUGAGGCAGAGGAAGAAGUUGAGGUAGAAAGUGAUGAAGCUGAGCAAGGUGGGGAGGAUGAGGAAGAAGAUUGUGAUUUCAUAGAUAGUAAGUUUGAGCAAAGUGAUGAAGAGGACAACAUGAAUUUUCAUAGGUAUGUUGUAACUGAAGAGCAAGAUGAUGGACAUAAAGAACCAAGUGAGGGUGACAUUGAUGGUUAUAAUACAUCAGACUUAGAGAGUUUGCAUGAAGAUAGUGAAGAUAAAGAUGGGAAGAAGAGAGGUUUGAGGCAGCCAAAGUUCAAGCAGUACAAUAAACAUCAUGACCUUUUAGAUCCAAAUUCCACUUGAGUUUGGAGUUUCCUAAUAUGUAGGAAUGUAGAGAGGCCAUAAAGUACUAUGCAUGCAGGUGUGCUAGAAGACUAAGGUUUGUCAAGAAUGAGCCUAAUAUGGUGAGGCUGGUAUGUGAUGGUAAUAAGGAGGGUGAUAAGGCAAAGAGGCCUACUAAGGGUGAAAAAGCAAAGAGGCGUGCUAAGAGUGAUAAGGCAAAGAGUCAUAGUAAGAGUGAUAAGAGUAAGAGGCAUGGUAAGGGUGAAGAAGGUCAAGAGGAAGAAGAUCUGAAGAUAAACUUGAAGACUGUCCUUGGUUAUUGCAUGAUGCACAUUUUGAGAAAUGGUCUACUGUUAAAGUGAAGACAUACCAUCCAAUUCCUACAUGUGGCAGAUCUCAAAGAACUAGGUUUGCCACUUCACAAUUGUUGGCUAAAAGGUUUGAUGAGGAUCUCAGAACCAAUCCUAACAUGUCAGUUGCUGAGUUCAUGACAUUGGUGAGAAAACAUUAUAGUAUAAAUGUUACUAGGGACCAAUGCUACAAGGCAAAGAAUUUGGCAAAGGAGAGCAUUCAAGGAAGCAUUGAAGAACAAUAUUCAAAGCUGUGGGAUUAUUGUGAGAAGCUUAAGAGGCAAAACCCAGGAAGCACAGUUUUAGUAAAGACAUCAUUGAGGGGAGAUGAUCUAGUUUUUGAGAGGCUUUAUAUAUGUUUUGCUCAACUGAGGAAGGGGUUUAUUGAAGGAUGCAGAACCAUGGUUGGUUUUGAUGGGGCUUUCAUCAAAGGACAACAUCCAGGACAACUUUUAAGUGCUAUUAGGAUUGAUGCCAACAAUGGUAUGUUCCCAAUAGCUUUUGCUGUUAUGGAGACAGAAAGCAGAGACACUUGAUAUGGUUUUUAGAGAUUUUCUUCAAUGAUGUUGGGGUAAGAGGCACUGGAAAUGGGUGGGUUUUUAUCAUCGAAAAACAAAAAGGACUGGGGCAAGCAAUUGAGGCUUUAAAGUCAGAUGCUGAACAUAGGCAUUGUGUAAGGCAUCUGCACAAUAAUUUCAAACUUGCUGGGCAUGGUAGUUUGGCACUUAAAUAGAGGCUAUGGUCUGUUGCUAGAAGUACAACACUUCCUCAGUGGGAAGCUGAGAUGGAAAAUAUUAUGGAAAUGUCUACCCCAGCUCAUGCAUGGCUUCAGGAUAGGCCAGCAAUUCAUUGGAGCAUGCCACAUUUUACUACUGGGCCCAAGUGUGAUAUAUUGUUGAACAAUUUAUGUGAAUGCUUCAAUUCAGCAAUUUUGGAGGCAAGAGAUAAACCAAUAAUCACGAUGGUGGAAAGGAUAAGAACCUAUUUGAUGUUGAGAGUUACAAGAUAAAAAGAGGUGAAAUGGACUCAAAGAGUUAGGCCAAGGAUAUUUUAGAUUAUUGAGAAGAAUUUGAAAGAGAGUGGCUCAUGCAUUGCACAGAAUGCCGGUGGAAACAGGUUUCAAGUCACCCAUAUGCUUGGUAGGCAAUAUGCAGUUGAUCUAAAUACUCAUUCAUGCUCUUGUAGAAAAUUGGAUCUCUGUGGCAUCCUGUGUUGCCAUGUCAUGGCUGCUAUAUCAAGGCAACAGAGGAGCCCAAUGACUUAUGUGAAUGAGGUGUAUAAGAAAGAAGCUUAUGAUAGGGGUUAUAGCAAUUACAUUUCACCAAUGCCAAGCCAAUAAUUAUGGAGGAAAUCAAGGCAUAGGCCAAUUAAACCCCCACUGUCUCACAAACAAAGUGGUAGGCCAAAGAAGGCAAGGACUAGACCUGUUGAUGAGAUCCCAAAGGGUGCCACUAAGCUUAGGAGAUAUGGAAUUGUAAUCCAUUGCUCAGUCUGUGGAGGAGAAGGCCAUAAUGCUACUAAUUGUGGAAGGGCAGAUGGUAAUAUGGGAAGAGGCAGAGGGAGAGGGAGAGGGAGAGGGAGAGGAAGAGGAAGAGGAAAAGGAAGAGGAACUGGCUCAGUCCAUCAAUCUGAAGAGGAAUAGGUAAAUGAUGUGAAAUUAUGAUUCAUUUCAAUUGUUUUAAUUGUGAUUGAUUUCAUUCGUAGGCAAUUAGAGGUGGGUUGACAGGGACUGUAGCCACUGCAAGCCAAAUAGCUCCAACCAAUAUUGCUACCCAAUCAAGUGGAACCAAUAUUGCUUCACAACCAGCUCCUUGCAAUUUAGCUUCACAAGCAGGUCCAAGCAGUGUCACUCAAAACACUUCCAGGCCACAAGGGAAAAGAUUCAAAUCCCCUACAAAAAGGGCAAGGCCAUGGAGGUAAAAUACAUGAUGGAUUAGGAUGGAUUUUGGAAUGUAUAUUUUUAAUACAUGGGCUGGUAGAUGUGUGUAUUUUGAACAGAUGGCUUUUUUGGAUGGAUUUUGGAUGAUUAAGCAAGGUUGGAAUGUAUAUUUUGUAGUAGAAGUUCCCCCACUGUAUUUUGAGCAAGAUGGUAUAUGAGUAAGAAGACGGUUGGAGCGUUCACCUGCCGGAUGCUUUGUGGGCUUACUGCACCUCACCAAGAAGUCCUACAGGUUUUUUGCCUUAUUCACUUGUGUAUGGGUCUGAUGCUAUUUCACGUGUGGAAAUCACCAUUCCCACGCCCAGAGUAUCGGCUAUCAAUGAUCUUGAAUGGGAUGCAAAGUCAUGCUCGGAUUGGCAUUUGUUAGACCUCAAAGGUGUGGAUGAAAAAAGAAUGGAAGCCGAAAGAAAAAUGGCACUCUACCACAAAACUGUUUCCCAAGCAUAUAACAAGACCGUUAAGCCCCAAGCCUUCAAGCAAGGAGAUCUUCUGCUAAAAGUUGUCGAGCAUGUGAGAAGACAAGUGUCAGGACCUUCCAAGUUUGCUCCAUAAUGGGAAGGUCCAUAUGCAGUCAAAGAGGUGCAGCAGUGGCUAUUAUCGCUUGAUCUCCCUCACAGAAGGCAUGCUAACGGAUCCCAUUAAUGGAAAGUGGCUCAAGCCUUACUACUGCUAAGUAGGCAUUGUAUUUUAUCUUUAUGUUAUUGCAUUUCUUUUCUUUUUAAAUAUGGUCUCUUUUUAUAUUCUCGCUUUCUUGCUCUACGAAGCUUUUGUAAAAUGUACCAUCAUGGUAGCAUGGGAUUUGAAAUGAAAAUGAAGGAGUAUUUUGAAAGAAAAAAAAAAAGAUUGUCACUGGAAAUUGCCUUUUUGCGUCCCAAACCUUUGUAUAUAUAUAUACAUACAGUCCUGAUCUCUUGGACUACAGGGGUCCAAGAGAUUUGUGGUCACUCACCGUUGGAUGUAAAUUCAACGGUUCACUCACUCUUGCACUCCUUUUAAGAAAUUUUUUUGAACCAUUGGAUUAAUAUCCAACGGUAGGUGACCACAAUCUCUUGGACUCCUGUGGUCCAAGAGAUCGGAACUGUAUAUAUAUAUGUAUAUAUAUAGGGCAUAUAUUUUAAAAUAAAAUAAAAACGUUACUUAGCAGAAGACAUGCCAAGCAAAGCCACAUAUAUGGGAUCCUAAAUCAUUAAUAGAUUUCACGCUUUAGCAAGAUAAAAAGAAACACGCCAAGCUCAGCAUUUGCAAAAGAAACUACCGUGCUCACAACAUUCAGGAACCCUUCGAUAAAGAAAAUUGGUACUGAGAAGUUUUGAACAAGGAUCCUACCAAAAUUUUGGCAGCACUUACCUUGUUCUAAAAGGGUGCCCAACUUGUAAAAGGACCUCAAGCAAAGAAUUCCACCAACCAGGCAGCAUAUAUAUAUACUAAACAGAAGUUACAAUGUGUCUUUAGCAAAAAGAAAAGGGACAUAAGUUCCAGCAGCUUGAACACAACAACACUACAGUGCCAAGCUGUUGCAGUACAAGUUUGAGAUACCCCGAAAGAAAAUACAGCCCAAGUAAGAUUAAGUUACACAAGCCAAGAAUUAAUGUGUUCUUCAGUCUCAUAAGGGAUCUGAAAAUGUGUCAAGCCAGUUAGUCUCACGCCAAGCAAAUGCAACCUGCGAGAUGGAGUAAGGGAGUGUCAGAGAGACAGGUUGGUAUCAGACAAAGUUAAGAUAGGACGGUAUGAGAGCCACGAAACCUCAAAGCCGUCAAGGAUACCUAGAAAAUAACGAAAGAAGCCUUGUGAGAGGAUCUUGUCACUGCUUUUGCCACACAGUCGGCACGGUUAGAAAAACACCUUGGGCAAGAAGGAGGGCACGCAGUUCCCCAUGCUGAUUUUCCAACUCACGCUGCUUGAGAUUCAAAGCUUCCACUGCUGCUCUUAUUUCAUCAGGACCGGAAAAUGACUCCAUGUUGUGAAUAACGCAUGCCCCAAAUACAGCACGUGCUAAAUCUUUAACCAAGUUCAAAAGAAACUCUACCCGAAAACUUAAGGUCAUGGCUUCACAGAUUGCAUCCCGCCAGCAAAAGAGUCGAUGAUCUGUGAUAUCCAACAAAUGCAUGGUAUCCAUUCCAUGGAGCACCAUGCCAAGGGUCCGGAAAGCAGCGCACCGCGAAAAGGAAGAUGUAAUGCCAAUCAUGUCUAUAAAAUCCCCAUGCUUGUCUUUAAAUUUCUCUAAGGCUGCGACUGUCUCGGGAUAAACAAGAGCCUCCCGAAAUGUUGCAUAGCCAUUAAACCGAUGACAAAGUGGCAAAAGCUCAUCCGCCGAUCGAAGGACCUGAACACCACCAUCAAAGAAAUCCUUGAAUGCAGUAAAGGAAUUCUCCCACUCCAGCCAAGACAUGAUAGAUGAAUGCUCUGCAGAGAUGUUCCCGGCAGUAGUGUUAUUAACUCGGGCCUCCUCAUCAGCAAUUGUGUCACCAAAUGAAAUCGUCGGGAGAGAUACCAGGGAGCUGGGCUCUGGCCUAUGAAGAAGGGAUUGAACGUGGGAUGGAGUGGGCAACGUCCCAUGGAAGGUAAAAGUUUUGCUUCGGAGAGUUGUUGGAAAGGCUGACGGAAGAGUAGGCUCAAGGUCCCUUCGAAGGAAGUGCUGGACGAUAGGCAACAAAGGAUUUGUGGUUUGAGAGGUAGAUGCCUUGUCCUGAGAAUUCACUGGUGUCACAGUAAGAGAUGACUCGACAAGGGCUGCCUCGGCCAGUGUCUUGAGUGUGCCGAAGAAAGAGGGCACAACGGGCACGAUUUCCAUGUUAUGAGUAACGUGCCCAACCUGAAAAUAUAUAUCUACAAGGGUAAGUAUGAGGUAGUUAGCAUGUUAUGUCACAUGUAUUAGCAAAAAGGCAAGAGAGAGACGACUGCCCAAUUAAGCAAAAGUAAAAAAAAAAAAAAAAAAAAAAAAAAAAGAUAAAAAAAAAUAUGAGUGGAGCAAACAGUAGGUACCUCCUGGGCAUUCUGUGCAUGGUCAACAAUGGCAGCAGCAAGGUUCGAGCUUUCAGCAAUUUCGGUAACCUGCAAGAUAAGGACGGACGGUGAAUAGGCCGUUUGCGGUGCAAGGAAUGGAAAGAGAGCAGGACGUGAGAUAUGCCAAGUAUCGGUUCAAUAUUAAUAUGGCGCACACUGCUAUCAGAAAAUCCAGAGAAAGUAUAGAAGCCACCACAUUCUUCUGGAUAGUCACCAGAGUGUACAAAUGCGUCCUUAUUGCGAUCAUAGUAGUUGUUCUCAUCAAAAUCCUCAUGCAUGUCAUCGGUAUCACGUACGUCCUCUUGUUCCGGAACACUAGCCUGAGUCUCAAUAGUAUCGCCAUCAUAACUGUCAUCAUCAAUAGUCACCCUAGCCCUCGGAUGCAGUAGGCUUUGAAGGCUGUGGACGUUCUGGGGGAGUUGCCUCUUUAGUUCGAGGAGGGCCACUCAACGCCACCUUUGGAAUGAACUUUCUAGGUUUACAGGCAGUUUGCUCUUUUCCUGCACUUUGCUUCUCCUCCCGCUUCUGUUUACUCGACACCAGUGUCGUAUCUUUUCCAGAACUGUGAGGACUCUGCUUUCCUAGCUUUGGUCUCAUUUUGGAAAAUUCUCCAACGAUGUCACCACUUUUGGAAAUAAAGGGUAGAUUGCGUUUUUGACUUAGAGGGAUGACUUUCUCUUCCGACACCAAACCUGCAAGGCGAGCCGUCGUAGGUGGCAACCUGUCGCCAGGAAAGGACUGGAAUUUACUAAAACAGGCAAGGCAGUGGUUCUAGUAGGCUUGGUAGCCUCGCAAGAAGCCAAUAAUUCUCCCCCUGCCAGCUAAAACAAGGGGCCCACCGCUGUUUGGUACAUUGUUAAUGCUCUAAAAGACCCUGUGCAGCGCAAAGAGGUGAUCAUGGUUAGGACUACUUGGAACCCCUUGAUCAAGCCCAAACUGUUGCCUGACCUGGUGUGGUGAGUAGGUCACAGAAAUCUCUGAGCGGUUGUCUCCAAGAGUAGGGUAUGGGAUAGGUGCAACAUUCAACAAAGCAUACUUUCUGAAGUGGCCACCAUGCGAUAUCGCUGCUGGAACCGCAACAGUAUCACCAACAUCAGCACAAAAAGGCCCAAAGGUGAAGGCCUCUGCCAAGGUGCCGUAAGGGCAGAAGAUGAAGUUUUCAAUAUUAUCCAAUAACUUUAAAAAGUUUUGGACUUUCUUCUGCAUCUGUUUAAACCACCUGCAAAAUAGGGGAAGAUCGUCCGGCAUGAAAGAACCCUUGCCCAAGUCAGCCGACUACAUAGCACGCGAAUAAGGAAGUGGAUAUAUAUCCAGCCUUUGAGAUGUUCCCACAGGAACACCUGCAAAAAACCAGAAUUCAAGAGAGUCUCCAUGCCCAUGGUUCCUGAUGCGCUUUUCUCCAAAAGCUGAGUCUGAUCAAGUAGUCGAUAUAGGUGUCCCAAGAACAUGGGGGCUAAGGGGAUCGUGUCGCCUCGAGCUAUGGCCAAGGCCAAGGAAAAUACUCCCUCAUGCAGGCAGUCCUGAGAAAAAUCACAAAUCACGAACCGCCCAAGCCACAGUGCUAUAAAUGUCGCCAACCGGCAAGGUCCCUAUCUGUCUGCAUCACCAAAAUAUUGUAUCCAAUUACUGAAUAUAAGCGAGGUGCUGGGAGAAGUCAGAGCACUUUUCCAUAAAACUGCAAGCUUGUCUAUUUCUUCCGAGGUAAGGGCGCUGUCAAAAGGACUCCAGUCGCCACAAACUAGGAGGCAAGAGAUAUUUGCCACGUCUUCAAGAGUGGGGGUAAAUUCGCCCCAUGAACAUAUAAAGGUGUGAGUAGCAGCGCUCCAUCUCCUGACCACAUGGCGAAACAUCUUUGCUUCGAUAUGAAUAUCCCACAACUUGGAAAGGAAGAUGGCAUCAAGCACCUGUGGCCUGCGCAAAAUGUUGUAAGUAGAUGGAUCUAGCAGCUCACGGUCAACCCACUAUGAUGCUACAGGGAUAUUGGAAGAAUAAGGGAACCGCUGGAAACAUGCCUUUCUCAAUGCAACACCUGGAUAUGGAGGCAGGUUCAAUUACGGGAGUAGUUUGAGGCGAUGGCUCAUCACCAACAAUAGGAUUCUCACGGGCUUCUUCAAGCAAAAGGGGCCCUCUUGCUUUAAGAUUGUCGUCCAUGGAAUAGAGAUGGUCCAUCAUGAUCGGUGGGACAUCAGUGGAUGCCAUGAUAAAACCCAUAAGGUUAUAGAUACCUGCAAAAAAAAAAAAAAAACUAUAGAGGAGGAAAGAACAAAAUACAUAAGUUUCGGCACCUUCACGACUACUGAAUGCACACACAUCUCUAUAACUUCAUGCCAAGGCCAUACUGGUAGAAGGACGAAAUCAACACCAUCAUACGAUUUCGUCCUACGAGAGGAAAUGGCUAUUCGACGCAAGUACGAAUGGAAGCCCAAACUACAGGAGUAAAUCAUUUAAGGGGACCAUGGAUUGACUACUCCUGGAUAAAAGCAGGGAUAUUCGACACAAUGCAUGCUUAUGCUUUUUCUACCAUGCUUUGACACUAUCUAAAGGUCUUGUGUUCAACCAGGACAAAUUGUCACUUUUUUUGGGAGGGGGGGAGGGGGGUGUGCUUAAAAUCCCUAAUCAGUGGUUCAUAUCUGAAAUUCAAGUAAGGGUACAAGAAAUUAAAUGAACAUGCAGCAAAAAGGAUUGAGAAAAAUACUCUGUUCGUGAAGGAUUCUCAGAAUAUAUAGGUGUGAAUACUCUCAUAUGUGCAUAUAUGCAUGUGUGCAUGCGUAUGCAUAAAUGUAUAUAGUGAUGAGAUGAAGAAACAAGAAAAGAAAUAAAAGAACGACGCUUACCACUGCCCUUGAUUACAUUUUGCCCAGUAGCUUGCCAAAAUCGAGAGAAGAAGGGAACUGCCAUGCACAUUGCUCUCCAAGAUUGCUUCACGCCUUGCGAGGUGACUUUGCCAGACUGGACCUUUGAUGAAUUGAAGGGGAAGUCCAAGAAAUUUGAGGGUUUUUAAGGGAGAACGGUGGCAACUCCCAGUGGUUACGAACGGUUUCUCUGCACCUAACCAACUAGCAGUUAUGGGUGGUGUCUCUCAGCGAUUCCUUGUUUCAAGGGUUCUCUAAGCAUGGAGGUGAGAAAGAACCAGCAAAAAUCGAAAAGGGGUAACCAGUUUUGGGUUCGCACGCAAAAAGGAAAGAGGUCAGAGACGAAAAGAAGAAAGAAAGAAAAUAAAAUAAAACAGAUUUGAUGGAAGCACUUACCUAGGGAACGUAAAAGACUGCUGGAAGAUAAGCAUGGCAGCACACACGCGGGAAAUUAGAAGGUCAUGUCACCAACGUGGAUUUGAUUUUUCGUUUUGGGCCAGGUUUGAUUAUUUGGGCCAUCUCAAUAUCUGCUCAUGGCCCCAAUAAUCAAGGGGGCUAAUGUUGGAGCCCAAAAAUCCAAGGGUUAGGCCCAGGUUUAUUCUUAAGCCAGCACAAAUAAUUAAUAGCAAAAUAGGCCCGAUCUGGGACAUAAGAGAAAUUGGAGGACACACCUACAUAAGCCAUAGGCCAUGUGUCAUGCCAAGCAAGCAUGUGCAAAAGGGCCAAAAUGCACCGGCUUUAUAAAUUCACACUCACCAACCUAAUUUGAUGCUACUUGGCCCGAUCAUGGCUUAUCGUGGCAUAAUAAAAUUCAAGCACAAGCAGGCUAAAUAAACACGCAGGGUCAUGUGAAAAAUCGUUAUUUUAAUACUGACCCAUGCUACAGGCUUAAGUGGGCCCAAGCCACGUAAUUAUCCGGGGCUUACUGAGAAGGUUGUGGUGUGGAUGGGUACAAACGCUCACAAGGCCCAUUGAGGGGUCAAGGAAUAGGAGUUUUGGGUUGCUUGGGAGCACCAAAACUCAAGCCCGUUUCUUGGGCCCAAGCACAUGGGCUAGCAUGAGAGAGAGAACAUGACCCAAUGCCUUAGAAAGAAUACAAUGGUCUGCUUAGAAAACCCUAUGUUAGUUAGAGCACCCAAAUACUUUGUUAAAAAUGCAGCAGGCAAACUACUUCCAGCAGCCUGAUGAAAACAAGCUCACUGGUCACUGUAGAAUAGAGUACCACUGACCCAAAACUUUGGGAAAAGCCCACCCCAGUGCCCUUCGAAAUAUCUAGCAGUGUGUUCAGCCUUUGCCCAAAGUUCUAUGAUAGAGUUAACGGAAGCCACUGUAAAAAACCAAAAGAAAUUCGUACGAGUAAGAGGGAUACUCGUUGGGCAAACGAUCUGUCCAUUCUCCCUUUCCUCUGUUAGCUCCCACAGGAAAACCAGGGAAGAAAGUGGGUGGCGCCUCACCCCUAUGGAGAAGUCCAGCUGCGUCAAACCCUUGGAACCCGAAAGGGCUCAUUACCCAUGCGCCUUAGAUAGGAAAAUUGCACCAAAUAGGAUCGAAUGGGAAGAAGCGAAGAGAAAGGAGGGAAGAGGCUAGAUAAAAUUAGGGGUUCCUUGUGCCUAUAAAAGGGAGCUUCCUCUACUCAGAAAAACAAUCAUCGAGAGCCUGACCAAGCUUUGUCAAGCAAUUGAGAAUUUACUCAAGCCACCCAAUCUUCUCUUUCCCUUUUUUUCUUCUUUCCCUAAGAUAGAAAUCUCCCUAAUUUUCUUCUACCCCAUUUUAAACCUUUGCUCUCUGUAAGAAACUCAUGCUUUUCUCUCUCUCAAAUUGCUAAACUUGUGAAAGCUUAGCUCCCAUGCCACAAACUCCUCAAGCCAAGUCACUCAACAAUUUGUUAUGCUUAUUUGGUUAUUGGUGAAAAGAGCCUAAGAGUGUUUUUCUAAGGUUUUCAUCAAACUCUUCAAAAACUCUUUUGGGAGCCUGAUUCUUGAACUCGGCCACUUGGGGAAUUUUUUUUUGCUCUCUUCUUACGGCAGCCCAUGCCCAUUCGUCAGGCUGCUAGAACAAAAAGACCCCUACAACGAUCAAAGCCAAACACCUCCUUCUCAAUUGUAAAUAUCAUAGCCUUCUCAUGACCCUUUAAUGUCGUCUCCAUAUAACGACAAAGGGCUUGCAAAGAAGAACGCAAGACUAGGUUUGAGUAAUUUGGUACUUGUUGUUCCUUCUCAAAAACGUCUAAGCACUUGGCUUUCUGCUUGAAGAAAUAAGGAAAGAUAUAUAAUACAUAAGGAAAGAUAUAUAAUACAUAAUUGAAAAAACUAGAGGAAACUACACAAACUUAAACGUCGUGGUAAUUGGGAUAAACAAACGAGGAAGAGACAAAAAUGACGUGUAAAUUGAAUAACCACGACGGUAAGUAAAAACUGUCAUCAUAUGUAUUAAUUACGUCGGUAUAAAACAGAACCCUAGAAAAUUAACAAUUGCCAAUAUCAACUUAAAAGCAUGGUUUAGCAGAAAUACAAAUAAGAUGAAUUGCAGAUAAAGAGAGGGAGAGAAAGAGAGAGUGGAACAGAAUGAGUGAAGAAAGAUUGAAAAAAAAAAAAUUGAAAAUACAACACUAUCUGAAUCCCCAAUACUGUCGUGGUAGUUAAAUUCCGACGACGGGUUCUUAAAAAAACAAACGUGGUUAUUAAAUUCCAACGACGGGUAAGUAAAAACCGUCUCUUAUGUAUUUAUUACGUCGGUAUAAAACAGAGCCCUCCAAAAUUAAGAAUUGCAAUUAUCAACUUAAAGAUUGAAAAAGAAGAAGAAAAUACGACACUAUCUAAAUCCCCCAUACCGCCGUGGUAUUUAAAUGACGACAUCUUAUUAAAAAAACAGACGUGGUAGGAUAUUUAAUACGUCGUUAACCAAAAAACGACGUCUUAUGGCAUAUCUAACUACUAUAGUGAACCACAGCGACGCAGAUGUAUUUCCAAAUAAGAAAGAAUUUCAAAUUUAAAAGAAGUUACAAUUUCAUCUUGUUUUUCUGCAUCCUUAGAUUUCUGUUUUAAGAAAUAAAGAAAGAUAGAUAAGACAGCUUGUACAAGAAUGAAAAAAUGCACAAACGUACCGACGUGGUAAGGGAAUACACACGACGGUUAAUAAUAGAAAACGACGUCUAAUUUAAAUUGAGACGACGGUAAAUAAAAGACGUCAUUGUUGGUUGUUUCUAACGUAUGUAAUUAUGGUAACAAUGUCUAAUUGGUUUUCAAAAGCAGUAUGCAAAGUUCAUAGAAGUUACCAUUUCUUGUUGCUUUUCUCCAUCUUUGGCAUUAUCAUUCUCAAAAUUGAGGGCUUUGACAUCAAGCGCCCUAGAGCAGCUUACUUUAUCUGACAUUAGAUUUUUGGGACUUUGCUAUGGACCUUGGAUAGUUGUCAGUUUUAGCACACUUGGAUCAAAAUUUGGAAUUAGUUGGCGCAACCGAUUCAGCAAAUUCUCCCUCUCAGCUUCUACCAAUUGAUUGGUUCUGGCCUCCAUCUUCAAAGUCUCUUAUCUUGAUCUAGCCUCCAUCUUCAAGGUCUCUUCUCUAAGGACAUCUCUUACACUUUCCUUUAAUUGAUCAACAAAUUUUACCCUCUGUUGUUUAGGUAAAUUGAAGUAUUGCCUAGUGGAAAUCCUAGCCCCAACACCUCUAACUCUCCCUGGAUGCUCGGGACCCAAAGCCAUAGUCAACACAUCAUUAUUUUCAGAGACAGUAAGAGUGCCUUCACUUACUUGUUUUUGCAAUUCAUCCUAAUUAACACAAAGACACAUUAAAGUCAAUAAAAACAUAAAGUUAGUUCCAUAUGCAAGCCUAAUUAAAAUUCCAAUGCAGUUUAAUACAAAUUUAAAAUAGAGUGAAGUGAAUUUAGGCUUACAAUUAAUUUUGCUUUCUCCGCAACCUUUGGAUCGGGGAUGAUACCGUGUUUGUCUUCUCUAGCUUUCUUCCACAAGGUAGAUCGAUCAAUUUCUACCCCUGGCAUGGUUUCUUCCAAAUCAUCCUCCAAACCAACAUAUCCUUUUCGAGACAAUUGAUUAUUGUACUCGCAUUUCUCUCUCCUCUGUGCUUGUUCAGCAUGGACAGACUCAAAUUGUUCAGAUAACCUUGAAGCUACAAAGGCAUCCCAAUCUGCUUUCUCUAUGAAUUUAUAUAAUUCAGGGGCUUGUCUUAACUUCUCUUUCUCAUUGAUGAAUGGAAGGAUAUGAUGCAUCGUUAGUGUAGACUUGAAAUCCUUCCAUUUCUUGCCAACAGAUGAUAACACCAUUUUUUUACCCCCUUGCCCUACCAAUAAGCCAUGUCAACGGCUUCCCAAAUCUACUCUUUUAUAUCCUUGGGGAUUUUAGUCAAUUUCUUGUCCACAAUUAGGACUCUGGACCAUGCCAACACACCAAUGUAGGACUGCAUCUUAGUAUGUGCAGGGCCAUAUGGUUUCCCCUUUUUGUUGUACUCAAUAACUAGCUUGAUUUUCUGCAAUUUUCUUUUCACAACACGGGGCAUUGUGUUUAUACCACGACUAGACUUUGGCUCCUCAGAAAAUGUUGUCGUGCUGCCUGGUUCUGUCUCAGCAGAUGAAACAAAUUUCAUGAUGGUAGUAAGAAAACGCCAUGGUUUUACAUUACAAUGACGUAAAAUAUUAAAUAUUGUCGUCUUAUUAAAAUGCAAUACAAAAUACAGAGCAGUGUUUCCAGACCUUUUGGUUCUUGUCUUUAUAUUUGAAAAAACAUAAAUUGAUUUUCACCAGGAAAAAAGUAAAACUAUUUUUCAACAAACGUUGUGGUUUUCAAUUACAACGACGUUAGUAAUAAAAUACCAUCGUCUUAUUAAUAUGAAAUUCAAAAACUGUUCCAAGACCGUUUGGUUUACUACUUCAAACACAAAAAAACAGGGUAGAUUUUGUCAUCGUGGUCAAUGACACUUUGUUCUUUGUCAGUAGAUUAUCCAAAAAGUAAAAUGAUUUUCGCAUGAACAGGAACAAAGAUGAGAUUAUAUGCAUAUGCAAAACAAGAACAAAGAUGAGAAAUGCUUACCUUUUGCUUGCAAUGAAAGCUUUCACUUGGAGUUGGGAGUAUCAGUUCAGAGACGAAGACGAAGAGGAGAGGAAGCCGAUGAGAUUCAGACACCGCGCUUUGGGAAGGAAAAAUGAGAAGAGCGUGAAAUUUUUUCUCGGGUUUGGAAACAGUAUAAGUGUAGGUCAGGAAAGGCGAAAAGUUUAAAAUAUUAACGAACCGUUUCAUAACACGACGCUAUUAAUAACAACUGCCCUAGUAAAUGGUUUUAUAUGGCGAUAAAUAUGUAGUUAACGCCAUGGUAAAGAAUAUUAAACGACACACACCUUUUCGACAUGGUUAGUUUAUCUUAUGCGUCAGUAACGUUAUAGAUGUCAUUGUAAUAUAUUUUAAAUAAUAAAUCGGUAAGUUUAUCUCUAACGACGUCUUUACUUUUUACGUCAGUUACUUAAUAGAUUCUGUCUUUGGUUUAUGGCUCUGAGUGUAAUGAUGAAAGCCUUUUCAACAAGACGACGCAUUUUAGUUAUUUGCGUCGUGGUUUCUCUGAAAAAACCGCCCUAGUAUGUCUUUACUACAUCGUUAAACUAAUAGAAACUGACGUGGUUAGUGAUUUUAUACAACUAGAGGGUUGGUACUUACCGACGUAGAUUACUUUUGUUAGACGUCGGUAAGUGUAAUAUAACCGACGUGGAUGUGAAGAUUUUUUUAAUAAAUUGGGUUUUUUUAACGCAUUCUUUCAGUUUCAGUUUUCAAUUAGGGUUCUAACUUCUUCUUGCCCUUGGCUUUGUCUCACCUCUUUGGAGGCAAUAGUUUGGAAGUUGAUGUGUGUGUGCGUUUAUGUAUCUGAAAGACACAAAUACACACACAUCAUCAACUUCUAAAAAAUUCUCUUUCUGAAUGCAAAUCUGUGGCUGUCGUUGUCAAUUUUUAGAAGCAAAUUUUUUGGAUGUUGAUGUGUGUGUGCCUUUGUGUAUCUUAAAGACACAAAGACACACACAUCAUCAAUGUCUAAAAUAUUAUCUUUCUCUCACAUUUUAGAGGCAAAUUGGUUGGAUUUUGAUGUGCUGCUGUCAUCAAAUUUUAGAGGCAAAUUUUUGGAUGUUGAUGUGUUUGUGCCUUUGUAUAUCUCAAAGACACAAAGACACACACAUCAUCGUCGUCUAAAAUAUUGUCUUUCUCUCACAUUGGUGGUCCAAUUAUGAUGAGGAACAGAGUUCCUUCUGGUAAGAUUUCAUAUCUCUUGGGAUCUCAGAAUAAUCUGAUUCUGUCGGCGGUUUUCUAUAUAAACCGUCGUGGUUAUUCUCAAUUCUUGUCAUUAUGUUAAUCUACCGUCGUAGGAUACCAAAAUCCAAGAAAUAAAUCAAAAAAUAAAAUUAAGAUUAAGACGACGGUUUAGAUAUAAGGUUAGCCGUAUAAAGUGAAUAAAUACGACGGUAAUUUUAACUUUAGAAAAUUUGGUAUAAGUCCAAUUCUUAUGAUAAAAUUUGGGUGCAAUGCACACAUUUGUUGUUAGUAAUUCAAGUCCUCUGAGUUUUGUGCCAUGUAGGAUUACUUACCUUCUUUUAAUUUCUAAGGUUUAUAUUUUCUUUUCUUAAUUUUUUAAUUUAUGUUGUGCUUCCAACUUUACCCCUAAGAUAGAAAUCAGAUAACCUAAAAGCUAGCAAAAUAUCAAAAAUCGCGUUAAACAAUCUUCAGACGCCAAGAAUAGAAAGAAUCGCAGAAAUCAUAUCUUCUGCAAUCAAUUAUGGCCCUGUCAAGCUGAUUUCUGCAGAUUUCAUGCUUCUUAAUUGUCAAGGGUUUUGGGUUGUAUUUUAGAGUUGAAUUUGUCUUUUGUCUUCUUCAAUUGCAGCAGGUGGAAUUUGCCUUCGUUUGGGGAUUCUCACCUUGCUUCUCCAUCAAUUGAAGGGUGCAUUUUUGCUCACCACUUUAACCCUAGGUGUACCCUCACCACCCCUCCCAAAAGUUGACACAUGUCCAUGGGUUUAACUAUAGUUAAUUCUUUAUUUGUUAUUUAUUUGAUGACAUUAUUAUGAGAGAGAAACAAUACUUCAAUAAGAUUUUUCCUGAUUUACUCUUAUUCUAACCUAGCAAACUUUCCACUUUUCUAAAUUAAUUAACAACAACCCAAAUAAAUAAUUGGCAAUUGACAGGCUUCAAUACUUUGAAGAACACGCCCAAAUACUUUGAAUCUCAAUUGGCUUUAUGUUAACUCCAUUUUUGCUCACCACUUUGUUUUGUCUCAUUUUGUUUACAAGAGACGGUUUUGACUGGCCUUUGUUUGAAACCUUUGUUUUGGUUGGAAGAGAAAUCUGGAAAAGAUGGUAACUUUUAGCUGCUUCUUUUGAGUGCUCGCUGAUUUACUUUUACAUAUGAUAUUGGUUUUAGUUGCAUUUGAACCCUUAUUUUUUGUUUCCUUAACGUUUCUACCAACAUUGGACUCGAAAAGUGGAAAGUGUCAAUUAUUUAUUUGGGUUGUUGUUAAUUAAUUUAGAAAAGUGGAAAGUUUGCUAGGUUAAAACAAGGGUAAAUCAGGAAAUUUUUUAUUGAAGUAUUGUUUCUCUCUCAUAAUAAUGUCAUCAAAUAAAUAAAAAAAUAAAGAAUUAACUAUAGUUAAACCCAUGGACAUGUGUCAACUUUUUGGAGAGAUGGUGAGGGUACACCUAGGGUUAAAGUGGUGAGCAAAAAUAGUGUCUAUGUUCCAGGUAUGUUGUAUAUUUACCUCUUUUGUAGGUGGAAGCCUUUGACGUUAACAAAAUUUGCUUCUUGAACGAAUUUGUAUAUGUAACUACUGCUUCCUGAACCAAUUUCUUUUUGUUUUCGUUUUCUAAUUGAGGACCCCAACCCAACUAUGUCUUUGACGAUAACUAAACCUGCUUCCUAAACGAAUUUCUAUAUGUAGUUCCACUCAAAUUAUAGCACCUACUUACUAACGAGUUUUCGUUCUGAUACAGAUUUUCUUAGUGACCAGUUUUCUUAGUUUUCUUAGUUUUCAUAGAACGAUUCUAACAAAAAUUGAUUCCUGUUUCAUGGUGGUUUUGGGGACAGAGUUCAACGUCACUAAUAUAGAAUGAUGGAAAUAGAGUUUGGUCCUCUACCUACACCAUAGGAAGAAGAUGAAGAAACCAAUUCAUCUUUGUACUCUGUUCCUUGUAUUCCACACAACGAAUUCGUUUUCUUUUCCUUUUAUAGCCCCCUCUUUUUCAAAGGUACUCUGUUCCUUGUAUGACAAUUUCAAUCACGCCAAAUACUACGAUGGGCCCGCUGUUGUUGAAGAAAUAGUGGUAGUUAUCAAGUAUAAGAUUAGCAAUAUUGAUAAAGUUAGAAGCACAAGCUUAUAACGAGCUUCUAAGCCCAUGGGGUAUUAUUUCUGUCCUUUUCCUGUUGUUGUUUGUCCUGUUUGAUCUGUAUUACAGUUCAGUAAGUCAGUCUACUUUGAUUUAUUAUUUUGCUGCUUUAGCAAUUUGGUUUAUGUAUCUGAUCUACGCUUGGCUCUUUUGUUACAUAAUUUAUUCUGUUCCUUUUAUUCCACACAACGAAUUCGUUUUCUUUUCCUUUUAUAGCCCCCUUCGUUUUCUUUUCCUUCUUUUUCAUUUUCUUGUCCUUUUUGUAUUGAGAUUGAGAGUUUACUUCAUAGUUAAUAUAUGACAUAAUUUCAUUAACAGAAUUAUUCUAACAAAAUUUCGUCCCUGUUUUGAUGCUGUAAAUAGGAAUUUUUUUUGCUAUUUUUUGUUCUGAAAUUUGUUUUGCUGGCUUAAUUGGAUGUUCUUUGCCUUCUUAAUUGUAUAUCAUCAUUUGCAGGUUCUUUAUGGCUAGGAAGGAGUAUCGCUCCCUCGAAUACAGGUUGGACCAUGGAACAUGAAUCAAGCGCGCCGCGUAACAUGAGCACGAGAGNNNNNNNNNNNNNNNNNNNNNNNNNNNNNNNNNNNNNNNNNNNNNNNNNNNNNNNNNNNNNNNNNNNNNNNNNNNNNNNNNNNNNNNNNNNNNNNNNNNNNNNNNNNNNNNNNNNNNNNNNNNNNNNNNNNNNNNNNNNNNNNNNNNNNNNNNNNNNNNNNNNNNNNNNNNNNNNNNNNNNNNNNNNNNNNNNNNNNNNNNNNNNNNNNNNNNNNNNNNNNNNNNNNNNNNNNNNNNNNNNNNNNNNNNNNNNNNNNNNNNNNNNNNNNNNNNNNNNNNNNNNNNNNNNNNNNNNNNNNNNNNNNNNNNNNNNNNNNNNNNNNNNNNNNNNNNNNNNNNNNNNNNNNNNNNNNNNNNNNNNNNNNNNNNNNNNNNNNNNNNNNNNNNNNNNNNNNNNNNNNNNNNNNNNNNNNNNNNNNNNNNNNNNNNNNNNNNNNNNNNNNNNNNNNNNNNNNNNNNNNNNNNNNNNNNNNNNNNNNNNNNNNNNNNNNNNNNNNNNNNNNNNNNNNNNNNNNNNNNNNNNNNNNNNNNNNNNNNNNNNNNNNNNNNNNNNNNNNNNNNNNNNNNNNNNNNNNNNNNNNNNNNNNNNNNNNNNNNNNNNNNNNNNNNNNNNNNNNNNNNNNNNNNNNNNNNNNNNNNNNNNNNNNNNNNNNNNNNNNNNNNNNNNNNNNNNNNNNNNNNNNNNNNNNNNNNNNNNNNNNNNNNNNNNNNNNNNNNNNNNNNNNNNNNNNNNNNNNNNNNNNNNNNNNNNNNNNNNNNNNNNNNNNNNNNNNNNNNNNNNNNNNNNNNNNNNNNNNNNNNNNNNNNNNNNNNNNNNNNNNNNNNNNNNNNNNNNNNNNNNNNNNNNNNNNNNNNNNNNNNNNNNNNNNNNNNNNNNNNNNNNNNNNNNNNNNNNNNNNNNNNNNNNNNNNNNNNNNNNNNNNNNNNNNNNNNNNNNNNNNNNNNNNNNNNNNNNNNNNNNNNNNNNNNNNNNNNNNNNNNNNNNNNNNNNNNAUCGUCUGAUCAUUAGGGAUUUGAUUUAUUAGGGUAAAUCAAAUUUCUAACUGUGGUAGGUAUCAAAUCAAAUCCUAAUUUAAUUAGGUAACUCCUCAUUUAAUUGGGAAUUGUGGUAGGAAUAAAAUCAAUUCUCAACCUAAUUAGGUAACGUUCAAUUUAAUUGGGUAAUCCCCAAUUAAAUUGAGUAACUCCCAAUUAGGUUGAUUAAUUCCCAAUUAGGUCAAAUAAUCCCCAAAUGGAAGGAACUAUUUGACCUAGGGUCUGAUUUAAUUCGGUUCCCACAGUUUCCUUUUUAAAAAUUUAAAAAUUGAUUUUGCAUGGCACUAGCUGUUGAUUUCUAUUUGUUUUUAAAUUAAGAAAAAAAAAACCCAAUAGUAUAAUAAUGGAGUUGUCUUUUAGGUCAGCUUUUUGCAGCAGCUAGGGCUCAUUUGGGCUCUAUGGCUCUAGGCUUUAGAGACCCAAAUGCAUCGCACUUGUGUCGACUUUUUGGGUCGUUAUCUAGUUAGAACACUUAUGCGCGAACGUUAUAUGAGAACCAAAUCCAACCAUCCAAAUUAUCUGAACGGCUAAAGAGAAAAAGCAAGCUUACGGUAAAAAAGAGUAGGCUGCAGUUCCCGUUAGCCCAAGUGUCAAGUCGGGCCUGUUUCGAAAAAACGCGCCUUUCUUCUUCCUGACAGUGGCCAGUCGCACCUUAAUUGUCAAUAAAUUUAUGAAUUUAUGAAUCAACCCUAAACACCCAAAAUACCUACCAGACAUAAAUUUGUGUAUUUCUCUUAUCGCAGAAACUCCCUGGUGUACUCUGUCUCUUUCGCUUCCUCCAUCAUCUAAUAUUUCUUAUUUGAACGUCUGAGAAGGUACGUUUCUCUCGAAUUCCCUCUCUUUCAUUCAUAUUAAAGUUUGCUUGUUAUAUUGCAUUCAGUUAAUGUUUAAAUCACUUAAUGUUUAAAUAAUGUUUAGGAUUUUAGGGCAUUAAUUUUCUGGGUAAGAGUAGUCUGUCUCUGGUGUAGGAUUUUAGGCUUUGAUUUUCUCGGUAAGAGUAGUCUGUCUUUGUAGUAGUUGUGUUUGCAAAAAUAUAAAUUGGCUUCAGUUGUUUUUUUGCGUCUUUUUCUAGUUUCAAGUAAUUUGUUGAAGCAUAGUAACUAAUUUUUAAAGUUUUUCUGCGGUUUAAAUAUUAUUUACUUUUUCCAAAAGUUGGGUUGUCUUUUUAUCGCAAUUUUUUGUGGUAAUUUGUUGAAGUGUAGAUUCACAGCUGUUGGUUGUUCCUUUAUUUUUUUUGCAUUGUGCUUGCUUGUUGUCUUUUCUUAAAAUUCCAGGAACCUUCAUGUGUUGGUCAUUGUAAUCCUGCUUUGCCCAUCUAGUGGUGUGAGUGUAUGGCAUCAUUUUAGGGAUUUAAUGGGGUUUGAAAAAUAAGGAAUAAGUACCAUUAGAAGUAGAACGCAGAAGAGAAAAUUGAAUCUUAACAGUGAAUAUGAGAUGAUUUGGGAUGCAGAAGGAUCAAUGCAUCUUGUAGUAGGUAUCAAUUCUGUAUGUUAAUGUGUUGAAAAUAGUGUUGGUAGGUAUCAGUUCUGUAUGUGAAUAUGUUGAAAAUAGUGUUUGCCGGUGAAAAUUAUACAUCUUAAUGAGUUGAAAAUAGUGCAUCAGUUUUGCAUCUUAAUAUGUUGAAAAUAGUGUUAGUAGGCAUCCAUUAUGUAUCUGAAUAUUUGAAAAUAGUAUUUGUAGGUAUUAAUUAUGUAUGUUAAUGAGUUGAAAAAAAUGUAUUUGUUUGCAUCUUAAUAUGUUGAAAAUAGUGUUAGUAGGUAUCCAUUAUGUAUGUGAAUGUGUUGAAAAUAGUGUUUUGUUGUUAAAAUGUUAACUCGCAAUUGUACGGGCCAAUUAGUAGUAUAGCAAGACAAGUACGAGGUCGUACCCACGAGGACUGAGAAGUUAAAAUUAGUUAUGUACUUAGAUUACCAAAUUCAAGAAAGUAGGAGGUUAAGUCUAAAAUAGAAUUUAAAGCAAGAGUGAUUGUAAUUGUUGAACAAAUGAGGCAAAACGAAAUUUCAAACAAAAGCAAAGUGAACAAAUGUAACAAAGAGUACUUUUGUAGGCUGGAAAACAGAUUGGGAGACUAGGGCAUUCGAUUCACCAUAAAAAUUCAAUUCUGGGUUAUAAGGAGUCAAGUGACAAGUCUCAUUCGAAUUCAAAGAUUGAUUCUAGCUAAAGUAUGAUUAGGCCAUGGUGUUUGGUCCUAACCCUGUGCUCCUAAUUCCCUAACUUGAUCAUUUGUUGUCUAAUCUAAAUUAAGCAUUAGGAACCCAUUAAGCAUAGAAGAACAAUUUAAACAACCAAGCAUGUAUCUAAUCCCUGUUGUCGAAUGUCCAUACAUACUUUUCUUAUUCAUAGUUCAAUUCAAAUCAAAGCAUGGUGUCUACUCUUGAUUCAAACCAAGGUAGCUAAUAUACAAGUUCUAAUGGUGAUCAAUCAUCCAAACAAGCAUAUUAACUGAUAAGCAUAAAGAAUAGGAAUAUGAAUCAUGAAUCAAACUUGAAACUCAAAACUUCAACUUAUAAACCCAGAAUAUUCAUGUUAGGUUACAUCAUAGCCCUAGUUAUGAAUUUAGCUACUCAUAAUGGAAAUGGAACUUAAGCAAAAAUGAGAAAACAUAUUGAAUGCAAUAAGAGUAGAGAAACCCAAUUCUGAAGUUGCUUGUGGUUUCCAAGGCUUCUCCAGGUGCUUCUCCACAUCUAAUGCUACUCCAAGAACUUUCUCAUGUCUAGAGUAUGGCAACUAAAGAGGUGAUUUGGGAUGAGUUUGGGUGGUUGGUGAUGGCAGAGAAAGAACAAAUUCGUAGGAAAUGGAAGGAAGGCUUGUUGGAGUUGUUCCUAGGACAGCUCCAAGGUCCCUUGACAGCUCCAAGCUCCCUUCUCUCUUUGUGGUGAAUCUGAAUGUGUGUAUGAGAGUAAUGGAUGAAGUGAAUGUGUGUGUCUACCCUCCUUUCUUGAAUGAGUGUGCAACUCUCUAUUUAUAGAGUGCAAUUUCGUGCUCCCCUUUGGCUGGUGAAACACACCUCUCUUAGCUGCUCCCAAUUGCCUAAGCUGCCCAAUAAAUGCCAACUCUUCCAGCUGCCCAAUAAAUGCUUUGGUGGAAUUUUCUUGGUUUCUUUAUGGAAAGCUUGACUUUUAUUCAUCUUUUUGACUUCCCAUACUGAUUUGUCUCCCAUGUGUAGCCUACCAGAAUUCCUGGCAAAUGGUCCUUGAUUUGUGCAGACAAGAUCCCCAUAAUUAAGCAUGCCAUGUUUUGCUCCUUUAUGACUUCCAUAGCUGAAAUGCCUCCCUAAUUUGUUCAACAUGUCAGGUCCAAAGUCAAAUAAUGCUCAAGUGAGGCACAUGGCUCAAGGGAGGUGUGGAGCACAAGGCUCACCAGUUGGCAGCUACAUAUUAAAAUCCUCCUAGAGCAUGGUUCAGUGUUUGACAGGCUAAGGACUCUAGCUAUCAUUAAUUGGGCUGAUAUGUGGAUAUGUUAUACUAGACACCUAUUGGAACAACUUCUGUGAAGCAUGUCUCCUCAUCCAAGCAGUGUAGGUUGCUGAAAUGAGGCCUGCAAGAUGACCCACGAAUUUGGACUGACAAGGAGUGUGGCCCAAAUUGGUUCUGUCAUUAAGCUCAUAUUCCUCUUGUGCCAAUCAACCCUUAACAUGCAUGAAUUGUAUCAAAUGUGAUCCCCUUGCUGUCCUAACCUACAAAACACACAAACAUAGGUAAGAGACUCAAAAUAAAAAGAAACUAAACAAAAUUACUAAGCAAAGAAGGCAUGCAAAUGUGUGAAAUUAUGACCUUAUCAUACCCCCAGACCUAGAUUUUGCUAGUCCUCGAGCAAAACAAAAGAGAAUAAAGUUGAAAACAAAACAAGAAGUUAACUAAACCACUUCUGUAGGUAACUUGAUUGCAAUGUGCAUAUGCAACAAGUCUUUAAACCUCUCGGCAUCCCUAAUCGGAAGAGUUGUGUCUCCUGAGGGUUUAACAGAAACGAUACCCACAAACGCUUUACUGACUCUCUAACACCAAAAGGUUAGAAAACUAACUUUGAAAACAACUAAUGAAAGAAAACUUUAAUCAUGCAUCCAACACCAUAGAGUUACCAAGAUAGAUGAUCAAUAAGUGUGUAAAUUGGAAGCUAUAGCUCAAAGGCACACGGCUUCAAAGUAAACAGACUCAAAUCUUGAAGGAAGAACAUGCUUCAACUCUAAUUCUCACAUCUAGCACUCAAUCACUCAGAACCUAUGGUUUUAUUCUCUCAAACAAGCAUAAGUGAGUAUAUGAAAUACAAGCACAAUAUUUGGUUAGAUCUCAUGAAGGGAAUCAAAUACUAAGAGUAGAGAUACACACAUACAUACCAGCACCCAUGAAUACAUCCUCAAAGAUCAGCUAGGUCUUUCACAAGGUUGUAAUGAAAGGCUAAGGUUAAGGGAAGUGGAAGAAUUGGAAGGAACACAACUAACUUAAGAACAUACCAAGGUUGCAUUCUUCAUUGAUCUGCAAGGUAUCAUUGAUUUAGAAUGGUAUGGCUGCAACUUCAUAGCAUCAUCUGGCAUAGACUUUAUAUUUCACAUUUAGAUCAAAUCGAAACACUUUCUCUUUAUCUUUCUUUUUUUCUUUUUUUUUUGACUUGAUCUACUUCUUCUUUAACUUUAUUGCAUAGAUUCACACCAAUUUACAUUUGGGCAUGUGGCAGCAACCUCCUUGCUUCAAACUUUAUCUUCGCACACCUUGGUAUAUUUCUAAGCUAUAGGGUAUGGCUAUAAUAGGUUAAAUAUCUCUGAUUGAGAUACAAAGUUAGGGGAAUUAUGAGGGUGAUAGAAGAAAAAGGCUUGUAGUGUUUGGCUGCAAGAGAGCUGAUGGAACACACGAAUGGGUAGGGUGAAAAGAAAGCACAGAAAAUGGUUAUACACGCAGAGCCUAGCAUCACUUCAAUGAGUUCAUUCAUGGGUGAGAGCACGCACCUGAUAUCUGCAAAGAGAAUCAUCCUUAGUAUUCAAUCAAAAUGGAACAAUGAGAUCAUUUAGAGUGAAUUGAAGAAAAUAAGUAGAGAUGAGGAAUAGAAACACUUUAAACCCUCUCAAGAAAGCAAUUAGGCUCGAAAUAGCUCACUAGGGUAGUCUCCACUAUUCUCCUUCAAGAAUCUGAGCAUGAUACUUUAGUCACCAGAAUUCUAAGAGCAAAAGCUUUGUGAAGUGUAAAAUUUCUGAUAUGAAAAUCUCAAUGGCAGCUCCAUAGCAUUGGUUGUAUGAAAUUUUUUUUAUAAAAAAAAAAAUAGUGACAAGCGAACGAAAAUUGUAAACACAAAUGAACAAAAAUUGAAAACCUCCCCCCCAGACCUGAAUUGAACAUUGUCCUCAAUGUUAAAGCAUAACAAAGAUGAGUGAGAACAUGUGAAUAAUAAGGGGAAAGUUUAAGACAAAGUAUUAGAGAAACUCCCUCUUGAUGCGAUUAGGUCGACCGCUACCGAGCACCUUAUUCUUCAACACAUGGGUUGCCUCCCAAGAAGCGCCUUAGUUAAUGUCUUGGCAAGACAUUAUGCCAUUAGCUAACUUGAUUGUACGAAGGGAAGAUGAUCCACCACAUGACCAGUUUGAAUUCCAACUGACACUCCCUCAUAGAAUGGCUUUAAACGUUGUCCAUUUACUUUGAAAGUCGAGCCAUCUUUAGGAUUUUGAAUCUCCACAGCUCCAUAGGGAGAUACAUUGACCACGGUGAAUGGGCCAAGCCACCUAGACUUCAAUUUUCCUGGAAAGAGACGCAAACGUGAGUUAAACAAAAGAACUGACAUACCUUUGGUGAAUUCUUUCCGUUGAAUGUUCCUGUCAUGGUAACUCUUGGUACGUUCUUUGUAUAGCUUUGCAUUCUCAUAGGACUCAUAUCGAAUUUCUUCCAAUUCAUUGAGCUGAAACUUUCUAACAUGGCCGGCCUUGUCCAGAUCAAAAUUCAACUUCUUGAUGGCCCAAAAAGCAUUGUGUUCAAGCUCCAUUGGCAAGUGACAGGCUUUUCCAAACACAAGACGAUAAGGGCUCAUUCCGAUGGGAGUCUUAUAUGCAGUCCUAUAAGCCCAUAAUGCAUCAUUGAGCUUGGCAGCCCAAUCUUUCCUUGUACUAUUCACCACUUUCUCUAGGAUCUGCUUAAUUUCUCUGUUGCUUAUUUCUACUUGACUAGAAGUUUGAGGAUGAUAUGGUGUAGAGACUCGGUGGGUGAUAUUGUACUUCUUCAUGAGUGCUUCAAAUAGCUUGUUGCAGAAGUGGCUGCCUCCAUCACUAAUGACAGCCCUUGGAGUACCAAACCUUGUGAAAAUAUUGUCCCUCAAGAACUUCAGGACCACCUUAUGAUCAUUGGUUUUGGUGGCUAUGGCUUUCACCCAUUUAGACACAUAAUCAACAGCAACAAGUAUGUAGGUAUAACCAAAGGAAGAUGGGAAUGGUCCCAUGAAAUCAAUACCCCAUACAUCGAAGAGUUCCACAAAGAGUAUGUUCUUCAAUGGCAGUUCGUUCCUGCGGCUUAUGUUUCCCAUCCUUUGACACCUAUCACACUUAACACAAAAAUUAAAUGCAUCUUUGAAUAGAGUAGGCCAAAAGAAACCUGAUUGCAAAAUUUUAAGUGCUGUUUUCUUGGCUCCAAAGUGGCCUCCACAAGCCAAUUCGUGGCUAUGCCUAAGGAUGCUUUCUUGUUCUUCUUCUGGAACACAUCUUCUAAUGAGUUGAUCUGGGCAAUGCUUGAAUAAGAAAGGUUCAUCCCAGACAUAAUGUUUCACCAUGGAAAAGAACUUCUUUUUGUCCUGAUAAGUUAGAUCAUUUCUAAGAACACCACAAGCAAGAUAAUUAACAAAAUCAGCAUACCAUGGCUCUUUGACUUGGGCAACAUAUAGUUGUUCAUCUGGGAAAGUCUCAUUCAAUGGUAGUACAGCUUCUCCUUGCUCUUCAACCACAAUUCUGCUCAAAUGGUCAGCCACCACAUUUUCACAUCCCUUCUUGUCUCGAAUCUCCAAAUCGAACUCUUGCAGCAAGAGAAUCCAUCUGAUCAAGCGAGGUUUGGCGUCCUUCUUAGCGAGCAAGUAUCUAAGAGCAGCAUGGUAAGAAUAAACAAUUACUUUAGAACCAACAAGGUAAGGGCGAAAUUUUUCUAAAGCAAAAACCACAGCAAGCAACUCCUUUUCGGUUGUGGAGUAAUUGAGUUGGGCAUUAUUCAAGGUCCGGCUCGCAUAAUGAAUCACAUGGGGAAGCUUGUUCUUCUUUUGACCUAAAACUGCACCAAUAGCAAAGUCAGAGGCAUCACACAUUAUUUCAAAUGGUAAAGACCAAUCUGGAGCUAUGAUAAUAGGGGCUGAAGUUAGCUCUUUCUUCAAAGUCGUAAAGGCUUCCAUGCAAAUCUCGUCAAACUCAAAAACAGCAUCCUUAGCAAGGAGAUUACACAAUGGUCUUGAAAUGCUUGAAAAAAAUUUUAUGAACCUUCUAUAGAAUCCGGCAUGGCCCAGAAAGCUUCUAACUCCUUUAACAGAGGAAGGGGGUGGUAGAUUUGUGAUGAUAUUUAUCUUGGCUUGUCCACUUGAAUUCCCUUGUUUGAAACAACAUGGCCUAGCACAAUUCCUUGUCUUACCAUGAAGUGACACUUCUCCCAAUUCAAAAUCAGAUUUGUUUCCUGACAUCUUGUAAGCACUAGAGACAAGUGGUGAAGACAAUCAUCAAAAGAUGAACCAAAAACUGAAAAAUCAUCCAUAAAUACCUCCAUGAAUCGUUCCACCAUAUCAGAAAAGAUUGCCAUCAUGCAUCUUUGGAAAGUUGCUGGAGCAUUGCACAAACCAAAUGGCAUCCUUCUAUAAGCAAAUGUACCAAAUGGGCAUGUGAACGUGGUUUUCUCCUGGUCUUCCGGAGCAAUGGGAAUUUGAUUAUAACCUGAAAAUCCAUCAAGAAAACAGUAGUAAGCAUGGCCAGAUAAACGGUCAAGCAUUUGAUCAAUAAAAGGCAAGGGAAAAUGAUCUUUUCUCGUGGAUGUGUUCAACUUCCUGUAAUCAAUGCAAACUCUCCAACCAGUGAUAGUGUGUGUUGGAACUAGCUCAUUCUUCUCAUUCUUUACAACGGUGAUUCCGGACUUCUUUGGAACCACUUGCACAGGACUCACCCACUUAGAAUCUGAAAUUGGGUAGAUGAUUCCCACAUCAAGUAGCUUUAAAACUUCAGCCCUAACCACCUCUUUCAUAUUGGGAUUUAGCCUCCUUUGUGCAUCACGAGAUGGUUUGCUGUCUUCUUCCAUUAAAAUUCGGUGCAUGCACAUGCUUGGACUAAUUCCUUUGAUGUCUGCUAUGGUCCAUCCAAGGGCUGUUUCAUGUUCUUUCAGAACUUCAAUUAACCUGUCCUCUUCAUGUGAAGUGAGACUUGCAGCAAUUAUAACAGGGAGAGUUUCAUUAGCACCCAAAUAAGUAUAUUUAAGAUGAUUGGGUAGAGGUUUAAGUUCUAGCUUUGGUGGGGUGAUAAUGGAUGGCUCCAAUUUUGUGGAGGAUGACACAAGAGGCUCAAGUGGUGGCCUAAAGGAUGGUGGGUAUGGCUGAAACACUUCUAAGGCAGCCAUCACUUCUUGGAACUCUGAUUCAAAGAGAUCUUCCUCUUCUUGUGUUAGGACCGCUUCCAAAGCAUCAUUAGACUUUUUCUGCACAAUUUUAGAAGAAACCUCAUGAUCCACAACAUCAAUUGAAAAACAAGUAUCAAGAGUGAUAGAAGGUUGAGACAGAGCAUCAAACACUUUAAAUUCAACAGUUUCACCCAAAACAGUCAUGGAGAGGGUGCCAUCUUUCACUUUGAUGAUUGUGUCUGCAGUGGCCAUGAAUGGUCGCCCGAGGAGAAUGGGAUCAACACGGUCUUCAUAUGGGNNNNNNNNNNNNNNNNNNNNNNNNNNNNNNNNNNNNNNNNNNNNNNNNNNNNNNNNNNNNNNNNNNNNNNNNNNNNNNNNNNNNNNNNNNNNNNNNNNNNGAAUGAGUGUAUUAACUUGAACUAAAAUAUCUUCUACAAUACCUUUUGGAUAUUUGAUAGAAUGAUCAGCUAGUUCAAGACGAAUUGAGGUUUUCUUUAUCCCUUCUAAGCCAAGCGCCUGAUAAACUGAAUAUGGCAUUACAUUGAUGCUUGCUCCCAAGUCCAACAUGGCUCUUCCAACCGUCUUAUCUCCGAUGUUAAUGGGAAUGUUAAAGCUGCCAGGAUCUUCUAGUUUUGGUGGAAGCUUCCUUUGCAACACAGCACUCACAUUCUUGUUGAGCUUUACUUCUUCACUUGGAGUAAAAUUGAGCUUGUGAGUCAUCAAGUGCUUGAUGAACUUUCCAUAUGCAGGAAUCUGUUUAAAAACAUCAAGCAAGGGCAAAUUGAUAUUAACUUUACUCAAAAUAUCAUAAAUCUCUUUAAAAGCCUUAUCUUGAUUUGCUUUCUUCAAUCGGCCUGGAAAUGGAAUCGGUGGAAUAUAUGGAGGAGGUGGGAUGUAUCUAUCUUGAUGAAGAUGUGAUGGCACAAAUUUGUCAUCUCUUUUAUGCAAUUGAAAUGGAUUGGGUUCCUGAGAAUCAGAUUUGGCCUUAGGAGUAGAUUGGGACGUUUUGGGUUGUUCUCCUUCCAUAGCUGUGGUUUCUUCUUCAUCUUCAUCCUCUACAACCACAACAUCAUUUGAUAGAUCAGAACCAACUUUGUUAUCAACAAUCUUACCUGAUCUGAGCACAUGAACGGCCUUGGCUUCUUGGUUUUUUUGGAUUGAUCACGGUUUGACUUGGCCAUUUCCCAGGUUCUCUUUGAGCUAUUUCAGUAGCUAUCUGGCCCAAUUGGACUUCCAACUUGGAGAUGGCAGCUUGUGUUGUUUGCUGGAAAUUGUUUUGGUUGAUUGCCAUUUGCUUCACUAAAUCCUCCAACGAUGAUGAUUGUUGUGGCCUUUGGAGUGAAGGGGGAUUCGCUUGAUUCUGUGUAUUCCUCCAUGAAAAGUUUGGAUGAUUCCUCCAACCUGGAUUAUAUCUUUGAGAAUAUGGGUCAUUUAUUGGACCUCGGUUGUAGGAAUUCACCAACUUAGCUUGCUCUUGCACAAAUUCUGGAUAUGCAGCCCCAAAGGGACAAGAAAUGGUAGGAUGAUCAUGAGUUUCACAGAUGCUACACACUUCCUUCAAAGGGUCUUGAGUUCAAUGCAAGGAGGGCAUCUAGCUUUUGUUCCAAUUUGGAAAUCUGUACACUAGAAGAAUCAUUAGAACCACCAGCAAUACGUUUACCUCUUGUAUCGGUGUGUUGGGUCUCCAUUGCUAUCUCCUCAAAGAGUUCAUAUGUUUCUUCUGGAGUUUUAGUCUUAUAAGAACCACCUGCAAAAUUAGUGACAAUAUUAUGGCUAGAGGGGGUUAGUCCUUUAUAAAACAUACGCAUCUGAAGCUUCAAUGGAAUCCCAUGAUGAGGGCAUUGAUUGAGCAGCCCGUUGAAUCUCUCCCAUGCUUCACAAAACGACUCAUCAUCUUGUUGUGCAAAUAGAAAGAUCUUGUCCCUAAGCAUGUCGGUUUUUUGCGUGGAGAAAUAUUUCUCCAAGAACUUCUUUUGAAUGGCUCCCCAAGUCAUGAGUGAACCAGGCUUCAAAGAAUUCAACCAAUAUUUCGCCUUAUCUUUCAAAGUGUAAGGAAACACUCUCAUUCGAAGUUGCUCUUCCGUCACACCUGUCAAGGGAAAAGAGCUCACAACAUUAAAAAUAUCCUUUAUAUGAGUUAAUGGAUCUUCAUUAGGUAAACCAUAAAAAGAAAGGAGCAUAUUAAGAUGAGAAGAUUUAAGCUCACAGUUUCGAGCUGCGGUGGGCAGCAAGAUGCUUGAAGGGGAUGCUGGAAUUGUUGGGAUAUCAAGGUCUCCCAUGAACUCAUUGGCAGCCAUCUCUUCUUCUUCUUGGUCUGAACUUGAUUCCGAAUUUGAAGGUGAAGACCCUGGGAGGUCAGUGUGGAUAGCAAGACCUUCACUUGUUCAAGGAAAGGAUUACUAGACAUAAACUACCUGAAACAGAAAAUAAUUUGAGUUAAUUAAUACUUCUAAAAGAAUGGGGUAACCUUGGGCACAUAACCAGGGAAGAACUUUCAUUCAGUCCCCGGCAACGGCGCCAAAAUUAGUUGUUAAAAUGUUAACUCGCAAUUGUACGGGCCAAUUAGUAGUAUAGCAAGACAAGUACGAGGUCGUACCAACGAGGACUGAGAAGUUAAAAUUAGUUAUGUACUUAGAUUACCAAAUUCAAGAAAGUAGGAGGUUAAGUCUAAAAUAGAAUUUAAAGCAAGAGUGAUUGUAAUUGUUGAACAAAUGAGGCAAAACGAAAUUUCAAACAAAAGCAAAGUGAACAAAUGUAAGAAAGAGUACUUUUGUAGGCUGAAAAACAGAUUGGGAGACUAGGGCAUUCGAUUCACCAUAACAAUUCAAUUCUGGGUUAUAAGGAGUCAAGUGACAAGUCUCAUUCGGAUUCAAAGAUUGAUUCUAGCUAAAGUAUGAUUAGGCCAUGGUGUCUGGUCCUAACCUUGUGCUCCUAAUUCCCUAACUUGAUCAUUUGUUGUCUAAUUUAAAUUAAGCAUUAGGAACCCAUUAAGCAUAGAAGAACAAUUUAAACAACCAAGCAUGUAUCUAAUCCCUGUUGUCGAAUGUCCAUACACACUUUUCUUAUUCAUAGUUCAAUUCAAAUCAAAGCAUGGUGUCUACUCUUGAUUCAAACCAAGGUAGCUAAUAUACAAGUUCUAAUGGUGAUCAAUCAUCCAAACAAGCAUAUUAACUGAUAAGCAUAAAGAAUAGGAAUAUGAAUCAUGAAUCAAACUUCAAACUCAAAACUUCAACUUAUAAACCCAGAAUAUUCAUGUUAGGUUACAUCAUAGCCCUAGUUAUGAAUUUAGCUACUCAUAAUGGAAAUGGAACUUAAGCAAAAAUGAGAACACAUAUUGAAUGCAAUAAGAGUAGAGAAACCCAAUUCUGAAGUUGCUUGUGGUUUCCAAGGCUUCUCCAGGUGCUUCUCCACGUCUAAUGCUACUCCAAGCACUUUCUCAUGUCUAGAGUAUGGCAACUAAAGAGGUGAUUUGGGAUGAGUUUGGGUGGUUGGUGAUGGCAGAGAAAGAACAAAUUCGUAGGAAAUGGAAGGAAGCACUUUCUCAUGUCUAGAGUAUGGCAACUAAAGAGGUGAUUUGGGAUGAGUUUGGGUGGUUGGUGAUGGCAGAGAAAGAAUGACUCCUUUGCACUUGAGUAGCUGACACACCUCCCUAAAUUGCUCAACAUGUCUGGUCUAAAGUCAAGGAAAGCUGUGGUGAGUCACAUGGCUCAAAGAAAGUAUCCAAUUGCACUUGAGUAGCUGACACACCUCCCUAAAUUGCUCAACAUGUCAGGUCUAAAGUCAAGGAAAGCUGUGGUGAGUCACAUGGCUCAAAGAAAGUAUCCAAGGCUCAACAACUGAAAACUACAAUCCUAAGCCUGGUGUGUAUAUGGGCUCACGAAUUAGGCUCAACUUCAUUAUCUGAUGCAUUUGAGUAGUCCAUCUUGAAGUUCAGACUCUCAUCUUUCCAACUACAUAUUAUUUGGGCCAAUCCAAGUUCGGAGAAAGAUGUUAAGGCCGAAAUGAGUUGCCAACCCCGUCUGCUCGUUUUUGCACCAUUUUGCAUCUUUUCUUAUCCAAAGACACCAUUGCUACCUAAGGCCCAAUGAACUGAAUGAUAAACAGAAAAGGGAUUAAAAGCACACGUUUGACUCAAUAACAUAACCAAAUCAUAAGCUAGAAGGGUACAAAAUGAUAUACAAUUGUGAACUGAUCAAAGCUGACAUAUUUAAGAAAUAUUUAGAUGCCAACAACCCUAUGUAAGUUUUGUAUGAAGUUAUCAAUUUUAUUUUUAAAGUCAUCCUCUUGUAUGUUUGUUUCUUUGUUUCUGAUCCUAUGAUUUGUCAUCUGUGUUGCUUUUCUGUCAUCAUAGGGAUGCCUUCUGGCAUGGCGUGCGUUCUGCGGUGUAUCGCAAAGAUGCACUACGACUCUUGAAUGAGGAAGCAGUGAGUAUACAGGUAAUUAUAUCUGCACAUGUAAAAUAUGUAUUUUUUUGCUUUAUAUGUACAGUGAAUAAUUUGAGGAUAUGUACUGAUUUUAAAGCAGGUAUAAAUAUUCAUUUGUGCUAUGGCCCUUGUAGGUAAUGGAUUCAUUCUUAGAGAUUCUUACUAUUGAUCAAAUGGCUGUACCGAGGGGCCAAUUGAAGUCAUGUUUUCUGCCAACAUUUGGUUCGGUAUGUUCAAUUACUAACUCAUUCUCUUCGUUUCCUACAUAAUAUUUGAAAGUGGUACCAGUAGCACAUGUUUUUUUACCUGUGAGCAGAUAUAUAUCUAUGUCCAUUACCUAUUAAUCUCGUUUAUUUCUGUUACCUUCCUGGUUCCUUGCAUUGUUUUAAAAAAAAUUUAUUUCUUUGUUACCUUGCUUGUACCAUAUGUUGUAUGAGUGGUAUUUUCAAUGAUUUUUGUACCAUAGGGUAUGUUUUUUGUAAGGUCUAUGAAAUAUAGGCGUUUUGGGUCUUCUUUGCAGGCUAUGGAUUGAUUAUUAUCUAAUCUUCUUCAUUUCCUAGGAACUUAUGAAAUGUAGGGACGAAGUUGGAAAAGUUGCCAUGUAUGUUGAAGUGGUUUUGAAGAAUUUGCAAGAGAACGAUUUACUGUUUAUUCCAAUUAUUCAUGUCAAAGAGGAACAUUUUACAUUGUUAGUCUUGAACAAACAAAGUGGCUGUGGGACUACUACAAUAAUUUACAACCAAAUGAUAGCACAACUACUGACCCUUACUUGGAUGAUGCAUUAAAAUUAGUAAGUACCUCUUACCAGAUGCUCCUUCACUUAUAUACAGUUACUACUUUGAAAUAUAGUAACAACAACAUUUGUCACAUUGUAGCAAGCUAAAAUUACCAACCACUUUCAGUUCACCAAAAGUAGUGUUCAUACAAUUUCGCAAAAAAAUGAAAUAUGGAAACAUGUUAUGAGGAGGGGUGAAGUCGUAACAUAAUAGUGCAACCUUAAACAAGAUGAUCGGGAAAUGCUUACAUGGUUGACAGAGAAUUGUGUUGAUUAUCCUAUGAAGUCAAAUACAGAAUGCCCACAACAAAAUCCUCUCGGGUUUGUGAAUAGUUUUUGGGAUUUUGGAGUUGUUACAUUAUAAAGAUUGUUCUUUCAAACUGCUUGCUUUAACAUGUUGUAGUGCUGAUGCUGGGGUUGCUGUGAUGUACAUGAUCAAAACGCUAUCUGAAGGAAAGGCAUUGGAGAACGUAUUCCCUAUUGGAGCAAUGAAGAAUAUGAGAGUACAUGUGCUUGGGAAGUUCAUAAACGAUGAAGAUGGAUGUUGGGAUGCAUACAGAAUAAACUAGAUUGCUUUCUGUUUUAAUGGUGUUUUUCAUUUAUUAGUGUUUUCCAUUUAAUGGAUGUUGGGAUGCGUACUAUAUUUUCUCAUGUUUGAUCAUUUUUAAUGAUUUUCAUUUUCAUUUGUUGGAGAAUGGAGAAUGUUUUUGUUGGAUUUUGCCAUUAUAUAUUGGAGAAUGUUUGUUCAUAUAUUGACAGACUUAAUCUGUUCAUUUGCACGAUGUCCAACAAUUAUAAUCUCACUCUUGUUCUGGGUACAACCUAUCGUAUAGGUAAGCUCCUGUCGUAUAGGUAAUUGCAGGUACCUAUGUCACAGGUAUAAGCCAAACUUCAAACCUAUCAUAUAGGUAAGCUCUUGUCGCAGGUACGUAUAGGUAAUCGCAGGUAAAGAGAAUAUCACUCCGGUUCAUCCCCGGAAAUCAGUUGAUUUCCCCAAAUCAGACUUGACAGAUUCUUCCUCCCAAGAUCAACGACAUAUUAGCUAGAAUUGAUUCAUAACAUAUAUGAGAUUAUUGUACUUACCAUGUAUUGCUUCUUUCUGUAUAUAGACUUGAGAAAGUCUACUCUCUGUACAUUAUAUACGGCUGCAAUACAGAGACCAAAUAUACUGGUUGAUUCAAUUACUCUCCUCCUCUAUCUCUCAUCUCCCUUCUCCCCCCUGAACUCUGUUUCCUAUAUGGUAUCAGAGCUCUUCGGAGCCAAAGCUCACGUUUUUCGAUCCUACCCAAUCAAAUGGCAAACACACCCAAGUCUGGAGAAUCAAGUCAUAUUGAUAUGACAAAACUGAUUUCUGAAAUGUCAAAGCUUGCCUCACCCUCAUUCUCAUUCCCAUCCUUGCCCACCUCUUUCAACAUCUCAUCUCUGUUCCCAAUUCCCAUGGACAGAACCAACUAUUUGAGUUGGAAAUCACAAUUUGAAGACGUAUUGGAGAUGCAUGGCCCUGCAGAGGUCAUCAAGAAAACCACAGACCCACCCAAAGUGCAAGAAGAUGGCUCUGUGCAUCCUGAGUUCGCCAGAGACAAACUGGUCCUGAGUUGGAUCAAGGCGACUUCCUCCUCUUCCAUAAAGAUUCUACUCAUCCCGUGUACCACGGCCUAUCAGGCUUGGAAUCUUCUGGGCAAGCGCCUCUCACCCCUUGCAGGUACCCGUGUGCGGAUCCUUCGAGACCAAAUUCGCACCCUCAGGAAGGAUAACACCACAACUGUGACUGACUACCUCAACCAUGCCAAAUCACUUCUUGAUUCCCUCACACAAGCUCGUGCAACAAUGGAUGAUGAUGAAUUCGUUAGCUAUGUUCUAGACGGACUUGGGCUUGAAUACAAGGAGUUAGCCACCACACUCCACUUGCACCCAGAUAUUGGUUUUGACCAGUUUUAUGAUCUCGCUCUCAGAGAGGAACAAUUACAGAAACGCAUGUCGCUCAACGUGGCCUCAGGUGUUGCUAUGGCUGCUGAUCGAAUGCCCAAUGAGCGAAAACCUCAUUCAAACUCCGCUGGUCGCCAUUACAACCCCUAUCACGGAUCUGGACGAGGACGUGGACGUGGCAGAAAUUGGAUUCAAAGGCACAAUGGGCAAACAGAUCCGUGGAAAUCAACCCAAGGAAAUUGGCCACAAGGACACAACACUCAGCCUCGCGACCAGCAGAUUGCACCAUCUGCCCCUUCUCACGCAACUCUUACAGAUGGCCGCCCACCACUCCUUCCAACACCACCUGGCAAUUCUCCAAAUACCCAGCGCUCAGAAGUCAUUUGUUAUCAGUGUGAUAGGCCUGGUCACAUAGCCUGCUUCUGUCCAGAUCGUAAGCCUCAUGCCUACAUGGCUGAAAAUGCUGUCAACCCGUCUCCUUCUACUGAUGAUAUAGCAAACCUCAAUUGGUGUCUUGACUCCGGUGCUACCCAUCACAUGACCGCCCACACCGCUUCUCUACCGCAUGCCCAGCCUUACACAGGUACUGAUACAAUUGUUGUUGGCAAUGGGAAUCAGUUAGCAAUAACACAUAUUGGCAAUACUAAAGUGACCGGGUUACAUAAGUCCUUAAACCUUAAUGAAGUGCUAUGCGUACCUGCAAUACGAAAGAAUUUGAUAUCUAUUCGUCGUUUUUGUCGUGAUAAUGAUUGUUUCUUUGAGUUGGAUGCUAAUGGUUUUCAUGUCAAGGACAUCAAGGCGGGGACGGUACUUCUUACUGGCAGUAGUUCUGAUGGGCUUUAUCACAUUCAGGCAACCCCACAUCUUGCUCAUCAACUUGCAUUCUAUGGAGAGCGCACGACACAGGAAGUGUGGCAUGCACGCCUUAGACAUCCAUCUCAUUCAGUUUUUACAACCUUGUUGAAUAAGUACCAUUUACCUGUUAAUGGUACCAUUAUCUCCAAUAAAAAUUGUCAUAUUUGCCCAUUGGGAAAAUCUUGUAGACUGCCUUUUGAAUACAAACAGCUUCAUGCUCAAUCCUCAUUAGCACUUUUACAUCUUGACGUAUGGGGGCCCGCGCCAGUCCCCUCAAAUUUUGGAUACCAUUAUUAUUUGUCCAUUGUUGAUGACCACACUCGGUUCACUUGGUUAUAUCCUUUGGCUAAGAAGUCAGAUGUCUUUCCUACAUUUAUUACCUUCAAAAAGAUGGUGGAAAAUCGGUUUAGUUCUAAAAUCAAGCAGUUGCAGGUUGAUGGUGGGGAUGAAUUUAUCAACAAAUUAUUCCUCGCAUUUUUACGUGACAAUGGCAUAUCGCAUCAAAUUUCUUGUCCCUACACUUCCCAACAAAAUGGAGUAGUGGAAAGGAAACAUCGCCAUAUUGUUGCAAUGGGUCUCUGUCUGCUAGCCCAAUCACGAUUGCCUUUUAGUUUGGGUUGAAGCCUUCUCCACUGCAGUUUUUCUGAUCAAUCGCUUACCAACACCGCAGCUUGAUAACCUGUCUCCCUAUGAGAAGCUCCUUCACCGUUCACCAGAUUACAAAUUUCUCAAAAGCUUUGGAUGUGCUUGCUUUCCCCACCUGGUGCCAUACAACAAGCAUAAGUUAUCUUUUAAAUCUCUUCCAUUUGUAUUUCUUGGUUAUGAUGAUCACUAUAAGGGUUAUCGCUGUCUUGAUCCUUUUUCAGGUCGCAUCUAUACAUCUCGGAAUGUGACCUUUGAUGAAACAACCUUCCCUUACAAGCAGCCCCAGCUUCCAUCUCCUCUGCACUCAAAUGGGCUUCAACCUCUCUCUCUUGCCGACCAGCCCAUAUCUCUUGGGCCCUCUAAUCCUCUGGUCAGCCCUUCUCCCUCAUAUCCCUCAUCUCUUAAUCCCACAGGCCCAUCACUUCCCCCUAUUUCUUCUGACCCUAUUAGCUCCCCCCAUUCCUUCGACACCCCCUUGUUCUCCCCUCUGUCCUCUUCUGUAUCCCCAACAACACUGACCACGAACCCAGCCGAUCCUUCUCUGGUAUCCAGCAUCCCCCAUUCGCCGCCUCUUUCGACUGAAACCUCGUCGCCCCUUUCCACAGAACCCUCGCUGCCCAUUUCCACAGAAACCUCGCCGCCCCUUUCCACAGACCCAUCGCCCUUAAUUUCCCCAGACCUAUCCUUCGACUCUGACGGAACAACCCCACCCCUUACCCCACCUCCCACUUCUUCACCUCUUGAUCCAUCGAUUUUCCCUAACUCUUCAGAUACACCCAAUCCUCCACAAAAAUUCUAGAGUCUCCAAACCAUUGUCCCAUUUGGUCCAGAACCCAAACCCCUCUACUCUAAAACCAGCCCCCAUCCCUUACCCCUUGCCCUUUCUGCUGAACCUUCUGAUCCCCUGUCCCUUGAACCUACCAGCUUUACCCAUGCUUCCAAACAUAGCCACUGGCUCGAUGCUAUGCACGAUGAAUAUGCUGCACUCAUGAAGAACCAGACCUGGUCCUUAGUUCCUGCCACCUCCCGCAUGAAUAUUGUGGGGUGCAAGUGGGUCUUCAAAGUUAAACGGAGGGCAGAUGGCUCAAUUGACAGAUACAAGGCUCGUCUUGUUGCCAAGGGAUUCAAUCAGAAGGAAGGCUUUGAUUAUGCGGAAACUUUUAGCCCGGUGGUCAAACCGGCUACCAUUCGCACUAUAUUGUCUCUGGCACUUUCCUACCAUUGGCCUCUUCAGCAAUUGGAUGUUCGUAAUGCCUUCUUGAAUGGGUACUUGCAAGAGGAGGUCUACAUGAAACAACCCCCUGGUUUUCAUGAUCCCUCUCACCCUCAGUAUGUUUGUCGGCUCCACAAGGCUCUGUACGGCCUUAAGCAGGCACCUCGAGCUUGGUUCCAACGCCUUAGUGCCUUUCUCCUUGCCCAGCACUUUGUUCAUAGUCACUCUGAUGCAUCGCUCUUUAUUCGUCGCUCCUCUUCCUGCACAGUGUAUGUUCUAGUGUAUGUGGAUGACAUCAUUGUUACUGGCUCUCCCUCACCAAGUGUAAACCACUUCAUUGAUCAACUAUGUUCAACUUUUGACAGCCGCUGUAUGGGUGAGCUCAACUUUUUCCUUGGCAUGGAAAUUAAUCGGUUUUCUGACCAUUUAUUUCUCUCUCAGACUCGCUAUGCAGUGGAUUUAUUGACCCGGUUUCAUUUGACUGAAUGCAAACCAUCUCCUACCCCUUUGCCCUCUGACACUCGGCUCUCUUGUCUGGAUGGUGAUCCCUUGCCUGAUCCAUCCACCCAUCGGAGUAUGGUGGGUGGCCUCCAGUAUCUUACCUUGUCCAGACCUGAUAUUUCCUUCGCUGUCAACCAGGUGUGCCAGUUUAUGCACAACCCUCGAACCUCUCAUCUUCAAGUUGUCAAGCGCAUUUUUCGGUACAUUAAAGGUACACUUGAGCAAGGUCUUAUCUUCCAUAAGUCCACUGAUUUUUCCUUACGGAGUUUCUCUGAUGCUGAUUGGGCUGGUUCUGUUGAUGAUCGCCGGUCUACUACUGGUGCUUGUGUUUUCCUUGGCCCCAAUCUUCUCACAUGGACUGCCAAGAAACAGUCUACUGUUUCUCGCUCUAGUACUGAAGCUGAAUAUAGAGCUCUUGCACAUACUGCAGCCGAACUUCGCUGGUUUUGUUACUUGUUUCGUGAACUGGGCAUUCCCCUUCGCUCUGCCCCCUGCAUCUAUGUUGACAAUCUCUCUGCUCUCUAUAUGGCUGCCAACCCUAUUUUUCAUGCUCGCACCCGGCAUAUCGAGAUCGACUACCACUUUGUUCGUGAAUUAGUUGCUCGAAAGGCUCUUCGUACCUCCUAUGUUCCUUCCUCUCGUCAGCUUGCUGACAUAUUUACUAAAGGUCUCGGUCGUGAUCGGUUUUCACUUCUCAAAUCCAAGCUUAAUCUCCGCGUUGCUCCGCUACGCUUGAGGGAGGGUAAAGAGAAUAUCACUCCGGUUCAUCCCAGGAAAUCAGUUUAUUUCCCCAAAUCAGACUUGACAGAUUCUUCCUCCCAAGAUCAACGACAUAUUAGCUAGAAUUGAUUCAUAACAUAUAUGAAAUUAUUGUACUUACCAUGUAUUGCUUCUUUCUGUAAAUAGACUUGAGAAAGUCUACUCUCUGUACAUUAUAUACGGCUGCAAUACAGAGACCAAAUAUACUGGUUGAUUCAAUUACUCUCCUCCUCUAUCUCUCAUCUCCCUUCUCCCCCCUGAACUCUAUUUCCUAUAGCAGGUACCUGUGUCAUAGGUACACUUUCGGAAGUUACCUGUAGGAUAGGCUCUCCGUGAAGCUCCAUAUCAAGCCACUGCAUAGAGUACCUUCGCCAUAGGUACACUAUUUAUAGGUUACCUGUGCCAUAGAUACUAUUCGAGGUUACCUCUAGUGCCCAAAACUAUAAGUAAAGCUGGCUUAUAAUUCAAUGGUAGGCUAUCCAAUUUUAGCUGGCAUGUAACUCACUGGUAGGCUAUCCAAUUUUAGCUGACCCUGACAGUCUAAUUUCAGUUGUUCUUUUGAAAGUCACAAAAGACUCCAAGAUACAAUUCUCUAAGCUCUAGUUGAAUAAGAGCGACAGAAGAGAUGAAGUUGCAAGUGGAAUCUUUUAACAGACUUCAUUCUCUCUCUGUCUCUUGAUAGCAUUAAAGAACAAUUAACACUCUAAAAAAACAAUAGAAGAGAAAGAUAUUUAAAAUGAAGAAUGGAAAAGUCAACUAGGAGUGGAGUAUGUGUACUUUGAAUUGGGCAGGAGCUGGUUUUCCCCCUUUGUAAAUACUUUGCUUUUGUUUAAGAUCACAUGGGUUGUCAUCUACUAUUGGAAUUUACUCUAUCAUUAGUAGUAAUUAGCUCACACUUUUAUUCAUUUUGUAUCCCGCUUAUAAGCAUUUUCUUGACCAGUGCAAGGAGAGGAAGAAUUUAUUUACCACAAGAUGAACUUGCAGAAGCAGGGCUUACUGAUUCUGACAUAUGUGCUGGAAAGGUCACAGACAAGUAGAGGAGUUUCAUGAAGAAUCAAAUUAAGAGGGCAAGGAUGUUCUUCGCCGAGGCAGAGAAUGGUGUGACAAAGUUGAGUGAAGCCAGCAGAUGGCCGAUAAGCCUCACAUGUUUUAGAACCUAUGUUGUAGGUACACGGUGGUAAGUUACCUGUAGGCCAGGUUCCAUAUCAAGUUGCUGUAUAAAGUACCUGUGCAAUAGGUACUGUCAGAGGGUACCUGUGCCCCAGGUACACUGUUAGAUGUUACCUGUGGUGUUAGAGUUAUGCUGAUAGAGAUGCAAUUAGCAUGGCUAAAACGACAAAAAUAUGACUUUUAUGUACUAUCCAUAGCUGUUGGACUCCGAUAACAUGUCCCAAACCUAAAAUCAUAUUCUGUAAAAUGUAAAAGCCUACACCCUAUUUCUUAUUCUCGAAUUGGGUUGUGACAAAAUUAGAGAAUCACUCCAGAAAUGUUUACCCAUAAACCCACCAUUGGAAAAAACUGGGGGAAAUCACUCCGACCAGGCGAUCCACCAAGUCAAGAAGAUUCUUACAGAAAAAGUAAUCACAAGCUCAAACAAUCAUAAAUCUAUUUAGGAAAUGAGGACUACCUCCCUGUGCAACCUUAUUUUCCAAACUUAGUUGAGCAAGUAGCUUGUCCUUCGUGGAAAUGACAGCUAGUCCAUCAGCUUUUUCACCCCAUGGCACCGCAACUCAGCUUCGGAUAGUCAUCCAUGAACGAAAUAUAGAUUCUAGAAUGAAAUAGUCAAUUUCUUCAAGAAAUCAUCCUCUUGAAGAAAUCAACAGAGAAUUUGAUCUACCUAGGAUGAUAAAGUGUUUAAACUAAACCCUAGAUGCAUAUUUCAAAAAACCACAAUAGAUUUCAAAAACCAAUUUUCAAAAUCUCAAAAUGAAAAUCCAAACCUACCAAGUAGAGAAUGCAAAGUAAAAGUUUUACUCUGAAAAAUUCUCAAUGGAUGAAGUGGAUUUCAAAAAUAGAAGCAGAUUUCAAAAGCUAUUUGUAAACCUCAUUUCCAGAAGCCAUGAUCAUUCUCAGACAAACCAAAGAGAAAACUAAGUUUUCCAAAAUUGUGUAAAUGAAAGAGAUGAGAGAUUAAUACUUUGAUAUGCAAAGAUAUGGUAAGAUUUUCUCAAAAACAAGUAGCUUUCAAAAUGAAAGCUUGAAAACCCAUUCCUAUGCCAUGAACACUCUCAGACAAACCAAAGAGAAAUCCAAGUUUUUCAAAAUGGUGAAAAUGAAAGAGAUGAGAGAUGAAAACGUUGUAUCACUAACAAAAGUUUGAGAAAUGAAAUUUCAAUGAAAGUCCAAAAGGAAUUCAAGAACCCAUGAACUCUUCUUCCAAAAAUCAAAACCUAAUUUAUGCACCAUCUCUCACUAAAACUCUCUCUCUCUCUCUCUCUCUCUCUCUCUCUCUCUCUCUCUAAAACCCAUUUGAAAAAUGUAAAUAAGAGAGUUGAUGAGUCCAGACCAGCCCCAGCCAUUUUGGUAGGUCAAAAAGACACUUGACAGUCAAUGAUUAGACUUAUAACAAGCAAAAUCAAGUGCCUUGGUUGAAAAUCCCGUGCUGGAAAUAUUGGCCCAUAUGACUAGUCAUCUCGACAAAAUAUAUGGAUGCAAAUGCUGAUUUUCCUAAUGAUGUCCAUUGUAAAUGAAUGCACAAAUUAUCUUGGUUUUGUAGGCUCAUAAGCUCUUCAAUGUACUUCAACUUUGUAGCAAAUACCCAAUGCCUAAUUUCUAAAGAUGAGCUAAGAGGAAUUAUGACAGGACCCGACCCAAAUUCCACUUUGGAAUCUGAGCCAAACUCUGUGCGUGUCCGACACCUGAUAGGUGUGGAGCACACUUGACCAAAUUUCCCUUCUAAAGAAAUCCAAAGCUUCUUUAGGGUUUGACUUCUGCUGAAAAUUCGGCAGUCUCCCUUAUAAAUUGCUCAAUUCCCAAACUUUUUCAACUGUACAACAAGCAAUAUAAAUAUCCACAACCGUUCAGCAUGCACAAUAAUCGAAUUCAUGCAACCACACAUCAAAUCUUUAUGGCCUCAAGCCUCUUUAAAUCAAAUAAAUCGUUCUGCCAACUGAAAUUGAUCCCAACUUUUGGAACAACAAGAAUACGUUAACGUAUUUCAAAAUAACUUAACUGAUCAGCUUUUCAAUCACUUGGUCUCACGACUGCACCUAGUAACUCUAGGUUGCCUACGUACCCUUAACAAGGGAUCAAGCCACACGUAGUUCUUUCUCUUUGUUUUAUUGAUAAGUUAUGUAUUCAACUUUUAUGUUUACCACCUGUUUUGCAAAAUCAAAUAUGAAAAGAAAAUAAAAAGGAAAAGAAAAUAAUGAGAGGAUAAUAACUUUUAAAUUGGAAAAGAAAUACAAGGAGAACACAACGGUUAUAUAAAAUCAAGUAACGACAUGGUAAAAUAAAACUUCACUUAAGAAAAUAAUCGUGAAUUAUACAAAAUCCUUAAAACUUAGAAAACUCUUAAUCCUUGUCUCUUAAGUAGGAAAACAUAUAUUAAAACCUUCGCCCAUAAUUACCAAGAUAAAAUCCUCAAUUUUUUAGUUUAAAACAUCUUAAACUUAAAUACUCUCCACCUAGGCGUACCCCCAUUCAUAUUCCAUCAAUUCCUAGUAUCCUGUUUGUUACAUCCUUGCAGGCCUCGAAAACACAAAGUUAACCCAAGCCGCAUUCCUCGCAAGACUCAGGGGACCCUUAGUCAACUUGAGCUGCAUUCCUUGCAGAACUCGGGGUACAUGUUGUCGGCCCAAGAAUGCAUAUCCUCGCACCACACAGUUUAGGCGCCCCCGAAACUCGUGGGGCAUUAUCAUAAAGGACAAAACUGUUCAAGGCAACUGGGGGGGGGGGGGAGGGGGGGGGAGUACUUUUGUGGUGGGUUUGAAAACCAUAUUAUGAAACUUAUUAUAAACUUUCUCUUAUUCCACAAAUCAAUUUUCCAACUCUUAUAUCAACUUUCCAAAAAAAAAAAGGGAAAUAUGCUGAUAUAAUCAGUUUUCAUAAGUGGUGUUCUGAAAUGAUCAGGUUACAAAUUCAACAUGUCUUAUGACGUGUCAUUUUCCCUUUAUAUGAAUGCUAAAGUGGCACAUAUGUCCUUCUUCUGCAGGUGGUCCUUCCAGCUUCAUACCCAUAUUCACAUCUCAGAUUAUGUACACGUAUGUGAAAGAAGUUGCAGGCUGUUUUGUCGUAUUGUGAAUCUUGAAACUGAAUAUGAGUUUUUGCAUAACAUGGCACCAUUUUUGACAUUUUGCUCACCACGCGAUAAAGUGUGGUGAUUUUGUAGUAGGUUGCAGGGUGUUCAUUUCUGUAACGGAAUUCAACUGUACUUGUCUUCCAUAGUAGAAGGGCUGUACUCACUUUCCUUUGUUAGAACUAAUUCUUGACAUUCUGUGCUUAACACAGAUUGUAAAUCCAUCAUUUGGCACAAGUUGCAGCGAAAUGCAAUUUUUUGGGGCCACCCACAUUGUAGCCUUUUUCCAUUAUUUUAUCGCCACUAUAGCGAAAUAUUCGACUCUCAUUUGGCAAUAUUUGUGGUUGAGAUAUUUUCGUGACAGUUGAAAGUAUAGAUUGGGUGGCUAUGUCAUGGGACUUGCUUCGUGAGACGACAGUGCAUUGUCGACUGUUUAGUUUAGUUUAGUUAGGUUGAAUACUUAGUUUUGUAUAUGCAUUUUUUAAAUCCGAUCCGGACGGAAAUGUCGGGGUUGGUUAGCACAAACAAUAUCAUUAACGCUCGGCUGGGCCAAUUACAAGCUCAAAUAUUCUAUUGUUUGACGUCAUUGAGUUGUAGUUUUGGGAGGUCCCUCACCGUCAAAUAUUUAGUUCUUUCUCAUGUUUUACGUGGAAGAAUUGGUCUAACGAUUGAGGCUCCAUAAGAGUUGAUACCAAAAUACCAGAGCCUGGGGUUAUUGGCUAUGCCUUUUGUGUUAGCCUUUGAAAACCAAGAUGAAAUAGAAAACGACCAUGUCUGCCAUCACUGAUUUAUAAUAAAUCAAACCUGUUCCAUUACAUCCAUAACCUAACCAACUUUAACCUGCCAACUGUAGAUGAACAAACCUCCUAUUACAUUUGGAAUACAACAAAUAAAGGACCAUUCCAACCAUGAAAACAGAGACCCAAAACCAUGGGUUUUUCAUCUUCCCUUUUCCAGCGUUUUGUUCUUCUUCCAAGCGGUUUAUUUUCCUAAGCAAGCCUGGAAUUAUGUGCUUCGAUCUGUCACACAUCUCUGGGUCAGCCCAUUCCCAAAAUGUACAUCCAUUCCUCUGCAUAAACGGAAUCAAUGUUUUCAAACAAAGACGGCCAGCAUCAGAUUUGGAAUACAGACAAUUUCCAAAUGUCAGCUCAAACUUACACAUAAAUAAACUUACCCUUGCACAUACUUGAAACCUCCUUCCAGGAUGAGAAACCGUCCACGAUGUAUGCGUUUUGACAACGUUCCCACAGUAGCACAGCCGUGAACACACUGAACUCGCGGCUUCCAUUUCCCAGCGAGAUCUUGAAGUCGCCUCUUGACCGGGCAACCGAGACGUCACUGACUCACCCUCACCGGUACGAAGGCUCCUCCUACUCAUCUUCUUGUUUUGGAGGGUAUGAAUUGUUGUUCACGUUGUGCGAUAUUUAGGGUGCUGAAGAGGGUCAUCGUGUAUUCAAAGGGUUACACUUGCAUGUGCACAAUGUUUCAGGAACAUGGUGUGAGUGCACAAACAUGAAACCUGGAGUUAAUGGGGUGUUUUUAAAAAAAAAAAAUUCCAAUAUUUACCAUUGCCAACAGUAAGUAUAGAUUGGAAUGUUAUUCAUAGCCUUAGUUUAUGACAGAUACGGCAUGGUAUACACUUGCAAAUACAGUAGAUGCCAUUCUUCGUUGUCUGUAUAUUGGUUUAUUAAUGACGUAUUGAUAGUAUAGUGGCACUAUAUUGGUAUCCUAUUGUAACUUUAUUGUAUUGCUAUUGCUUUGUAUUGGUUUUAUAAUGCCCGAUAUUGGACUUAUAUUGGCAUUCCAAUGUAACCUCUACAUUGUUUGCAAUUGGUACAGCUAUUAGAACUUUUUUUAUACUAUCUUACGUAUUGGUUUUGCAAUGUCAUUUAACAAGUCUACAAAUCUGAACUAUGUGGAAGGUAAUUACGUUAUAUCGAAUAUGAAAUGAAUGCAGCCAAACUACAUCAAUUGCAGUUUUCAAAGUUCCUGCAUACAACACAAAAGAAAGGCACCUGAAACGUACAUAUAAUACAAAGGCCACCUCAACCUGGCAGCAUACAAAAUAAAAUAACAAGCCAGGUGAAACUUACAGAAGACAAAAUUUACAAAGAGGUCACCUCAAACUUACAUAAUACAAUCUUAACAAAGACAGCACCUGCAGCUUACAUUAUACAUAUGUACCAAAGAGGCCCCCUCAAACUUACAAAAAACAAAAGAAAUAAAUAAAAAGGGCACCUCAUACGUAUAUAUUACAAAAAGAGGGCACGUCAAAAAUUUCACUGUACUGGGUUUGUCCCCAAUAGUAGCCAUGGUAAUAUUACAAGGCAAACCUUCUGGCUGUGGCCGAAUUUCGAGUUGCAUACUCGUCAAAUGCGGCGACCGCGACCCAUUAAGUUCAUGACCCCUCCCACAGUGAUGUCCCACUUUCCUUCUGCAUCCACAAUUUGUGCAAACUUCCUAAAUAGUUCGAAGCCGGAUUCCAGUUGUUGUUGCUUCAGCUGAGCCAUUUCGUCUGAUUCUUUGAAUACAAUAAUUGCACUGGCAGGGGCAUUUUCAAUUCUAGCUCUGACAGCCUUCAUAUGUAGGAGAUGCAUCCGGGCUUGAUAACGCGCCCGAAUUGUGCGCUUUUUUAUGACACCCCACCUAGCUUGGCCCUCUUUAAUUUUGAUAACUAUGUCUGCAUGGAUAUUUUUCUAGAACAUGGUAUUGGCUCGACAUUGCUGCAGUCCAUGGACCCAGUCUUCAGUGUCUUCUGUUGCUGCUUUGGCAGGUGUUUCGGUGUCCCCUCCUUCAGUAAUGGCAAGGGUUGGGUUUGGUGUGGGGUUGGGGUCCAUGGGUGUUGGGUAUUUACUGUGGGUUGAUGUGGCCAUUAGUUUGCCCAAACUGCCAUUCAUUGUGAUGUAGGUGAAAUAGCUGCGCAGGCAGGGGGGUUUGACGGAGUAAGUGUGAUGGAAAUGUUGGGUGGAUGCAGCUGGGUUACAAUUAAAUAGUGGAAGGUAUUAAUGACCAGGAGUAAAUGACUGUGAUGAAGUGGCGGGAGUUAUUGGCGGCAGUUGUUGGGUCCAAUUUUAGGCGGGAGUUAUUGGCGGGAGUUGUUGGGCAACACGUUUGACUUGGGCUGUGCGUAAUUGCGUAUAUAACUAUUCUUUACCAUUGGUUGGUGGUUGUUGUAUGGGACCCUUGUUGAAUUUACAAUUUAUUCCUUUUGUCCUCUUUCCCAAUUUCCCUCCUGUACCAAAACUACAAAUUGUCCCAAAUGUAUGAGUAUGGUAAUUUGACAAUGUAUGGGCCAAUUACAAAAAUGGACCAUGAAAGUAUUUGUGUUUCCAAUUUCCUUUUUGCUGUCUUCCAAAUUCCUUGAUAUGAGUUCCAUUUUUGUAUAUAACGGUGAAUUCCUAACUCUGAUUUUUUACCAUUUGCAAAUCUUUGUAGGUGUAUUCAUCCCACAUGACGUUUUAUUCGCCUUGAAAUUUUGGUUGGGACUGUAUAUGACUGUUUUGGUGGUAUUAUUUUUUUUUUAGAUGGACUUGCCUAUUGUCGUCAUUUGUAGGGAAUACUUUGUAAUUUAUGAACAAGUGUGUACAGUUGGUAAAAUCAGAAUUAGGGAACUUGCUACUAAGCUAUUAUUCAUAUGGCAGCACCUUCAAUAUUAAUAUAGUAUAGAAUUGUGAUGAAGAUUUUGUGUAAUUUGUGUAGUCACUGUUGUUCAGGUGUGUAUAUUGCUACGGCCGAUUAUUCCAACGUUGACAUACAUUUAUUCGUAUUUGGUCCGGCUGUAAUGGGCAUAUUACAAUGCUGUCACUGACAGAGAGGAGUAAUGAGUGAAGACUGAUUUUGUAAUGUAGUCAUUGAAAGCAAUAUAAAACACACAACUUCCUCUAUAUAAGAGGGUCUAACCUACUCAUUCAAUUCCAUAUAUAUCAGAGACGAAAGCUGUACUAAAGCUCACCCUAUUGUUGGUAACGAAAAGAAAGCUCCAGAUUCAACCUAACGUUAACUAUUUUUCAGGGUGCAUGUGUGCAUUAUCCCCAUUUGAAGUUGAAGAUGUCAGACGUAAUCCCUCCAAACGAGGUUGUUAGUUACCCAGGAGACCAGCCAUGGCAUGUCCCUUUCCCAUCUCCACCUGGGACUCCAAAUAACGAUCCGACGUCAUCCGAAAGUGAGGCUGACAACAAUGAUCCGCUAAAGAAAAUAGCUGAAGUGAAGCAUCACCUCCAAUAUUUGUGUACGGCAACGGAUUGGUGGGAAACCAAAUGCGAUAUUCAUGGCUAGGUGAUGGGCAACUUGACGAACAAGCUGAACAAAGCAUUUGCUAGAGAAGUUAAGCAAACAAUGAAAGCACAAACUCGAAGCGCGAAGUUAGCCUCGUUGACGUUACAAUUGGAAGAAACAAAGAAAGACGCUGUCCACAAAUUCACUGAAUCUGAAGAAUUUAACCAUGAACUGGUUGAAUGUUUUAACAAUGGGUUCGAGAUGUUCCGGGAUUAUGCUUCCGUCAUGUCACCAGACUACAAUUGGAGCGAAAUAGAUGUUGGUGGUGUCUGGCAGGUGCUGAAUAGGGUUGGCCAGGGAAUGGCUGAUCAUAGCCUUGUGCAUGCAGCGAGGAAGAAGACCAAAGAAUUGGAUAUAUUCAUGGACCUGUAAACAUGGUGAUUUUGUGGAAGGGUUUCUGUAGCUGGGUCAGGGUAAGUACGGGUGGAAUCAUUUUGUAUGUAUUUGGUGGCUUUUGUAUGAAUGUGGUGCCUUGUUUACGCCUUCCUCUUAUUCUCACCGUUGAGUGGGAAAUUACUUAGUUUGUAUAAAUUUGAAGUGCUGUAACGUGGAGGUGUGCUUAUUAAACGUUUAUUGGCCUCAUAUUAGAAGCAUUAAGCAUGUAUAUUGUGUUUGUAUUGUAUAUUUAUUGACUCAUAUUGCAAUCGUAUUGUGCUUAUAGUAUGGUUUUAUUGCUGCUUUAUGGAUAUACAUCUCAUAUUAUAGCCUCUACAUCUGAGUAAUGAUAAACAAUGACUCUAGCAACGGUCGUAUAUAUGGAGGGUUUCGGACAGAUCGAUGGUUCUGACGCGCGGAAUAUCCAUGGAAAUAUGGGACAUAUAUCGAUUCCAAUAACAAUUGGAUACAAACCACGGACACUGUAAAUACAUGAAAUUUUUUACUAACAAGACAAAUAAAGUUAUGAAAGCAAUAAUUAAAUAGGAACAAAAAAAAGGAUUAUCGACAUUUAAGUAAUGAAGUAACAAUUUGAAGGGAUAGGUGGUAAUAUUCAGUACUUAUUAAGUUCAGUAGUUAUUCAUUUCAGUACUUAUAAUGAACAUUGGAAGUAAAUAAGCAGUAACAUGAAAUGGAUGAAAUAGGAAAGAAAUAAAUGACAUUAAGUAAUGAAUUUUGUGAGCAACAAUAUAGAACACUAAUAAAUGACUUUGUUAUUUUGCAAAACAGGUUGGAUUGGAAGACUUAUAAAUACCAGAGUCCAUAGGCACUAAUCACACACCGAUGGGGUGUGCGUGUGUAGCUCAGAACCUAGAAGAAGGGAAGGGUUUCUUCCUCUGUGUGUGUGACUUGAAGUGAAUAAUUAACUAUUUAAAAAGUCCAUAUCACGAUAGUAGCGAUGUGUUCACCAUGUGUAGCUGCAUGGAUAGUUUCCCAAAAACUAUAUAUAGUUUGGUCUAUGGCAAUCAGAACAAUGAGAAAUCAUUAAGUACAACGACGCUCCCAGUAAUUGCGUAACAUUUGCAUUUGAAGGAGUUUUAUGUACGAGAUGCAAUUUUAGUUAGCCUUCUAGGCCCUUUCAUUUUGGACACAAACCGUUUUCAUUACACUACCAAUAGGCGUGCAACAAAGUUACAAUACAAUACCAAUACGGUGGCAACAAAGUUACAAUACAAUACCAAUACGGUGGCAACAAAGUUACAACAGCAUGACAAUAGUGUGAAUAUAAAGACAGGAAUACAUAACGUGUGUAGGAAAGGAAACCAAGUGAUGCCAACGUGACUACAAUCACAUUUCACAACACCAAAUCGAAUACAAUUUAAAUGAAAAUAAAAGGUACAUCAGAAACGAAUAGAAAUGCUAAUCUGUAAGACACAUUGGCCAGUGGAACACUGUUAAAUAACAGCUGGUUUCCUUUUCACAGGUGGAACUGUAUGUUCACCAAUUUGUACUAAUAAUAGGCUCUCAUUGCAAGGAACUUGUUACCUUGUUCCAUAUUCUUCACAUGACCAUUUAGUUGACGGACUUCCAUCCCUGCAGCACCACCGAACCUAUUCAUGAACUUCACAGUUGAUGACAACUGAGGUACAAACUGAACAACUGUAAAAUCUGCGCAAAUUGACACUUCAGUUCUUGAGAGGGACAGAUUGUUUGCAUGUAUUUCGGUAGUGGCCCUUCACACCACACCUUGAGCAUUAUUUUUGCCGGGAGUCCUCUCCUUUGGAAGGUAUUCUUUGCAUUUUGCGACGGCCCAGCAUAACCUUACAAACAAGAGGAAGGAUUUUGACAUUGUUCAAAUGUUCGGGAAUAACCCAUGUGCCUUUAGGUGGAACAGAAUAAAUAGAUUCAGCAUAUGCAGCUGCCCAUGUAGCUCGUGUAUAAUAAGAAGACGCAAAGGAGUAGGGGUUCAAUUUCAAGUGCCGACAUACCGCAAUAGCAUGCUUGCACGGGAGUUGCUCCAAGUCAAACUUCCUGCACGUACAACUACGGUUUGCCAAGUGCACCAGACCAUUCAAAUCACCAUCCAGAACAUUAUACUCGACAUCAUUGAUUUUGACCACAUUCAUCCUUGACGCAGCAUCUAACCUCUUCCUUAACUUCUGUUCACCCAAAUCAGGGCACAAUGUAGAAUGACAUUUCAUUGCUAAAUCUCGACGUUGAUUAAACCAAGUGAGAAGUAGAUUUGUGAUUUCAUCGAUCAAGUGUAGCACCGGAAGCAUCCUUGCAAAACGAAGAACUGAAUUAAUGGACUCCACAAUAUUCGUUGUCAUCACAUUAUAUCGUCGUCCAUCACAGUGGGCCCGAGACCACUUCUGGAUGCCUGCACGUAGUAGAUAAGUUCGCACUCGCUCAUUGUUUAUCAUCGAGAAGUGACGAUUGAACUCCGCUAGACGAUAAGACUUCGCUGCCCUUACAAAAUACCCCAAUAUCGGAUCCCGUUGCUUCAAGUGAAAUGAGGCUUUCAUAUUGCCCUUCAAGUGAUAAAAGCAAAUCCAUGGCUUGCCCCAGGAAAAACUCUACGCAACCCAUGUUGUAUGCUAACAUUGCGAUCAGAUAUGACAACAAGAUUCGAGCAAUCACCAAUUGCACAAUGUAAUUUUCUCAAAAACCACUCCCAUGCUGCAUCCGUCUCCAAAUCUCCAAUCCCAAAGGCAACAGGAUAUAUGUUGCGAUUUCCGUCAAAUGCGGUCGCAACAAACAAAACACCUUUAUACUUGCACUUCAAAUGGGUAGCAUCAACAGCAAUCACGGGCCGCAUUGACGACUUAAAUCCUCGUAUGCAUGCACCAAUUGACAUAAAAAAUAUAAGAAGUGGUCGGCUGCAUCAGUCUGAAUGUAUGUCAAAGUUCCCGGAUUUGUACGCUCCAAUUCAUAACAAUAGGAAGGGAGAAGGGAAUACGACUCUUCUGCAGACCCUCUCAUUGUUUUGAAAGCUAACUCUCGGCUUCUCCAAGCUGUAGAGUAGCUUAUGCUGACACCAAAUUUUUUUUUUCACAUCUGUCUUUAUAUCAGCUGCAGUAUAAAUGCUGCGCGAAUCCUGAAAUCUCCAUUUAACACAGUCAGACACCAAUUCGGCCGUAGCUUGAGGAUGGUGACUACUUACAAACCUCAGAUCACAUUCAUGAAGUGGAUCGUAUUUAACAACCUUAAACUCAUGUAAUCCAACUUUAUAUGCCCGAACUUUCCAAGGGCAAGGCACCUGCCAACAGCGAACACACAACCGACGCUUCCCAGAUUGGACUGUUCUGAACCAAAAGUGGCCUCUAAUUGCUGCUAAACUGAUGGUUUUUAAAAGAGCAAUCUUAUUUGGAUAAACUCGGCCAACCUUCAAAUUUGCUUCCCAAUUUAUGCACGAAAGGCCUCCACCAUAACCAAUAUAUUCCACACUCUCACCAUGCUUCGAAUCAACUCGAAUUGUAUGCAUUUCACUCGAACUUGAUUGCCGGGGAGGUUCAGAUUGCACCUGUCUACACUGCAUAGUGGAGGGUUCCACAUUGCUGUCCUCAUGAGGAUGCACAAUUGGUGCAGAGUACGGUUCCUCCUCAUUGCUAGGUUGAUACAAAUCAACAACUAUGUUUUCACCGCUUUCAAAAUGAACUUCUUGAACCCAAUCACUCCAAUUAAAACCAUUCCCACCAUUUUCAGUUUCAUUGUCCGAAAUUACCACAUUUCUUCGUUCCACAACAAAGGUAGCAGGAGCAUUGCUACUCUCAACGCUUACAAUGCCAUUGCACCCUUCAAUACCAUGACCUUCGAUAUUUUUCAAGCUUGCUACUAAAGGGGUUACUUUAGAGGCCAUAACAUCUGUGUUGUACUUGAGAAAAUAUUGAACAUCAUCAUUGUCUUCAACCCUUAUGUGCUUACUGACAGAUGCGGAUACAGGAACUGAAUACUUCAAUGUGACACUAUAUUUCGUGGGCUCUGCAUCCAUGAUCUUAUAAAUGCGAUGAACAAGGUCAGAAAACGUUACGUUCCGUGACACUAUUAUGCCUUUAGCCUCCCCACCUUCAUAACUCUCAAUGUUAUCCUUCUUAACCCAACUUCCAUUGUAGCAUACCAAAAUUCCAACUGUAUCCAUUUCUGCAAAUAACAUAAAUAAUGACUACACCGAUUCAUAACAAUUAAACAGAAAAAAUUGAUGAAUAAAAACAUACACAACAAUCAUUCCACUACACAUAUCAUCUUCUAAAUCCUCAAAUCUUCAAACUCAAAUUUUAGCUGCUUCAACAAGGAACUUUUAUUCCUUUUUGUUUUUUCUCUGAUUUUGUACAUAUCUGUGGGUUCCAAGUUAUUAACAAACUAACAUACACAUACAAUGGCAGAAAUAUGAACCCUCUAACCCUCCAAGGCUUUUGCACAAAUGUAAACACCUUCAACAAAAGGAUCAGGUUGUGAUAGAAAACGUAUAAUGUAGUACAAGCUCAAUUACCAAAUUCGAAACCAAAACACACAAACUAUACUUCUUACCAAAACAAACCCAUAAUGCCAAUAAAUUCCCCACAUUAGCAUCUAAAUUGAGCCUAACACUAGCCGUAUUUACAAAUUUUUAGGCCAGACAAAGUUAACAUAUGAUUUUUCUGUGUGCUGUUAUUUUCACCAUUAUCAAACACAUUGCACUACUUUAUACACGCAUUCGGUCAAUUUUAAACAAAAUUCAAGUUCACCAGACAGAUCCCACUGCAGAUAAUAUCACAAACUAUGAAUUUUAACAUAUCAUAACUCCUUCAAACUGAAAAUUUAAGCUUUUAUGCCCUCUGUGGUGAAAAGGGGCUGAACGAUUUCAUAAUACACAUACACUACCAAACCAAUAUCACAACUCACAUCCAUUCACAACGAUGCCGGAAGUCGCCACUUUCGCUUCUCUGUGGACUCGCAGCAGUCACCUCGAUCUGGAGGUCAACAAUGGAGGCCGUGCCUUCCGGCUUCGCUGCGCCCAGACUAGGGUCCCAAAUUUGAGGACAUCUGGGUUAUGACGAUGGAUGGGUUGCGAACUGGAUUGCUCAGUGGCAACAUGUCUCGCAACCUGGAGUUCCCCUAAUUUUUGCCAACCUUCCAACAUAGAGGAGAGAGAGUUUUAGGAGUUCAGACAAGUUCCCUUUCAGAAAAGGGGUGGCAAAGGGUUGCUACAUCUGCUUUUAUAUGGAGGGCAGUUUGGUCAUUUCUUAUCCACAAGUGAUUAUAUCAGAACACAAUUUGUAACCUGAUCAUUUCAGAACACCACUUGUGAAAGGUGAUUAUAUCAGCAUAUUUCCCAAAAAAAAAUUCAGUUCCCAACUAUAUUUAAAUUGUACCACAUACUAUUAAGUACUAGCAUUCAUAAUUCAUCAACCUCAAGCCACUGAGUAUAUAUAUUAAAUAUAAGCAUAUAAUAAAAUAUUUAAUUAAUUUCUUGUAACAUCCCACAUCGACCAACGGAGAGGGGAUGAUGUGCCUUAUAUGUACAUGCCCACCUCUAUCUAGCAUGAAGCAUUUUGGGAGCUCAUUGGCUUCGGAGUCAUGGGAACUCCGAAGUUAACCGAGUUUGGGCUAGAACAAUCCCAGGAUGGGUGACCCACUGAGAAGUUGCUCGUGAGUUCCCAGAAACAAAACCGUCAGGGCAAGGGGGCCAAAGCGGACAAUAUCGUGCUACGGCGGAGCAGAUCCGGGAUGUGACAUUUCUUGUCCACACCAAAAUCCAGUUAAUAAGCCGUUCCCAACUUUACACAACCAAACAUAGUAUAAUACCUUUAGAAAAAAAAAGCGAUUAACUAAUCACCUAAUCCAGUAUUACCCAAUCAUAAAAUUUAAUAAUACUCACAAUAAUAAUAAAUAAAUGAAUGACAAGAUAAACUUCAAAUAUCAUAAUAAGACCCAAAAAUAUCUCAAAACAUUAACCUAAACUCACAAUCUAAACAUAAACAAAAUAGUUCAUAAACAAUCAAGCCUCGUUUACACGGUCGUUCUAGCACUUCUCGAAGGGUGAAACUACUUUGGAAGACUCACGGUCAACCGAGGGUCAAACUUUCUAAAUUGGGUCAACCGGGCCCGCAGGGCCCACGACCUCCGAUUUCUAAAACGAGAGUUCCUACUAGUUCAACAAGGUUUACUAUACUUGUCCGGCAAGUUUGGUCUGAAUCGAAUGAUCGGAUCACUCACGAUCGCACUAUCGGACGGUUAUCGUUUAUCUAUACUUUAAAUUAUUGAACCGGAGUAUCAAGGACUCCGAUUCUUGGCCUGCGAAUUCCUGUAUGAUCCUAGAAGUGCCUAGAUCAAUAUAUUUGAAAAUCAGAUCAAUCCAACGGUCCGAACAAAUCAAACCCGGAUAUCACCUAAUAUGCUAUAUCUAAUCGACAAUCAAACGGUAACCAAAAUGAAAUCCGAGCAUACCGUUGUGCUUGGGACGACAUGAGGAUCAUUUUAGGACCAAAGCGAUUCCGGAGAUAGGAAAAUCUCCAAACCGCCAGUCAAGACCUAAACCUACAUGAUCAGGACAAUGAAUGGAGCAACUUUGUUCUUGGACCAACUCCAAAAAGUGGACGGAGAUGGUCAAAAUCAAGGGCCGAAACUGGCCAAAACUUCAAUUGCUUAAUUGACAACCAAAACGCAGAAAUUGAUCCUAAAUGACCCAACCAGCAGCUAGAACACACUCAGAGGAUGAAAAAGCAUGCCUCUAUCGCAAAAUUUGGUAGCUAGCAACGUCCGAACAAGCUCCGAAAAAUCUGGGUAAAAAUCGGCCAAAAUCGAGCUCAUUCCGGCCACAGACGGUGGUGGCUGGGGUGGCUGUGGGGCGGGAUGAGUAGAGGGGAGCUAGCCGGUCAUUUUGGGACUAGCCCCAGCUUCGAUGGCAGCCGGAGGUGGCCACUACAACCACAAAACCAACCGGCAGACUGUUUGGGGGAGGGGGGUGUCGUGUGAAGGAGAAGACUGGGGAGAGAGAGAGAGAGAGAGAGAGAGAGAGAGAGAGAUUUCAUAUUUUUAAAAACCCUUUUGAGAAAAUUACGGUUAUGCCACUAGGCUUCUGUAGAUCAUAACUUCUUCAUUACAACUUCGAUUUGAGCCCACUACGUGUCUGUGGACUCAUCUCGACGUGCUCAACCCAACGGUGCCCCCAAAAUUCCCAAAUUCUUUCCCGAACAAAACGUCAACUUUUAACCCAUUAAAAUAUUCUCGGGGUAAAAUUGUCUUUUAUGUGAUUAUUUUAUUAAUUAAAUAUUAAUUUAGGAUCGGGUUAUUACAAAUUACAUAAAAGUGUACAUUUGGCAAGGAAAUCCAAUUCUAAGAAUCCUAAACCUAGCAUACUCAUGCCCCUUUUUUUGUAUGCCCUUUUGGUUUAUGAAUGAAAUCUUAUUCUCAUAAAUAAAUAAAUAAACUUUCAAAAGACAAAAGCCUCACUAAUAACUUGGUCCUCUCAUUCAAUUUUUUCCCACAAUUUCUCAAUUUCUCUUACUCCAUAUAAAAAUACAUCUUUCGCACAAAUAUACUAAAGGGCAAAGUAAUAUUAUUAUUUUGUUUAUAUUUUAAAAAUAUUUGAUCUCUUUUUUAUUCAUAAAAAUAAAUAAACUUAAAUGAAAUUAGUGUUUAUAUCGAAAUUUAACAUGCUCCUAUGGGUUUAUAUUUUCUCACAAUCCAUAAAUAAAUAAAAAAUACAUUUUUCUUCCAAAUAUUCAACCCCCAAAAUAAUAUUCUUAUUUGGUUACGUUUUUAAAUACUUAAUGUCUUAUUAUUUUCUCCAAAAAUUUCAAAAUUUCUCUUAUUCAUUCAUAAAAAAAAAUUACUAAACUUAAACAAUAAGUGAGCAUAUUCUGUAAGUAACGAAGUUUAUUGACAAACAUUAUAUGUAAUCUUAAUCACACAAUCCCACCAUGAAAGUAAGUUUUAUAAAUUUGUUUUGUUAAAUUAGUAGAUAAUUGAUUAAAUAAACAUGUGUCAAAGUUUCAUUCAAAAUUUCAAUAUUUUCCAAAUGAUUUCCAUGAAUUUUAUUACAUUUUUACCGAUAUUUCAGUUGAAAUUUACGAGUUUUGGACCCUCGAUAUUUCUGAAACGACUGAUAUUUAAUACUUUGGAUUGAACGAAUGGAAUGAAGGGCUAGGAUUAAAUCAUUUAGGGUUACAGCUGCAUUUUGAAUGGCUGAGAUUUGUACACUUCAGUGAGGUAGUUUUGCAUCAAAGGUCGUGAUUAAAACACCACAUAGCUUUCCUAUUCCAAUUGGAAUUAUAAGUUGCACUCCUUAGCCCAACUAGCUUGCAAUUAGAAAUCCAAAUCCAAUUUGUUUUCCUCUUCUUGUGAUAACUAACUCUCCUAAUUGCAUGACUGACUAAUGUAACUUGUAACCGACUCCAAAAAUGUCCGCCUAGGUCAUGUGAUCAGCCAUAUAGGCUUGCUUGAUCACUUGGAUGAUGACAAGGCACUUUGACAAAGAUUCAUCAAAGAUACUUCCAUAAUGAGUCUUUCUUCUUAUUCCAACUUCAAGAAUGCAGCAAGAACGUCUUUUUAAUCUUCAAGGCUCCAAGAGUAGGUUUCUUGAUCAUCAAGAUAGGUUCUUGAUACUUUCUAUGCACGCCACCUUCCAAGAUUCAAUCUUUAAUGCUUCUUUCACACGCACCGGCCUUCUUCUCACUUUAUUGAUUGCACCAAUGCCCUAAAUCGGCUCCAUUUUCACUUUUGUGCUCAAUUGACCUACAAAACACAAAAACAAAGUAAAUGAUAGAAAAAAGCAGGGAACUAUGCAUAAAAAGUAAGUAAGACUAGCUAAAAAGAUAGGAAAUUAUGAACUCGUCAUGGUAAUGACGUGGAAGUAACAAGGAAAUACUCCAGUUGGAAAUUUGAAAUAAAUAAUUUAUAAAAAAAAUAAGAAAAGUCUUUGUUGUUGGAUAAAAUUCUAAGUCUAAAUUGUUCUUAGGGACAAUUUGGUUAUAUAAAAAUUGCAUUUAAUGUUGGCCUUGGUUUCCCAUGGGAAGGGAAAAUAAAACUCAAUUUGAGUGGAAGGUUUCAUUUUCCCCUUUUUUUUCCCAUGUGCCAGGAAAUCAUUUCCUAUACCUUGACUUACCAAAUGAUUUCCAAAGAUUUACGCACCCUAAUCUUUUAAUUAAAUGAAAGAGUAAUUGAUCUUUGGGACACUACAUAAACUUUUUCGUCACCUGACCUAAACUUUUACGUUCUCUCUAAAAUUUUCAGUUUUCUCUCAAUUUCCCUCUCAUUUCCGAAAAGCUGCGUGUCUGAUUCUCACUUUCCCUCUCUUUUACAUUCUUCCUCGUCUUCGUCUCCAAAAUUUGAUAACGAAGAAAACUUUCUUUGCAAGCCAAAUGUAUUUUCUCACUCCAUUUUUUUUUUUUUUCAGUUUCCCUAUCAUUUGAAGUUUUUUUUUUUAAAGAACGAGUCCCACUUAUACGGAUGAAUUCUGCAGCAUGGUGAUAGCAGCACAUCAGAUCACUAAGGGAGUUGCCAUUGGGGUGGCAAAUUCCCUUACUGCUCUUUUAGCUUCAUCCGCCAUAGAUGGGGGUGUCGGAAAAAUCCAACGUACCUGAAAAUAAAAAUAAAAAUUCUAAUUAAACUCUGAAUUAAAAUAUAUUGAUAUUAAUAGAAAAUAAAACAGUCCCCGGCAACGGUGCCAAAAACUUGUUGUGAAAUUAUUGCAAGCGCACAAUCCGCACAAGUAAUAUAGAAAUAAGUAGAGUGUUGUUCCCACAAAGACUAUAAUUUUCUAUUAACUACCAAUUAUGAUUAAUUCAAAAUUUUAUUUGAACAGUUGAUUAAAAAGAUUGAUUGACUUAAGUAAACAAAAGCAAUUAUGAAAAAUAGCAAUUUAAUUAAUGAUGGAAAAUCAAGUUGAUGAGGCACUAGAGCAUCUGAUUUCACCAUAACCAAUUCCACUUAAUUCUUAUAGCCAAUUAACCAUAAUUACUACCCAUGCUGACAGUUGGUUUUUCCUAAUUCAUUUGAUAUCCCCUCUCGGGCUCAACCAAUAGUAUUCCUAAUUAACAACUCAUUCUCUCUCAAGCAAAGGAUUUAGAAAAUCAAGAACCUAUUAAGUUCUAUGAGAACCUGCAUGAGUCCAGUUAGUCCCUCUCGGACACUCAUUCAAGACAUGGUAUUUAUUACGAGAAGCAAACACCAAAUAUCUCCUCUCAGUCUCCGCUUUGAUCAUCAAAUCAAUUAAAUAUUGCCCAGGUAUUCAAAGCAUUAAGAACAGUAACAAAUACUCAACAUGGAAUAAUAAUCAAAAAUUAAAAUAACUAUAAAAAUUAAGUAUUCAUGGUUAGGCUACAUCGUAGCCCUAGCAAGGAAAAUUAGGUCAUGACAAAAGAAAAGUGAAACAAGAGAAUUGUUGUCAUAAAACCGAUUUGGCCGAUGGAUUUGAUCGCUGGAUUCUCCACAGAAACACCUUCGAAAGCUCCUAAAGUAGUGCAGCAGCAAAUUCUUGGCUCUAUAUUUCUUUGGGUGUACGAAAGUUGGUGGAAAAAUAUAGUGGAAAAGAUGAUCGUCCCUAGAGAGAGCUUAGGGUGACCUUAUAUAGUGUAAACAACUAACCCUACUCUAAAAAGGUAUGGAAAAACUCUCCUAAAGCAAAAUAAAAUUCCAAACAAUUAAGGGACCUCAAUUAGGAUUAUAAAGCGUUUAAAAAGAUUUUAAAAAUCUGGAUGUAUUCAAUUUGGAUGUAUUCAAACUUUAAAAGAGGUUUUACAAGUCUGGGUGUAUUCAGUUCGGACUUAUAUGAACUUUUAAAGAGUCCAUUCAAAUAUGGGUGUAUUCAAUUAGGAUUAUAAAAAAGUUGAAUCAAAUCUAGGUGUAUUCAAAAGGUCAUAUAUUUGGAAGGAUUUCAUUAAGUGAUAAAUUUUCGUAGGUUUAAAGGGGAGAGUUCUAAAUAACAAAUACCAAAAUAAAUCCAACCUCCCUCCCAAGUAUUUCAUCAGAUGUUUUUUUGUUGCCCUAGCUUUUCUCUCUGCGAAGACGAACAACUUCCUUCCUCCAUCUGUGAAGGUAUGCUCCCUAUUUUUUCUUUGAUAUACCUUGUUGGGUUUUCUUUUUCCAUUUUUUCUUCAUCGUGUUUUCCUUGUUAAUAGGUUUAUGCUUGUUACUAGGGUUUAUGCUUGUUACUACUUUUUCUUCUGAAAUAUCUAUAUAUGACUAGAUAGAAAAUUGAAAUAAUUGACAAGCUUUCUAUAAUCAAACAAAAAAACUGAGACAAAUAUAAAUGAACAUUAAAAAAAUGAAAAUCCAAAAAUUUUAACUUUUAAAUGCUGUUUUGGAAGCCUAAACGACCUCAAAAGCCUAAAAUCCACCAUAUGUCACGGCAAAGCCGUGAGUUUGACUCAUGGCAUCAUUCCCUUUUCAAAUCAUACACCCCAAUCAGAGUUCGGACGCCAAAUCUGCAAAUUCCUACUGUGUCCUUUUUCCAUUCAACAUAAGAUGUGUCAUGUUUAAUCUAUGGUUGAUGAUGUACAUUUUUUGUUUAUUUUUUAUGCUGUAUUUUGUGAUUGACAUGAUAAAAUUCAUAGCUGCACUCAAAUGGAGUCUGAAAAUACACAACAAGUAAAUGGAAAAGGGAAGAGCAAACAAGAUUAUAAUGCUUGGACUGUGGAAGAGAGUAGAAUGUUGUUGCAACUCAUGGUUGAUGCUACAAGCCAUGGAUGGCGUGAUGCUAAUGGAAUGCUAAGCAAGGCAACUGUAGAAACCAAACUACUCCCCAAGAUUAAUGAAAAACUUAGGUGUCACAAAACCUAUUCUCAAUACCAGAGUCGGCUGAAGUACUUUAAAAGAGAAUACCAGAAAUACUCACAGCUUCUCCGUCACAGCUUUGGGUUUGGGUGAGAUCCAACCACAAAGAAAUUCACUGCUCCUGAAGAAGUUUGGAAAGACUACUUUAAGGUUAGGUUAUUAAAUUUUCUUUAAAUAAUUUCGUUUGGUAACUUGAAUACAUAAUCUGUUAAAUAAUUAUUUUUUUAUUAUUGUUUUUGUUAUAGUCCCACUCAAAAGACACAAGUAUUCAAACAAAAACUUGUGAGGACUACGAGGAUCUGCAAAUUGUAAUUGGGAAUGCAACUGCUAUUGGAAGAAACUCAUUAGGAUUGGAUGAUGAUACUGAUGGAAGAACUUUUAGGGCGGAAGAUAGAUAUGUUGGAAUAGAGGACUUUGUCUUUGAUGAUGAAAGUCAGGAGGAUGAAGAAAUUUAUGAAACAAUUUAGAAUUUAUUAAUGGCGAUUCAAGUAGUAGCUUAUGCAUUGAAUGAGAUUAUGAUGCAUAGUGAAGAAAUUGAACAUCCAUUAACUCGGCGACCAAUUACUAUGAAGGGAUAUAAUUAUAUACAACAUGUAUUGAAUGACGAUCCAGAGCAUUUCCGAGAAAGGUAUAGAAUGUAUCCUGAUGUGUUUCAAAAGUUAUGCAGUAUUAUUAGAGAAAAAACACUCUUACAAGAUAUAAGAUUCAUUUGUGUAGAAGAAAUGGUUGCGACCUUUUUGCUUAUUGUGGGUCAAAAUAAUAGAUAUUGUCUAGUACGUAAUACAUUUGGCCAAUCGCACUUCACUGCUAGUAAAAAUUUUAACAAAGUUUUAAAGGCCUUGAACACAAUAGCACCGGAGAUGCUAGCCAAGCCUGGAUCCGCAGUACCGGCAAAAAUAAGGGAAAGUACAAGGUUUUACCCAUACUUUAAGGUAAAUGUGUUAUCUGGUGCAACUUGUUUUAUUCAAUUUUUUUAUGUUUAAUAAUAUCUUUUAAACUUUUGGGUUUAUUUCAGGAUUGUAUCGGAGCUAUUGACGGCACACAUAUUCCAGCAAUGGUAACGAGACGCAACGUAAGUAGCUAUCGUAAUCAUCACAGUACGAUAUCACAAAAUGUAUUAGCAGCUUGUAAGGGUGGGAGGGCUCAGCUCAUGAUUCAAGAGUACUACAAGAUGCUUUAACAAGGAGGAAUGGACUUAAAGUGCCACAAGGUAUUUUUAAAUUUUCAAAUUUUUCUUAUAGUUUACAUUAGCUCAUACAUUGGAUACUAACAUAUAUGUAAUCUAUUAUCAGGUAAAUUUUUCUUAGUGGAUUGUGGAUUUCCAAAUCGACGCCAAUUUUUGGCUCCAUUUCAAGGUGUUCGAUAUCAUCUCCAAGAGUUUGGUGGUCAAGGUCGUACACCUGCAAAUGAAGUUGAGUUGUUCAAUCUUCGUCAUUCGUCCUUGAGGAAUGUCAUUGAGAGGAUAUUUGGUAUAUUUAAGUCACGAUUUACAAUUUUCAAGUAUGCACCUCCAUUCCCAUAUGCGACACAAACAGAGAUAGUGUUAGAUCUGACGAAUUUCCUGUUGAAUUGGAGGACGAAUCUUCUUCAUCUUCAUCGUUACCAGCUAAUGAAAGGGAUCCUGAACUAGUUUUCCAAACACAAGAACAGCAACGAUGGAAUGCUAAUGAAUGGAGAGUUGGUAUAGCUUUGGAUAUAUGGAGAGAUGCUUGGUACAAUGACAACAAUGAGAAUCAAGGAUAAUGAAUGAACGUUAAAUAUUUUCUUAAACUUUUCUUUCAAAUUUGUAAUACAUUUGUCACUAUAUUUCUUAUGAAUUUUGCUUUUUGUUAGACAUAAUUUUAUUUCAUGUUGUUAAAGGAAAAGAUGUUAUGAAUUUGAUUUUUUAUUUCAUCUUUUUUAUAUACAUCAAUGUUACUAUAUACGUUGACAACAUUGAAAGUACUGUGCAAACAGGUACUAUGCAUACGAAAAGUACUAUGCAUAUUUGACACAGCAUUCAUGGUCAAAUAGGUACUGUGCAUACGAAAAGUACUGUGCAUAUUUGAAACAGCAUUCACGUCAAAUAGGUACUGUGGAUACAAAAAGUACUGUGCAUAUUUGACACAGCAUUCUUGGAUUAUUCUUUUCAUUUUGAACUGUGCAUAUGUUCUUCCAUCGCAAACAAGUACUUUUUGUUUUUGCUUUGGGUAACAAAAACAAAUUUGAUUGAAAAAUUUCAAGUUUCUUUCUUUAAAUGACAAGGAUGGGGAUAAAAUGAAAUAUACUGUCUACAUAAGUCUAGAAUAAAAGCCUAUCAAGUUCUAUGAAAGCUUAAGAAAGUUUAUUAAAAAAAUUAUACAGAAGUCUUCUAAAAGUCUAUCAAGUUCUAUACGAAUUAUAAAGUUCCAUCAAGUUCUAUGAAAGCUAGCACUUAAACAAAAUCUUUUUAAACGCUCUAGAAUCCUAAUGGAAUACACCCCCCUAAGAAAACAAACUAGGAAAGAAUCAUUCUUUGACUUGGAAACAUGUCAGCCAACUUGCAUGCAUGUUUUGGGAUCAUUCCACUUCCUAGAAAAUUCUGGAAAAAUAUGAGAAACGUAGCUUUAUGUCUAAGCUUUCCUAGAAUAUAUUACACGCCACUAGGAAAAAUACGAAAGGUCUUCAAAUCUUCAAUCUUCCACAACAGUGCAGUUCUGGCGGGAUUUUAACUUAAGCUAUCUUGACUUGCAAGUCUGGAGCAUUUGGCUUGGUAGAAAAUUAUGAAACUUUGACACAAUGAUCUUCAAUGUCUUAACUUUCUUUUCCAAUUAGCCUUAAUCUAAAAUUCAUUCGAAAAGUCAAUUUUGCAGUCGAAAUCCUUCCAAGAGUGCAGAAUAGCUGAAAAUAAGGAAAGUAAUGUAAUAAUGCUCUUUUUAAUUAACUUUCCCUAUAAAAAUCAAAUAUAAGAUGUAUAAAAAUAUAGGAAAUAAUGCACUUAUCACUUGAUCCCUCAGUAAGGGUACGUAGGGAGCCUGGGCUCUCACCCAAGUGCAGCCGCAAGAUAUACCAUAUUUUUGGACUUUAAUUUGGUUUGUGGUUGUGACGGGGCGGAAACCUGUUUUAGAUUGAUGAAUGAUUGUUGAAGUCUUUACAACUACUUAUGACUGUGCAUGCUGAGGUUUGGACAUUUUAAACUGCAUUUUAACAAGUUGAAAAUUUUGGUUAAGUCUGUUUUUUAGGGGAGACUCUGCCGAAAUUUCAACAGAAAGUCUCGACCGUCUCCUCCUUUGAUUUGGAAGAGAGAUUAGGAUGUUAACAAGUGGGCCCGGCAUCGGUUGGAUGUUGGAAAAACCACAGAAUUCGUCACAGAUUUCGAGGGAUUCGGGGCGGGUCCUGUCAUCUCCCCCUGAAAAGAAUGGGUCAUCGGAGCCAAGAAAUAAGCAAUAUUUUCAUACUUCAAGGUAAUGGGGAUACGUCAAUAAACAUAUCAUUUGCAAAGAGAAUUCAAGCACAAGUCACAAGAGAACCUGGCUCUGAUACCAAGUUAAACAAAGUUAGGCAAAUAUUCAGUUAUGCCCAUAUGUGUAUUCUUCUCCAAUGUAGAGGUAUUUAUGAAGAAGUAUAAAGAUGUGUUAACCCUAAAUAACAUAAAAAAUAGAACUAAAUUAUAAUAGAAAAUAAAUCUCAAUUAUAAUAAGACUAGCCAAAUAAAUAAGUAACCAAAUCAAAGUCCUAACUACAUAAGAAGUCGCCAACACUUCUCACUUCGAAGAGUUCUUUCCUAUAUACACGUUCAGGUGCUAUUGCACCAGUGCUCCUGACAAACUGAACAAAAAACACCAAAUAAUUCACAUGCACAUCAAGACAAAAGCACUCAAAAGCAGAAAGCUUAAAAUAAAGCCAAAAGGUGCACUCGUCAAGGGAAUCACAGAAAAUUUGAAAUAAAGCCAAAUUCCCUCAUAUCCAAAACAACCAACCUCUCUUCAAAGUAAAAUGGAUGAAAGAAAUAUAGAUUACAAGAGGAAGCCAAACUACAAUAAUAUCAUAGAAAAGGAAAACAACAAGCAUAUCAGCAUCAGAUAGGAAUUUGGAACCAGAGCCACUUCACUCUUGAGACACAGGCAUUCAUUUAAAUGGCACUGAAAAAAGAACUUGGACUGGGAGGGGUUGGGAUGUCCACGGUCCCUUCCAGCAUCAGCAGAACUUUCUUCAUAGAGGGACGGAGCGAUGGCUCAUCCUGGAUGCACCAAAGUCCCACUUUAAUCAUCCUUUCAAAUUGCCUUCUCUCUAUCUCUUCAUCACCCGCUAAUUUGCCAAGUUCACCCUUCUCAAAACAAUGGGAGGCCAAUUCAUCCAAAAUAGCCUCCUCCUCAGGAAGACUCCAAUCCACGUUCCUUCGACAACAUAUGAUCUCCAACAGCACAAUUCCGAAGCUGUAAACAUCUGCUUUAACCGUUAUCGGCAUUUUCCUAUGCCACUCCGGUGCAACGUACCCCUUGGUUCCUCUGAUUCCAGUAGUGGUUCUAGUUUGGUCUGCCUUAAGCAGCUUUGCCAAUCCAAAGUCGGAGAUUUUCGGGCACAUGAACUCAUCUAGUAGUAUAUUUUGAGGCUUUAUGUCACAAUGGAUGAUCUGUGUAUCACACUCUUCAUGGAGAUAAAGAAACCCCCGCGCUAUGUUACGAGCAAUGCCCAUUCUUUCUUCCCAAAAUGGUUGCCUUUCACGGGUGAAGAGCACAUCUGCAAGUGAGCCGUUGCUCAUGUACUCAUACACCAAAAGCUUUUUAGCUCCGUCAAGGCAAUACCCAAGUAAACGGACUAGAUUCUUGUGAUGGGUUCUCCCAAUAACUCUGAUCUCAGUCUGAAAUUCUGUUUCCCCUUCAGCUGCAACUUUCUCUAGUCUUUUGACAGCAACUGGUUUUUGGCUACCCAAAAUCAGCCCUUUAUAAACUGUUGACGAGGCUCCUCUACCAAGCUCUUCCUUGAAAUUAUUAGUCAUCUUUUCUAGCUCUUCAUAAGCAUAUCGUCGCAGUGCCACACUCUCAUUCAAUUCAAGGUCACCAUUCACAGCUCUCAUUCUUUUAUAUGCCCAGACAUUGUGUUUCCACAACACAAUCACGGAAAUCACCAACAAAAUGGAUCCAAAAGCAGUAAAUGAAAGACCAAUAAUCAGGAUGUCAGUUCUACCUUUUUUCUUGCUUCCUGGUUGAACAAUUCUAGGUUCUGUACCUGGUUUUGUAGGUACACCUACCUUGAUGAGAGCUAUGUUUGAAGUUCCGAUGUCUCUUCUACCAUAUCUCAAAGGAAGCCUCUGCUUUCUGCAGUUUGUACCGUCAAAAAGCGCAGCUUCACAGUUACAAUCCUCCAGACAGCCUUGUAUGCAAGCGUCUUUGUCAGAUAAUCUCGAACUCAUAUACGAAACAUCUUCCCAUGUUGUGCUUUCCAGCUCUUCCAUGGUGUAAGUGAAAUUCUCAUUCCUGUUUUUGCACGCAUCCGCAACAAAAUUCCUCUCGCACCCGGAUGUCUGAUUUCCCUGGCUGACAGAUUCGAAUCCCGGAAGACAUCUACAGUCAGCCUGUAGAUCAAUUGAGACACAAUAGCUAUUCAAUCCGCAUAGGCCUUUAGGGACACACUCAUCCUUGGAAGACUCCCACUCAACUAACCAAGUUGCACUCUUUUUCAAAUCAUGUGAAUACAAACGAAAUAUCCCACCUACAUCAAUUCUCAUAAGAUAAAGUUUUCCUUCAUCAGUAGGAAGACCUCCAUCUGUUAUAUUCCGAAUAUUCGAACCAUUCCUGUUGAGCAAGUAGAGAUGGCCAUCAGCACCAAAAUUAAGUGUCACAUUCUCUCCCUCACCAUCAGUGAAAGAUGAAUAAAAAGAAUAAACACUGGUGUCUGGAGUAUCUACAGGGUAUUGAACAAGGUUUCCAUCAUUUUGCAUUUUGAGACGGAAAAUCCCCGUUGAGUGAUCAGCUUCUGAUUUCGCAGAGAAAAGUUCGUCUCCUGAUAAAAGGCGUUGACUGGGCAAAAGGGUGUCGGUUGGAUGAUCAAAGCUCUGCCAUACUAUUUCCCGACCAGAAUUGUACAGUACGAAAUUACCCGAAUCAAGCAUGGAAGCAUAAGAAGCAGGGCCAGAAGAUUUUGCCAAGUAAUUUUGGCCUUCUGCUGUUGGCAAGGCAAGGCCGUCACUUGUGAAGAGCAAGGUGGCAUUGUUGGAGACUGGUGGAUCAUCUCGAUUCGCAGUCCACACGACCGUCUCUUCGGGAAUUCCAGCAAGAAAUAUCCCAACAGCAUAGCCAUUGCCUUGCCUGUAAAAUCCAAAGGCAUAUAGACCAGAACGUGACAGCCAUGUGGAGUUGGUGGUUGGUGUUAAUGAAGAGCCCCGGCUUAUAUUCGACUGCAUCUGUUGUGCUUCAGCAGCAACAAAUGCCAAGGCAAGAAGAAGGCAUGCCAUGCAAGCCAUCGAAAAAUGAUCUCAGUGUAACUUGUCUUCCUCUUCCUUUGUUUUUUUUUCCUUCUGCAGCACUCCAGAAAAUUGGUUCCAAUGCAGUAUGAAGUUCUAAUUCUGAAUUUCUGUUUAAUUUAAGGUGGAUUGUGUAAAUGAAUUCUUACGUGUUUCUUCUCUCUCUGUGGAGUAGUUUUCCACCCAUAUGUAAUUCACUUUACCAUAAGAAGAUUCAAAGGAGAGAUACAAUAAGUCCUAGUCCGGUCGAAUGCGUUGACGGAGACUUUUGGGUCCAUGUAAUUAACUAGACACAGACUGAGACUUCGUUGUCAACAUGAAUUUUCAGAACCGAUAUUAUGAUCUGAAGAAUUAAUUUUAUAAUUAAGUCAGCAAAUUGACAUCACUUACGUGUCCAAAAGAUGCACCAAAUUUUCCAUUAAAUUUUUUGUUCAAAUUCUUUAUUGACUUUAUCGUCAGAUUGUUUAACUUUCUCCUAAAUUUGUCGCUAAUGGUAGGUCCCAGAAUUUGUGAACUUGACUUUGUAGACUUUUCCAAUCUGAUGUAAGGAAAACUAGUCAAGUCGUUUUCUUCUUUAUGGACAAUGAAUCGGUCCAAAUCAAACCAUUCAGGUGCAUUUUUCUUCUUUCAUUUUAGGGUUUUUUACGGUUUGCCCCCUGAAUUAUUUGUAUAUUCUCAAUUUAACUCCUUAACAAAUUUUUCGAUAAAUUAAAGACUUCAAUUGUUUUUAAAUCGCCAAUUGAGGACCUUUUUAACAAUUUUUUGUCAAAAUUAAGGAUAAAUUCGUCAUUUAAAAUAAUUAGCAUUUAAAAUAAGAGAUAUUUAGUGAUAUACCCAUUUCCAGUACUAAUAUUAUAAAUAAACCCUACACAAUUGAAUUUCUAUAAACAAACCCAAAAAAUGACAGCUGGCCUUAUUGAAUUUAAUAUUAAUUAUUAAAUUACUUUGAUGCCCUAUUAAGUGUUUUGGAUAUUUUUAUGAGAUUUUGGAGUUGGACUUGUUUUAAGAAAUUGAUGGCAGUUUUGUAAUUUAUAAGAAGUUAAAAGCUUUUUUGUUAUGUUGUAAAUGGGUUUUGGGUGUGUUUCUAAAGUCCAUUUCAUAUGGGGUAUUUUUAUAAUUUGGGCCUCCAUAUUGGGUAUAAUAGUGAAUCUCCCUUAAAAUAAUCGACUCAACCUCGACCUCCCCCUUCCCUUCCCCAUCCUUCCCCUUCUGUCUCCCCCCUCUUCCUCGCCUUCCCCUCCUUCCUCUUCCAUCUUCCCCACCCUCCACCUUUGAUCUCUCUGUCCUUACACUCCCCUUCCCCCGCUCCCAAUACCAGACCCAGCCGCCCAAAUCUCUCCACUCCACUCCCCGAAUUCGGUGGCUUCUAUCCAAUUCAUGGAGAACCCAAAAACCGACGAGGUCUCAAGAUUAGGCUAAACCCAAUUGAAAACGAGCCUUAUGCUUUGGAUGAUGGGUCUAUGGAGGCUGGGUUUGAAAAUCAAGAAAAGCCAGCAUCUUUCGCAAGCCAGCAUAAAGAAAAUCCAUUUUUCCUCUAUUGUUAACCUUUGUGUUGGGAUUAGACAAGCCAAGAAAGGAUUAGAUCCGGAAUCUCCAUUGCUUUAGGAUUCGAGAGCAACCAUAAAGCAGCCACGACCUCUUCCCUUCUUAGUCUCUCUUCGACACAACGCAGCCCCAGCCCUCGACGUCGUCGCAUAACACCACUUCUAAUUUGGAUUAAUCUUAAUUUUCAGCAAAAUUACGAAUUUGGCCUUAAUCUAACGGAAAAGUGGAUGGUGUUCUUAAGAAUCUGACAGUAGGCCCUCAAUAGGUGGUUUUAAAAUAAUUGCAGUUCUUAAUUUACCAAAAAACUUAUUUAGGGCAUAAAUUAACAAUAUAAAAAUAGUUUGGGGGGUAAAACUCCAGAAAACCCUUGGUUUUAAUACCCUACUACGUAAUUUUCACGGAAGAAGAUAAGCAAAGGCAUCAUCAAAAAAGAAACUUUACAAUCUCAUUCAACAUGGCUAUUGACCAGUUUAGACCAGUUUAGCCUUUAGAAGUCCUUGCUUUGUACUGAUGGCUUCUAGUUCCAAAACCAUCUCAUACGUUAUACUAAUGGAACCUGCUACUCAAACAUUCCUAGAGUCCCUUCUUUUAACCCAAAAAAAAAAAAAAUACAUACAUUCCUUGAGUCAUUAUGAAUAACAAAUCAGUAGCAGCGUGACCAUAUUACAGACAUGCCUCAGCAUUUAGUUUAAAAUAAUCUAAACUAGAUGGUUUCCAUACAAUUCUUGUACAAGAAGAAUGUUAUCGUUUUUUCACACCAGUUCCAACUUUUUUUUUCCCCCCCAAAAUGAAAGGGAGCUAAAGAGGACCAAUAAGAACAAAUCCAAUGUACUAAAUUUAUAUUAACUAAGGUGGGGAACGUAAGAAUGUGCCUUACCUGUUGAGAAAAAGUACAAUCACAAAAAGUUAGGAGAGACUUUCUGGAUCAGUAUUACCGAGGGAAGACCCAGAAUAGACUGAUGAUGAGCAAACGUGCCCGAUCUUUAAGUUUUUUCAGAAGGAAUGAUGAUGCAAAACCUAGAUUUUAUCAUUUGAGGAGGAAACUUAAGUUUCCAAAUAUUAUAGAAAUAAGAGGCUAAGUGCACUGCAUUCAUGCUUGUUUACGAGACGAAGGAAAAGAUAGAACAUUUGUUACAAGGGGGAAGAAAUAUAAGUAGUUCUAUGAACACAAUUCAUUAUUCAUAUAAUGUAAUGUACUCGUUGUGGUAUAAGUGUAUUAAAAGAUGCAUUUAUAAACAAGUAGUCAUUUGUGUGUAGACAGCGCAAAUAAUGACAGUUUUGAAGUACCUGGAACAUCAACAAGACAAUUUCCAAUAAACACAAGCGACUCAGUUAGCUGCUACAGUACAAUCAAGCUUCACGUCUCAUUCAAGGAUCAAAUUCAUCUCUCACUCUAUUAGGUGGACUUCGAAGCUUUGUCCAGGAUGUCAAAAACACUUUGUAGAGUCAUCUCCUCCACAAUAACAACCUUGUCUCUUGAUUUGGAGCCAGAACCAAUAGAAACCUGCCUUCUUUUUACCCCUAAAACCUGUAAUUUGGGAAGAAUGAGAAUUUGAAGUUUCCAAGCAUAAACAUUAAUGGUUGAGCAGACCAAAUAAACUCAGGGGUUAAGACCUCAAAACAAAAUUGAUAAAUUAGGUGCAUGCAACUCAAAACCAUUUGGCAAUGGGUGUAGAGGCCUUAGGAUUUCUAAAGUAAGAUGCACGGCUUAGAAUGCCCAAUAUGAAACUUUAUAUUCUUGCUAAAAAAUUAUUAGAAAACUAUGCUACAUUUCACUCAUGAUAAUACAAAUUAGACCCUCAAAAGUAUAGGCCUCAUUCUGUAAAGUGAAAUUAAUCUUCCCUUCGAACUUUCUCAAGAAUCUGUUCUGUCACAAAUCCUUUGCCAACCCUGCCACAAAGCUACUGAGCCACCUUAUCUUGCCAACUUAUAAACAAAUGAUCGGUACAGAAGUAUAUUUUCAUGUAUAUGUGUGUGCACGACUUUAGAAUGUAUUUGAAUGUAGAAGUUCAACAUACUUAAAGUCAUAAAUGAGUAACUGAAAAAUGAUAACAAAAAUAUAUCUCUAGAAACAAUACCAGCUGAAGUAUAUAAUCUACCCAAAAUGCAAAUCAGUGUUUGACCAAAUAAUCUAUCAAAUCUAUUCUUUCUUACUAGCUAACUGCAGUGUAGAUAGGAUGGACGGGUGGUAUGAAGUGGUCCAGGAAUAGACAUUUUAUGCUUGGGGGAGAAAGAAGAAAUCCACCCUUCACACCCUGCACUGUGGCUAUUCUUGGCCACAUCACACAUCAUCUUGAAAUGAAUAAAUUAGACAUAAGGAAACCUUAGAAGAGCUCAUUUCCACCCCUUGCGCCUUUCCACAAGCUCAUGCCAUGAGUAAGUUUGUUUCACCAUUUCAGAUCACCACUUCACCUCACUUUUCUCUAGUUUGGCUCAAUAUUUCUCUCCUUUGCAAGACCAAAUCACUUCACAAUCAAAGGUUGGUUAAAGCAACGACAAUCUCAACCAAAAAGAUACAAACAAAACAUCACUUCCCCAACAAAGCUCGGUUAGAGCAACAGCAUUAGACCAACAAAUUACAAAUUAAAGCAUCACUUCCCCAAUUGAAAUUAGCAUAAGCAAUCACAAUGAAUGUUAGGAUCUUUCAAGAACCACACAAUCUUCUUAAGACACAGCACACUAAUCACAAAAACCCGAAACAAGUAAAUGCAACUCCAAGUCUCCAACCCACUAACAAUAAUAGGAUGAUGCACCAAUCCGUAUAAAAAAGCUCAAAAAACAAAAAAAAAAACAAAAAAAACAAAAAAAGACAAAAAAGGUUGAAAAGGGAUAACCCAAAAAGAAACAGGACCAACCGAGCUGAUGUAGUCGAGUAGGGCUGCAUUAGCUUCCCCGUCCUUCGCAGGCGCGUCUAUUUGCACCCCCAACGCCUCAUCACUGAAAUCUUCAUUUCAAAAAAAUAGAAAAUUAUAUUCUAUAAAUACACAGACCUAUACAUAUAAAAAUAGAGAGAGAAAGAGAAGGACCAGUGAUGGAGGCGAUUUUGGAACCAGGCUUGGCGUGUAUGGUUAUGGCGACUGAGGAGGGAGGUAUGUACCGAAUAGAGGUUGGGAAAUUGUUGUUGGGGUUUACGGGCUGAGUUGACUCGGCCGGGUUGGCCUUGGCCUUGGCCUUGCCCUUCUUGGCUGGUGCCAUUUUUUUGUUUUUUGUUUUUGUUUUUGUUUUUCCUCUCUCUCUUCCCGCUUCAGAAGCAAGACUUCAUCGGCAGGGUUGGUCUCAGGGUUCUUGUUUGGAGAGUUAAAGGCCCACUAAAAACUUUUGACAUUUAAGGCCCAUUAAUAACUUUGGAGACAUAUAUGAGGAAUUUUUUGGUGCCCAUUUAUGAACAAAUGGAGGAGUAUUUUUAGAAUUUGUGAUGGUUUUUGGGUAGCAUUUGAUCUCGAUUGAUUAGUAUUACAAAUUUGACCUUCGGACACAAAUAUGGGGAAAUGAUCAAAAAGUCCUUAAAAUACAAGAUGCUUCUAAACCCGUCCUGCAUGCUUCCUGUUGGAAUUUUAAAAGGUUUUAAAAAUUUAACCGUUUUAUUUAUUUAAUUAUUUUGGUUGUUUUAUUUUAUUUAUUGUGGGGGUUAUAAAUAUUUAAUAUUUAGGUUUUAUGUAAUGACCCAAACCUAAAAUUCAUAUUUAAUUAGUAAUUUAUUAUGCGGAAAGACAAUUUUGCCUUUGGAAUAAAUUAUGAACGAAAAGUUGACUUUUUGACCGAAAAGGAAUUUGACAAUUCCACAUACACCGUUGCGUAGAGCACGACGAAAUGAGUUCAUAGACAUAAAGUGAGCUCGAAUCGGAGUUUUAACGAAGAAAAUGCGAUUAAAUAUCACGAGGGGCAAAAUGGUAAUUAGAAAAAUCAGAUUUUUUUUAUAUAACCUCAGUUUCUCUCUCUCUCUCUCUCUCUCUCUCUCUCUCUCUCUCUCUCUCUCUCUCUCUCUCUCUCUCUCGUCGCGACUUUCCCCCCCUCCCCGACAGUUUUUUUUUCUUCGAUCGCCGUCGCCGCCACAGACCACCACCGGCCACGAGACCGGUCUUGUUCGAACCGUCAUCUCCUCCUCUCCUCGUUCCACCUGGUUUCCGUCGCCGUCAGCCACUCCAGCCGCCAGAAACUGCAGAAAAUCGAGCGGUGUGACCGGAAUUUCACGGCCGUCGUUCUCUCUCAUUUCUCAACCAAAUCGGACGAGCCAGGUAUGAAUUUUGACCCUCUCGAGCUGUUCUAGCUGCCUGUUGGGUAGGAAUUAAUCGGUUCUCAGUGUAGAUAAUGAAUUUUUGAAUUGGAAAUUCGGCCGGUUUACGGCCUCCUUGUUUGGCCACUUCCGGUCAGUUUUCGGGGUUGGUCCAAGAACAAAAGUGGUUCCAAAUAUGGUGUUAUACCUAGGGUAGGAGUUUGGAGCCUUGGUUUUGAGAUUUUCCGGCGAUGCGUAAUCGCUUUGGACACCCAUCGCUGCCGGCGCGUGCGGCGGUGCGUGGGCGAGGGUGGUGCAGUGACACUGUGUCUUGAUACGAUCCUUAGGUCGUCAUGAGCGCAUAGGAAUUCGCGGAUCUCAAUUUGGAUACCGUUUGAGCCUCGAACGGAUUUUCCAUAUUGUGCGAUUAUCGGGUUCAAUACUGUUGAGCCGUUGGAUCGUAAUCAAUUUUAGAUAUGUUAUUCUAGAUAAUUUUAGAAACGUGUAGGAUUCGACGGAUUGUGAAUCGGAGUCCCAGAUACUCCGAAAUUGCGAACCCUAGGGCUAGGGUUUAGAAAUUAUGCGAUUACAGGAUUGUGAUCGAUCCGACCGUCCGAUUGACACCAAUACCCUCGGGACAUGUGUCCUAAAUAUAUUGGACCUUCUAGCGGCAUCCGGAUCAUAUUGUGAGGUCAUGGACCCGUGGAGUUCCGGAUUGACUUUUUGGACUUUAGCGCUAUUUGAGUCCUAAGAUACCGCUAAACUACCCCACGUGGAAGGAAAGCUGUUAUGGCAUAGGGAUCACUUUAAAUUGACGCACGUACUUUUAGGAGCCGGGUGUAGGGUUUUUAAUUUAAUACUAUAUUGUAUUAAUAGAAUAUUAUGGUCAUUGAAUCAGGCACCCGGGCACCAGUUGACCCGUAGGAGGGACCUUCAAGAGGUCCAGCGAGCUCGGACUAUCAGUAAGUGGACUCUUUGUUUUAAUAAAUGAAUUUAAGCAGUUUAGUUUCAGUUAUAAGUUGUUUUAUUCUGUUAAAUAUUUUAUGUUGCACGCUGCCGAGUGAAAUCUCCUUUAAAGAAUAUAGGAACAGAUAUUCUCGUUCAUUAUCAGAUAAAUGGAAGCAGAAUUUUAAAGGUUAUAGAAAGUUAAUUAUUCAUAAGAUUUUCUUCAGAAACUUUAUAUUUUCUUAAACCACCUUGUACCCAGAUAUUAAAUGUUGCCUUCGGAUUAUAUUUGUUGCCUUCGGUUUAGUCAGCAUGCUUGACAGUUGCCCCACGAUUUCCUUGGUACUCGAACUCAUGUGGAGCGAGUAAUGCGGAUAAAGGUGGACUACGGUCCCCUGAAUCCUGCGAGUUGCGGCUCGGACUGACUUCGUGUCACUGAGACCUGCGAGUAUGUGUCACCCAUGGUGAUAUAAGGAAUUGACGGAUAUAAAGAAUUGACGGAAAUAAGGGUACACCUAGGUGAUAGUUUAAACUGUUUUCAAAUGUAUAUAAUUAUAUACAUGCAUUGGUUUCAGAAAUAAAGAAAAUAAGCUAGUUUGUAUAACUGUUUUUACAGUGGGGUUAGUAUGUUCUUAUACUAUUUUCUCAACUUUGUUUUUGGGUCCACUCACCCUUAUUGUUGUUUUGCGCCCCCAGGCAGUAGACGUGCACAGGAAUCCACCACCGGGCCACUUCCCAUCUUCCGCGCCUUUCUUCUCAUGUAGGAUUUUGUUUGUAAACGGAUUCACUCAUUUGUAAAUUCUUAGUAGUUGCUCUGAUGUUUUGCCCUAGACUGAGAUUUGAACUGUUGGAAUGUAUAUAUACGUAUGCUGGCAGUUGGUUGUAUAUAUGUAUACUUGUUUGGCAGGUGAAAAUAUUUUGGUAUUGAGCCAAUUACAAGGGAAACUCUGCCGAUUUUUCAGUAGAAGUCAACCUUGUUAUUUUAUCAUGUUUUGUGUUGAGGGGCAAAUAGGUCAUUUGUGCCCGACAUUCGCAGGUGUCGAACACGCACAGGGUCUUGUUCGGAUUCCAAAGCGGAAUUUGGAUCGGGUCCUGUCAUUUUAUUUUUGGUUGGUGAAUGCCUUAAUUUUUUGAUUGGUGAACUUUUAUGGUUAGUGAAGGUUACAUAUUUUUGGAUGCCUAUAAAAGGCCACUCCUCCUUCACAUUUGAAAUACACACAAUAACACACAAUACAUUAACAUUCUAAUUCUCUCAUUGUCUACUUUUACAUAUAUUCUCUACUUUAUAUUAUUAUUAUUUUGGGCAAUGGUUAUGUGACUUGGAUGCCUAUAUCUGUCUGUGAACGUGCUCAUAGCGGAUCUUGAGUUUGUGUACAAGGGAUCGUAUCUUGGAGUCUUGUAGACCGUCAGUACCUGCACGUAGGGAGGCUACAAAGGCUUUAGGACAGUGUCUUGCUUCACCGUACCAAACUCACAUUUUUACUUAUUAUUUAUUUUCCUUUUACUUACCUAUUAUUUUGUUUUCUUCAAUUUCAUUAUACCUUCAAAGCUUUCCAAUUUGUUUAUAUGUUAUUUAUAAUAUAAAUAUUUUGUAUUUGGCUUUACUAAAAGAGGAAAACUAUUAUUUUUUAUAACACUUCCAAAUAAAAAGACUUGCAAGUCUUGCUCCUUUCACUCCACCAAAGAUAAGGCAUUUUUGUAGUGUGUAUAUGAAAUUGCUUAUUUAUUUGUGUGCAUGUGAUGUGUAAGUGGUAUGCAUGUGAUGUGACGCGCAUAUAAUAUGUAAAUAGAACUGUCGGAAGGGAAACAAUAUUGUAUAUAAGGGAGAAAUCCCCAAAGUGAGAGCAUUAGGAUACCAAAAAAUAAAUAAAUAAAUCAGUGGUAGCGCAGCAUGGAAGAGAAAUUGGCAAGAUGGGGAAUGUAAUAACUCAAACUUUAAUUAAUAUUUAACUAUUAAACUAUUAAGAGGAAAUGACACUUUUGCCCUUAGAAUAUUCUAGUAAAGGAAAAGUUGACUUUUUGCCUGAGAAAGAAUUUGCCUAUUCUACUUGCAUCGUUGCGUAGAGCGCGACGAAACGAGUCCGUAGACACGAAGUGGACUCGAAUCGAAGUUGUAACGAAAAAAAUACGGUCAAAAUACUUAGAAGGGCAAAACGGUAAUUUUGAAAUCAGAAUUUAAAAAAAAAAAAUCUGACUCUCUCUCUCUUCCCUCACUCUUCUUCCUCAUACCACAGCCCGCGCUGCCCACCCUCCCCCGCGUUUUUUUUUUCUCUAACCCGUCACCUUCAAACCUCCAUAACCACCGCCACACUCCACUCCAACCGACGGGACCGGACCCAAUCGAACCACCGCCGCUUCCUCUUCCUUUCCCGACCGGUCCCUGCCCUUGGAACCGCUGUUUUUCGCCGAAAAAAUCUCGGAAUCGCGCCGGAGUUGACAGAACUUUCAAGCUUUUGUUCUCCUUCAUCCGGCCACCAAAUCGGACGAGUGAGGUAUGGUUUUCUAGCUAUUUUCCAUGCUCUAGCUGCUGGUUGGGUAGGAUUCCAGAAAUUCCAAGCAUAGAUCGUUCGAUUUUCCAAUCUAGGUUUCAGCUGAUUUUGAAAGUGUGAUUCCGGCCAUUUCCGGCCACUUUUUGGGAUAGGUCCAAGAACAAAAGUGGUUCCAAAAUGGGUGUUUUACCUAAGUUAGGAGUUUGGGCCGGCGGUUUGGAGUUUCUGACCGCCAGGAAUUUCUCAAGCCACCCACGCGUUGCCGCGCAUGUGGCGGCGCGUGGGCAGUUUGGUGGGGACCACACUCAGUCCUAAAAUGAUCCUUGUGUUGUCACGAGCGCGUAGGAAUUUGCGAAUCUUAAUUUGGAUAAUGUUUGAACCCUGAACGGAUUUCGCAUCUUGUGUGAUUUCCGGGUUCAAUGGGUUUGAACCUUUGUUCGUGUGUUUGUGACCAAACCAACUGUCCGUUUGAGACCAAACUGUUGGGACUUGUGUCCUAGGUUUAACGGAAUGUUAAUGUGGGCAUAGGAGUAACUUUAAUUGGAUGCACGCACUUCUAGGAGUUGGGGGUUAGGGUUUUAUUUAAAUAUUUAUAUAGAGCAAUUUUAUUAAUAUAUAUUAUUAUGAUAAUUGAAUCAGGCACCCGGGCACCAGUUGACCCGCAGGAGGGACCUUCAAGAAGUCCAGCGAGCUCGGACCAGUUGUGAGUGGACUUUUCUUUUAUAAAUGAUUUUAUGCCAAUGAGUUUCAUUAUUUGAUCUUGAAUAAGUUUUAUUGAUUAUGAUUUUCCUAGCAUGAUUUGUUGAAGUUAAAUAUCUUUAUUUAUAUGCUGCCUAGUUGAAAAUGCUAAAAAGAUAUGAAAAGUAAAGAUUGAGAUAUAUAUCAGAUAAAAUGGCAGCAGAGUUCUAGAUUUAACAAAAAUUCAGUUAUUCAUCAGACCUUUCAGAAAUUUUAUAUUUUCUUAAGCCACCUUAGGGACCCAGUUAUAGAAACAGGUUGCCUUCGGUCUAUGUUGCCUUCAGAUAUGACGAUGUCCAGGGACAUCCAGGUUGCCUUCAGUUCUGUCAGCACGCUUGACAUCUGCCUCAUGAGUUUCGAGGACGCCCGGACCGUGGGAGCCAGGAAUGCGGAUCAGGCUAACUACGGUCCCCUGAAUCCUGCCAGUUUGCGGCUCGGGUUGACUUUGUGUCACCGAGACCUACCAGGGAAAUUGACGAAUUAUCAGGAAUUGACGGAUAUCAGGAAUUGACAGAAUUUAAGGGGUACACCUAGGUGGUAGUUUUAAACUGAUUUCAGUGCUUUUAAGAGUUUAAAAAUGAUAUGAGUAUGCUUGACAUAUACUUAUAUAUAUAUAUAUAUGUAUAUGAGUGCAUUGAUUUCAGUAUUUAUAUGAUUAAAAGAAUGAAUUAGUUUUGUAUAACUGUUUUUAUAGUGGGGUUAGUAUGUCCUUAUGCUAUUUUUCUUAAAACUUUGUUUUUGGGUCCACUUACCUUUUAAAUGUUUUGCGCCCCCAGGCCGUAGACGUGCAUCUGAAAGCCACCACAGGGCAGUUUCCGCUUCUUGCAUCUCGUAAGCUUAGUGUAGGGUCCUUGACCCUCCAAAUGUUGUUCUUAUAAAUUAACCUGUAUAGAUGCUCUGAUAUUGCCCCUGGGCUCAAACUUUACUGUUGAUUGUAUAUAUUUGCAUGUUGGAAGUUGGGUUGUAUAUAUAUGCUUGUCUUGACAGGUGAAAUUUUUGGGAUUGGACAAAUUACAGGGGAGACUCUGCCGAAUUUUCGGUAAAAGUCAAGGCUAAAAUGAAAUUAAGUUUGUAACCAGAAGGGCAACCAGGUCAUUUGUGCUCGGCACUUGCCAGGUGUCGAUCACGAACAGGGUUCAGCUUGGAUUCCAAAGGAGAAUUUGGGUCGGAUUUUGUCAGGAAAGAGAUAUCGACAUUGGAGUCAAUACAACAUAAGUGAAACCCUAAAUUUUCAAGCUGUGGGGGAUCUCAUUUCUUUUUUUUUUCUUUUUUUUUUUGGGUCAAAUAACUUGGGGUGUACUUGGGCAGUGGAGUUAUGAGUUUUGUGGUUCAAGAAACGUUACAAAAUUAACCACUCUCUUGUAUUUUGUGUGUAUCGCUCACGUAUCUAGCCAUUUCCCUUGCACACCCCCUUCGCUCACAUAUUGUACGUACCUAAGCAUAUGCCAAAUAUCCACGUAUAUAACCCUGUGUAUCAAACCCUAGUAUCCAUGCUUCAUAGGUGGUAACAAUAAUUUUUUGAAAGAAUAGUAGAGUGUGACUUAAAGCUUCUCUUUGAUUAUUUUCUUCUUAAAUGUGAUAUUCUUUAGUGAAUGCCAAUUACAUGAGGGACACAUUGUGACACGCAAAUGUUUCUCCUUUAUUUUAGUCUCUUCUAGCCUUUCUUGAUUGAUUGAUAAGUCUUCCCCCCCGUCUUCGUAACACCCACCCACCCCAUGCUCCAAAGUAAUUCUUCUGCUUUUCAUUUUAUGACCAUAUGCAUAUUCUUUACCGGCAAGUCUUCCUAUAGAAUUUUAUACGCCAUUUAGACUUCAAAUUACAUAACUUAUUCCCGUGGACUAUAAAGUCUUCCUUUUCUAUUCCCUCAAAGACUCCCAUGCGUUGGUUUUUUUUAUUUUUUGGAACGAAAGGAAUGAAACUUCAUUUCCAAAACAAAGAUACAAAAUACAAGGGAGCCCAAUAACAACAAAAAAAAAAAAAAACAGGGGCUCAAACAUAACAAAACAAAGCCCAAUCUAAAAUAUCAAAAUAGGAGGUCCAAAACAACAAAAACCCACAAAAUAUAUAAACCCUAACACCUAAUCCUAAACAAAACAAGCUGUCGCCACCACCAGAAAAGCUGUUGAUGCCACAAGAAGAGCAAGGUCCAUGGGAACCAAGAGAGGAGAUCUGAAGAGUGUGGAUUUGGGGGAGCAAGCCACCAAGCAUCAUACUCAAGCGAUCUAUCAAGUAGUAGUAAAAAAUGACCAUAGAUAAACAGAGCCUACAAGCACAAAUCCAAGUCUUAGAUCUGAGAAAGGCGCAAACCAAGUAAAUUUUAGGGAUAGAGGUCAUUUGGGUUUGAGAUUUGAUGGGAGGAGAGACAUGGGUAGAUGGAGUUGUGGAGAGGUGAGAGGAAAGGGAGAUGAGGGAGAAGUGAUGGGCCAAAGGGAGAGGAAUUUCAAAUCUCAUGCAUGCCUUUCUUGGUUAGACCAUCAAAUUUCUAACAAGUCUUUAUGUUAGAACAUGAAGCGGUACAUGAUAUGAACUCAUAGAAAUCAUUACGUUCAUGCAUUGUAGAAAAUUGAGAAACCAAGUGUACGUGAAAAAGUGAGAAAUGUGAAAAUUUCCGCAAAGAGAAAACUUGUCAUCUGCCAACUACUAAUCAAUCAACACCAAUCUCCUGCCCAUUAUUAAUUGGCCCAACACGAGCAUGGCUUGACUCCUUAAAAAUUAAGGAACAACUCCUCCUAAAAACAAAUGGGGUUUUGACAUUUGUCAAAUUUCCUUUAACCACCAAAACUUCUAGCCCAUAGUCUAAUAUCAAUUGUUCAGAACUCAUGGGUAGAACUUGCCCUAGAAAACCAACUUAUAAGGGAAGGAUUCUCAUGAGCUUUUAAACUACUCUAGUAUAUGCUAUUUUUGUAAUGUGGGAUCUUGAGUCCUAACAAACAAUUCUAUGCAAUUCAAAUUCAACGGCACCCAACAAUUAUCCAGCAGAGAACCAAAAUGCUUGACAAACUAGAUUGAGAACAUUUUGGAAACCUUGGCUUAGUAAUUAGGUAUCGUCCAUUCUGGUUAGAGAUGAUGACCAAAGCUAACCAAUGGCGGAGGCACGUAGGGACCAGAGGGGUCCCAUGCCCUUUCUCAACUCUCUCUCUCUCUCUCUCUCUCUCUCUCUCCACCAUUUCACUUUCCUUUUUUUUUUUUUCUCUCUUUCUCUCUCUUUGUAAAUGAUUUAAUGUUCUGUUUAUGAAUUGAAUUGAAUAUUGAAAGAGGGUACAAGGGUUUUAUAUAUACAACAAUUAGAACUUGAUGUGUAAAAUAUGUAAUUUAAAUGCUUAUUUCUUGAUUUUUACUUUAGGGGAUAUUGGUUCUUAAAAAUUAUACACGAGAACUUUGCAGUGUUUAUGCUCUCAUUCCCUUCAGUUUUAUAUUUUGCAAUAGGCCCCCUCUAACAUAGGGUGGCAACGGGCCGGGUAGGGGUUGGGUAUGACAAUACCAUCCCCGCCCCCGCUUCCCAUCACUGGCCCCAUUCCCAGUUAAGAAUUUUUGGGGAAUCCUCAUCCUCGUCCCUGUCAGAAGGAUAUCCCCCAUCCCCACCCCAAAUCCCCAAUUCUUGAGCUGAGAUCAACACAACCAAAUCAUACUCCAAACCCCAAUUUUCCAAAGUGGUAAUUAGGAAAAAAAAGAAGAAGAAGGUAAACAAACACAGGAACAAAAGAGAGAAGAGAAGUGAACAUUGCAACUCAUUCAAUAUAUAGACAUCUAAAUCCAAUGACAACAGAGGGUGAGUAUAUAUUUCUUUUUUGUACUAUUAAUUAGUUGAAUUGAUGAACUCACAAAUAACAACUAAUUUGUUGGCGUGACUUGUGGAUAUUGACUUACUUUCCUUACACACCAAGAAUUCCUAUUAUAAUUGUAAUUGAUUUACUUUAAUUCCUGAUUUCCUACUGUAAAUGGAUUUAGGAAUUUAUUAUUUACUUGCCCAUUCAGGUUUUGUUGUAUUAUAAAUAUGACCUCCUACAAGAAGAAGAAUACACAGAAAAUUCCCACAAACAAAUAUUCUCUCAUAGUUCUCAUAUUUUAGCAUGGUAUCAGAGCGGCGAUCUUGGGAUUGUUGACUCUAGUUUCUAAACCCUAGCCGCCACCAUGGGGGAGGAUGACUCUUCUAAUCCUCAUGGCGGUAGCACCACUACUUCCUCCUCUCCUUCUCAACCAACCAUAGCCGAGUUGAGUGCCCAAGUGGCUCAACUAAUGCAGAUGCAGACUCAGACCUCGAAAUUGAUCCUAAAUCAGGAUCCUACAAAGACGACCCCGACCUCGACUCAGACGACGACCCCAACCUCGAAUCAGACGACGACCUUGAACCCGAAUCAGACAACGAUUCCGACGACAAUUACCUAUGAAGCUUCCGCUGCACAGAUUGGCAUAAAGUUGGAUGGCACCAACUAUGCCCUAUGGUCCCAAGUUGUAGAGUUGUAUAUCUUCAGCAAAGACAAAUUGGGAUAUAUUAAUGGCGAUCUUCCACAACCUCCUUCGACCGCUCCAACGUUUCCUCGCUGGCGCACCGAGAACUCUAUUGUGAAGGGAUGACUCAUCAAUUCUCUGGAGCAGAGCUUGAUUGGCAAUUUCAUUCGUUUUUCGACAGCAAAAGCAGUGUGAUGCAAUUGCCACAACUUACUAUGAUGGCACUGACACCUCUCAGGUUUAUGAUCUGAAACGACGAGUCUCUCGUAUGCGACAAGCUGGUGGCUCCAUUAAAACCUAUUACAAUACUCUUCAAAGCUUAUGGAGAGAAAUUGAUUUUCGUCGUCCAAAUAUGAUGGAGUAUGAAAGUGAUAUCAAGCGCUAUAAUGAUAUUUUGCAGGAAGAUCGAGUUUACAUAUUUUUGGAUGGCCUUGAUGAUCGUCUUGAUAAGGUCCGAAGUGAUGUUCUUGACAUGACUCCAUUCCCUACUGUUGACCAAGCUUAUGCCUAUGUUCGCCGUGAUGAUAGGUUCAUCCGAUCGAGCCACUGGUGCUGGCUUAGCAGCCAAGAGUGCACCUCGAUCAUGUCCCCCUACUCGUGUCGGACAGCCCCAUAAUUCCUCUACUGCGGCCCACCUUCAGAUCCAGUCAUAUGCUACUGCUGCUGGUGCGCCAUUUCCUAAAACCAUCCCACCUUCCCGUCCCAAGGCUCCGACUGAUGGAAGUGGUUGCACGCACUGUGGCAACCUCAAACAUACCCGUGACACCUGUUUUAAGCUAAAUGGUUAUCCUAAUUGGUGGGAGAACCUCCGCGCUGGCAAGCUCAGAGAAACUGCUAGUAAUUCCGGCCGUGCUGCUCUUGUCUCUACCGAACCCCCAUUAGCCUUGUUCCCGCAGGUAAAUCCUAUUAAUAGUCCCGCGCUUCCGGAUGUCUUAGGUAACUGUGGUUAUGCAUUUCAUACUUCUGAUCUACAAGAUACUACUGGUUGGAUAAUUGAUUCUGGCGCCACUGAUCAUAUGACCUUUGAUCCGAAUGAUUUUUUGCACACCACUACACCCCACCGCACAAGUAUUGCCAAUGCAAAUGGAGUUACCUAUCCUGUGACAGGGGCCGGCACUGUUGCCCUUUCACCUUCUCUAUCCCUUUCUAAUACACUACUCGUUCCAUCUUUGUCCAAUAAAUUAAUGUCCGUGAGUCAGGCAACUGAACAACUAAAUUGUUGUGCACUAAUUUAUCCCAAUUUUUGUUUACUACAGGAUAUUCUCACCAAGGAGAUCAUUGGGUGUGGUACUAAAAGAUAGGGGCUGUACUAUGUGGAUGACUUCAGUAUGGGACGUGCCAAUAGUGUGAAGCAUCCGUCUGAUGACAAGCACCGACAAAUUUAGCUCUAGCACCGACGUUUGGGGCAUCCAUCUUUUGGUUAUAUGAGACACUUAUUGCCCGAGUUGUUUUCUGUAUUUAAGGACUCAUAUUUUAUAUGUGACACUUGCAUUCUAGCAAAGAGUCAUAGAGCAUCCUAUCCUUUAAGUAUGAAUAAAAGUACUAUUCCUUUUGCUUUAAUUCAUUCUGAUGUUUGGGGACCCUCACCUAUUUCUACUCAUUCCGAUAUUCGUUGGUUUGUCACAUUCAUAGAUAAUUAUACACAGAUGACAUGGCUUUAUUUGAUGAAAAAUAAGAAUGAAGUGUUUUCCCUGUUCCAAUCCUUUCACAAACAGAUGGAAACACAGUUCAAUGCUCGAAUACAGAUUCUUCGCUCUGACAACAGUGGAGAAUUUGUUAAUCAUGAUUUUCAGACUUACUUCCAGACACAUGGCAUUAUUCAUGAGACAACUUGCCCCCAGACACCACAACAAAAUGGUGUUGCCGAACGGAAGAAUCGUCAUCUCCUUGAAACAGCCCGUGCUCUUAUCAUUGGUGGCCAUGUUUCUCGUCAUCACUGGGAUGAUGUUGUCGUCACUGUUGUCCAUCUUAUCAACUGCAUGCCAUCUGGGGUCUUGAACUUCAAAACUCCAUUACAAGUGCUCGCGCAACACGGGCCUCUGCCCUCUGUUUUGGUGCUUACGCCUCGCAUUUUUGGCUGUGUGGCCUUCGUUCAUCUCCACAAAAAUCAACAAAGCAAACUUAAUCCAUGUGCGCUUCGUUGUGUUUUUUUGGGUUAUGUCACUCAUCAGAAAGGCUACUGAUGUUAUCACCCUCCUACCCGGCGAACCUAUGUCACUUUGGAUGUCACCUUUCUGGAAUCAGAUAUGUUCUUCUAUGACCCAGCAUCCAAUUCUACUCUUCAGGGGGAGAUACCGAGUGAAGAGCUCAAUUGGAGUAGCUUGGAAAAUGAGGAUAUUCAUCUAUGCACGAAGAUUGCUCUUGCCCAAGAAACAAUAACAAUCGAUCGUCCCGAGUCUGGCACGUGCGAAUGCUCUCUGCCAAACAACGAUCGAUCGCCUAACCCUUGCGAAGAUGUUUUUGAUUCGAGUCAUACUCUUCCACACAACUGAGAACAACAAGAUGAAGACCCCCCUCUCAUUCAAUAGUACCAACGGACCAAUCUCCUGAGAAUAUCUUUGAGGUAAAUACUCCUACUAGACUUGUGCAUUUAGAGGAUAAAACUAUUGGAUAUCAAUUACCUUUCAGGCAAAAUCGUGGGAAGCCACCAAACCGUUAUUCACCUGAUAUUGGCAAGACAUCCAAGUAUCCAAUUGCAAAUCAUGUAUCCACUGAGAAGCUGUCUGAACCACUCAAGGCUUUUGUGCAUCAGUUGUCUGCUAUCCAUAUUCCAACCAAGGUCUCUGAAGCAUUGAAAGAUCCUAAGUGGGUCCAAGCUAUAAAAGAGGAGAUGAAAGCUCUUGAGAAAAAUCAGACUUGGACAUUGGAGACUAUACCACGAGGAAAAAAGACUAUCGGAUGUAGAUGGGUGUUUACUAUAAAACAUAAUGCAGAUGGAUCUAUCGACCGAUACAAGGCAAGACUUGUGGCAAAAGGGUACACACAGACCUAUGGUAUAGACUAUGAAGAAACUUUUGUACCAGUUGCAAAAUUAAACACAGUCAGAGUCUUAUUGUCCCUUGCAGCUAAUUUGGAUUGGCCACUACACCAGUUUGAUGUAAAGAAUGCUUUUUUACAUGGCGAACUCACGGAGGAGGUGUACAUGGACAUUCCUCCUGGAUAUAAUACUACUCAAACCGGAACAGUUUGCAGGUUACGAAAAGUAUUGUAUGGAUUGAAACAGUCACCACGUGCAUGGUUUGGACGGUUCACCAUGGCAAUGAAGAACAAUGGUUUCAAAUAGUGCAACUCAGAUCAUACUCUGUUCUUGAAACAUCGGAAAGGGAAGGUAACAGCAUUAAUAAUCUAUUUUGAUGAUAUGAUUAUUACUGGGAAUGAUAAACAGGAAAUAUCACAGCUACAAGACUAUUUGGCUACUGAGUUUGAGAUGAAGGAUCUAGGUAGACUCAAGUAUUUCUUGGGAAUUGAGGUGGCUCGAUCGCAGCAAGGCAUAUUUCUCUCUCAAAGGAAAUAUGUCUUGGACUUGUUGACGGACAUAGGAAUGCUAGAUUGUAAACCUACGGACACUCCUAUUGUUUAGAAUCAUCAUCUUGGAGAAUAUCCGGAUCAAGUUCCAACUAACAAAGAAAGAUACCAAAGGUUAGUAGGAAGAUUGAUCUAUUUGUCACAAACUCGACCAGACAUUGCUUAUGCGGUGAGCGUUGUCAGUCAAUUUAUGCACUCUCCAAGUGAAGACCACAUGAAUGCAGUUCUUCGGAUACUUAGACAUUUGAAGUCUGCACCUGGAAAAGGACUUAUGUUCUCAAAGCAUGGUCAUCUAAAUAUUGAUGGUUAUUCAGAUGCAGAUUGGGCAGGUAAUGUAACAUAUAGAAAAUCCACAUCGGGUUACUUCACAUUCGUAGGAGGUAAUUUGGUGACAUGGAGGAGCAAGAAACAGAAUGUAGUAGCUUUAUCCAGUGCAGAAGCCGAGUUCAAAGGCAUGACUAAAGGGAUUUGUGAACUUCUUUGGUUAAGAAAGUUGCUUACUGAACUUGGGUAUAAACCUACAUCCACAAUGAAUCUCUUUUGUGACAACAAGGCUGCUAUAGCCAUUGCACAUAAUCCGAUUCAACAUGAUCGUACUAAACAUAUUGAGGUGGAUCGACACUUCAUCAAACAGAAGCUUGAGGCUAAAGUGUUUCAGUUUCCUUUUGUGAAAUCCGAGGAUCAAUUGGCGGAUAUUUUGACAAAGGCAAUUUCCAAUAAAGCAUUCCACAAUUCACUGGAUCAGUUGUGCAUUGGCGACAUCUAUGCACCAACGUGAGGGGGAGUGUUGGCGUGACUUGUGGAUAUUGACUUACUUUCCUUACACACCAAGAAUUCCUAUUUUAAUUGUAAUUGAUUUACUUUAAUUCCUGAUUUCCUACUGUAAAUGGAUUUAGGAAUUUAUUAUUUACUUGCCCAUUCAGGUUUUGUUGUAUUAUAAAUAUGACCUCCUACAAGGAGAAGAAUACACAGAAAAUUCCCACAAACAAAUAUUCUCUCAUAGUUCUUAUAUUUUAGCAAUUAACUUCUAUAUAGCCAAAAUUACUAAUUCUUUUCUAAGCUGAAACAUGAGGGUUUGUGGCUCUAUCAGAUUCAACCAAAAAGCAAAGGUAAAAGAUGACGAAGUUUGUGAGUGAUAGACAGAGAGAGAAGAAGUAGAGAUAAGAAGAGGUGAGGAGAGGAGGGGGUUUCUUUUUUAUUUAUAAAUUUUGAAUAAUGUUUAUAUUAUAUUAUAUAUGUAUUAAUUUAAAAUUAUUCUUAUAAAUAUCGAGCCAGGUUCGGGGAUGGGAUGGUAGGAAUGCUAAUACCAUCCCCGCCCCACACCCAGCGGGGAUUUUUAAGAUUUAGGGAUCCCCGUACCUGAUCCCCGUGUUUCCCUGAAAUUUCCCCGUAUUAGGGUCAGAGACCCGGCCCGACGGGGAUUUUUGCCAUCCCUAUUCUAACAUCAAUUCUUAGCUCUGCCACUGAAGCUAACUAAGGUGAUACCUCCAGCUAUUACUAAGAGGAACAACAAAAAUAAUACUCAUGCAGUCUGACUUUCAUAUGUUGUUGUUGUUGUUUUUUUUUUUCCUAAUUAAAAUAAUAUAAUAAGGAGGAUUUCUAGUACAAUCAAUCAACAUAUCCUUUUAGGGAUCGUUUUGUACGGCGGACUAUCAUGGACUGGACUAAAUUAUGGGACUGUCUUGGAUUGGUUUGGUUUGUCCUAAGCUGAAUAACACUUGUACUCCAUUUGAUGUAUGUUUGAUUGGACUAGGACUAGAUUAUUUUUAAAUAUAUAUUUUUCUUAAAAGUAAGUUUUUUUAAAAAAUAUAUUGUUUUUGGGGCAUGUGGAUUUUUUUUUAAUUUUCUUAUAAAACUUUUCCUCUCUAUGCAUCUCUUUCUUUUUCUUCCUCCUGCGCACAACCCUCCUACUAUGGGCUCUUCCUUCCUCUACUUCUCCUCUUAUUCUCACUCCUUUUUUUAUCAGUGCAUGUGAAGCCCAAAUUGCUUUCACUUGGUUCAUUGCCCGUUUACCAAGCGUGGGACAUUCCACACUUAUAUAGACUAAUCUCUUUCUCUGUUCUACCAAUGUGGGGCAAAUGUGUCUUAGAUUUCAUUCAAACUUCCAACAAUAAUUACUACCAAAACAAUUCUCUAAAAUGAGGAAAUUACUGAAACCAAAUGGGUAAUGAGUGGAGAGGUCCAUGAUCUUUUAAGCAAUUGAUGCAAUUUGAUCUUCAAUUUAGCAUACUCUCAACAUCGCCUUACAUUAUUGAUUGUAUCAAAUCAUUUAUUGGGAUAGCACUAGUUUGCUAUUCCUGAUCAAUGACGUUUCGACACGCGUGACAAAACUUCCACAUAACAUUAUAUUAUUUAUCGAGCAUAGCAAAAUAGUGAUACUAAGUUUCACUACUGCAAGUAGGGACUUCUACAUUUAUGCAUUUGGAGGAAAUUUCCACGGUAGGACCCAGUUGCCGUAAAUGACAAGACAACGCGUAAGUCAAGUCUAACUGAUCAGCAGGGACGAAAAUAGAUUACUCAAAUAUUUAUUUUUCUAUUCUUGUUUUGUUUAAUUGGCCUGGCAUUGGAAUGCGAAAACAAAGACUUGCUUAAUCUUUGAGAGGUUCUCUCUCUCCCCCUCUCACAUAGAUGGCUUAUGUACCGGCAGCUCUGCUCUUACUCUCUGCUUUAAUUGUCUUGAUCAAUGAUAAUAUUAUUGUAAAGGCUGCGAGAAAUGAGUCCCAUGUCAUCAAAUUGGGUUCCUCUCUAUCCCCGGAUUCUAACCUGAGUUCAUGGCUCUCACCUUCUGGCCGGUUUGCCUUUGGUUUCUAUCGACAAGGCAGCGGCUUCACUGUUGGGAUAUGGCUUGUUAAUGACCUUAAUCAGACUGAGCAAAGCAUAGUCGUCUGGACUGCACGGCGAGAUGAUCCGCUUGUCUCCUCCAACUCUACGCUACGGCUAACGGGAGACGGUCUGCUUCUUCAAACUGAGCAAGGUGAACAAGUACCCAUUGCCAGUAAUUUUUCAACAACAGCAAGUUCAGCUGCUAUGCUUGAUUAUGGAAACUUUGUAGUCUAUGAUAAUCGUUCUAAGGUUAUCUGGCAGAGCUUUGAUUCCCCAACUGAUACCAUACUGGGGGGUCAAAAUCUGACUGCUGGCACAUAUUUGGUAUCUAGUGUGUCUGCAUCCAACCACUUUAGCGGACGAUUUUCGCUGCAGAUGCAGAGUGAUGGAAACCUCGUUUCUUACCCGGUAAAUAUCUCCAACACUCCCGAAAAUGCUUAUUGGUCUUCCGGCACUGUUGGUUCCGCGCAACUGCUCAGUCUGAACGCAUCAGGUUUUCUCGUUUUGAUUCCUGAAACUGCACAUCCCUUGGCCACUGGCUCAUACCAUGCCCAUGAUGACGGAACUAUUAUCCACCGUGCAACGCUGGAUGCCGAUGGGAUUUUCAGAUUGUACUUGCACAAUUACUCUGUGAUGAGCCCCAGCUCAAGGGUGUCGAUUGUUUGGUCCAAUUUGCAUAACCAGUGUGAAGUCAAAGGUUUCUGUGGCUUAAACAGGUAUUGUGCAGUCCUGGAAAAGACGAACAAAACUGAGUGUCAAUGUUAUCCCGGUUUUGUAAUCAACCCCGUUGAUAUGUUUCCAGGCUGCUAUCAGAAUGCUAGUGACGAUGGCUGCACUGGCAAUGAAGACCCACGGCUGCGGUACAAGGUAGCUUCUGUCCACAAUAUAUCAUGGCCCAUUGACCAUCCUUAUUCAGUGGUGCCAUUGAAGAACCCGCAAGUUUGUAGCGACUCUUGCCUGGAAGACUGUAGUUGUAAGGCAGCGCUAUAUACUAAUGGCAAUUGCAACAAAUACAAGCUACCACUUAGAUCUGGUAUAAGAAGCCCAGAUACAACAGGAUUCAUCAAGGUAGAUGCAACACACAAUCUGCAGUUUCACAAUCCAAUGGCUACCAGAAAUUCGACAUUGGUGAAAUACGAAACCAAGAAUAGUCAUGGCUUGAUUGUAAUUCUUGCUGUGAGUCUGGGUUCCAUUGCAUGCGUAUGUUUUUCCUUUGCAGUCUCCAGUUUCAUCAUAUACAUGCACCGACUUCAGAGGUACAAGAAGCUGUUGGAUCAUACCAAAGUGGGAUUGGCUGAAGAAUUGUUCAGUUUACAAUCGUUUUCUUACACAGAGCUUGAAAACGCAACUCAUGGCUUCAAGGAAGAGUUAGGAAGGGGCACUUUUGGAGCUGUUUACAAAGGAACUCUGUCAACUAGCAACAAAAUUGUUGCUGUUAAAAGGCUCGAGAAAGUUGUGGAAGAAGGAGUGAGGGAAUUCAAAGCUGAAAUCACUACUAUUGGACGAACUCAUCACAGAAACUUGGUUCAGUUGCUUGGUUUCUGUAUCGAAGGCUCCCAAAAGCUUCUUGUAUAUGAAUACAUGAGCAGUGGCUCGCUUGCACAUCUUCUUUUUAAUAAGGCCGCGACCGUGCGCCCUUCCUGGAGAGAAAGGGUAGGAAUUGUGUUGGAUGUGGCUAAAGGGGUGCUCUAUUUACACGAAGAGUGCGGUGUGCAUAUUAUACACUGCAAUUUGAAACCCCAAAACAUACUUCUGGAUCACUCUUGGACUGCCAAGAUCUCCGAUUUCGGUUUGGCGAGGCUGUUAGUGCCAAACGAUCAAACAAAAAUAGCUGCCGGAGUCGAACAGAGAAGCGGUUACUUGGCACCUGAAUGGCAGAAGAACGCCCUGAUAUCAGUAAAAUCAGACAUCUAUAGUUUUGGUAUUGUGCUUUUGGAGACUGUAUGCUGCAGAAAAAACAUAGAGUUAAAAGUUUCAGUUCCAGAUGAGAUGAUUCUUUCUAGUUGGGCAUAUAAAUGCUUUAAGGCCGGAAAAUUAUACGAGCUUGUAGAAGAUGACGAACAAAAUGUGGAUUUGAAGACACUAGAAAGAAUGGUAAAAGUGGGGCUGUGGUGUGUUCAGGACGACCCAGCUCUGCGUCCCCUCAUGAAGAACGUAAUCUUGAUGUUGGAAGGGACAACGGAUAUACCAGUCCCUCCAUCUCCAGAGCUUCCCCAAGCCUGUUGACUGUUGAUUUAUCUUUGUUUUAAGCAUUGAAGUAAUGUAUAUGCAUAUUUGUCAAGGGAAUCAAAUAAUCUUGAUUUGAUAUAUGGAUAUAGCUAGACUCAUUCAUAUUUUAAUUUGGUGUAGCUUGGAAAAUCUCUAGAUUUCUUUCUUUCUUUUUAAUUUUCUGCUGUUUGUAUCAUGUCAAAUAAAACGUUUCUAGACUUUAAUUGAUUAUAAUUUUAAUGUUAAGUAGAUCCAAACUUAAGAGCAUUCACAAUGGUGGUUUUCAAAUUGGGUCUCUAUCCACCACUUUGUAGAGGGAAAUCUUUGGGGAUCUAAAAGCUUUUUAAAGUAACUAAGGGCCCGUCUGAUAACGUUUUCGGAGAAUGUUUUCUGAGAAUAUUUUCGGAGAAUGUUUUCUGAGAAUAUUUUCAAAGAAUGAAAAAAAAACAUGCAUUUUCAGGAAAUAAAAAUACGUCUGAUAGAUUAAUUACAAAACAUCUUUAAAAAAAAAGAAGGGUAAUGCUAAAGAGACUAUCUAUUUGUACCAUAUUUGUGUACUAAAUGAUGUGGCUAUUUAGUUGGCAAUGCCACAUCAUUAAGUGAGUUUUUAAUAUUUUUAAUAUUUUUUUUAUAUUUUUUUACCUUUCACUUUAAAGACUCAUUUAAAUCAUAUUAUAAUCAUAUUAAAAUUAUAAAUAAAAUUAAAAAAAAAAAAAAAAAAAUCUCCGCUCUCUUCUCCUACCUCCUACCUAGCCAACCCUCUCUCCCUACUCAACCCCACCUUUCAGCCACCCCUCUCCCGUCGCCCAUCCUUCCCUCAGCCUCUCUCUUUAUCAUCAUCAUCAGCAUCACCAAUCUACAAUCAACAAUGGCAGUUCAAGCUCAAUACCCUUCAAAUAUCCUCUUUCUAAACAGGUUUGCAUUCUCUCCUCUGCUUCCUUGGUUUUGGAUUUUUAUCAGCAAACCGUAUCUGCAAUCUAUAUAUCUUUCUUAUCUAAUUAAUCCCUGCUUGGGUUUCCACUGAUUCUGCAGAAACUCACAAGAAGGGCAUGAUUAUUCCUUACAAGCACAGCCAGGAGGAUAUCUUGAUCAAUCCCACAUGCUAUUCAACAAUGGAGGAGGAGGUGAGUCUCUUCAUAUCUUUUGAUUACCCAAUUCUGCUUUUGGGCUAUAAACACCAAUUCAAUCAAUAAAAGAUUGGUUUUUUUGAAUUUGGUUUUGAUUGAUUUGAUCACAGCAGUCAAUAAUACUAUCAAUCAGCGCAAAAGAGGAAGAGAAACUUCAGCUGCCACUGAAAUCUCACCUUCAAUCCUUCCUUUCUCUCUGCAACAACAAUCCCAACCUCCUCCUCCUCAGCUCAUCGACCUCUCCCAACUUUACAGCAACAACCACGACCACAACAAUCCCAAUGUGGUCUCCACGGGCCUCCGUUUAUCCUUUGGAUGGUUGAGGGUAGGUACAUGUACAAGAGUAUGGCUGAGGGAAGGAUGGGUGACGGGAGAGGGGUGGCUGAAAGGUGGGGUUGAGUAGGGAGAGAGGGUUGGCUGGGUAGGAGGUAGGAGAAGAGAGUAAAGAUUUUUUUAAUGAUUUAAAUGAGUCUUUAAAGUGAAAGGUAAAAAAAUAAAAACUCACUUAAUGAUGUGGCAUAACCAACUCAACAGCCACAUCAGUUGGUACACAAAUAUGGUACAAAUAGAUGGUCUCCCUAGUAUUACCCAAAAAAGAAUAAUAAAAACGUGUCUAGUAGUACAAGUUGAUAAUAAUAAUAAUAUGUGAGUUAUUUUUCCAGUAUAUUUUUGCUAAUUUAUGUUCUAAAAAAUAUUUUUAAAAAUGUAUAAUUUGACAAAUAAAAAAUUAGGUUUGGUGGCAGUGGCAAAGUUAGUAGCGGUUGCGGUGAUGAUGGUCUGGUAGUCGUGGCCGUGGUGAGUUUGAUUUUCGUUUAUGUUUUGGUUUGAUUUUCGUUUCGUUUUUGUUUUGCUGGGUAGAGUUAUGAGGUUGUGCGUUUCUGUUUAUGUUUUAGGCGUUUGUUUCUUGUGAGAAUGAAAACAUAUUUGUUCUGUUUUUCCGAAGUACACGUGUUGUUCUCAUUUUAUGAAAACAUUCUCCGUGUUUUCUGUUUUAGUCCACCGAACGGAUUCUUGGUUUGUUUUUGUUCUCUGAAAAUGAAAACGGGCACUGAAAACUUAAAGGAACAGCCCCUAAUUUAUUUUGGUGACAAUUAUGGGUGGUCAACGACGCUCUUAACCAAAUUAGUCACAAUUAUUUGUCUAAUGAUUUAAAUAUAAUAAAUUUUGUUGUAGCUGACACAUGAAUAGUAAUAAUGUAAUAAAAUAUAAGAGGAUAAUCUUUCCCACAAUAAAAUAUUUACAAUGAUAUUUUAAUAAAAAUAUAUGGAUGGAAUCUUUCUCACUAACCAAGGCUCUUUUCCCUUCCCUCUAUAUAAUUAGUAAUAGUUACUCUAAAUAAUAAAUAUUAUAAUAAAAAAUGUGAGAGCAUGCAUGUGCAUCUGAAGAUGCGUCCAAACCAACCCCUCUUUUUCUUUCUUUUGUAUUUUUUAUUCUCCCCAUUUCUCAUCUCUCCCAAAGACUUCAUUUUUUUUUAUUUUUUUCCCAUCUUCUUCCUUCCGUCACUUUCCAUUCAUUAUCUCUUUGACAGCCACGUUGAAGCCCAACCAACAACGACGUCAACACCGUCAGUCUGAACUGUCAUGUGUUCAAACGAUGUUGGCCUAGAUCCUGUUGUCUUUGUCUUUGGUUUAGUGUUUGAAGAACAUUUGUUUGUUUCCUACAUAUGUAGCUAGACUAUGUCUGGAAUUUUUCUUUUGGUUUCUUGUUCUUAAGUUUCUUGGUUUGAAUUAUUUGGUUAAAAGUUUCAACUCUUAUGGAAGGAUGAUAUAUAUAUAUAUAUAUAUAAUAUGGGUCUGGACUUAGAUUUUUUCAGCUUUGAUUGUGAUUUCAGCAAAGAAUUGGGUGAUGGGUAUUUUGGUUUGAGUGUUGUAAUAUGAUUUUCGGUAAGGGAUUUGGUUUUCGGUAAGGGAUCUAGAUUUCAGUUAAAAAAUUUUAAAAAAAAGAAUUGGAAAUUAUUAUAAUUGUGAAAAAUAUAAUACACAAAUAUAACACAAAUAUAACACAAAUAAUAAUGGAAAGGAUUUCUUUAAAAAAAAAAAAAAGAUAAUGAAAUGAUGUUGAACAACGCAGUCAAAUAAAAUAAAAUAAAAUAAAUAUAAAUAUAGUUUGAUUAGACAUGAUGUGGGGCCCACUUUGGAGCAAUUUGAUGGUCAACACAAUUUGUUACAAAAUGGUAUUUUUAAUCAUGAGAAAACCCAAUAGUUACGGCCACAAAAGUCACGAGUUCAAAACUUGUAACUGCACUGUUACUAAUUGCCUUGGUCACGAAUAUUCGUGGCUAAUACUGCCAAAAGUCAUGAAGCAAAAAGUGACUGCUUCGUGUUUUUUUUGUAGUGUAAUGGCUAUACAUUAGGGUUGCUAAAUUUCGGGCUCUAAUUUUCUCUUAUGUGCCCUUUAAUUCUAAUUACUAACUCAAAUUUUUUAAAGUCUAGGACUUUAAUUAGGUAGAGAAUCCUGAGGUACGCCUCAUUUUCUCAUUCUUAUGCUAAAGUCUCUUUAGACUUAUUCAUUAGGGACAAGGAGAAGGUAGAAUGGAGCCACCAGGGGCAGCUGCCCUGACCCCACUAAAUUUUUUGCCAUAAAGAAAAGUCAUAUUUUAAAAAGAAAAAGCCUUUUACUUUUUUCGAAAAAUUAACAUUUAUCCGAGGCUCUUGUAGUUGAAAUGAUUAAUAACUUAAUAAUAGUUAUCUGUGCAUCCGAAAUUCUGUGUUUGAAUCUACAUACAAAGUAACUUUAAUUAUAAUCUAUUCUUGAAACAUAAAGAUCAUACAAAGUAACUUUGAUCAUAAUCUAUUCUUGAAACAUAAAGAUGGGAAGGUAAUUUCUACUAUAAAAUCUUUACUUCGACAUUAUACAGAUAAAUGAUAAAGCAAUAUAUUCUGUGUCAUGGUAAAGAUUAGGAUUGCGUGGGUUCUAUCAUCAGCAAUGAUUUCAUUUGUGGUUGACUCAACAAGAAGACUUGCUCAGUCAACACACCUUAAAACCACCGUAUUUCUCUCUCAUGCCCUAUCAAUUCAAAUUAAGGAGUGAAAAUAAUCCCAGAUUUUCAUAUCUGAGUAUGGCUUCCAGUAUUCGGAUUGUUGCCUUUCUCCUUUCUGUAUUUUCUCUAGGAGGUGAAGGAGCUCGACAAAAUAAUUCUACCCAACUAAUAAGCCCAGGCUCUUCACUUUCUCCCAUAAGUAGCCCAAGCUCAUGGCUUUCUCCUUCUGGCCAUUUUGCAUUUGGGUUUUAUAAAAAAGGAGCAGGAUUUGCAAUCGGAAUUUGGCUGGUGGGAACAGACAAGCAAACAAUUGUCUGGACAGAAAAUCGCGACGAUCUCCCAGUCACCUCAAAUGCAAUUCUGCGGUUAACAAGUGACGGCAAGCUUGUUCUAAGUGAUAGAGAACGACAAAAGAACCUCAUCGUCACUACAGGUACUAAUUCACCAACGGACUCUGCAGCUUCCUCUGCCUCCAUGCUCGACUCUGGAAAUUUUGUUCUGUAUAACGGAAGACGCGAUGUCAUCUGGGAGAGCUUUAAUCAUCCUACUGAUACGAUCCUUGGAGGUCAGAUUCUGCCUGUUGGGGGUUCACUCAUCUCCAGUCUUUCGGAAAAUGACCACUCAACAGGACGGUUCCACCUCAACAUGCAGGCUGAUGGAAACCUGGUUCUAUACUCGGCAAACAGCGAAAACUCGUCUGCAGAUGCCUAUUGGAGCUCUGGAACCUAUCUCCAACGUCAGCUUCAACUUUAUCUUAACGCUACAGGUCGUCUAGUUCUCAUCAACAGCACUAGUUGGGAAGAAUCCUAUGUUUUAGAUUAUGAUGAAUCGUCCAAAACCAACUACAAAAACGGUACCAUAUAUCGUGCGACGCUUGACGUAGAUGGAAAUUUUCGGUUGUAUUCUCAUGAAUCUGAUGUGAGUACUGGAAAAUUCCAGCCAUCCCUUAUUCUGUGGCAAGCACUGGAUGAUCCUUGCGAUGUUAAAGGCUUCUGUGGCCUUAACAGCUACUGCACAUUUUAUGACAAUCAACCAAACUGUCUUUGCCUUCCUGGAACAGAUUACGCUGACUCCGACCGAAGGAUCGUCGGUUGCUUGAGAAACUAUACUAAAGUAGAGUGUAAUGAUGGGAAAGAAAAUACAUCAAGUUAUCACAUGAUCACCAUGGAGAAUAUGGUAUUGGAAGAUAUAGUUUACUAUGAAGCACGAAUGCCGACCGUGAAAGAAUGCAGCAGGUCUUGUCUGGAAGACUGCAACUGCGGGGCAGCUGUGUUCUACAGUGGGAGUAAUGUUUGUGCCAAACAAAACUUACCACUCAGAUAUGUCCGAAGGGAUCCCAAGGAGUCCAGCACAGCUGUCUUCAAGAUCGGCAACAUAAUAAGUGGUUCCAUUGGCAACAACCACAACAAUACUAAUCCAGCCAUCCCGCUGAAUCCAAAUACCACGGUCGUUACUACCACAGACAAGAAGUUGAUAAAGCAAAUUCUUGUUUUAACUUUAGCUCUCAUCCUAUUCUCCUGUGCGGCCCUUGCAGUUUCUGGAUUUUACAUUUCCAAAAUCCGACUUCUGCGGUACAAAAGGCUGACGGAGAUUAAUGGUGAUUUGGGGUUGGCUGAUGAGGAACUUACUUUGAGAGCUUUUUCAUACAAUGAGCUGAGAAGAGCGACCAAUGGGUUCAAAGAAGAAUUGGGAAAGGGCUCGUUUGGAGCAGUUUACAAAGGGGCUUUAAACAAAGGAAAAAAAAUCAUUGCAGUGAAAAGAUUAGAGAAGCUAGUCGAAGAAGGUGAGAGGGAGUUUCGUGCGGAGAUGCAAGCAAUCGGAAGAACUCACCACAAGAACUUAGUUCGAUUGCUUGGUUACUCUGCCGAGGACUCAAAAAGACUCCUCGUGUAUGAAUAUAUGAGCAAUGGCUCCCUUGCAGAUCUCCUUUUCAGGAAUGAAUGGAAACCUACUUGGAGUGAAAGAGUGACAAUUGCACUCGAUGUCGCAAGAGGUCUCCUCUAUCUACAUGAAGAGUGUAAGGCCCCUAUCAUCCAUUGCGACAUAAAGCCUCAAAACAUUCUGAUGGAUGAAUUCUGGAAUGCUAAAAUCUCUGACUUUGGACUUGCAAAAUUGUUGAUGCCGGAUCAAACGAGGACUUUCACAGGGGUCAGAGGCACAAGAGGGUACUUGGCACCAGAAUGGCAAAAGAACACUCCAAUCUCAGUGAAGGCAGAUGUUUAUAGUUACGGAAUAGUGCUUCUCGAAAUUGUAUGUUGCAGGCGGAACAUGGACGUCAAUGUUAGAGCAGAGGAGAUAAUUCUAUCUACUUGGGUCUACAAGUGCUUUGUUGGUAGAGAGCUGCAUAAGCUCGUGGGUGGUCAAGAGGUCGAUAAAAAGACGUUGGAGAACAUGGUUAAGGUGGGACUAUGGUGUAUACAAGAUGAACCAGCUCUGCGUCCUUCAAUGAAGUCUGUUGUGUUGAUGUUACAAGGUAUUACUGAUAUAGCUAUUCCUCCAUGUCCAACUGCUACCUCCAUGUAACUAUUAGCCUGUGAGGAAAUGCCUUUCUUCUUAUAUGCAGUUUGUUAAAAGAAUAAGCAAGAUUGCUAAGGGUAUGGUACCUAUACUGGUCACAUUGUUGUACUAAAGUAUCUAGAAUCAAAGACUCCUUGAAUCAAGAGUCUUUUUGAGUAAAUGAUUGGGUAAAUGAUUGGGUAAUCAAAGACUCCUUGAAUCAACUGCUACCUCUCAUGGGUAAAUGAUUAUUCUCAUCAAUAUGGUUCAUUGUAUAAAUUUAAUUCAAGCAUAUUUUCUAUAUCUAAUUUGGGUAACUCUAAUGCAGUUCUCUGCAUUUUUAACUAUCUUAGCCAUUUAAUUAAUGCAAUGGCUUAGUCUCUCCACAUCAAGACAACUUACUUCUAUAUCAAAACUCAAAAAUCUCCCUUCAUCUGCACCCUCUUUCCUCUCGUACAAUGAUUACACAAAAUUUUAUUUCAAGACACUACUACAAAAAAGCAAAAAGACGACGGUAAAUCACCGUCGUGUAUUCGGUUUUUCAAUGGUCGUGGAAUCCACCGUCAUCUUUUCCCUCAUAAACCACGACGCUAAAUCACCGUCGUUGUUAAAAUAUACAACGUCAUCAACAAAUACAAAACGACGUCUUUGUACUGCAAAAAGAUCUAAAAAAGCAGUCGAGGAUGAGAAUAGACGACCAACUCUCUAAAAAAACCGUCGUUAAAAAGAAAAAAUAUGACACAUAUUAAGAGAACAAGGCCGCAAGAUAGACAUACAACGACGAAAAUAAAAAUACGACGCCGUUAAAUAUCAUUUUCACGACAAUAAAAAAUUUGACGUCUUUAAAUACAUUAGAAGACGACGUUAUUGAUGCCUACUACGUCGCAUAUAUAAAAACAGCCGUCGUAAAAUUAAUUUUCCACUUCGAUUUUUCGAUAAAAGAUGACGUGGAAAUAGUUGUCAGUGUCAUUAUUUACGACGUAUGUAUUUAUAGAGUAGACGUUGAAAAACGAAACAACGUCGGUUACAAAUAUAUGAGAGUCGUAUUACAAAAUUUAUACGUCAUAUUUUCAGAAACAAACAACGACGAUAAAUAUUAGACGUUGUUAAAUAAAACAACGUCGGAAAACAAUAAAAACAGACGUGUUUAGUCUGCUAAAGUUCUAGAAAAUAGUCGAGGAUGAGAAUAGACGACCAACUCAAAAAAAUCACCGUCGUUAAAAAGGAAAAAUAUGACACAUGUUAAAAGAACAAGGCCGCAAGAUAUACAUACAACGACGACAACUAAAAUACUACGCCGUUAAAUAUAAUUUACACGACAAGAAAAAAUAUGACGUCUUUAAAUACAUGAGAAGACGAUGUUAUUGAAAUAUACUACGUCUCUUAUUUACAAAUAACCGUCGUGAAAUAAAUUUUCCACUUCGAUUUUUCUAAAAAAGAUGACGUGGAAAUAGUUGUCAGUGUCAUUAUUUACGACGUAUGUAUUUAUACAGUUGACGUUGAAAUGCGAAACAACGUCGGUGGCAUUUAUAUAGUCGACGUUGUAUUUAUAUCUAUCAUCAUUACUCACGACGCACUUAAUAAUAUAGACGACGUUGAACUUCUAAACAACGUCGGUUCCAAAUAAAUGAGAGCCGUAUUACAGAACAUAUAGACGGCGUUGAUUAUGAUGAGAGCCGUAUUACAAAUAACGUCGUUUAAUUGUUAUUAGACGGCGGUUAUAAUGAAUUUCCGUCGGAAUUCAUUUCGUUCCUCUUCGUUUAUAAAAGAACUUGCGACGUGGAAAAUGUAUGAUGACGUCGUAUUUUUUAACGUUCAGAUUAUAUAUCUCGUUUUUUAGACGUCGGUAUUAUGGGAUUGGAGUCGUGUUAUUUUGAAUUACAUGGCGGUUCUUAAUCCUUCCCCGACGUGAUAUCCUGAAUAAUUGCUUCACAAUAGCGUCGUGGUUCUUCAUUGUUACGUUGCUUUAAGACGUCGGUAAAUAUGCUGAAUAACUGGUUCACAAUAACGUCGUGUUUUAUUUGAACGUAGAAAGUGAAGAAAUCACAUUACAAUAUAUUACAAAAUUAAUGUCAUACACUGCCAAUUACAUAAGCAUCAUUCAAUCCAUAUAUCUUCACACCCAUCUCGAAUAUUUUGACCGCCUAACUCACCCACCAGUUCAUCAAAUGUGUCAACAUUUGGCAUCCCUCUAGUAAAUGGCUCACACUCAAUUAUCACAUCACCUAAGACUUCAUCACCAAUAACAUCAUUAUAUUCUCUAUUAGGCAUUGAUAACACUACCGACCAACCACGAUGCAUCGGGUCGUCAACAAAAAAUAUUUGUUUGACUUGAGAAGCCAAAACAAAUUGGUCAUUCCUAUGUCCAAUUUUACUCAAAUCUACAAGGGUAAAUCCAAGUUCGUCGACUACAAGACCAGAACUAUCUAUCCAAUCACACCUAAAGACUGGGAUUGUAAACUUUUGGUAGUCAAGGUCCCAAAUUUCUUGAAUGACACCAUAGAAACCCAUAUUUGAGAGAAUUGGGUUUUUAUCCUUGGCACUAGCAACUUGCAUGGUAUGUGCAAGUAAAUAAACUCCACUAUUUUGAGUUGUCCGCACAUCAUCUUGUGCCUUGAUAUUGAAUUUAAUACCUUUAAUAAGAUAGCUCCUAUAUAAUGGCACUGACAUGUUUGGACCAGCUGCUAGCCACCUUAAAUUUUCUGAUACGCCAUGAUUGUCUUCCUCAAGUUCACUUUGAACCUGCAAAUUAAUCAUAUCUUAAUUCAAUCUAACAUAUAAAUAAGAAGAAAAUUAAAAGAGAAAUAUGUUAUUCAACAACAUAUACCUUGAAGCGUAGCCAUUGAAUGAAAGUGCUAUUGUGCUUAUCCUGCAGCCACUUUGUUCUCUUUCUAAAUUUUGGAUAAGCAAUCUUGAUGUGGAUCAUAUGUUGCCUACAUGACACGAAAAAUUCAAGCAUUACGGUCCCAAAUAUAGAAGAUAAACAUAAGAAAUAAUUUAAAAUGGAAACUUAAAGAAUAAAGCUCAUACGUACUCGAUAUAAGGUAGGACUUCCUCCGUAUUCUCCAAGACAUAUAGAUGUGCUUGAUUCAACAGGUCCUGAUCAACUACGCUCACUGUGCAACCUGAUAAUGGCUUUGAAAGUCCCAUCUUUUGGCUUGAAGGCACUCCAACUGUACUAACAUCAGAUAAAUGCUGAGUACAAAACUCUACCGCUUCUUCAGCUAUAUACCGCUCAGCAAUGCAACCUUCGGGAUGAGUACGAUUAUGAACAUACCCCUUCAGCAUUUUCAUAUAUCUUUCAAACGGAUACAUCCACCUAAAAUAUACUGGCCCACAUAGACGAACUUCUCUGACAAGAUGUACUACUAGAUGAACCAUGAUAUCAAAGAAUGAAGGGGGAAAGUACUUCUCAAGCAAACACAGAGUAACUACUACAUCUUCUUCCAACUUAUCUAGCUUGGAAACAUCAACAGUCUUUGCACAUAUAGCAUUGAAGAAGAAGCACAAACGAGUUAUUGCAUACCUUGCAGGCUUCUCCAAAACAGAACGAAUUGCCACAGGGAGCAAUUGUUGCAUUAAGGUAUGACAAUCAUGUGAUUUAAGGCCAAGAAGUCUUGAAUCUUGUAAAGAUACAAGAUUUUUAAUAUUUGAAGAAUAACCUUCAGGGACCUUCAUACCAUAGAAAGAAUUGCAAACCUCUCUCUUCUCUGCUCUUGACAAAUUCCAAGGCCCAGGAGGCAAACGAGUACGUCUUUCUCCAUACUCGGGUUGCAAAUCAGUUUUGACCCCCAUGUUCAAUAAAUCUAAUCGAGCAGCAAUCCCAUCUUUAUUUUUUCCAGGGAUCUCCAGCAAUGUACCAAUGAUACUAUCGCAAACAUUCUUCUCAAUGUGCAUAACAUCUAGGGCAUGCCUCACAGGAAGGUAUUUCCAAUACUCGAGAUCAAAGAAUAUUGAUUUCUUCUUCCAACAAACUCUGUCACCAUUUUCAACCAUAUGCAGCACUUCUUCUCCGGUUAAUGGCUCGGGAGGUAUGCCAUAUUCAGGUUUCCCAUUAAAAGCUGCACGUUGCCUCCUAUAUGGAUGAUUGAUUGGUAACCAUUUUCUAUGCCCAAUGUAACAAAUUUUGUGGCCAUUUUUCAACCUGUGACUAGGUGUAUCAUCGCCGCAUAUUGGACAAGCUUUAUAUCCUUUAACAACACAACCAGAUAAGUUUCCAUAGGCGGGGAAAUCAUUAAUUGUCCACAUUAAUGCAGCUCUGAGUGUAAAGUAUUCUCCAUUAUGUGCAUCAUACACUCCUCUAAUCCCAACCCACAAGGAUUUUAAAUCAUCAAUCAAAGGCUCCAAGUAGACGUCUAUAUCAUUUCCGGGUUGUUUAGGACCGGAAAUCAAUAAGGUUAACAUCAUGAACUUUCGUUUCAUGCACAGCCAUGAAGGGAGAUUAUAUGUAACUAAGAUAACCGGCCAACAACUAUAUCUGCUACUUAGAGAACUGUGGGGAUUGAAUCCAUCAGAUGAAAGAGCCAAUCUCAAGUUUCUCGGCUCAUUACCAAACUCAGGCCAUUUAUCAUCAAGAAGUUUUCAAGACGGGGAAUCCGCCGGAUGAGACAUCUGACCAUCAAUUGAUUUUCUAGCAGCAUGCCACCAAGUCAAACUCUUAGCUGUCUCAUGUGAUUGAAACAUCCUUUUAAACCUUGGAAUUGGGGGAAAAUACCACACCACCUUCGCUGGCACACCCUCUUUCAAGAUUGAAUCUUUGCCUUCCUUCCACCUUGAGAUACCACAAGUAGGACAAUUAGUUGAAUCCUCAUACUCCUUCCUAUACAAGAUGCAAUCAUUGGGGCAUGCGUGCAUUUUCUCAUAACUCAGCCCCAAUGCACACAAAGUCUUUUUAGCCUCAUACAUGGAGGUUGGUAUUGUAUUUCCUUCUGGAAGCAGAUCGCCUUGAAGUAUCAAUAAUUCUGUAAAACAGACAUCACUCAUCCCAUGUUUUGCCUUCAAAUUAUACAACUUCACUAAUGCCGAUAACUUCGUGUACUUUCUACAACCAGGGUGCACUGGUUGAUCUCCAUCCCCAAUCACAUUAGCAAACUCAUACGGAUCGGAACCAAAAUCACCAAAAUCAUUAUCAUCCAUAUCAAUUUCUUCAGACACAAAACUGUACCUACUAUGGCCAUCAUCUUCUUCAACAUUUCUACUAGCAUUAGUAGUUGCUUCCCAAGGUUCUCCGUGAAAUGUCCAAUUCUUAUAGCUUUGGUCAAUUCCAUUAAAAUAUAAGUGAUCCCUUAUAAUUCCAACCCCAAACAACUUCAAAUUAACACAUUUAACACAUGGACAACGGAUAUGUGUUGUAGUUAGAAGAUUUUCUACAGCAAAGUUCAAAAAUGCUUCCACCCCAAAUUCAUAUGCCUUCGAUCUUCUAUCCGAGUGCAUCCAUGACUUAUCCAUCUCCGACACUAUAACCUAUUAUCUAUAAUAAAGUGAAAAUACAGGCAAUGACCAUCACUAUAGCAGAUUAUACAAUGAUCUAAUCGCAAGUAAUACACAACAGAGACGACUGGUUUUAAACAAAAACAGACGUACUUGGCAUAUAUAGACGACGGAUUUUCAACAGACGUCGUCUAUUAUAAGUAAUACAAACGACGGUUUAUGAAAAAACCGUCGUGUAUAAGUAAUACAACGACGGUAGUUUAAAAAAACCGUCGUGUAAUCGUCGUCGUAUGCCCUAAAAUUCGUCGUGUCUCAGUUUAUUUUCAAGAACACAAAACCCAUUAAGAACACAACAUAUAUAUGAAACCAAGCAAGAAACCAACAUAUACAUGAAACCAAGCAUGAAAACAAUAAACCGUCGUGUAUAAGUAAUACAACGACGGUAGUUUAAAAAAACCGUCGUGUAAUCGUCGUCGUAUGCCCUAAAAUUCGUCGUGUCUCAGUUUAUUUUCAAGAACACAAAACCCAUUAAGAACACAACAUAUAUAUGAAACCAAGCAAGAAACCAACAUAUACAUGAAACCAAGCAUGAAAACAAUAAAUCCAUUCCCAAUUCAACAUAACAUAGGGUGAUUAAAAGAUACGACAAAAUUAAAUCCAUUCCCAAUUCAACAUAACAGAUAAUGUAAUCCAUGAACCCAUUAAACAGAAAAUCCAUGAACCCAUACCUAUAAGCACAUUAUUAACAGAUCGCAAAGCAUACACAUAAAACCCUUUAACAAAACAACCUAAUAUCAUUCAAUGAAUUUACAAGGGGAAGAUAGGGUUUGUACUUACAGGUUGGACGAGCUCACAGAUUCGACGGAGCCUGGAGAGUGCAACUUUUAAUUAGAGCAGAAGUGAGAGAGCGAAAUGUUAUGUCGCGCGAAAUCUGAAAAUUUUAGGUUUCAGGGUUCGAAGUAUAAGAAUAAGAGCCAAAUCUAAAAAAAUUUAGGUCGCGCGAAAAUUUUUAGAGCUCGCGCGUUUUAAAACGUCGAAAGAAAAACCAAGGCGAAAGUUCUACAAGUACCGACGUAAAUUUAAUAUUCCACGACGGAAACUUCAUUUUUCGGAUUAAGAACGUAAGGCCGUUCAUUUUGAAGCUUCAUUUUUCGGAUUAAUUUUAAAUUAAUUUUGAAUUUUUUAUAUAACGACGACUGAAAAACCACGUCGGUGUUAAGAAAUUAAAGACGUUGUAAAUUAUAUAAACCGACUUACAUAUUAAAAUGACGUCGUUUAAAGCGUAAACCAUGUCGUAUGUUUUUCUGUACGACGUAAAAUAUGUAUUCCACGACGCAACCACCGUCGUUAAAAAUUAAUACCCUAAACCCCUAAAACUAAAUUAUACAAUUUAAAAAAUUAAGUUUAAAAAAGGUUUUAUGGUUUUAAAGCCUAACAUAUACCCUAGACUACCCAAAAAUUAUACUUUAAAAAUAAACCCCAAUAAAUAACAACCCUAAUCUCUAAACCCUAGACUCUAAACCCUAAACCAUAAAACUAGAAGUGAUUUUAUGACUCAUCAAAACAAUUUUGUUUUGGAUGGUCAUUUUAAAUUUUUGUUAUUCAAAAUGAAUUUUUUCAAGGUUUAUGUGGAAGAAAAUAUAUCAAUGACUUCAUAGGAGUUGACUUUUCAAUUUUCUGAUUUAUUUUAAAUUUAUUUUGAAUAUUUUGAUAUAAAAAUAAUAAAAUAUUCUUACCACAACAACAAACCACGUCGGUGUUAAUAAAUUGUAGACGUUGUAAAUUGUAAUAGACUACUAAGUCGUUAAAAUGACGUCGUUAAAAUGAGAAACCAUGGCGGCUAUUUAACUAUACGACGUAAAAUAUAUAUUCCACGACUUAACCGCUGUCGUUACAUAAACGUCGUCGAUGAUACCCUGAACCCUUAAGAAAUUGAAGAUGUUGUAAACCAUAAACGACUCAAUUGUUCAAAGAACGUCGUCUAACUAUAUUUUUACAUCGUAUUUGUUUAAAACACGAAACAACAAAAUACGACGGUUUUUGACUUUAUUAGGUCGUUGGAAAAGUAUUACACGUCGGUUAAGCAAUUUGUAUGUUUGUUUUUUUUUUAAUUUAAGAAAACCUCAACAAAUUUUUACAUUACAUAUUAUAGAGAAAAUUUGUACAUUAUACAUAAAUAUCAAGUGUUCAAUAAUUGCCCUGUUUAAUAAUUUGGAAAACAAACUCUGCCCAUUCAUUCCGGACUUCAUCAAUGGCUUCUUGGGGGUAUGAAGCUUCCUGGUUUCCCUUGGCAUACUGCAUAAACAAUGACUAUUAGGGUUUAUAAAUAAAAAGAAAUUCAAUCACGGACGACGAUAUUUUUCAUAACCGACGUAGUAUAUCCAUUCAACGACGUUAAUUUUACAUGACCGUCGUUGAUAAUACAAAAAACGACGUGAAAUGUAUGAAGGUAAUUUCUUCUUACCUUAUUCUCAAACCCCAAGGAAGGAUCCAUGAUGAUAUCCCUCAUGAAGCGCAUCACAUAAUACCCGCAUUCGACAUUGCUGGGUUGCUUUGGUGUGCCUGAGAGAGUUUUCCAAAUUACAUUUUUACGUCCUGCUCGGGCUAUGUGGGUAUUAUAUAUUUUUAAAGCACUGUUCACGAUGUUUUUCGCCUCUUCGUCGACCACACGAUGACCUGGCAGAGGAUCCAGAAAAUAGACGGUCUCCUUCUUUGCUCACCGUCUGUCUUCUGAAGUCGAGCUGCUACCAGUCGUGAUCUUUCAGUUAUUGUGCCAGAGUUGGCACUAACUGUAGCAGGGUCGAUAAAGCCAACCAUGCUGCACAUAUUGGCUUGUUUCAAAACAUCGUGUAAGUACCUAAAUAUAUAAAAUAAUAUAAACAAGUCAGCACAAACAAACACGACGGUUAUGUAUAAAAAAACGACGUAUUAUAAUAUUUCACACGACGUACUGAAAUAGAUGAGGACGUUAUAAUAUAUUUAUCACGACGGUAGUUAGUUAAGACGACGUGGUUAGUUAGUUAAGACGACGCAAUAUAUAAACCAACGAGGUAUUAUUUUAGAAGUACAAACCUCACAUAUACAGCCAAUACAGUAGCUCCAAUUUCUUCCAUGCCUGCAAAUUGUGUAAUAUCUUCAGGCAGGAGGAAGGUAUCGCGCUCACCACCAAACACGUCCUUAUCAAUUGUAAAUUGGAGUGUCUUAUCCUCAGGCAGGAGUGUCGUUUCCACAAAACGACAAAGGGUUUUUAAAGAAGAUGGCACCUCCAUAUUUGAAUAAGCACCAACUUCAAUAACCUGUUGAAAGAAAUAAAAAAAAUGACGUGGUAAUUCAAUAAAGACGACGGUUUAAGGAAUAAAACGUCGUCUUAAACCAUUUAAACGACGGUGCAAAAACCGUCGUUUAAAUAUUUUAUUACGUCUUAAAAAAAGUCCGCCGUCUAAGUUUUAAACAAACGACGGAUUAAAUAAAAAUAUCGACGUCUGAAAUUUUGAAAAACAAAUAAAAAAGGCAAAGUUAUGUGAACAUACCUUGUCGUCAUGCUUUUCUUCAUCUUCUUUCUCCUUUUCUUCUUCCUUCUCUUCAUCUCUUUUUUCUUCUUCCUUCUCUUCAUCUGGCUGAUGUUUCCCCAUUUUGGCAGUAUCAUCCUCCAAAUGUAGGGAUCUCACAUCACCUCCAGAGCAGCUAGCUUUGUCAGACAUUGGAUUUUUGGGGCUUUGGCUAAUUCUUGGUUUAAGCAUGCUUGGAUCAAAAUUGGGAAUUAAUUGGGAAAGCUGACUCAGGAAAUGCUCCCUCUCAGCCUCUACCAAUUGUUUUGUCCUAGCCUCCAUCCUUAAGGCCUCUUCCCUUGCCUUAGCCUCCAUCUUUUUAGUCUCUUCUUGAAGGAGAACUCUUAAACUGUCCUUCAAACGGUCGUCAAAGCUCACCCUCUGUGGUUUGGGCAAAUUGAAAUAUUGCCUUGGGGAAACACUAGCACCAACUCCCCUCACUCUGCCUGGAUGCUCGGGGCCCAAAGCCAUGGUCAGCACAUCAUUGCUGCCAUCUACUCUGACUUUGCCUUCCGAGACUUGUUUCUGCAAUUCAUCCUAAAAAAAGAUAAACAAAAAAACACACGACGGUUAUUUAUGUACAAACGACGUAUUAUAUAAUUUCACACGACGCAAUAACGUAUAAACCGACGUUAUUAUAACUUAUCACGACGGUAGUUAUACCGACGUGGUUAUUUAUUUAAAACGACGAAAUGAAUAAACAACCGACGUCUUAUGCUAUAAUUAAAGAUAACAGAGUAGUGAUUCCUAUUUAGACCGUUAACGACGUUUUUAAAAAAUUUUCGACGUGGUAAUAUCAUUAAAACGACGCGAAAAUGAACCACCGACGUCUUAUGCUAUAAUUACAGAAAAUUAGUAGUGAUUCCUAUUUAGACCUUUAACGACGUUUUUAAAAACUUUUCGACGUGGUAAUAUCAUUCACACGACGAAAAAUAUAACAUACGACGUAAUAAGAAUAAUUCACAGUUUAAUAAAAAUUUAAAACAGAGUGAUAGUAGGCUUACAAUUAAUUUUGCUUUCUCUGCCACCUUUGGAUCAGGGAUGUUACCAUGUUUGUCCUGUCUAGCUCUCUUCCAUAAGGUAGAUCGAUCAAUUUCUACCCCAGGCAUGGUUUCCUCCAAUUGAUCCUCCAAUCCAGCAUAUCCUUUUCGAGACAAUCGAUGAUUGUACUCGAGUUUCUCCCUAAUCUGUGCAUGUUGAGAAUGCACAGACUCAAAAUCUUUGGAUAGCCUUGAAGCUACAAAGGCAUCCCAUUGUGCUUUCUCUAUGAAUUUAUAUGUUUCAGGGGGUUGGCUUAAUUUCUCCCUGUCAUUGGUGUAUGGAAGGAUAUAAUGCCUCGUUAGUGUAGACUUGAAAUCCUUCCAUUUCUUGGAAGCAGAAGCUAAAACAGAGGUCUUGCCCCCUUGGCCUACGACAAAAGCCAUGUCAACUGCUUUCCAAAUCUGCUCCUUUAUAUCCUUGGGGAUUUGGGACCAUUUCUUGUCCACAAGUGGGAUCCUGGAGCGUGCCAACACACCAAUAUACGACUGCAUCUCAAUAUGUGCUUGGCCAACACCUUUCCCCCUUUUAUUGUACUCAACAAUUGGCCUCAGUUUCUGAAGCUUUCUCUUCACAACACGAGGCAUUGUGCUCAUAUCUCGACCAGUCUUUGAAUCAUCAGAGAUUGUUGUCUGGCUGGUUGGUUCUGUCUCAGCAGAUGAUGAAGCAAACUUCAUCUUCUUCGAAGACUUCAUCUCCUUCGAAGACUUGUCUUGAGGAGCUACCAUUCCAAGCUUCUUGGAGCCAGAAUCCUUAGUUUGUUGUUGAGAAACCAUUUUAACAGACAAAACUGCAAGUGAAAAUAUUUCAGGAAAACAUUAAGAACACAAACGACGGUAUUAAAAAAAUACGACGUAUGAUAUGAUUUUAGACGACGCAAUGAAAUAAUCUCAGACGUAAUAAAUGUUUAAAACCAUUAUUUAUAUAACGUCGUGGUAUAUAUGUUCACACGACGUCAAUAGUAAUACACCGUCGUGGUAAACUAUUAAUUAUAUAACGUCGUGGUAUUUAUGUUCAUACGACGUCAAUAGUAAUACACCGUCGUGGUAUUAACAUUCACACGACGUAAAACAAUAAGAUAUUUUGUCGUCUAUAUUAGAUACCAACCCUAGUUUCUUUUUCUUUAUAUUUUAUCAAAUAAGGGAAAAACAAAAACCAUUGUUCAAACAAGCAUAUAAAAAAAGACUAUUAUUAUAAAAAAAGACUAUUAUUUUAAAAACAACUUUGUCAAUUUUCAGACGACGCUAGAACAACUGACGAACCGUCGUGGUCUACCGUCGUCUUAUUUAGUUGAGGUAGUUGUCUUCAAAGUUGGAAACUUUCCCUCUUAAGAAGUAAAAUGAUUUUGGCCAGAAAAAAGGUAAAAAGAUUUUUCAAACAAAAAACGUAUGAGCAUGCAAAACCGUAACCAAAAUAGUGAAAAUGAAAGCUUACCUUUUGCGUGCAAUGAAAGCAAGAGGAAGAUGAUCGAUGUUUAAGUUCAGAGACGACGAAGAAGACGAGAGGAAGACGAUGAGAAACUCUGACAAUGCUCUGACAAGGAAAAAAGACGAAAAGGUUUCUCUGGGAGAUUGAAAUUUUUAAUCGGGUUUGGAAACAGUGCAUGUGUAAGUCGAAAAGUUGCUUACAUAUAAAACCAUUUCAAAAAAAAUAAUACGGCGGUUACAUUUAACUACGUCGUUUUUAACUAACACGACGCAAUAUUUUUCGUUCGACGUGGAAUCAUUUCAUUUAACGUCGUUAGGUUUAAUAUAACCGACGUGGAUUUUAAUUUUUAAAUUAUGAAUAGAAUAUUUUUUUCCCGUGACCUUUCAGUUUAUUUUUCAAUUACAGUGCGUUAUAAAUAGAGUUUUUUUUCCGGAGGAAAUUUAAAACGAAGGAAAUUAAUAUUCUGCAAUAUGUAAAGUUUCUUUUUUGGAUGACAGAUUUAAAUAAAAUAAGAAUACAAAAACAACGAAUGUGUAAGUCAAGUAGACGAAAAGUUGCUUACAUAUAAAACCAUUUCAAAAAAAUAAUACGGCGGUUACAUAUAACUACGACGUAUAAAUUACAAAAUACGACGGUACAUUUAACUUCGGACGUGGUAAAUAAAUACGACAGUAGUUUGUAGGUACCGUCGUAGUAAACUCAAAAAUUAAAGUACAUAAGUAAUAACUCGCGUCAUGGUAGAUUAUUUAACACGUCGUUUUUAUUAAUUUACCGACGUGGAUUUCUGUAAUAUACGUCGAUAAUACCGACGUUGAUUUUACAAUUUAAACGACGGUUUUUUUGUAAGGACCGCCGUUGGUUUUAAAAAUUUAUUCUAUAAAUUUGUCGCUUUCAUUCAUUUUCGGUUUACAUUUAAGGUUCCAAGUUCUUCCUCUCUCAGUCUCUCAUGUCUCAAAGACAAUAAUUUGGAUGUCUUUCUCAAAGAGAAAUUGAGCUUACUCGCAUCAAAUAUAUGUCCACAAGAAGAAGCUUGUCAACUAGCCUUCUCACUUCCUUGAUCAAGCCUGAUAGGACACUUAGUGCUUCUGAAUACUCCUUGCUUUCCAUCAAAAGAGAUGCAAGCCUGGCCUCCACUCGCUGUCGAAGGAAAGUUCGCUUCUCAGGGAAAUCUGAAGAUCAGAUGUGCCUGAUCCUCUGCUUGAUUUUCUUACCUAAGAAGAUCCGUCGGAUUUGUGAUAGCCUCUUCCUUUAUCCGUAGAGCUUCAGAAGAAGAAGAUGGGUUUCAAGAAUGCGAUAAAGAAUAGAAAUGGCUUCAGAUGGCCUCUAAAGCAUGAGCAAUUGAAUCAGUAGUUUCUGGGAGAUAUGAUGAAGACAUUGUCAAUGCUUUGAACUAUACAAGUCCUGCAGAAAGAUAAAGGACCAAACUGUUAAAGAAACUGAAACAACGGCGGUUUUCUGUUCUACCGUCGUCUUUUCUCGUCGUCUAUAUUAAGGUAAGAUGGCGGUAGAUUUAUAAUUACCGACGUAGAUUAUUUUGUUAAACGUCGUUAAGUGUACUACAACCGACGUGGAUUUUAUUUUUAAAUUAUAAAUAGAGUUUUUUUUCCAGAAUUCUUUCAGUUUUAGUUUUCAAUUACAAAGCGUGAUAAAUAGAUUUUUCUUUCCCGAGGAAAUUUAAAAUGAGGGAAAUUAAUGUUCUAGAAUUUGUAAACUAACACGACGCAAUAUUACUAACCCGAGGAAAUUAUAAAUAGAUUUUGCUUUCCUGAAGAAAUUUUAAAUUAAUUCAGUUUGAAACAAAACGACGGUUUUUUGUUAUGCCGUCGUUUUUAACUAACACGACAGAUUUAAAUAAAAUAAGAAUAUAAAAACAACGACUGUUUUUUUACUACUGUCGUCGUUUUUCAUCGUCUUAAGUAAGACUAAGACGACAUAAUAUAUUUGUUGAGCGACGUUGAUUUGUUUUUAAACGUCGUUAGGUAUAAUAUAACCGUCGUUGAAAAUUGUCUCUCUGAUUGCAAAUUUGCAACGACGUUGAUCAACUUCCAAAAAAUUGUCCCUCUGAUUGCAAAUCUGUGUCAUCUGUUAAGAUUAUUUUGUAUUUUAAAGUCGUGGAUUUGUUUGUAAUUAUACGGCGUCUUAUACGAAAACCUCGUCGUGUUAUUUUAUGAGUAAAAACGACGGCUUUUAUUGAAAUCGUCGUCUUUACUUUCUACGUCGGUCUAUUCAUAACUUCUGCCGUUCUUUGUUUGCUUUGAUUUUACACUGCGGAAAUCUGUUUCAAAUAGACGUCGGUUGUUUAAUUAGGUACGUCGUUGUUUUUGAACAGCCAUUUGAAUCUCCAUUUUUUAGUUGUCUAAGGUGCUAUUACACGACGGUGUUUUUAGAACCGUCGUCUUUUUAAAAACCACGACGGUUUUCACUUAGACCGUCGUUGUUUUCUGGUCGUCUUUUUCACUUUUUGUAGUAGUGAGACGUUAACUGGGUUUGAAUUUGAUUCAAUGAAGCCAGUCCCGAAACCAAUUUAUAGUUUGAUAAGCCUGUAUUUCUCAUUAUGAGAUCAAAAUAAUUAUCUUCAGUUUUCUAUACACUUGAAGACCAUGUAAGCAUAUUCUUGUUUCUAUUACUACUUUCUUCCCCUCCGUGAAUGGGAGUCUUGUGGGAUUUACAUGAGGGGCUAGGGAUGGCUAUAUUUUAAUCAAUAACACCACGCCACAUCGGCUGAUUACAUUGUUAGGAACCUUCAUCAUUGCUGAGCUGGCAUAGUCAGUUUGUUAAUUGAUUAGUUAAGAAAUUAGUUUCUAACCGAAUUGGUUAAUGAGAGCUUCACAGCCAUAUUAGGCAAUUAUUGUAUCAAGAAUGAGUUGUAGAGAAUAUUGUACUGUUUCGAUAAUUCAAUAAAGAAUCCUUGUUACUCUGUGUAAUUCUAGGGUUAAGGUUGAAAGGGGUUUAACACACAUAAUCAUAUGUGACAGCUGUUAAAAGUUUAAUAUAGUUCUAUUAGUAACUUUCUCUCCGAGGAGGGGCCUUGUGUUUGAUUAGGUAGUUGGUAAGGCAAAGCUAACUAACGCAAUUAGGAAGAUCAACCACACUAACUGAGACACAUCCCAUACUCCUACCGAAGGGAGUAGUGGGAAAUUCUCCGCCAUGUGGAGGUAGAAGAGGCAACGAAAGCAUCGGCUUUCUUUGUUCUAGCAACGGCGGUAAAAAAGAGAAUGCAAGCAUUAUCUGAAUGAUCAGGCUUAAAGCUAUAGGUGGCUAGUAUAGUCCACUUGCUACUAAAGUUAUUUGCAAAUUGACACAUUAUCUACCAUAUGAUGUGGUACAGUCCUCUAGUCUUUCUCCAAUGAGUUUUAACACCCAGACACACGUUCCCCCAACCCAAAAAGGAGUCAUUCAUUGGUAUUUGAGUCUUUCUCUAGUCUUCAUUGAUUGAUUGGUAAAAGUCUUCUUCAAGUCUUAUAAACACCCACUUUUGUCCCACUCCUCAGAACAAAGGAGGAGGACAUGUAUUUUCCUUUUUAAUUUAUGAGCAUAUGUAUUUCCCUUCCUCUCUUGUCUUUCUUUUCAUAGUUUAGUGAUUCUACAUAUAUCUGUUUCAUUCUCUCUCGUCAAUCUUGGUUUUUUGGAUCUCCCUUGCUUGUGUAACCCAGAUCCGUACCGUUUGUGCUUGGUCUCAUGAUAUGAUGAAGAACUAGCUGAAACUGAAAAAUCACACUGGUUUUUGUUUAGCAAGUUAAUAUUUCGAGUGAAAUAUUAAAUAAUUGGAGAGGGGGGGAGAGAGAAUAUAUAUAUAUAUAUAUAUAUAUGGGGACGGAUCCGUGGCAAUGUAAUGGUUGAGAUUUAAUGGUUGAGAUUAAAUAGGACAUGACAAAUAAUUUUAAUGUUUUAAAUAAACAAUCAUUAAUUUUAUUUUCUCUCUCAUAAAAAUAAAAUAAAAUAAAUUUCUCUCUCCUACCUUUUUUCUUGGAAACGUAAUCUCUUUUCUUGGUAGUAUCCUUUUUUACUUGGUACAUACCUCUCUCUCUUUCCUAGGAUUAGAAAAAAAAACCUCCAUAUUUUUUCCCUCUCUCCCUCUCUCUCUCUCUCUCUCUCUCUCUCUCUCUCUCUCUCUCUCUCUCUCUCUCUCUCUCUCUCUCUCUCUCUCUCUCUCUCUCUCUCUCUCUCUCUCUCUCGUAACUGCAAACCAACCAUAUGAAUUCUCUACUCCAUUUUUAUUCCAUUUUCAUUUUCCUUAAAACUAAUACGUUUUGUUUUGUUAUUUAUGAUUAUAUUGAUAUGACCUGAAAUCUUAAUUGUUCGGUUUGUUUUCUUAAAGAAUUUCAGGUUUCACAAAUAGAGAAAAUAAAAUAUUUUUUAGAGAUGCAGUGCAAAAAGUUUAUGCCGAACAAUAUAACCUUUAUUGGUGUUUUGUCUGCUUGUAACCAUUGUGGUCUGGUAGAGGAAGGGAAAAGAUGGUUUAAAGGAAUGGAGGGCUUUGGGCUUAUCCCCCAAAUUGAGCAAUAUGGUUGGAUGGUUGAUCUUUUGGAAAGGGCAGGAUGCUUGGAGGAGGUUUGCAGUUACCGGAGAGAGAGAUGGAAAAAAGAUGGAGGUUUUUUUUUUCUGAUCCAAGAAAAAAGAGAGAGAGAGAGGUGUAUACCAAGUAAAAAAGGAUACUACCAAGUAAAGAGAUUACGUUUCCAAGAAAAAAAGGAUGAGAGAGAAAAUUAUUUUAUUUUAUUUUUAUAAGAGAGAAAAUAAAAUUAAUGAUUGUUUAUUUAAAAUAUUAAAACUAUUUGUCAUGUCAGAUUUAAUCUCAACCAUUAAAAGUGGAGUAAUCUAAUGACCAAAAAAUUGUGUUAAAACUUGUGUAAAAAAUGUGGUGCUACGGAUCUGCAUCUAUAUAUAUAGAGAAACUUGAAUGCACAAGAAUUGUACUGUGGUAGCAAAAACGCUACUGCCACAAAAACACUCGAUUAUAUGGCAACUGCAUCUCCACAACGACAAGUAUUGCAUUGGGAUUCAAUCUAAAAACUUUUAGACUCAUUUUCCAUGUAUGUAACUCACAAACUUUCAUUUCCAUUAUCCCCUGAGCUUGUAAAAUGUGCAUGUCUUCUCAGCACUGUCUUUGUCUUCUUUAACUAAACAAAUACUAUUUUAUUACUUGUCAAAGUGUGGAAGCUCAUAGGAAAGUUAUGAGAAUGUUAAAGUCAAGGUUUUGAAUUAAAUUACUAUUUAACUACUAUAAUUCUCUAGAGGGUUCAAGUCGAGGACUGAAAAUCCUAACUAGAAAUAGAUGCACAAUUUUAUAAUCCGUUGUUGCAUGUUGCAUCGUUUGGAUGUUGAAUAGGAAUUUCAUAAAAUACUACUCUCGGAGCAUUUUUUUGAUGAACUCUUUCUCUUGUUUUUUGUUUUAUUUUUCUUCCUGAAGUAUACAAUAAUGCACAUGGGAUGGGAAAAGAAUAAGGACUUAGGCUCCGUUUGGUUCAUGAAAUGAAUUUGAGGGGAAAUCAUUUCCCGUGUCAUUCCCCAAGGAAUGGAAAUGGAAGAUUCCUUUCCCACGUUUAGUAAUGCUAGGAAAGUAACCGGGAAAUAUCACUUUAUAUCCUUUCCCAUGUUUGUUUUGAGUAGAAAUGGAAAACAAAGUUCGUAUAAAAUUUUAAUUAUACCCAUAUUAAAUCAAAUAAAAAAAGAAUGCAUUUAAUGAUAUAUUGUAUGUAAUGACCCAAAUUCAUAUUUAAUUAGUAAAUUAUUAUGCGGAAAGACAAUUUUGCCCUUUGACUCACUUAUGAACUCAAAGUUGACUUUUUGACCGAAAAGGAAUUUGACAAUUCCACAUACACCGUUGCGUAGAGCACGACGACACGAGUUCAUAGACACGAAGUAAGCUCAAAUCGGAGUUUAACGACGAAACUACGAUUAAAAUAUCACGAGGGGCAAAAUGGUAAAUUGGAAAAUCAGAUUUUAUAAAACCUGUUCCUCUCUCUCUCUCUCUCUUCAGUUCUCUCUCCUCUCUCUCUCCUCCCUCCCGUUGCGCCAGCCACCCUCCUCCCUUCCGAUUGAGACAGCGGCCACCACAGGGCACGCCGAUCUCCGGCGUUGGUACCAAUAGCUCCACCACACCCUCGCCGUCACGACCUGACCCGUCGCCGCCCCUGCACCGACCGGAGCUCGCCGGGAUCAGGCGAAAACCGAUCGGUUUUCAGUCGAAACUUCAAGCUCCUCGAUCUCCUUCGUUUCUCAACCAAAUCGUUCGAGUAAGGUAUGGUUUCUCAGCUAUUUUUCAUGCUCUAACUGAUGGUUGGCUGGGUUUUGAUCGAUUUUAGCUGUAGAUCACUCGAUUUUCGAAGUGAAAAUCGGCCGAACUUCGGCCUCCGUGAUCGGCCGUUUCCGGCCACUUUUUGGGGUUAGUCCAAGAACAAAAGUGGUUCCAAAUACGGUGUUAUACCUAGGAUAGGAGUUUGGAGCCUUGGUUUUGAGAUUUUCCGGCGAUGCGUAAUCGCUUUGGUUCUGAUGCGAUCCUUAGGUCGUCACGAGCGCAUAAGAAUUCGCGGAUCUCAAUUUGGAUACCGUUUGAGCCUCGAACGGAUUUUCCUUAUUAUGCGAUUAUCGGGUUCAAUACUGUUGAGCCGUUGGAUCGUAAUCAAUUUUAGAUAUGUUGUUCCAGAUAAUUUUAGAAACGUGUAGGAUUCGACGGAUUGUGAAUCGGAGUCCCGGAUACUCCGAAAACGCGAACCCUAGGGCUAUGGUUUAGAAAUUGUGCGAUUACACGAUCGUAAUUAAUCCGACCGUCCGAUUGACACCAAUACCCUCGGGACAUGUGUCCUAAAUAUAUUGGACCUUCUAGCGGCAUCCGGAUCAUAUUGUACCCGUGGGGUUCCGGAUUGACUUUUUGGACUUUAGCGCUUUUUGAGUCCCAAGAUACCACUAAACUAUCCCACGUGGAAGGAAAGCUGUUAUGGGCAUAGGGAUCACUUUAAAUUGACGCACGUACUUUUAGGAGCCGGGGGUAGGGUUUUUAAUUUAAUACUAUAUUGUAUUAAUAGAAUAUUAUGGUCAUUGAAUCAGGCACCCGGGCACCAGUUGACCCGCAGGAGGGACCUUCAAGAGGUCCAGCGAGCUCAGACUACCAGUGAGUGGACUCUUUGUUUUAAUAAAUGAAUUUAAGCAGUUUAGUUUCAGUUAUCAGCUGUUUUAUUCUGUAAAAUAUUUUAUGUUGCAUGCUGCCGAGUGAAAGUUCCUUUAAAGCAUAUAGGACAAGAUAUUCUCGUUAAUUAUCAGAUAAAUAGCAGCAGAAUUUUAAAGGUUACAUAAAGUUAAUUAUUCAACAGAUUUCCUUCAGAAACUUUAUAUUUUCUUAAAUCACCUUGUACCCAGAUAUUAAAUGUUGCCUUCGGAUUAUAUUUGUUGCCUUCGAUUUAGUCAGCAUGCUUGACAGUUGCCCCACGAGUUCCUUGGUACUGGAACUCGUGUGGAGCGAGUAAUGCGGAUAAAGGUGGACUACGGUUCCCUGAAUCCUGCGAGUUGCGGCUCGGACUGACUUCGUGUCACUGAGACCUGCGAGUAUGUGUCACCCAUGGUGAUGCAAGGAAUUGACAGAUAUAAGGAUUUGACGGAAAUAGGGGUGCACCUAGGUGAUAGGUUUCAACUGUUUUCAAAUGUAUAGUUAUAUACAUGCAUUGAUUUCAGAAAUAAAGAAAAUAAGCUAGUUUGUAUAACUGUUUUUACAGUGGGGUUAGUAUGUUCAUAUAGUAUUUUCUAAACUUUGUUUUUGGGUCCACUCACCCUUCUUGUUGUUUUGCGCCCCCAGGCAGUAGACGUGCACAGGAAUCCACCCCCGGGCCCACUUCCCCAUCUUCCGCGCCCUUCUCUGAUGUAGGAUUUGUAUUUUGUACACAGAUUCACUCUUUUGGUAAAUUCUUAGUAGUCGCUCUGAUGUUUUGCCCUAGACUGAGCUUUGAUCUCUUGUGAUGUGUAUAUAUAUGUAUGCUGGCAGUUGGUUGUAUAUAUAUAUACUUGUUUUGACAGGUGUAAGAUUUUGGUAUUGAGCCAGAUACAAGGGAAACUCUGCCGGUUUUUCUGUAGAAGUCAACCUUGUUAUUUUUAUCAUGUAUUGUAUAGAAGGGCAAAUAGGACAUUUGUCCCCGACAUUCGCCAGGUGUCGGACACACACAGGGUCUGGCUCGGAUUCCAAAGUGGAAUUUGGAUCGGGUCCUGUCAAUAGGGAUGGCAAAAAUCUUCGUCGGGCUGGGUCUCCAGCCCUAACGGUGGGAAAUUUUAGGGCAAAACGGGGAUUGGGUACAGGGAUCCCCAAAUCUCGAUAAUUAUAAGAUUAAUUUUAAAUUAAUACAUAUAUAAUAUAGAGAGCUUUAGUUUUGAAACACAAUAUAGUUUACUAAUUUGGAAGAUGGGAAUACAAUUUCAUCUAAUUAGCAUAAGGCCGAAGACCAAAAUGCAGUAUAUAAUUUUACAAAAACAUCAUUAAAAAAUAUCAAAAUUACACACAAUGUCACUCCUUCUAAGGCAAGCAUACUAUGCCAUAUAUCCAUAUCCGGCCACCACUGCCAUAUAUCCGUAUCCGGCCACCAAUUCCGUUACCCUUUAUUCACCUUUAAAAAAAAAGAUAUUGUGUCAUUGAAGGGACUCGAACCUUGAUCCUCAAAGGAGGAAGGCUCACUCACAAACCACUACACCAAACUUGAUUUUGUAAUAUUUAUUCAGUUAUACAAUAUUUAUAUAAACAAUCAACGGUUUAAAAAACAAUCAUUUCAAUACAUAUUCACACAAAAAUUGCAAAUAAAAACAGAAACUGCAACAAAAAUACAAUGUAGAUAUCAAUUAUGUUUUAAAAAAACAAAAACAAAAAAAAAAACAAAAACAGCUACAAAAAUAAAAAUUAAUUUUAUUGAAGCGAAAUGGAGGAACCAAGAUGAAAGUACUAAAAUGGAAAUUAUGAUGCAGAAAUGGAAACUUCAAUGCAUAAACAGAAACUGCAAUGCAUAAACAAAAAAUGCAACAUAACUGCAAUGCAUAAAUGGAAACUGCAGUACAAAAAUGGAAACGGCAAUGCUAAGUUUGGGAAAAAUGACUCAACUCUAAAGUUAAACAAAACGAAACUAUAUAUUUUUAUUUAUUCAAUACAUGUUGGUAAAAUACUCUGUUUCUGGCAAUGCCGUUUCCAAAACUCAAAUUUUGAGUUCCCUUGCUCUGGCCCUCCCAAUUCCUUAUCUGUGUAGCCUCUACUCUUCAAAUUGGUGAGGUUGAAGGCUAUGGAAAGAGCAAAAAUCUAAUUGUAUUUAAAUGAAAACUGCAAUGCAGUUCCGAAAGUCCAAUUUUGAAUUCCCUUGCUCUUAGGUAGUUCUACUCUUCUCUUGCCCACCCAAUUCCUCAUCUGGGUAGCCUAUACUCUUCAAAUUGGUGAGGUUGAAGACCAAGAAAAGAGCAAAAAUACAAUUGUGAUUACAAAAAUGCAAUGCAGUUUCCAAAACUACAAUGCAGAACCUAUAUAAAAUUUCACUAAACUAAAGCUUAAAUUGACAGGACCCGACCCAAAUUCCACUUUGGAAUUCGAGCCGAACCUUGUGCGUGUCCGACACUUGACGGAUGCGGGGCAUAAAUGACCUAUUUGCCCUUCCAUUCAAAUACAGUUUAUCUCAAAUUUGACUUAUGCCGAAAAUUCAGUAGAGUCUCCCCUGUAAAUUGAACAUUUCCCAAAAUUUUCACAUGUAAAACAAGCAUAAAUAUACAUACAUAUAACCCAACUGCCAGCAUGCUUUAAAUUAUAUCCAAGAAAACAACAGUAUAUCAUUCUGCCCCCAGGGCUUCAUAAUUCAAGUAAAUCAUUCUAUCACAUGGAACUGAUUCUAACUUUUAGAACAACAUGAACACAAUAACAUAUUCAAAAAAAAUGUAGCUGAACCAUUUCUCAAUCCUUUUUGCCUCGCGGCUGUACCUAGUAAUUCUAGGCUGCCUACGUACCCUCAACUAGGGAUCAAGUCACACGUAGUUCUUCUAUUCCUGUUCCAAGCUUCUUGGCAUUACUCACAUGGCAAUAACUAUAUUUAAAUAAAGGAAUAAAAGCAUUUAGAUUCAAGUAAUCACUCUUGGAAAGCCAUAACUAUUAAUUCCUCGUGACACCAUUGGUGACACGUCCUUCCCUGUAAUUCUCGCUGGACUCAGGAGACAUCUGGUCAACCUGAUCCGCAAUUCUCGCUCCCACGAUCCGGAUAUCUCUAAGACUCGUGGGGCAAAGUAUGCUAGAAAUACUUGAGUUAUUUAAUACCAUAUCCAAUACAAAAAAGAUAAAGGCAAACAACUUAAAUAAAAUAAAAUAAGAUAAAUUAAAACAAAACGGAUUAAAAUAAGAUAAAAUAAAAUAAACAAGCUCCGAAUACUCUUGUAUCAAACUCAUGUAAGGUUCAUAAAUAAUUAUGUAUAUAUAUAUAUCCGUCUUUCUCUUGUGACAUAAAUAUCUUGAUUAAGAAAAUGAUAGUAACUGUAUGAAGUUCCUCAAUUUUACUUUAAAAAAAGCGUUUUAAAGCUUAAAUUCUCUCCACUAGGCGUACCCCCAUUUUUGAUCCAUCAAUUCCUUUAAUACCAUCAAUUCCAUCCUCGUAGAUCUCGGAAACAUAAAGUUAACCGAUCCGCAUUCCUCGCAGGUCUCGGAGAUACCACUUCAAUCCAAGCCGCAUUCCUCGCACCACACAGUUCAGGCGUUUCCGAAACUCGUGGGGCAUUAUCAAAAUAACCAAACUAUUUCAAAGUAACUUGGGGGCACCCUCGUGAUGAGUUUGAAAACCAUAACCUGGCUUUUAUAUCAACUUUCAAUAAACUUGUUCUCAACUAAACUUAAAAUAUAUAUACAUUUGUAUGCCACAAUCUGAUGAAAGCCAAGUGCUAUGAGUCAUCUUUUUCAACUAUUGAAUAUACAUAUAUUAAACACUUAGCUAGUAUGUUAGCCAUGUCGAUCUUUGAUUAACAUAUCGUUCAAAUAUUAUAUUAAUAAUCUUACAACAUAAUUAACCAUAUGAAUAUAUAAGCAUGUGAUAAAUCAACAUAUAAUUAAAUGCUCAACCUAAAUUCACAUAAAAUAAAGAAGGGUAAACUACAGUAAACUCCCCAACCUAUAGGGCAUUUACGAGUCCAUACCCGAUUUUGGGGACAUUUAUGAGUACAUACUCAACGUCGCGGAAAACCUACAAUUUGCCCCCCUCCGUUAGCGAGACCCAUCAGGAAAUCUGUUAAACGCUGACGUGGCGAAUGUGGGUUCUAUUUUUUAAUGAGGUGGACUUACAGGUGGACAAAUAAAUAAUAAAAAAAUUUAUACAUGUUAAAAAUAAAUUUUAAAUCAUAUUAAAAUCAUUAAAAAAUGAAAAGAAAAAAAAAAUCUCCUCUCUUCUCCUACAUAGCCAACCCUCUCUCCCACCCGACUCAACCCUACCUCUCAGCCACCCCCCUUUCGUCGCCCACCUCCAAACCCAACUCUCUCUCUCUCUCUCUCUCUCUUCUUCUCCCUCCCAACCCACCCCAACUUCUCCAGAAAGCUCAUCAUUCUUCUCCUCAAAUUUAAACCCAUUUUACAACAACAUUAGGAAAUACAAAUUGUGAAGAAACUUGGAAAAGAAGAAUAUUGGUAAAGUACUGUGAUAGGUUGAUUUCCAAAUUACCACAUUUGAAACAAGAUUAAUUUUUGCAGAUAAUUCCUCUUGAUUAAUUAUCAGUUUCUGGGUAAACUGAUAAACCCAAAAACAAGAUUAAUUUUUGGAACAAAAUGAUAAAGUUCAAAGAAACAUAAACCUAAAAAAGAACAUUGCCUAAAAAGGCAUAUCCUUCACCAAUAACAAACAACUAUCAGAACACAAAAAACGCAGAUAAUUCCUCAAAUUUAAACUCAUUUUGCAAAUCCUAAUAUUGUUCUAGCUCCGGUGAGAUCUGAAGAACGAUGACGAGCUCACGAGGUCUUGAGAACAUUCCCCAUGGCGUGUUGCAAAGACCCAACCACCUGGGUUUUGUAGAUCAGCCUCAUUCAUUCUCGACAAGCAGGACCAAGAAUGAAAUGACGCUGCAUCGGCCUUGAAACCCUACUCCCUCACUCUCUCCCCGCCACUGCAGUCCUCAUCCAUGGCCGACCCCUCGCAAAGCCCUAACCCUAAGAUCUCGGCCUACUACCAAACCCGGGCGGCACACCACGGCAUCAUCACGAGCGACUGGCUGGCCCAGGCUCAAGCUGCCCUCUGCCAAAACCCCAACGAACAAGGUCCAAUCGUCGGCAAGGUUGAAGCCAGACCCGAUUCUGCUUCCGGCAAGCCCUUCAGCGUCAUCGAGGAGUUCAAUAACUAGAGAAAGCAGCCCGAUUUGGCCGAGGCUGUGGCAGCGAUUCGGGCAUUGGAGUCUGUGAUUCGGUCUAGUAAGGCCACCACGAUGACGGAGCUCGAAAUUGAGCCUGGGGAAGUUCCUUCAUGUUCUUGCAUUCUUUCACAGAGAGAGAGAGAGAGAGAGAGAGAGAGAGAGAGAGAGAAUGAUUUUUCUUUUUCUUUUGAUUUUAAAUGAAAAUUAAUUAUUUAAUAUAAUUUUACUUGUUUUGUAUAAUUGUUUAUUAGUUUUUUGUCCACGUGGAAUCCCACGGUAAUUAAAAAAUGGGUCCCACAAAUGCCACAUAGGCAGAUAACGGAUUUUCUGACGAUCUCGCUAACGGAUGGGGCAAAUUGUAGGUUUUCCGCGACGUUGAGUAUGUACUCAUAAAUGUCCCUAAAAUCGGGCAUGGACUUGUAAAUGACCCUAUAGGUUGGGGGGUUUACUGUAGUUUACCCAAUAAAGAAAUUAAGACCAUAAAUAAACUAAUUGAACACUCUCAUGCACAUUAACUUUCUAAAAGCUUAAACAUAUUCUAUGGAGCUCAUCCUCAUUAUUUAAUGCAAAGUCCUGGCACUGGGCUCCUAGAAGUGCGUGCAUUGAAUUGAAGGUCAUUCUCAAGCCUAUGUAAGCUUUUCCACUUAUUGGAAUGAUCUAGAAAUGCCUCGGGACUCAAAAGCUAUAAGUUCCAAAAAGUCAACCAGGGACCCCGUGGGGUCCACAACCUAAAAUUUUUUGAUCCGAGAGUUGCCAGAGGUUCUAACAUGCCUAGGACAUAUGUCCCAAGAGUCUGGUCUCGAUCGGACGGUCGGACUACUCACGAUCGCACGAUCUGACGGUUACUGUAGACCCAGCCCUAGCGUUGGCCUUUUCGGAGUAUCCGGGACUCCGAUUUCACGAUCCAUUGAAUUCUACACAAUUCUGGAAUUACAUAGAUCAACAUAUAAGAAAUUGACUGCGAUCCAACGGUUCAAACGUAUCGAACUGAGAAAUUGCACAAUAUGCGAGAUCCGUUCGGGGUACAAACAUUGUCCGAAUUGAGAUCUGUGAAUUCCUACGCGCUCGUGACAGCAUAAGGAUAAUUUUAGAACAAAAUUUCGGACCGUCACCCUGUCCACGUGCCAGCAACGCGUGGGUGUCUAGAUAAAUUUCUGUGGCCGGAAAACUUCAAGGUUGAAGGCCAAGCUUCCUAUCCUAGGUAAAACACCCUAUUUGGAACCACUUUUGUUCUUGGGCCUAGCCCAAGAAGUGGCCGGAAUCGAAGGCCGAAACUGGCCAAAAUUUUAAUCGCUUAAUCAACCAAUUAAACGCAAAAAUUUCUCAAAUAUAACACAACCAGCAGCUAGAACACGUUGAAAGUAUAGAAAAUCAUACUAAAUUCGAAAGAUUUGGUGGCCGGAGGCGUUCGAACGAGUUCCCGAAAGUUUACUAAAAAAACUGCCCAACACCGCUUGUUACAUGGCUGAUUCCAGUGACCACAUCGGCGGAUCAAGACUGGGACCAGUCGAAAAUCAAAGAGGGAAGUGAGGUGAUUCUAAUGGGACCAGUGCCGCCAAGAAGGGAGGUGUGUGGUGGCGGUGGUGGAGGAGAGAAGUUGGUUGGUCAUGAAGCUUCUGAGGAGGGGGAGAAAAUCUGGGUUUUAAAACUAAACUUUGGAAUAUUUACGGUUAUGCCACGGAACUUCUUUUGAUCGUAACUUCUUCGUUACAACUCCGUUUUGAGCCCACUAUGUGUCUACGGACUCAUCUCGACGUGCUCUAUGCAUUAGUAUAAUUGAAAUUUCCAAAAUACUUUCCGGUCAAAAAGUCAAUUUUUUCCCUAAUAAUUUAUUCUAGGGGCAAAAUUGUAUUUUUCUCUAAUAAUUUAAUAAUUAAAAAUUAAUUAAGGACCGGGUUGUUACAUAAAUGGCAUUACAAAAUAUCAUAUGAUAGUGAUGGCAUCAACCAUUUCCAAAUCAAGACAAAUGUACAGUAAGUGAGUUUUAUAAUAAGAAGUUGCAGCUAAAUUAGAUCAUUACCUGACAUACAUGCAUACAUAUAUUUGAUCACAAACUCUCACAUUCCAAAGAACCCUAAGAUUAAAGUCAUACUUUCACUUUAGAAUUUUGAAAACUAAAUUAAAUUAAAAUUCGAGAUGGGAUGUUACAACAUACAUGAAUUCGAUGGUCCAACAGAAGUAUCUAUGAUUACAGUUCAUAUUAGACAACUUUCUAUUCUUCCCUUAUGAAAAGAAAUGCUGCAGCAAUAGGAAGCAGCUCCAUAAACUAAGAAACAAGUCAAUAUUUACCUACAUACUAUAAGAGUACAGACUAAUGAAUAAAAAGUAUUUUGAAAAGCAGAAUACCUCUCUGGCAAUACCCCAUACUUUUUUCAUAUAUAGAACUCAAGGUGUAAUGAAUUUGCAGCUGCAACCGCAAGAUCAUAUCCAAAUAACUACAAACAAACACAAAAAACCUAAAUUACUAACAAAAAGCAAUAUGCAGUAACAAAAAGAAAACUAAUUUAUUAAGCUGCAUUAGAGGUUAUAGAGAUGUAAAAACUAUAUCUGAAGACUAACAUUUAGCAUAUUCAAAUGUUUGAAAGUAAAUCACAACAUUGGCUUAAACUAAGGCCCCGUUUGAUUCAUGGUAAAGGAGACUUGGGAAUGGGAAAUCAAUUGCUUUCCCAUGUUUGGUAAGUCUAGGUAAGGGAAAUCGUUGCCUAGCUCAUGGAAAAGUAGGGGGGAAAGUGAAGUCAUCCACCCAACUUGGGUUUUGUUUUCCCUCCUCAUGGGAAAGUUUGGGAAAAUAAGCUAACAUUAAAUACAUAUUUUUUAUGACAAUUUUAUCCCCAUUAACAAUUUAGAAUUACAAUGACAGGACCCGAUCCAAAUUCCACUUUGAAAUCUGAGCCAGACCCUGUGUGUGUCCGACACCUGGCGAAUGUCGGGCACAAAUGUCCUAUUUGCCCUUCUAUACAAUACAUGAUAAAAAUAACAAGGUUGACUUCUACCGAAAAACCGGCAGAGUUUCCCUUGUAUCUGGCUCAAUACCAAAAUCUUACACCUGUCAAAACAAGUAUAUAUAUAUACAACCAACUGCCAGCAUACAUAUAUAUACACAUCCCAAGAGAUCAAAGCUCAGUCUAGGGCAAAACAUCAGAGCGACUACUAAGAAUUUACAAAAGAGUGAAUCUGUGUACAAAAUACAAAUCCUACAUCAAAGAAAGGCGCGGAAGAUGGGAAGUAGCCGGUGGUGGAUUCCUGUGCACGUCUACUGCCUGGGGGCGCAAAACAAUAAGAAGGGUGAGUGGACCCAAAAACAAAGUUUAGAAAAUACUAUAUGAACAUACUAACCCCACUAUAAAAACAGUUAUACAAACUAGCUUAUUUUCUUUAUUUCUGAAAUCAAUGCAUGUAUAUAACUAUACAUUUGAAAACAGUUGAAAACUAUCACCUAGGUGCACCCCUAUUUCCGUCAAAUCCUUAUAUCCGUCAAUUCCUUGCAUCACCAUGGGUGACACAUACUCGCAGGUCUCAGUGACACGAAGUCAGUCCGAGCCGCAACUCGCAGGAUUCAGGGAACCGUAGUCCACCUUUAUCUGCAUUACUCGCUCCACACGAGUUCCAGUACCAAGGAACUCGUGGGGCAACGGUCAAGCAUGCUGACUAAAUCGAAGGCAACAAAUAUAAUCCGAAGGCAACAUUUAAUAUCUGGGUACAAGGUGAUUUAAGAAAAUAUAAAGUUUCUGAAGGAAAUCUGUUGAAUAAUUAACUUUAUGUAACCUUUAAAAUUCUGCUGCCAUUUAUCUGAUAAUUAACGAGAAUAUCUUGUCCUUUAUGCUUUAAAGGAACUUUCACUCGGCAGCAUGCAACAUAAAAUAUUUUACAGAAUAAAACAGCUGAUAACUGAAACUAAACUGCUUAAAUUCAUUUAUUAAAACAAAGAGUCCACUCACUGGUAGUUUGAGCUCGCUGGACCUCUUGAAGGUCCCUCCUGCGGGUCAACUGGUGCCCGGGUGCCUGAUUCAAUGACCAUAAUAUUCUAUUAAUACAAUAUAGUAUUAAAUUAAAAACCCUACCCCCGGCUCCUAAAAGUACGUGCGUCAAUUUAAAGUGAUCCCUAUGCCCAUAACAGCUUUCCUUCCACGUGGGAUAGUUUAGUGGUAUCUUGGGACUCAAAAAGCGCUAAAGUCCAAAAAGUCAAUCCGGAACCCCACGGGUACAAUAUGAUCCGGAUGCCGCUAGAAGGUCCAAUAUAUUUAGGACACAUGUCCCGAGGGUAUUGGUGUCAAUCGGACGGUCAGAUUAAUUACGAUCGUGUAAUCGCAUAAUUUCUAAACCCUAGCCCUAGGGUUCGCGUUUUCGGAGUAUCCGGGACUCCGAUUCACAAUCCGUCGAAUCCUACACGUUUCUAAAAUUAUCUGGAACAACAUAUCUAAAAUUGAUUACGAUCCAACGUCUCAACAGUAUUGAACCCUAUAAUCGCAUAAUAAGGAAAAUUCGUUCGAGGCUCAAACGGUAUCCAAAUUGAGAUCCGCAAAUUCCUAUGCGCUCGUGACGACCUAAGGAUCGCAUCAGAACACAGUGUCACGGCACCACACUCGUCCACGCGCCGCCGCACGCGCCGGCAGCGAUGGGUGUCCAAAGCGAUUACGCAUCGCCGGAAAAUCUCAAAACCAAGGCUCCAAACUCCUAUCCUAGGUAUAACACCAUAUUUGGAACCACUUUUGUUCUUGGACCAACCCCAAAAAGUGGCCGGAAACGGCCGAUCACGGAGGCCGCUGUUCGGCCGAUUUUCACUUCGAAAAUUGAGUGAUCUACAGCUAAAAUCGAUCAAAACCCAGCCAACCAUCAGUUAGAGCAUAAAAAAUAGCUGAGAAACCAUACCUUACUCGAACGAUUUGGUUGAGAAACGAAGGAGAUCGAGGAGCUUGAAGUUUCGACUGAAAACCGGUCGGUUUUCGCCUGAUCCCGGCGAGCUCCGGUCGGUGCAGGGGCGGCGACGGGUCAGGUCGUGACGGCGAGGGUGUGGCGGAGCUAUUGGUACCAACGCCGGAGAUCGGCGUGCCCUGUGGUGGCCGCUGUCUCAAUCGGAAGGGAGGAGGGUGGCUGGCGCGACGGGAGGGAGGAGAGAGAGAGGAGAGAGAACUGAAGAGAGAGAGAGAGGAACAGGUUUUAUAAAAUCUGAUUUUCCAAUUUACCAUUUUGCCCCUGGUGAUAUUUUAAUCGUAUUUCCGUCGUUAAAACUCCGAUUUGAGCUUACUUCGUGUCUAUGAACUCGUGUCGUCGUGCUCUACGCAACGGUGUAUGUGGAAUUGUCAAAUUCCUUUUCGGUCAAAAAGUCAACUUUGAGUUCAUAAGUGAGUCAAAGGGCAAAAUUGUCUUUCCGCAUAAUAAUUUACUAAUUAAAUAUGAAUUUUAGGUUUGGGUCAUUACACCUACUCUAACAUCAAUUCCUGACUUUGUCAGUGAAGCUAACUAAGGUGAUACCCCCUCCAGCUACUAAGAGGAGCAACAAAAAUAAUACUCAUGCAGUCCUUUUUUAUCAAUGCAUGUGAAGCCCAAAUUGCUUCCACUUGGCCCAUUGUCCAUUUACCAAGCAUGGGACAUUCCACACUUAUAUGGACCAAUCUCUCUCUAUUCUACCAAUGUGGGACAAAGGUGUCUUGGAUUUCAUUCAAACUUCCAACAAUAGUUACUACCAAAACAAUUCUCUAAAAUGAGGAAAUUACCAAAAGCGAAUGGGUAAUGAGUGGAGAGGUCUAUGAUCUUUUAAGCACUUGAUGCAAUUUGAUCUUCAAUUCAGCAUACUCUCAACAUCGCCUUACAUUAUUGACUGUAUCAAAUCAUUUAUUGGGCAUCAAAAUUUCCUCUACCUCCUCUCUAAUUAGAGAGAAAAACAUGUAUGGAGUUGUUCAUACCACGCGGUAAUGCCGAGUGAUAUAAUAUCAUCAAUCAAAUAUUGAAAUUCUAUCAUACAAUCUUGAUACCAAUUAAACUGGAACUUGAUACCAAACAAUCCUUUCCUUACAUUUGAAAGAUAUAUACUCUUUGAAAAAUGGCCACCAUAUGGUCUUUCUUAGCUGAAAGAUGGAUACCUUUUAGUUGAGAGUAGUGUCCACCAUUUGGGCUGUGUAUCUUUUUUUACAUCAAGUUCUAUUUGGAGAAAAGACUUUCAUGAAAUGGGAAUAGCAUUAGUUUGCUAUUAUCCCGACUAAUGACAUUUUGACACGCAUGACAACACUUUCACAUGACAUUAUAUUAUUGGUAAGUAUAGCAAAAUAGUGAUAUCACAAUUAAAUUUGACUGCUGCAAGUACGGACUACUACAUUUAUUCAUUUGGAGGAAAUUUCCACGGUGUGACCCAGUUGCUCUCACUAAUUGCCGUAAAUGACAAGACAACAUGUAAGUCAAGUCUAACUGAUCAGCAGGGACGAAAAUAGUUAAAUUGGCCUGGCAUUGUAAUGCGAAAACGAAGAGUUAAAUCUUUGUGAGGUUCUCUCUCUCUCUCUCUCUCUCUCUCUCUCUCUCUCUCUCUCUCUCUCUCUCUCUCUCUCUCUCUCACACACACACACAUGGCUUAUGUACCAGCAGUUUGCUAAAAUAUGAAAACUAUGAGAGAAUAUUUGUUUGUGGGAAUUUUCUGUGUAUUCUUCUCCUUGUAGGAGGUCAUAUUUAUAAUACAACGAAACCUAAAUAGGCAAGUAAAUAAUAAAUUCCUAAAUCUAUUUGCAGUAGGAAAUCAGAAAUUAAAGUAAAUCCAUUACAAUUAUAAUAGGAAUUCUUGGUGUGUAAGGAAAGUAAGUCAAUAUCCACAAGUCACGCCAACACUCCCCCUCAGUUGGUGCAUAGAUGUCGCCAAUGCCCAACUGAUCUAGUGAAUUGUGGAAUGCUUUACUGGAAAUCGCCUUUGUCAAAAUAUCCGCCAAUUGAUCCUCGGAUUUCACAAAAUGCGCAAUCUGGUCCAUGUGUCGGGGUCGUUAAUCGAGAAGUCAUAAUCUGUGCAGCGGAAGAUGCAUAGGAUACAGUUGAGUAGGAAUUGGGAUCGGAAUAUGAGCCUGAAUCGAGGCCGGAGUCAGAGUUGAAAUCGGGAUCAGGGUCUGAAUCAGAGCCAAAUUCGAGGUUGGGGUCAUCAUCGGAGUGGGGGUCGGGGUCGUCUUCGGAGUCGGGGUCGGGGUCGGGGUCGGGGUCAUCAAAAAGGGAUCCUGAUUCUGGAUCGGGUUCGGGGUCAAAGUCUGCAUCUGUAGGAGCGGAGCCAUCUGGGCACUCAACUCAAUGAUGGUUGGUGGAGAAUGAGAGAAUGAGUCGGUGGUGCUACCUCCAUGAGGGUUGAAAAAAUCAUCAACCCCCAUAACACUAAAUAAAAUAAUCUCUAUUACAAUAGGACAAAAUAUAAUUGGUAAGUAACCAAAAUUCUAAUGAAAUAAGGAACCAAAAUUCUAACUAAGGACUCGCCAACACUUCCCCUCAAGUUGGGCAAAGAUAUUUCGCACGCUCAACUUGACAAGCGAGUCACAGAACACCAUACUUGAGAAGUAACAAUUGUAGAGAAGAUCUUUUAGUCAACCACGAGUGAAACAAGUGACAAACUAAAACAAAGUUCACAGCGGAAACACAAGAGCAAACCCUAAAAAAUAGGGCACAUAGCAAAACACAGAAAUCUUGUGGGCACGGCUGUAGAUAAGGCAGAACACCGAAACCCCAUGAGCACGGCAGUAGAGACAAUGGCAACAAUAAAUUCUUCCAUAGAAACUUUAGCUAAUUCACUCAUACACAACUUCUCUUCAAUCCUCCUCUCCCCUUGAAGAGAAGGGGUCGUCGGAGUCAAGAAAUAAGCAACAUCUUCAUGGAAAUACGUCAAGGUAAUUGGGAUAGGUCAAUAAACAUAUCCCUUUCACUUCCCCUCCCCCCCCCUCUCAAGGGGGGAGAAGAGCACUUAAAUUUCAAGAAGAACACAAGCACAGGUCUCUAGAUCGAACCUGGCUCUGAUACCAUGCUAAAAUAUGAAAACUAUGAGAGAAUAUUUGUUUGUGGGAAUUUUCUGUGUAUUCUUCUCCUUGUAGGAGGUCAUAUUUAUAAUACAACGAAACCUAAAUAGGCAAGUAAAUAAUAAAUUCCUAAAUCUAUUUGCAGUAGGAAAUCAGAAAUUAAAGUAAAUCAAUUACAAUUAUAAUAGGAAUUCUUGGUGUGUAAGGAAAGUAAGUCAAUAUCCACAAGUCACGCCAACACAGUUGUGUUCUUACUCUGUGCUUUAACGAUUGUAAAAGCUGAAAGAAAUCACUCCAAUGUUAUCGAAUUGGGUUCCUCUCUAUCUCCGAAUUCUAACCUGAGUUCAUGGCUCUCACCUUCUGGCCACUUCGCCUUUGGUUUCUAUCCACAAGGCAACGGCUUCGCUGUUGGGAUACAGCUUGUUAAUGAUCCUAGUCUGACUAAGGCUGAGCAAAGCAUAGUCGUCUGGACUGCACAGCGAGAUGGUCCGCUUGUCUCCUCCAACUCUAUGCUACUGCUAACAAGAGACGGUCUGCUUCUUCAAACUGAGCAAGGCAAACAAGUACCCAUUACCGGAAAUUUGUCAAUAAAGGCACGUUCAGCUGCUAUGCUUGAUUAUGGAAACUUUGUAGUCUAUGAUCAUCGUUCUCAGGUUAUCUGGCAGAGCUUUGAUUCCCCAACUGAUACCAUAUUGGGAGGUCAAAAUCUGAAUUCUGGCAUGGAUUUGGUAUCUAGUGUGUCUUCCACCAACCACUCUAGUGGACGAUAUUGGCUGAAGAUGCAGGCUGAUGGCAACCUCGUUUCUUACCAGAUAAAUAUCACCACUCCAGAAGCUUCUUAUUGGAAUUCCAACACUAACGGUGACAUGAAGCUCAGUCUGACAGUACGGGGGUUUCUCGUUUUGCUUCCUGAAACUGGUACAGGUUCUGCACAUCCCUUGGCAACUGGCUCAGAUGACCCCCGCAAUAACAGAACUAUUAUCUACCGUGCAACGCUGGAUGCUGAUGGGAUUUUCAGAUUGUACUUGCACAAUUACUCUGUGAUGAGCCGCAGGUCAAGAGUGUUGAUUGUUUGGUCCAAUUUGCAUGACCAAUGUGAAGUCAGAGGUGUCUGUGGCUUCAACAGUUACUGUGCACUCAUAUUUGGAAAGACAAACAAAACUGACUGUCAUUGUUAUCCCGGUUUUGUAAUCAACCCCAAUGAUGAGUUUCGGGGCUGCUAUAAGAACGGUAGUGACGAUGGCUGCACUGGCAAUGAAAACCAAAGGCUGCGGUACAACAUGGCUUCCAUAGACCAUAUAUUAUGGCCAGGUGACCAUCCUUAUUCAGUGGUGCGAUUAGAGAAGCUACAAGUUUGCAGCGACUCUUGCCUGGAAGACUGUAGUUGUAAGGCAGUACUGUAUAUUAAUGGCAGUUGCAACAAAUACAAGCUACCACUUCGAUAUGGUAGAACAAGCCCAGGUAUAUCAGCCACAGGAUUCAUCAAGGUAGCUGCAACACACAAUCUGCAGUUACAUAAUCCAACGGCUACCGGAAAUUCGACAUUGGUGAAAUAUGAAACCAAGAAUAGUCGUGGCUUGAUUGUAAUUCUUGCUGUGAGUCUGGGUUGUAUUGCAUGUAUAUGUUUUGCCUUUGCAGUCUCCAGUUUCACCAUAUACGUUUACCGACUUAAGAGGUACAAGAAGCUGUUGGAUCAUACCAAAGUGGGAUUGGCUGAAGAGUUGUUCAGUUUACAAUCGUUUUCGUACUCUAAGCUUGAAGACGUAACUCAUGGUUUUAAGGACGAGCUAGGAAGGGGCACUUUUGGAGCUGUUUACAAAGGAACUCUGUCAACUAGUAACAAAGUAGUUGCGGUUAAAAGGCUCGAGAAAGUUGUGGAAGAAGGAGUGAGGGAAUUCAAAGCUGAAAUCACUACUAUUGGACGAACUCAUCACAGAAACUUGGUUCAGUUGCUUGGUUUCUGUAUCGAAGGCUCCCGAAAGCUUCUUGUAUAUGAAUACAUGAGCAAUGGCUCGCUUGCACAUCUUCUUUUUAAUAAAGCCGUGCCUGUGCGCCCUUCCUGGAGAGAGAGAGUAGGAAUUGUGUUGGAUGUGGCUAAAGCAGUGCUCUAUUUACAUGAAGAGUGCGGUGUGCGUAUCAUACACUGCAAUUUGAAACCCCAAAACAUACUUCUGGAUCAUACUUGGACUGCCAAGAUCUCUGAUUUCGGUUUGGCGAGGCUGCUAAUUCCAAAUGAUCAAACAGAGAUAGCUAUUGGAGGUGAACAGAGAAGCGGUUACUUGGCACCAGAAUGGCAGAAGAACGCCCUGAUAUCAGUAAAAUCAGACAUCUAUAGUUUCGGUAUUGUACUUUUGGAGACUGUAUGCUGCAGAAAAAACAUAGAGCUAAAAGUUUCAGCUCCAGAUGAGAUGAUUCUUUCUAGUUGGGCAUAUAAAUGCUUUAAGGCCGGAGAAGUAUAUAAGCUUGUGGAAGAUGAUGAUCAAAAUGUAGAUUUGAAGACAUUAGAGAGAAUGAUUAAAGUGGGGCUGUGGUGUGUUCAGGACGACCCAGGUUUGCGUCCCCUCAUGAAGAACGUAAUCUUGAUGUUGGAAGGGACAACGGAUAUACCAGUCCCUCCAUCUCCAGAGCUUCCCAAGCCUGUUGACUUUUGAUUAAUCAAAUCCAUGUUUAUCAGGCUGAUAAGUCUAUAUUUUAUAUAUAUUUUAUGCUUCCUUUGCUUAUUUAUUUAUUAAUUUCUCAGAUUAAAUUGGUUGUUUUUAAUUGGUUUUGUGAGAUUUGUGAAGGAAUUGUGAAAUAGGAGAAAGUGUGCUAAAAAAGGCAAGAAGAUGAAGAUCAAUUAAAAAGAAGCCAAGUCAUUCCUUUUGUUGCAAGGAAUGUUGUCAAAUUUCCUAGUUCAAGAUGGUGCAAGUCUUAUCAAGUCAAAUAAGGAGAAAUAAAGAAGACCUUAUUUUAGAAGGAAUCCUAUUUUUAUAACAAUUGUAAUUAUUCCUUAGGUAGGAUUUCUAGGAGUUUUAUAAAUAGGGAGUUUAGGUCAUUGUUGAAAGGAUCCAUUACCCAUCAUCUUUUUCCACCAUCGUCUUCUCUACCAUAUUUUUCCACCAACUUUCAUUCAACCAGAGAAAUAUCAGAGGAAGCCAAGAAUUUGCUGCUGCAUUAUUGGAGGAGCUUUUGAAGGUGUUCCUGUGAAGAUUCUGAAGAUCAAGUCCAUCGGCCAAAUUGGUUUUAUGACAAAAAUUCUCUUGUUUAUAUUUUCUUCUGUCAUGAACUAAUUUCCCUUGCUAGGGCUACGAUGUAGCCUAACCUUGAAUACUUAAUUUCUAUCGUUAUAUUAAUUUCUGAUUAUUAUCUCAUGUUGAGUAUUUGUUACUGUUCUUAAUGAUUUAAAUAUCUAGCUAAUAUUUAAUUGAUGAUCCAAGCGGAGACCGAGAGGAGAUGUUUGGUGUUUGCUUCUUGUAACAAAUACCAUGACUUGAAUGAGUGCCCGAGAGGGACUAACAUGAUUCAUGCAGUUUUCUUGUAGGUUCUCAUAGAACUUAAUGGGUUCUUGGUUUUCUAAAUCCGUUGCUCGAGAGAGAAUGAGUUGUUAAUUGAGAAUACUUUUGGUUGAGCCCGAGAGGGGAUAUCAAAUGAAUUAGGAGAAACCAACUGUCAACAUGGAUAGUAAUUAGGGUUAAUUGGCUAUAAGAAUUAAGUAGAAUUGGUUAUGGUGAAGUCGGAUGCUCUAGUGUCUCAUCAUCUUAAUUUUCUAUCGUUAAUUAAAUUGUUAUUUUUCAUAAUUGUUUUAGUUUUCUUAAAAUUAAUCAAUCUUCUUAAUCAACUGUUCAAAUAAACUUAUGCAUUAAUCAUAAUUGGUAAUUAAUAGGAAAUUACAAUCUUCGUGGGAACGAUACUUUACUUAUUUCUAUAUUACUUGUACGGAUUGUGCGCUUGCAAUAAUUUCACAACAGAGGCUUUACGCAUUAAGUGAUAUGCAUAUGAAGAUAUGUUACGGAAUUUCUAGACUCGAUAUAUGGAUGUAGCUAGACUCAUCCAUAUUCUAAUUUGGUAUGUCUUUGAAAUGUAAUAAUCAAUGUCCAGAGUUUUUUUAGGUUUCUCUUGUUUUAAUCAUGUCAAAAUAAUGUUCAUGUACGUUUCUAGACUUCAAACUGGUUAUAAUUUCGAGCCUUUGUAAAUUAAUCCAUAACCCAAUAUCUAGGAACUUUAUAAUUAGGGAAAAUGGCAUAAAUUACAUGUACAGAUUGAUGUAGGACUAGGAAGGAUAAUGUUAAUAAGAUUGAAGCUUGUUUUUGAAGGCUGUAAGAUUAUAGUGAGAAAAUAUUUUUAGGGUGUAUUCGUUCAAAUACUUUUUAGGGUGCUCGUUUGUCAUGCAGAGUCGAGUGAUAUUAGAGAGUAGGGAAUAAAACACAAGACCUCGAGCUUCAAUUACAAGCUCCUUUCCAUGGUGUGAAAUAACUUUAAAAAGUCAAAAUCAAGAACAUGUACAGUCCACAAGAGCAGUGUAGGGUACACUACAACUGGAAAAAUAAUGCAUUGUUGACUACUAGUGUGCAAUGCAGUGACAAUUCUUCUCCAAAUUAGUGGGCAAACUUUUCACUAUACAUGCAUUUCUUAAUCAGUAAAUUGUUGUAAUUCUUUGUAUUUUUUUUUUGGUCAAUAUUGAUGUUUUUUUUUCUUUUUACUUUUAUUGUUAUAAAAAAAUUCUCCACUAAAUUGUAGUAAUUAUAAUUGCUCAGGAAAGCCAAUUGCCACUAAAGUAGAUGAAUAUGGCAUCGUUGUUACGAACUAGCUCUUAGUCAAGUGAUAAUAUAGAGUUUCUAAGUUUGAAUACUCCCUCCCAUGCCAAAGUCUCUUUAGACUUAUUCAUUGGGGACAAGGAGAAGGCAGGAUAGGGCCACCAGGAGCAGCUGCCUUACUUUGACAUUAUACUGAUAAUUGAUAAAGCAAUAUGCUUCUGUGUCAUGGUAAAUAUGAUUUUCAUUUGUGGUUAAUUUGACUCAACAAGAAGACUUGGUCAGUCAACACACCUUAAAUCACGUAUUUCUCUCUCUCAUAUCUAUCAACUUAAUUUAAGGAGUGAAAAUAAUCCAAGCUUUUCAUCUUUCAGUAUGGCUUCCAAUAUUCAGAUUGUUGUCUUCCUCCUUUCUGUAUUUUGUCUAGCAGGUGACGGAGCUCCACAAAAGCAUUCUAGCCAAAUAAUAAACCCAGGCUCUUCACUUUCUCCCCAAAGUACUCACCAACCAAGCUCAUGGCCUUCUUCUUCCGGCCACUUUGCUUUUGGGUUUUAUCAGCAAGGAGAUGGAUUUGCUGUCGGAAUUUGGCUGGUGGGAAUAGAAGGAAAAACAAUUGUUUGGACAGCAAAUCGUGACGAUCCCCCAGUGACCUUAAAUGCAAUGCUGCAGUUAACAAGUGAUGGAAAGCUUGUUCUAAGUGACCGAGGACAACAAAAGAACCUCAUCAUCGUCACUACUAGUACUAAUUCAUCGACAGACUCUGCAGCUUCCUCUGCCUCCAUGCUUGAUUCUGGAGAUUUUGUUCUGUAUAACAAAAGAUUCGAUGUCAUUUGGAAGAGCUUUAAUCAUCCGACUGACACUCUCCUUGGAGGUCAGAUUCUGCCUAUUGGAGGUCAACUAUUCUCCAGUUUUUCAGAAAAUGACCACUCAACAGGACGGUUCCAUCUCAACAUGCAGGCUGAUGGAAACCUGGUUCUAUACCCGGCAAACAGCGAAAACUCGCGUGCAGAUUCUUAUUGGAGCUCUGAAACCUAUGGCCAACCUAAGCUUCAACUUUAUCUUAACACUACAGGUCGUCUAGUUCUCAUCAACAGCACUAGGUGGGCAGAUUUCAAUGUUUUAAAUUAUGAUGAUUUGUCCAAAGCCAACCACAAAAAUGGUACCAUAUAUCGUGCGACUGUUGACGUGGAUGGAAAUUUCCAGUUGUAUUCUUAUGAAUAUGAUGAGAGUAUUGGAAAACUCCGGCCAUCCCUUAUGUGGUUUAAACCGGACAAUCCUUGUGAUGUUAAAGGCUUAUGUGGCCUUAACAGCUACUGCACAUUCAACGACAAUAAACCAAACUGCCUUUGCCUUCCUGGAUCUGAUUACGCUGCCUCCGAUCACAUGAUACUCGGUUGCUCGAGAAACUAUACUCAAGUAGAGUGUAAAGAUGGGAAAGAAAAUACAUCAAGUUAUCACAUGAGCACCAUGGAGAAUAUGGUGUUGGAAGACGCUGCUUAUGAUCAAGCACAAAUGUCAACGGUGGAAGAAUGCAGCAGAUCUUGCCUGGAAGACUGCAACUGCGGGGCAGCUGUUUUCGACAGUGAGAGUAAUAUUUGUGCCAAACAAAACUUACCACUCAGAUAUGUCCGAAGGGAUCUCGAGGAGUCUACCAGAGCUGUCUUCAAGGUCGGCAACAUAACAAGUAGUAACAUAAGCAACAAUCAAAACAACACUAAUCUACCCAUCCCGGGGAAUCCAAUUACCACGGUUGUUACUACCACAGACAAGAAAGUGAUAGAGCAAAUUCUUGUUUUAACUUUAACUCUCAUCAUAUUCUCAUGUGCCGCCCUUGCAGUUUCUGCAUUUUACAUUUUUAAAAUCCGACUUCUGCGCUACGAAAGGUUGACAGAGCUUAAUGGUGAUUUGGGGCUGGCUGAUGAGGAACUUACUUUGAGAUCUUUUUCAUACAAUGAGCUGAGAAGAGCUACCAAUGGGUUCAAAGAAGAAUUGGGAAAGGGCUCGUUUGGAGCAGUUUACAAAGGGGCUUUAAACAAAGGAAAAAAAUUCAUUGCAGUGAAAAGAUUAGAGAAGCUAGUCGAAGAAGGUGAGAGGGAGUUUCGUGCGGAGAUGCAAGCAAUCGGAAGAACUCACCACAAGAACUUAGUUCGAUUGCUUGGUUACUCCGCUGAGGACUCAAAAAGGCUCCUUGUGUAUGAAUAUAUGAGCAAUGGCUCCCUUGCAGAUCUCCUUUUCAGGACUGAAUGGCAUCCUACUUGGAGUGAAAGAGUAACAAUUGCACUCGAUGUCGCAAGAGGUCUCCUCUAUCUACAUGAAGAGUGUAAGGCCCCUAUCAUCCAUUGCGACAUAAAGCCUCAAAACAUUCUGAUGGAUGAAUUCUGGAAUGCUAAAAUCUCUGACUUUGGACUUGCAAAAUUGUUGAUGCCGGAUCAAACGAGGACUUUCACAGGGGUCAGAGGGACAAGAGGGUAUUUGGCACCAGAAUGGCAAAAGAACACUCCAAUCUCAGUGAAGGCAGAUGUUUAUAGUUACGGAAUAGUGCUUCUCGAAAUUGUAUGUUGCAGGCGGAACAUGGACGUCAAUGUUAGAGCAGAGGAGAUAAUUCUAUCUACUUGGGUCUACAAGUGCUUUGUUGGUAGAGAGCUGCAUAAGCUCGUGGGUGGUGAAGAGGUCGAUAAAAAGACGUUGGAGAACAUGGUUAAGGUGGGACUAUGGUGUAUACAAGAUGAACCAGCUCUGCGUCCUUCAAUGAAGUCUGUUGUGUUGAUGUUACAAGGUAUUACUGAUAUAGCUAUUCCACCAUGUCCAACUGCUACCUCCAUGUAACUAUUAGCCUGUGAGGAAAUGCUUUUCUUCUUAUAUGCAGUUUGUUAAAAGAAUAAGCAAGAUUGCUAAGGGUAUGGUACCUAUACUGGUCACAUUGUUGUACUAAAGUAUCUAGAAUCAAAGACUCCUUGAAUCAAGAGUGUCUCUCAAGGGUAAAUGAUUAUUCUCAUCAAUAUGGUUCAUUGUAUAAAUUUAAUUCAAGCAUAUUUUCUAUAUCUAAUUUGGGUAACUCUAAUGCAGUUCUCUGCAUUUUUAACUAUCUUAGCCAUUUAAUUAAUGCAAUGGCUUAGUCUCUCCACAUCAAGACUACUUACUUCUAUAUCAAAACUCAAAAAUCUCCCUUCAUCUGCAUCCUCUUUCCUCUCGUACAAUGAUUACACAAAAUUUUAUUUCAAGACGUUAACUGGGUUUGAAUUUGAUUCAAUGAAGCCAGUCCCGAAACCAAUUUAUAGUUUGGUAAGCCUGUAUUUCUCAUUAUGAGAUCAAAAUAAUUAUCUUCAGUUUUCUAUACACUUGAAGACCAUGUAAGCAUAUUCUUGUUUCUAUUACUACUUUCUUCCCCUCCGUGAAUGGGAGUCUUGUGGGAUUUACAUGAGGGGCUAGGGAUGGCUAUAUUUUAAUCAAUAACACCACGCCACAUUGGCUGAUUACAUUGUUAGGAACCUUCAUUAUUGCUGAGCUGUCAUAGUCAGUUUGUUAAUUGAUUAGUUAAGAAAUUAGUUUCUAACCGAAUUGGUUAAUGAGAGCUUCACAGCCAUAUUAGGCAAUUAUUGUAUCAAGAAUGAGUUGUAGAGAAUAUUGUACUGUUUCGAUAAUUCAAUAAAGAAUCCUUGUUACUCUGUGUAAUUCUAGGGUUAAGGUUGAAAGGGGUUUAACACACAUAAUCAUAUGUGACAGUUGUUAAAAGUUUUAUAUAGUUCUACUAGUAACUUUCUCUCCGAGGAGGGGCCUUGUGUUUGAUUAGGGAGUUGGUAAGGCAAAGCUAACUAAGGCAAUUAGGAAGAUCAACCACACUAACUGAGACACAUCCCAUACUCUUACCGAAGGCAGUAGUGGGGAAUUCUCCGCCGUGUGGAGAUAGAAGAGGCAACGAAAGCAUCGGCUUUCUUUGUGCUAGCAACGGCGGUAAAAAAGAGGAUGCAAGCAUUAUCUGAAUGAUUAGGCUUAAAGCUAUAGGUGGCUAGAAUAGUCCACUUGCUACUAAAGUUAGUUGCAAAUUGACACAUUAUCUACCACAUGACGUUCCCAGUCAGGAAAUCUCUUCUAAAACAAUUUUUCUUUUUGGAACUUGAUCUCAACUGGUGCAUUGUGGCCUUUUGGGAAUCAAACUCAUCAGUAAAAGCACUUUCUAUAUAGAUUACAGACUGCAUCGGAGUUCCCAUAAUUGUUUUUACAUCUCAACUCUUCUCAAAAACCUUGAAAAACCUGUGCGAAUAAAAUUCAUGGAAGGACAGGCGGUGAACUGCAAUAGUGCAUCAAUCAGUCAGGGGCUUCUUCAUAAAGAAAAAGGACCAAGAGCCGAUCCCGAAACCAAUUUAUAGUUUGAUAAGCCUGUACUUCUCAUUAUGAGAUCAAAAUAAUUAUCUUCAGUUUUCUAUACACUUGAAAACCAUGUAAGCAUAUUCUUGUUUCUACUACUACUUUCUUCCCCUCCGUGAAUGGGAGUCUUGUGGGAUUUACAUGAGGAGCUAGGGAUGGCUAUAUUUUAAUCAAUAACACUACGCCACAUCGGCUGAUACAUUGUUAGGAACCUUCAUCAUUGCUGAGCUGAAUUAGUGACGAGUUGGCCUAGUCAGUUUGUUAAUUGAUUAGUUAAGAAAUUAGUUUCUAGCCGAAUUGGUUAAUGAGAGCUUCACAGCCAUAUUAGGCAAUUAUUGUAUCAAGAAUGAGUUGUUGAGAAUAUUGUACUGUUUUGAUAAUUCAAUAAAGAAUACUUGUUACUUUGUGUAAUUCUAGGGUUAAGGUUGAAAGGGGUUCAACACACAUAAUCAUAUGUGACAGCUGUUAAAAGUUUUAUAUAGUUCUGCUAGUAACUUUCUCUCCGAGGAGGGGCCUUGUGUCUGAUUCGGUAGUUGGUAAGGCAAAGCUAACUAAGGCAAGUAGGAAGAUCAACCACACUAACUGAGACAAAACCCAUACUCCUACCGAAGGCAGCAGUGGGUAAUUUUCCGCAAUGGGAGAAAGCCCGACAGAGCAAUGCUGCGUGGAGGUAGAAGAGGCAACGAAAGCAUCGGCUUUCUUUGUGCUAGCAGCGGCGGUAAAACAGAGGAUGCGAGCAUUAUUUGAAUGAUCAAGCUUAAAGUUGUAGGUGGCUGGUAUAGUCCACUUGCUACUAAAGUUAUUUGCAAAUUGACACAUUAUCUACCACAUGAUGUGGUACAAUCCUCUAGUCUUUCUCCAAUGAGUUUUAACACCCAGACAUACGUUCCCCCAACCAAUGAAUUUUAACACCCAAACACACGUUCCCCUAACCAGACAAACGUUCCCCCAGCCAUUCAUUGGUAUUUAAGUCUUCCCCUAGUCUUCAUUGAUUGAUUGGUAAAAAUCUUUCUCUAGUCUUCAUUGAUUGAUUGGUAAAAUCAUUCCUCAAGUCUUAUGAACACCCACCUUUGUCCCACUCCUCAAAACAAAGGAGGAGGACAUGUAUUUUAUUUUUUCGUAUGAGCACAUGUAUAUCCUUUUCUGAUAAGUCUACCUCUAGAAUUUUCUUCGUCAUUUAAUAUGAAAAUUACAUAAAGAGAAAGCGGAAAUUCCAUACAUUAUUUCAUUGACUAAUCUGUCUCUCUCUAGAAUUUUCUUCAUCAUUUUAUAUGAAAAUUACAUAAAGAAAGAGCGGAAAUUCCAUACAUUAUUUCAUUGACUAAUCUGUCUUCCUCUAGAAUUUUCUUCGUAAUUUAAUAUGAAAAUUACAUAAAGAAAGAAUGGAAAUUCCAUACAUUAUUUCAUUUUUGUCUUCCUUUUUGUUUGUUCCCCCAAUACACAAUAUGCACUCAUACAUAAGUUCAGACAUAAUAGAAAAUUGACAGACCAGUUAAGGAAAGGCAGUGUGCAUGCGAUGAAAUGGGAAAUGUAAAAAAUUCCACAUGAGAAAGAAGUAACUGUUAGUGUUUGUUUCAUUGGAUGAAAUAGGAUCCUUCACUAAAAUACACACCUACGAACUAUGCUUGUAAAAUCAAUAUUACGUAUUAAUACCUCUUUUAACGAAUGCUUUUGGUCUUGAGCAUCCUAGAAGAGGAGCAACAAAAAUAGAACUCGAGCAAUCUCAUUUUCAUAGGAGGAUUUCUAUAAUAUCAUGAACAUGCCCUUUAUGGAACCAAAUGACUCAAGAUAUUACAAUCAAGGCAGACUUUCUGAAAUUGAAUUCCAACUUCUAAGCUCAUAGUUACUACCAAAACAAAAGGAAUGAGCCUAAAAACAUCACGAUCCAUGGAAAAGUGAUGGAGCCUGAAGAUCUUAACGUUCCCAAUCAAGAAACCUCUUCUAACACAAUUUUUCUUUUUGGAACUUGAUCUCAACUGGUGCCUUGUUGCCUUUUGGGAAUCAAACUCAUCAGUAAAAGCACUUUCUACAUAGAUUUCAAACUGCAUCUGAGUUCCCAUAAUUGUUUUUACAUCUCAACUAUUCCCAAAAACCUUGAAAAACCUAUGCGAAUAAAAUUCAUGGAAGGACAGGCGGUGAACUGCAAUAGUGCAUCAAUCAGUCGGGCUUCCUCAUAAAGACAAAGGACCAAGAGCCUCUACCAGAUUGGGAUCCUACAUGGUUAUACCAUGCUUUAACCCAUGUACCAGAAUCUUCUACGGUUUGGACUGUGCCAUAUCUGCAAUGUUUAAGUUUAUUUUCGGUUAAGACUACAAUGACAUUUGCACUGUCUCACAGCCCUUAUCCUCAUCUUUCAUGCUCCUCCUUGACCUUGAAGAGAACACUCAGCCUCCCAUAUUGUUUCCCUACAACUAUAAAAGAGAAAAAUCACCUAAAUUCAUGGUCCCUAUGGCUAGAACCACAAAACCGAAUGAAUAAACUUUGACUUUGUCCUCACACGGACAAUAAACUGAAAUUGGGAAGAGCAGAUGCAAAAAUCUCAUCUACAUUGAUUUUCUUUAAUCAAAAUUCAAAUCACUCAAUUAUCCUCAACAUGCAAGAGCAAGGUAUUGAACCUGAUAUGUAAGACUAAUAAAAUUUUACAAAUGAAACUUCAAACAAUGAAAACCUUUUACAAAUUCUACUUGUAUACCCUAAAAUUUCACUCAUCUUCAACGUGCAACUGUUCUUCUAGAUGGCUAAUGAGGAAAGCUUUAGUUUGAACCUAAAUGCAGUGGAUUCCAUGACGGUUUUUCGUUAUGUAGUUAUUUAGGCAGAUCAGGUAUCUCCCGGUUUCAAGCUAUCAGCCCUUCUUAGCAUUAACAGUUCAGAGUCAAAGGAAAACAAAUUUGAAUGGCUCAACAAUUAAAAUACGGUUUCGAUGUGGGAAAUUUGGGUGUCGGACAGAUUGAGUUUUUUUAUUUAUAAUAAUUUUGUUUUCCUUUUACGAAGUCAAUAUUUAGAGGUUAUUCACCCUUACAUGCAUUCAGAAAAUUGAUUUGUAGAGAUAAUGGGAUUUGAUCUUAGCUCUAGGUAGUAACUAGCAGCAGGGGUGAAGGACUGAGUGCUUGGAGAAGAUGCAUAAACUCCUUAAAGAAUAGAACAAUUAAUACCCUGGUAUAACCAGAUAAAAUCCCAACCUGGUAGAGAAUCCUGGUCCUAACAGAGAAGCAACAUAUAUAGCUAGUUUUGAUGAAGGGUACAAUAAGAAUAUAUGAAAUUGAGGAAGGUAUAAUGCUAGACCUGGAUUUUGAGACAACAGUUUUGAACACAUAUCAACAGAGUCUGGAUGCAACCGAGAAAGGAUGAGUUGGUCAAAAGGGGGACAUGUAGAUGACUUGAUGUUCUUAAGCACCUGGAAAGUAAAAAAUUUAUCACUAUUUGAGCGAGCAUAUUUAAAGGAGUUUUUAUGGCAAAAAGUAGUACAUUGAUACCUGAAUAUUAGUCCUGCCAGGAAAAGGAGGGCAACCAUUAAGAAGCUCAAAAAGAAUUACACCAACACUCCACAUGUCAACCUAUAAAAAUCAAACCCUUCAUUUCUGUUCAUCCUGAUUGAAAAGGGAAAAUGGCAUGAGCUCUGGACAAGAUCAUACCUUUCCAUCAUAUCUUUCAAACUGAAGAACUUCAGGUGCCAUGUAUAAUGGGGAUCCACAAACUGUCUCCGCAUAAUCACCAGGAUGUAAGCUUCUGUCCAUAGUAGAAAAGAAAAGGCAAAAAAUGAAACUUCCAUAUUUAAUUGCUUUAAAUCAUAGUAAAUAAUAUAUAAUAAAAGGGUUUCAGAAUGAAUUUCCACAUACGUCCCUCUAUGCUAGAGUUUACCUUGAGAGACCGAAAUCACCUUUACCACCACAUCAUCAUCACUGAGAGAGAGUAGAAUGUCCUAGUCCAACAAAACAAAAGAAUUCAGAAAAUUUGAGAAUUAUGAUGUUGUCAAACCAUAGGUAAAACACUUGCAUUGGCAGGUACUAUGUAGAAAACCAGGAAAUAAAUUGCAACUUUUCUACUCUACUUUAGAAAAUUACAGCAUUGUCAGAACAACAAUUAGUUGACAUGGAAAAUUCUGAAGUAGCAUUUUAUGCGACAAAACAUCACUAAGACUAGAAAUUUCAAAAAGCUUCAAGAAAGAAAGACAUGGAAGUUUCCAAUUUGAAGACUCCAAACCCAAAAGAAUCUGUUAAUAUUUAGAAGUAAUUUUUGGUUUUUGUUUUUUCAAAUCCUAGUUGUUGAGUGGAAACCAUUGGUGAAGUUUAAAAACGGGGUCACUCCAAUCUACUAAUGCAAUUUACACGUAAGGGGGCAAUGAAUUGGGUAAGGAUCAAAGUUCAACCAAUAUAGAUUCAAUUCAUAAAAUCCGUUCCUAUAAUGUAGAUUUAAAUAUGAGUUUAAAAUUCAAUAAAAUCAAGUUCAAAUAAGAUUCAUAAUGGUGAAUAUCAAAAUCAGAUUAAGAAUGUCCUCUUGGGUUCUUGCUUCUCCAGCAUUGUGAGACAAACACCCGGGUGCAAACUGAAAGUUGAUCUUCUGUGGAUAUUUAACCAUAGGGCCCAUACAUAACUUCCCCGGCAAAAGAAAAUAAUGGCUACAAAUACGAAAAUUUACUUUUGUUGCCAUUGUCCUAUAAAAUCCUGUUUUUACCUCAGGUUUUAAGUCUCUAUGAAUGAUGUGGUGAGAAUGUAGUAUUUCCAAACCAGCCCCUGUACAACAAGAAUUUGAUUAGAUGCAGAUUGCAGAAGCAGUGGAAAGCCUUAUUACAAAUUAAAAUGAAAAUAAGAAGCUACCAAGCUGCUGCAUAAAUUUUCUAGCAAUCUGUUCUUGAACUCUCCCAUGUUGCCGAAUAUAGGCUGCCAAAUUUCCCCCAUUGCAGAAUUCCAGGACCAGGAAUAUGCAACCUUCAUUCUGGGUUGAAGACAUGAAUAACAUGCUAAAUAAUAGCCAAAUAACACGCUGGUUUCCAACAGUUAAAAGGUUUAGAGCCUGGAUAUCUUCAUUUAUAUAAUCUCAUUCUCUUCCCCUUCCAUUUCCCUAUGUACGCAAUUCCGUUAUGGCAUGUUUACUUAUCCGGAAUGGGUAUUGGAAUAAUUCCAAUUCAUGACUUCCCCUACGUUUACUAACACAUAAGGAAUAAAAAAUUAGGUGGGUUCCAUGUUAAAAUCUGUAAUCCAAUACCCUCAAAACUAGGAAUCGGAUCAAUUACAGUCCUUGCACUUAAAAUAUACUGUGAAAGUAGUUUGAUGUUUAGAGACAAUCCCAUGUUCACUUCCAAACUUUUAUGAAAAUUUGUAAAGAUAGAGGUUGAGAAUUUGGGGUUCUAAAAGCUUGAGUUGUGAUUAUGGAAUCCCUCAAGAACAACCCCUGCAUUCAAAAUUUGCUGUGAAAGUAGUUUAGUGUUUAGAGGAUGAUCUCAUGCCUACUUUUACGUUUGUAUGAAACAUGCUUAGCGAUAGAACUUGAGAGGUUUGGGCCAGUUACUGGUAAACAAUAUUCUUAAAUAAAAUACUCACGCCUUGACAUGUUUAAAAGAUAAAUAAGUGAUUCGUGACAGUGAAGGCUGGAAAGAGUGUAUUCACUCAAAUCUACGUGAGGCAUUAUACUAAUCAUGUAGAAAACGACAACAAUGGUGCAUAACAGUCCUAGAAUCAAGUAGGUUAGCAAGUCUAAGUCUAAACAGUUAAAUCCUGACUCGGACCCAUGUUUCUUGCUUAGGUUUUCUGCAUUAAAAGUUUGACUAAAAAAUUGAAUCGAAGAUAAAGAUAUCCUUGUAUUCAUCCAAACACGUGUAUAUCAGAAAGUACUCAUGUGAGAGGAUAAUUUUUGUUCUAUUUAUAAAAAACAAAUUAGUGUGCCAGUAUUUAGGAAUGUCAACAACAGAAACCCAUCCACCCCCUCCAUUAUAUUUGGAUCUUAGCUAGUGGUAUAGUGACAUGCCAAUGCCAUAUAUCUUUUAGAAGGUUCUGUAGAUAGAAUGAAGAUUGCUGGGAUAAUAACCAAUUUCCAAGGAUUUCUUAGGAUAAUUCUAGCAAAGGUCCUUUGGGCUGUAAAGGAUAAUUUAACUAAAUAGAAUGAAGAGGUAUCUGACAACAUGAAGAUCAAGAAACAGAAUGGUGGAAGGAGAUUAAGGGCCGGAGAGCCAGCAUAGAUGCAAAACUGGUGGAGUGGGGCGGGCAGCACUUAGGUUUGAGACUUCAAUCAUCCAUAGGCGAGAGAAAAAUAAAGGGAGAUUCACUAUUAGAGCAUCCACAAUGGGAGGGUAUAUAAGGGGGUGUAUGUUAAAUAUACACCCCUUGUCACCGGAAUCAUCUUUAAUGGGGAGAUGUAAAGGGUUGUAAACAUACAUCACCACUAUGGAGAUGUAAAAUAAAAUGCACAUUUGCAUCUAUUUUUACAUCUUUUGCAGGCGGGACCCACCCUAGGAAAGAGAGGAAAAAUUAUACAUCUUAGAUUUACAUGUUUCCCAUUGGAGCAAAAAACGUAUUUACACCCCCCGAAGGUGUAAAGGGGAUGUAAAAGUGGUUUUACACCCCCGAAAUUACACUUCCCCACUGUGGAUGCUCUUAUACUCAAUAUAGGAGCCUAAAUUAUAAAAAAUAACCCUAUAUGAAAUGGACUUUAGAAACAUACCCAAAACCCAUUUAGAACAUAACAAAAAGGCUUUUAACUUCUUUUGAAUUACAAAACUAACAUUGAUUUCUUAAAACAAACCUAACCCCAAAACCUUGUAAAAAAAAACCCAAAACACUCAAUAGGGCAUUAAAGUAAUUUAAUAAUCAAAAUUAAAUUCAAUAGGUCCAGCUGUCAUAUUUGGGGGGUUUUUUUUUUUGGGUAUGUUUAUAAAAAUUAAAUAGUAUAAAGUUUAUUUAUAGUUUUAGUGCUACUAAUGGGUAUAUGACUAAAUAUCUCAAAAAUAAAACCUAUUUGGAGGGGGUAAAAUUCAAUCCAACAACCAAUCAAAAAUAAAAAAAACCAGCUCAGAACUUAAUCUAUAUCAAAGGCUUCUCUGCAUUCACAAUGCAAGCAUAAUAAUUCCUUCAUACUCAAAAAAAAACCACGGCUACUACCGGGUGGAUGGAGGAACCAAUUACUAAUAUUAUUCCUCAAAUAUUUUAGGCAAAAACCAAUCAAUCACCAAGAGAAAAAUCAAAAGACAGACGACACAAGUUGAAGCGUGAUUAGCCAUUAAAAACUAGUUUCACUAAAAUAUGGAAAUUUAGAAACUCCAAAUUUCCUACAAUAUUUCUCUGAUUCAACCAAACUAAUGAAAUGGGUAUAUGGAAAAAAAAUUUAAAAAUAAAAAAACCACAAAAUAAAAAUUAAUCGAAGAAAUUGAAGGAAAGGAGGAUGAUCAAGUACCUGGAAAGCUUUGAGGAGACGAACGAUGUUGGGGUGGCAAACAGAGGACAAGAAUUUGAUCUCGCAAUCCAAGCAAUUCUUGAGGCGCCUGUUGAGCCGCGAGAGGAAGACCUGCUUCAGAGCCACCACCUCCCCACUUUCUCUGUGCACGGCUUUCCACACUCUGGAGAAAGAGCCUUCCCCACCUCUGAUAUCAGAACGUAAUCUCCUAAUGCUGCUGUGCUGCUGAGUUCAGAGAGACUUGGCUUGCUUUCAGGUUCCAUAUUGAUAUUUUUGAGCUCUCAAGACUUUGCUUUGCUUGCUCUGUAAGAGCACCUCCGUCCCAAAAGGCAAGUGCAGGGCAACUUUUGGCACUAUUUACGUGAAUAGUGGUAGCUUUGUUUUUUGGGAAAUAGCCCAAAAUGCCACCAUUUUUAUAAUUGUAAUUGAAAAUACCACCCUUUUUUAAAAAUUUUGGAACUAUGACCUAUAAAUAGAAUUUUAUUGUCCCCUUAUUGCACAGAUAUCACUUUUGCUGAAAUUUUAUUGUCUCUGUUUUGCUGAAGUUCUCUCUCGCCUCUGUCUCUUCGCUGCCCUCUGUUUCUCUUCACUCUCCGGUGGCUUUGCUCCGAAUCUGUGGUCCUUCAGCUCUCAGUCUCUCCUCACUCAGCUCCGACUGUCUCUUCUCUCUUCCUCUCCCAGCGACAGGUACUGUUCAUCGGCAUUUUCUUACAGUUUAAGGGUUUCUCUCAAGUUGUUUUAGGGUUUAUGCAUUUCUCUGAAAUUGGCUAAGGGGUUUGUUCGAAAUUGGUUGAAGGUUUAGGGGUUUUGCUGAAAUUAGUUUAGGGGUUUGUUCGAAAUUGGUUGAAGGUUUAGGGGUUUCUCUGAAAUUGGUUUAGGGGUUUCAUCGAAAUUGUUUUAGGGGUUUGUCUGAAAUGAUCUGAGUAUGAUGAUUCUUUGUUUCAAACAGUGAAUGGGUUUGUUCUUUGUGGACUGAUGCUUGCACUGCUGUUGUGUUGCUGUUGCUGUUGCUAUUGCUGUCGUAUUGUGUUUUUUUGCUAGUGUAUUGCUAAUGUAGUGAUGUUGUGUUGGCAUUUUAGUGCAGUUGUAUUUUUAGUUUUAGUAUGGUUUUAUUAUGGUUUUUGUAGCAGUUAUUGAAUGGUAUUUGGUGGCUUAGUAUGAGUCUUUAUGAGCAUUGCAUUUAACCUUCUUAGAAGUCUAAUUGGUAUCUAUUUUGUUUGUUGAAGAUGAUAUCUAAAGUGUAAGACAAUUAACCUGUGUAUGGUGAUUUCUUCUCUGUGGAUCAUUACCAAAAAAUACUCGCUGAUUAUAUUUUACGUAGAAAAUGUGGCCAUGAAAAGAAUUUGUGGCUAAAACUCCAUGAUGGAAGCAACCAUUUUGAAAUAUCUUAAGCAAACUGUUGGUGGCUUGCUAAAUUCCUUAUUUUUUUUCUCUUUAUCUUCCAACGAGGUAGUGACCCUUCACAUUACACUCAAUUGUGCAAAGGAUUUGCAUGGUUGUCUGAUGGAAUCGAAGAAUAAUUUACAUAGAAAGAAUUUCCUUUGUUAUCGUUCGUAGUUUUUCAUAUAUGAAAGAAACUUCUAGAUUGAUAAAAUAUCUCAAGACAGAGUUUGACAAAAUCAAGUAUUGUAUAAAUAUUUGAACUUGUAAACUCCCAACCAUAUCAUACUUUUUGUUUGAGAAUAAUGCUUGUUAAUUCGACAUAUUUUUGUAUAACUUUGUUUACUAAGUUUAGGGCUUGCAUAUUGGAUAUGGAUGAGUUUUGUUUAGAACCAUAUGUGGUGUAAUAUGAGUUGUUUAAAAGUUUGCUGUUUUGUGCUUGAUCAUUGUAUGCUUAAAAGCGGGAAAUGAGUGAAGAUGGGAACCUACCAGCAGCAGCUGUGGUUUAGAGAAAUGGGGACAUUGAUUUUGCUAUAAGCUAACUGUUUAAGCUUUUGCUUUUGUUGUUUGUGUAUGGAUACUUAGAGAAGUCUGUUUCUGAGGAGAACUUAUAAUUUUGUAAUUGUACAUGUCUUACAAACAUUUUAUACCGUUUUGAUGGUUUAUUUAUGAAUUUAUCUUUCAUUUUUUGUUAAGAAAAAACUGAAGGGAUGGUGCCAAUUUCUUUCAUUUUCUUACAUUUGAAAGGAGGGCCAUAGUAGAGUCAGUACUGUGGUUGCCACUAAUUCAUAGGAUGUUCCAUUACAUUAUACCUUGAAGUGAAUAAAUUGUUUUCUGAUGUCUUGUUGUUUUUUAAAACUCUUUCUAGUCAGAUAGAUUGAUAUCGUUACUCUUGAAUUGUUGUCAAUUAGGCUUGUGCUACCGCACAUUCCCAUUCUAGCUGAAGCUGUCUCAUGAUUAGAUGGUGUGAUUAUAUGGUGUGUUGAGAUGUGUGUUUAGAUAUUAUAUUAUGCAGGAGUGGUAGAGUACUGGGUGUGUUGAAACUUGGCUUUGAGCCAUUAAAUGAGGAGGUCAGUUGUAAAUAGCUGGGGUUUUGUUUAUGAUAUGUAUUUUUUGAAUUUUUUUCACUUCAUAUCCUAUAAUAGGCUGUUCAUAAGUGGUGAUUGUUUAUUGCUUGUUAUUGUGUAGAUUGCAACCGACUGAAAUUCUGUUUAUAAUAUUGGCAUGCAGGGAAAUAUGGUUGGUGAAAUGAAGUUGAUGAUUGCGGAGGAACAAAAAUUCCAAGGGAAAGCAUUGUCGUUAUCCCAUACGAAGACGGCAAUCACUACGAUAAAGGAGAAANNNNNNNNNNNNNNNNNNNNNNNNNNNNNNNNNNNNNNNNNNNNNNNNNNNNNNNNNNNNNNNNNNNNNNNNNNNNNNNNNNNNNNNNNNNNNNNNNNNNNNNNNNNNNNNNNNNNNNNNNNNNNNNNNNNNNNNNNNNNNNNNNNNNNNNNNNNNNNNNNNNNNNNNNNNNNNNNNNNNNNNNNNNNNNNNNNNNNNNNNNNNNNNNNNNNNNNNNNNNNNNNNNNNNNNNNNNNNNNNNNNNNNNNNNNNNNNNNNNNNNNNNNNNNNNNNNNNNNNNNNNNNNNNNNNNNNNNNNNNNNNNNNNNNNNNNNNNNNNNNNNNNNNNNNNNNNNNNNNNNNNNNNNNNNNNNNNNNNNNNNNNNNNNNNNNNNNNNNNNNNNNNNNNNNNNNNNNNNNNNNNNNNNNNNNNNNNNNNNNNNNNNNNNNNNNNNNNNNNNNNNNNNNNNNNNNNNNNNNNNNNNNNNNNNNNNNNNNNNNNNNNNNNNNNNNNNNNNNNNNNNNNNNNNNNNNNNNNNNNNNNNNNNNNNNNNNNNNNNNNNNNNNNNNNNNNNNNNNNNNNNNNNNNNNNNNNNNNNNNNNNNNNNNNNNNNNNNNNNNNNNNNNNNNNNNNNNNNNNNNNNNNNNNNNNNNNNNNNNNNNNNNNNNNNNNNNNNNNNNNNNNNNNNNNNNNNNNNNNNNNNNNNNNNNNNNNNNNNNNNNNNNNNNNNNNNNNNNNNNNNNNNNNNNNNNNNNNNNNNNNNNNNNNNNNNNNNNNNNNNNNNNNNNNNNNNNNNNNNNNNNNNNNNNNNNNNNNNNNNNNNNNNNNNNNNNNNNNNNNNNNNNNNNNNNNNNNNNNNNNNNNNNNNNNNNNNNNNNNNNNNNNNNNNNNNNNNNNNNNNNNNNNNNNNNNNNNNNNNNNNNNNNNNNNNNNNNNNNNNNNNNNNNNNNNNNNNNNNNNNNNNNNNNNNNNNNNNNNNNNNNNNNNNNNNNNNNNNNNNNNNNNNNNNNNNNNNNNNNNNNNNNNNNNNNNNNNNNNNNNNNNNNNNNNNNNNNNNNNNNNNNNNNNNNNNNNNNNNNNNNNNNNNNNNNNNNNNNNNNNNNNNNNNNNNNNNNNNNNNNNNNNNNNNNNNNNNNNNNNNNNNNNNNNNNNNNNNNNNNNNNNNNNNNNNNNNNNNNNNNNNNNNNNNNNNNNNNNNNNNNNNNNNNNNNNNNNNNNNNNNNNNNNNNNNNNNNNNNNNNNNNNNNNNNNNNNNNNNNNNNNNNNNNNNNNNNNNNNNNNNNNNNNNNNNNNNNNNNNNNNNNNNNNNNNNNNNNNNNNNNNNNNNNNNNNNNNNNNNNNNNNNNNNNNNNNNNNNNNNNNNNNNNNNNNNNNNNNNNNNNNNNNNNNNNNNNNNNNNNNNNNNNNNNNNNNNNNNNNNNNNNNNNNNNNNNNNNNNNNNNNNNNNNNNNNNNNNNNNNNNNNNNNNNNNNNNNNNNNNNNNNNNNNNNNNNNNNNNNNNNNNNNNNNNNNNNNNNNNNNNNNNNNNNNNNNNNNNNNNNNNNNNNNNNNNNNNNNNNNNNNNNNNNNNNNNNNNNNNNNNNNNNNNNNNNNNNNNNNNNNNNNNNNNNNNNNNNNNNNNNNNNNNNNNNNNNNNNNNNNNNNNNNNNNNNNNNNNNNNNNNNNNNNNNNNNNNNNNNNNNNNNNNNNNNNNNNNNNNNNNNNNNNNNNNNNNNNNNNNNNNNNNNNNNNNNNNNNNNNNNNNNNNNNNNNNNNNNNNNNNNNNNNNNNNNNNNNNNNNNNNNNNNNNNNNNNNNNNNNNNNNNNNNNNNNNNNNNNNNNNNNNNNNNNNNNNNNNNNNNNNNNNNNNNNNNNNNNNNNNNNNNNNNNNNNNNNNNNNNNNNNNNNNNNNNNNNNNNNNNNNNNNNNNNNNNNNNNNNNNNNNNNNNNNNNNNNNNNNNNNNNNNNNNNNNNNNNNNNNNNNNNNNNNNNNNNNNNNNNNNNNNNNNNNNNNNNNNNNNNNNNNNNNNNNNNNNNNNNNNNNNNNNNNNNNNNNNNNNNNNNNNNNNNNNNNNNNNNNNNNNNNNNNNNNNNNNNNNNNNNNNNNNNNNNNNNNNNNNNNNNNNNNNNNNNNNNNNNNNNNNNNNNNNNNNNNNNNNNNNNNNNNNNNNNNNNNNNNNNNNNNNNNNNNNNNNNNNNNNNNNNNNNNNNNNNNNNNNNNNNNNNNNNNNNNNNNNNNNNNNNNNNNNNNNNNNNNNNNNNNNNNNNNNNNNNNNNNNNNNNNNNNNNNNNNNNNNNNNNNNNNNNNNNNNNNNNNNNNNNNNNNNNNNNNNNNNNNNNNNNNNNNNNNNNNNNNNNNNNNNNNNNNNNNNNNNNNNNNNNNNNNNNNNNNNNNNNNNNNNNNNNNNNNNNNNNNNNNNNNNNNNNNNNNNNNNNNNNNNNNNNNNNNNNNNNNNNNNNNNNNNNNNNNNNNNNNNNNNNNNNNNNNNNNNNNNNNNNNNNNNNNNNNNNNNNNNNNNNNNNNNNNNNNNNNNNNNNNNNNNNNNNNNNNNNNNNNNNNNNNNNNNNNNNNNNNNNNNNNNNNNNNNNNNNNNNNNNNNNNNNNNNNNNNNNNNNNNNNNNNNNNNNNNNNNNNNNNNNNNNNNNNNNNNNNNNNNNNNNNNNNNNNNNNNNNNNNNNNNNNNNNNNNNNNNNNNNNNNNNNNNNNNNNNNNNNNNNNNNNNNNNNNNNNNNNNNNNNNNNNNNNNNNNNNNNNNNNNNNNNNNNNNNNNNNNNNNNNNNNNNNNNNNNNNNNNNNNNNNNNNNNNNNNNNNNNNNNNNNNNNNNNNNNNNNNNNNNNNNNNNNNNNNNNNNNNNNNNNNNNNNNNNNNNNNNNNNNNNNNNNNNNNNNNNNNNNNNNNNNNNNNNNNNNNNNNNNNNNNNNNNNNNNNNNNNNNNNNNNNNNNNNNNNNNNNNNNNNNNNNNNNNNNNNNNNNNNNNNNNNNNNNNNNNNNNNNNNNNNNNNNNNNNNNNNNNNNNNNNNNNNNNNNNNNNNNNNNNNNNNNNNNNNNNNNNNNNNNNNNNNNNNNNNNNNNNNNNNNNNNNNNNNNNNNNNNNNNNNNNNNNNNNNNNNNNNNNNNNNNNNNNNNNNNNNNNNNNNNNNNNNNNNNNNNNNNNNNNNNNNNNNNNNNNNNNNNNNNNNNNNNNNNNNNNNNNNNNNNNNNNNNNNNNNNNNNNNNNNNNNNNNNNNNNNNNNNNNNNNNNNNNNNNNNNNNNNNNNNNNNNNNNNNNNNNNNNNNNNNNNNNNNNNNNNNNNNNNNNNNNNNNNNNNNNNNNNNNNNNNNNNNNNNNNNNNNNNNNNNNNNNNNNNNNNNNNNNNNNNNNNNNNNNNNNNNNNNNNNNNNNNNNNNNNNNNNNNNNNNNNNNNNNNNNNNNNNNNNNNNNNNNNNNNNNNNNNNNNNNNNNNNNNNNNNNNNNNNNNNNNNNNNNNNNNNNNNNNNNNNNNNNNNNNNNNNNNNNNNNNNNNNNNNNNNNNNNNNNNNNNNNNNNNNNNNNNNNNNNNNNNNNNNNNNNNNNNNNNNNNNNNNNNNNNNNNNNNNNNNNNNNNNNNNNNNNNNNNNNNNNNNNNNNNNNNNNNNNNNNNNNNNNNNNNNNNNNNNNNNNNNNNNNNNNNNNNNNNNNNNNNNNNNNNNNNNNNNNNNNNNNNNNNNNNNNNNNNNNNNNNNNNNNNNNNNNNNNNNNNNNNNNNNNNNNNNNNNNNNNNNNNNNNNNNNNNNNNNNNNNNNNNNNNNNNNNNNNNNNNNNNNNNNNNNNNNNNNNNNNNNNNNNNNNNNNNNNNNNNNNNNNNNNNNNNNNNNNNNNNNNNNNNNNNNNNNNNNNNNNNNNNNNNNNNNNNNNNNNNNNNNNNNNNNNNNNNNNNNNNNNNNNNNNNNNNNNNNNNNNNNNNNNNNNNNNNNNNNNNNNNNNNNNNNNNNNNNNNNNNNNNNNNNNNNNNNNNNNNNNNNNNNNNNNNNNNNNNNNNNNNNNNNNNNNNNNNNNNNNNNNNNNNNNNNNNNNNNNNNNNNNNNNNNNNNNNNNNNNNNNNNNNNNNNNNNNNNNNNNNNNNNNNNNNNNNNNNNNNNNNNNNNNNNNNNNNNNNNNNNNNNNNNNNNNNNNNNNNNNNNNNNNNNNNNNNNNNNNNNNNNNNNNNNNNNNNNNNNNNNNNNNNNNNNNNNNNNNNNNNNNNNNNNNNNNNNNNNNNNNNNNNNNNNNNNNNNNNNNNNNNNNNNNNNNNNNNNNNNNNNNNNNNNNNNNNNNNNNNNNNNNNNNNNNNNNNNNNNNNNNNNNNNNNNNNNNNNNNNNNNNNNNNNNNNNNNNNNNNNNNNNNNNNNNNNNNNNNNNNNNNNNNNNNNNNNNNNNNNNNNNNNNNNNNNNNNNNNNNNNNNNNNNNNNNNNNNNNNNNNNNNNNNNNNNNNNNNNNNNNNNNNNNNNNNNNNNNNNNNNNNNNNNNNNNNNNNNNNNNNNNNNNNNNNNNNNNNNNNNNNNNNNNNNNNNNNNNNNNNNNNNNNNNNNNNNNNNNNNNNNNNNNNNNNNNNNNNNNNNNNNNNNNNNNNNNNNNNNNNNNNNNNNNNNNNNNNNNNNNNNNNNNNNNNNNNNNNNNNNNNNNNNNNNNNNNNNNNNNNNNNNNNNNNNNNNNNNNNNNNNNNNNNNNNNNNNNNNNNNNNNNNNNNNNNNNNNNNNNNNNNNNNNNNNNNNNNNNNNNNNNNNNNNNNNNNNNNNNNNNNNNNNNNNNNNNNNNNNNNNNNNNNNNNNNNNNNNNNNNNNNNNNNNNNNNNNNNNNNNNNNNNNNNNNNNNNNNNNNNNNNNNNNNNNNNNNNNNNNNNNNNNNNNNNNNNNNNNNNNNNNNNNNNNNNNNNNNNNNNNNNNNNNNNNNNNNNNNNNNNNNNNNNNNNNNNNNNNNNNNNNNNNNNNNNNNNNNNNNNNNNNNNNNNNNNNNNNNNNNNNNNNNNNNNNNNNNNNNNNNNNNNNNNNNNNNNNNNNNNNNNNNNNNNNNNNNNNNNNNNNNNNNNNNNNNNNNNNNNNNNNNNNNNNNNNNNNNNNNNNNNNNNNNNNNNNNNNNNNNNNNNNNNNNNNNNNNNNNNNNNNNNNNNNNNNNNNNNNNNNNNNNNNNNNNNNNNNNNNNNNNNNNNNNNNNNNNNNNNNNNNNNNNNNNNNNNNNNNNNNNNNNNNNNNNNNNNNNNNNNNNNNNNNNNNNNNNNNNNNNNNNNNNNNNNNNNNNNNNNNNNNNNNNNNNNNNNNNNNNNNNNNNNNNNNNNNNNNNNNNNNNNNNNNNNNNNNNNNNNNNNNNNNNNNNNNNNNNNNNNNNNNNNNNNNNNNNNNNNNNNNNNNNNNNNNNNNNNNNNNNNNNNNNNNNNNNNNNNNNNNNNNNNNNNNNNNNNNNNNNNNNNNNNNNNNNNNNNNNNNNNNNNNNNNNNNNNNNNNNNNNNNNNNNNNNNNNNNNNNNNNNNNNNNNNNNNNNNNNNNNNNNNNNNNNNNNNNNNNNNNNNNNNNNNNNNNNNNNNNNNNNNNNNNNNNNNNNNNNNNNNNNNNNNNNNNNNNNNNNNNNNNNNNNNNNNNNNNNNNNNNNNNNNNNNNNNNNNNNNNNNNNNNNNNNNNNNNNNNNNNNNNNNNNNNNNNNNNNNNNNNNNNNNNNNNNNNNNNNNNNNNNNNNNNNNNNNNNNNNNNNNNNNNNNNNNNNNNNNNNNNNNNNNNNNNNNNNNNNNNNNNNNNNNNNNNNNNNNNNNNNNNNNNNNNNNNNNNNNNNNNNNNNNNNNNNNNNNNNNNNNNNNNNNNNNNNNNNNNNNNNNNNNNNNNNNNNNNNNNNNNNNNNNNNNNNNNNNNNNNNNNNNNNNNNNNNNNNNNNNNNNNNNNNNNNNNNNNNNNNNNNNNNNNNNNNNNNNNNNNNNNNNNNNNNNNNNNNNNNNNNNNNNNNNNNNNNNNNNNNNNNNNNNNNNNNNNNNNNNNNNNNNNNNNNNNNNNNNNNNNNNNNNNNNNNNNNNNNNNNNNNNNNNNNNNNNNNNNNNNNNNNNNNNNNNNNNNNNNNNNNNNNNNNNNNNNNNNNNNNNNNNNNNNNNNNNNNNNNNNNNNNNNNNNNNNNNNNNNNNNNNNNNNNNNNNNNNNNNNNNNNNNNNNNNNNNNNNNNNNNNNNNNNNNNNNNNNNNNNNNNNNNNNNNNNNNNNNNNNNNNNNNNNNNNNNNNNNNNNNNNNNNNNNNNNNNNNNNNNNNNNNNNNNNNNNNNNNNNNNNNNNNNNNNNNNNNNNNNNNNNNNNNNNNNNNNNNNNNNNNNNNNNNNNNNNNNNNNNNNNNNNNNNNNNNNNNNNNNNNNNNNNNNNNNNNNNNNNNNNNNNNNNNNNNNNNNNNNNNNNNNNNNNNNNNNNNNNNNNNNNNNNNNNNNNNNNNNNNNNNNNNNNNNNNNNNNNNNNNNNNNNNNNNNNNNNNNNNNNNNNNNNNNNNNNNNNNNNNNNNNNNNNNNNNNNNNNNNNNNNNNNNNNNNNNNNNNNNNNNNNNNNNNNNNNNNNNNNNNNNNNNNNNNNNNNNNNNNNNNNNNNNNNNNNNNNNNNNNNNNNNNNNNNNNNNNNNNNNNNNNNNNNNNNNNNNNNNNNNNNNNNNNNNNNNNNNNNNNNNNNNNNNNNNNNNNNNNNNNNNNNNNNNNNNNNNNNNNNNNNNNNNNNNNNNNNNNNNNNNNNNNNNNNNNNNNNNNNNNNNNNNNNNNNNNNNNNNNNNNNNNNNNNNNNNNNNNNNNNNNNNNNNNNNNNNNNNNNNNNNNNNNNNNNNNNNNNNNNNNNNNNNNNNNNNNNNNNNNNNNNNNNNNNNNNNNNNNNNNNNNNNNNNNNNNNNNNNNNNNNNNNNNNNNNNNNNNNNNNNNNNNNNNNNNNNNNNNNNNNNNNNNNNNNNNNNNNNNNNNNNNNNNNNNNNNNNNNNNNNNNNNNNNNNNNNNNNNNNNNNNNNNNNNNNNNNNNNNNNNNNNNNNNNNNNNNNNNNNNNNNNNNNNNNNNNNNNNNNNNNNNNNNNNNNNNNNNNNNNNNNNNNNNNNNNNNNNNNNNNNNNNNNNNNNNNNNNNNNNNNNNNNNNNNNNNNNNNNNNNNNNNNNNNNNNNNNNNNNNNNNNNNNNNNNNNNNNNNNNNNNNNNNNNNNNNNNNNNNNNNNNNNNNNNNNNNNNNNNNNNNNNNNNNNNNNNNNNNNNNNNNNNNNNNNNNNNNNNNNNNNNNNNNNNNNNNNNNNNNNNNNNNNNNNNNNNNNNNNNNNNNNNNNNNNNNNNNNNNNNNNNNNNNNNNNNNNNNNNNNNNNNNNNNNNNNNNNNNNNNNNNNNNNNNNNNNNNNNNNNNNNNNNNNNNNNNNNNNNNNNNNNNNNNNNNNNNNNNNNNNNNNNNNNNNNNNNNNNNNNNNNNNNNNNNNNNNNNNNNNNNNNNNNNNNNNNNNNNNNNNNNNNNNNNNNNNNNNNNNNNNNNNNNNNNNNNNNNNNNNNNNNNNNNNNNNNNNNNNNNNNNNNNNNNNNNNNNNNNNNNNNNNNNNNNNNNNNNNNNNNNNNNNNNNNNNNNNNNNNNNNNNNNNNNNNNNNNNNNNNNNNNNNNNNNNNNNNNNNNNNNNNNNNNNNNNNNNNNNNNNNNNNNNNNNNNNNNNNNNNNNNNNNNNNNNNNNNNNNNNNNNNNNNNNNNNNNNNNNNNNNNNNNNNNNNNNNNNNNNNNNNNNNNNNNNNNNNNNNNNNNNNNNNNNNNNNNNNNNNNNNNNNNNNNNNNNNNNNNNNNNNNNNNNNNNNNNNNNNNNNNNNNNNNNNNNNNNNNNNNNNNNNNNNNNNNNNNNNNNNNNNNNNNNNNNNNNNNNNNNNNNNNNNNNNNNNNNNNNNNNNNNNNNNNNNNNNNNNNNNNNNNNNNNNNNNNNNNNNNNNNNNNNNNNNNNNNNNNNNNNNNNNNNNNNNNNNNNNNNNNNNNNNNNNNNNNNNNNNNNNNNNNNNNNNNNNNNNNNNNNNNNNNNNNNNNNNNNNNNNNNNNNNNNNNNNNNNNNNNNNNNNNNNNNNNNNNNNNNNNNNNNNNNNNNNNNNNNNNNNNNNNNNNNNNNNNNNNNNNNNNNNNNNNNNNNNNNNNNNNNNNNNNNNNNNNNNNNNNNNNNNNNNNNNNNNNNNNNNNNNNNNNNNNNNNNNNNNNNNNNNNNNNNNNNNNNNNNNNNNNNNNNNNNNNNNNNNNNNNNNNNNNNNNNNNNNNNNNNNNNNNNNNNNNNNNNNNNNNNNNNNNNNNNNNNNNNNNNNNNNNNNNNNNNNNNNNNNNNNNNNNNNNNNNNNNNNNNNNNNNNNNNNNNNNNNNNNNNNNNNNNNNNNNNNNNNNNNNNNNNNNNNNNNNNNNNNNNNNNNNNNNNNNNNNNNNNNNNNNNNNNNNNNNNNNNNNNNNNNNNNNNNNNNNNNNNNNNNNNNNNNNNNNNNNNNNNNNNNNNNNNNNNNNNNNNNNNNNNNNNNNNNNNNNNNNNNNNNNNNNNNNNNNNNNNNNNNNNNNNNNNNNNNNNNNNNNNNNNNNNNNNNNNNNNNNNNNNNNNNNNNNNNNNNNNNNNNNNNNNNNNNNNNNNNNNNNNNNNNNNNNNNNNNNNNNNNNNNNNNNNNNNNNNNNNNNNNNNNNNNNNNNNNNNNNNNNNNNNNNNNNNNNNNNNNNNNNNNNNNNNNNNNNNNNNNNNNNNNNNNNNNNNNNNNNNNNNNNNNNNNNNNNNNNNNNNNNNNNNNNNNNNNNNNNNNNNNNNNNNNNNNNNNNNNNNNNNNNNNNNNNNNNNNNNNNNNNNNNNNNNNNNNNNNNNNNNNNNNNNNNNNNNNNNNNNNNNNNNNNNNNNNNNNNNNNNNNNNNNNNNNNNNNNNNNNNNNNNNNNNNNNNNNNNNNNNNNNNNNNNNNNNNNNNNNNNNNNNNNNNNNNNNNNNNNNNNNNNNNNNNNNNNNNNNNNNNNNNNNNNNNNNNNNNNNNNNNNNNNNNNNNNNNNNNNNNNNNNNNNNNNNNNNNNNNNNNNNNNNNNNNNNNNNNNNNNNNNNNNNNNNNNNNNNNNNNNNNNNNNNNNNNNNNNNNNNNNNNNNNNNNNNNNNNNNNNNNNNNNNNNNNNNNNNNNNNNNNNNNNNNNNNNNNNNNNNNNNNNNNNNNNNNNNNNNNNNNNNNNNNNNNNNNNNNNNNNNNNNNNNNNNNNNNNNNNNNNNNNNNNNNNNNNNNNNNNNNNNNNNNNNNNNNNNNNNNNNNNNNNNNNNNNNNNNNNNNNNNNNNNNNNNNNNNNNNNNNNNNNNNNNNNNNNNNNNNNNNNNNNNNNNNNNNNNNNNNNNNNNNNNNNNNNNNNNNNNNNNNNNNNNNNNNNNNNNNNNNNNNNNNNNNNNNNNNNNNNNNNNNNNNNNNNNNNNNNNNNNNNNNNNNNNNNNNNNNNNNNNNNNNNNNNNNNNNNNNNNNNNNNNNNNNNNNNNNNNNNNNNNNNNNNNNNNNNNNNNNNNNNNNNNNNNNNNNNNNNNNNNNNNNNNNNNNNNNNNNNNNNNNNNNNNNNNNNNNNNNNNNNNNNNNNNNNNNNNNNNNNNNNNNNNNNNNNNNNNNNNNNNNNNNNNNNNNNNNNNNNNNNNNNNNNNNNNNNNNNNNNNNNNNNNNNNNNNNNNNNNNNNNNNNNNNNNNNNNNNNNNNNNNNNNNNNNNNNNNNNNNNNNNNNNNNNNNNNNNNNNNNNNNNNNNNNNNNNNNNNNNNNNNNNNNNNNNNNNNNNNNNNNNNNNNNNNNNNNNNNNNNNNNNNNNNNNNNNNNNNNNNNNNNNNNNNNNNNNNNNNNNNNNNNNNNNNNNNNNNNNNNNNNNNNNNNNNNNNNNNNNNNNNNNNNNNNNNNNNNNNNNNNNNNNNNNNNNNNNNNNNNNNNNNNNNNNNNNNNNNNNNNNNNNNNNNNNNNNNNNNNNNNNNNNNNNNNNNNNNNNNNNNNNNNNNNNNNNNNNNNNNNNNNNNNNNNNNNNNNNNNNNNNNNNNNNNNNNNNNNNNNNNNNNNNNNNNNNNNNNNNNNNNNNNNNNNNNNNNNNNNNNNNNNNNNNNNNNNNNNNNNNNNNNNNNNNNNNNNNNNNNNUCGAUUGGUCCUUGAAUCGGACAAUUCAGGUUCGUGCGAAGUUAGUUCUGAAAUGGGGUGGUUGGUGUAUUGUACAGUUCUAGAGAUUGGAUUUCACACAAAACCCACCAAAUGAUUCCUCCCACAAUAUUAUGAUGUUCCCCAAGUUUUGGACUCAAUCCGAUAUCGAUUGGUCCUUAAAUUCAGACAAUUCAGGUUCGUACGAAGUUCGUUCUGAAAUUGGGUGGUUGGUGUAUAUUAUAGUUCUAGAGAUUGGAUUUCACUCAAAACCCACCAAAUGACUCCUCCCACAAUAUUAUGAUGUUCCCCAAGUUUUGGACUCAAUUAGAUAUCGAUUAGUCCUUGAAAUCGGACAAUUCAGGUUCGUAUGAAGUUCGUUCUGAAAUGGUGUGGUUGGUGUAUAUUAUAGUUCUAGAGAUUGGAUUUCACUCAAAACCCACCAAAUGACUCCUCCCACAAUAUUAUGAUGUUCCCCAAGUUUUGGACUCAAUCCGAUAUCGAUCAGUCCACGAAAUUUGACAAUUCAGGUUCGUACGAAGUUCGUUCUGAAAUGGAGCGUUUGGUGUAUUGUAUAGUUCUAGGGAUUGUAUUUCACUCAAAACACACCAAAUGACUCCUCCCACAAUAUUAUGUUGUUCCCCAAGUUUUGGACUCAAUCCGAUAUCGAUUAGUCCUUGAAAUCGGCCAAUUCAGGUUCGUACGAAAUUCAUUCCGAAAUGGGGUGGUUGGUGUAUUGUAUAGUUCUAGAGAUUGGAUUUCACUCAAAACCCACCAAAUGACUCCUCCCACAAUAUUAUGAUGUUCCCCAAGUUUUAGACUCAAUCCGAUAUCGAUCGGUCCACGAAAUUUGACAAUUCAGGUUCGUACUAAGUUCGUUCUGAAAUGGAGUGGUUGGUGUAUUGUAUAGUUCUAGAGAUUGUAUUUCACUCAAAACCCACCAAAUGACUCCUCCCACAAUAUUAUGAUGUUCCCCAAGUUUUGGACUCAAUCCGAUGUCGAUCAGUCCUUGAAAUCUGACAUUCAGUUCGUACGAAGUUCNNNNNNNNNNNNNNNNNNNNNNNNNNNNNNNNNNNNNNNNNNNNNNNNNNNNNNNNNNNNNNNNNNNNNNNNNNNNNNNNNNNNNNNNNNNNNNNNNNNNNNNNNNNNNNNNNNNNNNNNNNNNNNNNNNNNNNNNNNNNNNNNNNNNNNNNNNNNNNNNNNNNNNNNNNNNNAAUGGGGUGGUUGUUGUAUUGUAUAGUUCUAGAGAUUGGAUUUCACUCAAAACCCACCAAAUGCCUCCACCCACAAUAUUAUGAUGUUCCCCAAGUUUUGGACUCAAUCCGAUAUCUAUUGGUCCUUGAAAUCGGACAAUUCAGGUUCGUACAAAGUUCGUUCAGAAAGGGGGUCGUUGGUGUAUUGUAUAGUUCUAGAGAUUGGAUUUCGCUCAAAACCCACCAAAUGACUCCUCCCACAAAAUUAUGAUGUUCCCCAAGUUUUGCACUCAAUCCGAUAUCGAUCGGUCCAAGAAAUUUGACAAUUCAGGUUCGUACCAAGUUCGUUCUGAAAUGGAGUGGUUGGUGUAUUGUAUAGUUCUAGGGAUUGUAUUUCACUCAAAACCCACCAAAUGCCUCCUCCCACAAUAUUAUGUUGUUCGCCAAGUUUUGGACUCAAUCCGAUAUCGAUUGGUCCUUGAAUUCAGACAAUUCAGGUUCGUAUGAAGUUCAUUCUGAAAUGGGGUGGUUGGUGUAUUGUACAGUUCUAGAUAUUGGAUUUCACUCAAAACCGACCAAAUGACUCCUCCCACAAUAUUAUGAUGUUCCCCAAGUUUUGGACUCAAUGCGAUAUCGAUUAGUCCUUGUAAUCGGCCAAUUCAGGUUCGUACGAAGUUUAUUCUGAAAUGGGGUGGUUGGUGUACUGUAUAGUUGUAGAGAUUCGAUUUCACACAAAACCCACCAAAUGACUCCUCCCACAAAAUUAUGAUGUUCCCCAAGUUUUGGACUCAAUCCGAUAUAGAUUGGUCCUUGAAAUCGGACAAUUCAGGUUCGUACGAAGUUCGUUCUGAAAUAGAGUGGUUGGUGUAUUGUAUAGUUCUAGGGAUUGUAUUUCACUCAAAUCCCACCAAAUGACUCCUCCCACAAUAUUAUGAUGUUCCCCAAGUUUUGGACUCAAUCCGAUAUCGAUCGGUCCACGAAAUUUGACAAUUCAGGUUCGUACCAAGUUCAUUCCGAAAUGGAGUGGUUGGUGUAUUGUAUAGUUCUAGGGAUUGUAUUUCACUCAAAACCCACCAAAUGACUCCUCCCACAAUCUUAUGAUGUUCCCCAAGUUUUGGACUCAAUCCGAUAUCGAUUGGUUCUUGAAGUCGGACAAUUCAGGUUCGUACCAAGUUCGUUGUGAAAUGGAGUGGUUGGUGUAUUGUAUAGUUCCAGGGAUUGUAUUUCACUCAAAACCCACCAAAUGCCUCCUCCCACAAUAUUAUGUUGUUCGCCAAGUUUUGGACUCAAUCCGAUAUCGAUUGGUCCUUGAAUUCAGACAAUUCAGGUUCGUAUGAAGUUCGUUCUGAAAUGGGGUGGUUGGUGUAUUGUACAGUUCUAGAGAUUGGAUUUCACUCAAAACCGACCAAAGGACUCCUCCCACAAUAUUAUGAUGUUCCCCAAGUUUUGGACUCAAUGCGAUAUCGAUUAGUCCUUGUAAUCGGCCAAUUCAGGUUCGUACGAAGUUCAUUAUGAAAUGGGGUGGUUGGUGUAUUGUUUAGUUCUAGAGAUUGGAUUUCACACAAAACCCACCAAAUGACUCCUCCCACAAAAUUAUGAUGUUCCCCAAGUUUUGGACUCAAUCCGAUAUAGAUUGAUCCUUGAAAUCGGACAAUUCAGGUUCGUACGAAGUUCCUUUUGAAAUGGAGUGGCCGGUGUAUUGUAUAGUUCUAGAGAUUGGAUUUCACUCAAAACCCAACAAAUGACUCCUCCCACAAUAUUAUGAUGUUCCCUUAGUUUUGGACUCAAUCCGAUAUCGAUCAGUCCACGAAAUUUGACAAUUCAGGUUCGUACGAAGUUCGUUCUGAAGUGGGGUGGUUGGUGUAUUGUAUAGUUCUAGAGAUUGGAUUUCACUCAAAACCCACCAAAUGACUCCUCCCACAAUAUUAUGAUGUUCCCCAAGUUUUGGACUCAAUCCGAUAUCGAUCGGUUAACGAAAUUUGACAAUUCGGGUUCGUACGAAGUUCGUUCUGAAGUGGGGUGGUUGGUGUGUUGUAUAGUUCUAGAGAUUGUAUUUCACUCAAAACCCACCAAAUGACUCCUCCUACAAUGUUAUGGUGUUCCCCAAGUUUUGGACUCAAUCCGAUAUCGAUCGGUCCACGAAAUUUGACAAUUCUGGUUCGUACGAAGUUCGUUCCGAAAUGGUGUGGUUGGUGUAUUGUAUAGUUCUAGAGAUUGGAUUUCACUCAAAACCCACCAAAUGACUCCUCCCACAAUAUUAUGAUGUUCCCCAAGUUUUGGACUCAAUCCGAUAUCGAUCGGUCCACGAAACUUGACAAUUCGGGUUCGUACGAAGUUCGUUCUGAAAUCGAGUGGUUGGUGUAUUGUGUAGUUCUAGGGAUUGUGUUUCACUCAAAACCCACCAAAUGACUCCUCCAACAAUAUUAAGAUGUUCCCCAAGUUUUGGACUCAAUCCGAUAUCGAUCGGUCCACGAAAUUUGACAAUUCAGGUUCGUACGAAGUUCGUUCCGAAAUGGUGUGGUUGGUGUAUUGUAUAGUUCAAGGGAUUGUAUUUCACUAAAAACCCACCAAAUGCCUCCUCCCACAAUAUUAUGUUGUUCCCCAAGUUUUGGACUCAAUCCAAUAUCGAUUGGUCCUUGAAAUCAGACAAUUCAGGUUCGUUUGAAGUUCGUUCCGAAAUUGGGUGGUACUUGUAUUGUAUAGUUCUAGAGAUUGGAUUUCACUCAAAAACCACCAAAUGCCUCCUCCCACAAUAUUAUGAUGUUCCCCAAGUUUUGGACUCAAUCCGAUAUCGAUCGGUCCACGAAAGUUGACAAUUCAGGUUCGUACCAAGUUCGUUCUGAAACGGUGUGGUUGGUGUAUUGUAUAGUUCUAGGGAUUGUAUUUCACUCAAAACCCACCAAAUGCCUACUCCCAGAAUAUUAUGAUGUUCCCCAAGUUUUGGACUCAAUCCGAUAUCGAUCGGUCCACGAAAUUUGACAAUUCAGUUUCGUACCAAGUUCGUUCUGAAAUGGAGUGGUUGGUGUAUUGUAUAGUUCUAGGGAUUGUAUUUUACUCAAAACCCACCAAAUGACUCCUCCAACAAUAUUAUGAUGUUCCCCAAAUUUUGGACUCAAUCCGAUAUCGAUUGGUGCUUGAAAUCGGACAAUUCAGGUUCGUAUGAAGUUCGUUCUGAAAUGGGGUGGUUGGUGUGUUGUAGAGUUCUAGAGAUUGGAUUUCACUCAAAACCCCCCAAAUGACUCCUCCCACAAUAUUAUGAUGCUUCCUAAGUUUUGGACUCAAUCCGAUAUCGAUCGGUCCACGAAAUUUGACAAUUCAGGUUCGUACGAAGUUUGUUCUGAAAUGGAGGGGUUGGUGUAUUGUAUAGUUCUAGGGAUUGUAUUUCAUUCAAAACCCGCCAAAUGCCUCCUCCCACAGUAUUAUGUUGUUCCCCAAGUUUUGGACUCAAUCCGAUAUCGAUUGGUCCUUGAAAUUGGACAAUUCAGGUUCGUUUAAAGUUCGUUCCGAAGUGGGGUGGUUGGUGUAUUGUAUAGUUCUAGAGAUUGGACUUCACUCAAAACCCACCAAAUGACUUCUCCCACAAUAUUAUGAUGUUUCCCAAGUUUUGGACUCAAUCCGAUGUCGAUUGGUCCUUGAAAUCGAACAAUUCAGGUUGGUAUGAAGUUCGUUCUGAAAUGGGGUGGUUGGUGUAUUGUAUAGUUCUAGAGAUUGGAUUUCACUCAAAACCCACCAAAUGACUCCUCCCACAAUAUUACGAUGUUGCCCAAGUUUUGGACUCAAUCCGAUAUCGAUCGGUCCACGAAAUUUGACAAUUCAGGUUCGUACCAAGUUCAUUCUGAAAUGGAGUGGUUGGUGUAUUGUAUAGUUCUAGGGACUGUAUUUCACUCAAAACCCACCAAAUGCCUCUUCCCACAAUAUUAUGUUGUUCUCCAAGUUUUGGACUCAAUCCGAUAUCGAUCAGUCCACGAAAUUUGACAAUUCUGGUUCGUACGAAGUUCGUUCUGAAAUGGAGUGGUUGGUGUAUUGUAUAGUUCUAGGGAUUGUAUUUCACUCAAAACACACCAAAUGACUCCUCCCACAAUAUUAUGAUGUUCCCCAAGUUUUGGACUCAAUCCGAUAUCGAUUGGUCAAUGAAAUCGGGCAAUUCUAGUUCAUACGAAGUUCGUUCUGAAAUGGAGUAGUUGGUGUAUUGUAUAGUUCUAGGGAUCAGAUUUCACUCAAAACCCACCAAAUGCCUCCUCCCACAAUAUUAUGUUGUUCCCCAAGCUUUGGACUCAAUCCGAUAUCGAUCUGCCCACGAAAUUUGACAAUUCAGGUUCGUACGAAGUUCGUUCUGAAAUGGAGUGGUUGGUGUAUUGUAUAGUUAUAGAGAUUGUAUUUUACUAAAAACCCACCAAAUGCCUCCUCCCACAGUGGUAUGCUGUUUCCCAAGUUCAGGACUCAAUCCGAUAUCGAUUGUCAAUGAAAUCGGGCUAUUCAAGUUCCUACGAAGUUCGUUCUGAAAUGGAGUGAUUUCUGUAUUGUAUAGUUCUAGGGAUUGGAUUUCACUCAAAACCCCCCAAAUGACUCCUCCCACAAUAUUAUGAUGUUCCCCAAGUUUUGGACUCAAUCUGAUAUCGAUUGGUCCUUGAAAUCGGAGAAUUCAGGUUCGUUUGAAGUUCGUUCUGAAAUGGGGUGGUUGGUGUAUUGUAUAGUUGUAGAGAUUGGAUUUCACUCAAAACCCACCAAAUGACUCCUCCCACAAUGUUAUGAUGUUCCCCAAGUUUUGGACUCAAUCUGAUAUCGAUUGGUCCUUGAAAUCGGACAAUUCAGGUUCGUUUGAAGUUCGUUCUGAAAUGGGGUGGUUGGUGUAUUGUAUAGUUCUAGAGAUUGGAUUUCACUCAAAACCCACCAAAUGACUCCUCCCACAAUAUUAUGAUGUUCCCCAAGUUUUGGACUCAAUCCGAUAUCGAUCAGUCCACGAAAUUUGACAGUUCAGGUUCGUACCAAGUUCGUUCUGAAAUGGAGUGGUUGGUGUAUUGUAUAGUUCUAGGUACUGUAUUUCACUCAAAACCCACCAAAUGCCUCUUCCCACAAUAUUAUGUUGUUCUCCAAGUUUUGGACUCAAUCCGAUAUCGAUCAGUGCACGAAAUUUGACAAUUCUGGUUCGUACGAAGUUCGUUCUGAAAUGGAGUGGUUGGUGUAUUGUAUAGUUCUAGGGAUUGUAUUUCACUCAAAACACACCAAAUGACUCCUCCCACAAUAUUAUGAUGUUCCCCAAGUUUUGGACUCAAUCCGAUAUUGAUUGGUCAAUGAAAUCGGGCAAUUCUAGUUCAUACGAAGUUCGUUCUGAAAUGGAGUAGUUGGUGUAUUGUAUAGUUCUAGGGAUCGGAUUUCACUCAAAACCCACCAAAUGCCUCCUCCCACAAUAUUAUGUUGUUCCCCAAGCUUUGGACUCAAUCCGAUAUCGAUCUGCCCACGAAAUUUGACAAUUCAGGUUCGUACGAAGUUCGUUCUGAAAUGGAGUGGUUGGUGUAUUGUAUAGUUCUAGGGAUUGUAUUUUACUCAAAACCCACCAAAUGCCUCCUCCCACAAUGGUAUGCUGUUUCCCAAGUUCAGGACUCAAUCCGAUAUCGAUUGUCAAUGAAAUCGGGCUAUUCAAGUUCAUACGAAGUUCGUUCUGAAAUGGAGUGAUUGGUGUAUUAUAUAGUUCUAGGGAUUGGAUUUCACUCAAAACCCCCCAAAUGACUCCUCCCACAAUAUUAUGAUGUUCCCCAAGUUUUGGACUCAAUCUGAUAUCGAUUGGUUCUUGAAUCGGACAAUUCAGGUUCGUAUGAAGUUCGUUCUGAAAUGGGGUGGUUGGUGUAUUGUAUAGUUCUACAGAUUGGAUUUCACUCAAAACCCACCAAAUGACUCCUCCCACAAGAUUAUGAUGUUCCCCAAGUUUUGGACUCAAUCCGAUAUCGAUCGGUGCACGAAAUUUGACAAUUCAGGUUCAUACCAAGUUCGUUCUGAAAUGGUGUGGUUGGUGUAUUGUAUAGUUCUAGGGAUUGUAUUUGAGUCAAAACCCACCAAAUUCCUCCUCCCACAAUAUUAUGUUGUUCCCCAAGUUUUGGUCUCAAUCCGAUAUCGAUCUGCCCACGAAAUUUGACAAUUCAGAUUCGUACGAAGUUCGUUCUGAAAUGGAGUGGUUGGUGUAUUGCAUAGUUCUAGAGAUUGGAUUUCACUCAAAACCCACCAAAUGACUCCUCCCACAAUAUUAUGGUGUUCCCUAAGUUUUUGACUCAAUCUGAUAUCGAUUGAUCCUUGAAAUCGGACUAUUCAGGUUCGUACGAAGUUCGUUCUGAAAUAGUGUGGUUGGUGUAUUGUAUAGUUCUAGAGAUUGGAUUUCACUCAAAACCCACCAAAUGACUCCUCCCACAAUAUUGUGUUGUUCCCCAGGUUUUGGACUCAAUCCGAUAUCGAUUGGUCCUUGAAAUCGGACAAUUCAGGUUCGUACGAAGUUCGUUUUGAAAUGGGGUGGUUGGUGUAUUGUAUAGUUCUAGAGAUUGGAUUUCACUCAAAACCCACCAAAUGACUCCUCCCACAAUAUUAUGAUGUUCCCCCGGUUUUGGACUCAGUCCGAUACCGAUUGGUCCUUGAAAUCGGACAACUCAGGUUCGUACGAUGUUCGUUCAUAAAUGGGGUGGUUGGUGUAUUGUAUAGUUCUAGGGAUUUGAUUUCACUCAAAACCCACCAAAUGACUCCUCCCACAAUAUUAUGAUGUUCCCCAAGUCUAGGCAUUCUAGAAGAUGUUUUGGUGAAAGUGGAAGAGCUAAUUUUGCCAGCAGAUUUCUUGCUGUUGGAAAUAGAAGAAGCACCAAUUCGUGACAAUCAGUUGCCACUCAUUGUAGGUCGGCCAUUCAUGGCAACUGCCGGUGCUAUUAUUGAUGUGAAGAAGGGGACAUUGACCAUGAAUGUGUUUGAUGAGACAAUAGCAUUCAAAGUGUUUGAAGCCUCCAAGUUCCCAAGUGAUGAGCAUGAAGUUUUCCAUCUUGAUGCAAUUGAUACUAUGGUGAAAGAAGCACUGCCAAUGAGUUAUUUGGAGCCCAUUGAAGCAUGCAUCACACAAAGCAUAAGGAAAGAAGAAGUGGACAGCUUAGAGGCUGUGAUCUCUCCUUUACUUCUUGAGCUUGUUUGCAGCAUGGAUAGCUACAUAGGAAUUGGAAAAAGGUAUGCAAACCAAUUUGAAUCAUUACCCCCACCUACUAAUAAGGUUUUACCUUCUAUUGUGCAGGCACCAGAGUUGGAAUUAAAGCAAUUGCCAAAACACCUUAAAUAUGCUUAUUUAGGUGAAAAUGAGACUCUACCUGUUAUCAUUGCCUCACAUCUCGGACCAAAUGAUGAAAAGAAGCUUUUGAGAGUUCUAAAAGAGCACAAAACUGCAAUCGGGUGGAGCAUUGCAUCAAAGGCAUAAGCCCAACACUGUGCAUGCACAAGAUAUUAUUGGAAGACAAUGCAAUGCCUAAGAGGGAUGCCCAAAGACGUCUCAAUCCGAACACGAAGGAGGUGGUAAGGAAAGAGGUAAUUAAGCUUUUAAAUGUUGGUAUUAUUUACCCUAUUUCUGACAGUAAAUGGGUGAGCCCAGUGCAAGUUGUCCCCAAGAAGUCAGGUAUCACAGUGGUGAAGAAUGAAGCAAACGAACUUGUACCUACACGGAUGACCACGGGCUGGAGAGUUUGCAUUGAUUAUAGGAAGCUCAACACAGCGACAAGCAAAGAUCACUUUCCUCUUCCAUUCAUUGAUCAAAUGCUUGAGAGAUUAGCUGGGCAUAGCCACUAUUGCUUCCUUGAUGGAUAUUCAGGCUACAACCAAAUCGCCAUAGCCCCAGAGGAUCAAGAGAAGACGACCUUCACAUGUCCCUUUGGCACUUUCGCUUAUAGGAGGAUGUCUUUUGGUCUCUGUAACGCCCCAGCCACUUUUCAAAGGUGCAUGAUGAGCAUUUUCUCCGACAUGGUAGAAAGGUUCAUUGAGGUAUUCAUGGAUGACUUCUCUGUCUUUGGUGAUUCUUUUGAUCAAUGCUUGCAUAACUUAUCCAAGGUGUUGGCUAGAUGUGAACAUACUAACCUUGUGCUUAAUUGGAAAAAAUGUCAUUUUAUGGUUAACCAAGGCAUAGUUCUUGGUCAUGUCAUCUCUAGUAAAGGAAUUGAGGUAGAUAAAGCUAAGAUUGAUUUGAUUGCCUCUAUGCCCUCACCUACUUCUGUCAAAGAAGUACGUUCUUUCCUUGGCCAUGCAGGUUUCUAUAGGCGUUUCAUUAAGGAUUUUUCUAAGAUUACAAGGCCUAUGUGCAAUCUCCUUGCCAAGGACAUGGAUUUUGUGUUUGAUCAAGACUGUGAGAAUGCUUUCAAUGCUUUGAAGAAGAUGCUCACAACUGCCCCAAUCAUUAUACCACCGGAUUGGAGCUUGCCUUUUGAAUUGAUGUGUGAUGCCUCAGAUUAUGCUGUUGGAGCUGUUUUGGGACAGCGAGUUGAUAAGAAGCCACAUGCCAUCUACUAUGCUAGUAGAACCCUCAACGAUGCCCAACUCAACUAUUCCACCACAGAGAAGGAGUUGUUAGCUGUCAUAUUUGCUUUAGAGAAGUUCAGAUCAUAUUUGAUUACUAACAAGGUUAUUGUUUACACUGAUCAUGCAGCAUUGAAAUACUUGUUAGCUAAGAAGGAUGCCAAACCACAACUCAUUAGAUGGAUUCUCUUAUUGCAAGAGUUUGACUUGGAGAUAAAAGAUAAGAAAGGAAGUGAGAAUGUUGUGGCUGAUCACUUGAGUAGAUUGGUGCAUGUAUCUAACGAAGAGGAGGAUUCAUUGCCAUUGCGUGAAAGCUUCCCUGAUGAGCAACUCUUCUCCAUUUGUGCUUUCAAUUCUCUCAAUCCAUUGCCUUGGUUUGCUGAUAUUGCUAACUAUUUGUGCACUAAUGAACUCCCUACAGGGUUAUCUACGUUCCAACGUAACAAGCUUAGGAAGCAAGCAAGAUACUACUUUUGGGAUGAUCCAUAUCUAUUCAAGCAUUGUCCAGACCAAGUAAUUCGAAGGUGUGUGCCUGAAGGUGAUUUUAAGAGCAUUCUGGAGUUUUGUCACUCCCACGCAUGCGGAGGCCAUUUUGGACCAAAGAAGACUGCCAGCAAAGUGCUACAAUCAGGUUUCUUUUGGCCUACCCUUUUUAAGGAUGCUUAUGUUUUUUGUGCUUCAUGUGAUAGAUGCCAACGGAUGGGUAAUUUACAUGCUAGAAAUCAGAUGCCUCUCACCAAUAUCUUAAUCAUUGAUAUAUUUGAUGUUUGGGGAAUUGAUUUCAUGGGCCCUUUUCCUACCUCUUAUGGAUUUGAAUAUAUAUUAGUUGCUGUCGAUUAUGUUUCUAAAUGGGUGGAAGCCAUUGCCACUAGAACUAAUGAUGCUAAGGUUGUGAUCGGUUUUCUCAAAGGAAAUAUUUUUACAAGGUUUGGCACACCUAGAGCAAUCAUUAGUGAUGGUGGCUCCCACUUUGUUAACCAAGCUUUUGCAGCACUCUUGACGAAAUAUGGAAUCACGCAUAAAGUGGCAACACCCUAUCAUCCUCAAACUAGUGGGCAGGUUGAGAUAAGCAAUAGGGAGAUUAAGCACAUACUUGAAAAGACAGUGAACACCACAAGGAAGGAUUGGUCCAUGUGUUUGGAUGAUGCAUUGUGGGCUUAUAGGACUGCUUAUAAGACCCCUAUAGGUAUGUCUCCGUAUAGACUUGUUUUUGGUAAACCUUGUCACUUACCAGUGGAGCUUGAGCACAGGGCUUAUUGGGCAAUCAAGGCCCUGAAGUUUGAUAUGAAAGCUGCUGGUGAGAAGAGGAGGCUUCAACUCAAUGAGCUGGAGGAGUUGCGACAUGAAGCAUAUGAGAAUGCGAAGCUUUACAAGGAGAAAACAAAGCAAUAUCACGACAAGAAAAUUCUUAGGAAGACGUUUGAGAAAGGGCAGAAGGUUCUCUUAUUCAAUUCACGCCUUAAACCCAGGUAAGCUUCAUUCUCGGUGGAUUGGCACUUUUGUUAUUACUAAUGUGUUUAAUCAUAGCGCAGUGGAGAUUCAAAACAUUAAGGAUGGCAGCACCUUCAAGGUGAAUGGACAUCGGUUGAAACCUUACUUCGAUGCCAAUAUUGAGUCUCAAGCACUCAAGGAGCCUCCACCACUCUCUUAUAGCUCACCAGAGUUUGGAUGUCCGGCUGAAGAUGUGAAACUUUGCGCUUCUUGGGAGGCAACCCAAGGUGAUGAGGAGAAGAUAGAAUAUGUGAGGAAGCUUGGCUGCAUCCUAAUCGCUUCAAAGGGGAGUUUUUCUGAAAUCUAACCUUUGGUUAUGUCUUUCCUUUGUCUUCUUUCCUUUCAUUUAUGUGGCAUUGCUUUUUCUUACACUCUAAACAUUGAGGACAAUGUUUCAUUUAAGUUUGGGGGGAAGGAUUUAGUUAUGUUCUUUCAAAUUGUCAAAUUUUAUAAUUUUGAGUGUGUCUAAUGGCCAAAAACGCAGGAUUUUGUGUCUUGUUUCGUUAUCCUUCCAAACACCUAUGAUAAGACUUGGAUCUAAUACUAAUAUGGUUUCUCAUAAAUUGAUAGUCAUUGUUUAAGGACUUUGUGUGGUUCUGAGUUAACUCUGUCUUGCUUGCCAUCCUUGCACUUAUUGAGCACUUUGUCGAGUUAGUCCAAUUUCUUGCUACUUGGAGACGAUAUGCAAUUCUACUUAUCUCAGAUCUUGGUUUCGUACUCUAGAACUUAUUUGAAUAUCUCUUGAGACAUUUUGUUGCCAUACAAUGCUUAGGAAGUGAUUUAGGCCAUGUUUGAACCGUUUGAGCUUUUCUAACAAUCCCUCUACAUGUAUUCAUCCCUAGUCAACCCAUUUGAGCCUACGUUAAGCCUUUCUUUGUGUAAACCAUUCUUACCAUAAUGAACCUCUGUUUUCUUAUUCUUACUUAUUCUAUGAGCAAUUAAAGUUAUCUUCAAAAGAGAGUUAUAAAGAAUGCAAGGUUUUUGGAGCAAAAGUGAAUCAUUAGUGCCAUAACCCAAGUGUUGAAAAGAAAUAAAUUUGGGGGUAUUGGUAACUAAUCAAAAGAGGUAAUGAAGUGUGACCAAUGUAGUCACGGCCCUAUGGUGUUAUAAAAGAGAAGAUCAUGGUGAUCUAGGGUAAAGAGCCACAAAAUUAGGCCAAAGAAACAGAUAUGAAGGUGCUGAAAUUAUGUUGAAAAUGUGCUCAUGUAUGUGUUCCUUGCUUGUUACAAAGUUCAGUAAUCUCUUAUGCUCUUACCUGUGCUUUAAUUGUGCUCAAAAUAUUGUAUAUCUCAUAUCCCUUCUUUCAUUCAACCACUGCCCUAAACCUCAUUACUACCCUUGUAAAGUCCUUUUGAUCCUUGGUAUUGUAUGGUAUUACUGUGGAGAGCUGAUUUGAUAAUGAGCUUAUGGGGUUCGGAAUUCUUGAUUUUGCUCUAAGUGUGUGCGCAUGUACUUAUCUGAGUUGCAGGUGUUGUACUGAUUCGGAAUUCACACACUACACUUAAGGAUGUCAUUGUGAGCUUUGGUUACCCUUGAAUCAUAUGUGGAACUCAGAUUGUGAUUGUUGUGUUUCUUUGGGACCAUAUACGUCGGUGAUUCUUUGAGGAUAUUGUUUGGAAGGCUAGUUGCUUAUUUCCUAUUUCCUAAGUUGUAGUUUUAUUUUGUUUUGCUCGAGGACUAGCAAAAUCUAAGUUUGGGGGUAUUUGAUAAGCUCUUAAUUUCACACAUUUGCAUGCCUUCUUUCCUUAGUAAUUUUUCUUAGCUUCUCUUUAUUUUGAGUCUCUUACCUAUGUUUGUGUGCUUUGUAGGUUAAGACAGCAAGGGGAUGACAUUUGAUACAAUUCAUGCAUGUUAAGGGCUGAGUGGCACAAGAGGAAUAUGAGCUUAAAGACAAAACCAAUUUGUGCCACACUCCUUGUCAGUCCAGUUUCGUAGGUCAUCUUACAGGCCUCAUUUCAGUAACUUACACAGGUCGAAUGAGGAGACAUCCUUGAUAGAAGUUGUUCCAAUGGGUGUCUAUUAUAACAUAUCCACAUUUCAGCCCAAUUGGAUAAAUCUGGAGCCCUCAACAAGUCAAAGACUGAACCAAGUUGACAGAAAUGUCAUGUUGGCUGCCAUCACAUUUAAUGUGGCUACAUCCCUAGAGCCAUGUGCUACACAUGGGCAGCCAUACAUAGGAGUCAAAUCAGCUCAGAAGCUCAGAAAGAUGAACAAAAGUCAAGCUUUCCAUAAAGAAACCAUACCAAAGCAUGUAUUUGUCAGCUGGAGCAGUUGGCAAGUAUGGGCAGCUGGAGCAGUUGGGAGCAGCUAAGAGAGGUGUACUUCACCAGCCAAAGGGGAGCACGAAAUUUCACUCUAUAAAUAGAGAGUUGCACACUCAUUCAAGGGGGAGAGAGCAGACACACACAUUCACUUCAUCCAUUACUCUCAUACACACAUUCAGAUUCACCACAAAGAGAGAAGAGAGCUUGGAGCUGUCCUGGGAACUUCCUUGCUGCCAUCAUCUAGUUCUUCUCCUCUCUUUAUCCUAUCUAUGUAUUUCUUAUUUUCUGUAUUCAUAGUUAUGUCUAACUAAUCCAUUUAGUUAGGGCUUAGGAUGAAGCCCUAGUCAUGAAUAUUAAAUGUUAUGGAUGAUUUUAUGGUUAAUUGAUUUCCUUGCUUUUAUUAUCAAGUUGUUAAUCUCCAGUUUAUUAUGUGCUUGAUGUAUGUUUUCUUGGAGUAGCUAACUAGGAUUUUAUGCAUCUAGCACAGGUUGGGAAGGGGUUUAGAUUCACCAAUUCUACUCUCCUUUCACAAGCAACACUUGAAUGGCCUAAGAAUCAUUCAAGGCGUUAAUAACCAUAGGUUGACUAGGACAGAUACCAUGUUCUUGGACUUGUGUGAUUAUCAUAUUCUCAAGGAGCUUAAUGACUCUUGUAUGCUUUAUUCUAAGUAGAUACCAUGCUUAGGUUGCAUAUUAGAGAUCACGUGUUGUGUAGAUACCAUGCAUAAUCACAUGCCUUAGGAGAAUCAUGCAUCCUGCACCUAGAUACCAUAGGCUUGUAUGCGAUGAUCUAUUGUUGAUGAAGCUUGAGUCAAUUUCUAUGCAUUCAUAACUUGGAUAGGAAAACUAGUGGUGGAUUCCAAGGCUCUAACACCUUUCAAUCAUUGUUUCGCAACUUGUUGAUUGCUGCCAGUGUUUACUUUCGAGCACUUUCAUUUCACUUUCUUGUUUUCAUUUCAACAACAAAACCCCCCAUUUCGAGUGCGUGUGUGGUGCUAGGAUUCUGUCCUAGACCUUGAGUAAUUAGCAAGAGGCAUUGUUGAAUUCGACCUUGCCUUUAGCUAGUUAGUCAGUUUCUUCGUUCAUUGUUUUUCUAGCAUUCUAAGUAAUUUAACUUGGAACCAAGUUACCAUUCUCCGUGGGAUCGACCUCGUAUUUACAUAAGCUAUACUAUAAAUGGUUCGUGCACUUGCGAGAAUUAAAGUUGCUGUUUUUAAUAACUCAUUUUAGUUGUUAAGAACUGGCGCAACAUUGGAUUUCACUAAAAACCCACCAAAUGACUCUUCCCACAAUAUUAUGAUGUUCCCCAAGUUUUGGACUCAAUCCGAUAUCGAUUGGUCCUUGAAAUCGGACAAAUCAGGUUCGUAUGAAGUUCGUUCUGAAAUGGGGUGGUUGGUGUAUUGUAUAGUUGUAGAGAUUGGAUUUCACUCAAAACCCAACAAAUGACUCCUCCCGCAAUAUUAUGACGUUCCCCAAGUUUUGGACUCAAUCCGAUAUCGAUUGGUCCUUGAAAUCGGACAAUUCAGGUUCGUACGAAGUUCAUUCUGAAAUGGUGUGGUUGGGGUAUUGUAUAGUUCUAGGGAUUGUAUUUCACUCAGAACCCACCAAAUGACUCCUGCCACAAUAUUAUGAUGUGCCCCAAGUUUUGGACUCAAUCCGAUAUCGAUUGGUCCUUGAAAUCGGACAAUUCAGGUUCGUACGAAGUUCGUUCUGAAAUGGUGUGGUUGGUGUAUUGUAUUGUUCUAGGGAUUCGAUUUCACUCAAAACCAUCAAAUGACAACCCCCACAAUAUUAUGAUGUUCCCCAAGUUUUGGACUCAAUCCGAUAUCGAUUGGUCCUUGAAAUCGGACAAUUCAGGUUCGUACGAAGUUCGUUCUGAAAUGGGGUGGUUGGUGUAUUGUAUAAUUCUAAGGAUUGGAUUUCACUCAAAACCCACCAAUGACUCCUCCCACAAUAUUAUGAUGUUCCCCAAGUUUUAGAUUCAAUCCGAUACCGAUCGGUCCACGAAAUUUGACAAUUCAGGUUCGUACAAAGUUCGUUCUGAAAUGGAGUGGUUGGUGUAUUGUAUUGUUCUAGGGAUUGUAUUUCACUCAAAACCCACCAAAUGACUCCUCCCACAAUAUUAUGAUAUUCCCCAAGUUUUGCACUCAAUCCGAUAUCGAUUGGUCCUUGAGAUCGGACAAUUCAGGUUCGUACGAAGUUCGUUCUGAAAUGGGGUGGUUGGUGUAUUGUAUAGUUCUAGAGAUUGGAUUUCACUCAAAACCCAGCAAAUGACCCCUCCCACAAUAUUAUGAUGUUCCCCAAGUUUUGGACUCAAUCCGAUAUCGAUUGGUCCUUACAAUCAGACAAUUCAGGUUCGUACGAAGUUCGUUCAUAAAUGGCGUGGUUGGUGUAUUGUAUAGUUCUAGGGAUUGGAUUUCACUCAAAACCCAUCAAAUGACAGCUGCCACAAUAUUAUGAUGUUCCCCAAGUUUUGGACUCAAUCCGAUAUCGAUCGGUCCACGAAAUUUGACAAUUCAGGUUCGUACGAAGUUCGUUCUGAAAUGGAGUCGUUCGUGUAUUGUAUAGUUCGAGAGAUUGGAUUUCACUCAAAACCCACCAAAUGACUCCUCCCACAAUAUUAUGAUGUUCCCCAGGUUUUGGACUCAAUCUGAUAUCGAUCGGUCCGCGAAAUUUGACAAUUCAGGUUCGUAUGAAGUUCGUUCUGAAAUGGAGUGGUUGGUGUAUUGUGUAGUUCUAGGGAUUGUAUAUCACUCAAAACCCACCAAAUCACUCCUCCCACAAUAUAAUGAUGUUCCCCAAGUUUCGGACUCAAUCUGAUAUCGAUUGGUCCUUGAAAUCGGACAAUUCAGGUUCGUAUGAAGUUCGUUCUGAAAUGGGGUGGUUGGUGUAUUGUAUAGUUCUAGAGAAUGGAUUUCCCUCAAAACCCAGCAAAUGACUCCUCCCACAAUAUUAUGAUGUUCCCCAAGUUUUGGACUCAAUCCGAUAUCGAUUGGUCCUUGAAAUCGGACAAUUCAUGUUCGUACAAAGUUCGUUCUGAAAUGCGGUGGUUUGUGUAUUGUAUAGUUCUAGAGAUUGGAUUUCACUCAAAACCCAGCAAAUGACUCCUCCCACAAUCUUAUGAUGUUCCCCAAGUUUUGGACUCAAUCCGAUAUCGAUUGGUGCUUGAAAUCGGACAAUUCAGGUUUGUACGAAGUUCGUUCUGAAAUGGUGUGGUUGGUGUAUAGUUCUAGGGAUUGUAUUUCACUCAAAACCCAUCAAAUGACAGCUCCCACAACAUUAUGAUGUUCCCCAAGUUUUGGACUCAAUCCGAUAUCGAUCGGUCCAAGAAAUUUGACAAUUCAGGUUCGUACGAAGUUCGUUCUGAAAUGGAGUGGUUGGUGUAUUGUAUAGUUCCAGAGAUUGGAUUUCACUCAAAACCCACCAAAUGACUACUCCCACAAUAUUCUGAUGUUCCCCAAGUUUUGGACUCAAUUCGAUAUCGAUUGGUCCUUGAAAUCGGACAAUUCAGGUUUCGUACGAAGUUCGUUCGUAAAUGGGGUGGUUGGUGUAUUGUAUAGUUCUAGUGAUUGGAUUUCACUCGAAUCCCACCAAAUGACUCCUCCCACGAUAUUAUGAUGUUCCCCAGGUUUUGGACUCAAUCCGAUAUCGAUUGGUCCUUGAAAUCGGACAAUUCAGGUUCGUACGAAGUUCGUUCUGAAAUGGGAUGGUUGGUGUAUUCUAUAGUUCUAGAGAUUGGAUUUCGCUCAAAACCCACCAAAUGACUCCUCCCACAAUAUUAUUAUGUUCCCCAAGUUUUAGGCUCAAUCCGAUAUCGAUUGGUCCUUGAAAUCGGACAAUUCAGGUUCGUACGAAGUUCGUUCAUAAAUGGGGUGGUUGGUGUAUUGUAUAGUUCUAGAGAUUGGAUUUCACUCAAAACCCCCCAAAUGACUCCUCCCAUAAUGUUAUGUUGUUCCUCAAGUUUUGGACUCAAUCCGAUAUCGAUUAGUCCUUGAAAUCGGCCAAUUCAGGUUUGUACGAAGUUCGUUCUGAAAUGGGGUGGUAGAUGUAUUGUAUAGUUCAAGAGAUUGGAUUUCACUCAAAACCCACCAAAUGAUUCCUCCGCCAAUAUUAUGAUGUUCCCCAAGUUUUGGACUCAAUCCGAUGUCGAUUGGUCGUUGAAAUCGGACAAAUCAGGUUCGUACGAAGUUCGUUCUGAAAUCGGUUGGUUGGUGUAUUGUAUAGUUCUAGGGAUUGGAUUUCACUCAAAACCCACCAAAUGACUCCUCCCACAAUGUUAUGAUGUUCCCCAAGUUUUGGACUAAAUCCGAUAUCGAUUGGGGCUUGAAAUCGAACAAUUCAGGUUCGUACGAAGUUCGUUCCGAAAUGGUGUGGUUGGUGUAUUGUAUAGUUCUAGGGAUUGUGUUUCACUCAAAACCCACCAAAUGACCCCUCCCACAAUAUUAUGAUGUUCCCCAGGUUUCGGACUCAAUCCGAUAUCGAUUGGUGCUUGAAAUCGGACAAUUCAGGUUCGUACGAAGUUCGUUCUAAAAUGGGGUGGUUGGUGUAUUGUAUAGUUCUAGAGAUUGGAUUUCACUCAAAACCCACCAAAUGACUCCUCCCACAAUAUUAUGAUGUUCCCCUAGUAUUGGACUCAAUCCGAUAUUGAUUGGUCCUUGAAAUCGGACAAUUCAGGUUCGUACGAAGUUCGUUCUGAAAAGGGGUGGUUGGUGCAUUGUAAAGUUCUAGAGAUUGGAUUUCACUCAAAACCCAUCAAAUGACAACUCCCACAAUAUUACGAUGUUCCCCAAGUUUUGGACUCAAUCCGACAUCGAUUGGUGCUUGAAAUCGGACAAUUCAGGUUGGUACCAAGUUCGUUCUGAAAUGGGGUGGUUGGUGUAUUGUAUAGUUCUAGAGAUUGGAUUUCACUCAAAACCCUCCAAAUGACUCCUCCCACAAUAUUAUGAUGUUCCCCUAGUAUUGGACUCAAUCCGAUAUUGAUUGGUCCUUGAAAUCGGACAAUUCAGGUUCGUACGAAGUUCGUUCUGAAAAGGGGUGGUUGGUGCAUUGUAAAGUUCUAGAGAUUGGAUUUCACUCAAAACCCAUCAAAUGACAACUCCCACAAUAUUACGAUGUUCCCCAAGUUUUGGACUCAAUCNNNNNNNNNNNNNNNNNNNNNNNNNNNNNNNNNNNNNNNNNNNNNNNNNNNNNNNNNNNNNNNNNNNNNNNNNNNNNNNNNNNNNNNNNNNNNNNNNNNNNNNNNNNNNNNNNNNNNNNNNNNNNNNNNNNNNNNNNNNNNNNNNNNNNNNNNNNNNNNNNNNNNNNNNNNNNNNNNNNNNNNNNNNNNNNNNNNNNNNNNNNNNNNNNNNNNNNNNNNNNNNNNNNNNNNNNNNNNNNNNNNNNNNNNNNNNNNNNNNNNNNNNNNNNNNNNNNNNNNNNNNNNNNNNNNNNNNNNNNNNNNNNNNNNNNNNNNNNNNNNNNNNNNNNNNNNNNNNNCGAUUGGUCCUUGAAAUCGGACACUUCAGUCGUACGAAGUUCGUUCUGAAAUGGGGUGGUUGUGUAUGUAUCGUUCUACAGAUUGGAUUUCACUCAAAACCCACCAAAUGACUCUCCCACAAUAUUAUGAUCUUCCCCAAGUUUUGGACUCAAUCCGACAUCGAUCGGUCCACGAAAUUUGACAAUUCAGGUUCGUACGAAGUUCGUUCUGAAAUGGAGUGGUUGGUGUAUUGUAUUGUUCUAGGGAUUGUAUUUCACUCCAAACCCACCAAAUGACUCCUCCCACAAUAUUAUGAUGUUCCCCAAGCUUUGGACUCAAUCCGAUAUCGAUUGGUGCUUGAAAUCGGACAAUUUCAGGUUCGUACGAAGUUCGUUCUGAAAUGGUGUGGUUGGUGUAUUGUAUAGUUCUAGAGAUUGGAUUUCACUCAAAACCCGACCAAAUGACUCCUCCCACAAUAUUAUGAUGUUCCCCAAAGUUUUGGACUCAAUCCGAUAUCGAUUGGUCCUUGAAAUCGGCCAAUUCCGGUUCGUACGAAGUUCGUUCUAAAAUGGGGUGGUCGGUGUAUUGCAUAGUUCUAGAGAUUGUAUUUCACUCAAAACACACCAAAUGACUCCUCCCACAAUAUUAUGAUGUUCCCCAAGUUUUGGACUCAAUCCGAUAUCGAUUAGUCCUUGAAAUCGGCCAAUUCCGGUUGGUACGAAGUUCGUUCUAAAAUGGGGUGGUUGGUGUAUUGCAUAGUUCUAGAGAUUGGAUUUCACUCAAAACCCACCAAAUGACUCCUCCCACAAUAUUAUGAGGUUCCCCAAGUUUUGGACUCAAUCCGAUAUCGAUUGGUGCUUGAAAUCGGACAAUUCAGGUUCGUACGAAGUUCGUUCUAAAAUGGGGUGGUUUGUGUAUUGCAAAGUUCUAGGGAUUGUAUUUCACUCAAAACCCACCAAAUGACUCCUCCCACAAUAUUAUGAUGUUCCCCAAGUUUUUGACUCAAUCCGAUAUCGAUCGGUCCACGAAAUUUGACAAUUCAGGUUCGUACGAAGUUCGUUCUGAAAUGGAGUGGUUGGUGUAUUGUAUUGUUCUAGGGAUUGGAUUUCACUCAAAACCCACCAAAUGACUCCUCCCACAAUAUUAUGAUGUUCCCCAAGUUUUGCACUCAAUCCGAUAUCGAUUGGUCAAUGAAAUCGGCCAAUUCAAGUUCGUACGAAGUUCGUUAUGAAAUGGAGUGGUUGGUGUAUUGGUUCUAGAGAUUGGAUUUCACUCAAAACCCACCAAAUGACUUCUCGCACAAUAUUAUGAUGUUCCCCAAGUUCUGGAACUCAAUCCGAUAUCGAUUGGUGCAUGAAAUCGGUCAAUCAAGAUCGUACGAAGUUCGUUCUGAAAUGGAGUGGUUGGUGUAUUGUAUAGUUCUAGGGAUUGGAUUUCACUCAAAACCCACCAAAUGACUCCUCCCACNNNNNNNNNNNNNNNNNNNNNNNNNNNNNNNNNNNNNNNNNNNNNNNNNNNNNNNNNNNNNNNNNNNNNNNNNNNNNNNNNNNNNNNNNNNNNNNNNNNNNNNNNNNNNNNNNNNNNNNNNNNNNNNNNNNNNNNNNNNNNNNNNNNNNNNNNNNNNNNNNNNNNNNNNNNNNNNNNNNNNNNNNNNNNNNNNNNNNNNNNNNNNNNNNNNNNNNNNNNNNNNNNNNNNNNNNNNNNNNNNNNNNNNNNNNNNNNNNNNNNNNNNNNNNNNNNNNNNNNNNNNNNNNNNNNNNNNNNNNNNNNNNNNNNNNNNNNNNNNNNNNNNNNNNNNNNNNNNNNNNNNNNNNNNNNNNNNNNNNNNNNNNNNNNNNNNNNNNNNNNNNNNNNNNNNNNNNNNNNNNNNNNNNNNNNNNNNNNNNNNNNNNNNNNNNNNNNNNNNNNNNNNNNNNNNNNNNNNNNNNNNNNNNNNNNNNNNNNNNNNNNNNNNNNNNNNNNNNNNNNNNNNNNNNNNNNNNNNNNNNNNNNNNNNNNNNNNNNNNNNNNNNNNNNNNNNNNNNNNNNNNNNNNNNNNNNNNNNNNNNNNNNNNNNNNNNNNNNNNNNNNNNNNNNNNNNNNNNNNNNNNNNNNNNNNNNNNNNNNNNNNNNNNNNNNNNNNNNNNNNNNNNNNNNNNNNNNNNNNNNNNNNNNNNNNNNNNNNNNNNNNNNNNNNNNNNNNNNNNNNNNNNNNNNNNNNNNNNNNNNNNNNNNNNNNNNNNNNNNNNNNNNNNNNNNNNNNNNNNNNNNNNNNNNNNNNNNNNNNNNNNNNNNNNNNNNNNNNNNNNNNNNNNNNNNNNNNNNNNNNNNNNNNNNNNNNNNNNNNNNNNNNNNNNNNNNNNNNNNNNNNNNNNNNNNNNNNNNNNNNNNNNNNNNNNNNNNNNNNNNNNNNNNNNNNNNNNNNNNNNNNNNNNNNNNNNNNNNNNNNNNNNNNNNNNNNNNNNNNNNNNNNNNNNNNNNNNNNNNNNNNNNNNNNNNNNNNNNNNNNNNNNNNNNNNNNNNNNNNNNNNNNNNNNNNNNNNNNNNNNNNNNNNNNNNNNNNNNNNNNNNNNNNNNNNNNNNNNNNNNNNNNNNNNNNNNNNNNNNNNNNNNNNNNNNNNNNNNNNNNNNNNNNNNNNNNNNNNNNNNNNNNNNNNNNNNNNNNNNNNNNNNNNGUUUUGGAGUCAAUCCGAUAUCGAUUGGUCCUUGAAAUCGGACAAUUUGAGUUUCGUACGAAGUUCGUUUCGAAAUGGUGUGGUUGGUGUAUUAUAUAGUUCUAGAGAAUGGAUUUGACUCAAAACCCUCCAAAUGACUCCUCCCACAAUAUGAUGAUGUUCCCCAAGUUUUGGACUCAAUCCGAUAUCGAUUGGUGCUUUAAAUCGGACAAUUCAGGUUCGUACGAAGUUCGUUCUUAAAUGGGGUGGUUGGUGUAUUGUAUAGUUCUGGGGAUUGGAUUUUACUCAAAACCCACCAAAUGACACCUCCCACAAUAUUAUGAUCUUCCCCAAGUUUUGGACUCAAUCCGAUAUAGAUCGGUCCACGAAAUUUGACAAUUAAGGUUCGUACGAAGUUCGUUCUGAAAUGGAGUGGUUGGCGUAUUGUAUUGUUCUAGGGAUUGUUUUUCACUCCAAACCCACCAAAUGACUCCUCCCACAGUAUUAUGAUGUUCGCAAGUUUUGGACUCAAUCAGAUAUCGAUUGGUCCUUGAAAUCUGACAAUUCAGGUUCGUUCGAAGUUCGUUCUGAAAUCAGUUGGUUGGUGUAUCGUGUAGUUCUAGGGAUUGGAUUUCACUCAAAAACCACCAAAUGACUCCUCCCACAAUAUUAUGAUGUUCCCCAAGUUUUGGACUCAAUCCGAUAUCGAUUGGUGCUUGAAACCGGACAAUUCAGGUUGGUACGAAGUUCGUUCUGAAAUGGGGUGGUUGGUGUAUUGUACAGUUCUAGAGAUUGGAUUUCAAUCAAAACCCACCAAAUGACUCCUCCCACAAUAUUAUGAUCUUCCCAAAGUUUUGGACUCAAUCCGAUAUCGAUCGGUCCACGAAAUUUGACAAUUCAGGUUCGUACGAACUUCGUUCUGAAAUGGAGUGGUUGGUGUAUUGUAUUGUUCUAGGGAUUGUAUUUCACUCAACANNNNNNNNNNNNNNNNNNNNNNNNNNNNNNNNNNNNNNNNNNNNNNNNNNNNNNNNNNNNNNNNNNNNNNNNNNNNNNNNNNNNNNNNNNNNNNNNNNNNNNNNNNNNNNNNNNNNNNNNNNNNNNNNNNNNNNNNNNNNNNNNNNNNNNNNNNNNNNNNNNNNNNNNNNNNNNNNNNNNNNNNNNNNNNNNNNNNNNNNNNNNNNNNNNNNNNNNNNNNNNNNNNNNNNNNNNNNNNNNNNNNNNNNNNNNNNNNNNNNNNNNNNNNNNNNNNNNNNNNNNNNNNNNNNNNNNNNNNNNNNNNNNNNNNNNNNNNNNNNNNNNNNNNNNNNNNNNNNNNNNNNNNNNNNNNNNNNNNNNNAUGAUGUUCCCCAAGUUUUGGACUCAAUCCGAUAUCGAUUGGUGCUUGAAAUCGGACAAUUCAGGUUCGUACGAAGUUCGUUCUAAAAUGGGGUGGUUUGUGUAUUGCAAAGUUCUAGGGAUUGUAUUUCACUCAAAACCCACCAAAUGACUCCUCCCACAAUAUUAUGAUGUUCCCCAAGUUUUUGACUCAAUCCGAUAUCGAUCGGUCCACGAAAUUUGACAAUUCAGGUUCGUACGAAGUUCGUUCUGAAAUGGAGUGGUUGGUGUAUUGUAUUGUUCUAGGGAUUGGAUUUCACUCAAAACCCACCAAAUGACUCCUCCCACAAUAUUACGAUGUUCGCCAAGUUUUGGACUCAAUCAAAUAUCGAUUGGUACAUGAAAUCGGACAAUUCAGGUUCGUACGAAGUUCGUUCAUAAAUGGGGUAGUUGGUGUAUUGUAUAGUUCUAGUGAUUGGAUUUCACUCAAAACCCACCAAAUGACUCCUCCCACAAUGUUAUGAUGUUCCCCAAGUUUGGGACUCAAUCCGAUGUCAAUUGGUCCUUGUAAUCGAACAAUUCAGGUUCGUACGAAGUUCGUUCAUAAAUGGGGUGGUUUGUGUAUUGUAUAGUUCUAGAGAUUGGAUUUCACUCAAAACCAAAAAAAUGACUCCUCCCACGAUAUUUUGAUGUUCGCCAAGUUUUGAAAUGGGGUGGUUGGUGUAUUGUAUAGUUCUAGAGAUUGGAUUUCACUCAAAACCCACGAAAAGACUCCUCCCACAAUAUUAUGACGUUCCCCAAGUUUUUGGAGUCAAUCCGAUAUCGAUCGUUCCACGAAAUUUUGACAAUUCAGGUUCGUACGACGUUCGUUCUGAAAAUGGAGUGGUUGGUGUAUUGUAUAGUUCCUAGGGGAUUGGAUUUCACNNNNNNNNNNNNNNNNNNNNNNNNNNNNNNNNNNNNNNNNNNNNNNNNNNNNNNNNNNNNNNNNNNNNNNNNNNNNNNNNNNNNNNNNNNNNNNNNNNNNNNNNNNNNNNNNNNNNNNNNNNUGAAAUGGGGUGGUUGGUGUAUUGUAUAGUUUCUAGAGAUUGGAUUUUCACUCAAAACCCACCCAAAUGACUCCUCCCACAAUAUUUAUGAUGUUCCCCAAGUUUUGGACUCAAUCCGAUAUCGAUUGGUGCUUGAAAUCAGACAAUUCAGGUUCGUACGAAGUUCGUUCCGAAAUGGUGUGGUUGGUGUAUUGUAUAGUUCUAGGGAUUGAUUUCACUCAAAACCCACCAAUGACUCCUCCCACAAUAUUAUGAUGUUCCCAAGUUUGGACUCAAUCCGAUGUCGAUCGGUCCUAGAAAUUGACAAUUCAGGUUUGUACGAAGUUCGUUCUGAAAUGGAGUGGUUGGUGUACUGUACAGUUCUAGAGAUUGGAUUUCACUCAAAACCCACCAAAUGACUCCUCCCACAAUAUUAUGACAUUCCCCAAGUUUUGGACUCAAUCCGAUAUCGGUUGGUCCUUGAAAUCGGACAAUUCAGGUUCGUACGAAGUUCGUUCUGAAAUGGGGUGGUUGGUGUGUUGUAUAGUUCUAGAGAUUGGAUUUCACUCAAAACUCCCCAAAUGACUCCUCCCACAAUAUUAUGAUGUUCCCCAAGUUUUGGACUCAAUCCGAUAUCGAUCGGUCCACGAAAUUUGACAAUUCAGGUUCNNNNNNNNNNNNNNNNNNNNNNNNNNNNNNNNNNNNNNNNNNNNNNNNNNNNNNNNNNNNNNNNNNNNNNNNNNNNNNNNNNNNNNNNNNNNNNNNNNNNNNNNNNNNNNNNNNNNNNNNNNNNNNNNNNNNNNNNNNNNNNNNNNNNNNNNNNNNNNNNNNNNNNNNNNNNNNNNNNNNNNNNNNNNNNNNNNNNNNNNNNNNNNNNNNNNNNNNNNNNNNNNNNNNNNNNNNNNNNNNNNNNNNNNNNNNNNNNNNNNNNNNNNNNNNNNNNNNNNNNNNNNNNNNNNNNNNNNNNNNNNNNNNNNNNNNNNNNNNNNNNNNNNNNNNNNNNNNNNNNNNNNNNNNNNNNNNNNNNNNNNNNNNNNNNNNNNNNNNNNNNNNNNNNNNNNNNNNNNNNNNNNNNNNNNNNNNNNNNNNNNNNNNNNNNNNNNNNNNNNNNNNNNNNNNNNNNNNNNNNNNNNNNNNNNNNNNNNNNNNNNNNNNNNNNNNNNNNNNNNNNNNNNNNNNNNNNNNNNNNNNNNNNNNNNNNNNNNNNNNNNNNNNNNNNNNNNNNNNNNNNNNNNNNNNNNNNNNNNNNNNNNNNNNNNNNNNNNNNNNNNNNNNNNNNNNNNNNNNNNNNNNNNNNNNNNNNNNNNNNNNNNNNNNNNNNNNNNNNNNNNNNNNNNNNNNNNNNNNNNNNNNNNNNNNNNNNNNNNNNNNNNNNNNNNNNNNNNNNNNNNNNNNNNNNNNNNNNNNNNNNNNNNNNNNNNNNNNNNNNNNNNNNNNNNNNNNNNNNNNNNNNNNNNNNNNNNNNNNNNNNNNNNNNNNNNNNNNNNNNNNNNNNNNNNNNNNNNNNNNNNNNNNNNNNNNNNNNNNNNNNNNNNNNNNNNNNNNNNNNNNNNNNNNNNNNNNNNNNNNNNNNNNNNNNNNNNNNNNNNNNNNNNNNNNNNNNNNNNNNNNNNNNNNNNNNNNNNNNNNNNNNNNNNNNNNNNNNNNNNNNNNNNNNNNNNNNNNNNNNNNNNNNNNNNNNNNNNNNNNNNNNNNNNNNNNNNNNNNNNNNNNNNNNNNNNNNNNNNNNNNNNNNNNNNNNNNNNNNNNNNNNNNNNNNNNNNNNNNNNNNNNNNNNNNNNNNNNNNNNNNNNNNNNNNNNNNNNNNNNNNNNNNNNNNNNNNNNNNNNNNNNNNNNNNNNNNNNNNNNNNNNNNNNNNNNNNNNNNNNNNNNNNNNNNNNNNNNNNNNNNNNNNNNNNNNNNNNNNNNNNNNNNNNNNNNNNNNNNNNNNNNNNNNNNNNNNNNNNNNNNNNNNNNNNNNNNNNNNNNNNNNNNNNNNNNNNNNNNNNNNNNNNNNNNNNNNNNNNNNNNNNNNNNNNNNNNNNNNNNNNNNNNNNNNNNNNNNNNNNNNNNNNNNNNNNNNNNNNNNNNNNNNNNNNNNNNNNNNNNNNNNNNNNNNNNNNNNNNNNNNNNNNNNNNNNNNNNNNNNNNNNNNNNNNNNNNNNNNNNNNNNNNNNNNNNNNNNNNNNNNNNNNNNNNNNNNNNNNNNNNNNNNNNNNNNNNNNNNNNNNNNNNNNNNNNNNNNNNNNNNNNNNNNNNNNNNNNNNNNNNNNNNNNNNNNNNNNNNNNNNNNNNNNNNNNNNNNNNNNNNNNNNNNNNNNNNNNNNNNNNNNNNNNNNNNNNNNNNNNNNNNNNNNNNNNNNNNNNNNNNNNNNNNNNNNNNNNNNNNNNNNNNNNNNNNNNNNNNNNNNNNNNNNNNNNNNNNNNNNNNNNNNNNNNNNNNNNNNNNNNNNNNNNNNNNNNNNNNNNNNNNNNNNNNNNNNNNNNNNNNNNNNNNNNNNNNNNNNNNNNNNNNNNNNNNNNNNNNNNNNNNNNNNNNNNNNNNNNNNNNNNNNNNNNNNNNNNNNNNNNNNNNNNNNNNNNNNNNNNNNNNNNNNNCAAAUGAGUCGUCCCCCCAAUUAUUAUGAUGUUCCCCCAAGUUUUGGACCCAAUCCGAUAUCGAUCGGUCCACGAAAUUUGACAAUUCAGGUUCGUACGAAGUUCGGUCUGAAAUGGAGUGGUUGGUGUAUUGUAUAGUUUUAGAGAUUGGAUUUCACUCAAAACCCACCAAAUGACUCCUCCCACAAUAUUACGAUGUUCCCCAAGUUUUGGACUCAAUCCGAUAUCGAUCGGUCCACGAAAUUUGACAAUUCAGGUUCGUACCAAGUUCGUUCUGAAAUGGAGUGGUUGGUGUAUUAUAUAGUUCUAGGGAUUGUAUUUCACUCAAAACCCACCAAAUGCCUCCUCCAACAAUAUUAUGAUGUUUCCCAAGUUUUGGUCUCAAUCCGAUAUCGAUUAGUCCUUGAAAUCGGCCAAUUCAGGUUUGUACGAAGUUCGUUCUGAAAUGAGGUGAUUGGUGUAUUGUAUAGUUCUAGAGAUUGGGUUUCACUCAAAACCCACCAAAUGACUCCUCCCACAAUAUUAUGAUGUUUCCCAAGUUUUGGUCUCAAUCCGAUAUCGAUUAGUCCUUGAAAUCGGCCAAUUCAGGUUUGUACGAAGUUCGUUCUGAAAUGAGGUGAUUGGUGUAUUGUAUAGUUCUAGAGAUUGGGUUUCACUCAAAACCCACCAAAUGACUCCUCCCACAAUAUUAUGAUGUUCCCCAAGUUUUGGACUCAAUCCGAUAUCGAUUGGGGCUUGAAAUCGGACAAUUCAGGUUCGUACGUAGUUCGUUCUGAAAUGAAGUGGUUGGUGUAUUGUAUAGUUCUAGGAAUUGUAUUUCAAUCAAAUCCCACCAAAUGGCACCUCCCACAGUGUUAUGAUGUUCCCCAAAUUUUGGACUCAAUCGUGAUAUCGAUUGGUCCUUGAAAUCGGAAAAUUCAUGUUCUUACGAUGUUCGUUCUGAAAUGGGGUGGUUGGUGUAUUGUAUAGUUCUAGAGAUUGGAUGUCACUCAAAACCCGCCAAAUGACUCCUCCCACAAUAUUUUGAUUUUCCCCAAGUUCUGGACUCAAUCCGAUAUCGAUUGGUCCUUGAAAUCGAAAAAUUAAGGAUCGUACGAAGUUCGUUCUGAAAUGGGGUGGUUCGAUUUCACUCAAAACCCACCAAAUGACUACUCCCACAAUAUUAUGAUGUUCCCCAUGUGUUGGACUCAAGCUGAUAUCGAUUGGUCCACGAAAUUUGACAAUUCAGGUUCGUUCAAAGUUCCUUAUGAAAUGGAGUGGUGGAUGUAUUGCAUAGUUCUAGGGAUUGGAUUUCACUCAAAACAAAUCAAACGAUUCCUCCCACGAUAUUAUGAUGUUCCCCAAGUUUUGGACUCAAUCCGAUAUCGAUUGGUCCACGAAAUUUGACAAUUCAUGUUCGUACGAAGUUCGUUCUGAAAUGGAGUGGUUGGUUUAUUGUAUAGUUCUAGGGAUUGGAUUUCACUCAAAAGCCACCAAAUGACAACUCCACAAUAUUAUGAUGUUCCCCAAGUUUUGGACUCAAGCCGACAUCGAUUGUUCCAGAACAUUUGACAAUUCUGGUUCGUACGAAGUUCGUUUGGAAAUGGAGUGGUUGGUGUAUUCUAUAGUUCUAGGGAUUCGAUUUCACUCAAAACCCACCAAAUGACUCCUCCCACAAUAUUAUGAUGUUCCCCAGGUUUUGGACUCAAUCGGAUAUCGAUUGGUCCACGAAAUUUCACAAUUCAGGUUCGUACGAAGUUCGUUCUGAAAUGGGGUGGUUGGUGUAUUGUAUAGUUCUCGGGAUUGGAUUUCACUCAAAACCCACCAAAUGACUCCUCCCACAAUAUUAUGAUGUUCCCCAGGUUUUGGACUCAAUCCGAUAUCGAUUGGUCCACGAAAUUUGACAAUUCAGGUUCGUACGAAGUUCGUUCGGAAAUGGAGUGGUUGGUGUAUUGUAUAGUUCUAGGGAUUGAAUUUCACUCAAAACCCACCAAAUGACUCCUCCCACAAUAUUAUGAUGUUCCCCAAGUGUUGGACAUAAUCCGAUAUCGAUUGGUCAAUGAAAUCGGACAAUUCAUGUUCGUACAAAGUUCGUUCUAAAAUGGAGUGGUUGGUGUAUUGUAUAGUUCUAGGAGUUGGAUUUCACUCAAAACCCACCAAAUGACUCCUCCCACAAUAUUAUGAUGUUCCCCAAGUUUUGGACUCAAUCCGAUAUCGAUUGGUCAUUGAAAUCGGACAAUUCAGGUUCGUACGAAGUUCAUUCUGAAAUGGAGUGGUUGGUGUAUUGUAUAGUUCUACAAAUUGGAUUUCACUCAAAACCCACCAAAUGACUCCUCUCACAAUAUUAUGAUGUUCCCCAAGUUUUGGAAACAAUCCGAUAUCGAUUGGUCAAUGAAAUCGGACAAUUCUUGUUCAUACGAAGUUCGUUCUAAAAUGGAGUGGUUGGUGUAUUGUAUAGUUCUAGGUGUUGGAUUUGACUCAAAACCCACCAAAUGACUCCUCCCACAAUAUUAUGAUGCUCCCCAAGUUUUGGACUCAAUCCGAUUUCGAUUGGUCCUUGAAAUCGGACAAUUCAGGUUCGUACGAAGUUCGUUCUGAAAUGGGGUGGUUGGUGUAUUGUAUAGUUCUAGAGAUUGGAUUUCACUCCAAGCCCACCAAAUGACUCCUCCCACAAUAUUAUGAUGUUCCACAGGUUUUGGACUCAAUCCGAUAUCGAUUGGUCCUUGAAAUCGGAGAAUUCAGGUUCGUACGAAGUUCGUUCUGAAAUGGGGUGGUUAGUGUAUUGUAUAGUUCUAGAGAUUGGAUUUCACUCAAAACCCACCAAAUGACUCCUCCCACAAUAUUAUGAUGUUCCCCAAGUUUUGGACUCAAUCCGAUAUCGAUUGGUCCACGGAAUUUGACAAUUCAGGUUCGUACGAAGUUCGUUCUAAAAUGGAGGGGUUGGUGUAUUCUAUAGUUCUAGAGAUUGGAUUUCACUCAAACCCAACAAAUGGCUCCUCCCCCAAUAUUAUGAUGUUCCCCAAGUUUUGGACUCAAUCCGAUAUCGAUUGGUCCACGAAAUUUGACAAUUCAGGUUCUUUCAAAGUUCCUUAUAAAAUGGAGUGGUAGAUGUAUUGUAUAGUUCUAGGGAUUGGAUUUCACUCAAAACCCACCAAACGACUCCUCCCACAAUAUUAUGAUGUUCCCCAAGUUUUGGACUCAACCCAAUAUUGAUUGGUCCAUGAAAUCGGACAAUUCAGGUUCGCAGGAAGUUCAUUCUGAAAUAGAGUAUUUGGUGUGUUGAGUUGUUUUAGCCGUUGGAUUGCACUCAAAACUCAUAAACUGACUCCUCCCACAACAUUAUGAUGUUCCCCAAGUUUUGGACUCAAUCCGAUAUCAAUUGGUCCCGGAAAUCAGACAAUCCAGGUUUGUACGAAGUUCGUUAUAAAAUGUAGUGGUUGGUGCAUUGUAUAGUUCCAGCGGUUGGAUUUCAUUCAAAACCCACCAAAUGACUCCACCCACAAUAUUAUGAUGUUCCCCAAGUUUUGGACACAAUCCGAUAUCGAUUGUCAAUGAAAUAGGACAAUUCAAGUUUGUACGAAGUUCGUCCAAAAAUGGAGUGGUUGGUGUAUUGUAUAGUUCUAGAGAUUGGAUUUCACUCAAAAUCCACCAAAUGGCUCCUUCCACAAUAUUGUGGUGUUCCCCAAGAUUUGGACUCAAUCCGAUAUCGAUUGGUCCUUGAAAUCAGACAAUUCAGGUUCGUACGAAGUUCGUUCAGAAAUGGGGUGGUUGGUGUAUUGUAUAGUUCUAGAGAUUGGAUUUCACUCCAAGCCCACCAAAUGACUCCUCCCACAAUAUUACGGUGUUCCACAAGUUUUGGACUCAAUCCGAUAUCGAUUGGUCCUUGAAAUCGGACAAUUCAGGUUCGUACGAAGUUCGUUCUGAAAUGGGGUGGUUGGUUUAUUGUAUAGUUCUAGAGAUUGGAUUUCACUCAAAGCCCACCAUGACUCCUCCGACAAUAUUAUGAUGUUCCCCAGGUUUUGGACUCAAUCCGAUAUCGAUUGGUGCACGAAAUUUGAUAAUUCAUGUUCGUACGAAGUUCGUUCUAAAAUGGAGUGGUUGGUGUAUUGUAUAGUUCUCAGGAUUGGAUUUCACUCAAAAUCCACCAAAUGACUCCUCCCACAAUAUUAUGAUGUUCCCCAAUUUAUGGACACAAUCCGAUAUCGAUUGGUCAAUGAAAUCGGACAAUUCAAGUUCGUAUGAAGUUCGUUCUGAAAUGGAGUGGUUGGUUUAUUGUAUAGUUCUAGGGGUUGGAUUUCACUCAAAAGCCACCAAAUGACAACUCCACAAUAUUGUGAUGUUCCCCAAGUUUUUUACUCAAUCCGACAUCGAUUGUUCCAGGAAAUUUGACAAUUCAGGUUCGUACGAAGUUCGUUCGAAAAUGGAGUGGUUAGUGUAUUCUAUAGUUCUAGGGAUUGAUUUUCACUCAAAACCCACCAAAUGACUCCUCCCACAAUAUUAUGAUGUUCCCCAGGUUUUGACUCAAUCCGAUAUCGAUUGGUCCACGAAAUUUGACAAUUCAGGUUUGUACGAAGUUCGUUCUAAAAUGGGGUGGUUAGUGUAUUGUAUAGUUCUCGGGAUUGGAUUUCACUCAAAACCCACCAAAUGACUCCUCCCACAAUAUUAUGAUGUUCCCCAAGUUUUGGACUCAAUCCGAUAUUCGAUUGUUCCACGAAAUUUGACAAUUUAGGUUCGUACGAAGUUCGUUCGAAAAUGGAGUGAUUGGUGUAUUGUAUAGUUCUGGGGAUUUAAUUUCACUCAAAACCCACCAAAUGACUCCACCCACAAUAUUAUGAUGUUCCCCAAGUUUUGGACUCAAUCCGAUAUUGAUUGUUCCACGAAAUUUGACAUUUCAGGUUCGUACGAAGUUCAUUCUGAAAUGGAGUGGUUGGUGUAUUGUAUAGUUCUAGAGAUUGGAUUUCACUCAAAACCCACCAAAUGACUCCUCCCACAAUAUUAUGAUGUUCCCCAAGUUUUGGAUUCAAUCCGAUAUCGAUUAGUCCACGAAAUUUGAACAUUCAGGUUCCUACGAAGUUUGUUUUGAAAUGGAGUGGUUGGUGUAUUGUAUAGUUCUAGGGAUUGGAUUUCACUCAAAACCCACCAAAUGACUCCUGCCACAAUAUUAUGAUGUUGCCCCAGUGUUGGACUCAAACCGAUAUCGAUUGGUCCUUGAAAUCAGACAAUUCCGGUUCGUACGAAGUUCGUUCUGAAAUGGGCUGGUUGGCGUAUUGUAUACUUCUAGAGAUUGGAUCUCACUCAAAACCCACCAAAUGACACCUCCCACAAUAUUUUGAUGUCCCCCAAGUUUUGGACUCACUCCGAUAUCCAUUGGUCCUUGAAAUCGGACAACUCAGGUUCGUACGAAGUUCAUUCUAAAAUGGGGUGGUUGGUGUAUUGUAUAGUUCUGGAGAUUGGAUUUCACUCAAAACCCACCAAAUGACUCCUCCCACAAUAUUACGUUGUUCCCCAAGUUUUGGACUCAAUCCGAUAUCGAUUGGUCCUUCAAAUCGGACAACUCAAGUUCGUACGAAGUUCGUUCUGAAAUGGGGUGGUUGGUGUAUUGUAUAGUUCUAGGGAUUGGAUCUCACUCAAAACCCACCGAAUGACUCCUCCCACAAUAUUUUGAUGCCCCCAAGUUUUGGACUCAAUCCGAUAUCGAUUGGUCCUUGAAAUUUGACAAUUCAGGUUCGUACAAAGUUCGUUCUGAAAUGGGGUGAUUGGUGUAUUGUAUAGUUCUAGAGAUUGGAUUUCACUCAAAACCCACCAAAUGACUCCUCCCACAAUAUUACGAUGUUCCCCAGGUUUUGGACUCAAUCUCAUAUCGAUUGGUCCACGAAAUUUAACAAUUCUGGUUCGUACGAUGUUCGUUCUGAAAUGGAGUGGUUAGUGUAUUGUAUAGUUCUCGGGAUUGGAUUUCACUCAAAACCCACCAAAUGACUCCUCCCACAAUAUUUUGAUGUUCCCCAAGUUUUGGACUCAAUCCGAUAUCGAUUGGGCCUUGAAAUUGGACAAUUCAAGUUCGUACGAAGUUCCUUCUGAAAUUGGGUGGUUGGGGUAUUAGGGAUUGGAUUUCCUUCAAAACCCACCAAAUGACUCCUCCCACAAUAUUAUGAUGUUCCCCAAGUUUUAGACUCAAUCCGAUAUCGAUUGGUCCUUGAAAUCUGACAAUUCAGGUUCGUACGAAGUUCGUUCUGAAAUGAGGUGGUUGGUGUGUUGUAAAGUUCUAGGGAUUGGAUCUCACUCAAAACCCACCGAAUGACUCCUCCCACAAUAUUUUGAUGUCCCCCAAGUUUUGGACUCAAUCCGAUAUCGAUUGGUCCUUGAAAUCGGACAAUUCAGGUUCGUACGAAGUUCGUUCUGAAAUGGGGUGGUUGGUGUAUUGUAUAGUUCUAGUGAUUGGAUUUCACUCAAAGCCCACCAAAUGACUCCUCCCACAAUAUUAUGAUGUUCCACAAGUUUUGGACUCAAUCCCAUAUCAAUUUGUCCUUGAAAUCGGACAAUUCAGGUUUGUACGAAGUUCGUUCUGAAAUGAGGUGGUUGGUGUGUUGUAAAGUUCUAGGGAUUGGAUCUCACUCAAAACCCACCGAAUGACUCCUCCCACAAUAUUUUGAUGUCCCCCAAGUUUUGGACUCAAUCCGAUAUUGAUUGGUCCUUGAAAUUGGACAAUUCAGGUUCGUACGAAGGUCGUUCUGAAAUGGGGUGGUUGGUGUAUUGUAUAGUUCUAGAGAUUGGAUUUCACUCAUAACCCACCAAAUGACUCCUCCCACAAUAUUAUGACGUUCCCUAGGUUUUGGACUCAAUCCGAUAACUCUAGACUCUCUACCAAAAAUUUUGGCAGAGUCUCCCCUGUAAAUUGAACAAACCCAACAAAAUUCAACCUGCAUAAAAAUACAUAAUAUAAUUCCCACCAGCAGCAUGUUUUCAAGUGAAUAAACAGUUUACAACAAAGGCCUCCGGCCUCACAAAUCAAACCCUAACAGGGGCGAUAACAAAGCAUGUCUAAGAAAUUCAAUUACAACAAAAAAACAGAGUUCAAAGGAAAUAACAUGAAGAAAGAAUCCUGCAAAGGCUCAAGGCUCGGAAGCACACGAUCCGGCUUUGCUGCGGAGCUUAGUGAACUACUAGCUGGGGGGCGCAAAACAGAAAAUUGUGAGUGGACAAAAAUAAAAAUUCAGUUUAGUGUAAACCAACGUAAUAUAACCCUACCGUUUAGAAAACCAUGCAAGAAAUCCAAAUGCAUCCCAAAACCAUCAUAAUCAAGCAUAUAUAUAUAUAUAAUCAAAAUCAAAUACUGGAUGCCAAGUCCGAAAUCCAUAAAGAAAGCUUUACAAACCCACCAUCCAAAUCUUACAAUCCCACAACUAAACUCUUGAAAGCGUACCCAUUGACACGACCGGCAAGGAAGUAUCCUCACCGAGAAACAAGAACGAAUUAAUAGCUAUAUAUAUAAUUAUAUAAUAUAAGAUAUAUAUAUAAUAUAAUAUAACCACACCUAGUUGUAUCGGGGAAACAAUCCAACCGGGGGAUUGUUUGACUAGUCACCAUGGCAGAGUCCCAAUAAACAAAUUCCUCAAUUCACCAUGUGACUAGGGAACAAGCCGUCCAACUAGGGGACCAACUCUCAGCCAGCGCGUACCAUCGAUAGCCUCAAAGCCCGUACGUCUGUGACCCGUCCUACACGAGCAGACUACCCAAUCAAGGGUCUACAGCAACAUCCCAUCAAGGAUGCCCUGGGUUCCGACAAUUCCAAGUAUCUCAAGUUUCUGUAUCCAAGUUCCAAAUCCGGGGAGUACAUAGGGUACUGCUUAUAGCACUUCGCACUGACAUUCUAUACUCAUCACUUUCCACAAUCUCAUCUCAACAACCCAAGUACCCCACAUGUAAAGACCCAAACCUAAAAUUCACAUGUAAUUAGUAAUUUAUUAUGCGGAAAGACAAUUUUGCCCUUUGACUCACUUAUGAACUCAAUGUUGACUUUUUGACCGAAAAGGAAUUUGACAAUUCCACAUACACCGUUGCGUAGAGCACGACGACACGAGUUCAUAGACACGAAGUAAGCUCGAAUCGGAGUUUUAACGAAGAAAAUACGAUUAAAAUAUCAUGAGGGGCAAAAUGGUAAUUAGAAAAAUCAGAUUUUUUUUAUAAACCUCAGCUUCUCUCUCUCUCUCUCUCUCUCUCUCUCUCUCUCUCUCCCGUUGCCUUCCUCAGCCGUCACCUUCCAAGCACCAUAACUUCCGCCACCGACCACCUAUGCCCUUGCCGUCGGCGCCAAUAGAACCAGCUCGGUUCCGUCUUCAAGCCCCGACCGCUCCCUGCUGCCAGCCGCCGCUGUAGUCGCCGGAUUCCGUCCAAAAACGAGUCGGUUUUGUCAAAACUUCCAACCGCUCGUUCUCCUUCAAUUCUCAACCAAAUCUUUCGAGUAAAGUAUGGAUUCUCAUCUAUUUUUUGUGCUCUAGCUGAUGGUUGGAUAGGUUUUUAUCAAUUUUAGCCGUAGAUUGCCCAGUUUGUAAAUUGAAGUUUCAGCCGAUUUUCGGCCUCUGUUUUCGGCCACUUCCAGUCACUUUUUGGGGUAGGUCCAAGAACAAAAGUGACUCCAAAUGGGGUGUUUUACCUAGGAUAGGAGUUUGGAGUCCUGGUUCCGAGAUUUUUCGACCACCCGAAAUCGCUUAAGACACCCAAAUCUGCCCGCGCGUGCUGGGGCGCAUGGGAGAGGGUGGUGAAGUAAUUCUGUACAGUUUUGUGACCCUGGUGUCGUCACGAGCGCGUAGGAUUUCGCGGAUCUCAAUUCGGAGUCCGUUUGAGCCCUGAACGGAUUUUUCAUAUCGCGCGAUCUUUGGGUGCAGUGUCGCCAAAUCGGUGGAUCACACUGAAUUUUGGAUAUGUCGGUCUACAUGAUUUCAGGAUUGUGUAGGAUUCGACGGAUUGCGAAUCGGAGUCCCGGAUACUCCGAAAUCGCGAACCCUAGGGCUAGGGUUUAGAAAUUAUGCGAUUACAGGAUUGUGAUCAAUCCGACCGUCCGAUUGACACCAAUACCCUCGGGACAUGUGUCCUAAAUAUAUUGGACCUUUUAGCGGCAUCCGGAUCAUAUUAUACCCGUGGGGUUCCGGAUUGACUUUUUGGACUUUAGCGCUUUUUGAGUCCCAAGAUACCGCUAAACGAUCCCACGUGGAAGGAAAGCUGUUGUGGGCAUAGGGAUCACUUUAAAUUGACGCACGUACUUUUAGGAGCCGGGGGUAGGGUUUUUGUUUUUAUUUAAUACUGUAUUGUAUUAAUAGAAUAUUAUGGUCAUUGAAUCAGGCACCCGGGCACCAGUUGACCCGCAGGAGGGACCUUCAAGAGGUCCAGCGAGCUCAGACUAUCAGUGAGUGGACUCUUUGUUUUUAUAAAUGAAUUUAAUCAGUUCAGUUUCAAUUAUAAGCUGUUUUAUGCUGUUAAAUAUUUUAUGUUACAUGCUGCCGAGUGAAGUUUCCUUUUAAGAAUAUAGGAAAAGAUAUUCUCGUUAAUUAUCAGAUAAAUGGCAGCAGAAUUUUAAAGGUUACAGAAAGUUAAUUAUUCAUAAGAUUUUUCUUCAGAAACUUUAUAUUUUCUUAAACCACCUUGUACCCAGUUAUUACAUGUUGCCUUCGGAUUAUAUUUGUUGCCUUCGGUUUAGUCAGCAUGCUUGACAGUUGCCCCACGAGUUCCUUGGUACUCGACCUCGUGUGGAGCGAGUAAUGCGGAUAAAGACGGACUACGGUUCCCUGAAUCCUGCGAGUUGCGGCUCAGACUGACCUCGUGUUACUGAGACCUGCGAGUAUGUGUCACCCAUGGUGAUGCAAGGAAUUGACGGAUAUAAGGAUUUGACGGAAAUAAGGGUACACCUAGGUGAUAGUUUUCAACUGUUUUCAAAUGUAUAGUUAUAUACAUUCAUGGAUUUCAGAAAUAAAGAAAAUAAGCUAGUUUGUAUAACUGUUUUUACAGUGGGGUUAGUAUGUUCAUAUAGUAUUUUCUAAACUUUGUUUGGGUCCACUCACCCUUCUUGUUGUUUUGCGCCCCCAGGCAGUAGACGUGCACAGGAAUCCACCACCGGGCCACUUCCCAUCUUCCGUGCCUUUCUUUGAUGUAGGAUUUGUAUUUUGUACAAAGAUUCACUCUUUUGUAAAUUUUUAGUAGUCGCUCUGAUGUUUUGCCCUAGACUGAGAUUUGAACUGUUAGAAUGUCUUUAAACUAAUGCUGGCAGUUGGUUGUAUAUAUGUAUACUUGUUGGCAGGUGAAAAUGUUUUGGUAUUGAGCCAAUUACAAGGGAAACUCUGCCGGUUUUUCGGUAGAAGUCAACCUUGUUAUUUUAUCGUGUUUUUGUAUAGAAGGGCAAAGAGGUCAUUUGUGCCCGACAUUUGCCAGGUAUCGGACACGCACAGGGUCUGGCUUGGAUUCCAAAGUGGGAUUUGGGUCGGGUCCUGUCAACUUGGUAUCAGAGCAUUAGGUUUAAUUUCCUGUAGACUUCGCACUUUGUGCAUCCUCGUUUUCCUGAAAAUCUGUUUCUUGUGACAGAAAGAUGGGCCCUAAACGUGGUGGUGUCCGUAGAGGGACUAGAGAGUCGUCCCGACAGAGGGGACAAGAUCCCCAGCUCGGGCAGGAGGAAGUUCCUGUUCCUGCACCGGUACCUGAACCGGUAGAGCAAUCUGUUGUUGGAGGUUCGUCGGGAGCCGUACCUGCUAUGCCUCCUAUGCAGGGAGAUCCCCACUUUCAGCAGACCUUGGAGUUGCUGACGCAGGCUUUAGCCAGGACUGGGCAGCCCAGAGAUCCCUCCCUGGGAUAUGCUGAUCAAGCGAAGAGGAUAGGGGCCACUGACUUUGAUGGUGAUGGUACCCCAGCAGUAGCUGAGGAGUGGAUUGAAAAGAUGGAGCGGAUCAUGGAAGUCAUGGCUGUUCCACAGCACAGUAGGGUUCCUUUGGCCACCUUCUUCUUGAUCAAAAAUGCCAGACAUUGGUGGGAUUCAGUCAAGAGGCGAUACAGGGAUCCUUUAGCUAUUACAUGGCAAGUCUUCAGAGCUGCAUUUGACAGUCAGUAUUACCCACAAGCGUACCAGAAUUUGAAGAUGCAAGAGUUUUUGCAGCUGGAACAGGGGAUGAUGACUGUAUUAGAGUAUGAGAAGAGGUUUCAUGACCUGUCUAAGUAUUGUCUUCCACUGGUGGAGGAUGAAAAUAAGAAGUGUCAGCUGUUCACUAUGGGAUUAAAGGCCUCUAUCAGAGAUAUUGUGAUCAGUCAGCGGUUGACCAAUUUUGGUGAUGUGGUGAUGUCUGCCUCGCUGAAUGAAAGCAGCCAGAUGAUGGCCAGACCACGGGGUGAACUUCGUAGGCAGCAGUUUGAAAUAGGUGGUCCUAGCCAGGGAUCAUCUAAGAGAGGCAGUUACAGUUCGGGAUCAUCCAGUGGUUGCAGCUAUGGAGGUUACCGACCUGGAUUCAGCUCCAGCGGAGGUUCUAACCAAAGUAGCAGUUCUGGAAACCGCUCUGGGGGUAGUGCAAGAGGUGCUGGAAGACAGUUGCUGUCAGGAUCUGGCAGGAGGAGUCGCCCCCAAUGCGCUAGAUGUGGUAGGUACCAUUCUGGGCCUUGCCAGCAGGGUACUACUGGAUGCUAUUACUGUGGACAACCUGGACAUUUUCGGAAGGAUUGCCCGUUCCUGCAGACUAGAGAGACCACAGAUGCGCCAAUUCCAGGGACAGUUAUGCAGGGUCGAUCACAGGAGAUACCACCGUUUGUGGAGGCUUCGUCCAGUGGUGGUGCCCAGACCAGUGUGGCCAGUCGAGGUAGUAGUCAGCAGAGGGGACGUGGUGGACGUUCCAGAGCCACAGGCAGAGUAUAUAACAUGUCCCAGCAGGAAGCACAUGCAUCGCCUGACGUAAUUACAGGUAUUUUACCGGUCUUUGGCAUUCCUGCUAGAGUUUUAAUUGACCCUGGGGCUACGCACUCGUUUGUCACACCUAGUUUUGCCCAUAAUGCCAACGUUCGACUUUCGGCUCUGCAGACUGAACUGGCGAUCUCAGUACCUACAGGAGAGAUUUUUAGGGUAGGUACCGUGUAUCGCGAUAGUACAGUGAUGGUGGGAAAUGUGUUUUUAGAAGCAGAUUUAAUUCCCUUGGGCAUGGUUGACUUGGAUGUCAUCUUAGGGAUGGAUUGGUUAGCCAGACAUCGUGCCUCUGUAGAUUGCUUCAGGAAAGAAGUUGUAUUCCGUAGUCCCGGACGACCUGAAGUAAUUUUUUAUGGCGAACGCCGAGUGCUUCCAUCUUGCCUCAUUUCAGCUAUGACGACAAAACGGUUGCUGCGAAAAGGGUGCUCAGGAUACAUAGCACAUGUCAUUGAUACCAGAGAUAAUGGGCUGCGAUUGGAGGAUAUUCCAGUCAUACAGGACUUUCCAGAUGUAUUUCCUGAGGAUCUUCCUGGAUUACCUCCUCAUCGGGAGAUUGAGUUUGUUAUUGAACUCGCUCCAGGAACAAAUCCUAUUUCGCAAGCACCAUACAGAAUGGCACCAGCAGAGUUGAGGGAGUUAAAGACGCAGUUACAGGAGCUGGUAGAUAAGGGUUUCAUCCGACCCAGUUUUUCUCCAUGGGGUGCUCCAGUUUUAUUUGUUAAGAAAAAGGAUGGCACCAUGAGGUUAUGCGUUGACUACAGACAGCUGAACAAGAUCACAGUGCGGAAUAGAUAUCCCUUACCUCGCAUUGAUGACUUGUUUGAUCAGCUGAAGGGUGCCAAGGUCUUUUCUAAGAUUGACCUGAGGUCUGGAUAUCAUCAGUUACGGGUUAGAGAAGAGGAUGUGCCUAAAACUGCGUUUCGAACGAGGUACGGGCACUAUGAGUUCCUGGUGAUGCCAUUUGGAUUAACAAAUGCGCCAGCUGCAUUUAUGGACCUCAUGAACAGAGUGUUUCGACGUUACUUGGAUCGCUUUGUGAUUGUGUUCAUAGAUGACAUUCUGGUGUAUUCAAAGAGUCAGAAGGCACAUAUGAAGCAUUUAAACCUUGUGUUGAGGACUCUGAGAAGAAGACAACUGUAUGCCAAAUUCAGCAAGUGUCAAUUUUGGUUAGAUAGAGUGAGCUUCUUGGGACACGUGAUCUCUGCAGAGGGCAUUUAUGUUGAUCCUCAAAAGAUUGAAGCAGUAGUCAAUUGGCUACGACCAACCAGUGUUACUGAGAUACGAAGCUUUCUGGGGUUAGCCGGGUAUUACCGUCGCUUCGUGGAAGGGUUCUCCACCAUAGCGGCACCUCUCACCUAUUUGACACGGAAAGGAGUUAAGUUUGUGUGGUCAGAUAAGUGUGAAGAAAGUUUCAUUGAACUCAAGACCAGGCUGACCACUGCUCCGGUUUUAGCACUUCCGGAUGAUAGUGGGAACUUCGUGAUCUACAGUGAUGCGUCUCAACAAGGACUUGGAUGUGUGCUGAUGCAGCAUGGUAGGGUGAUCGCUUAUGCUUCUAGACAACUGAAGAAGCAUGAGCUGAAUUAUCCUGUUCAUGAUUUGGAACUUGCUGCAGUAGUUUUUGCCUUAAAGAUUUGACGGCAUUAUCUUUUUGGGGAAACAUGCCAGAUCUUUACAGAUCACAAAAGCUUAAAGUAUUUAUUCACCCAGAAGGAAUUAAAUAUGAGGCAAAGAAGAUGGUUAGAGUUGAUAAAAGAUUAUGACUGUACCAUCGAGCAUCACCCAGGAAGAGCUAAUGUUGUUGCUGAUGCACUCAGUAGAAAAUCUUCAGGAUCUAUAGCUUAUCUUCGAGGAAGAUAUUUACCAUUGAUGGUGGAAAUGAGGAAGCUCAGAGUUGGGCUACAUGUGGAUAAUCAGGGAGCACUGUUAGCUACUCUCCAUGUGAGACCAGUGCUAGUAGAACGAAUACUCGCAGCUCAAUCUCAGGAUCCUUUGAUUUGCACACUGCGAGUAGAGGUUGCAAAUGGUGACAGAACUGAUUGUUCCGUAAGAAAUGAUGGAGCAUUAAUGGUAGGUAACAGGUUAUAUGUCCCUAAUGAUGAAGCUUUAAAAAGGGAGAUUCUUGAGGAGGCCCAUGAAUCAGCGUUUGCAAUGCACCCUGGAAGCACAAAAAUGUACCAUACUCUACGAGAGCACUACUGGUGGCCUUUUAUGAAGAAAGAAAUAGCAGAGUAUGUCAGAAGAUGCUUAAUUUGUCAGCAAGUGAAAGCUGAGCGACAGAAACCAUCAGGGCUAUUGCAACCACUUCCAAUUCCUGAGUGGAAGUGGGAGCGGAUUACGAUGGAUUUUGUGUUCAAGCUGCCCCGAACACAAAGUAAGCAUGACGGAGUAUGGGUCAUCGUGGAUCGACUCACCAAGUCCGCUCAUUUUCUGCCGGUGAGAGCAAAUUAUAGUUUGAACAAACUGGCAAAGAUUUUUAUAGAUGAGAUCGUGAGACUUCAUGGAGUACCAGUAUCCAUUGUUUCAGAUCGUGACCCACGGUUUACAUCCCGGUUUUGGACAAAGUUAAAUGAAGCUUUUGGAACCCAAUUGCAGUUUAGUACUGCAUUUCACCCCCAGACAGAUGGUCAGUCUGAGAGGACCAUUCAGACACUAGAAGAUAUGUUGAGAGCCUGUGCACUUCAGUUUCGGGGUGAUUGGGAUGAGAAGUUACCACUGAUGGAGUUUGCAUAUAAUAACAGUUAUCAAGUAAGUAUCGGAAUGUCUCCAUUUGAUGCUUUGUAUGGGAGACAGUGCAGAACUCCGUUCUAUUGGGAUGAAGUGGGUGAACAUAGAUUGGUCGUAUCGGAGGAUGUUAAAUUGACCAAGAAACAAGUGCAAAUCAUUAGAGAACGACUCAAGACAGCCCAGGACCGACAAAAGAGCUAUGCGGACAAUCGAAGAAAAGAUCUUCAGUUUGAAGUUGGAGACUGGGUAUUUUUGAAAUUAUCACCUUGGAAAGGUGUAGUAAGAUUUGGGAAGCGGGGGAAACUAAGUCCUCGCUAUAUUGGACCCUAUGAGAUUAUAGAGCGUGUGGGUCCAGUAGCUUACAGACUUACUUUGCCUUCAGAUCUAGCUCGAUUGCAUGAUGUUUUCCACGUCUCCAUGCUUCGAAAGUACAUUUCCGACCCUUCCCAUGUGUUAGAGGAGCAACCAGUAGAAUUGGAGGCUGAUUUCACUUAUGUGGAGCAACCAGUUCGGAUUUUGGAUUGGAAGACGCAAGUGUUGCGAUCGAGAGAGAUUCCACUUGUGAAAGUCUUAUGGAGGAGUCAUACUGUAGAAGAGGCUACAUGGGAACCCGAAGACCAAAUGCGGGAGCAGUACCUUCACCUCUUCGAGUGACAGGUGCGUAAAUUUCGAGGACGAAAUUUGUAUAAGGGGGGUAGGUUGUAAAGACCCAAACCUAAAAUUCACAUGUAAUUAGUAAUUUAUUAUGCGGAAAGACAAUUUUGCCCUUUGACUCACUUAUGAACUCAAUGUUGACUUUUUGACCGAAAAGGAAUUUGACAAUUCCACAUACACCGUUGCGUAGAGCACGACGACACGAGUUCAUAGACACGAAGUAAGCUCGAAUCGAAGUUUUAACGAAGAAAAUACGAUUAAAAUAUCACGAGGGGCAAAAUGGUAAUUAGAAAAAUCAGAUUUUUUUUAUAAACCUCAGCUUCUCUCUCUCUCUCUCUCUCUCUCUCUCUCUCUCUCUCUCUCCCUCUCCCGUUGCCUUCCUCAGCCGUCACCUUCCAAGCACCAUAACUUCCGCCACCGACCACCUAUGCCCUUGCCGUCGGCGCCAAUAGAACCAGCUCGGUUCCGUCUUCAAGCCCCGACCGCUCCCUGCUGCCAGCCGCCGCUGUAGUCGCCGGAUUCCGUCCAAAAACGAGUCGGUUUUGUCAAAACUUCCAACCGCUCGUUCUCCUUCAAUUCUCAACCAACUCUUUCGAGUAAGGUAUGGAUUCUCAUCUAUUUUUCGUGCUCUAGCUGAUGGUUGGAUAGGUUUUUAUCAAUUUUAGCCGUAGAUUGCCCAGUUUGUAAAUUGAAGUUUCAGCCAAUUUUCGGCCUCUGUUUUCGGCCACUUCCAGUCACUUUUUGGGGUAGGUCCAAGAACAAAAGUGACUCCAAAUGGGGUGUUUUACCUAGGAUAGGAGUUUGGAGUCCUGGUUCCGAGAUUUUUCGACCACCCGAAAUCGCUUAAGACACCCAAAUCUGCCCGCGUGUGCUGGGGCGCAUGGGAGAGGGUGGUGAAGUAAUUCUGUACAGUUUUGUGACCCUGGUGUCGUCACGAGCGCGUAGGAUUUCGCGGAUCUCGAUUCGGAGUCCGUUUGAGCCCCGAACGGAUUUUUCAUAUCGCGCGAUCUUUGGGUGCAGUGUCGCCAAAUCGGUGGAUCACACUGAAUUUUGGAUAUGUUGGUCUACAUGAUUUCAGGAUUGUGUAGGAUUCGACGGAUUGCGAAUCGGAGUCCCGGAUACUCCGAAAUCGCGAACCCUAGGGCUAGGGUUUAGAAAUUAUGCGAUUACAGGAUUGUGAUCAAUCCGACCGUCCGAUUGACACCAAUACCCUCGGGACAUGUGUCCUAAAUAUAUUGGACCUUUUAGCGGCAUCCGGAUCAUAUUAUACCCGUGGGGUUCCGGAUUGACUUUUUGGACUUUAGCGCUUUUUGAGUCCCAAGAUACCGCUAAACGAUCCCACGUGGAAGGAAAGCUGUUGUGGGCAUAGGGAUCACUUUAAAUUGACGCACGUACUUUUAGGAGCCGGGGGUAGGGUUUUUGUUUUUAUUUAAUACUAUAUUGUAUUAAUAGAAUAUUAUGGUCAUUGAAUCAGGCACCCGGGCACCAGUUGACCCGCAGGAGGGACCUUCAAGAGGUCCAGCGAGCUCAGACUAUCAGUGAGUGGACUCUUUGUUUUUAUAAAUGAAUUUAAUCAGUUCAGUUUCAAUUAUAAGCUGUUUUAUGCUGUUAAAUAUUUUAUGUUACAUGCUGCCGAGUGAAGUUUCCUUUUAAGAAUAUAGGAAAAGAUAUUCUCGUUAAUUAUCAGAUAAAUGGCAGCAGAAUUUUAAAGGUUACAGAAAGUUAAUUAUUCAUAAGAUUUUUCUUCAGAAACUUUAUAUUUUCUUAAACCACCUUGUACCCAGUUAUUACAUGUUGCCUUCGGAUUAUAUUUGUUGCCUUCGGUUUAGUCAGCAUGCUUGACAGUUGCCCCACGAGUUCCUUGGUACUCGACCUCGUGUGGAGCGAGUAAUGCGGAUAAAGACGGACUACGGUUCCCUGAAUCCUGCGAGUUGCGGCUCAGACUGACCUCGUGUUACUGAGACCUGCGAGUAUGUGUCACCCAUGGUGAUGCAAGGAAUUGACGGAUAUAAGGAUUUGACGGAAAUAAGGGUACACCUAGGUGAUAGUUUUCAACUGUUUUCAAAUGUAUAGUUAUAUACAUUCAUUGAUUUCAGAAAUAAAGAAAAUAAGCUAGUUUGUAUAACUGUUUUUACAGUGGGGUUAGUAUGUUCAUAUAGUAUUUUCUAAACUUUGUUUGGGUCCACUCACCCUUCUUGUUGUUUUGCGCCCCCAGGCAGUAGACGUGCACAGGAAUCCACCACCGGGCCACUUCCCAUCUUCCGCGCCUUUCUUUGAUGUAGGAUUUGUAUUUUGUACAAAGAUUCACUCUUUUGUAAAUUUUUAGUAGUCGCUCUGAUGUUUUGCCCUAGACUGAGAUUUGAACUGUUAGAAUGUCUUUAAACUGAUGCUGGCAGUUGGUUGUAUAUAUGUAUACUUGUUGGCAGGUGAAAAUGUUUUGGUAUUGAGCCAAUUACAAGGGAAACUCUGCCGGUUUUUCGGUAGAAGUCAACCUUGUUAUUUUAUCGUGUUUUUGUAUAGAAGGGCAAAGAGGUUAUUUGUGCCCGACAUUUGCCAGGUGUCGGACACGCACAGGGUCUGGCUCGGAUUCCAAAGUGGGAUUUGGGUCGGGUCCUGUCACCACACAUAGCCAAACAUAUAUAGAAAUUCUCCAAAUCCAUAUAUACAUACUCAAAAUACUCAAAUAUGCCAAAAACUAAAAAUAUAUCUCCAAUGCAUCAUAAAAAUAAUCUCUUUCAACAAUUGAAUAAUUAAUAUAUCCAAUAUACCAUUUAAAACAUCAUGCAUAAUAUUUCCCAUCAUAAAACCAUGUAUAAGAUUUGAAAACAAAUGUCCACUCACAGAUAGUCCCACGCUGCUUAACCCAGAGAGGGUCCCGCCUGCUGCGUAUGCGUGGUCAAAGUACCUAUUUCAGAAUACGUGUACGAGAUUAAUACGAAGCGUUUCGAACGAGAACUUUGAAUUAAAUAACCUAAUUUUCCAGGUUUCUAGUAAGUGUACUAGGAAUGAGACGUUCUAAAUUCCAACUACCCAAUUCGGACAAUAGAAUAGCUUCUGGAGACACUCGGUCAAUCGGCGGUCAAACUUCCCAAUUUGGGUCAACCGGGCCCACGGGACCCACGACAUCCGUUUCACAAUUCAAAAGCUCCUUAAGGUUUCACAAGGUCUAAGAUACCCGUCUCGCAAGUUUGGAAACGGACGGUUAGAUCGCUUACGAUCACACGAUCGGACAGUUAUCGUAAAAUGUAAACUUUAAGUUAUUGAAUCGGAACAUCCGGGGCUCCGAUUUACAAUCCACAAAUUCCUACACAAUCCUAGAAGUGUCUAGAUUAACAUAUAUUGUAAUGGAGUCGAUCUAAUGGUCCGAACAUAUCGAAUCCGGAUAACUCCUAAUAUGUGAAAUUCGUCCGGGGUUCGAACGUCAACCGAAUUGGAAUCCGAGCACACCUACGCGCUCGUGACAUCAAGGGGAUCGCAUUGGGACAAAUUUCACUCAAAACUCACCAAAUUACUCGUCCAACAACAUUAUAAUGUUCCACAUGUUUGGGACUGAAUCCAACAUCAAUUGGUGAGUGAAAUUAGACAAUUCAGGUUCGAACGAAGUUCGUUCUGAAAUGGAGUGGUUGGUGUAUUGCAUAGUUCUAGUGACAGGACCCGAUCCAAAUUCCGCUUUGGAAUCCGAGUCAGACCAUGUGCGUGUCCGACACCUGGCAAAUGUCGGGCACAAAUGACCUAUUUGCCCUUCUAUAUAAAAACACGAUAAAAAUAACAAGGUUGACUUCUACCGAAAAACCGGCAGAGUUCCCUUGUAACUGGCUCAAUACCAAAAUAUUUACACCUGUCAAAACAAGUAUACAUAUACAACCAACUGCCAGCAUACAUAUAUAUACACAUGCCAAGAGUUCAAAGCUCAGUCUAGGGCAAAACAUCAGAGCGACUACUAAGAAGUUACAAAAGAGUGAAUCUUUGUACAAAAUACAAAUCCUACAUCAAAAGAAAGUCGCGGAAGAUGGGAAGUGGCCCGGUGGUGGAUUCCUGUGCACGUCUACUGCCUGGGGGCGGAAAACAACAAAAAGGGUGAGUGGACCCAAAAACACAGUUUAGAAAAUACCAUAUGAACAUACUAACCCCACUGUAAAAAUAGUUAUACAAACUAGUUUAUUUUCUUUAUUUCUGAAAUCAAUGCAUGUAUAUAACUAUACAUUUGAAAACAGUUGAAAACUAUCACCUUGGUGUACCCCUAUUUUCGUCAAAUCCUUAUAUCCGUCAAUUCCUUGCAUCACCGUGGGUGACACAUACUCGCAGGUCUCAGUGACACGAAGUCAGUCCGAGCUGCAACUCGCAGGAUUCAGGGAACCGUAGUCCACCUUUAUUCGCAUUACUCGCUCCACACGAGUUCGAGUACCAAGGAACUCGUGAGGCAACUGUCAAGCAUGCUGACUAAACCGAAGGCAACAAAUAUAAUCCGAAGGCAACAUUUAAUAACUGGGUACAAGGUGGUUUAAGAAAAUAUAAAGUUUCUGAAGCAAAACUGUUGAAUAAUUAACUUUCUGUAACCUUUAAAAUUUUGCUGCCAUUUAUCUGAUAAUUAACGAGAAUAUCUGUUCCUAUAAGCUUUAAAGGAAAUUUCACUCGGCAGCAUGCAACAUAAAGUAUUUUACAGAAGAAAACAGCUGAUAACUAAAACUAAACUGCUUAAAUUCAUUUAUUAAAACAAAGAGUCCACUCACUGAUAGUCUGAGCUCGCUGGACCUCUUGAAGGUCCCUCCUGCGGGUCAACUGGUGCUCGGGUGCCUGAUUCAAUGACCAUAAUAUUCUAUUAAUAUAAUAUAGUAUUAAAUUAAAAACCCUACCCCCGACUCCUAAAAGUACGUGCAUCAAUUUAAAGUGAUCCCUAGGCCCAUAACAGCUUUCCUUCCACGUGGGGCAGUUUAGCGGUAUCUUGGGACUCAAAAAGCGCUAAAGUCCAAAACGUCAAUCUGGAACCCCACGGGUCCAUGACCUCACAAUACGAUCCGGAUGCCGCUAGAAGGUCCAAUAUAUCUAGGACACAUGUCUCGAAGGUAUUGAUGUCGAUCGGAUAGUCGGAUUGAUUACAAUCCUGUAAUCGCAUAAUUUCUAAACCCUAGCCCUAGGGUUCACCUUUUCGGAGUAUCCGAGACUCCGAUUCACGAUCCGUCGAAUCCUACACGUUUCUAAAAUUAUCCAGAACAACAUAUCUGAAAUUGAUUACGAUCCAACGGCUCAAUCGUAUUGAACCCGAUAAUCGCACAAUAUGGAAAAUCCGUUCGAGGCUCAAACGGUAUCCAAAUUGAGAUCUGCGAAUUCCUAUGAGCUCGUGACAACCUAAGGAUCGCAUCAGAACACUGUGUCACUGCACUACACUCGCCCACGCGCCGCCGCAUGCGCCAGCAGCGAUGGGUGUCCAAAGCGAUUACGCAUCGCUGGAAAAUCUCAAAACCAAGGCUCCAAACUCCUAUCCUAGGUGUAACACCAUAUUUGGAACCACUUUCGUUCUUGGACCAACCCCAAAAACUGAACGAAAGUGGCCGAACACGAAGGCUGAAAGUCGGCCGAAUUCCAAUUUGAAAACUGAGCUAGCUACGGUGAAAAUCAACGCAAACCUACCCGACCAUCAGCUAGAGCACGGAAAAUAGGUAGAAAUCCAUACCUUACUCGACAAAUUUGGAGGAGAAUUGAAGGAGAACGAACGGUUGGAAGUUUUGACAAAACGGACUCGUUUUUGGACGGAAUCCGGCGACUACAGUGGCGGCUGGCAGCGGAGAGUGGUCGGGGCUUGAAGACGGAACCGAGCUGGUCCUGUUGGCACCGACGGCAGGGGCAGAGGUGGUCGGUGGCGGAAGUUGUGGACGUUUGAAGUGCGACGGCUGGAGGAAAAAAAACAGAGAGGGGGAGAGAUCGCGGGGAGAGAGAAAGAGAGAGAGAGAGAGAGAGAAAGCUGAGGUUUUAAUAAAAUCUGAUUUUUCAAAGUACCAUUUUGCCCCUCGUGAUAUUUUACUCGUAUUUUCUUCGUUAAAGCUUCGAUUCGAGCUCACUUCAUGUCUAUGAACUCGUGUCGUCGUGCUCUACGCAAGGUGUAUGUGGAAUUGUCAAAUUCCUUUUUGGUCAAAAAGUCAACUUUGCGUCCUCGAAAUUUAUGCACCUGUCACUCGAAGAGGUGAAAGUACUGCUCCCACAUUUGGUCUUCGGGUUCCCAUGUAGCCUCUUCUACAGUAUGACUCCGCCAUAAGACCUUCACAAGUGGAAUCUCUCUCGAUCGCAACACUUGCGUCUUCCAAUCCAAAAUCUGAACUGGUUGCUCCACAUAAGUGAAAUCAGCCUCCAACUCCACUGGUUGCUCCUCUAACACAUGGGAAGGGUCGGAAAUAUACUUUUCGAGCAUGGAGAUAUGGAAAACAUCAUGCAAGCGAGCUAGAUCUGAAGGCAAAGCAAGCCUGUAAGCUACUGGUCCAUGAAAUCGGACAAUUCUGGUUCGUACGAAGUUCGUUCUGAAAUGGAGUGGUUGGUGUAUUGCAUAGUUUUAGCCAUUGGAUUUCACUCAAAACUUACCGUAUGACUCAUCCCACCAUAUUAUGUUGUUCUACAAGUUUUGGGCUCAAUACAAUAUCGAUUGUUCCAUGAAAUUGCACAAUUCAGGUUCCUACGAAAUUGGUUCUGAAAUUGAGUGGUUGGUGUAUUGCAUUGUUUUAGCCAUUGGAAUUCACUCAAAACUCAGAAAAUGACUCCUCCUAUAACAUUUUGUUGUUCCCCAAGUUCUGGGCUAAAUCCGAUAUCAAUUGGUACUUGAAAUAGGACAAUUUUGGUUCGUACGAACUUCGUUAUGAAAUGGAGUGGUUGUUGUAUUGUAUAGUUUUAGAGAUUGUAUUUCAUUCAAAACUCACCAAAUGACCCCUCCCACAAUAUUAUGACGUUCCCCAAGUUUUGGACUCAAUCCGAGAUCGAUUGGUCCAUGACAUCGCGCAAUUCAGGUUACGAAGUGUGUUCUGAAAUGGACUGGUUGGUGUAUUCCAUAGUUUCAGCCAUUGGAUUUCUCUCGAAACUCACCAAAUGACUCCUCCCACCAUAUUAUGAUGUUCCCCAAGUUUUGGACUCAAUCCGAUAUCGAUUGGUCCCUGAAAUUGGAUAAUUCAGGUUCGUACGAAGUUCGUUCUGAAAUGGAGUGGUUGGCGUAUUGUAUAGUUAUAAAGGUUGAAUUUCACUCAAAACCCACCAAAUAACUGCUCCAACAAUUUAAUGAAGUUCCCCAAGUUUUGGACUCAAUCCGAUAUCGAUUGGUCCAUGAAAUCGGCCAAUUCAGGUUCAUACAAAGUUCAGUCUGAAAUUGAGGGGGUUGGUGUAUUGCACUGUUUUAGCCAUUGGAUUGCGCUCAAAACUCACCAGAUGACUCCUUUCCCUAUAUUAUGAUGUUCCCCAAGUUUGGGUUCAAUCCGAUAUCGAUUGGUCCAAGAAAUUGGACUAUUCAUGUUGGUACGAAGUUCAUUCUCUAAUGGAGUGGUUGGAGUAAAUCAUAGUUUUUGCUAUUGGAUUUCACCCAAAACCCACCAAAUGACUCCUCCCACAAUAUUAUGAUGUUCCUCCAAUAUCGAUUGGUCCAUGAAAUCGGACAAUUUAGGAUCGUACGAAGUUCGUUCUGAAAUGGAGUGGUUGGUGUGUUGAAUUGUUUUAGCCAUUGGAAUUCACUCAAAACUCACAAAAUGACUCCUCCCACCACAUUUUGCUGUUCCCUAAGUUUUGGACUCAAUCCAAUAUCGAUUGCUCCUUGAAUUUGGACAAUUCAGUUUCGUACGAAGUUCGUUACGAAAUGGAGUGGUUGGUGUAUUCCAUAGUUUUAGCCAUUGGAUUUUGCUCAAAACUCACCAAAUGACUCAUCCCACCAUAUUAUGAUGUUCCCCUAGUUUUGGAUUCAAUCCGAUAUCGAUUGGUCCAUGAAUUCGGACAAUUCAAGUUUGUACGAAGUUCGUUCAAAAAUGGAGUGGUUGGUGUAUUGCAUAGUUUUAGCCAUUGGAUUUCGCUCAAAACUCACCAAAUGACUCUUCCGACCAUAUUAUGAUGUUCCCCUAGAUUUGGGCUUAAUCCGAUAUCGAUUGGUCCAGGAAAUUGGACUAUUCAUGUUCGUACGAAGUUCGUUAUCUAAUGGAGUGGUUGGUGUAUUUCAUAGUUUUUGCUAUUGGAUUUCAUCCAAAUCCCACCAAAUGACUUCUCCCACUAUAUUAUGAUGUUCCCUAAGUUUUGCACUCAAUCCGAUAUCGAUUGGUCCUUGAAAUCAGACAAUUCAGGUUCGUACAAAGUUCGUUCUGAAAUGGAGUGGUUGGUGUAUUGUAUAGUUCUAGAAAUUGGAUUUCACUAAAAAAACCACCAAAUGACUUCUUCCACAACAUUAUGACGUUUCCCAAGUUUUGAACUCUAUCCGAUAUCGAUUGGUCUAUGAAAUUGGGCAAUUGAGGUUCGUACGAUGUUCAUUCUAAAAUGGAGUGGUUCUUGUAUUCUAUAGUUCUAGAGAUUGGAUUUCACUCAAAACUCACCAAAUGACUCCUCCUACAGUAUUAUGAUGUUCCCCAAGUUUUGGACUCAAUCUGAUAUCAAUUGGUCUAUGAAAUCGGACAAUUCAGGUUCGUACGAAGUUCGUUCUGAAAUGAAGUGGUUGGUAUAUUGUACAGUUCUAGAGAUUGGAUUUCACUCAAAAACAACCAAAUGACACCUCCCAUAACAUUAUGACGUUUCCCAACUUUUGAACUCUAUUUGAUAUCGAUUGGUCUAUGAAAUUGGACAAUUCAGGUUCGUACGAUGUCCGUUCUAAAAGGGAGUGGUGCUUGUUUUCUAUAGUUCUAGAGAUUGUAUUUCACUCAAAACUCACCAAGUUUUGCAAUUCAGGUUCGUACAAAGUUCGUUCUUACAUGGAGUAGUUGGUGUAUUGCAUAGUGUGAGCCAUUGGAUUUCACUCAAAACUCACCGUAUGACUCCUCCCACCAUAUUAUGAUGUUCUCCAAGUUUUGGGCUCAAUCCGAUAUCUAUUGGUCCAAGAAAUUGGACUAUUAAUAUUCAUACGAAGUUCGCUCUCUAAUGGAGUGGUUGGAGUAUUGCAUAGUUUUGGCAGUUGGAUUUCACUCAAAACCCACCAAAUGACUCCUCCCACAACAUUAUGACGUUCCCCAACUUUUAGCCUCUAUCGGAUAUCGAUUGGUCCAAGAAAUUGGACAAUACAGGUUCGUACAAAGUUUGUUCUUAAAUGGAGUGGUUGGUGUAUUGCAUUGUUCUAGCCAUUGGAAUUCACUCAAAACUCUCAAAAUGACUCCUUCCACAACAUUAUGAUCUUCCCCAAGUUUUGGCCUCAAUCUGAUAUCGAUUGGUCUAUGAAAUUGGACAAUUCAGGUUCGUACAAAGUUCGUUACGAAAUGGAGUGGUUAGUGUAUUCCAUAGUUUUAGCAUUUGGAUUUCUCUCAAAACUAACCAAAUGACUCCUCCCACCAUAUUAUGAUGUUCCCCAAGUUUUGGACUCAAUUCGAUAUCGAUUGGUCCAUCAAAUCGGACAGUUCAGGUUCGUACGAAGUUCGUUUUGAAAUGGACUGGUUGCCGUAUUGUAUAGUUCUGUGUAUUGGAUUUCACUCAAAACCCACCAAAUGACUCCUCCAACAAUUUUAUGAUGUUCCCCAAGCUUUGGACUCAAUCCGAUAUCGAUUGGUCCAGGAAAUCGGCCAAUUCAGGUUCGUACGAAGUUCGUUUUGAAAUUGGGUGGUUGGUGUAUUGCAUUGUUUUAGUCCAUGGAUUUCUCUAAAAACUCAUCAACUGACUCCUCUCCCUAUAUCAUGAUGUUCCCCAAGUUUGGGCUCAAUCCGAUAUCGAUUGGUCCAAAAAAUUGGAUUAUUCAUGUUCGUACGAAGUUCGUUGUCUAAUGGAUUGGUUGGAGUAUUUCAUAGUUUUUGCUAUUGGAUUUCACCCAAAACCCACCAAAUGACUCCUCCCACAAUAUUAUGAUGUUCCCCAAGUUUUGGACUCAAUCCAAUAUCGAUUGGUCCAUGAAAUCGGACAAUUUAGGUUCGUAUAGAGUUCGUUAUGAAAUGCAGUGCCGGUGUAUUUCAUAGUUCUUGAGAUUGGAUUCACUCAAAACUCACAAAAUGACUCCUCCCACAACAUUUUGUUGUUCCUCAAGUUUUGGACUCAAUCCAAUAUCCAUUGGUUCUUGAAAUUGGACAAUUCAGGUUCGUACGAAGUUCGUUAUGAAAUGGAGUGGUUGGUGUAUUCCAUAGUUUUAGCCAUUGGUUUUCGGUCAAAACUCACCAAAUGACUCCUCCCACCAUAUUAUGAUGUUCCCCUAGUUUUGGUUUCAAUCCGAUAGCGAUUGGUCCAUGAAAUCGGACAAUUCAGGUUCGUACGAAGUUCGUUUUGAAAUAGUGUUGUUAGUGUAUUGCCUGGUUUUAGCCAUUGGAUUUCGCUCAGAACCCACCAUAUUAUGAUGUUUCCCAACAUUUGGGCUUAAUCCGAUAUCGAUUGGUCCAAGAAAUUGGACUAUUCAUGUUCGUACGAAGUUCUUUCUCUAAUGGAGUGGUUGGUGUAUUUCAUACUUUUUUGCUCUUGGAUUUCAUCAAAAUCCCACCAAAUGACUCCUCCCACUAUAUUAUGAUCUUCCCCAAGUUUUGGACUCAAUCCGAUAUCAAUUGGUCCUUGAAAUCAGACAAUUCAGGUUCGUACAAAGUUCGUUCCGAAAUGGACUGGUUGGUGUAUUCUAUAGUUCUAGAGUUUGGAUUUCACUCAAAAACCACCAAAUGACUCCUCCCAUAACAUUAAUACAUUUCUCAAGUUUUGGACUCUAUCCGAAAUCGAUUGGUCUAUGAAAUUGGACAAUUCAGGUUCGUACGAUGUUCGUUCUAAAAGGGAGUGGUCCUUGUUUUCUAUAGUUCUAGAGAUUGGAUUUCACUCCAAACUCACCAAAUGACUCCUCCCACAAUAUUAUGAUGUUUCUCAAGUUUUGGACUCAAUCCGAUAUCGAUUGGCCCAUGAAAUCGGACAAUUCAUGUUCGUACGAAGUUCAUUCUGAAAUGGAGUGGUUGGCGUAUUGUGUAGUUCUAGAGAUUGGAUUUCACUCAAAAACCCCCAAAUGACUCCUCCCACAACAUUAUGUUGUUUCCCAAGUUUGGGACUCGAUUCAAUAUUGAUUGGUCUAUGAAGUUGGACAAUUUAAGUUCGUACGAAGUUCAUUCUAAAAUGGAGUGGUUGGUGUAUUCUUGUUGAGCCUAUCCUUUACAACUAAAAUGAGUUAUUAAAAAUAGCAACUUUAAUUCUCGCAAGUGCACGAACAGUUUAUAGUAUAGCUUAUGUAAAUACGAGGUCGAUCUCAUGGAGAAUGGUAACUUGGUUCCAAGUUAAAUUACUUAGAAUGCUGGAAAAAACAGAAAAUAAAGAAACUGACUAACUAACUAAAGGCAAAGUCGAAUUCAACAAUGCCUCUUGCUGAUUACUCAAGGUCUAGGACAGAAUCCUAGCACCUUACACGCACUCGAAAUGGGGAGUUUUGUUGUUGAAAUGAUGAUAUGAAAGUGAAAAGAAAGUGCUGGAAAGUAAACGUUGGCAGCAAUCAACAAGUGACUCAAAGUAAAGAGAAACUAAGCAAAGUCACUAAGUAAAGAGGGCAUGCGAAUGUAUGAAAUUAUGAACUUAUCAAUUCUAUAGUUCUAGAGAUUGGAUUUCACUCAAAACCCACUAAAUGACUCCUCCCAUAAUAUUAUGAUGUUCCCCAAGUUUUGGAUUCAAUCCGAUAUUGAUUGGUCCAUGAAAUCGGACAAUCCAGGUUCGUACGAAAUUCGUUCUGAAAUGAAGUGGUUGGUGUAUUGCAUAGUUUUGGCAAUUGGAUUUCACUCAAAACUCACCGCAUGACUCCUCCCACCACAUUAUGAUGUUCCCCAAGUUUUAGAUUCAAUCCGAUAUCGAUUGGUCUAUGAAAUUGGACAAUUCAGGUUCGUACGAAGUUCGUUUGGACAAGUAGUGGUUGGUGCAUUGCAUUGUUUUAGCCAUUUGAAUUCACUCAAAACUCACAAAAUGACUCCUCCCACAAUAUUAUGAUGUUCCCCAAGUUUUGGACUCAAUCCAAUAUCGAUUGGUCCAUGAAAUCGGACAAUUCAGGUUCGCAGGAAGUAAGUUCUGAAAUAGAGUAUUUGGUGUGUUGAGUUGUUUUAGCCAUUGGAUUUCACUCAAAACUCAUAAAAUGACUCCUCCCACAACAUUAUGAUGUUCCCCAAGUUUUGCACUUAAUCCGAUAUCGAUUGGUAAGUGAAAUAUGAAAGUUCAGGUUCGUACGAAGUCCGUUUUGAAGUGGAGUGGUUGGUGUAUUGUAUAGUUCUAGAUAUUGGAUUUCAAUCAAAACCCAUCAAAUGACUCCUCCCUCAAUAUUAUGGUGUUCCCCAAGUUUUGGACUCAAUUCGAUAUCCAUUGGUCUAUGAAAUUGGACAAUUCAGGUUCGUACAAAGUUAGUUCUGAAAUGGAGAUGUUGGUGUAUUGCAUAUUUCUAGAGAUUGGAUUUCACUCAAAACCCACCAAAUGACUCCUCCCACCAUUUUAUUAUGUUCCCCAAGUUUUGGACUCAAUCCGACAUCGAUUGUUCCAUGAAAUUGGACUAUUCAAGUUCAUACGAAGUUCGUUCUGAAAUUGAGUGGUUGGUUUAUUGUACAGUUCUAGAGACUGGAUCUCACUCAAAACCCAACAAAUGACUCCUUCCACUAUAUUAUGAUGUUCCCCAAGUUUUGGACUCAAUUCGAUAUUGAUUGGUCCAUGAAAUUGGACAAUUCAUGUUCGUACAAAGUUCGUUAUGAAAUGGGAGUGGUUGGUGCAUUGCAUAGUUUUAGCCAUUGGAUUUCACUCAAAAUUCACCAAAUGAUUCCUCCCACCAUAUUAUGAUGUUCCCCAAGUUUUGAAUUCAAUCCGAUAUCGAUUGGUCCGUUAUAUUGGACAAUUCAGGUUCGUAUGAAGUUCGUUCAGAAAUGGUGUAGUUGGUGUAUUGCAUAGUUCUAGAGAUUGGAUUUCUCUUAAAACCUACCAAAUGACUCCUCCCUCAACAUUAUGAUGUUCCCGAAGCUUUGGACUCAAUCCGAUAUCGAUUGGUCUAUGGAAUUGGACAAUUCAGGUUUGUACGAUGUUCGUUCUGAAAUGGAGUGGUUGGUUUAUUGUACUAUUUUAGACAUUGAAAUUCACUCAAAAUUCACAAAAUGACUCCGCCCACAACAUUAUGGUGUUCCCCAAAUUUCGGACUCAAUCCGAUAUCGAUUGGCCUAUGAAAUUGGACAAUUCAAGUUCGUACGAAGUUCAUUCUGAAAUAGAGUGGUUGGUAUAUUGUAUAGUUCUAGAGAUUGGAUUUCACUCAAAAUCCACCAAAUGACUCCUCCCACAGUAUUUUGAUGUCCCCCAUGUUUUUGACUCAAUCCGAUAUCGAUUGGUCCAUGAAAUCGGACAAUUUAGGUUCGUACAAAGCUUGUUCUGAAAUGGAAUGGUUGGUGUAUUAUAUAGUUCUAGAGAUUGGAUUUCACUCAAAAUCCACCAAAUGACUCCUCCCACAGUAUUUUGAUGUCCCCCAAGUUUUUGACUCAAUCCGAUAUCGAUUGGUCCAUGAAAUCGGACAAUUUAGGUUCGUACGAAGUUCGUUCUGAAAUGGAAUGGUUGGUGUAUUAUAUAGUUCUAGAGAUUGGAUUUCACUGAAAACCCACCAAAUGACUCCUCCAAUAAUAUUAUGAUGUUCCCCAAGUUUUGGACUGAAUCUGAUAUCGAUUGGUCCAAGAAAUUUGACAAUUCAGGUUCAUACGAAGUUCGUUCUGAAAUGGAGUUGUUGGUGUAUUGCAUAGUUUUCGUAAUUGAAUUUCACUUAGAACUCACCAAAUGACUCCUGCCACAACAUUACGUUGUUCCCCAAGUUUUGGACUCAAUCCGAUAUCGAUUCGUCCAUGAAAUCGAACAAUUCAGGUUCGUACGAAGUUCGUUCUGAAAUGGAGUGGUUGGUGUAUUGUAUAGUUCUAGAGGUUGGAUUUCACUCAAAACCUACCAGAUGACUCCUCCCACAAUAUUAUGAAGUUCCCCAAGGUUUGGACUCAAUUCGAUAUCGAUUGGUCCACGAAAUUGGACAAUUUAGGUUCGUACAAAGUUCGUUCUGAAAUUGAGUGGUUGGUGUAAUGCAUAGUUUUUAGAGAUUGGAUUUCGCUCAAAACUCACCAAACACUAUAAGAAAAAACCCUUUACUAACUGCUAAAAAGCAUCACUAUAGCCAUUACAUGGCGGUUCCAAAAGUGUCAGGGACCCCAUUGUCAGGAAUGGGUGCCACCAUACUUGACGCUUAUUAUCCCGCAAGAAAUAGUGUUUCCUGACCGGUACAAAGCGUCACGAAUUAGUGAAAAAUCAUCAACGAAAGCUUUUCUUGUCGCUGAAUAAGUAUCAACAAAUAUAUUUGCUGACAUUUAAUAAAUAUUUCUUGACGGUUCUUAGCUGUCAAGAGUUGUAUAACUAAAAAAAAAUUAAAAAUUAAAAACAAAAAAAAAGCUUCCUAGACAACUAAAAUUUCAAAGAAUUUAGAAGCUAAAUGAAUGUAUUAAAAAAAUAAUAAGCUGAAAUUUAAUAUCCACUAAAAUAGAAUAUUUAGAUACAAACAUUCAAAAACUCAUACUAAUAUGUCAACUAUCUUGAGAAAUGAUAUUAAAAAAAUAUUUUAAAAAAAAUUACACUGAAAACAAUACAUGCUGAAAUAAACCAAACUAUCCAGUAUAGUAAAACGUAGAACUUCUAACUUAGAAGCUUGACUUUCCAUAGCACUUGUCUUUGUAGUUUAAGCCUCCAUGUACACAUCAAUCUGCCAGUAUAGGUAAGACAUUAAUUUAAAGAAUUAAGAGAUACAACCAAUGAACACAUCAACCUUGUCCAACACCAAUAGAGUCCAAUAUCAUUCACAUAUUCAUUACCAAAUAUAAAUGCCACUUCUUUUGAUUCAAAUGCAGAGAAGAACUUGAGAGGAAACUCCAAUUUGUGUUGUUUAGAAAGUUAUUAAAACUGGAUGAAACUCAAAUAGCUCCAUCUAAAACUGGAUGACCAAGAAAAAAAUAAUAAGCAUCACCAUUACCACACUCUUCAACUUACAAUGGAGGAAGAGAGACUGAGCGAGGGGUGAGUGACCCACUGAUAGAGCACGAACUAGCCACAGCGACAGAGAAAGAGAGGCAGAGCAAGAGUGAAAAAGAAAGAGCAAAAGAGGACAGAAAUUGAAAGAGUGAGAAGGAACGAGAGAAGAGACAGAGAGAGAGCGAUAAUGAAAAUGGAAGUGAGAGAAUGAGAGUGCAACUGAGAAAGAGAGAGAGCUUUUGAAAAAUUGGGGUUUCACUCGUGAAAAAUCAGAUCCCGCUUUUGUUUUUAUUCAGGUUUGUAUGAAGUUCGUUAUGAAAUGGAGUGGUUGGUGUUUUGCAUAGUUUUAGCCAUUGGAUUUCACUCAAAACUCACCAAAUGACUCCUCCCACCAUAUUAUGAUGUUCCCCACGUUUUGGACUCAAUUCGAUAUCAAUUGGUUCAAAAAUCGGACAAUUCAGGUUUGUACGACAUUCGUUCUGAAAUGGAGUGGUUGGUGUAUAUAGUUCCAGAGAUUGGAUUUCACUCAAAACCCACCAAAGGAGUCCUCCCACAAUAUUAUAAUGUUCCCCAAGUUUUGGACUCAAUCCCAAAUCGAUUGGUCCACGAAAUUGGACAAUUAAGGUUCGUACGAAGUUCGUUAUGUAAUAAAGUCGUUGGUGUAUUGCAUAGUUUUAGCCAUUGCAUUUCACAUAAAACUCACCAAAUGACUCCUCCCACCAUAUUACAGUGUCCCCCAAGUUUUUGACUCAAUCCGAUCUCGAUUGGUCAAUGAAAUCAGACAAUUGAGAUUCGUACGAAGUUCGUUCUGAAAUGGAGUGGUUGGUGUAUUGUAUAGUUCUAGAGAUUGGAUUUCACUCAAAACCCACCAAAUGACUCGUCCCAUAAUAUUAUGAUGUUCCCCAAGUUUUGGACUCAAUCUCAUAUCGAUUGGUCCAUGAGAUCGGCCAAUUUAUGUUCGUACGAAGUUCGUUCGCUAACGGAGUGGUUGGUGUAUUGCAUAGUUUUGGCAAUUGGAUUGUACUCAAAACUCACCAAAUGACUCCUCCCACAACAUUAUGAUGUUCCCCAAGUUUGGGACUCAAUCCGAUAUCAAUUGGUCCCAGAAAUUGGACAAUUCCGGUUCGUACGAAGUUUGUUAUGAAAUGGAGUGGUUGGUGUAUUGCAUAGUUUUAGCCAUUGGAUUUCACUCAAAACUCACCAAAUGACUCCUCCCACCAUAUUAGGUGUCCCCCAAGUUUUUGACUCAAUCCGAUAUCACUUGGUCAAUGAAAUCGGACAAUUCAGGUUCGUACAAAGUUCGUUAUGAAAUGGAGAGGUUGGUGUAUUGUAUAGAUCUAGAUAUUGGAUUUCACUCAAAAUCCACCAAAUGACUCCUCCCACAAUAUUGUCAUGUUCCUCAAGUUUUGGAUGCAAUCCGAUAUCGAUUGGUCCAUGAAAUUGGACAAUUCAAGUUCGUAUGAAGUUCGUUCUGAAAUAAAGAGGUUGGUGUAUUCUAUAGUUCUAGAGAUUGGAUUUCAUUCAAACCUACCAAAUGACUCCUCCGAAAAUAUUAUGAUGUUCCCCAAGUUUUGGACUCAAUCCGAUAUUGAUUGGUCCAUGAAAUUGGACAAUUAAGGUUCGUACGAAGUUCGUUAUGAAAUGGAAUGGUUGGUGUAUUGCAUAGUUUUAGGCAUUGGAUUUCACUCAAAACUCAGCAAAUGACUCCUCCCACAACAUUAUGAUGUUCUCCAAGUAUUGGACUCAAUCUGAUAUUGAUUGGUCCAUGAAAUCGGACAAUUCAGGUUCGUACGAAGUUCGUUAUGAAAUGGAGUGGUUGGUGUAUUGCAUAGUUUAGCCAUUGGAUUUCACUCAAAACUCACCAAAUGACUCCUCCCAUCAUAUUACGGUGUCCCCCAAGUUCUUGACUCAAACCGAUAUCGAUUGGCCAAUGAAAUCGGACAAUUCAGGUUCGUACGAAGUUUGUUAUGAAAUGGAGUGGUUGGUGUAUUGUAUAGUUCUAGAGAUUGGAUUUCACUUAAAACCCAGCAAAUGACUCCUCCCACAAUAUUAUGAUGUUCCCCAAGUUUUGUACGCAAUCCGAUAUGGAUUGGUCCAUGAAAUUGGACAGUUCAAGUUCGUAUGAAGUGUGUUCUGAAAUGAAGUGGUUGGUGUAUUCUAUACUUCCAAAGAUUGGAUUUCACUCAAAACCAACCAAAUGACUCUUCCCACAAUUUCAUGGUGUUCCCCAAGUUUUGGAUGCAAUCCGAUAUCGAUGGGUCCAUGAAAUUGGACAAUUCAAGUUCGUACAAAGUUCGUCCUGAAAUAAAGUGGUUGGUGUAUUCUAUAGUUCUAGAGAUUGGAUUUCAUUCAAAACCCACCAAAUGACUCCUCCGACAAUAUUAUGAUGUUCCCCAAGUUUUGUACUCAAUUCGAUAUCGAUUUGUCCUUGAAAUUGGUCAACUAAGGUUCGUACGAAGUUCGUUAUGAAAUGGAGUGGUUGGUUUAUUGCAUAGUUUUAGCCAUUGGAUUUCACUCAAAACUCACCAAAUGACUCCUCCCACCAUAUUAUGAUGUCCCCCAAGUUUUGGAGUCAUUCCGAUAUCGAUUGGUCCAUGAAAUCGGACAAUUCAGAUUCGUACGAAGUUUGUUCUAAAAUGGAGUGGUUCGUGAAUUGCAUAAUAUUUGGAAUUGGAUUUCUCAAAACUCACAAAAUGACUUCUCCCACAACAUUAUGAAGUUCCCCAAGUUUUGGACUCAAUCGGAUAUCGAUUGGUCCAUCAAAAUCGGACAAUUCCGGUUCGUAUGAAGUUCGUCAUGAAAUGAUGGGGUUGGUGUAUUGCAUUAUUUUAACCAUUAGAUUUCACCCAACACACAUCAAAUGAAUCCUCCCACAAUAUGAUGAUGUUCACCAAGUUUUGGACUCAAUCCGAUAUCGAUUGGUCCUUGAAAUUGGACAAUUAAGGUUCGUACGAAGUUCGUUCUGAAAUGGAGUGGUUGGUGUAUUGCAUAGUUUGAGACAUUGGAUUUCACUCAAAAUACACCAAAUGACUCCUCCCACUAUAUUAUGAUAUUCCCCAAGUUUUGGACUUAAUCCGUUAUCGGUUGUUCCAUGAAAUCGUACAAUUCAAGUUCGUACGAAGUUCGUUUUGAAAUGGAGUGGCUGGUGUAUUGCACUGUUUUAGCCACUGGAUUUCAGACUCAAUCCGAUAUCGAUUGGUCCACGAAAUAGGACAAUUCAAAUUCGUACGAAGUUCAUUCUGAAAUGGAGUGGUUGGUGUAUUGCAAUGUUUUAGCCAUUGGAAUUCACUCAAAACUGAAAAAUGACUCCUCCCACAACAUUAUGAUGUUCCCCAAGUUUUGGACUCAAGUCGAUAUCGAUUGGUCCAUCAAAUCGGACAAUUCAGGUUCGUACGAAGUUCGUUCUGAAAUGAUGUGGUCGGUGUAUUGCAUAGUUUUAGUGAUUGGAUUUCGCUGAAAACUCACCAUAUGACUCCUCCCACCAUAUUAUGAUGUUCCCCUAGUUUUGGACUCAAUCUCAUAUCGAUUGGUCCAUGUAAUUGGACAAUUCAGGUUCGUACGAAGUUCGUUCUGAAAUGGAGUGGUUGGUGUAUUGUAUAGUUCUAGAGAUUGGAUUUCACUAAAAACCACCAAAUGACACCUCCCACAAUAUUAUGAUGUUCCCCAAGUUUUGAACUCAAUCCGAUAUAGAUUGGUCCAUGAAAUUGGACAAUUCAGGUUCAUACGAGGUUCGUUCUGAAUUGGAGUGGUUGAUGGAUUACAUAGUUUUAGUGAUUGGAUUUCGCUCAAAACUCACCAUAUGACUCCUCCCACCAUAUUAUGAUAUUCCCCAAGUUUUGGGCUCAAUCAGAUUUUGAUUGGUCCAAGAAAUUGGACUAUUCAUGUUCGUACGAAGUUCGUUCUCUACUAGAGUGGUUGGUGUAUUAUAUAGUUCUAGAGAUCGGAUUUCACUCAAACCCCACGAAAUGACUCGUCCCACAAUAUUAUGUCGUUCCCGAAGUUUUGGACUCAAUCCGAUAUCGAUUGGGCCAUGAAAUCGAACAAUUUAGGUUCGUGCGAUGUUCGUUAUGAAAUGGAGUGGUUGGUGUAUUGCAUAGUUUUAGCAAUUGGAUUUCGCUCAAAACUCACCAUACGACUCCUCCCACCAUAAUAUGAUGUUCCCCAAGUUUUAGGCUCAAUCAGAUAUUAAUUGGUCCAAGAAAUUGGACUAUUUAUGUUCAUACGAAGUUCGUUCUCCAUUGGAGUGGUUGGUGUAUUAAAUUGUUCUGGAGAUUGGAUUUCACUCAUUACCCACCGAAUGACUACUCCCACAAUAUUAUGAUGUUCCCCAGGUUUUGGACUCAAUCGUAUAUCGAUUAUUCCACGAAAUUGGACUAUUCAUGUUCGUACGAAAUUCGUUCUCUAAUGGAGUGGUUGGUGUAUUUCUUAGUUUUUACUAUUGUAUUUCACCCAAGAGCACCCCAAAUGACUCCUCCCAUUAUAUGAUGAUGUCGCCCAAGUUUUAGACUCAAUCCGAUAUCGAUUGGUCCAUGAAAUUGGACAAUUCAGGUUCGUACGAAGUUCAUUCUGAAAUGGAGUGGUUGGUGUAUUGUAUAGUUCUAGAGAUUUGAUUUUACUCAAAACCCACCAAAUGACUUCUCCCACAAUAUUAUGAUGUUCCACAAGUUUUCGACUAAAUCCGAUAUCAAUUGGUCGAUGAAAUGGGACAAUUCAGGUUCGUACGAAGUUCAUUCUAAAAUGGAGUGGUUGGUGUAUUAUAUAGUUCUAGAGAUUGGAUUUCACUCAAAACCCACCGAAUGAAUCCUCCCACUAUAUUACGAUCUUCCUCAUGUUUUCGACUCAAUCCCAUAUCGAUUGGCCCACAAAAUUGGACAAUUCAGGUUUGUAUAAAGUUCGUUCUGAAAUAGAGUGGUUGGUGUACUGCAUAGUUCUAGAGAUUGGAUUUCACUUAAAACCUACCAAAUGACUCCUUAUUCAACAUUAUGAUUUUUCCCAAGUUCUGAACUCAAUCCGAUAUCGAUUGGUCCAUGAAAUCGGACAAUUCAGUUCGUACGAAGUUCAUUUUGGAAUGGGAUGAUUGGUGUAUUGCAUUGUUUAGCCAUUGGAUUUCACUCAAAACUCACAAAUGACUACUCCCACAACAUUAUGAUGUUCCCCAAGUUUUGGACUCAUCCGAUAUCGAUUGGUCCACGAAAUUCGACAAUUCAGGUUCGUACAAACCUGUGCUCUAGAAUAGAGAGGUUGGUUAUUGCGAAGUUUACUCAUUGGAUUUCGCUCAAAACUCACCAUAUGACUCCUCCCACUAUAUUAUGAUGUUCCUCAAGUUUUGGACUCAAUCCGAUAUCGAUUGGUUCAAGAAAUUGGACUAUUCAUUUUCGAACGAAGUUCGUUCUCUAAUGGAGUGGUUGGUGUAUUAUAUAGUUCUAGUGAUUGGAUUUCACUCAAAACCCCCCAAAUUAUGCCUCCCACAAUCUUAUGAUAUUCCCCAAGUUUUGGACUCAAUCCGAUAUCUAUUGGUCCUUGAAAUUGGAAAAUUCAGGUUCGUACGAAGUUCGUUCUGAAAUGGAGUGGUUGGUGUAUUGUAUAGUUCUAGAGAUUGUAUUUCACUCAAAAUCCACCAAAUGACCCUUCCCAUUAUAUUAUGACAUUCCCCAACUCAAUCCGAUAUCGAUUGGUCCACGAAAUCGAACAAUUCACGUUCGUAUGAACUGUGUUCUGAAAUGGAGAGGUUGGUGUAUUGCUUAGUUUUACUCAUUGGAUUUAGCUCAAAACUCACCAUAUGACUCCUCCUACCAUAUUAUGAUGUUCCCCAAGUUUUGGGCUCUAUUCGAUGUCAAUUGGUCCAAGAAAUUGGACUAUUCAUUUUCGUACGAAGUUCGUUCUCUAAUAGAGUGGUUGAUGUAUUGCAUAAUUUUGGCAAUUGGAUUUCACUCAAAACUCACCAAAUGACUCCUGCCACAACAUUAUGACGUUCCCCAAGUUUUGGACUCAAUACGAUAUCUUUUGGUGCANNNNNNNNNNNNNNNNNNNNNNNNNNNNNNNNNNNNNNNNNNNNNNNNNNNNNNNNNNNNNNNNNNNNNNNNNNNNNNNNNNNNNNNNNNNNNNNNNNNNNNNNNNNNNNNNNNNNNNNNNNNNNNNNNNNNNNNNNNNNNNNNNNNNNNNNNNNNNNNNNNNNNNNNNNNNNNNNNNNNNNNNNNNNNNNNNNNNNNNNNNNNNNNNNNNNNNNNNNNNNNNNNNNUAUAGUUCGUCCCAAAGUUUCGUAUCUAAUAUCGACACGAUGGUCACCGAAAUUGACAUUCAUUUUCCCUCCCACUUUUGUUCUAAAAGGAGUGGUAGUGUAUUGCUAGUUUGGAGAUUGGUUUCACUCCAAACCCCACCAAUGACUCCUCCCACAAUAUUUGAUGUUCCCCAAGUUUGGACUCAAAUCCGAUAUCGAUUGGUGCACGAAAUUUGACAAAUUCAGGUUCGUACGAAGUUUGUUAUGAAAUGCAGUGGUUGGUAUAUUAUAUAGUUCAACAGAUUUGAUUCACUCAAAACCCACCAAAUGACUCCUCCCAUAAUAUUAUUAUAUUCCCCAAGUUUUGGACCCAAUCCGAUAUCGAUUGGUCCAUGAAAUUGGACAAUUCAGGUUCGUACGAUGUUUGAGACUCAAUCCGACAUCAAUUGGUCCAUGAAAUUGGACAAUUCCGGUUCGUACGAAGUUCGUUAUGAAAUGGAGUGGUUGGUGUAUUGCAUAGUUUUAGACAUUGAAUUUCGUUCAAAACUCACCAUAUGACUCCACCCACCAUAUUAUGAUGUUCACCAAGUUUUUAGCCCAAUCCGAUAUUGAUUGGUUAAUGAAAUUGAACUGUUCGUGUUCGUACGAAGUUCGUUCUCUAAUGGAUUGGUUGGUGUAUUGUAUAGUUUUGGCAAUUGGAUUUCACUUAAAAAUCAACAACUAUAUUAUGAUGUUCCCCAAGUUUUGGACUCAGUCCGAUAUCGAUUGGUCCAUGAAAUUGGACAAUUCAGGUUCGUACGAAGUUCGUUCAGAAAUGAAGUGGUUGAUGUAUUGUAUAGUUAUAGAGAUUGGAUUUCAUUCAAAACUCACCAAAUGACUCGUCCCACAACAUUAUGAUGUUCCCCAAGUUUGGGAUUCAAUCAGACAUGAAUUGGUCCAAGAAAUUGGGCAAUUCAGGUUGGUACGAAGUUCAUUCUGAAAUGGAGUGGUUGGUGUAUUGCAUAGUUUUAGCCAUUGGAUUUCGCUCAAAACUCAUCAUAUGACUCCUCCGACCAUAUUAUGAUGAUCUCCAAGUUUUGGGCUCAAUCCGGUAUCGAUUGGUCCAAGAAAUUAUACUAUUCAUGUUCGUGCGAAGUUCGUUAUGAAAUGGAGUGGUUGGUGUGUUGCAUAGUUGUGGAAAUUGUAUUUCGCUCAAAACCCACCAAAUGACUCCUCCCACUAUAUUAUGUUGUUCCCCAAGUUUUGGACUCAAUCCGAUAUCGAUUGGCCCAAGAAAUUGGACAAUUAAGGUUCGUGUGAAGUUCCUUUUGAAAUGGAGCGGUUGGUGUAUUGCUUAGUUCUAGAGAUUGGAUUUCACUCAAAACCCACCAAAUGACACCUCCCGCCAUAUUAUGAUGUUCCCCAAGUUUUGGACUUAAUUCGAUAUCAAUUGGUCCAUGGAAUUGGAAAAUUCUGGUUCGUAUGAAGUUCGUUCUGAAAUGGAGUGGUUGGUGUAUUGGAUAGUUCUAGAGAUUUUAUUUCACUCAAAACCCACCAAAUGACUCCUCCAACAAUAUGAUGAUGUUCCCCAAGUUUGGGACUCAAUCCGAUAUCGAUUGGUCCAUGAAAUUGGACAAUUCAGGUUCGUACGAAGUUUGCUCUGAAAUGGAGUGGUUGGUGUAUUGCCUAGUUUUAGCCAUUGGAUUUCACUCAAAACUCACCAUAUGACUCCUCCCACCAUAUUAUGACGUUCUCCAUGUUUUGGACUCAAUCCGAUAUCGAUUUGUCCUUGAAAUUGGACAAUUCAGGUUUGUACGAAAUUCGUUCUGAAAUGGAGUGAUUUUUGUAUUGCAUAGUUUUAGCCAUUGGAUUUCGCUCAAAACUCACCAUAUAACUCCACCCACCAUAUUAUGAUGUUCCCCAAGUUUUGAGCCUAAUCCGAUAUUGAUUGGUUAAUGAAAUUGAACUAUUCGUGUUCUUACGAAGUUCGUUCUCUAAUGGAGUGGUUGGUGUUUUGCAUAGGUUUCGCUAUUGAAUUUCACUCAAAACCCACCAAAUGACUCUUCCCACAAUAUUAUGAUGUUCCCAAAGUUUUGGACUCAAUCCGAUAUCGAUUGGUCCAUGAAAUCGGAUAAUUCAGGUUCGUACGAUGUUCGUUCUGAAAAUGAGUGGUUAAUGUAUUGCAUAGUUUUAGCCAUUGGGUUUCGCUUAAAACGUACCAAAUGAAUCCUCCAACUAUAUUAUGAUGUUCCUCAAGUUUUGGACUCAAUCAGAUCUCAAUUGGUCCAUGAAAUUGGACUAUUCAGGUUCGUAUGAAGUUCGUUAUGAAAUGGAGUGGUUGGUGUAGUGCAUUGUUAUAGAGAUUGGAUUUCACUGAAAACUCACCAAAUGACUCGUCCCACAACAUUAUGAAGUUCCCCAAGUUUGGGACUGAAUCCGACAUUGAUUGGUCCAUGAAAUUGGACAAUUUAGGUUCGUAUGAAGUUCGUUCUGAAAUGGAGUGGUUGGUUUAUUGCAAACUUUUAGCGAUUGGAUUUCACUCAAAACUCACCGUAUGACUCCUCCCACCAUAUUAUGAUGAUCCCCAAGUUUGGUACUCAAUCCGACAUCGAUUGUUCUAUGAAAUUGGACAAUUCAGGUUCGUACGAAGUUUGUUCUGAAUGGAGUGGUUGGUGUGUUGUAUAGUUGUAGCCAUUGGAUUUCAAUCAAAAGUCACUAUGACUCCUCCCACCAUAUUAUGCUGUUCUCCAAGUUUUGGGCUCAAUCCGGUAUCGAUUGGUCCAAGAAAUUAUACUAUUCAUGUUCGUGCGAAGUUCGUUAUGAAAUGGAGUGGUUAGUGUUUUACAUAGUUAUAGCCAUUGGAUUUCACUCAACAGUCACCGUAUGAAUCCUCCCACAACAUUAUGAUGAUCCCCAAGUUUUGGACUCAAUCCGAUAUCGAUUGGUCCAUGAAAUUGGACAAUUCAGGUUCAUACGAAGUUCGUUCUGAAAUGGAGUGGUUGGUGUAUUGUAUAGUUCUAUAGAUUAGAUUUCACUCAAAAAUCACCAAAUGACUCCUACAAUAUUAUGAUGUUCCCCAAGUUUUGGACUCAAUCCGAUAUCGAUUGGUCCUUGAAAUCGGACAAUUCAGGUUCGUACGAAGUUCGUUCUGAAAUGGGGUGAUUGGUGUAUUUUAUAGUUCUAGAGAUUGGAUUUCACUCAAAACUCACCAAAUGACUCCUCCCACCACAUUAUGAUGAUCCCCAAGUUUUGGACUCAAUCCGAUAUCGAUUGGUCCAUGAAAUUGGACAAUUCAGGUUCGUACGAAGUUCGUUCUGAAAUGGGGUGGUUGAUGUAUUGUAUAGUUCUAUAGAUUGGAUUUCACUCAAAAAUCACCAAAUGACUCCCACAAUAUUAUAAUGUUCCCCAAGUUUUGGACUCAAUCCGAUAUCGAUUGGUCCUUGAAAUCGGACAAUUCAGGUUCAUACGAAGUUCGUUCUGAAAUGGGGUGAUUGGUGUAUUGUAUAGUUCUAGAGAUUGGAUUUCACUCAAAACCCACCAAAUGACUCCUCCCACAGUGCUAUGAUGUUCCCCAAGUUUUGGACUCAAUCCGAUAUCGAUUGGUCCACGAAAUUUCACAAUUCAGAUUCGUACGACGUUUGUUCUAAAACGCAGCGGUUGGUGUAUUGUAUAGUUCUAGGGAUUCGAUUUCACUGAAAACACACCAAAUGACUCCCCCCACAAUAUUACGAUAUUCCCCAAGUUUUGGACUCAAUCCAAUAUCGAUUGGUCCAUGAGAUCGGCCAAUUCAGGUUUCUAUGAACUGUUUUCUGAAAUGGAGUGGUUGGUGUAUUGUAUAGUUCUAGAGAUUGGAUUUCACUCAAAACCCACCAACGGACUCCUCCCACAAUAUGAUGAUGUUCCCCAAGUUUUGGACUCAAUCUGAUAUCGAUUGGUCUUUGAAAUCGGAUAAUUCAGGUUCGUACGAAGUUCGUUCUAAAAUGGGGUGAUUUGUGUAUUGUAUAGUUCUAGAGAUUGGAUUUCACUCAAAACCCACCAAAUGACUCCUCCCACAAUGCUAUGAUGUUCCCCACGUUUUGGACUCAAUCCGAUAUCGAUUGGUCCACGAAAUUUGAGAAUUCAGGUUCGUACGAAGUUUGUUCUAAAAUGGAGUAGUUGGUGUAUUGUAUAGUUCUAGAGAUUGGAUUUGACUCAAAACCCACCAAAUGACUUCUCCCACAAUAGUAUGAAGUUCCCCAAGUUUUGAAAUCAAUCCGAUAUCGAUUGGUCAAUGAAAUCGGACAAUUCAGGUUCGUACGAAGUUCGUUCUGAAAUGGGGUGGUUGGUGUAUUGUAUAGUUCUAGAGAUUGGAUUUCACCAAAACCCACCAAAUGACUCCUACCACAAUACAAUGAUGUUCCCCAAGUUUUGGACUCAAUCCCAUAUCGAUUGUUCCACGAAAUUUGACAGUUCAGGUUCGUACGAAGUUCGUUUUGAAAUGGAGUGGUUGGUGCAUUGUAUAGUUCUAGGGAUUGGAUUUCAGUCAACACACACCAAAUGACUCCUCCCACAGUAUUAUGUUGUUCCCCAAAUUUUGGACUCAAUCCGAUAUCUAUUGGUCCAUGAAAUCGGCCAAUUCAGGUUCGUGUGAACUGUGUUAGGAAAUGGAGUGGUUGGUGUAUUCUAUAGUUCUAGAGAUUGGAUUUCACUCAAAAAUCAACAAAUGACUCCCCCCACAGUAUUAUGAUGUUCCCCAAGUUUUGGACUCUAUCCGAUAUCAAUUGGUCCACGAAAUUUGACAAUUUAGGUUCUUACGAAGUACUUUCGAAAUGGAGUGGUUGGUGUCUUGUAUAGUUCUUGGGAUUGGAUUUCACUCAAAUCCCACCACCUGACUCCUCCCACAAUAUUUUGAUGUUCCCCAAGUUUUGGACUCAAUCUAAUAUCGAUUGGUCUAUGAAGUUGGACAAUUGAGGUUCGUACGAAGUACGUUCUGAAGUGCAGUGGUUGGUGUAUUGCAUGGUUCUAUGGAUUGGAUUUCACUCAAAACCCACCAAAUGACUCCUCCCACUAUAUUAUGAUGUUCCCCAAAUUUUGGAAUCAAACCGAUAUCGAUUGGUCCAUGAAAUUGGACAAUUCAGGUUCGUACGAAGUUCAUUCUGAAAUGGAGUGGUUGGUGUAUUGUAUAGUUCUAGAGAUUUGAUUUUACUCAAAACCCACCAAAUGACUUCUCCCACAAUAUUAUGAUGUUCCACAAGUUUUCGACUAAAUCCGAUAUCAAUUGGUCUAUGAAAUGGGACAAUUCAGGUUCGUACAAAGUUCGUUCUAAAAUGGAGUGGUUGGUGUAUUAUAUAGUUCUAGAGAUUGGAUUUCACUCAAAACCCACCGAAUGAAUCCUCCCACUAUAUUACGAUCUUCCUCAUGUUUUCGACUCAAUCCCAUAUCGAUUGACCCACAAAAUUGGACAAUUCAGGUUUGUAUAAAGUUCAUUCUGAAAUAGAGUGGUUGGUGUACUGCAUAGUUCUAGAGAUUGGAUUUCACUUAAAACCUACCAAAUGACUCCUUAUUCAACAUUAUGAUUUUCCCCAAGUUCUGGACUCAAUCCGAUAUCGACUGGUCCAUGAAAUCGGACAAUUCAGGUUCGUACGAAGUUCAUUUUGGAAUGGGAUGGUUGGUGUAUUGCAUUGUUUAGCCAUUGGAUUUCACUCAAAACUCACAAAAUGACUACUCCCACAACAUUAUGAUGUUCCCCAAGUUGUGGACUCAAUCCGGUAUCGAUUGGUCCAUGAAAUCGAACAAUUCACGUUCAUACGAACCGUGCUCUAGAAUAGAGAGGUUGGUUUAUUGCGAAGUUUUACUCAUUGGAUUUCGCUCAAAACUCACCAUAUGACUCCUCCCACUAUAUUAUGAUGUUCCUCAAGUUUUGGACUCAAUCCGAUAUCGAUUGGUUCAAGAAAUUGGACUAUUCAUUUUCGAACGAAGUUCGUUCUCUAAUGGAGUGGUUGGUGUAUUAUAUAGUUCUAGUGAUUGGAUUUCACUCAAAACCCCCCAAAUUAUGCCUCCCACAAUCUUAUGAUAUUCCCCAAGUUUUGGACUCAAUCCGAUAUCUAUUGGUCCUUGAAAUUGGAAAAUUCAGGUUCGUACGAAGUUCGUUCUGAAAUGGAGUGGUUGGUGUAUUGUAUAGUUCUAGAGAUUGUAUUUCACUCAAAAUCCACCAAAUGACCCUUCCCAUUAUAUUAUGACAUUCCCCAACUCAAUCCGAUAUCGAUUGGUCCACGAAAUCGAACAAUUCACGUUCGUAUGAACUGUGUUCUGAAAUGGAGAGGUUGGUGUAUUGCUUAGUUUUACUCAUUGGAUUUAGCUCAAAACUCACCAUAUGACUCCUCCUACCAUAUUAUGAUGUUCCCCAAGUUUUGGGCUCUAUUCGAUGUCAAUUGGUCCAAGAAAUUGGACUAUUCAUUUUCGUACGAAGUUCGUUCUCUAAUAGAGUGGUUGAUGUAUUGCAUAAUUUUGGCAAUUGGAUUUCACUCAAAACUCACCAAAUGACUCCUGCCACAACAUUAUGACGUUCCCCAAGUUUUGGACUCAAUACGAUAUCUUUUGGUGCAUGAAAUCGGACAAUUCAGGUUUGUACGAAGUUCGUUCUGAAAUGGAGUGGUUGGUGUACUGCAUAGUUUUGGAAAUUGGAUUUCACUCAAAACCCACCAAAUGCCUCCUCCCACAAUAUUAUGAUGUUCCCUAAGUUUUGGACUCAAUCUGUUAUCGAUCGGUCCAUGAAAUCGGACAAUUCAGGUUCGUACGAAGUUCGUUCUGAAAUUUAGCGGUUGGUGUAUUGUAUAGUUCGAGAGAUUGGAUUUCACUCAAAACCCGCGAAAUGACUCCUCCCACAAUAUUAUGAUGUUCUGAAAUGGAGUGGUUGGUGUAUUGUAUAGUUGUCGAGAUUGGAUUUCACUCAAAAUCCACCAAAUGACUCCUCCCACAAUAUUAUGGUGUUCCCAAGUUUUGGACUCAAUCCGAUAUCGAUUGGUCCUUGUAAUGGGACAAUUCAGGUUUGUACGAAGUUCGUUCUGAAAUGGAGUGGUUGGUGUAUUGUACAGUUCUAGAGAAUGGAUUUCACUCAAAAUCCACCAACUGACUACUCCCACAAUAUUAUGAUGUUCCCCAAGUUUUGGACUCAAUCCGAUAUCGAUUGUUCCUUGUAAUCGGACAAUUCAGGUUCGUACAAAAUUCGUUCUGAAAUGGUGUGGCUGAGGUAUUGUAUAGUUUUAGAGAUUGGAUUUCACUCAAAAAUCACCAGAUGACUCCUCGCACAAUAUUUUGAUGUUCCCCAAGUUUUGGACUCAUUCCGAUAUUGAUUGGUCACCGAAAUUUGACAAUUUAGGUUCGUACAAAGUUCGUUAUGAAAUGGAGUGGUUGGUGUAUUGUAUAGUUGUUGGGAUUGGAUUUCACUCAAAACCAACCAAACGAUUCGUCCCACAAUAUUAUGAUGUUCCCCAAGUUUUGGACUCAAUCCGAUAUCGAUUGGUCCUUGAAAUCGGACAAUUCAUGUUCCUACGAAGUUCUUUCUGAAAUGGGGUGGUUGGUGUAUUGUAUAGUUCUAGGGAUUGGAUUUCGUUCAAAACCCACCAAAUGACAAUUUCCACAAUGUUAUGAUGUUCCGCAAGUUUUGGACUCAAUCCGAUAUCUAUUGGUCCUUCAAAUCGGACAAUUUAGGUUCAGACGAAGUUCGUUUGGAAAUGGGGUGGUUGGUGUAUUGUAUAGUUCUAGAGAUUGGAUUUCACUCAAAACCCUCCAAAUGACUCGUCCCACAAUAUUAUAAUGUUCCCCAAGUUUUGGACUCAAUCCGUGACCGAUUGGACCACGAAAUUUGACAAUUCAGGUUCGUACGAAGUUCGUUCUGAAAUGGAGUGGUUGGUGUACUGUAUAGUUCUAGGGAUUGGAUUUCACUCAAAACCCUCCAAAUGACUCGUCCCACAAUAUUAUAAUGUUCCCCAAGUUUUGGACUCAAUCCGUGACCUAUUGGACCACGAAAUUUGACAAUUCAGGUUCGUACGAAGUUCGUUCUGAAAUGGAGUGGUUAGUGUACUGUAUAGUUCUAGGGAUGGGAUUUCACUCAAAACCCACCAAAUGACUCCUCCCACAAUAUUAUGAUGUUCCCCAAGUUUUGGACUCAAUCUGAUAUCGAUUGGUCCAUGAAAUCUGACAAUUCAGGUUCGUACGAAAUUCGUUCUAAAAUGGAGUGGGUGGUGUAUUGCAUAGUUCUAGGGAUUGAAUUUCGCUCAAAACCCACCAAAUGACAACUCCCACAAUAUUAUGAUGUUCCCCAAGUUUUGGACGCAAUCCGAUGUCGAUUCAUCCUUGAAAUCGGACAAUUCAGGUUCGUACGAAGUUCGUUCUGAAAUGUGGUGGUUGGUGUAUUGUAUAGUUUAGAGAUUGGAUUUCUCUCAAAACCCACCAAAUGACUCCUCCUACAAUAUUACGAUGUUAUCCAGGUUUUGUACUCAAUCCGAUAUCGAUUGGUCCACGAAGUUUAACAAUUCAGGUUCUUACGAAGUUCAUUCUGAAAUGGAGUGGUUGGUGUAUUGUAUAGUUCUAGGGAUUGGAUUUCACUCAAACCCCACCAAAUGAAUUCUCCCACAAUAUCAUGUUGUUCCCCAUGUUUUGGACUCAAUCUGAUAUCGAUUGGUCCUUGAAAUCGGACAAUUCAGGUUCUUACGAAGUUCGUUCUGAAAUGAAGCGGUUGGUGUAUUGUAUAGUUCUAGUGAUUGGGUUUCACUCGAAAAUCACCAAAUGACUCCUCCCACAUUAUUAUGAUGUUCCCCAAGUUUUGGACACAAUCCGAUAUCGAUUGGUCAAUCAAAUCGGACAAUUCACGUUCGUACGAACUUUGUUCUGGAAUGGAGUGGUUGGUUUAUUGUACAGUUCUAGGGAUUGGACUUCACUCAAAACUCACAAAAUGACUUCUCCCGCAAUAUUAUGAUGUUCCCCAAGUUUUGGACUCAAUUCGAUAUCGAUUUGUCCAUGAAAUCGGACAAUUCAAGUUCGUACGAAGUUCAUUCUGAAACGAGGUGGUUGGUGUAUAGUUUAGUUCUAGACAUUGGAUUUCAAUCAAAACCCACCAAAUGACUCCUCCCACAAUAUUAUGAUGUUCCCCAAGUUUUGGACUCAAUCCGAUAUCGAUUGGUCCAGGAAAUUUGACAAUUCAGGUUCGUACGAAGUUCGUUCUAAAAUGUAGUGGUUGGUGUAUUGUAUCGUUCUAGGGAUUGGAUUUCACUCAAAACCCACCAAAUGACUCAUCCCACAAUAUUAUGAUGUUUUGGACUCAAUCCGAUAUCGAUUGGUCCAUGAAAUCAGACAAUUCCGGUUCGUACGAAGUUCGUCCUGAAAUGGAGUGGUUGGUUUAUUGUAUAGUUCUAGGGAUUGGAUUUCACUCAAAACCCAACAAAUGACAACUCCCACAAUAUUAUGAUGCUCCCCAAGUUUUGGAUUCAAUCCGAUAUCGAUUGGUCCUUGAAAUCGGACAAUUCAAGUUAGUACGAAGUUCGUUCUGAAAUGGGGUGGUCGGUGUAUAGUUUAGUUCUAGGCAUUGGAUUGCACUCAAAACCCACCAAGUGACUCCUCCGACAAUAUUAUGAUGUUCCCCAAGUUUUGGACUCAAUCCUAUAUCAAUUGGUCGACGAAAUUUGACAAUUCAGGUUCGUACGAAGUUCGUUCUGAAAUGGAGUGGUUGGUGUAUUGUACAGUUGUCGAGAUUGGAUUUCACUCAAAAUCCACCAAAUGACUCCUCCCACAAUAUUAUGGUGUUCCCAAGUUUUGGACUCAAUCCGAUAUCGAUUGGUCCUUGUAAUGGGACAAUUCAGGUUUGUACGAAGUUCGUUCUGAAAUGGAGUGGUUGGUGCAUUGUACAGUUCUAGAGAAUGUAUUUCACUCAAAAUCCACCAACUGACUACUCCCACAAUAUUAUGAUGUUCCCCAAGUUUUGGACUCAAUCCGAUAUCGAUUGUUCCUUGUAAUCGGACAAUUCAGGUUCGUACGAAAUUCAUUCUGAAAUGGUGUGGCUUAGGUAUUGUAUAGUUUUAGAGAUUGGAUUUCACUCAAAAAUCACCAGAUGACUCCUCGCACAAUAUUUUGAUGUUCCCCAAGUUUUGGACUCAUUCCAAUAUAGAUUGGUCACCGAAAUUUGACAAUUCAGGUUCGUACAAAGUUCGUUCUGAAAUAGAGUGGUUGGUGUAUUGUAUAGUUCUUGGGAUUGGAUUUCACUCAAAACCCACCAAACGAUUCGUCCCACAAUAUUAUGAUGUUCCCCAUGUUUUGGACUCAAUCCGAUAUCGAUUGGUCCUUGAAAUCGGACAAUUCAUGUUCCUACGAAGUUCGUUCUGAAACGAGGUGGUUGGUGUAUAGUUUAGUUCUAGACAUUGGAUUUCAAUCAAAACCCACCAAAUGACAACUUCCACAAUGUUAUGAUGUUCCGCAAGUCUGGGACUCAAUAUGAUAUCGAUUGGUCCUUCAAAUCGGACAAUUCAGGUUCGGACGAAGUUCGUUCUGAAAUGGGGUGGUUGGUGUAUUGUAUAGUUCUAGAGAUUGGAUUUCACUCCAAACCCUCCAAAUGACUCGCCCCACAAUAUUAUGGUGUUCCCCAAGUUUUGGACUCAAUCCGUGACCGAUUGGACCACGAAAUUUGACAAUUCAGGUUCGUACGAAGUUCGUUCUAAAAUAGAGUGGGUGGUGUAUUGUAUAGUUCUAGGGAUUGAAUUUCGCUCAAAACCCACCAAAUGACAACUCGCACAAUAUUAUAAUGUUCCCCAAGUUUUGGACACAAUCCGAUGUCGAUUCAACCUUGAAAUCGGACAAUUCAGGUUCGUACGAAGUUCGUUCUGAAAUGGGGUGGUUGGUGUAUUGUAUAGUUCUAGAGAUUGGAUUUCUUUCAAAACCCACCAAAUGACUCCUCCUACAAUAUUAUGAUGUUCCCCAGAUUUUGGACUCAAUCCGAUAUCGAUUGGUCCACGAAAUUUAACAAUUCAGGUUCUUACGAAGUUCGUUCUGAAAUGGAGUGGUUGGUGUAUUAUGUAGUUCUAGGGAUUGAAUUUCACUCAAAACCCACCAAAUGAAUCCUCCCACAAUAUCAUGAUGUUCCCCAAGUUUUGGACUCAAUCCGAUAUCGAUUGGUCCUUGAAAUCGGACAAUUCAGGUUCUUACGAAGUUCGUUCUGAAAUGGAGUGGUUGGUGUAUUGUAUAGUGCUUCAGAUUGGAUUUCACUCAAAACCCACGAAAUGACUCCGCCCACAAUAUUAUGAUGUUCCCCAGGUUUUGGACUCAAUCCGAUAUUGAUUGGUCCACGAAAUUUAACAAUUCAGGUUCAUACGAAGUUCGUUCUGAAAAGGAGUGGUUGGUGUAUUGUAUAGUUCUAGGCAUUGGAUUUCACUCAAAACCCACCAAAUGAAUCCUCCUACAAUAUUAUGAUGUUCACCAAGUUUUGGACUCAAUCCAAUAUCGACUGGUCCUUGAAAUUGAACAAUUCAGUUUCGUACGAAGUUCGUUUUGAUAUGGACUAAUUGGUGUAUUGUAUAGUGGUACAGAUUGGAUUUCACUGAAAACCCACCAAAUGACUCCUCCCAUAAUAUUAUGAUGUUCCCGAAGUUUUGGACACAAUCCGAUAUCCAUUGGUCAAUGAAAUCGGACAAUUCAAGUUCGUACGAAGUUCGUUCUGAAAUGGAGUGGUUGGUGUAUUGUAACGUUCUAGAUAUUGGAUUUCACUCAAAAUCCACCAAAUGACUCCUCCCACAAUAUUAUGAUGUUCCCCAAGUUUUGUACUCAAUCUGAUAUCGAUUAUUCCUUGUAAUCGGACAAUUGAAGUUCGUUAUGAAAUGGAGUGGCUGAUGUAUUGUAUAGUUCUAGAGAUUGGAUUUCACUCAAAAAUCACCAAAUGACUCCUCCCACAAUAUUAUGAUGUUGCCGAAGUUUUGGACUCAAUGAGAUUUCGAUUGGUCCAUGAAAUCAGACAAUUCAUGUUCGUACGAAGUUCGUUCUGAAAUGAAGUGGUUAGUGUAUUGCAUAGUUCUAGAGAUUGGAUUUCACUGAAAACCCACCAAAUGACUCCUCCCACAAUAUUAUGAUGUUCCCGAAGUUUUGGACACAAUCCGAUAUCCAUUGGUCAAUGAAAUCGGACAAUUCAAGUUCGUACGAAGUUCGUUCUGAAAUGGAGUGGUUGGUGUAUUGUAUAGUUCUAGAUAUUGGAUUUCACUCAAAAUCCACCAAAUGACUCCUCCCACAAUAUUAUGAUGUUCCCCAAGUUUUGGACUCAAUCUGAUAUCGAUUAUUCCUUGUAAUCGGACAAUUCAAGUUCGUUCUAAAGUGCAGUGGCUGAUGUAUUGUAUAGUUCUAGAGAUUGGAUUUCACUCAAAAAUCACCAAAUGACUCCUCCCACAAUAUUAUGAUGUUGCCGAAGUUUUGGACUCAAUCCGAUUUCGAUUGGUCCAUGAAAUUAGACAAUUCGGGUUCAUACGAAGUUCGUUCUGAAAUGGAGUGGUUGGUGUAUUGUAUAGUUCUAGGGAUUGGAUUUCACUCAAAACCCACCAAAUGACAAAUCCCACAAUAUCAUGAUGUUGCCCAAGUUUUGGACUCAAUCCGAUAUCGAUUGGUCCAUGAAAUGAGACAAUUCAGUUUCGUACGAAGUUCGUUCCGAAAUGGAGUGGUUGGUGUAUUGUAUAGUUCUAGAGAUUGGAUUUCACUCAAAACCCACCAAAUGGCUCCUCCCUUAAUAUUAUGAUGUUCCCCAAGUUUUGGACUCAAUCCCAUAUCUUUUGGUCAAUGAAAUCGGACAAUUCAGGUUUUGACGAAGUUCGUUCUGAAAUGGAGUGGUUGGUUUAUUGUAUAGUUCUAGGGAUUGGAUUUCACUCAAAACCCACCAAAUGACUCCUCCCACAAUAUUACUAUGUUCCCCAAGUUUUGGACUCUAUCCGAUAUCGAUUGGUCCUUGAAAUCGGAGAAUUCAGGUUCGUACGAAGUUCGUUCUGAAAUGGAGUGGUUGGUUUAUUGUAUAGUUCUAGGAAUUGGGUUUCACUCAAAACCCGCCAAAUGACAACUCCCACAAUAUUAUGAUGUUCCCCAAGUUUUGGACUCAAUCCGAUAUCGAUUUGUCCAUGAAAUAUUACAAUUCAAGUUCGUUCUGAAAUAGGGUGUUUGGUGUAUUGUAUAGUUCUAGAGAUUGGAUUUCACUCAAAAACCACGAACUGACUCCUCCCACAAUAUUAUGACGUUCCGCAAGUUUUGGACUGCAUCCCUUAUCGAUUGGUCCAUGAAAUCGGGCUAUUCAGGUUCGUACGAAGUUCGUUAUGAAAUGGAGUGGUUGUUGUAUUGCAUAGUUCUACGGAUUGGAUUUCACUCAAAACCCACCAAAUGACAACUCCCACUAUAUUAUGAUGUUCCCCAAGUUUUGGACUCACUCCGAUAUCGAUUGGUCCAUGAAAUCGGACAAUUCAGGUUCGCACGAAGUUCGUCCUAAAAUGGGGUGGUUGGUGUAUUGUAUAGUUCUAGAGAUUGGAUUUCACUCAAAACCCACCAAAUGACUCCUCCCACAAAUUAUGAUGGUCCCCUAGUUUUGGACUCAAUCCAAUAUCGAUUGGUCCAUCAAAUCGGCCAAUUCCGGUUCCUGCGAACUGUGUUCUGAAAUGAAGUGGUUGGUUUAUUGUGUAGUUUUAGAGAUUGGAUUUCACUUAAAAUCCACCAAAUGACUCCUCCCACAAUAUUAUGAUGUUCCCCAAGUUUUGGACUCAAUUCGAUAUCGAUUGGUCCAUGAAAUCGGACAAUUCAUGUUCAUACAAAGUUCGUUCUGAAAUGGAGUGGUUGGUGUAUUGUAUAGGUCUAGGGAUUGGAUUUCACUCAAACCCUCCAAAUGACAACUCCCACAACAUUAUGAUGUUCCCCAAGUUUUGGACUCAGUCCGGUAUCGAUUGGUCCAUUAAAUCGGCCAAUUCAGGUUCGUGCAAACUGUGUUCUGAAAUGGAGUGGUUGGUGUAUUGUAUAGUUCUAGGGAUUGGAUUUUACUCAAAAUCCACCAAAUGACUCCUCCCACAAUAUUAUGAUGUUCCCCAAGUUUUGGACUCAAUCCGAUAUCGAUCGGUCCAUGAAAUCAGACAAGUCAGGUUCGUACGAAGUCCGUUCUGAAAUGGUGUGGUUGAUGUAUUGUAUAGUUCUAGGGAUUGGAUUUCACUCAAACCCACCAAAUGACAACUCCCACAAUAUUAUGAUGUUCCCCUAGUUUUGGACUCAAUCCGAUAUCGAUUGGUCAAUGAAAUCGGACAAUUCAAGUUCGUACGAAGUUCGUUCUGAAAUGGGGUGGUUGGUGUAUUGUAUAGUUCUAGGGAGUGGAUUUCAAUCAAAACCCACCACAUGACUCCUCCCACCUUAUUAUGAUGUUCAACAAGUUUUGGACUCAAUCCGAUAUUGAUUGGUCCAUGAAAUAGGACAAUUCAGGUUUGUACGAAGUUCGUUCUGAAAUGGAGUGGUUGGUGUAUUGCAUAAUUUUAGCCACUGGAUUUCACUCAAAAUUCACCACAUGACUCCACCCAACAUAUAAUCAUGUUCCCCAUGUUUUGGACUCAAUUCGGUAACGACUGGUCCAUGAAAUCGGAAAAUUCAGGUUCAUACGAAUGUCGUUCUGAAAUGUAGUGGUUUGUGUGUAUUGCAUGGUUUUAGCCAUUGGAUUUCAUUGAAAAUUCACAAAAUGACUCCUCCCACAACAUUCUGACAUUCCCCAAGUUUUGGACUAAAGUCGAUAUCGAUUGGUCCAAUAAAUUGGACAAUUCAAGUUUGCACGAAAUUCGUUAUGAAACGGAGUGGUUGGUGUAUUGCAUAGUUUUAGCCAUUGGAUUUCACUCAAAAGUCACUGAAUGAGUCCUCCCACCGUAUUAUGAUGUUCCCCCAGUUUUGGACUCCAUCCGAUAUCGAUUGGUCCAUGAAAUCUGACAAUUCAGGUUUGUACGAAGUUCAUUCUGAAAUGGAGUGGUUGGUGUAUUGCAUUAUUUUAGCCAUUGGAUUUUACUGAAAACUCACAAAACGACUCCUCCCACAACAUUAUGUUGUUCCCCAAGUUUUGGGCUCAAUCUGAUAUCGAUUGGUCCAUCAAAUUGGACUAUUCACGUUCGUAUGAAGUUCGUUCACUAACAGAGUGGUCGAUGUAUUUCAGAGAUUUUGCAAUUGGAUUUCACUCAAAACUCGUCAAAUGACUCUUCCCACCAUAUUAUGAUGUUCCAAAAGUUUUGGACUCAAUCCGAUAUCGAUUGAUUCAUGAAAUUAAACAAUUUAGGUUCGUAAGAAGUUCGUUCUAAAAUGGAGUGGUUGGUGUAUUGCAUAGUUCUAGAGAAUGGAUUUCACUCGAAACCCACCAAAUAACCCUCCCCACUAUAUUAUGAUGUUCCCUAAGUUUUCGAAUCAAUCCGAUAUCGAAUGGUCCAUGAAAUUGGACAAUUUAGGUUCGUACGAAGUGCGUUAUGAAAUGAAAUGGUUGCUGUAUUGUGUAGUUCUAGAAAUUGGAUUUCGCUCAACACCCACCAAAUGACAACUCCCACAAUAUUAUGAUGUUCCCCAAGUUUUGGACUUAAUCCGGUAUCGAUUCGUCAAUAAAAUCGGACAAUUCAAGUUCGUACGAAGUUCAUUCUCAAAUGGGGUGGAUGGUGUAUUGUAUAGUUCUAGAUAUUGGAUUUCACUCAAAACCCACCAAAUGACUCCUCCCCCAAUAUUAUGAUGUUCCCCAAGUUUUGGACUCAACCCGAUAUGGAUUGGUCCUUGUAAUCGAACAAUUCAUGUUCGUACGAAGUUCGUUCUGAAAUAGAGUGGCUGAUGUAUUGUAUAGUUCUAGAGAUUGGAUUUCACUCAAAAAUCACCAAAUGAAUCCUCCCAAAAUAUUAUGAUGUUCCCCAAGUUUUGGACUCAAUCCGAUAUUGAUUGGUCCAUCAGAGAAUUCAGGUUCAGACGAAGUUCGUUCUGAAACGGAUUGGUUGGUGUAUUGUAUAGUUCUAGGGAUUGGGUUUCACUCCAAACCCACCAAAUCACAACUCCCGCAAUAUUAUGAUGUUCCUCAAGUUUUGGACUCAAUCCGAUAUCGAUUGGUCCAUGAAAUAUUACAAUUCAAGUUCGUACGAAGUUCGUACUGAAAUGGGGUGUUUGGUGUAUUGUGUAGUUCUAGAGAUUGAAUUUCACUGAAAAAUCACAAACUGACUCCUCCCACAAUAUUAUGACGUUCCCCAAGUUUUGGACUCAACCCAUAUCGAUUGGUCCAUGAAAUUGGACAAUUCACGUUCGUACGAAGUUCGUUCUGAAAUGGAGUGGUUGUUGUAUUGUAUAGUUCUACAGAUUGGAUUUCACUCAAAACCCACCAAAUGACAACUCCCACAAUAUUAUGAUGUUCCCCAAGUUUUGGACUCAAUCCGAUAUCGAUUGGUCCUUGAAAUCGGACAAUUCAGGUUCGUACGAAGUUCGUUCUGAAAUGGAAUGGUUGGUGUAUUGUAUAGUUCUAGAGAUUGCAUUUCACUCAAAACUCACCAAAUGGCUCCUCCCACAAUAUUAUGAUGUUCCCCAAGUUUUGGAAUCAAUCCGAUAUCGAUUGGUCAAUGAAAUCGGACAAUUCAGGUUUGUACGAAGUUCGUUCUGAAAUGGAGUGGUUGGUUUAUUGUAUAGUUCUAGGGAUUGGAUUUCACUCAAAACCCACCAAAUGACUCCUCCAACAAUAUUACGUUGUUCCCCAAGUUUUGGACUUAAUCCGAUAUCGAUUGGUCGUAGAUAUUUGCGGCACAAACAGAUCUUCGUCGCGCGUUUCGUGUCAACACAUUUUGCGCGACAAACACUUUUGCCGCGCAAAUCCUUUUUGAGCGAUGAAAGUGUUCGUCGCGCAAGAAUAAAUUAUAUAUAAUUAAAAAAUGAAACAAUUUUAUUUUCGUAAUAUAUAAAUUUGCACGACGAGAAAAAUUUCGUCGUGCAAAAGUAACAUAUAUAAUUAUUAUUUAAUUUUAAUAUUAGUUUUUAUUUUAUUUUAUAAAUAAAAUAAAUUUGAUUUUUUUUUGGGUAAUAAAAUGAAAUUCCAAUAAAUAAUUUUAAAAAAAAUUGUAAAGAACAUAUUUCUUAUAUAAAAUAAAUGUAUACUGCAAGACAAAUAUUUAAAAAAUAAUUAUGAAAAUAAAAAAACUAAUCAAAUAAUGUUCCAAAAUCUACAUUAUCGUCUGGCACAUGCGGUUCAGAGGUCUGGGGGUCUACAAGGGCCGUCGUCUGGGGGGAUGUUCGGGAUGGACGGGCUUGGAGGUCAGUGCAUCAAAAUGGGGGACUAGAAUGCCGGACUGUGCGAGGGACUGCAGAAUGACCGACAUCUGACUCUGAAGAGUGGCCACCUGUGCUGUCAAAGCAGUGACCUGACUGUUUGACUGCGCUGAUGAACGGGGUCUGGGUUCCCUUCGCCUGGCAUUCCCCAUCCCUCGACAAUAUGUCCUCGGUCUCCUCCGGAGAGUUUGAUCAAAUGUCUCCGUCAAGAUCUGAAACUCAGCAUCCUGUGGAGGAUCCACAGACUCGAUCGGAGUAUCGGGAGGAAGUUGGGAGGCGGACUCCUGAAGAACCAACUGGCUCUUCUCCACCAUCGUCGUCUGUUUAACAUAACAUAAAAUAUAAAUUAAAACAUUCAUAUAAUAACCUUUAAACUUGAAUGCGUAACAUAAUAAUUAAAAUUAAAUAAUACUCACAUGAAGGGACUCGGCCAACUCAUUCCCAGGUCGAACAUAAACGUCGCCAAAGACGUCGAUCUCUGGAAAUUUGGACCCCCCUAAAUUGAACAAGAGAAGAAAAAUAUUAGUACGAAAACCAUUCUUUAUGAAUAAUUAAAAAUUAAAAAUUAAAUAAAAAUUAUUUUAUUAUUACCUGCCGCCGUGCAUCCAUCCUAUAGGAGAAGGGUCUGGAACCGGAAUGAUGGAGAAGAGUCUUCUUCUUCCUAUUGCCCUUAUUGACUUUGACUUUAUUCUGUUAUACAAAAAAUAAAACGUAUUAGUUGAAAUUGAAAUUAAAUAUAAAACAUUAAAAAAGAACAUUAAUAAGAAAAAUAUAAUAAAUUUGAAAUUCAUAUUACAAAUUACCACAAAAGCGAGCGCCUGAAAAUGAGCGCAGAGCCACGCCCAACUAUCCUCCCACCCCUCAAGCUCCUUCAGGCAACCCUCCUGAAGAGCGACUUCUGGAUCAUCAAAUGCCUCAAAAUAGUGGUGCAAGUCGCUCUUCCACUGUUUGUACCUCUCAGAGAAGAGUCUGUUGACGUAUGCCAACGACUCGUCAUCCAAGUCCUCCAAGUUGUAGUUCGUCUGCAAUAAAUUAAUUACAUACAUUUAAAUAAUAGAAAUAUAAAAUUUGAAAGAAAAAAGAAUUAAAAGGCCUACAUACCGACAACUGGCCGCGAACCUCCGUCUUGCUCUCGUCAGACAUCACCUUCCAAGACUUCCAUUUCAUCGGGCAAUGGCUCCGAAUGACAUGACCAAUGUUCUGGCCCAAGGAGCUAUGCAACUCUGCCGUCGGUGCAGCCCGAUGUCGCUCGUUGUAUCCGAUGUUGAUAUGACUGUUGGUCACCCGGGUGACCUUCGCCGUCUUCAACUACCGACACGGCCCUCGGGUGUUCUUCUUGGCUGCAAAGAAAGAUGACAUUAAUGUUAAAUAAAUAACAAAUUUAACUAUAAAAUACACACACACAAAUAAAAACCAAAACAAAAAUAAAAACAAAAAUAUAAAUAACUGGAGUUUAAGGAUAUCUAUACCUGGCUGUGACCCCGACGCAUCAGUGGAUGUGGUGUCGGUGGUGCUGGCUGGCCGAUGACGCCGUCUGGCGCUAACAGGCUGUGCCACUGAUGAAGCUGAUGAAGCAGGUGCCUGGGACCCCGCGGGACCAACUGCCAAGUGGUCCAUCAGUGCUGGCGCAGUGGCAGCAGAUGUCGGCUGAGCCUGGGGCUCCGAACUUUGCGUAGUCGUCACCGCCCUACGACGUCUAAUUAGGUCUGACAUCUGCACAAUUUCAUUAAUACACGUAUAAAUUAAUAAAAUAUACGAAUAUUUGAAAGCACAUACAAUUUUAUUAAGAUUCUUGACCUCGGGUUUGCGAGUUUGGAGUAUCCGGGACUCCGAUCCACGAUCUGUCGAAUUCUAGAGGAUCUUAGAAAUACAAGGUACACCAUACGUGAGUUUGAGUUCGAUCCAACAGUCCGAACAUAACAAACCCGGAAAUCGCACAACAGGCAAAAUUCGUUCGAGACUCAAACGGUAACCAAAUUCCAAUCUGAAAACACCUACGCGCUCGUGACAAAUAGGGGAUUGCACUGGGACCCAAUGCAAUGUGCUACAGUACCCCACGCGCCACCACACGCGCCGGCAUUGCGUGUGUGUCCAAAGCGAUACCAAUCGCCGGAAAUUUCUAAAAACUAAGGGCCAAGGUUCCUACCCUAGGUUCAAAACAUCAAUUGGAGCCACUUUUGUUCGGACCUACCCCGAAAAACGGCCAGAAGUGGCCGUAAUUGAAAUUCAAAAAUCGGCCGAAACUUGGGGUUUUGAAAUCGACUGACCUAUUGCAACAAUUACAUAAAUCCUACCCAACCAUCAGCUAAAGCAUCUAAAAUAGGACAGAAACCAUACCUCAAUUGUCGGAUUUGGUCGCCGGAGGAGAGAGAACGACGGCGGCGGAGAUUCGGUGAAAACUGAGGAAAUAACGGCGGUUGGCUCGACGGUGACGGCGGGGAACCUCCGGGGUACCAGCGUUGUGGCGGCGCCGUCCAAAAUGCACUGGGGUAGGGGCUGAGCUGACGACGGAGAGAGAGAAAGAGAGUUAGGGCAGAAAAGUGAAGCUGGGGAAGAUGGAGGGUAUCGCGUCAUUUCUGCAAUUUUAUUCGAGUUUGCACGACGAAGAACCAAAAGCGUCGCGUAAAAUAUUUUAAUUGACACUUGCGCGAUGACAUAAUUAUAACCUCCGUCGCACAAUAUUGUAAAUCCCAAAUUUCGGUAUCAGGGUAGUUUUUGCGCGACGCACAGUAUCAUAUAUUCGUCGCGCAAUGUUGUCAAUCCGCCAAAAUUUUGGGACUUAGGGUUAAGCGGGAGAGAUUGAAAACUUUGCGCGACUCUUCCCUUGUUUCGUUGCGCAAUGUUGUCAAUCUGCCAAAAUUUUGGGACUGAGGGUUUAGCGGGCGAGUUUGCAAACUUUGCGCGGUGCUGCCCUUGUUUCGUCGUGCAAUGUUGUCAAUCCGCCAAAAUUUUGGGACUUAGGGUUUAGCGGGAGAGAUUGAAAACUUUGCGCGACGCUGCACGUCUUUCGUCGCGCAAAUCCUAUUUCUGUAAACUCUCAAAAAUUUUUGCCUAAGUGUCCGAGGGGGUUGCUGAGAUUGCGCGAUGAAGAACUUUGAUUUCGUCGCGCAAAUCCUGUUUCUGUAAACUCUCAAACUUUUUUGGCUAAGUGUCCGAGGAGGAAAACUGUGAAAGGGGGCUGCUGAGAUUGCGAGACGAAGAACCCUUUUUUCGUCGCGCAAAUCCUGUUUCUAUAAACUCUUAAAUUUUUUUGGCUAAGUGUCCGAGGAGGAAGAGGGUGAAAGGGGGUGGCUGAGAUUGCGAUAUGACGUGUUGCGGUUUCGUCGCGCAAGACUGUUGUUUGCAAGCUUUGUGCGACCAACAAAACCUGUUCGUCGCGCACACUCUAAACCCUAAACCCUAAACCGCGGAAACCAUAAACACGAAACUAGUUUUAAUGAUCCAACCGGCAAACUUGUUUUUUUAUAUUUCGAGAUCGUAUAUGCCGAAAAUCUGACAAAACAAACGUUAGGAAAUCAAGUAACGGUGCAAAACUUUUCGACGGUUCUAAAUGAAAAGUCAUGAUUUAACGGUUAUUUUAACUCCAAUUUUGAUGAUUUUUUACAGCUACUUUUCUUGAACCUAUAUGAAUACAAUUACUGAAUUUGAUCUUCAAUUUAAGAUGUUUACACUAGGGUGAUACCACAUAAUCUUAUGUUAUACUUAACAAAAGUAUAAGUAAACUAUUCAUUGUUGGUGAAUAUAUGGUUUUGAUGGCAUACGCAUUCUAUGAAAGUAGUGUCAAUAAUCCAGCCGUCAAACGUGUUUUGUUUAUAAUUCGAGAUCUUAGGCCCCAAAAAUCAGAAAAAAAAACAUUCAGAGAUCAAGUAUCGGGACAAAACUUUUGAACGGUUAUAAAUAAAAAGUCAUGAUUUAACGGUUAUUUUAACUCCGAUUUUGAUGAUUUUUUACAGCUACACUCCAUGACCCUAUAUGAAUACAAUGAACCAACUCGAUCGUCAAUUUCGAAUAUAUAUGUGUAUAUAACAUAUAUUAUAAAAGAAUAUAUAUUUGCGCAACGAGAAACAUUCUUCGUCGCGCAAAAUUCCAUCGCGCGACGGAUAAGAAUUUGUCGCACAAUGUUUUAACUUUACGCGAAGACUGUGUUCUCGAACGCGCAAACUUUGCGCAAUGAGGGUUUCUUAGUCGCGCAAAAUUGCAUCGCGUGACGGAUAAUAAUUUGUCGCGCAAUUUUUUAACUUUGCGCGACGACUAUUUACUGGGUCGCGCAAACUUUGCGCAACGAGGUGAUCUUCGUCGCGCAAGGGUUUUCAUUGUUGAAAAAUGUUUGGUGUCAAUAAUUUUCAAACUUUGUAUGAAAAUGGUUUGGAUAUAUUUAUUUAUCAAUGUUUUAUAUAACAAAUGUUUUAUCAUUUUCAUUUUGUAAACGUGUUUUGUCAAAAAAAAAAUUAAAAAAUUAAUAUUAAAAGGGUUUGGAUAUAUUGAUUUACCAAUGUUUUAUAACUAAAUUUAUUUUAAUAAUGUUUCAGUUGUCCACAUAUAUAAGGUUUGGAUAUAACAACUACAUAUAUUCAAACUUUUGUAUUAUACAAAGUCUAUACACUAGCGUAAUAAAAUUACAAAAAAUUUAAUUAUUCAUCAUCUGAACUAUAGUAACUUUCGUUAUCGUCGCUAUCAUCACUUUCGGUCUCCCAAUCCUCCUCCUCCUCCUCUAUAACUACAUCAUCUGUGUUGCUCGGGUCCACUGCAACAUCGAAUCUUGGAAGAUCCCCGAGGUCAAUUGUAAUUGACUAAAUUGGUAUUUCGAUUGAAGACACUCCUUGUAUUUGAAACGGUUCUUGUAUAACAUGUGUAUCUCGAAGUGUUUCCGCAUUAUUUUCCAUUGAAGAUUCUAAACGUUGGUCAGCCACAUUGUCGACGUCGUUGUCAGUUGGGUCUAGUUCUGGUAUAGCAUACACGUUCCUAUGAUCCAUCUUCUGAACAACUUUCCAACUGCUCCCAGCUUUAGGGUCAUCUAGAUACACAAUUUGUGUUGCUAUGUUUGCCAAAAUGUAAGGGUCGUCACCAUACCAAGUUCUGUUAAUGUUCACAGACAGUAAGCCAUGGUUGAUUUUAACACGUCCCGGCCUAUUUGGGUUGCUAUCAAACCAUCGACACUUAAACAUGAUCACUUGGUAUCGAUCUUUGUAAAGCAAUUGAACGACAGUUGUGAGUUUGCCAUAAAAAUCAAUGUUCGUACUUUCGCCUCUACCUGGGACAUGGACACCGCUGUUUUGUGUACACAACUUGUCAUCUCGUGCAGCCCCCAAAAAUUUGACGCCGUUAAUAUAACAACCCGAAAACAAUUCAGCGCGAAUUGGGCCGAACGCCAAGUUAUAUACUUAAUAUAAUACAAAAUUAAGUGGGGGAAUUCGAUGAUUUCAACUUAUUCGCCUAAUAUAAUACAAAAUCAUUCACAUGUUAGUCUGACAAAAUUAAAUACUACAAUUUAUAUUUGUCAAAUACAAAACACUUAUAACUUACAUAAUCCAAAAACCAUUGUUGAAACAAUUCAUGAUGUUUCUGGGCAACUAAAUGUGAUGGAUGUUCUCGCGCCAUCAUCUCUUCAUGCUCAUCUAAGUAUGCCAUUAUCUCAUCACAAUUGUUCAGUACGAACCAAUGCGCUACCUCCAUGUCAUUUCUAGAAAACGACUCUCCUCGUCCAGGAUCUCCAAAGGGUCGUGCGCUUUGGGCAAAAACAGAAAGUUUUUCCUUUCUCAUACCUCCGUCGUUAUUGCGUUGAGGACGAUUGAAAGCCAUCUCCACAUCUUUUAAAUACAUUCCACAGAAAGUAAGCGACUCAUAUUGAACUCACGCCUCUAUAAUUGAUCCUUCGGGCUUCGCCCUGUUGCGUACACUUUUUUUCAACUCUCCGAGAAGCCUGUCAAAAUAAAACGAUAUGAUACAAAUUAGCAAGUCUGUGAUAAUAAUGCGUACACAAACGAUAAGGAUUAUAUACCUUUCUAUUAGAUACAUCCAGCGAUAGUUGACAAAACCAGCAAGCAAUGCCUCUUCUGGCAAGUGAACCAUCACGUGCAUCAUACUUGUGAAGAAUGUUGGAGGAAAUAUCAUCUCAAACUUGCAUAGGACUUGGACAAUGUCAUGGCGCAACUGAAACAUGUUUGUCUUUCGCAAUGUUUUUGCCAUCAGUUGGGAAAAAAAUCUGGACAACAACAUGAUUGGCUUCACAACAUCUUCCGACAAUGGAUGUCGAAUACCCACAGGAAGUAGGCGUUACAUAAACACAUGGCAGUCAUGGCUCUUCAGUCCAGUAAAUUUACCCCCAUCAAUAUUCACGCAACGUGCGAUAUUAGAAGCAUACCCAUCAGGAAACUUUACAGACGAUACAAACUUUAGAAACUCUUUUUUGUCAUUCGGUUUCAUAGAAAAGAAUGGAAGAUCCCUUCUAGCUUUAUCACUGUCCCUGUUCAUCCAUAAACCCCUUCGUAUGCCCAUUCUUUCCAAAUCAAGACGGGCUUUGAUUGUGUCCUUUGUCUUGCCCUCGAUAUCUAGAAUCAUGCCCACCAAUGUGUCAAAUACAUUUUUCUCAACAUGCAUCACAUCUAGAUUGUGCCUCAAUUUGAGUUUCGACCAAUAUGGGAGCUCGAAAAACAUAGGCUUGUGAGUCCAGUUCAUAUGUGUAGAAGGUCUGGUCCGAUGACCAAGGUAACAAACUUUUCCCGCAUGCCAACCAGAAGUUACAUCUUCCUUGCAUAUAGGACAUGCCAUAUAACCCUUUGUGCUUUACCCAGAAACCAUUGCAUAUGCUGGAAAAUCAUUCACAGUCCACAUAACUGCUGCCUGCAAAGUGAACAUCUUCCCAGUUGAUUUAUCGUACGUGCGAACCUCGACUCAUUGCAUAUAAGGCAUGUCUCCAACGUUUCAUGCUCCUUGUAGAAUAACAUGCAAUUAUUUUUGCAAGCAUGAAUUUUUUCAUAACCCAAUCCAAGACCAUUCAACACCUUCUGCGCGUGUUUAUGGUCUUUCGGCAAACAAUUGUCCAUCGGAAGCAUUCUCUUGAAAACUCCCAAAAAGUAAUCGAAACACAGGUUCGACAUACGAUACUUUAUUUUUCCGUGCAUUAGCUCAACAAUGGCCGUGAGAACGGAAAAGCUCUCGCACCCCGGGUAUAGCUUUUGAUUGGCAUUUUUUAAUAGUUUUCAUAUUGUUCAAACUCUGCGCUAUCUAUUAGUGUAGGCACGUCAUCUUCCCUUUCGUGAUUGAUGUUGGUUGAUACAAAUGGAAAAGCAUCCUGUAUAAUAUCCAUGACUUGAUCAUUAGGAUCCACAAUAGGUUCAGCACUGUCCAUUCUUGUGGCAUUUGAAGACGAAGCAUGGUCUAAUUGUUCCCCAUGAAGGUUCCAAAUGCUAUAUGUCUCAAUCAUUCCAUUCCUUACUAAAUGAAAUCCAACAUUUUCAAUUGUCUCCCACAACGUGUUAUUACACCUCCUACAAGGACAUCGGAUUCUAGUUGCACCCGGGUUGUGUCUACGUGCAAACUCAAUAAAAUCCUCGAUCCCAUCCAAGUAUUUGUCUGCACAUCCAUUCGGGUUCUGUAUUCACCUUCUGCUCAUAAUUCCUGAAACCACAAUCACAACAUAACAAUCACAACAACUUCAUACGAAGUUAUAAUGUCACCUUAUACCUCCGGUAAGGGCCCUAUCCCAUUCGAGAAUGCAUAGUCCUGUUACGUAACCUACGGCUACAUGAGAUUAGAUUUCGACAUGAAUAAAUUUCGGCAGCAUCUCGAUACAGUUCUUGAGGUGGGCAUAGGUAUAAAUACCUACGUACCACCCGAAGAACGUACCGAGAUGACACCGAAAUCUCCACAAUAGAAACCUAAUCCUGUAGCCGUAGAUUACGUGACAACACUAUGCAUUACCAAACUGUCCAAAUAGUGGGACAAUUCAAGAAUUAAUUGGACGCAGUCAUGCUUUACACAUCCAUGUACGAAAUCCAACUAAUCUCGAACGGGAAACUAAAUGUUACAAAACAUACAAAUAAAACUACGAAGUUAAUUUCAAUUAACUUCGUACAUCACAACACAUUGUGCUACGUCACGCACAAUUUAACAACAUAAUAUAAAUAUAACUUCACAAAAAAAUAUACACAUAACAAAUUAACUUUAACAUUUUUAAUAUAUAAAACGAAUAAAAUACCUUAUCAAUCGUUCUCCACAAAUUGCUAAUUACAAAUAUCCCUAACGAGAACAAAAUUAAUAGCGUUAGUACGAAUUUACAUUAAUACUUAUAAACUAACGAUACAAAAUACUUACCCAAUCAACGUACUGAAUUUCCAGCAGAGGCAGCAAUAGAGAGGUUGAGAGAGACGCAGAGGCAGAAAGGAAAUUUGUUUCCUUUCUGCCUCUGCAAUGGCAUAAUUCGGAUAUGAAGAAGAAGGACUUUGCGCAACGAAACAUAUAUUUCGUCGCGCAAAAUACCGUCGGGAAAAACCAUUUUUCCGUCGCACAAAAUGUGUUUUUCCGUCGCGCAAAAACUUGCCAACAAAACAACUUUUGCGCGACGCAAGAAAUUUUCGUCGCAAAAACAUUCGUCGCGCAAAUUCUAGAUAUCGUCACGCAAAAACAAAAUUCCGUCGCGCAAGAAUGUACCGACAUCUUCUAUGAAACCUAAUUCGUCGCGCAAACAAAAAUAUCCCCCUCCAUUAUUUUGGUGCCUAACCUUUACGCGACGAAGUUUCAGAUCGUCGCACUAGGUUUUCUUACGCGACGAUUGCUCUUGCCGCGCAAGUGUUUGGCGCCAAAAAAAAACCCGGGUGUUUUUUCGCUCACUAAGAGAGUUUGUGCUUCGAAAAUUUUGGUCGCGCAAGUUUUCACUUUUUUGGGCGACGAAACUUUUUUUCCGUCGCUUUAUUGCAUUUUGCGCGAUGAAUUUUGAUUCGUCGAGCAAAAGCUUGUCGCGCAAAUAGAAAAACGUAGUACUGACUCCUCCCACAAUAUUACGAUGUUCCCCAAGUUUUGGACUCAAUCAGAUAUCGAUUGGUCCUUGAAAUCAAACAAUUCUGGUUCGUACGAAGUUUGUUCUGAAAUGGGGUGGUUGUGUAUUGUAUUGUUCUAGAGAUUGGAUUUCCCUCAAAACCCACCAAAUGACACAUCCCACAAUAUUAUGAAGUUCCAUAAGUUUUGGACUCAAUCCGAUAUCGAUUGGUCCAUGAAAUCAGACAAUUCAUGUUCAUACGAAGUUCAUUCUGAAAUGGAGUGGUUGGUGUAUUGUAUAGUUCUAGGGAUUGGAUUUCACACAAAACCCACCAAAUGACAACUCCCACAAUAUUAUGAUGUUCCCCAAGUUUUGGACUCAAUCCGAUAUCGAUUGGUCCAUGAAAUCAGACAAUUCAGGUUCGUACGAAGUUCGUUCUGAAAUGGAGACGUUAGUGUAUUGUAUAGUUCUAGAGAUUGGAUUUCACUCAAAACCCACCAAAUGGCUCCUCCCGCAAUAUUAUGGUGUUCCCCAAGUUUUGGACUCAAUCCGAUAUCGAUUGGUCAAUGAAAUCGGACAAUUUAGGUUCGUACGAAGUUCGUUCUGAAAUGGGGUGGUUGGUUUAUCGUAUAGUUCUAGGGAUUGGAUUUCACUGAAAACCCACCAAAUGACUCAUCCCACAAUAUUACUAUGUUCCCCAAGUUCUGGACUCAAUCUGAUAUCGAUUGGUCCUUGAAAUCGGAGAAUUCAGGUUCGUACGAAGUUCGUUAUGAAAUGGAAUAGUUGGUUUAUUGUAUAGUUCUAGAGAUUGGAUUUCACUCAAAACCCACCAAAAUGGCUCCUCCCGCAAUAUUAUGAUGUUCCCCAAGUUUUGGACUCAAUCUGAUAUCGAUUGGUCAAUGAAAUCGGACAAUUCAGGUUCGUACAAAGUUCGUUCUGAAAUGGAGUGGUCGGUUUAUUGUAUAGUUCUAGGGAUUGGAUUUCACUCAAAACCCACCAAAUGGCUCCGUCCGCAAUAUUUUGAUGUUCCCCAGUUUUGGACUCAAUCCGAUAUCGAUUGGUCAAUGAAAUCGGACAAUUCAGGUUCGUACGAAGUUCGUUCUGAGUGGAGUGGUUGGUUUAUUGUACAGUUCCAGGGAUUGGAUUUCACUCAAAACCCACCAAAUGACUCCUCCCACAAUAUUACUCUGUUGCCCAAGUUUUGGACUCAAUCCGAUAUCGAUUGGUCCAUGAAAUCAGACAAUUCAUGUUCAUACGAAGUUCGUUCUGAAAUGGAGUGGUUGGUGUAUUGUAUAGUUCUAGGGAUUGGAUUUCACUCAAAACCCACCACAUGACAACUCGCACAAUAUUAUGAUGUUCCCCAAGUUUUGGACUCAAUCCGAUAUCGAUUGGUUCAUGAAUCGGACAAUUCAGGUUCGUACGAAGUUCGUUCUGAAAUGGAGUGGUUGGUGUAUUGUGUUCUAGGGAUUGGAUUUCACUCAAAACCCAACACAUGACUCCUGCCACAAUAUUAUGACGUUCCCCAAGUUUUGGACUUAAUCCGAUAUAGGUUCGUACGAAGUUCGUUCGGAAAUGGAGUGGUUGGUUUCUUGUAUAGAUCUAUGGAUUGGAUUUGACUCAAAAUCCACCAAAUGACUCGUCCCAAAAUAUUUUGAUGUCCCCCAAGUUUUGGACUCAAUCCCGUAUUGAUUGGUCCUUGUAAUCGGACAAUUCAGGUUCGUACGAAGUUCGUUUUGAAAUGGAGUGGCUGAUGUAUUGUGUAGUUCUAGAGAUUGGAUUUCACUCAAAAAUCACCAAAUUACUCCUCCCACAAUAUUAUUAUGUUCUCCAAGUUUUAGACUCAAUCCGAAAUCGAUUGGUCUAUGAAAUCGAAGAAUUCAUGUUCGUACGAAGUUCGUUAUGAAAUGGAGUGGUUGGUGUAUUGUAUAGUUCUAGGUUCUGGAUUUCACUCAAAACCCACCAAAUGACUCCUCCCACAAUAUUAUGAUGUUCCCGAAGUUUUGGACUCAAUCCCAUAUCGAUUGGUGCACGAAUUUGAAAAUUCAGGUUCGUACGAACUUCGUUCUAAAAUGGAGUGGUCGGUGUAUUGUAUAGUUCUAGGGAUUGGAUUUUACUAAAAAUCCACCAAAUGACUCCUCCCACAAUAUUAUGAUGUUCCCCAAGUUUUGGACUCCAUCCGAUAUCGAUUGCUCCUUACAAUCGGAUAAUUCAGGUUCGUACGAAGUUCGUUCUGAAAUGGAGUGGCUGAUGUAUUGUAUAGUUCUCGGGAUGGGAUUUCACUCAAAACCCACCAAAUGACUCCUCCCACAAUAUUAUGAUGUUCCCCAGGUUUUGGACUCAAUCCGAUAUCGAUUGGUCCACGAAAUUUGACAAUUCAGGUUUGUACGAAGUUCGUUCUGAAUUGGAGUCGUUGGUUUAUUGUAUAGUUCUGGGGAUUGGAUUUCAUUCAAAACCCACCAAAUGACUCCUCCCACAAUAUUUUGAUGUUCCCCAAGUUUUGAACUCAAUCUGAUAUCAAUUGGUCAAUGAAAUUGGACAAUUCAGGUUCGUAUGAAGUUUGUUCUGAAAUGGAGUGGGUUACGUAUUGUAUAGUUCUUGGGAUUGGAUUUCACUCAUAACCCACGAAAUGACUCCUCCCACAACAUUAUGAUGUUCUCCAAGUUUUGGACUCAAUCCGAUAUCGAUUGGUACUUGUAAUCGGACAGUUCAGGUUCGUACGAAGUUUGUUCUGAAAUGGAGUGGCAUAUGUAUUGUAUAGUUCUAGGGAUUGCAUUUCACUCAAAACCCACGAAAUGACUCCUCCGACAAUAUUAUGAUGUUCCCCAAGUUUUGGACUCAAUCCAACAUCGAUUGGUCCAUGCAAUUUGAAAAUUCAGGUUCGUACGAAGUUUAUUCUGAAAUGGAGUGGUUGGUUUAUUGUAUAGUUAUGGGGAUUGAAUUUCACUCAAAACCCACCAAAUGACUCCACCCACAGUAUUAUGAAGUUCCCCAAGUUUUGGACUCAUUGGUCCGAGAAUUCAGACAAUUCAGGUUCGUACGAAGUUCGUUCUGAAAUGGAGUGGCUGAUGCAUUGUAUAGUUCUAGGGAUUGGAUUUCACUCAAAACCCCCCAAAUGACUCCACCCACAAUAUUAUGAUGUUCCCCAAAUUUUGGACUCAAUCCGAGAUCGAUUGGUCCUUUUAAUCGGACAGUUCAGGUUCGUUCGAAGUUCGUUCGGAAAUGGAGUGGUUGGCUUCUUGUAUAGUUCUAGGGAUUGGAUUUGACUCAAAACCCACCAAAUGACUCCUUCCACAAUAUUAUGAUGUUCCCCAAGUUUUGGACUCAAUCCGAUAUCGAUUGGUCCACGAAAUUUGAAAAUUUAGGUUCUUACGAAGUUUGUUCUGAAAUGGAGUGGCUGCUGUAUUGUAUAGUUCUAGGGAUUGGAUUUCACUCAAAACCCACCAAAUGACUCCUCCCAAAAUAUUAUGAUGUUCCCCAAGUUUUUGACGCAAUCCCAUAUCGAUUGGUCCUUGUAAUCGGACAAUUCAGGUUCGUACGAAGUUCGUUCUGAAAUAGAGUGGUUGAUGUAUUGUAUAGUUCUAGAGAUUGGAUUUCACCCAAAAAUCACCAAAUGACUCCUCCCACAAUAUUAUGAUGUUCCCCAAGUUUUGGACUCAAUCCGAUAUCAAUUGGUCCGUGAAAUCGGCCAAUCCAGGUUUGUGUGAACUAUGUUCUGAAAUGGAGUGGUUGGUGUAUUGUAUAGUUCUUGGGAUUGGAUUUGACUCAAAAUCCACCAAAUGACUCCUCCCACAAUACUAUGAUGUUCCCCAAGUUUUGAACUCAAUCUGAUAUCGAUUGGUCCACGAAAUUUGACAAUUCAGGUUCGUACGAAGUUCGUUCUGAAUUGGAGUGGUUGGUUUAUGGUAUAGUUCUAGGGAUUGGAUUUCACUCAAAACCCACCAAAUGACUCCUCCCACAAUAUUAUGAUGUUCGCCAGGUUUUGGACUCAAUCUGAUAUCGAUUAGUCCACGAAAUUUGACAAUUCAGGUUCGUACAAAGUUCGUUCUGAAUUGGAGUGGUUGGUUCAUGGUAUAGUUCUGGGGAUUGGAUUUCACUCAAAACCCACCAAAUGACUCCUCCCACAAUAUUUUGAUGUUCCCCAAGUUUUGAACUCAAUCUGAUAUCAAUUGGUCAAUGAAAUUGGACAAUUCAGGUUCGUAUGAAAUUUGUUUUGAAAUGGAGUGGGUUACGUAUUGUAUAGUUCUUGGAAUUGGAUUUCACUCAAAACCCACCAAAUGACUCCUCCCACAAUAUUAUGAUGUUCUCCAAGUUUUGGACUCAAUCCGAUAUCGAUUGGUACUUGUAAUCGGACAGUUCGGGUUCGUACGAAGUUUGUUCUGAAAUGGAGUGGCAUAUGUAUUGUAUAGUUCUAGGGAUUGCAUUUCAGUCAAAACCCACGAAAUUACUCCUCCGACAAUAUUAUGAUGUUCCCCAAGUUUUGGACUCAAUCCAAUAUCGAUUGGUCCAUGCAAUUUGAAAAUUUAGGUUCGUACGAAGUUCAUUCUGAAAUGGAGUGGUUGGUUUAUUGUAUAGUUAUGGGGAUUGAAUUUCACUCAAAACCCACCAAAUGACUCCACCCACAAUAUUAUGAAGUUCCCCAAGUUUUGGACUCAUUGGUCUGAGAAUUCAGACCAUUCAGGUUCGUACGAAGUUCGUUCUGAAACGGAGUGGCUGAUGCAUUGUAUAGUUCUAGGGAUUGGAUUUCACUCAAAACCCCCCAAAUGACUCCACCCACAAUAUUAUGAUGUUCCCCAAAUUUUGGACUCAAUCCAAGAUCGAUUGGUCCUUUUAAUCGGACAAUUCAUGUUCGUUCAAAGUUCGUUCGAAAAUGGAGUGGUUGGCUUCUUCUAUAGUUCUAGGGAUUGGAUUUGACUCAGAACCCACCAAAUGACUCCUCCCACAAUAUUAUGAUGUUCCCCAAGUUUUGGACUCAAUCCGAUAUCGAUUGGUCCAAGAAAUUUGAAAAUUUAGGUUCUUACGAAGUUUGUUCUGAAAUGGAGUGGCUGCUGUAUUGUAAAGUUCUAGGGAUUGGAUUUCACUCAAAACCCACCAAAUGACUCCUCCCACAAUAUUAUGAUGCUCCCCAAGUUUUUGACUCAAUCUGACAUCGAUUGGUCUUUGAAAUCGGACAAUUCAGAUUCGUAUGAAGUUCGUUCUGAAAUGGAGUGGUUGGUUGAUUGUAUAGUUCUGGGGAUUGGAUUUCACUCAAAACCCACCAAAUGACUCCACCCACAAUAUUAUGAUGUUCCCCAAGAUUUGGACUCAAUCCGAUAUCGAUUGGUCCAUGAAAUCAGACAAUUCAGGUUCGUACGAAGUUCGUUCUAAAAUAGAGUGGUUGGUGCAUUGUAUAGUUCUAUGUACUGGAUUUCACUCAAAACCCACGAAAUGACUCCUCCCCCAAUAUUAUGAUGUUCCCCAAGUUUUGGACUCAAUCCAAUAUCGAUUGGUCCUUGACAUUGGACAAUUCAGGUUCAUACGACGUUCAUUCUGAAAUGGAGUGGCUGAGGUAUUGUAUAGUUCUAGGGAUUGGAUUUCACUCAAAACCCACCAAAUGACUCGUCCCACAAUAUUAUGGUGUUCCCCAAGUCUUGGACUCAAUCCGAUAUCGAUUGGUCGUAGAAAUCGGACAAUUCAGGUUCGUACGAAGUUCGUUCUGAAAUGGAGGGGUUGGUUUAUUGUAUAGUUCUGGGGAUUUGAUUACACUCAAAACCCACCAAAUGACUCCUUCCACAAUAUUAUGCGGUUCCCCAAGUUUUGGACUCAGUCCGAUUACGAGUGGUCCUUGAAAUCAGACAAUUCAGGUUCGUACGAAGUUCAUUCUCAAAUGGAGUGGUUGGUGUAUGGUAUAGUUCUAGGUACUGGAUUUCACUCAAAACCCACCAAAUGACUCCUCCCAAAAUAUUAUGAUGUUCCCUAAGUUUUGGACUCGAUCUGAUAUCGAUUGGUCCAUGAAAUCAGACAAUUCAGGUUUGUACGAUGUUCGUUCUGAAAUGGAGUGGCUGAUGUACUGUAUAGUUAUGGGGUUUGGAUUUCACUCAAAACCUACCAAAUGACUCCUCCCACAAUAUUAUGAUGUUCCCCAAGUUUUGGACUCAAUCCGAUAUUGAUUGGUUCAUGAAAUCAGACAAUUCAGGUUCGUACGAAGUUCGUUUUGAAAUGGAGUGGUUGAUGUCCUGUAUAGUUCUGGAGAUUGGAUUUCACUGAAAAAUCACCAAAUUACUCCUCCCACAACAUUAUGAUGUUCCCCAGGUUUUGGACUCAAUCCGAUAUCGAUUGGUCUACGAAAUUUGACUGUUCAGGUUCUUACGAAGUUCGUUCUGAAAUGGUGUGGUUGGUUUUUUGUCAAGUUAUGGGGAUGGGAUUUCACUCAAAACCCACCAAAUGACUCCUCCCACAAUAUUAUGACGUUCCCCCAAGUUUUGAACUCAAUACGAUAUCGAUCGAUCCACGAAAUCAGACAAGUCAGGUUCGUACGUAGUCCCUUCUGAAAUGGAAUGGUUGAUGUAUUGUAUAGUUCUGGAGAUUGGAUUGCACCCAAAAAUCACCAAAUUACUCCUCCCACAAUAUUAUGAUGUUCCCCAAGUUUUGGACUCAAUCCGAUAUCGAUUGUUCUAUGAAAUCGGACAAUUCAGGUUCGUACCAAAGUCGUUUUGAAAUGGAGUGGUUGGUGUAUUGUAUAGUUCUACGUACUGGAUUUCACUCAAAACCCACCAAAUGACACCUCCCGCAAUAUUAUGAUGUUCCCCAAGUUUUGGACUCAAUCCGAGAUCCAUUGGUCGUUUUAAUCGGACAAUUCAGGUUUGUAUGAAGUUCGUUCGGAAAUAGACUGGUUGGUUUAUUGUAUAGUUCUAGGGAUUGGAUUUGACUCAAAACCGAUCAAAUGACUCCUCCCACAAUAUUAUGAUGUCCCCCAAGUUUUGGACUCAAUCCCGUAUCGAUUGGUCCUUGUAAUCGUACAAUUCAGUUCGUACGAAGUCAACUGAAAUGGAGUGGCUGAUGUAUUGUAUAGUUUUAGAAGAUUGGAUUUCCCCUCCAAAAAUCACCAAAUGACUCCUCCCACAAUACUAUGAUAUUCCCCAAGGUUUUGGACUGAAUCCGAAAUUGAUUGGUCCAUGAAAUCAAAGAAUUCAGGUUCGCACGAAGUUCGUUCUGAAAUGGAGUGGUUGAUGUAUUGUAUAGUUCUAGAGAUUGAAUUUCACUCAAAAAUCACCAAAUUAGUCCUCCUACAAUAUUAUCAUGUUCCCCAAGUUUUGAAGUCAAUCCGAAAUUGAUUGGUCCAUCAAAUCGAAGAAUUCAGGUUCAUACGAAGUUCAUUUUGAAAUGUAGUGGUUGGUGUAUUGUGUAGUUCUAGGUUCUGGAUUUCACUCAAAACCCACCAGAUGACUCCUCCCACAAUAUUAUAAUGUUCCUCAAGUUUUGGACUCAAUCCGAUAUCGAUUGGUCCAUGAAAUCAGACAAUUCAGGUUCGCAUGAAGUUCGUUGUGAAAUGGAGUGGUUGAAGUAUUGUAUAGUUCUAAGGAUUGGAUUUCACUCAAAACCACCCGAAUGACUACUCCCACAAUAUUAUGAUGUUCCUCAAGUUUUGGACUCAAUCCGAUAUCGAUUGGUCCUUGUAAUCGGACAAUUCAGGUUCGUACGAAGUUCGUUCUUAAAUGGUGUUGCUGAUGUAUUGUAUAGUUCUAGGGAUUGGAUUUCACUCAAAACACACCAAAUGACUCCUCCCACAAUAUUAUGAUGUUCCCCAAGCUUUGGACUCAAUCCAAUGUCGAUUGGUCCUUGAAAUCGGACAAUUCAAGUUCGUACGAAGUUCGUUCUGAAAUGGGGUGGUUAGGGUAUUGUAUAGUUCUAGAGAGUGGAAUUCGCUCAAAACCCAACAAAUGACUCCUCCCACGAUAUUAUGAUGUUCCCCAGCUUGGACUCAAUCCAUUUUCGAUUGGUCCUUGAAAUCGGACCAUUCAGGUUCGUACGAAGUUCAUUCUAAAUGGGGGUGGCUGGUGUAUUGUAUAGUUCUAGUGAUUGGAUUUCAGUCAAAACCCACCCAAUGACUCCUCCCACAAUAUUAUGAUGUUACGGAAGUUUCGGACUCAAUCCGAUAUCGAUUGGUCCUUGAAAUCGGACAAUUCAGGCUCGUACGAAGUUCGUUCUGAAACGAAGUGGCUCAUGUACUCGUUCUGAAAUGGAGUGUUUGAUGUAUUGUAUAGUUCUAGGGAUUGGAUUUCACUCAAAACCCACCAAAUGACUCCUCCCACAAUAUUAUGGUGUUCCCCAAGUUUUGAACUCAAUCUGAUAUCGAUUGGUCCUUGACAUUAGACAAUUCAGGUUCAUACGACGUUCAUUCUGAAAUGGAGUGGCUGAGGUAUUGUAUAGUUCUAGGGAUUGGAUUUCCCUCAAAAAAUUCUAGAUGAAUCCUCCUACAAUAUGACGAUGUUCCCCAAGUUUUGGACUCAAUGCGAUAUCGAUUGGUCCAUGAAAUCAGACAAUUCAGGUUUGCACGAAGUUCGCUGUGAAAUGGAGUGGUUGAUAUAUUGUACAGUUCUAGGGAUUGGAUUUCACUCAAAACCACCCAAAUGACUACUCCCAAAAUAUUAUGAUGUUCCUCAAGUUUUGGACUCAAUCCGAUAUCGAUUGGUCCUUGUAAUUGGACAAUUCAGGUUCGUGCGAAGUUCUUUCUGAAAUGGAGUAGCUGAUGUAUUGUAUAGUUCUCGGGAUUGGAUUUCACUCAAAACCCACCAAAUGACUCCACCCACAAUAUUAUGAUGUUCCCCAAGUUUUGGACUCAAUCCGAUGUCGAUUGGUCCUUUAAAUCGGACAAUUCAGGUUCUUACGAAGUUCAUUCUUAAAUGGGGUGGUUGGUGUAUUGUAUAGUUCUAGUGAUUGGAUUUCACUCAAAACCCAACCAAUGACUCCUCCCACAAUAUUAUGAUGUUCCCCAAGUUUUGGACUCAAUCCGAUAUCGAUUGGUCUAUUAAAUCGGACAAUUCAAGUUCGUACGAAGUUCGUUCUGAAAUGGGGUGGUUAGGGUAUUGUAUAGUUCUAGAGAGUGGAAUUCGCUCAAAACCCAACAAAUGACUCCUCCCACGAUAUUAUGAUGUUCCCCAAGUUUUGAACUCAAUCCGAUAUCGAUUGGUCAAUGAAAUCGGACAAUUCAGUUUUGUACGAAGUUCGUUCUGAAAAGGAGUGGUCGGUUUAUUGUAUAGUUCUAGGGAUUGGAUUUCACUCAAAACCCACAAAAUGACUCCUCCCACAAUAUUAUGAUGUUCCCCAAGUUUUGGACUCAAUCCGAUAUCGAUUUGUCCUUAUAAUCGAAGAAUUCGGGUUCGUAUGAAGUUCGUUCUAAAAUGGAGUGGUGGGUGUAUUGUAUAGUUCUAGGGAUUGCAUUUCACUCAAAACCUACCAAAUGACAACUCCCACAACAUUAUGAUGUUCCCCAAGUUUUGGACUCAAUCCGAUAUAAAUCGGACAAUUCAGGUUCGUACGAAGUUCGUUCUAAAAUGGAGUGGUUGGUGUAUUGUUUAGUUCUAGGGAUUGGAUUUCACUCAAAACCCACCAAAUAACAACUAACACAACAUUACGAUGUUCCCCAAGUUUUGGACUCAAUCCGAUAUCGAUUGGUCUAUGAAAUCGGACAAUUCAAGUCCAUACGAAGUUCGUUCUGAAAUGGAGUGGUUGGUUUAUUGUAUAGUUAUGGGGAUUGAAUUUCACUCAAAACCCUCCAAAUGACUCCUCCCACAACAUUAUGAUGUUCCCCAAGUUUUAGACUCAAUCCAAUAUCGAUUGGUCCAUGAAAUCGGACAAUUCAGGUUCAUUCGAAGUUCGUUCUAAAAUGGAGUGGUUGGUGUAUUGUAUAGUUCUAGGGAUUGGAUUUCACUCCAAACCCACCAAAUAACAACUCCCACAACAUUACGAUGUUCCCCAAGUUUUGGACUCAAUCCGAUAUCGAUUGGUCCUGAAAUCGGACAAAUUCAGUUUCGUACAAAGUUCGAUCGGAAAUGGAGCGGUUGGUUUUAUUGUAUAGUUCUCGAGAUUGGAUUACACUCAAAACCCACCAAAUGACUCCUCCCACAAUAUUAUGCUGUUCCCCAAGUUUUGGACUCAGUCCGAUACCGAGUGGUCCUUGAAAUCAGACAAUUCAGGUUCGUAUGAAUUUCAUUCUGAAAUGGAGUGGUUGGUGUAUUGUAUAGUUCUAGGUACUGGAUUUCGCUCAAAACCCACCCAAUGACCCCACCCAAUGUCUUACGAUGUUCGCCAAGUUUGGACUCGAUCUGAUAUCGAUUGGUCCACGAAAUCAGACAAUUCAUGUUCGUACGACGUUCGUUCUAAAAUGGAGUGGCUGAUGUACUAUAUAGUUCUAGGGAUUGGAUUUCACUAAAAACCCACCAAUUGACUCCUCCCACAAUAUUAUGAUGUUCCCCAGGUUUUGGACUUAAUCUGAUAUCGAUUGGUCUACGAAAUUUGACUAUUCAUGUUCGUACUUCAAUGAAGUGGUUGGUUUAUUGUAUAGUUCUGGGGAUGAGAUUUCACUCAAACCCACCAAAUGACUCCUCCCACAAUAUUAUGAUGUUCCCCAAGGUUUGGACUCAAUCCGAUAUCGAUUUGUCCUUAUAAUGGGACAAUUCAGGUUCGUACGAAGUUCGUUCUGAAAUGGAAUGGCAGAUGUAUUGUAUAGUGCUAGGGAUUGGAUUUCACUCAAAACCCACCAAAUGACUCCUCCCACAAUAUUAUGGUGUUCUCCAAGUUUUGGACUCAAUCCGAUAUCGAUUGGUCCUUGAAAUCGGACAAUUCAGUUUUGUACGAAGUUCGAUCGGAAAUGGAGUGGUUGGUUUAUUGUAUAGUUCUCGAGAUUGGAUUACACUCAAAAGACACCAAAUGACUCCUCCCACAAUAUUAUGCUGUUCCCCAAGUUUUGGACUCAAUCCGAUAUCGAUUGGUCCUUGAAAUCGGACAAUUCAGUUUCGUACGAAGUUCGAUCGAAAAUGGAGUGGUUGGUUUAUUGUAUAGUUCUCGGGAUUGGAUUACACUCAAAACCCACCAAAUGACUCCUCCCACAAUAUUAUGAUGUUCCCCAAGUUUUGGACUCAAUGCGGGUGGCCAUUUGUCCUUAUAAUGGGGGGGAUUCAGGUUCGUACGAAGUUCGUUCUGAAAUGGAAUGGCUGAUGUAUUGUAUAGUGCUAGGGAUUGGAUUUCACUCAAAACCCACCAAAUGACUCCUCCCACAAUAUUAUGGUGUUCCCCAAGUUUUGGACUCAAUCCGAUUUCGAUUGGUCCUUGAAAUCGGACAAUUCAGUUUCGUACGAAGUUCGAUCGAAAAUGGAGUGGUUGGUUUAUUGUAUAGUUCUCGGGAUUGGAUUACACUCAAAACCCACCAAAUGACUCCUCCCACAAUAUUAUGAUGUUCCCCAAGUUUUGGACUCAAUCCGAUAUCCAUUGGUCCUUAUAAUGGGACAAUUCAGGUUCGUACGAAGUUCGUUCUGAAAUGGAAUGGUUGAUGUAUUGUAUAGUGCUAGGGAUUGGAUUUCACUCAAAACCCACCAAAUGACUCCUCCCACAAUAUUAUGCUGUUCCCCAAGUUUUGGACUCAAUCCGAUACCGAGUGGUCCUUGAAAUCAGACAAUUCAGGUUCGUAUGAAUUUCAUUCUGAAAUGGAGUGGUUGGUGUAUUGUAUAGUUCUAGGGACUGGAUUUCGCUCAAAACCCCCCAUAUGAUUCCCUACCAAAGUAUUUACGAUGUUCCCCAUGUUUUGGACUCCUUCUGAUAUCGAUUGGUCCACGAAAUCAGACAAUUCAUGUUCGUACGACGUUCGUUCUAAAAUGGAGUGGCUGAUGUACUAUAUAGUUCUAGGGAUUGGAUUUCACUAAAAACCCACCAAUUGACUCCUCCCACAAUAUUAUGAUGUUCCCCAGGUUUUGGACUUAAUCUGAUAUCGAUUGGUCUACGAAAUUUGACUAUUCAUGUUCGUACUUCAAUGAAGUGGUUGGUUUAUUGUAUAGUUCUGGGGAUGAGAUUUCACUCAAACCCACCAAAUGACUCCUCCCACAAUAUUAUGAUGUUCCCCAAGGUUUGGACUCAAUCCGAUAUCGAUUUGUCCUUAUAAUGGGACAAUUCAGGUUCGUACGAAGUUCGUUCUGAAAUGGAAUGGCAGAUGUAUUGUAUAGUGCUAGGGAUUGGAUUUCACUCAAAACCCACCAAAUGACUCCUCCCACAAUAUUAUGGUGUUCUCCAAGUUUUGGACUCAAUCCGAUAUCGAUUGGUCCUUGAAAUCGGACAAUUCAAUUUUGUACGAAGUUCGAUCGGAAAUGGAGUGGUUGGUUUAUUGUAUAGUUCUCGAGAUUGGCAUUACACUCAAAGACACCAAAUGACUCCUCCCACAUAUUAUGCUGUUCCCCAGUUUUGGACUCAUUCGAAUAUCGAUUGGUCCAUGAAAUCGGACAAUUCAGUUUCGUACGAAGUUCGAUCGAAAAUGGAGUGGUUGGUUUAUUGUAUAGUUCUCGGGAUUGGAUUACACUCAAAACCCACCAAAUGACUCCUCCCACAAUAUUAUGAUGUUCCCCAAGUUUUGGACUCAAUCCGAUAUCCAUUUGUCCUUAUAAUGGGACAAUUCAGGUUCGUACGAAGUUCGUUCUGAAAUGGAAUGGCUGAUGUAUUGUAUAGUGCUAGGGAUUGGAUUUCACUCAAAACCCACCAAAUGACUCCUCCCACAAUAUUAUGGUGUUCCCCAAGUUUUGGACUCAAUCCGAUAUCGAUUGGUCCUUGAAAUCGGACAAUUCAGUUUCGUACAAAGUUCGAUCGGAAAUGGAGCGGUUGGUUUAUUGUAUAGUUUUCGAGAUUGGAUUACACUCAAAACCCACCAAAUGACUCCUCCCACAAUAUUAUGCUGUUCCCCAAGUUUUGGACUCAGUCCGAUACCGAGUGGUCCUUGAAAUCAGACAAUUCAGGUUCGUAUGAAUUUCAUUCUGAAAUGGAGUGGUUGGUGUAUUGUAUAGUUCUAGGUACUGGAUUUCGCUCAAAACCCACCAAAUGACCCCAACCAAAGUAUUACGAUGUUCCCCAAGUUUUGGACUCGAUCUGAUAUCGAUUGGUCCACGAAAUCAGACAAUUCAUGUUCGUACGACGUUCGUUCUGAAAUGGAGUGGCUGAUGUACUAUAUAGUUCUAGGGAUUGGAUUUCACUAAAAACCCACCAAUUGACUCCUCCCACAAUAUUAUGAUGUUCCCCAGGUUUUGGACUUAAUCUGAUAUCGAUUGGUCUACGAAAUUUGACUAUUCAUGUUCGUACUUCAAUGAAGUGGUUGGUUUAUUGUAUAGUUCUGGGGAUGAGAUUUCACUCAAACCCACCAAAUGACUCCUCCCACAAUAUUAUGAUGUUCCCCAAGGUUUGGACUCAAUCCGAUAUCGAUUUGUCCUUAUAAUGGGACAAUUCAGGUUCGUACGAAGUUCGUUCUGAAAUGGAAUGGCAGAUGUAUUGUAUAGUGCUAGGGAUUGGAUUUCACUCAAAACCCACCAAAUGACUCCUCCCACAAUAUUAUGGUGUUCCCCAAGUUUUGGACUCAAUCCGAUAUCGAUUGGUCCUUGAAAUCGGACAAAUUAAAUUCGUACGAAGUUCGAUUGGAAUGGAGUGGGUUGGUUAUUGGAUACGUUCUCGGGAUUGGAUUACACUCAAAAAGCACCAAAUGACUCCUCCCAAAUAUAUAAUGCUGUUCCCCAAGUUUUGGACUCAAUCCGAUAUCGAUUGGUCCUUGAAAUCGGACAAUUCAGUUUCGUACGAAGUUCGUUUGGAAAUGGAGUGGUUGGUGUAUUGUAUAGUUCUAGGUACUGGAUUUCACUCCAAACCCACCAAAUGUUUCCUCCCACAAUAUUAUGAUGUUCCCCAAGUUUUGGACUCAAUCCGAUAUCGAUUGGUCCUUUAAUCGGACAAUUCAGGUUUGUACGAAGUUCGUUCUGAAAUGGAAUGGCUGAUGUAUUGUAUAGUGCUAGGGAUUGGAUUUCACUCAAAACCCACCAAAUGACUCCUCCCACAAUAUUAUGGUGUUCCCCAAGUUUUGGACUCAAUCCGAUUUCGAUUGGUCCUUGAAAUCUGGGCCACCCACCCCAAGGGGAAUCCUAUCGAAAAUGGAGUGGUUGGUUUAUUGUAUAGUUCUCGGGAUUGGAUUACACUCAAAACCCACCAAAUGACUCCUCCCACAAUAUUAUGCUGUUCCCCAAGUUUUGGACUCAGUCCGAUACCGAGUGGUCCUUGAAAUCAGACAAUUCAGGUUCGUACGAAUUUCAUUCUAAAAUUGAGUGGUUGGUGUAUUGCAUAGUUCUAGGUACUGAAUUUCACUCAAAACCCACCAAAUGACUCCUCCCAAAGUAUUACGAUGUUCCCCAAGUUUUGGACUCGAUCUGAUAUCGAUUGGUCCACGAAAUCAGACAAUUCAGGUUCGUACGACGUUCGUUCUGAAAUGGAGUGGCUGAUGUACUGUAUAGUUCUAGGGAUUGGAUUUCACUCAAAACCCACCAAAUGACUCCUCCCACAAUAUUAUCAUGUUCCCCAAGUUUUGGACUCAAUCUGAUAUCGAUUGGCCCAUGAAAUCGGACAAUUCCGGUUCGUGCGAAGUUCGUUCGGAAAUGGAGUGGUUGCUUUAUUGUAUAGUUCUAGGAAUAGGAUUUGACUCAAUACCCACCAAAUGACUCCGCCCACAAUAUUAUGAUGUCCCCCAAGUCUUGGACUCAAUCCCAAAUUGAUUGGUCCAUGAAAUUGGAAAAUUCAGGUUCGUACGAAGUUCGUUAUGAAAUGGAGUGGUUGAUGUAUUGUAUAGUUCUAGAGAUUGGAUUUCACUCAAAAAUCACCAAAUUACUCCUCCCACAAUAUUAUUAUGUUCCCCAAGUUUUGGACUGAAUCCGAAAUCGAUUGGUCCAUGAAAUCGAAGAAUUCAGGUUCUUUCGAAGUUCGUUAUGAAAUGGAGUGGUUGGUGUACUGUAUAGUCCUAGGUACUGGAUUUCACUCAAAACCGACCAAAUGACAACUCCCACAAUAUUAUGAUGUUCCCCAAGUUUUAGACUCAAUCCGAUAUCGACUGGUCCUUUUAUCGGGAAAUUCAGGUUCGUACAAAGUUCGUUCUGAAAUGCCGUGGUUGGUUUAUUGUACAGUUCUAGCGAAUGGAUGUCACUAAAACCCACCAAAUGACUCGUCCCACAAUAUUAUGAUGUUCCCCAAGUUUUGAACUCAAUCCGAUAUAGAUUGGUCCUUGUAAUCGGACAAUUCAGGUUCUUACGAAGUACGUUCUGAAAUGGAGUGGCUAAUGUAUUGUAUAGUUCUAGGGAUUGGAUUUUACUCAAAACCCACCAAAUGACUCCUCCCACCAUAUUAUGAUGUUCCCCAAGUUUUGGACUCAAUCCGAUAUCGAUCGGUCUACGAAAUUUGACAAUUCAGGUUCGUAGGAAGUUCUUUCUGAAAUGGAGUGGUUGGUUUAUUAUAUAGUUCUGGGGAUUGUAUUUCACUCAAAACCCACCAAAUGACUUGUCCCACAAUAUUAUGAUGUUCCCCAAGUUUUGAACUCAAUCCGAUAUAGUUUGGUCCUUGUAAUCGGACAAUUCAGGUUCUUACGGAGUUCGUUUCGAAAUGGAGUGGCUAAUGUAUUAUAUAGUUCUAGGGAUUGGAUUUCACUCAAAACCCACCAAAUGACUCCUCCCACAAUAUUAUGAUGUUCCCCAAGUUUUGGACUCAAUCCGAUAUCGAUCGGUCUACGAAAUUUGACAAUUUAGGUUCGUACGAAGUUCGUUCUGAAAUGGAGUGGUUGGUUUAUUCUAUAGUUCUGGGGAUUGUAUUUCACUCAAAACCCACCAAAUGACUCCUCCAACAACAUUAUGAUGUUCCCCAGGUUGUAGACUCAAUCCGAUAUCGAUUGGUCCAUGAAAUCGGACAAUUCAGGUUCAUAUGAAGUUCGUUCUGAAAUGGGGUGGUUGAUGUAUUGUAUAGUUCUAGAGAUUGGAUUUCACCCAAAACCCACCAAAUGAGUCCCCCCACAAUAUUAUGAUGUUCCCGAAGUUUGGAACUCAAUCCGAUAUCGAUUGGUCAAUGAAAUCGGACAAUUCAGGUUCGUACGAAGUUCGUUCUAAAAUCAAGUGGUUGCUUUGUUGUAUAGUUCUGGGGAUUGGAUUUCACUCAAAACCCAUCAAAUGACUCCUCCCACAAUAUUAUGAUGUUCCCCAUGUUUUAGAGUCCAUCUGAUAUCGAUUGGUCUAUGAAAUCAGACAAUUCAAGUUCUUACGAAAUUCGUUCUGAAAUGGGGUGGUUGGUGUAUUGUAUGGUUCUAGGGAUUGGAUUUCACUGAAAACCCACCAAAUGACUCCGCCCAUAAUGUUAUGAUGUACCCCAACUUUUGUACUCAAUCCAAUAUCGACUGGUCAAUGAAAUCGGACAAUUCAGUUUCGUACGAAGUUCGUCCUGAACUGGUGUGGUUGGUGUAUUGUAUAGUUCUAGAGAGUGGAUUUCACUCAAAACCCCCAAAUGACUCCUCCCACAAUAUUAUGAUGUUCCCCAAGUUUUGGACUCAAUCCGAUAUCGACCGGUCCACGAAAUUUGACAAUUCGGGUUCGUACGAAGUUCUUUCUGAACUAGAGUGGUUGGUUUAUUGUAUAGUUCUGGGGAUUGGAUUUCACUCAAAACCCACCAAAUGACUCCUCCCACAAUAUUAUGUUGUUCCUCAAGUUUUGGACUCAAUCUGAUAUCGAUUGGUCCAUGAAAUCGGAUAAUUCAGGUUCAUACGAAGUUCGUUCUAAAAUGGGGUGGUUGGUUUAUUGUAUAGUUCUUGGGAUUGGAUUUCACUCAAAACCAGUCAAAUGACUCCUCCCACAAUGUUAUGAUGUUACCCAAGUUUUAGACUCAAUCCCAUAUCGGUUGGUCCAUGAAAUCGGACAAUUCAAGUUCUUACGAAGUUCGUUCUGAAAUGGAGUGGUUGGUGCAUUGUACAGUUCUAGGGAUGGAUUUCACUCAAAACUGACCAAAUGACAACUCCCACAAUAUUAUGAUGUUCUCCAAGUUUUGGACUCAAUCCGAUAUCGAUUGGUCCACGAAAUUUGACAAUUCAGGUUCGUACGAAGUUCAUUCUGAAAUGGAGUGGUUGACGUAUUCUAUAGUUCUGGAGAUUGGAAUUCAAUCAAAAAUCCCCAAAUUACUCCUCCCACAAUAUUAUGAUGUUCCCCAAGUUUUGGGCUCAAUCCGAUAUUGAUUGGUCCUAGAAAUCAGACAAUUCAGGUUCGUACGAAGUUCGUUCUGAAAUGGAGUGGCUGAUGUCUUGUAUAGUUCUAGGGAUUCGAUUUCGCUCAAAACCCACCAAAUGACUCCUCCCAUAGUAUUAUGAUGUUCCCCAAGUUUUGGACUCUAUCCGAUAUCGAUUGGUCCACAAAAUUCGACAAUUCAGGUUUCUACGAAGUUCGUUCUGAA
RNAcentral lists this long non-coding RNA (433517 nucleotides) under Prunus persica (peach). The record is from RNAcentral. Lineage: Eukaryota; Viridiplantae; Streptophyta; Magnoliopsida; Rosales; Rosaceae.